CCAACAAUCACCACUAUUGAGUUUUGAGCAUCAAUCUUUCAGAAUUUCACAUUGCAUUAUGCCGAAUACUUGGAGUAGGGAGUGAAGCCAUCCUCUGGCAAGUACCAAUAAAACCUACCAAAGAUAGCUAUUUGAGAGAGGAGAGGUAGACCACUUGUUAAUUUUUCCAUGUUCCUCACGUUUCUCAUCCAAGGAGAAAUUAGAGACAAGGGAAACAGAAUGGUCCAUGCUUCUUACAUCCUCCACCAUUGACAAUCUUUCCACAGUCCUCACAUUUCUCAUCCAAAAGUCUGAAACAGGACGAGCAAUUAGUCCUGAAUAAAAAUUGUCUUUCAUGCACAGUGAACAACUACAAGAGUGAUCAGAACAAAAUUAUAUACACACCUAAUUGACUGCAACAAAAAGUGUACUGGGAUACCCUGCCGAUAUAUAUUUUGAUUGCUGGAAAACUAUUAUGAUUAUGUUAACAAACAAGUAUGGGAGACCACUAAUCACUGGUGAUAGAGACUUAUUCGUACGGGCUGAUAUUUUACAAAUGUGAGGUCAGGAGAUUGAAUAACUUGGUACGAGCUGAUAACUCUUAAGAAUGAUAGCCUACGCCUGUUGGUAUAUCUGGAACGCUCGAAAUGCAAUAAACAUUAAACAUAAAUCACUUGAUCCUGGAACUGCCCCUACAUAAAUCACUGUCAUGAUUGGGUGGACGAAAGGCAGGGUCUGUAGAGUAACCUGAAAUAGGUUUUGUGAAGAUUAACUGGAGCUCUGGCAGCUUAGUAGGAUAAUGAUGAGACUUGCCUACCCAAGAUAACUGGGUUGCGAGUGGUAUUGAAUGACGACCUUCUUGCAAUUUUAAAUCACAAUACUUCGUGGCAGACGUGAGACUUUUAGGAUUACUCAACAAAGCAACAAAGUAUAGUCUCCCUGAUUACUCCUACCCACCUUUCCUUUACAACAAAGAAAAUUAAAAUGUUCUCUGAGAUGGUAUAAGAUUUAAAUAGAAGAAAGAUGAAUUGUGAACUUUAAUGAGAAAGUCAGAUUUAAAUAGAUUAUAAUCUGCAGGUUCAUUGAAAUUUAGUUGUCAUAUUUGCCAAGUUGAGAACCCGUUUUAGAUCCCAUUUUUGCAUCUUUACAAUAGCUGUUAUUCAAAGUAAUAAAGCUUCUUAAUUUGACUUUGAAUAUAGACCUUGAUAAUCAACAUCAUGAUAAAGAUUAAUCUUAUUUAGACCUUGUCACAAAAAGAAAAAAAAUUAAAGCAUAUCGAUGCACCUACCAAAAUUAAUAGCUUUUUUUUUAUCUUUUGUCAGGUUGCAAAAGAUGAACAUAAGUACAUCAGUUGCCUACCUCAACAGUAUAUGCAUUUGAUCAACCCAAGAGAUUUUGCCAGAUAGAUGACAGUGGGAUAUUCUGCAAGACAAGCACAGUCAAGAGAAUUCGGGUCAGUGAGUUAGGGCAUAAGAAACAGAUAUUUGGAAGAGAAAAUACAGCAAAUGCUGAAAUUGCAGAACAAUAUCGAUAUGAGAGCGAAAUUUUUUCAUAAUUCUCAUGCAAUGCAUGGUGCAUUUCCAUUUGCAAAUUCUUUAUGUGUCAUCCAAGUGCAGAGAUAAGCAAUUUUUGGCCAUCACACAAAAUUCUAGAUAUAUAAUCAAUAUAGACAGGCACAUUUGAUGCAUCAUAAUUCCAGCACCAUGAGCAAGUCCAUGUAGGUUUUAUUUAUUCGAGGAAUUUUCAUUGGCUGUACCACGUUAGCAUUAUAACCAUUUCCUCGUGUACUUCCUCAGUAAACAAAACAGGGGAACCCAAAUGUCAACGUUGGACAUUCAGCAGCUGGUUUGUGGAAAUUUAUGUGAAGCACGUCCAUGGAAAAACAUGAACAUUUUAGCAUUGAGUUGAGGAAGCAGAAUGAAAAUGAAUCCUGGAGCAGCAGUAGCUAAAUGACAAGUGUGAAAGAAAGAAGUCCGAAUCAUUACCUGAAGAGCAAAACUUUAAGACAGUGGAGAGAAAUCUUCCUGUUGGAUCCGAACUAGAUUAAUCACAAUGAGUGGGAUUUCUUGAAUGAGGUGCCAGUAGUUGCCCGCAAAAGAGGAUCCAUCCUUCAAAAUCUCACAUUGAAUUAUGUGGAAUACGUUGAGGGAGGGAGGGAGGGAAGCCAUCCUCUGGCAAGUACCCAAACUUCGAGCAACAUAGAAAAUAUAACUGUUUGAGGGAGGAGAGAUGACCGUGAACACCACUUGAUAGUCUUUCCACUCCUCAUAUUUCUCAUCCAAAGAGAGGUUAGAGAGGAAGGAAACAGAAGACUCCAUGCAUCAUACAUCCUCCACUGCUGAUGGUCUUUCCACAUUCCCCAUAUUUCUCAUCCAAAAAUCUGGAAUGGGAUGAUCAAUUAGUCCUGAAUAACAGUUGCCUUUCAUGCUUAAUGAACAACUAUAAGAGUGAUCCGGCAAACAAAAUUAUAUGCAUACCUACCCAAAAGCAACCAAAAAUGAGCAAACAAGACAAGAACCGGGAUACUUUGCUUUAUUAUUGUCAAGAAUCAGUGACCCUUUUGAAUGGUUUUUCCUUUUGCUAAAAAACCCUUAUGGCUAUGUUAACUAACGAGUAUGGGAGACUGCUAAUCACUGGCGAUGGUGACUUAUUGGUAUGGGUCGAUAUUCUACAAAUGUGAGGCUAGAAGAUUCGAAUGACUUGGUACAGGCUGAUAACGCUUAAGAAUGAUUGCCUACACCAGUUGGUAUAUCCGGAAUGCUAGAAAUGCAGUAAUCUUCGACCAUAAAUCACUUGAUCUUGAAACUGUCACUCAUACAGAUUAGAAAAGCACUUUCAUACUGCGUUUCCUGUAAAAAUGUAGGAGAGCUGGGUCAUGAUUGGGUGGACGAAAGGCAAGGUGUGUAGAGUAAACCUGAGCUAGGUUUUGUGAAUAUUAACUGUGAAUUAUUUUUCUUGCAUUGAACUAUCAUCGAUUUCUGCACGAUGAAAAUUAGUUGUCCACACAAAACACCCUUGGGGCUUCGGCAGAAACUACUUCACGUGAAGUUCAAAUUGCAACCGUAUUAACUUUACUUGAUUGAUUACACUGGCACACCUCGAAAGAAUACUAAAUCUCAAAUACCUUAUUAAUUCAUCUUACCCAUUGCGGUUGAUGGUAAAUUCACUAAAUCUAUACAAUAACGACUUUUUGUUGUGAGAGUAAAUAUGUGAAAAGACACACAAAAGUUAUUUUAUUUUGUUUGGCACCCGAAAUUAUGACAAACGUGACUUUCCCAUUAAUCUCUACUGAAGAGGAAUGAAGCUAUCCUCUUAUGAUAUUGAUUCUUGCUUACCCAAUUUCAUGGACUAAAAUUCCAAAACAUUAAUGCCGUAAAAUAAUUACUUUGCGAGCAGGAUAAAAGUUCCAAUUCAAUUAUAAAUGAAUACUUUGAUCUCAAUGCUGCUAAUCGUGUAAAAUCAUUUCACAUCAAUGUGUGUUCAGUAAAAAGAACAGUAAUAGAGAGAUAAAAAAAUUAAUCUUAAUGUCCUAAUCUUACUUUUUAACAAAAAUUAUAAUGACAUUUCUUUUGUUAAUGAACUCGACAUCAACUUUAAUCAGGAUAAUAGAUAGGCAGGAAAUCGGUUUAAGAACCAAAAUAUUGCUGCUGCUGCUGCUCUUCUUUUGCUCAAAAUAAUGCUUUUGCCUCCAUUAAUAAAACGAUUUUGGAAAGAAUAGAUGGUUGCUCGUGUACUAAAUGCCCCCUAGAUGCUUUCGGUAGUGAAGUUCCGGGUGCAUCAGUCCGAGGGAAAAAUAGAGCAAGUAGAUAGAUGUGUCUUACCUGUUUCGAGCAGACUUCCUGGAGCAGAUCGAUGAAUGGGAUUAGCUCAAUGACAGCAAUCCAACAAGCACGAGCGCUAGGUUUAGACGAGCAGGAGGAGAAUACUAUUUAAGCAGGGGGACUAAUGGUGAAGCCGAGUGAUGAUGAUCUAAUGGAGAGAGAACUAUAAAGUCCAAGAAGACCAAGACUUUCACCUACCAAAAAGUGUAAGCAAAGACCAAGACUUUCAAGAAUACUUUCUGUCCACAAGUGCUCUUAUCAUGUGAAUAAACCAUAAACUCAGGAAGACCAAAACUUUCAAGAAUCCUUUCUGUCCACAAGUGCUCUUAUCAUGUGAAUAAACCAUAAACUCAGGAAGACCAAGACUUUACUGAACUUCAUGUACUUUUUGUCUAGAAAGUGAAGCAGAGGCGAAAGAGAGCAAAUGGAAAAGAUAGAGACUUCGCAUGAUGCAAAUUGGCAUUGCUGCUUCACUUCUCACAUCCCUCCUCUUCCAUCUCUAUGUGAAUGCCUAUGUUUUUUCAUUACUAGUAGAAUUUCCCCACGCGUUACAUGCCAUGCUUAAAAUUGAAUAUUACUAUAAUUUUCGUCCACCUCUUUUCAUGCUCAAUUGUACUGUGAUUUUUCAUUCAAUAAUCUCUCUUGCACUUGUCUAUUAGAAUUAUGUCUAGGAUUUCAUGUAUCUCUUCAAAUUUAAGUUCAAAAAAAGGAAAAAAAAAAAAGCAAAGAAAAAACAGCCAGAACUAAAAAAAGAAGAAGAAGAAGAAGAAGAAGAAGAAGAAGAAGAAGAAGAAGAAGAAGAAGAAGAAGAAGAAGAAGAAGCAAGAACGGGGCCAGAGAGAGCACCAUUGUCCUAUGGCCACAGACAUGCCAUUGCCAUCAGCACUGCUGCUUAUAGUCAUCUUCAUAGACAACAUUUCCUUGAGAUUUUAUUCUUAGAUCGGUUUAAGAGUUAAGAAUAAUGACAUUGCAAGCACCUAAGCUUUUGUUCAAUUUACAAUCAAGGGCCUAAACUUUUCUUUUUCAAUCAAGAAUCUCAAUUUGAGGCAUCGGCUAAAUAACUUGUCAUGUUAUGUGAUUUUACUGAUGUGACUCGUUUACUUAGCAAAAGUUAAACAACAUAGUAGCUGAUGUCACUCCUUAUCACACAUAUUGAGUGAUGAGGAGAGAAAAGGUAUGCUGACUUAGAUGGUCCUAGCAUCUAAUAAAUCUCAGCUGACCUAGCAGCAUCUCAAGGUACCGUAUUAGACGCUCAUAUGGACAGUUAACGACUAUUUGACAGUGUUCGCAUCAUAUCAACAUUUUUGGACCACGGUUUAAAUGGAAGCCUUGACCUGUAUUUGAAUUGUUGAGGUAAUUGACUGAAAGCAAAAAAAAGUAAAAAAUGAGGAUACUUGAUUAAAAAAGGUAAUAAUUCAAAUACUUGUGCAUCGUUGUCGUUAUCCAAAAAUUUAUCAUGCGAUGAUUGGUCUAGAUUCAAAUCUCAAACGUACUUUUUUUUAUACGUUAUUUAAUCAAUAAACUCAUCCUCUCGUUUCGUUGCUUGGUCUCACUUUAAUAAUUUCUUUUUUAAGAUUUUUAUUUCAAGUGAAAAAAAAUAUUAAAUAGUUUGUUAAUUUCAAGCUGUUGCAAAAAGAUUUCAGUGGCCAUAUAUCAAGCACAUUCGAUCAAAAAGUAUUGCUCUACCCCUACUUUUUGGCCAAUUCCAUUGCUUUUCCUUUGAUCUUCUCACCCAAAACUGAAAAAAUUAUGUGCAAUCAAGAAAACAUCUUCUAUCUAUAAUCAUUUUCUCAUGACAUCAUCACCGGUUCACAGCGGUCCAACUACUUGGACCACAAACUGACAACCUGACCGGUUCUCUGAUCGGCCCAAGUUUGAAAACAUUGGUGCAAAGCUCCAAUCCCUAUUUAAAACAAGUAGAUAUGGCUAUCUUAUACGAAUUGAGUUGUAAUGCACACAAUACUUUUACCACGUGAUCGAAUUUGAUAGCAAGUGGUUACACCUGAUAGAGGUUCGGGUAUUAGUAUUACCGUCGUGGGUGCUCCUCUCUCUAUCCUUGAGCAUAUGAGAUGCGGUAAAACCUUCGUAAUGCUCCAAAUGAGGAUGAUGCUCAACUCCAUGUCCAUGGUAUACUACUCCCGUCGCAUUGCUCUAGUUGGAGCUCCAAGUGCUUCAAUCUCCCCACGUCAGAGAUGUAAAUUUUUGGUCGCGAAUUAGAACUUAGAAGGGGGAGUCAACGAAUACGAGAGAGUUGACUCACUUUUAGGUGCGACCCAAGUGUCCUUUUUUUUUUUUUUGUGAAAAAGAAUCUAAAUCAUACAUUGGUUGACCUGGAAUUAUGAACUUAGGAGGCUAUUGAGGAGACAUAUAAAAAUUUAAUUCAAUUUCUUACUUUAAAGGGUUAAUCCAUUGAAGAACCCAAAACUAGUACAUGUAUAACAAAUUUACCCAAAACUAUUUUUUUUACCAUAAAAAACUCUAAAUUGAUAUACAUGUGACAAAUUUAUCCUGAUCAAUCAUAAAAAAAACCCUAAAUUAGUAUAUUUAUGACAAAUUUACCAUAAAUUAAUUUAUUCGACCGCCAAAAUCCAAAACUCAUACAUUUGUAACAAAUAUACCCCAUGUUAAACUAGAGUAAUACCACAAAAAAAAAUUACAAAAAUUGUAAACUACGACAACGAUGAGUAAAAUCCUAAAUUGGUAUACUAGUCAACUGUCACGUGUCAUUUAACUUAAUAAUUUGAUAGUAAAUUUAACGGAAACUAAUAGAGAGUAAAUUUGUCACAAGUGUACCAGUUUGGGGUAAAUUUGUCAAAAGUAUACUAGUUUAGGGUUUUUGAUUGUUAAAAAAAUUAAUUUGAGGUAAAUUUGUGACAGUUGUAUCGGUUUGGAGUUUUUCGGAGUAUUAACUCUACUUUAAAUAAUAAGUUAACACUACCCUCUCGGUUCACAAUGCAUGUGUACUUUAUUGUAUAUCCACAAAAUCAAUAUAAUCAUUUGGACAUCAUGUGAACGAGCGUUUGUUCAAUUUUGCUACUGUAGAUAGUCUUUUGGUAAAUUUCUAUGAAUAGGCUCGCGUACUCCUCAUCAUAAAAUACAUAGAAAUUACACUGUUCUCUUUCCUGCAUAUUUCUUACCCGAUUUAAAUAUCUUGAUAAAAAAGAAUCGCAUUCUAUAUUGUUUCUCGGUAUUGUAAUUAUUUUUCUAAUGUUAAAAUGUGUCAUUGGGUUGGAAGCUGCCUCGCUGUAAAAGCUGCCCAGCAUGCUCUCUCUCUUUCACUUAUGUUCUCAAAGGCUGAGUUAUCCGGUAGGCCUCAGGUCCACGCUACUAGCCAAAGAUCCGCGCUGUGAUGGGCUAUCCACCGUUGAAAAGCAGCAACUGGCGCAUGAUCGAUGAUGGGCGGUGCAUGAUUAGGCUAUGGACCUCAGGCCUAUGGAAUAAUCGUUAACUGCUCCCUUUGACCGCUUCCUCAGGAUUUCGAUUUGAUUAGUACCGUUGUUCCCUAAGAAUCAGGGGCCAAGAAAACUUGCCCACCCAACGCUAGAAGACAUGAUAGGGUUCGUUUUUCUUUUUCAUUUCAAAGUACUAUAGUUCUUGAGACCUAACCUAUCUUCUCUUAUUCAUGGGUCUAGUGAUACGUGUCAUGAAGUUUGAUGUAUAAAUUUUAGGUUUGGGGCAAGCAUAAAUGGAUGUGCUUGAUAUUUACUUAAAUAAUUAGGAUUUCAUUAACAUGUCCCAGGACACUAUUUAAAUAUUUAAAUAAAAACAUAUUUGUAAUGUAUUGUCUCCUUGGUAUUGCAUACAGAUAAUGUAUUGAAAAUGGCAAUUGGUUUUUUGCUCGAAGCUCUAAUUAACAAGACCCAAAAGAUUACACCAUGAUUUGCAAUUUACAAAUUAGGCUCUAAAUAAAAGAUUUUAACUUUUCCCAGCACAAUAAUAUCCGUGAACAGUCAUGUUGCUUGUUUUUCUUGUCAUAUGGUGAUCGAUUGUGUAAAAUGAUGACCUAAAAUUUUUUUAGGUCGUUACUGACCUAACGUUUUAAGUGGACAUAAAAAUCUCUCCUUUUAGACAUGUAAGAUUUAUUGGUCAUACAAAAAGUAGUUGAGUGUAUUUCAAUGUGGCACCACAUAUAUGGCUCAUGUGGAAUUUGGGCACUUAAUCAAUUUUGAUGGUGCUUGUAAUGGUAGGUGUGGAAGAGGAUUGUAUUGUACAAACUCACAAAGUUAUAACAUUACAUUGCUGAAAAUGGGAAUAGUUAAAAAUCUGGAAUACGAAAAUCAGAGAGCCCCAGUAAGAUUAUUACGGAGAGUAAUUAGACAAACAAAUUCUGUUCAUGCUCACCCUACUGCAACAAAAACCGAACAAGACAUAUCAGGGUACUUUCCAUUCCAAACCUAAAAAGGGAUAGACUUAAUGAUUUUUUAAUGUAGGAGAAUGGCGUACCAUUGAUCACAGGUGAUGGUGGCCUGAUGGUACAAACUGAUAUUCCACAAACGGGAGGUCACAAUGAUAAUCCAUUAGCGAUGGAAGUGCCUGUAUCUUACCUUGCUUAUGACGGGAGUUUUGGCAACUUGGAGGGGUUAGGGUGAGGAGACUUGCCUACCCGAGAUAAUUGGGUCGCGAGUGGUCUUGGAUAACGUUCUCGCAAUCUCAUGUCGAAAUUCAUGGCAGACGUGGAACUUCUGCAAUCACUCAAUAGAGUAACAGAGCAUAGUCUCCUUGAUUGCUCAUCUCCACCUUCCCUUUACAACAAAGAAAUAGAAAAUGUUACAUGAGAUGGCGUGGGAUUCUUUUUUUUUCUUUUUCUUUUUUUGUGGGUGUAAGAUGUUGUGGAAAUUUAAAUAGAAGAAAGAUGAACUGUGAACUCUGACAUGGAAGUCACAUUUAAAUGGAUGUAAAUUGAAGGGUUGAUUCAAAGUUAGUUGUCAUAUUCUCCAACUCGAAAACCACUGUUUAAAUCCUAUUUUUGCGUCUUUAAAGUAGCUUCUAUUGUUAGAAGUAAGAAAGCUUCUUAAUUUGACUUUGAAUGUAGACCUCGUGAUACAAAUUAAUCUUUAGAGCAUGUCGCAAAAAAAGUACGAGCAUAUUAGUACUCCUACCUAAAUUUAUAGCUUUUUGUUUUUCUUUUGCCCAGUGGCAAAAGAUGAACAUAAGCACAUGUCGCCUACCUCAACAGUAUUUGCAUUUGCUCCUCCCGAGAGACUUUGCCAAAUACAGAUGUUAGUGGGAUACUCUGCAAAACAAGAACAGUUGAGCAUGCAGGUCACUCAUCUGGGGCAUAAGAAAAAGAUGUUAGGAAGAGAACGUAAAAGAAGCACUGAAAUUGCAGAAAAAAAUCAAUAUAAGAGCAACCACUCUUCACGAUCCUCAUAAAGCAUAGUGCAUUUCCAUAAGAGGAAAGAUGAGCAACUUUUGGGCAUCAAACAAAGUUCAAGAUAUAUCAUCAAUAAAGACAGGCACAUCCAUGCAUCAUAAUUCCAGCACUGUGAGCAAGUCCAUGUAAGCAUUAUUUGUUUUGAGGAAUAGUCACUUUUAUGAAACAAUGGUUGACUUGCUGUACCACUUUAGCAUUUUAACCAUUUUAUUGCGUACUUCCUUUCAAACAAAACAUAGCAACUCAAUUGUCAACGUUGGACAUUCAGGAGUUGGUCUGUGGAAGUUUUGGUGAAGCUUGUCCAUGGAAAAACAUGAACUUUUUACCAUCGGAUUGAGAAUUCGGAAUAGAAAUGGAUCCUGGAGCAGCAGCAAUAGCUAAACAACAAGUGUGCAAGAAAGAAAGAGGUCUGAAAGAAAUCUGAAUCCUUACCUGAAGAACAAAAAUUAGACAUUGGAGAGAAAUCUUCUUAUUGAAUCCGAACUCAAUCAAUUACUAGGAGUGGGAUUGCUUGGAUGAGGUGCCAAUAGUCACUACGGAGUUUUGAUCACCGAUCUUAUCAGAAUCUCACAUCAAGUUAUGCUGAAUACAUGGAGGGAGGGAGGGAAGCCAUCCUUUGUCAAGUCCCUCAACUUCUGGCAAUGUAUAGAAUAUAACGGUUUAAAUGACGAGAGAUGCCUACGAAGAUUACUUGAUUGUCUUUCCACCUUCUUUAUAUUUCUCAUCUAAAGAAAGAUUAGAGAGGAAGAAAACAGGAGACUCCAUGCAUCUUAUGUCCUCCACCGUUGAUGGUCCUUCCACAUGUUUCAUAUGUCUUAUCCAAAAUCCUGGAACAGGACGAUUAAUUAGUCCUGAACAAAAAUUACUUUCUUGCAUAAGGAACAAACAAUGAGAGUGAUUAGACAAAAAGAAUUAUAUGCAUACAGAAUAAAAAAAAUGAAUAAACAAGACAAGAAACUGGACCCUUCACUUUCCUAUUCUCAGAAAUAAGUGACCCUCUGGAUGAAUUUGUUUUCGCCGAAUAAUUCUUAUGAUUAUGUUAGCCCACACGUAUGGGAGACCACUAAUCACUGGCGAUGGUGGCUUAUUGGUUCCGGCUUGAUAUUCUACAAAUGUGAGGUCAUGAGAUCAAAUGAUUGGUACAGGCUGAUAACUCUUAAGAAUGAAUGCCUACAUCUGUCGGUAUAUCUGGAAAGCUCAAAAUGCGGUAACUUUUAACUGUAAAUCACCAGAUAAGACUGUCACUCAUACAUAUUAGAAAAGCUCUUUGGAGUGUGUUGCCUGUAAAAAUGUAAGAGGGCUAUGUCAUAAUCGGGUGGAUGAAAGGCAGGAUGUGUGGAGUAAACCUGAGCUAGGUUCUGUGAAGAUUAACUAUGAUGAGUCUAACAUCGAAAAAAUGCUGUUGUUGGGAUUGUGGCCAGAAAUUAGACAGGGGAGAUGGUUGUCUGCAGGGGUUUGGUGGUGCAACCUAGAUCCGCUGAGGCUGAUCGAAAGCUGGCCCAAGGUACCAGUGGAGAUGGAUGCAACUGGAGUAUACAAGGAUAUCAUCAAGCUUGCCGAGUAGUGCAAUUAAAGACUAAAGGAAGGUCUUGCUGCGAUUCAAGCAGCUAAUGAUAAUUUUUCAUCUCUGAAUUUUAGUAGUAUUUCACGAAGAGCAAAUUUUUGUGCCCACUGGGUAGCUUUGCAUGCUAGGAAGAGGACGUAUUGUCAAACUUGGGAUCUACAUCCCCAUCCUUCCUACUACUUGGUUUGCUGGCCAAAAGAAAAGGAAAAAGCCGACGUGAGCACACACCCAAAUGUCAGUGGCUGGUUUCUGGAAAUUCAAUGUGAAACAUCACCGUGGGAAAAAAUUCAAUCCGUAUUAAGAAUCGAAUUGAAGAACGCAAUGAAAUAUGAUUUCUUCAAACCCAAAAAACUUACCCGAAUCCUAGAAAACUGACUUUAGAUGGAACAAAUUGCGGCAGUUGCAAAUGAAAGCGAAAGAAUAGAAGAAGUUGGAAGACUUGCCUGAAGAAGAAAAAGUAGUCAACGGAGAUAGAUCUUUUAUAACGGCUCGGGUGAGAUCAAUUUCAAUUUAUUGGAUCCGAACGUUGCCGAUGUAGAUGAGAGGGAUCUCUUGGAUGAGGGGCCAAUGGUCACCAUUGAGUUUUGAGCAUCGAUUUGUCAGAAUCUUGCAUUCUUUGACAAAAUCUUGCAUUCUUUGAUCCACAAUGAUUGGAGGGAGGGAGGGAAGCCAUCUUCUGGUAAGUACCUCAACUUUGGGCAAUCUACAAUCCCAAAAUCUUGGAGAGAGGAGAGAUGGUUGCGAAGACCGUUCGAUAGUCUUUCCACGUUCCUCAUUUCUAUUAUCUGAAGAGUAAUUAAAGAGGAAGGAAAGAGUAGACUCCAUGCAUCCUCGUCCUCCGAAGGAAACCACCCCUUCUCUCCCUCCUUUCCCCUACUGCCAUCAAUUUCUAGAGACAUGAAAGCCGUGAGCAGGCGUAAGCCCCAUUUUCUCACAGUUGCUUUAGAUUCCCGCACCCUACAAUUGUAAGCCGCAGCAAAUUGGAAGGGGAACCUCCUUUGGGGUAGCAUUUGAUAUUUUGGCAAUCAAUAAUAUAUAGCUCCCGGAGGGAUGUAAGAUGAUGCCAUUGAUUUGGUAGGAACUUUAUCUUCGGACAAUUAUAAACAUCGAAAUAUGAUAGGGUGAGGGAAGGAGAGGGAAGUUCUCUAUCUCCAAUGCCAAAUAGUCAUAUAUUCCCAAACGAGUGAGAUGGGAAAGCAUGUGAAGGCACUGUGGUAAGCUUAUGAGAUUCUUACAUCAAUCAAUAGUCAGAGAACUUAGUGAUUCUAGGGUGAUCUCUUCCAGCGACUCCACUCCAUUGCACUCGUAAAUAUAAAAUGUCUUGAGAGCAGCAAGUCUACCCUUGGCAAAGGGAAAUGAUGUUAGAGAAUCACAUUUACCUAUCUCAAGAGAUUCAAGUUGAGACAUCAAGUUUUCAGAGGAAUGGUUUGUCCCAUGAUUUUUGGACAAUUCUGAAUCUGCAAAUCUUUGAGGUUUUGCAUCUUGCUUGGAAGCUUUUCUAAACUUGUGUAAUCCCUCAAUUCCAUCCUUUCAAGAUUGCAGGACAUCUUUAUUUCUCCUUCUCUUGCCACAAAAAAAUGAGAAUUGAGGACAAAUUUUGAUUACUAUUCUUUUAAGGCAAGUAUGAUUUCACAUUUCAUUUCCAUCUUGCCACCAAUAUGUUAGCUUGUCACACUAUCCUAUAUGAAGCUCCUUUAACUUGACCAAACAACUCAUGAACCCAUGAUCAAAACAAACAAGCUCCGCCAAAAUUUUUAUUUUGAGAAUGGUCAAAGAAGUUAGUUUGACCAAGUUCUUUAAGAUCUCCUUGUUACAAUUCUCAAGGAAUAACUCAGAGAGAGAUGGAAGAAAAACCACACUAGUUGAGUUAUUUGAAUGCGGGUAUGAAUGAAUUUCAAGCUUUAUGAGGCGAUCAAGUUGACAAGUGAAAGUCCUAACCAAUGAAGGGCAGCUUCGAACAACAAGAUGCUGAAGACAGUAGAAUGUGACUUCUUCUUGGCCCCCGGGUCCUUCCAUGCCAAUGUCUCCUCGAACUUCAAAGUGGUUAAGGAUGAACCCAUGGUUGAAGAAAUGAUAUCGAUACUAACUCAUCGAAGUGAUCCCAUCCUAGUCUCAAGAUAUUCUCCUUUGCUUUUUGCCCAUCUAAAAAGCCCUCUGCUAUCCAUAAGAGUACCAAGUCAUCCCUCUCAAUUUCAUAAUCCUUGGAAAAUACUUCACAAUAAGCAAAACAUCUCUUCAAAUAAGAGGGAAGAUGGGCAUAGCUCAAUUUCAAAACUGGGAGAACCUCAUCUUUUUUUCCCUUCGGAGGAUCCAUUUUUUGUUAUUUAAGAUGGCUUCCCAUUUAUUUAGAUUCCUUUCAUUACAUAGGGCACUGCCCAACAUCUUCACUGCCAAAGGCAAGCCUUUACAUUUUUCAGCUAAUUGCUUGCCUAUUGUUUCAAGAUCUGAGUGGCUUUCAAAAUUUGUUGCUCCAAGAGCAUGAAAGGCUAAUAAGCUCGUACAAUUAUCAAGGGAUAGCUCCUCCAAAGGAUACAGCAAAGCUCCUCUUAUAGAAACAACAGGAAGGUUGUGAGUCAUAACAAUGAUCUUGCUUCCCUUGGCACCUACUUCAAAUGGCUUUAAGAGGUUAGUCCAUUUUUCGUAGUUCCCAUUCCAAACAUCGUCUAAAACCACAAGAAACUUCUCUCCAGAUAGAUUGUCUUUCAACUUAACUUGAAGCCCGUUAAGGUCUUCGCCCUCAUAGGAUAAGCUAGUGAUCAACUACAAAAUAGUCUUUGUUAUGUCAAGAACAUAAAAAUUAUUUGAAACACAAACCCAUGCUCUCCUCCCGAAAUAUCCAUUCACUAUGGCAUCAUUAUAUAGCCGUUGAGCCAAGGCCGUCUUUCCAAUACCGCCCAUCCCAACUAUAGGGACCAUGCUCAGUGUGGGAUCAGAAUUUUCAACUUCACCAAUCAACAGUUCAAGUAUAUGUGCUUCUUCCUUUUCCCUGCCAAAAAAUCGAGGUUUCGGUAGAGAUGGGGUGGGAUCCCUUUUGCUUGUGUAGUUGAGUUUGUCUGCAAUAUUCUCUCUCAAGCUAAGUUGAGCCUUUCCAGUGAUAAUCGUUUUCAACCUGCCAUUGAUUUCUUGUACCUUGUUUUUAGACAUGAGCGAGCGCAAUUGGCCAAAGAAAGAAAACUUCCAUUUCUCCAGACCUCUAAUUGUGUUGGAUUCUGCCUCUGACUCAACUUGAGCGGCUUUAAUUGCAAACUCAUCGAGCAAGUCUUCCAUGUCAUAGGCCAAGUCCCAAACAUCGUCCAGCCACAACUUCACUUGAGGGUUAUCGCCGAGUUGCUUGUCCUUUGCAUCAGCCAACACUCCAUUAAUUGUGACCAGCAUUGCCUUCCACUUCUCGAGCAGGGUAGUGCUGAUUCCUUCCCAUUACACAUGGCACAAUGCAAGAGAAGUCAACUUGUUGAACAGGAUUUGAAAGAAGGAAGCCAAGAAGGAACCUAAAACGACCUCUCCAAUGGCCAUGGUUGAAUCAAUCACCUUAGAGAACAACAAAGGUGUUAAGUGAAGCAAAGUGAAAAUGAGCUGAUGGAGGGGAAUUCACAACAUGAAGAAUGAAUUCUAGGAUUCACGAUUUCUCACUUAAGUGCAAUAACUGCGCCAAGUGCUAUUUUUACCCAAGGCUUGGUUUCAUGUGGAGUCCACCUCAUCCAAUAGUGGAUAAACCUAUUCUUCAAGGCUCAACUACCUAAUUGAAACUUGUAAGUUUUUAGCAUUUUUUUUUAAAUUUAAAUUUUUAAGAUUUUUAAAAUUUGUAUUUGUAUUUUUAUGUUAUCUUUUAAGGAUGAACGAUCAACUACACCACCAAUAUACGAGGGCUGAUAUUUUUACAAUCUCAAAGCAUGAAGGGCAAGCUGAGAAGAUGCCAACAUGUUGCACUGAAGAUUUAGCUCAGAAUACUCAACUUCUUCACCUCAAAGAAAGCAACAUUCAUCCAUGCACUAUUGUCCUAUAUGAGAAAAAAUUAACAGCGACACCCACAUUGACCCAACAGAAAGUGCCAAUAACCACUUCAACAAAGCCAAGACCCCACCAGCCACAAAUACAAGUACAUCAUUCACUGCACAAAUACAUACGGACAGCAAGCUACUAGGACAAAUUAAGCACGCCUCAAGCAUAAGAAUGUGAUAAUCCAAUAUAAAAUAAUAAUGAAUCCAAAGCGUCACCUACAUGGAGGAUAUACAUGCUGAGGAGGUCCAAGAACGCUUAAGUAACACCAGACAACUAAUGGCUUUACUUGACUCGAAUCUGCGCAAUAUGAAAUACUAUCAAUUUUAUGUGUUUCAAGCCUUGAAUCGCCCCCAUCAAAUUGAUGGAAAAAGAUGUAACAUCCAUGCGGCAUCUUUCUAUAUGUUCACAUGACGAAAACACUACCGAAAUGAGAUUGAAAUCCUCACGUUCCCCAUGUGAACAAAAGCGACCAGAAAACACCCUUAUUAUGUUCAAGGCUGGAAACGAUGGCAAUUUGAUGAGAAAUCAAUAUCCAUAAAACACUGUACAUGGCCACCUCACUGUGCUUAUUUUUGCUUCUCAAGAACUUGUACAUAACAUCAUACUUACGUCAUCCGUACCAGAAACCGUGUAUAUCUUCAACGUCAGUUGACACAGCAAAUGCAAGCAUAAACAGCGAACAUCAAAUGCACGUGACCAGCAUUUGACAUACUAAAAGCACAUACAAUCGCAUUCAAUCAACUUUACACGGGAAAUGCACUAAGACACGAGCAGUGCAACUUCAAUGGGACAUCAAAACGUUGGUAAACGGAAUGCAAUAGGAAUUAACUAUCUAUGACUGAGUCAAGCAUUCUGUCGAACUGGUAGAACGCCUACCCGUCAAAGAACUAAUAUACGCCAUCUUCAAGCAGCGAUUCACUUACAGUCAUUACUAUCAGCAACAACCGCGGUCCAGAACAUCGAGAGAAACUGAGAAGGAGGAAAGUCCACGAAGAAGCCUCUCCUCUGGAAAUUCAAGAAAAAACAGAGAGCUCAGCUCGAUUCAUUGAACCCAAAGCCGAAAACUAGAGAGAGAGAGAGGACUUGGCUUUAGCGAUCGAACGGCGAGGAGCCGUUGUAGUCGGAGCAAAGGCUGAGAGACGUCAGAAACUGAGCCGGAGCUCUGCCGAACUCAGCGCUCUCCCUCGCUACAAUUCUUCUUCCAUCAUCUUCUAGCGGCUUUUGUUUUGCACUGAAUCCUUUGACAAAAGUUGUCUUUUAAGGGUUUCCAUGGAUGCUAAUAUUCUUUUGGUCGACUCACCCUACGGUCCCAUAAAUUGUUGUCAGGUGACGAUGACGACUCAUCUUUAUCACUCUAAAAUUAGGAAGGAGAGGGAAUUAUAAAGAUUACGAAGCCUGUCAUUAACUAAAGCCAAAGAGAGCCAUUGUAAUAAAUAGGGAUAGCGGUUUCCCAGUUCGAUAAUGAGAAUAGAAACACAUGAUUUUGGUUAAACAAGGAAAAUAGCUGGGUACACCAAUGAAUCCAUGAAGCAAUUUGCUUAAUUUUACUCUGGAAAUAGUAAACAAUUCAUAUAUCACCAACUAAUCAUCAAGCAAAUGCUUUGGUUAACUUUUUCUUUUCAAAGAACCACAAUUCUCCUAUCAAGCACUUCAUGAUCAUCAACAAUUGCUUCAACACCCUUCAACAGAUCAUUGCCGCCCAUUUUGUUGCAAAUUUUUAGCACUAUGGAUACCACGUGAAAGACUAUACUCAAAAAAAGAAAAAGAAAAAACCAACAAAACAUUCGUAAGAUAAAUUUUUUAUGAAGAUAUGCCUGCCCUCUAAGAGUGAAUCAAUAACCGUAGAGUCAACCAAGGGUUAUGUUGAAGCAAAGUGGUAAUGAGUUGAUGGAGAUAGACAACUUUAAAGUCCCGGAAGACCAAGACUUUCACCUACCAAAGAGUUUAAACAGAGACCAAGACUUUCAAGGAUGCUUUCUGUCCACAAGUACUUUGUUCAUGCAGAUAAACCAUAAACUCAAGAAGGCCAAGACUUUAUUGGACAUCAUGUAUUUGUUUGUCUAUAAAGUGAAGCAGAAGCGAAAGAGAGCAAAUGAAAAAGAUAGAGUUUGCAGGAUGCAAAUUGGCAUUGUUACAUCACUUCUCACAUCCCUCCUCUCUCAUCCCUAUGUGAAUGCCUUUGUUUUUCCAUUACUAGUAGAAUUUCCCCAUGCAUUACAUGCCACGCUUAAAAAUUUAUUGUUACUAUCAUUUUUGUCCUACUCUUUUCUUGCUUAAUCGUACCGUGAUUUUUCAUUCUAUAAUCUCUCUUCUACUUGUCUAAUGAAUAGUGUCUAGAUUUCAUGUAUCUUUUCAAAUUUAAAUUCAAUAAAAGAAAAGAAAAAGCAAAGAGAAAAAUAAAAAGAAAAAACAGCAAGAACUUGAAAAAGGUAAAAAAGAAGAAGAAGCGAGAAUGGGGCGGGAGAGCGCACCACCGUCCCACGGCCACUGCCAAGCCGUUGCCAUCAGCACCGCUCCUUAUAGUCACCUUCAUAGGCAACAUUUCCUUUAGAUGUUUUUCUUAGAGCGGUUUAUUGGUAAGAGGCAUUUAGGUAUUCUCGAAACAUGCAUGUUCAAGUUAAUUAUUGCAUGUAAAAAUGAAAUUGUUUUGAUGAUUUUGCUAAUCCUAAAUAGACUUCAUGAUUUUGUUAACGUAGAACUAUAGGGGACCACUGAACACCAGCGACGGUGGCCUGACGGUACAAAUUGAUAUUCCACAAAUGCGAGGUCACGAUGAUAAUCCAUUAGUGAUGGUAGUGCCUAUAUCUUGCCUUGCCUAUGAUGGGAACUCUGGCAGCUUGGUAUUGGUUGAUGAGACUUGGCUACCCGAGAUAACUAGGUUGCGAGUUGUCACGCCCCGAUCCUUGGGCACGCACACAUCCUUCUGACUUGGUCGAUUUUAUAUUGCGAUAUCCCAGGACAAUGUAUCGUCGACCAUUUCAUUUAUUAAGCACAUGCGGAAGCAGUUAAAAUCCCCAGACAAUAGAACGAUGGGAUAGAAAAACAGGGCCAUAUUUUUCAUAUUGAAAUUUAUAACCAAACUUUUAUACAAAACACAAACCGCUUCAUAACUAUUCACUUCAAAAGGAAUUCUCAAAAGAAGAUAGACUCUUAGUCCAUCCAGGCUGCACUCAAGACCCCUAUCGGGAUUAUCUUCUUCUUCCAAAAUCAUUCUCCUCAGGUUUUACCUCCGAGUCCUCCUUUCCAGACUUCUCCUCCUCAACUUCUCAUCGGGCUCCUGAAAUGUUUUCCCAAAACUAGGAUGAGACUACGUCUCAGCGAGUUCUACCCCCACUAAGCCUGAUUAGUAAACCAUUAUACUAUAGGCUGCCUAAACACACACAGGGCAAAGGACGUACCUUGGUCUUAAAUCUCACCUGCAAGUCAGUACAAUCCACAAUAGGCACCCAAGUAAUCAUAUCACAGAUUGAAGCAUCGAUCAAUUCGACCUAGUCGAUUAUAUACCAACAAUACCACUCACGGUCAUUUCCAUCCAGUCAAUCAAUUCACAACAUCAAAUCAAAGCAAUGAUCAAUCGACCUAGUCGAUUACAUGUCAGACGGACCAUUCUAGGUCAAUUCGAUUAUUCCAUCUCAAUCAUCAAUUACGAACUACGAUCCUCAGAUCACAUCUUAAGCAAAGGUGGAAGACACAGUCCACCACUCGACAACAUUCAAUAUUUAAUGGCUUUACGGUCCCACUCGACCACUUUCGAUAUUCAAUGGCUUUACGGUCCCACUCGACCACUUUCGAUAUUCAAUGGCUUUACGGUCCCACACGAUCACUUUCGAUAUUCAAUGGCUUUACGGUCCCACUCGACCACUUUCGAUAUUCAAUGGCUUUACGGUCUCACUCGACCACUUUCGAUAUUCAAUGGCUUUACGGUCCCACUCGAUCACUUUCGAUAUUCAAUGGCUUUACGGUCUCACUCGACCACUUUCGAUAUUCAAUGGCUUUACGGUCCCACUCGACCACUUUCGAUGUCCAAUGGCUUUACGGUCCCACUCGACCACUUUCGAUAUUGAUAAUCAAUACCCAACAAUUUUUCAAUGAAAUAAUUAACAACAACCAUUUAGGAAUAUAUCCUAAAAUUCCACAUUCCAUUCAAUUUGACACAAUUCAAAGCUCAAAUAAAUAAAUGGACUAUGCCACGAUAGUCAGCAUGAGAUUUCGAUCGUCGGCCAUCUCAAUCUUAAUUUCCAAAAAAUAAUUAAUUAAUUAAUUAAUUUCGAAAAUUAAUUAAUAAAUAUUAAAAAUUCAAUUUAGCUCAAAAUAAGGCCCAAUUAAAUAAACGAACUCCACCAUGAUUAUCAGCAUAAUAUUCUGGUCACAAGCCAUCCCAGUUGAAUUUUUGGAAAAUAAUUAAUUAAUUUCGAAAAUUAAAUAAUUAAUAUUAAAAAUUCGAUUUAGCUCAAAAUAAAGCCCGAUUAAAUAAACGGACUCCACCACGGUCAUCAGCAUAAGUUUCCGGUUCCGGACCAUCUCAGUUGAAUUUUCGGAAAAUAAAUAAUUAUUUAAUUUAAUUCCGAAAAUUAAUAUUUAAAUACCAAAAAUUCCACUUAGGCCCGAAUUGUCAAAUUGAAGCCCGAUUAGGGGUCGGAAAAUUCCCGAGACACUUCCAAUAAUUAGUAGACCACGUCUACUUGCUAAUUGCGCAAUCAAUUUAUCUAAUUCACAUCACAUUUGACUAAUAAUUGCUAAUUUAUUCUAAUCUAACAACCUAAACAUAAUUAAUUAAAAUUAAACCAACCUUAAAGCAUAAUUAGCCAACAAAUCCGGGAUUAGUGAGAUUACUCACCAAAUCGUGCGCAAAUCAGAUCAAUCCGACGGGGGCGAGGCGAGGAACGAUUCUUCCUAAAGCACGGCUCGGGUUUGGGGCCCGGAAACGGCCCAAAACGGCCCACGAACAGGUUGGAUACCCACUCGGCAACUUGCUGAGUUGGGCUAGCCGGAGCUGCUCCGGUGGCCAAGACGGCGAGGAGAGGCCGAUGGAGGGUGAGGGGACGUCGAGGAGGCCAGGUGAUGACCGGACGGGGCUGGGCGGUGGCCGAAGGCGCCAGACCGAGCUGGGCAGCGAUUAGAAUCGCGCGGGGGAGGACUGGGUGUGAGGGGACGGACGCGGGGGCGCGUGGAUGGCGGAACGGCGGCGAGCGGUGGGCGUCCGGGCGACGGUGUGGGCGGCGACGAGCGGUUUCGGCGAGCUGCGAUUGUGCGGCUUCUUCUUCUGCUCCUGGUUCGGUUCGUUCGAAGAAGAAAGAAGAAGAAGAAGAGAGUGAAGAGAGAGAGAGAGAGAGAGAGAGAGAGAGAGAGGAGGGUUUGACUAGUCAAAGAAAUAAGAAAAAAGAAAGAGGAAGACAGCAGGCAUCCGACUGGGGGGAAUUGCACGAGAGAAAAGAAAAGAGAGAGAAGAGAGAGAAAAGGGAGAGAGAGAAAAAGAAAGAAAUAAGAUAACCUAAUACUAUUAGUCUUAUUUUAUUCUUUUCUUUUCUCUUUCCCUUUCUAUUUUCUUUCGAUCUUCGAUUUUUCCUCUGAAAUUUCUUUCUUGAAAUUUCAGGCUCGUCAAUAAUUUGACGGACGAUGAGACGAGGUCCAAAAAUUUGAAUUGCGACACGCUCGAAUAUUCGAUUCCCGAAACCAAAUCAAAUUCCAUGAUUAAAAUCGACCGGACGUGAUUUAGUCCAAUCCAACCAAUUAGGUAGCUUUUAGGGAUUUUACCGCGGAUAUAUCCCUUAACGGCUUCACCCAAUAGGUUAGUUAACUCGUGAGUGAUCAGCUCAGAGAAAAAGUACCAUAGGCGCGUCAACGAAAUGCACAUUUCAUUUUAUCGAAAUGGGGUCGAAUUUCAGGAUGUCACAACUCUUCCCCUCUUAUAAAAAUUUCGUCAUCGAAAUUUAAACCAUUAUACACUUUGCUCAAAAAGGCGGGGGUACAAUAGUCUCAUCGACUCUUCAGUCUCCCAAGUCGCUCCUUCAGUACCGUGGUGCUGCCAGACCACUUUGACAAACGGAAUGGUCUUUGUACGCAGAACUUGCUCUUUACGGUCGACAAUCUGAACCAGGCUUUCAACGUAUGAUACACGGUCAUCCACGUCCAAUUUCUCGAAAUUGAGCACGUGAGUCGGAUUAGGCUCGUACUUCCUUAACAUCAACACGUGAAAGACGUCAUGCACUUGCGCCAGUCUUGGCGGCAACGCAAGACGAUACGCUAGGGUCCCAAUUCUCUCAAGAAUCUCGAAUGGACCUACGUACCUCGGACUCAGCUUGCCUUUCUUACUAAAGCGCGAAGUUCCCCUCAUUGGUGACACUUUCAGAAAAACGUGAUCACCAACUUGGAAUUCCAAAGACCUUCGACGCUUAUCUGCAUAACUUUUAUGCUUGCUCUGCGCGGUCUUUAAUCUGUCUCCAAUUACUGCCACGGCAUCUACUGAUUGCUGAAGCAACUCUGGACCUGUUAUCUUCCUUUCUCCGACUUCAUCCCAACAUACUGGAGUUCUGCAUACUCUGCCAUACAACGCUUCAAAUGGAGCCAUCUUGAUGCUCUGCUGAUAACUGUUGUUGUAGGCGAAUUCCACCAGAUGAAGCUGAUCCUCCCAACUUCCUUUGAAGUCUAUUACACACGCUCUCAGCAUGUCUUCAAGAGUCUGAAUUGUCCUUUUAGACUGGCCAUCCGUCUGAGGAUGAUAUGCCGUACUGUACUGAAGCUUUGUACCUAAAGCACUCUACAAGCUCUUCAAAAAGCGGCAGUAAACCUCGGGUCUCUAUCGGAUGUUAUCGUAACCGGCACUCCAUGCAUUCGAACCACUCGAUGCACAUACAGGUCUGCGUGCCUAUCAAGACUAAGGUCCUUUCGAACUGCAAUGAAGUGAGCCGACUUUGUCAACUUAUCGACUAUUACCCAAAUCGAAUCAUUCCCCUUCUGACUCCUUGGUAGUCCAGUCACGAAAUCCAUCGUGAUAUGCUCCCAUUUCCAUUCUGGGAUCGCGAGAGGUUGUAGAAAUCCUCCCGGCUUGUAAUGCUGGGCUUUUACUUGCUGACAAGUCAAACACUUGGCCACAUGCUUGGCGAUGUUCACCUUCAUACCUGACCACCAGUAGUGUUGACGCAAGUUCUGAUACACCUUAGUGCUUCCAGGAUGAAUGCUAUAGCUGCUACGAUGUGCUUCUGAUAAAAUUUCUUCUCUAAGCUCGACAUCAUCAGGUACAACCAAACGUCCUUGAAACCUUAGAGUUCCGUCAUCAGCAAUCUGAAAAUCAACCUUCCUUUUAUUUGCGUCUUCCUAAAGAAUUCUCUGUACAUCUGGUUUUGUCGGUUGGAGUUGCUUGAUUCUGACUUGAAUAUCCGGCUCAAUUCUGAGGGUGGCCAUAAGACUCGAGAGGUGGCCUACCUCAAAUUUGAAUUCUGAAUCCCGAGCUCUCUCGAUUAAGUUCCACUCCUUAAUCAAGAUUUGCGCUAUUGAAGACUUCCGACUCAAUGCGUUAGCAACCUUGUUCGCCUUUCCCGGGUGAUAUAGAAUAUCACAGUCAUAGUCUUUCAGUAAUUCCAUCCAUCGGCGCUGUCUCAUGUUCAACUCCUUCUGAGAGAACAGAUACUUGAGACUUUGAUGGUCCGUGAAAAUCUGAAACUUUUCUCCGCAUAAGUAGUGCCUCCAAAUCUUUAACGCAAAUAUGAUGGCUGCAAGUUCUAAGUCAUGCGUCGAAUAGUUCAAUUCAUGAGGUCUCAACUGCCGGGAAGCGUAUGCAACAACUCUGCCAUGUUACAUCAGCACGCAACCCAAUCCUCUGAAUGACGCAUCACUAUAGAUCUCGAAUCCUCUAGGACCAGAUGGAAUUGUCAGUACAAAUGCAGUAGUAAGCUUUUCCUUCAGCUCUUGGAAACUACGCUCACACUUGUCUGUCCAUAUGAACUUCUCGUUUUCCUUCGUAAACUUUGUUAGAGGUGAUGCUAACGCUGAGAAACCUUCUACAAACCGUCUGUAAUAACCUGCUAACCCCAGAAAACUUCUGAUCUUUGUCACUGUCGUCGGUCUCGGUCCACUGAUAACUGAUUCGGUCUUGACCGGGUUCAUGGAAAUUCCUUCACCAUUCUCAAACAUCUCUUGUGCUCUUUAGAAUUCCUCGAAUACACCGGAAUAUCAUUACACGACACGAUCACAACUAACCCAGAUAUUUCUUGCACACUCGGUUUGCCAAAUCCAUGACAAUAGCUGGAGUGUUUAUCAGACCAAACGAUCUUACGAUACUCUCGUAAAGAUCUUAUCAAGUACGAACAACUGUCUUUCGUAUAACCUCCUUCCUGGCUCGUAAUUGACGACAUCUUGUUCUCAAGUUAAUCCUUGAAGACAUCAACACUCUUGAUGUUUGGUCACCCAAUUCGCCGAUCUUGUACAAUGGACGUUUAUCCUUGAUCGUCACCUAAUUGAGUUGACGAUGGUUGAUGCAUACUCGCAACAAACCAUCUUUCUUUUCUCACAAACAAAAUUGAUGUUUCCCAAAAGUGAUGCACUAAUAUACAUGAAUUCCUCAUUCAUCAAUCUUCACAUCUGCAUCUUUAAUUCUACCAAUUCAGACAACAACAGCUGAUAAGAAGCCUUCAAGAAUGACUCUAUCCUGAUGCUAGUUCGAUCGCAAUUUCUAUCUCUUUCUGGCGGUAACCCAAUCAAUUCCUUUAAAACCAUCUUAGAAAUUUUUCUGUAUCACGACCACCUUCUUCACAUUCUAUUUCUCAACUGAUACAUCCACUACAGUUGUCAAAUCAAUCUUGGCAACCUCCGUCUAACAAACGGAUUAUCUUCAGCCAACGAGAUUAUUGAAAUCGAAGAUUCUUUUCGACUCCCAAUAACCUCGACACUUGCACAUGUUACUAGACUAAACUGGAUUACUCAAUGACCAUGAUUCAUUAUCACAAGAUGCUCCAUAAGCCCACACUAUUCAUGUGGCAUCAAAUUCACACUUCAGCAACUAAUCAAGCACAACUAUUGCUAAUGAUUUCCCAUCUGUCACUUUUACUUCAACAAUUUACGUUCUACCAACUCAGCACAAAACUUUGCUAUGUUACUCUGAUAAGAUCAUCUCCAACACAUUCUUUCUCUGAUCGGUGCAAGAUCAAUUCUACUCUCAUUCCUUUCGCCAUCCUAGUGGUGUUUUGGCCGCAGUAGCGAUGUCUAUGCUACCUUAGACUUCCACUGACAGUCCUUCACCUGAUGGCCACGCUGGUUAUCAUCACAACAGGUUCUAGUCAUAUUUGGACACUGGAUUCAUCCAUGCUUCCUUCUACAAUUCUGACAUUUAUCAGGUGAGUCUUCUAUCUCCUGCCAAGUGACAGCACACACUCUUUCUGGUUGCCCCAUUAGUCUGCUAGGACCACUCUCGACCAGAUAUCCUUGUUGGCUAUACUCCAAACAAUUUCGCGUCCUAGGAAGGACAUAAGACCGAUCUCCAUCAUCACGUCCGGAAACAAUCUGAUCUAUUUGACUCGGUGCUGACUUGACUACCCCACUCUUUCUCGUGAGUGGAAUAAAAUACUUUUCUCUCGACCUCGGUCUUUUCCCUGACCGAUUUCCAUUUCUGCCUAAACUAGAUCUAUACCUCGGCUCGAAUGCAAUGACUCGCUCCCGGAUCACAUCUCCACUCUGGAUCUCAGUAGGUGAGGCGACAAUAGCAGUUGCAACAAUGACGGCAGUUCGAUCCUAAGCCUCCUAGCUCAUCCAAUUCCCAAUGAACACUAGCAUCAAAACGAUCCUAUCAAACUUAUGAUCAUUCGACACUACCACACUAGUACCAACCUGCGGUGGUACUCUUACACUCGAGCUAGCUAGAGCCAACACUCUGCCUCAACCACCUCGGGUACCAACCUUUGUCGGUGCUUCAUCCCGAGUCACAGACGACAUUGUCCUCUUACUAGGAGUUCUCAGCUCCUGCUCGCUCAUGGUUCAGUCUUUACACUGCAACCCGUCUUCCAACCCACACUAGAUUAGAAGGUGAGCGAUCCACACACAACAAAUAAUUCUAGCAUUCAGCUAACACAGACAUGCACCAGCAUGAUUUUAAAGGUCUUUCCUACUAACUAUCCCGUGGUCAACGCUCCUUAUCACUCAAAUCUUGAAUUUCGCUCUGAUACCACAAAAAGGGGAUGUCACGCCCCGAUCCUCGGGCACGCACACAUCCUUCUGACUUGGUCGAUUUUAUAAUGCGAUAUCCCAAGACAAUGUAUCGCCGACCCUUUCAUUUAUUAAGCACAUGCGGAAGCAGUUAGAAUCCCCAGACAAUAGAACGAUGGGAUAGAAAAGCAGGGCCAUGUUUUUCAUAUUGAAAUUUCUAACCAAACUUUUUUACAAAACACAAACCGCUUCAUAACUAUUUACUUUAAAAGGAAUUCUCAAAAGAAGAUAGACUCUCAGUCCAUCCAGGCUGCACUCAAGACCCCUAUCGGGAUUAUCUUCUUCUUCCAAAAUCCUUCUCCUCAGGUUUUACCUCUGAGUCCUCCUUUCCAGACUUCUCCUCCUCAACUUCUCAUCGGGGUCCUGAAAUGUUUUCCCCAAACUGGGAUGAGACUACGUCUCAGCGAGUUCUACCCCCACUAAGCCUAAUUAGUAAACCAUUAUACUAUAGGCUGCCUAAACACGCACAGGGCAAAGGACGUACCUUGGUCUUAGAUCCCACCUGCAAGUCAGUACAAUCCACAAUAGGCACCUAAGUAAUCAUAUCACAGAUCGAAGCAUCAAUCAAUUCGACCUAGUCGAUUAUAUAACAACAAGACCACUCGCGGUCAUUUCCAUUCAGUCAAUCAAUUCACAACAUCAAAUCAAAGCAAUGAUCAAUCGACCUAAUCGAUUAUAUGUCAGACGGACCAUUCUAGGUCAAUUCGAUUAUUCCAUCUCAAUCAUCAAUUACGAACUACGAUCCUCAGAUCACAUCUUAAGCAAAGGUGGAAGACACAGUCCACCACUCGACAACAUUCAAUAUUUAAUGACUUUACGGUCCCACUCGACCACUUUUGAUAUUCAAUGGCUUUACGGUCCCACUCGACCACUUUCGAUGUUCAAUAGCUUUACGGUCCCACUCGACCACUUUCGAUAUUGAUAAUCAAUACCCAACAAUUUUUCAAUGAAAUAAUUAACAACAACCAUUUAGGAAUAUAUCCUAAAAUUCCACAUUCCAUUCAAUUUGACACAAUUCAAAACUCAAAUAAAUAAAUGGACUACGCCACGACAGUCAGCACGAGAUUUCGAUCGUCGGCCAUCUCAAUCUUAAUUUCCGAAAAAUAAUUAAUUAAUUAAUUAAUUUCGAAAAUUAAUUAAUAAAUAUUAAAAAUUCAAUUUAGCUCAAAAUAAGGCCCAAUUAAAUAAACGGACUCCACCACAAUUAUCAGCAUAAUAUUCUGGUCACAGGCCAUCCCGGUUGAAUUUUCGGAAAAUAAUUAAUUAAUUAAUUAAUUUCGAAAAUUAAAUAAUUAAUAUUAAAAAUUCGAUUUAGCUCAAAAUAAAGCCCGAUUAAAUAAACAGACUCUACCACGGUCAUUAGCAUAAUUUUCCGGUUCCGGACCAUCUCAGCUGAAUUUUCGAAAAUAAAUAAUUAUUUAAUUUAAUUCCGAAAAUUAAUAUUUAAAUACCAAAAAUUCCACUUAGGCCCGAAUUGUCAAAUUGAAGCCCGAUUAGGGGUCGGAAAAUUCCCGAGACACUUCCAAUAAUUAGUAGACCACGUCUACUUGCUAAUAGCGCAAUCAAUUUAUCUAAUUCACAUCACAUUUGACUAAUAAUUGCUAAUUUAUUCUAAUCUAAGAACCUAAACAUAAUUAAUUAAAAUUAAACCAACCCUAAAGCAUAAUUAGCCAACAAAUCCGGGAUUAGUGAGAUUACUCACCAAAUCGCGCACAAAUCAGAGCAAUCCGACGGGGGCGAUGCAAGGAACGAUUCUUCCCAAAGCACGGCUCGGGUUCGGGGCCCGGAAACUGCCCAAAAUGGCCCACGAACAGGCUAGAUACCCACUCGGCAACUUGCUGAGUUGGGCUGGCCGGAGCUGCUCCGGUGGCCAAGACGGCGAGGAGAGGCCGAUGGAGGGUGAGGGGACGCCGGGGAGGCCAGGUGAUGACCGGACGGGGCUGGGCGGUGGCCGAAGGCGCCGGACUGAGUUGGGCAGUGGCUGGAAUCGCGCGGGGGAGGACUGGGUAUGAGGGGACGGAUGCGGGGGCGCGUGGACGGCGGAACGGCGGCGAGCGGUGGGCGUCUAGGCGGCGGUGUGGCCGGCGACGAGCGGUUUCGGCGAGCUGCGAUUGUGCGGCUUCUUCUUCUGCUCCUGGUUCGGUUCAUUCGAAGAAGAAAGAAGAAGAAGAAGAGAGUGAAGAGAGAGAGAGAGAGAGAGAGGAGGGUUUGACUAGUCAAAGAAAUAAGAAAAAUGAAAGAGGAAGACAGCAGGCAUCUGACUGGGGGGAAUUGCAUGAGAGAAAAGAAAAGAGAGAGAGAAGAGAGAGAAAAGGGAGAGAGAGAGAAAAAGAAAGAAAUAAAAUAACCUAAUACUAUUAGUCUUAUUUUAUUCUUUUCUUUUCUCUUUCCCUUUCUAUUUUCUUUCGAUCUUCGAUUUUUCCUCUGAAAUUUCUUUCUUGAAAUUUCAGGCUCGUCAAUAAUUUGACGGACGAUGAGACGAGAUCCAAAAAUUUGAAUUGCGACACGCUCGAAUAUUCGAUUCCCGAAACCAAAUCAAAUUCCAUGAUUAAAAUCGACCGGACGUGAUUUAGUCCAAUCCAACCAAUUAGGUAGCUUUUAGGGAUUUUACCGCGGAUAUAUCCCUUAUUGGCUUCACCCAAUAGGUUAGUUAACUCGUGAGUGAUCAGCUCAGAGAAAAAGGACUAUAGGCGCGUCGACGAAAUGCAAAUUUCAUUUUAUCGAAACGGGGUCAAAUUUCAGGAUGUCAAACAAGUGGUAUUGGACGAUGACCUUCUCGCGAUUUGAAAUAUUUCAAGGCAGACGUGAAACUUUUACAAUUACUCAAAAUGGUAACAGAGCAUAGUCUCCUUGAUUGCUCCUCUCGGUCUUUCCUUUGUGACAAAGAAAAAGAAAAUGUUCUCUGAGAUGGCGUGGGAAGUUAAAUAGAAUAAAGAUGAACUGUUAACUUCGACAAGGAAGUCAGAUUGAAAUGGAUUGUAAUCUGCCAACUCGAAAACCCCAAUUUUUGCAUCUCUUCAGUCGCUGUUGCUGUUGGAGGUACGAAAGUUGCUUCGUUUGACUUUGAAUGUAGACCUCGAUAGUUGACAUCGUGAUACAGAUAAAUCUUUUAGAGCAUGUCACCAAAAAAAAAAGUAUAGAGCAUAUUAGUACAACUACCAAAAUUAGUAGCUUUUUGUUUUUCUUUUGUCAAGUUGCAAAAGAUGAACGUAAGCACAUCAGUUGCCUACCUCAACAAUGUUUGCAUUUGAUCACCGGGAGAGAUUUUGCCAAAUGCAGAAGACAGUGGGAUAUUUUGCAAAGCAAGCACAGUUGAGAGACAUCAGGUCAAUGAGCUAGGGCCUAAGAAAAAGAUAUUUGGAAGAGAAAAUACAACAAACGCUCAUAUUGCAGAAAAAUAUCAAUACAAGAGCAACAAUUCUUCAUGAUUCUCACGCAAAGCAUAGUGCAUUUCCAUAAGUGGAAAGAUAAGCAAUUUUUGGGCAUGAAACAAAGUUCAAGAUAUAUCAUCAAUAAAGACAGGCACAUCCAUGCAUCAUAAUUCCUACACUAAGAGCAAGUCCAUGUACGCAUUAUUUGUUUUGAGAACAAAGAUUAGACAUUGGAGAGAUAUCUUCUUAUUGAAUCCGAACUCGAUCAAUUACGAUGAGUGGGAUUUCUUGGAUGAGGUGCCAACAGUCGCCGCAGAGUUUUGAGCACUGAUCUUUCAGAAUCUCUCAUUGAAUUAUGCGGAAUACAUGGAGGGAGGGAUGGAAGCUGUCUUCUGUCAAGUACCUCAACAUCCAGCAACUGUAAAAUAUAUGACUGUUUGAGAGAGGAGAGAUGCCUGCGAAGCCCACUUGACAGUUUUUUCACGUUCCUCAUAUUUUUCAUCCAAGGAGAGGUUAGAGAGGAAGAAAAUAGAAGGCUCCACGCAUCUUAUGUCCUCCGCUGUUGAUGGUUCUUUCACAUUUUUCAUAUUUCUUAUCCAAAAUACUGGAAGAGGACGAUUAAUUAGUCCUGAAUAGAAAUUACUUCCAUGCAUAAUGAACAACUAUGAGAAUGAUCAGACAAAAAGAAUUAUAUGCAUACCGACCCAACAGCAACAAAAAAUGAACAGACAAGACAAGAACCAGGAUCCUUCGCUUUCCUUUUCUUAGCAAUUAGUGACCCUUUGGAUGAUUUUGUUUUCACUGAAUAAUUCUUAUGAUUAUGUUAGCACACACGUAUGGGAGACCACUAAUCACUAGUGAUGGCGACUUAUCGGUUCAGGCUUGAUAUUCUACGAAUGUGAGGUCAUGAGAUCAAAUGAUUAGUGCAGGUUGAUAACUCUUAAGAAUGAUUGCCGUCACCUGGUGUAACUGGAAAGCUCCGAAUGCAGCAACUAUUAACCAUAAAUCACCAAAUCCUGAGACCAUCAGUAAUACAUAUAAGAAAAACUCUUUUGCAGUGUGUUGCCUGCAAGAAUAUAAGAGAGCUAUGUCAUCAUUGGGUGGACGAAAGGCAGGGCGUGUAGUAAAACCUAAGCUAGGUUCUGUGAAUAUCAACUGCAAUGGGUUUGACAUUAAAGAAACGAAACAUGCUGUUGUUGGGAUUGUUGGGAAGAUGGAAUUGGACUUUGAGGCAUGAAUACACUGUCUUUAAGAAACAAACUAUUUAGUAAAGCACUUUUUCUAUGUUUUACAAACAAACUAACAACAGGCAUUGUGGCCACAAAUUAGGCAGGGGACAUGGUUACCCGCCGGGGUGUGGUGGUGCAAGUUAGAUUUGCAGAGGAGGCUGAAUUACUUUUUGUUGGAAAGAGCAUUGCAGUGGCAAAAGAGAAGCUGGCCCAAGGUUGUAGUGGAGAUAGAUGCAGCUAUGGUAUCCAAGGAUAUUAUCAACUUUUGCAAGCAGUACAACUAAAGACUAAAGGAAGCUCCUACUGGGAUUCAAGCAGCUAAAGAUCAAUUUUCAGCUCUGAAUUGUAGUCAUAUUUCGUGAAAAGCAAAUUUUUAUGCCCAUUGGGUAGCUUUGCAUACUAGGAAGAGGACGUGUUGUCAAAAUUGGAAGUAAUGGAUGAGUACUGAGUUUGUUUGCUGGACAAAAAACACCCCAACGAAUUGUCAUUUGUUGACCUUAGUGGGUUGUUUUUGGAAAUUCAUGGAAAUAUCUCCAUGACAAAAUAUCAAUUUGUAUUACGCAUCGAAUAGAGGAGGCAGAAUCAAAAUUGAUGCCUUCAAAACCAAAAACUUACCCUUAAUCAAAGAAAACUGGCGGUUCACGGAAGAAUCAAUUCAUUGGAUCCGUACCCCAAUCUAUCUCGAUGAGAGGGAUCUCUUGGGUUAGGGGCCAAUAGUCGCCAGUGAGUUUUGAGCAUCUAUCUUUCAGAAUCUCACAUUUCUCUAUGUACAAUUCUUGGAGGGAGGGAGGGAGGCCAUCCUCUAGCAAGUACCUCAGCUUCGGGCAAGAGUCGAUCCAUAAAUGUUUGAGAGAGGAGAGAUGGUUGAGAAAACCGGUUGAAAGUCCUUCAACAUUCCACAUAUUGCAAAUGCGAAGAUACAUUAGAGAGGAAGGAAAGAGAAGACUCCACGCAUCCCUGUCCUCCGAAGGAAACCAUACAUUCUCUCCCUCCCCUCCCAUGCAAAAGUCAAUUAACAUACACCGGAGGGAUGUGAGUAGGUGUAAGCCCCAUUCUCUCACUGGCUACUUCAGAUUCUCGCACCCUCUCAUUAAAAGAAGAUGCAAAUUGGGAGGCAAACCUCCUUUGGGGAAGAAUUUGAUAUUUUGGCAAUCCUCAAUGAAUAGCGUCUCAAGGGAUGUAAGAUGAUGCCACUGAUUUUGUAGAGACUUUAUCUUCGGACAAUUACUAAUUAAGACAUGAUAGGGUGCUGGGAAGGGAAGGGAAUUUCUCUAUCUCCAAUGCUGGACAAUUACUUAUAUCCAAAUGAGCGAGAUGGGAGAGCGUGUGAAGGCACUGUGGUAGGCUUCCUAGAUUUGGACAGCCAUCAAUUGUCAUUUCUUUGAGUGAUUCUAUAGUGAUCUUUUCCACCGACUCCACUCCCUUGCACUCAUAAAUACAAAGUUUCUUCAAAGCAGUAAAUUUAUCAUUGGAAAACAAAAAAGAUAUGAGAGAAUCGCAAUUUACAAUCCGCAGAUACUCAAGUUUCGAGUUAUUGUUGUUAGGGUCAUCUAGAGGAAUGGUUGGUCCCAAGAUUUUUGGACACCUCCUAAUGAUCAAAUGUUUGAAUGUGUGCAUCUUGCUUGGAAGCUUUUAUAAAUUUAUGCAAUUACUCAAUUCCAUCCUUUCAAAGUUGCACGGCAGCUCUAUUUCUCCUUCACCCGCCACAAAAGAUGUGAAUCGAGGGCAGCUUUCAAUGGCUAAUUCUUGAAGGCAAGUAAGAUUUAGCAUUAUAUUUUCAUCUUGCCACAAGUAUGUAAGCUUGUCACACCGUCCUAUAUGAAGCUCUUUUAGCUUGACCAAGCACCUCAUGAACACAUGAUCAAAGCAAACAAGCUCGGCAAGAUUUUCAAUUUUGAGAAUGGUCAAAGAAGUUAGGUUGACCAAGCUCUUUAAGAUUUCCUUGUUACAAUCCUCAAGGUAUAACUCAUGGAGAGAUGGAAAACAAACCUCAUCCACUGAAUUAUGCAAUUGUGGACAUGAAUGGAUUUCAAGUUUUAUGAGACAAUCAAGUUGACGAGGUAAUGUCUUGAUUAAUGAAGGACAGCUCUAGACAACAAGAUGUUGAAGACAGGAGAAUGAGACUUCUUCUUUUGGGCCCCCAACAUAAGGAGACCAAUUCUUCCAUGCCAACAUCUCUUUCAACUUCAAAGUUGUUAAGAAUGAGAAAGGCUUUUUAUCUCCAUAAAAUUCAGAGCCUAUCAUUCUUAUUGCGUGUAGACCUUCAAGAGAUAAUUCCUUCAGUGAAGGUAGUUGUCCAAGUGGGGGAAGUGAUAUAACAUUAGGAUAGCCCUGCAAGCACAAAGACACUAUCUUAGAAUAGGAUGGACCACUUAACCAUGACGGGAAUUUUGCACCACCAUAAUUCAAAAUAUUAAGAUUUUCAAGAUCAAUGUGAGGUCGUAGAAAGUCCAGCACUUGUGCUUCCCGCUCAUGAUUACGGAGAUUUUUUAAAUUUUCAUCCCGAUGCAAGGAAAAGUUGGUAAGGCAUUGCUUUUGAUGCAAAUUAGCAUCAAUUGCAUCUCCAACUUUUUCCACCUUUUGCAAUUCUGAUAUGAAUAAUUCUCCUUGAAGAUGUGGCAAAUUCUUUAACUCCUCUAACCGUGACCCUUUCUCUGGUUGUACCAUAAACUUGGACAAGAUAAUAAGAUUUUUUAAAUUACCGAUACCCAAUGGCAUCUCUUUAAGACUCCUCGUAUUUCUAACAUCAAGAAACUGUAAACUAACCAAUUUUGUGAUGCCUUAAGGCAACUUUGAAAGUUUUUGACAACCUCUUAAGAUCAAAACUUGUAAUUUGCACAAGCUGACAAUUGAUUUAGGUAGCCUUUUGAUAUCAGUGUACGAGAAAUUGAGAUAUCUAAGAUGUUUUAGAUCACCAAUGCAAUUCGGUACCUCUACGAUGUCACAAUGACAUAUUGAGAGCAUCCUCAAGUACUUCAAUUCCGUUAGCAAGUCAUGUAGCACCUUGUUGGAAAUAGAGAAAGUGUCCCCUCUAAAUCCAUUAUGCAGUAGCAUUAAAGUUCUUAGUACCUUCAUUCGGUGAUAUUCUCUUAAGCAUUUUGAUGUAGCAAAAUGCGAUGAGAUGAAUGAUGCAUAACGAAUUUUCCCAAGAGAUGUGUCUUCUUCAUUAGCUGCCAAGUGAGACUCCCCAAAACUAAAGUAUGCACUUCCUGCAAUUGACUUUGCUAGAUCAUUCAAAAGAUCAUGCAUUGAAAACUUAGAUGCGUCAACACUUGAUUGUUGAAGAAAUGAUCUGGAUACUAACUCAUCAAAGUAAUUUCAUCCUAAUCUGAAAUUAUUCCCCUUUACUUUUUGUCUAUCUAAAAAGCCCUCGGCUAUCCAUAAGAGUACUAGCUCAUCUCUCUCAAUUUCGUAAUCCUUGGGAAAUAUUGCACUAUAAACAAAACAUCUCUUCAAAUGGCAAGGAAGAUGGACAUAACUCAAGUUUAAGAUAGAGAGAACCUCAUCAUUCUCUGCCAUCGGAAGAUCCCAUAUUCUAUUAUUUAAGGUAUCUUCCCAUUCAUUGGGAUUCCUUUUAUUACAUAGGGCACCGCCUAGCAUCUUCGCUACCAAAGGUAAACCUUUACAUCUUUCAGCUAUUUUCUUACCUAUUGUUUUAAAAUCCGGAUGGCUCUCAAAAUUUGUUGCUCCAAGAGCAUGAAAGGCUAAUAAGCUUGUACAAUUAUCAAGGGACAAUUCCUUCAAAUGAUAGGGUGAUGCUCUAGUUAUGGAAACAAUAGCAAGGUUGCGAGUCGUGAUGAUGAUCUUACUCCCCUUAGCCCCCGCUUCAAAUGGCUUUAAAAGGGCAGUCCAUUUUUCAUAUUUCUCAUUCCGUAUAUCAUCUAAAACCACAAGAAACUUCUUCCCAGAUAGAUUGCCCUUCAACUUAACUUGAAGUUUGUUAAGAUCUUCACCCUGGCAUGACAACCUAGUGAUUGACCGCAAAAUAGUCUUUGUUAUGUGAAGAACAUCAAAAACAUCUGACACACAAACCCACGCUCUCUUCUCAAAACAGCUAUAUACUCUGACAUCAUUAUACAACCGUUGAGCCAAGGCCAUUUUUCCAACACCACCCAUCCCAACUAUGGGGAUAAUGCUCAACAUGGCAUCGGAAUUUUUGACUUCACUGAUCAAUAGUUUGAGUAUUUGUGCUUCUUCCUUCUCUCUACCAUAAAACUGAGGCUCUGGCAAAGAAGUGGUUAGAUCUUUUUUGUUUGUGUAGUUGGAUCUGUCCACAACAUUCUCUCUUAAGCUUAGACAAGCCUUCCUAGUGACAAUCACUUUCAACCUGCCACUAAUCUCUUGUACCUUGGUUUCAGACAUGAGCGAGCCCCGGUUUGGAUUCGAUCCGAAGGAUUUAUCUCGGCCAAAGAAAGAGAACUUCCAUUUUUCCAGACAUUUGCUUGUGUUGGAUUCAGCCUCCAACUUAACCUGAGCGACUUUGAUUGCUAACUCAUCAAUCAAGUCUUCUAUAUCAUAGGCCAAGUCUCUAACAUCAUCUAGCCAUAGCUUCACUAGAGGGUUACUGCUGUGUUGCUUGUCUUAUGCAUCAGUCAGCACCGCAUUGAUUGUGUCCAGCAUCUCAUUCCACUCCUUGAGGAGAGCAGUGCUAAUUCCUUCAUGUUGUGCAUAGACUAAUGUGAGAGAAGUCAACUUGCCGAAUAGGACCUGAAAGAAGGAACCCAUAAAGGAACCCAAAACAAUCUCUCCAAUUGUCAUGGUUGAAUCAGUCACUGUAGAGAAUAACAAAGGUGUUAUGUUGAAAUGAGGUAAAAAUGAGUAAAUGGAGAGAGAAAACUAUGAAGUCUAGGAAGAUCAACACGUUCAUUUACCAAAAAGAACAUAAAAAAGACCAAGACUUUCGAGGAAUGCACACCAAGGUUAGACAAAUCAAAAUAAAAUAGCUUUUGUCCAUGGAUACUUGUUUCGUCAAUUGUUUGCCAAUUGUUCUCCUUUUUCUUCAUAUCGAGACUUUUCUUGUGGGCAUCCAAAACAGAGGAUAAAAUUUGAAUUUUCUAUAUACGACCAACUUAGAGCACACGCCUAUGUUUGUCAAAAACUUCAAUGCCUAUUAGUGUUCUGUUGACAAUUUUUGCAUACAUAUGUUGUUAGUAUCCUUGUGAUUUCAAUGCUUUUUAAUUUUAUAAUUUUUAUAAUUUUUUUUUGCUUUAUUGGUGAGUAUGCAAUCAAUAUAGGCUUUUACAUAAGAUAUAAGAAGAUUACCAAUUCCUCCUUCAAUGAGGAUGACCAUGUGGAGACAUCAAAGACAUUUAUUUUUUAUUUUUUUUGGGGGGGGUCAAAUCACCAUAUGCUUUCGGUUGCGAAGUUCUAGAUGCAUCAGUUUGGGGAUGAAAAAGAGAGCAAAUAGAUAGAUAUUACUUACCUAUUCCGAGUAGACUUCCUGGAGUAGACCAGUGAAUGUGAUUAGAUCAAUUAUAGCGAUCCAGCAAGCAUGAGCUCCCGAACGAGCAGGAGGAGAACACUGUUGAGCCAAGGGAUGAGCAUAGGUCGUGGUGAAGCCAAGCCAAGUGAUAAUGAACUAAUGGAGAGAGAAAACUAUAAAGGCAUGAAAGACCAAGAGAAUCACCUACCAAAAAGUUCAAUAAAGGGUAAGACUUUCACGGAUGCUUUCUAUCCACAAGUGCUUUGUUCAUGUAAAUAAACCAUAAAACUCAAGAAGACCAUGACUUGACUGGACUGUACGUUAUGUCUAGAUAGUGAAGCAAAAGCGAAAGAGAUUAAAUGAAAAGAACAGAGCAUUUGCAGGACAAAUCGAUUCUUUUUCACUUCUCACUCCCCCUUGGUACAAGCUGAUAUUCCCCCGAUGCAAGGUCACUAGGAUAACCCACUAGCGAUGAUAGUGCCUACCACUUACCUUGUCCAUGAUAGGAGCUCUCGCAGCUUGGCGAGGUUAUAGUGAUAGGACUUGCCUACCCAAGAUAAAUGGUUUCAAGUGGUACUAGAUGAAUGGCCUUCUCUCAAUCUUAAAUCGAAAUUCAUUGCGGCAAAAGUGAGUCUUUCAUGAUGACUUAACAGACCGACAGAGCAGAGUCUACCUGAUUGCACAUCUCUGUCUUUCCUUGAUAACAUAGAAAAAGAAAAUGCGCUUUGAGAUGGUGUGGCAAUUUAAAUAGAAGAAGAACAUAAACUAUGAACUUUGACAAGGAAGUCAGGUUUAAAUAAAUUAUAGUCUGCAGGGUUCAUUCAAAUUUAGUUGUCACAUUCACCAACUUGAAAACACUUGUUUUAAAUCCUAUUUUGUGCAUCUUUACAGUAGCUGUUGUUGUUGGAAGUAAGAAAGAUUCUCCUCCGACCAAAAAAAAAAAAAAAAGUAAGAAAGAUUCUCCAUUUGACUUUGAAUAUAGACCUUGAUGAUUGAUAUCAUGAUAUAGAUGAAUCUUUUGAAGUGUGUCACCAAAGAAAAGAAAAAAAAAAGAAAUAGUUUUGAGCAUAUCGAUACAUCUACCAAAAUAAAUAGCCUUUUGUCUUCUUUUGUCAAGUUGUAGAAGAUAAACAUAAGCACGUCCUUUGCCUACCUCAACAGCAUUUGCAUUUGAUCAUGCUUAGAGAUUUUGCCAAAUAAAGAUGACAGUGGGAUACUCUACAAAACAAACAUAGUUGAGAGAAUUCAAGUCACAAGGCUAGGGAAAAAAAAUCUUUGAAAGAUAAAACAUAACAAGCGCUGAAAUUUCAGAAAAGAUCUUUGACAGUGGGAUAUUCUGCAAAACAAGCACAGUUGAGAGAAUUCAUGUCACGCCCCAUUGCAAAGAGGCCAGAAAAUUCUGGAAAGCUCAUUGUGGUCAGUAAAUUUGCUUUUAUUGGACGUCGUUAGCAGAAUAUCAUGUAUUUUACAAGUGACUUGGCAAUAACAUAGCCGUGUAAGCAAGCGCAUAUCUUCUUGUUCGGUGAGUUCGGCUUACUUAAUUUUUCUUCAGCUUGAUGUCAAGCUUCAAUUGAAUGAAACAACUCCUAUUUUCCUUCUCAAAAUGAUGAAAAACCAUUUCUAGCUUGUUCACACUCUUCUUCAACAGCAAGCAGCCAUUCGAUCAUACUCAUGCAAAAAUAUUAUGGUCAAUUCCAUAAAAAAGCACGAACUUUAGGUAUUAUCCCAAAUUUGGCCCGAACUUUAUUUUGUUUUUUAAAAAAAAAAACACCAACUUUCACUUGUGAUCCAAAUCUAGCCCUCUGUUACCCCUCCUUCCACAGACAUCCGACAUGGCAUUUCCACUCAAAGUUUAUUUGAAGAUGAAUGAAGUAAGUCUAUUACAAAUAAGUUUCACAUCUCUAUUUAACUACAAGAUGCACACGUUUUUAUAUCUCGCUUUAAGGCAAUGUAAUAUUCUACUUCCAACCCAGCUUCUGACAUUGAAAACAACUUGCCAAUUGUUAAUUGAUCUAAUGGCCCUAGCUAUGUACCUCGUCCCUUGGAACUGAAGCUAUUGAAUUAUUUUUCCCAUGAGAAUCAUCUGUAAAGUUCACCUCAUUGGAAGGUAGACUUAAAUUUAACACUUCCUCCAAACACUCAAAUGCAGCAUCGUUUUGCACCUCAACAAAUUUGGACCUCUUCACAGUCGACCCAUAGGGCAGAUAGGAGGAGCGCGUUUAUGGCAACACCUAGAUCCCAAAAGUUUAUGCAUCUUCUCAACAUCAAGUCCAAAAGCAUCUCCAUGGUACCAUUAUGUAUCAAAAGAGUAGAUAUCAAAGUUAUUUACGACAUUCAAAAAUCAAUUAGAGUCGAUGCACAUUAACUUCACAACUUUCACGGCCCCAAAAUUUCCGACGGAAACAACAUCUCAAAGUGAUCGAGCUUAUGUAUGUGCAAGAGCGAGUGUCUCCGUGUAAGAGAAUGAGCGAGCAAGCCAGUGCGUGAGAACUUCCAAUGAAUUGAAGACUCCCGUGCGCGAACUCACUAAGGAAAGGAAACCCUAGAAAGAAUUCUCCCCAAUCACAUGAGUCGUCCGUUAGAGAAGAAGAGAAAGCCCAGGAACAAUUUUGCCUUUAUAUCCAUGUCAGCUUGCUGUGUUGGAUAUUAUUAUAUUUUUUUUAUGACCCGGGAACCCCCGUACAGCCGGCAGCCAACGAGAUAAACCCGGGGUGACGCUAGCGGAGGACCCACCACCCCGACGUCACACUUAAGAUCCCAUGCGACUAACAGGAUUUGAACUCCUCUCCUCCUCGCAAAGGAUCAUGGGAGUUUUAUCCAACUGGGCAACCGCAGGCAGUGCUGUGUUGGAUAUUAUUGCUGACAUGGAAAUGCUAUGUUGGAUGCCUGUGGAAUGAGGGUCAAUGGAGGCUAGAUUUGCGACACGAGUGAAAGUUUGUGCUUUUUUUUUUAAGACAAUAAAGUUCAAGUCAAAUUUGGGAUAACACCUAAAGUUCGUGUUUUUUUCUGAGACAAAAUAAAGUUCGGCCAAAUUUGAGACAACACCUAAAGUUGAUGUUUUUUUAUGAAUUUGGCCCUAAAAUAUUAACCCUGCUCAGGUGGUCUUCCCGAGCUCUGGAGUCUUCUGAGCUGUUCCAAUCAGUGAAGUAGGAGGCAGAGAAUAUGCUUUAUGAACCUUGACUAAUUUCCUCAACGUGUUGACAUAAUUUGAUUUGGUUUAAUAGACUCAUGAAGAAGAAAUUCCAGCGGGCCCAUUCUGAUGAAGAAAGUAUUUAAUAAUGCGCUGCGGGGACAUGACAUGUAUGUUUCUUUUCGUUUCCCCCUUUAAUAGUUUUUCUUUUCCUUGCUUCCAACCAUGUAAACUUUCGUGUUAGCUUUCAUAAUCAUCUUGUAAGUAUAACCUUCUGCAUUCGGUGAAGGGGAAAGGUGACAAUUAACACUUCGGAUUUACUCUUUUUACUUCCUCCACUUGCCAUGUGUUCUGUAAUCAAAUUAGCCAUAUGCAUAAAGCUGAUAGCAGUUCCCUUUCAUACUUACACGAAGAAGUAACAUUUAGAUCACGAUGAACAUGACUAUAGGAGAGCUAAUUCUCACACAUGACAACUUAGUGAGUUGGAAAAUAUAGAUCAGCGUGUUAGCUUUUGGCAGCAAGGUGAAAAUUUUCGGACUGCAAUAUGCCUUCGAAGGCUCCACGAGAAAGGCCAAAGGAUUUGUGCUUAUCACCCUGCGGGGACAACGUAGGUGGACAAGAAACCGUACAAGUGCAAAUCCUGCAAAGGCUCCUUCAAAUAGGCAUACUUUCUCAGCAACCCAUCUCUAACGUGCCCGGCCUUCUCCUACACUCUCUGGCCAGUCCUAUCGUCCACUCCAACGAAGGCUUGAACCCUCAAGACAUCAGGGAAAUCCCCAAACACCUGGUACAACGCCAUUUUCACCGCUCAGGUCACCUCCACAGGAAUGCCAUACUACGGAAAUAGGCUAUGUUUAGACUAAGGAAUUGGGUAGGGGCCGCGCGAACGCAAGACCCCACUGCCACAAAUUAUGAAGUAGGCUCGGCCACUUGGACUGACCUUGGGCUAGCACCCCUCCCGAAGUGCAAUGGAGGUCACUAGGCCCAGGCCAUGAGCCUUCUUGAUAGCCCAUUGACCCCGUCCAGGUAAGUGAUUUGCUUAUGGCCCAGGCCUUUGCUUUUACAUUGGUCAAACUCACUCGCCGAUUCAGUAGCCACUCUGCGUGGGACAAACGGAGAGAGAUAGAGAUAUGAAGAUGGAGAUGGAGAUGGAGGAGUCGGUCAGAAUUUGGGUGAAGAAUCAAAAGGGGGUUUCUUGCGAACAGGGGACUUGCGAAGAACAUAUGGUGAUGACCACGUAGAAGCAUCUAUCUGCAAGCACAAACCAAACAUCCCCCGACGUCUCGCCUAAAAUCAUAAGGCAUCCCAAAGCACUAUAUCUAUGAGAAGCCAAUCUCUCCUGCUAUACUCCUCAAAUAAACUCGCACUCGCACACCAAGCUCACGUAUAUGCGGAAGACUAACCGAAUUAAACAUUACCCACAGCACAAAAACACAAAUUUCCCACAUUCACCUCCUACCCUCUUCCAAUAUUGAUGAUUUUAAUUGGUGAUGGGCUUAAGGCCCGUCCGCCCAUGCUGGGCCCAAAAGGCCCGGCCCACGGGAAUAGGGCCCGUGGAUGGGGGAAGGUAUAAAAGGGAGGAGAGAGAGAGAAAAUACCUUUUGGUAGAAUUGACGUACGUCUUCUCCUCUCCCGCGCAUUCUCUCUCAAAAAGAAAAAGAAGAAACAGUAAAGCAAAAAGGCACGUUUCUUCUUCCCUUCAAGGCAUCAUCGGAUCGAACAGGGCCGAAUCUCUUCCUCUUAUCGGUGUCGUGUCUAAUCUGUGGCUAACAAGGUAUGCUCGAAUCCGUGGUGUGCUUUAUGAUCGGUGAUACGUGUUAUUUCCUGGGCUUCGUAUUCCGCAUUGAUUUAGGGGUUCGAUUUAGUGUCGAAUCCGGUUUUCGGGGAUCCAUUAUUCCCAACAUUGGUAUCAGAGCCCUAGUUCAUGUUUUCCUGACCUGUUUGAUGUAUUUUUGAUUGAUUUUUCGUGAAAACUUUCGGCCGUACGGAUCGGGGCGAGAAAUCCCGACACCCGAGCGCUAUUCGGCCAUUUUUCCGAGUUUUCGUAAGUCGAAAUCAAAUUAUAAUGGCAUAGGGAGAAAGGCGACGUCGAGACGAGUCUGGCGACAGGUCGUGCGCCGCCGGGAGACGCUGCGCGCGCCCACAGGUGCAGCCAGAAGCCGCUGCGCGUGGGCGCGAUGCGCCAGGAAGCGCUGGCUCGCCCAGCGCGUGUGGCACACGCGCCGGUCCGCGGACCGACGCGUGCUAACGUCAACAUGACGUCACCCAACGGUCAGUAACCGCUAGGGUGAUGUCAUCGAUGACGUCAGCACGAUGACGUUUCGCCGACCGGCAACCCGACCGGCGACCCAACCCGACCCGAACCGCGGACGCCGGCACGCGUGCGGCACAUGCCUGCUGACGUCUGCGUGACGUCAGCCUGUCCACGCGCGCGGCACGUGCCGUCCGUUUGCCCGAACCGGCCGAUCGGUCCGACGGCCCGACCGGUCCGACGACUUUGACCGUUGACCGUUGACCGUUGACUUUGACCGUUGACCCGAAAAAAGAAAAAAAAAAGAAAAAAAAGAAAAAAAAAGAGGAAUUUGUUUCUUUUUCAAUUAUGUCUGUGUGGGUUAGAGGUAAUCCAUUUUUUAUUCUGCAUUUGUUGCAUGAAUCAUGGAAAAUUAUGUAUUUUCCAUUUUCUUUAUUGUGGAUUAAAAGUGAUCCAUUUUAGUUCUGCAUUUGUUGCAGGAACUAUGAUGCGUUAUGCACGGAUACCUGUAAUCCCGAGAACAGACGAAGGAAAAGCUAGACUGAAAAUGCUGAUGAAAGAGUUAGCUGAUUAUCGGUGGCUUGAUGGUGAUUUAGUAUCACAUAUGGUCAAGGUCAAUCAGAUGAUACAUGAAAUCAUCUGGAAUGGUUAUCUUAUGCCGGAUUUUGAGAAGGUGUCGGCUUUGAUGAACACUCUUCCACCUGAAUGGCAAGCAAUGUUAGAUCAGUUAUGGGAGGUCAACGUGGUCCCGGGUUAUAGGAGGCUAGUGGAAGCUUUUGUAAGAGAGCAUUAUAGGAUUGAGUUGGCUAAAACUUCAACCCUUAGAUUGAGUGCCACAUGGCGCAGAGUGAAUGCGCCUUGGAGGCGACAUGAAAGCUCUCCAAAAGUUUUUCCAUGGUUGGCAAAUGUGCCUUCAAAAAUCUAAGAUAUUUUGACUGAUAGAUUAGAAGGAACAUUCCAUAAUUAUUUCUUAGAUUAGUUUGAGAUGUUAUUGAGUGUGAAUAUCUUUUUCUAUGAUGAUAUUUUCUUCUGUGUAUAUUACUUAGUGUAAUGGAUUGUUGUAUUAUGUUGAAAGCAUUAUUGUUUCAUUGGAUAUCAAUUAUCUGUUGCUUUCUGUUAUUGCUGGUUGCUGUGGGUAAUUAGCUGUGCUGUGGGUAGUUUAGAAGUUUUUUUAGCUUCAUAGAAUUGAUUUUGCAUAUGACAAUCAUAUUAAUGAUAGUUUUAAGUUAGGAUUUUUGGAGGAUGAUUGUAAACGUAGUGACCUUUUGAUUCUAAAACCUUACUUGAAAUUGUUCAUUAAUAUGAUGGGUCUGUGCAAAAGGGAUGCAUAAAUUAUAGGCAUUAAUUAUUCGUACAUAUAAGUCUGAUGUGUUCAGAUCGAUGGUUUUAGCAACUAAGAACGUAAUUGCUAAUAUGAACGGCAACAAUUGUGGAAUAUUGAAUAUGAAGAUUCAAUAUGUGCUGGAAAAGCUAGAAGUACUAGAAGCUCUUGACCAUAUUAUGGAAGAUCUAGAGGAUGCUGUGCGCCACCUUGAGCUAGUAGAGGACUGCCUAUCGGCAUUUGAGCCGAAAAUAUACAUUGGCUAUGCUGGUCCUAGCUCAGAAAGGGCUUUGAGCUCUAAGCGCAAGCGUAUUGAUUCAUUCAAUAUGUGGGAAUGCAAAGGAUCAAGUCCUUGUUGUAAGAAAUCAAGAGUUAACCAACACAAAAGAGGAAAACGUCCUCAAGUGAAGAAAAAGUCAAGUGUGAGGUGUUACAAUUGUGACAAGAAAAGGUCACUAUGCUCGUAACUGUUGUGAGCCGAAAAAGGUAAACACCUUUUGUACAUUUGAGAACUUUGAUUAUGUGUCAAGUUCUGAAUUAUUGGCUGAAUCCAAUCCUUUGUGGACUGUAGAUUCAGGAAAGACAGACCAUGUAGCGAAGGAUAGAGAAUCCUUCGUGGAAUUCCGACGAUACCGACUGGAACUAAGUAGAUCUAUGUGGGAUAUAACUCCAGAAAUGAAGUUAAAGGGAUUGACACCUGCCAAUUGAACAUGCGUUGUGGACGCAUCUUGUUCCUACAUGACGUUCCAUAUGCUCUAGAGAUUCGUCAAAAUUUAACGUCUGUUUUGGUGUUGGUUAAACUUGUUUUUUUAUAUGAACUUCCAUAAUAGAGAUGUAGAUUUGUAUUUGGAUACAAAUUACUAUGGUUGUGGUCACUUUCUGGAUGGUUUCAUUGUACUAUAUGUUGACUGUGGUGAUGUCAAUAUUUGUUAUUCUCUUGUUUCACGUCUCCUAAUUCAUAUGAUAAUGAUGUGAUUAUGUGGCAUGCUAGACUUGGUCAUAUUUGCCAACAACGUAUGAAUAGACUAGCCAAAAAUGGUUUGUUGGGCAACAUUGAAAAAGUCGAUUUGCCCAGAUGUGAGUAUUGCCUAGUAGGGAAAACGACAAGGAAACCAUUUGGAAAAGAUAAAGAGCUGAAUUUCCUCUGCAUUUAAUCCAUUAUGAUGUAUGUGGUUUAAUAAAUGUGAGAAGAAGGCAUGGGGCUGUUUAUUUCAUCACUUUUAUAGAUGAUUAUACUCGAUUCGGAUAUGUCUAUUUGAUUUCUCAUAAAUCUGAAGCAUUAUGUUGUUUCAAAAGGUUUAUGAACUUGGUUGAAAAUCAAUUAGAUAAUAAAAUAAAAGCAUUGAGAUCUGAUCGAGGUCGAGAAUAUUUAUUUGAUGAGUUCGGAAAAUUAUGUGAUGAAAAGGGAAUAGAAAGACAGUUGUCUAUUCCAUAUACUCCUCAACAAAAUGGUGUUGCAGAGAGAAGAAACAAAACCCUACUGGAAAUGGUUAGGUCCAUGAUGGCGCAUGCUAACUUACAUAUCACUUUUUAGAGUGAUGCGUUGUUAACUGCUGCCUAUAUACUUAACUAGGUGUCUUCCAAAUCAGUUAGUUCCACUCCAUAUGAGUUAUGGACAGGUAGAAAACUGGACUUAAGUUUUCUUAAGCCAUGGGGUUGUACUGUCUAUACUCAUGAGUCCUCUCACAAGUUGGGGAAAUUGGGUCCUAAAGGAAAGAAGAGUAUUUUAAUGAGAUACUCCGAACACUCGAAAGGGUAUGUGUUCGUAGGUGAGCAAGAAAGUGGGAGUAUAACUGAAUUUGAAUCAUGGGACGUCACAUUCUUAGUGGAUGAAUUUCCUAAGAAGGGCGAAAUAUGGGAAGAUUGUUCCCUAUUUGAGACCUCGGAUCAGGAUAAUGAUGUUAGUGGAGUUCGUCCAAGUGGAAAUAAUAUGAGAAGUGAUGAAUUGAAUUCAACUCAUUCUCAAUUACAACCACAUGAUGCGAUGACAUCAUCAUUGCCUAAUCCAAGUGGGAGCAUAAUGGGGAAUGAUGUGCGAAGUAUACAAUCUCCCAUAUAGCGAACAAGUCACCAAAGUAUUCCCGUCGACGUUUUAACAUUGAAGGGGAAACUUUUAUAAUUGCUCUGCGAGAUAAGGAUGAGCCAAGAAAUAUUAAUGAGGCUCUAAAAUGCCAUAGUAAGGAAAAAUGGAUUUAUGCAAUGAAAGAGGAGAUGGAGUUAAUGAAGUCAAACCAAGUCUGGGAACUGGUUGAUCUUCCAAAAGGACACAAAGCUAUUGGGAACAAGUGGGUUCUCAAAAUAAAGCGAAAGGCUGAUGGCUCGAUAGAAAGGCAUAAGGCUUGCCUUGUGGCGAAGGGGUAUAAUCAACAGGAAAGAAUUGAUUAUGAAGAUACAUUUUCUCCUGUAGUGAGAUUUACCUUGAUUCGCAUAAUUCUGGCAAUAGUGUUUAGUAUGGAUCUUGAGUUACAUCAAAUGGAUGUAAAGACUGCUCCCCUCAAUGAAGAAUUAGAGGAAGGAACAUAUAUGGAACAACCUGCUGGUUUCAUAGUGAAAGGCCAAGAAGAAAGGUAUGUCGACUUUGGGGGUCGAUAUAUGGCCUUAAGCAGUCGUCAAGACAAUGGUAUAUACGAUUUCAUAAUACUAUAAUGGCAUAUGAUUUUACAAUGAUAGAUGAGGAUCAUUGUAUAUAUAUCAAAAGAACCAUAGAUCUAUUUGUGAUCAUAUCAUUAUAUGUUGAUGAUAUACUAAUUGCCGGAAGAAAUAUGGAGCUUGUCAAUACUGUCAAAAGUUGGUUGUCUUCCAAUUUUGAAUUGAAGGAUAUGAGAUUGUAAACCCAUAGACACUCCUAUUGCAAAAGGUGAAGGAUUGAGCCAUAGACUGUGUCCAAGGACUCCACAAGAGAAGGAACAAAUGAAACAUGUUCCUUAUGCUAGUGUUGUUGGGAGCUUGAUGUACGCUAUGAUGUGUACAAGACCUGACAUAUGUUAUGCAGUUAGAAUGGUGAGCAGAUACCAAUCCAAUCCAGGUCAAGCACGUUGGAAAGCCGUUAAAUGAAUACUAAAGUAUCUAAAGGGGACUGCUGAUUAUACGUUGAGUUAUUAUGGAAAGGAUCUGCAACUCAAAGGCUAAUUUGAUGCUGAUUGGAGAGGAGAUUUAGAUGAAAUAAAAUCUACCUCUAGGUUUGUUUUCUUACCGAAUAAAGGCACCAUAUGUUGGAACAAUAAGAAACAAAAGUGUAUAGCCUUGUCCACGAUAGAAGUUGAGUUCGUGGCAUUAUCAGCAGCAGUAUAAGAAGAUGUUUGGCUUAAGAGAUUAUUGGAUCAUUUAGGUGUUAUUGGAAGUGCUGCAGAUUCAUUGUUGGUUAACUAUGAUAGCCAAGCAGCAAAAGUGUACACCAAAUAUCCAAAAAUAUCAUGGCAAGACCAAACAUAUAGAUACCAAGUAUAAUUUUGUCAAAAAUAUGAUUGCACGAAAAGAUGUGAAUUUACAGUAUAUACUACGCAUAGAAUGGUAGCAGUUCCUAUGACAAAGCCAAUACCUAGAGAUGUGUUUUGUGGCCAUAUGAAAUCUCUAGGAUUGCGUAGAGUCUGAUGUACUGGAUUGUAAUUUCCCUGAAGUGUUCACAUUUGAUGAAUUUGUGUUUUUCAUCAUUAAUGCCUAUGUAUCUUUGUUUGAUCUUUAUGCAUCUUAAUACUUAGUGUAUUACUUUAAGUUAUGAAAGUAUGUCGGACAGAUAUAAGAUUAGCCCACUCACACGGGUAAUCGCCUUUAUUUACAGUGUGAUAAAUAGAGAUGAGAUUGUUUUUUUUAAGCUUACUAUCUAGGUGAUAAUCGAGAGCUCAAGCUUAAAACAUGUAUGUCGCCUUAACUGAGUGUUAAGAUGAGGACAUAAUACUUACUAUGUCCGAAAGUAAAAUACCCCACAUAUUUUACUUUAUCUGUCUAUGAUACCAGAUGUGAGUUCUGAUGAAUUUUGUGAAUGAGUAGAUACGUGAACUCAAGUUAGACAUUAGGUAUGUCUGAACUAUCAUCUGUACGGUAUUGAAAGGAAUAGACAUACGCUCCAUGGGAAAGGAGUUAAUACCGUAAUACGUAUUUCAUACUACGUAUGCAUGAGACGACCAAUAAGAGUGGCAAAAGUUUGAUCUCAACUUUUUAUGUCGUGUGAGACUCUUGAGAAAAAGAGUUUCUCAAGUCAUUAGUCCCCUUAUGACUCUUACUUAUUCUCAAGAUUUCUAUUUAGUGUUUGCUAUCCUAGGAUGUUGCCAAUGGUCAUGAGUUGAUUCGAUCUAAUAGGGCAUUUCUAGAAAAGCAAAUUGAACUGAAAUUGAGAGUUUGAAGGAAAGAGGAAGAUCGAUUUUGAAUAAUCACAUUGUAGUUUUGUAUUCACCGGUUAACCAAUUAUGACUGUCUUUGGGAUAAUCAUAAUUGUGAAUAGAAUAUAUAUAUAUAUAUAUAUCAUUGUUUGAAAGAGAUCAAGAGAGAUAUAAAUGUGAUCGAUCGAUCUAGGGUACUGCAUACUGAAUCUACUCGGAGUGUGAUGCCCAUUAUGAGCUGCUAUAUAUUCCUAACAGAUGUACAGCAACGAGCUCUCAAAGUAUGCUGGUCGCACGGAUUAUUCACCGGUAUGAAUGUUGAAGAGAGGUAAAGAGAAUCCUGUUCAGCCAACCAUGUGCGAGUGGGAGAUGAUGAUUUUAAUUGGUGAUGGGCUUAAGGCCCGUCAGCCUAUGCUAGGCCCAAAAGGCCCGGCCCACGGGAAUAGGGCCCAUGGAUGGGGGAAGGUAUAAAAGGGAGGAGAGAGAGAGAGAGAAGAUACCUUUUGGCAGAAUUGACGUACGUCUUCUCCUCUCCCGCGCAUUCUCUCUCAAAAAGAAAAAUAAGAAACAGUAAAGCAAAAAGGCACGUUUCUUCUUCCCUUCAAGGCGUCAUCAGAUCGAACAGGGCCGAAUCUCUUCCUCUUAUCGGCGUCGGUGUCUAAUCUGUGGCUAACAAGGUACGCUCGAAUCCGUGGUGUGCUUUAUGAUCGGUGAUACGUGUUAUUUCCCGGGCUUCGUCUUCCGCAUUGAUUUAGGGGUUCAAUUUAGUGUCGAAUCCGGUUUUCGGGGAUCUAUUAUUCCCAACAAAUAUCAACCAAACUAUUCAUAGCCGCCCCCUCAAAGACAAAAACCUCUCACAAUUCCAGCUCGAGACCAUUGAAAUUCAAUAGAAACCGAGCGAACACACAAGCACGCCGAAGACCGGCUCGUCCUCAACGAUGUCGGCAAUCGAGCUCGGGCACCGAUCGGCGAGCCAUCAGUAGAAGGCGGGGACUCCCAUGGCAUGCGCGAGCCUUCGGAUCAGGACGGGAGGCUGUGCUCCGGCGAGCCAACUCAGAGAUGUAGAGAGAGAAAGGGGGGAGAGAGAGAGAGAGAGAGAGAGGAUUUGAGAGGGUUCGAAAUCUGCGCGUUGGGCGGCAGUGGCGUGAGGGCUCGUCCCGAGGGAGAGGACUAUCCACGUGGCUUCCCCGUGGGGACGGUGAUUCGGCCCGUGUGGCUGCGGGGGCCUGGAUAAUCUUGGAUAAGAGACCUUGGGGUGCUUUGCUUCCGUCUUAAUUAACUGAGCUAAAAAUUUUUUAAAAAAAAAUUAACUGAGUUCAGAAACGUUGUCGGUUUCAACCCAUCUCGACCUCGCCAUUUUAUCCUUUGCUGUACAUAUUAGCUCUCACCUCCCAUCGGGUGAAAUACGUAUUGUGCAUCAAUUCUCCAAUCAUUUUACAAAUGAUUAGCUGAUAGGUAUUUUCGAAAAACCUUGAUUAGGUAAUUUCAAAUGACCCGAAAAGAUACUUAAUGUCCAAUUCAGUUUUAUGCACUGAAUAUAUUCUAAACAUGACUUUCUCUUUCCGAUAAAUAUCACAAAACUACCUUAACUAAUACUCGACUAAACCAAGCUUAUUUGGUAGAAACAACUUCGACAUGACUAUGCAGUGACAUGCUGCACCACGAAACUAAAAUGGCUUUUUAUAUAUUCUUGUGAUGCUUGUUUUCAAGCUGGUUUGAAGUCAUUUGGGAGACAUCUAAUAAAAUUAGGUGAGAUCGUAUACUUCUUUUUCAAUCUAUUGUAGCAACUUGAUAUGACGAGGGCUGGAGUAUCACUAGGGCAAGAGGGCAUAAACAAGGAAUUGAUCUCGGCAGGCUCCUCGAUAGCAAAGGGGAGAACAAAAUAAAUUGCACAUCGAUCACUAGGAGAUCGUUCCUAAAUUAUUUUUAUUUCAAACAUAUUUCUAGACUAAAAAUUUGUUCUAAAAAUAGAAAAUUGAAAUUGUGUUAUCAAAUAGAUUUUUGUUCAAACCUAUUCUUGGGAACCAAAAAAGAUAAUUCUAGUUAGGCACAAAAUGGUUAUCAUGUGUACCUUUAGUUGCUGGAAAUCGUUGCUGUGGAGGAGUGUCACAUCAAACGACCAAACAUGAUUGAAGUGGCACAUCAAUGAUUUCUAUCGACAAUUGAUCAUAAUGAUUAUAUUAAAAGUUUACAUAAAGAAAAUGACUUAAUUUUCUAAAUUGAAAAGUUUAAGAUUGAAUUAGCAUUCAUAUAAUAAGUUUAGGACUGAUUAGAUAAAUUUCCCAUUUGAUGUUGCUAAGUAAAAUGGAAAAAAAAAAUUGCCAAAACUCUAGAAUUGCUCAAGUUGCAAUUACUUUCGUUUCGUAGAUUUCUUGGUAACCUCUUUAAGAAAUUUCCAUAACGGCAAUCAAGCACAUAUGACAAGACAACUACAUUCCACCCUUGAAGAUUGUUUUCCUUUCAAGAGAUAUUAAUUUGUAUAUAUAUCAUUAGACAAACCCAAGGGUAGCGAAGAUACGUCCAGGUUAGAGAGGAGAGAACACACAAUGGAUAGUGGUAGCAGAAAAUGCUUAUGGAUGAUUUUGUUCAUGGCAUUAGCUUUGGGCUUAACUUUCUCUCCUCCUAUUGAGGCGAGGAAUCUCGCCACGAGAAAUCUUGUGAGUCCCGCAAAAAUUAGAGGAGCACCUUUUCAUUUCAGGUUAUUGCUCAAAGGGUCAAUUGUUCCACCUUCUGGACCCAGUGCUCCGCCAUUUCAUUUUAGGUUAUUGUCCAAAGGGUCAAUUGUUCCACCUUCUGGACCUAGUGGUCGUGGUAACUCGUUGCCACCACCACCACCAGUACUCCGGGGUUGAGAUUCAACAUCGAUGCGUCAUGCGUGCUGAAGCAACAAGCGAUGCAUUUCUAUGUUUCUUUGCUCUUGGACAAUGUCGCUUGCUGGAAUAAAUAGUUCCAUGUUGUGUUGCAAUCUUGUUUGGUGUGUAGUUUGAUAAUUUUUUAGGCAAUAAGGGCAUGCAUGGUAACGUUUCUAUUUCUCUCAAUUUUUAUUAUUUUGUUCCCCGGAAAAAAAAAGAACAAAAAUCCAUGGGGUAAAACUUUUGUUCCAGGAACAAAAAGUCUAUUUUUUUGUUCGCGGGAAUAGAUUUGGAAUGUAUUAUAAAACCCCUAACAAUGAAAUCCAAGAAAGAGAAAAGCAGGCAAUCAAUCACAACCAAACAAGCUUUCUUAUAAACACACAUGUUUAUAUACAACACAAGGUUGUCUACAAAAUAGACCGGCUCAACAAAAAGGGAACCGUCCUACGACCAACUAGUCAAACAUGUUCGCCAAUUCUUUGGCUUCGAGUCCUCCACGACCGCCAUCUAAGGACCCUAAACCCCUAUUAGAAAGAAAAUACACUCGAGGAUGGCCUAGCCACUCCAUCACAAACAAUGAGACUUACCUUUGCCUCAGUUCUUUCCUGCAGGUUAGCACGGUUCAUAUUACUCAAGCAUAAAUAAUAAUAAAAUUCAAACAAUUCAAUUACUUGGAUCGACUCAGAGAUCGAUCGAUUCAGUCGAUUACAUGUCAUCGAGGUUAUCACAUGGUAGUGGAAUCACGGACCCACUCGGCACGACCUUUAAUAGGUGGUAGAUCACAGCCCGACUCGGCAAGUUUAGAUUUAGUGGCAUCACGGCCCCACUCGACACGACCUUUAAUAGGUGGUAGAUAAUGGCCCGAUGGGCACGACCGAUUCCAAAUUCGGUGGUAAAUUUCGGCCCUAUUGGCACAACCAUACUUCGGUGGUUUUUUAAGUCCACUCACAACCUUUCAUAGUUAUUUUCCCAUAAAACACCGACAUUCUCAAAUUUUAGGAUAAUUCUCUCAUAACCACUAAUUUACUCAAUUCUCAUAAACUGGCACUCAAAUAAAUAAAUGGAAAGCACCACUACAAAUCAGCACAAAAUUUUGACGAUUUAAGGUCCCAAAAUAAUUUUUGAAAUUUAUUAAUAAUAUUUUAAUAAUUUCGAAUAAUAAUAUAUUAUUCGAUAAUUAAAUAAUUUCGAAAUAUUUAUUUAAUCCAAAAAUACUUCAUUAAAGUCAAAUCAAGGCUUAUUCUAAUAAUAAACCUACUUAGCCUUAAUUAAACAUACUUUAAACUAAAUAUCACAUUAAUCUAAUAUACUCCUAAAUAAAUUAAACUAACUACCUAAUAACACUUAACAUAAACUAAGCACACAUAAAGCAUCAUUAACCAUCUAAUCAAGGUUUAGGAGCUAAACUCACCAGAAUCGCUUUCUGAUGAGUCUCCAGUGAAGACAACGGCGAGGCAGUCCGAAAACCUCCUCGAGCCAGCACCAAAAGAAGACCGAAAGGUGCCUAAAAUGGGCCUUGAAGAUUUGGAUCUUCACUGGAACUUCCAGCUGCUGGUCAUGGGCGGAGGAGGGCCAAACAACGGCUAGUUGGGCACGAAACCGGCGGAGAAGGGCGGCGGCAGCUCGAGCGGUGCAGACGGCAGCUCCGGCGGGUUUUCCGGCGACCCAAGGUGACGGCAAGCUGCUGUUGGGUGACAGAUGACGAUGCUGGACGGCGAACGAAGGUGGAGCAAUAGCUAGUGAGUGGCGAGUUGGCCGGCGAGCGAGCGAAGGAGAAGCAGCAUCGACAGCGAGCGACGGCAACCUCAGCUGCUCUGAGAACCAAACGGUGGUUACUGGUGACGAGGAGUAGCGGCCAGAUGGAGGAGAGACAGCGGCUGGAGCUCGAGCGAAGACGACGCGACGGCUGGCCGGUGAGGCGCGCACGCGGACGAACGGCGACCGUGGUGGCGACGAACGGCGAGCGGCAAAGGAGGCGCACGAAGGGGGCAUCAAGGCUGGCUUCCAGUCAGAUCCUCUCUCUCUCUCUCCUCUUUCCAAAUUCCAAGAAGCCAAGCUUGAAGAUGAUAGAGAUGGGUUGAAGAGAAAUCUCACCUUUUUGGGGGCAAUUGUACACCCUUCACUUGUCAAAAUCCUAGACACUCAAGCCCCACCAUGACAUCACUUGAUGAUGUCACACUCCGCAAUCUCCAACUUCCCACAAUCUUAUUCCAAUUGGUGCAAUUUCUUUUUCUGCCGUGGCAUGAAUUCUCCAAAAUCUUGUACAACACAUUUCAUUCAAUCCACUUUCAAUUAAGCCAAAUUGAAGUCCAUAAAAUUAAUCCAAUGUUACCACACUUCAAUUCACAAUUUUACUUAACCAUAGAAUCAUCUUGAGUCCCCAAAGCAUGAUCAAAAGCGGGCCUACCAAUUUCUCGAACCAAAUUAACCACAUGCUGAUUCUUCGCUGAAAAUUUAGCUUGCAUGAAAAAUCUUCCGAAGACGAGUCAAUGUUCUUAAAAUGAUUCGUGACACACUAGGACUUCUCAAUUUUUGAAUUCGAUUUCAAUUUCACGGUUAAUUUCACUCUGGCACGAUACUAGCACGUCAUGAUCUACUUGGUAGCUUUUAGAAAUUUUCAUGCAUUUGACCGGUGGUUGAUCAAGUCAAGCCACAAUGUACAUCUUUGACACAUUGGCGACUCUCGAUUGUCGGGGUAAUCUCAAGGUUUCAAAUAUAGACACAAGGUACCUAAUCAACAGAAAAGCCAAUCUAGUGCCGAUCGACAAGAAUUGUGUGAUCUGGUGGAAUCACCCACACUUGAUCACAUGCCUCUAUCAAGUCAACAUAUCUCUGAUCUCUAAUCGAUUUUUAAUUAUGUCGUAAUCACCCUUGCAGAUUAGCUCGAUCGAAAGGUUGCUUCCUGGUCAAAUUCUCGAGUUCGAUGCAUUAGAAUCUCUUAACAACUUUACCCGAUAGACUAGUUUUCACAUGAGUGGCCAACUCAAGGAAAAGAACUAUAUGUGUGCCAACGAAAUGCCUGUCUAAAUUUAUUGAAAAUAGAAUUGGAAAAUCGGGAUAUCACAGAUAACCUCCAUUUUUAGAGCAAAAUCUGGGAAGUUGUUAGGGUUUAUGGUUAGUAGUAAGGGUAUAGAGAUUCAUCCGUCCGCCGUAUGAUUGUUGUCGCUACCGCCCAUAGCUCACCGGCCACCCCUGACCUCCAAUAACCGCCACCGACCGCCACUGUCACCGGCCGCCGCCAUGGGAUCACCGCUCGCUCAUCGUCAUUGCCCCCUGACCGCCGUUGCGGCUGACAACCGGUGAGCAGCGGUCAGCAGUCCAUGAGCAAGAAUAAAAUACAAAUAAAUACCAAAAAUAAAAAAUAACACAUUUCUAUUCUUUUCAAUUGCAAGAAUAGAAAUUUUGUGUAGUUAUUAAACACCUUAUUUUACUCAAAAAUCGUUCCCUCGAAUAAAAAUAGAAAAAGACUAUUUCUAAAAAUAAAAAAAACUGUUCCUUGGCCAAGAAGCGUUACCAUGUGCACCCUAAGUAAUCUGAUUUUGAAAGAUUUGCUGCUUUUGAUCUACACGUGGUCUUUCGAUAUAACGAUGACUUGUGGUAUUUGGGGGGGGGGGGGGGGGGGGACCAUGAAGCAAGUAUUUCUUUAUGUUUUGUAUUAGAAUAUGGCAUGUACGGGUUCUCAUUUUUAUAACAAGAAACCCGCUUGAAAUAGGCAAAUUUGUUGGAUCCAUUAUAUACUCAACUAAUCUCAUGUAUUAGACAAGAUUCGAGCCAAAGUCGAAUGGAGAGUCAAAAUAUGGAUUCUUUACAAUUACUGGAGUUAGGAUUGCUUCUAAUAAGAACAUAUAAGAUGCACUUCAUUCUCUUAAGAGGAAGUGAAUCUUCCUGUGCAUAUUACUAUUUACCAAUAAUUAGGUCAAAAGAAACCUCGACUAAAUCUAAAAGUUAUAAAAAUUAUGUGAAUAUUAACCACUUUAAAUUUUGAAAAAUUUCAAGGUGUCCCGAUUUUUUAAAAGAUAACUAAAAGUGGAACUUGUCUCAAAUUAUAACCUCGAAGUAGCCAUAAAAAAAUUCGAUUUUAAAAAUAAUAAUAAUAAUUAAAAAUUCAUUUUAAAAAUAUAUACAAAUUUAAAUCAAAUUUUUAGUCAAUUAAAAAUAUUAAAAUUCAAUUUUUUAGUAUUUUUCCCAAAAAAUAAAUCAGAUAACAAACAGUGGAAUUUCAAGUUUUAGUUGAAUAUCAAAAAAUAUAGUCAUUUUCUUGGAAAAUGGCUUCUCAGAAAACAUUUUCUUGAAGUAUGAUAUUUUCCGUGAAACGAAUAGAUCGUCAGAUAAAGAAAAGAGGGGAAAGAAGAUGUGUGAUUAGUAGAUAUUGCUGUGAUAUGAGAGAAUAUGUUGUUGUGAUAUGAGAGAAUAUCUGUAAUGUUGGGGAAAUUAUCCAAUUAGUUCCAAAGAUAUUAUAUGGAUCAAAAUUUGUUCCUAAACUUUUUAAUUUCUCCAUUUAAUCCUAAAUAUUUGCGGGAAAUUCAAAUGUAGUCCUUCUGACAAAUUAGUUGUUAAAAAUCACUGACGUGGGGUGUGAUUAGAUGUCACGUUGGCGAUUUUCAUCAAAAAUUGAUCAAAAUAACUAUAUUGGAGAAAAAAGGGUGGCAUUAUUUCCACUCUCUAUAUAACUAAAUCCACCCCAUUUUCACUAAAAAGACAAUAUUGCCCUCAAGUUUAAUUACAAUUUAAAGUGGUGGCUUCAAAGUUAUUUACUUUCUUUAUAAUUUUUUUUUCAUUUCUAAGUAGAAUCUAAUUGUCAUAACUAAGAACUUCACAUGCUUGUUUUUGUUUAUGGUUUUUUCACCAUAUUUGAACUUUUUGCUAUUUAGAAAAUAAAACUAGUCACUUUUGCUCUUAUAACAACCUACCUAUGUUUCAUCCAUAAUAUAUCAAAAAAUUUCUCGGAGAAUAUUUUUAAUUUUUAUUUUGUUAGUCUAGAAUAUAGAUCAAGUCUCUAAAUUCACUAUAUCAAAGCAUUUUUUCAUUAACACCGGCAAGAUGAUUAUAACACGAAGGAUGUAAGAUAUUAUAGGAGUGUUUAGAAAACACUUAAAAUAUUGACAUGAAAAAGUUAUGUCAUAUUUUGAUAUUGUUUGCAAACACUCGGGGAAUGAUAUUAAUUUUUGUCAAUUCAUAAUAAUGAAAUUCUUGUUUUAUGCAAAGCUUUAAAAUUCCAUCUUUUGAAGUUUCGUGAAUGGUAAUGUAACUGUAAUUUUGUCUUCGAAAAGCCUUAAUUUUUUUUUUUUGGUGGUUUCAUCCUAUCUUUCCAUAAUAUGUUUAUGUAUAUAGAAGAUAAUUGAUUAAAAAAAAAGAUUUGUUGGUGUAUGCACAAUAAAUAUGUAAAAAAAAAAAUAACAAACCCAUGACUGUUUUAAAAGUUUUUUUUUGUGCUGGAGGAAUCGUCUUGCAGCCGACAGCCACGCCGUAAACCCCCAAGUGACACUUAAGCAGGAAGACCCACUACCCCUGAGUCACACUUAAUACACCUAGCGCCUCCCUUGAGUUUUGAACCCUUCACCUCUUCGUUGAGGAUCAGUAGAGCCUUAUCCAGUGGAGCCACCGCGGCUGGUGGUAUGACUGUUUUAAAGGUUCUAUGUUACAUUUUUCUAGAUUUUAUUGGACAAUUAAUCCAUACAUUUGCUUGACAAUGUAGAAAAUAAUUAAAUUUCACUGAAAUUUAUUGAAAUUUCUCUUGUGGACAAAUAUAAUUUUUAUAGAAGCAAAAUUUAAAAAUAAAGAGAAAACAUAAUGCAUUNNNNNNNNNNNNNNNNNNNNNNNNNNNNNNNNNNNNNNNNNNNNNNNNNNNNNNNNNNNNNNNNNNNNNNNNNNNNNNNNNNNNNNNNNNNNNNNNNNNNNNNNNNNNGAAUAAGUAAGGGCACUUUGUUUUUUUAAUAAAAGAAUAGGGUGGAUUAGUAUGUAAGGGGUAGAAAUAGCACCACCACAAAAAAAAGACAAAACAGAGUUGCAAAACUCUAGAAUUGCUCAAUUUGCAAUUACUUUUUUUGGCGAUUUCUUGUUAUACUCUAGAAAAAAUUGCCAUAACGACAAUAGUGCGCAUAUAUAGAAACAAAAUCGAUUUUGUUUCUAUAUGGCAACUACCCCCAUGAAGAUUGUUUUCCUUUCAAGAGAUAUUAAUUCGUAUAUAAAUCAAUAGACAAACCCAAGGGUAGCUAAUAUAUGUCCGAGUUAGAGAGGAGAGAAUAAACAAUGGAUAGUGGUAGCAGAAAAUGCUUAUGGAUGAUUUUGUUCAUGGCAUUAGCUUUGGGCUUAACUUUCUCUCCUCCUAUUGAGGCGAGGAAUCUCGCCACAAGAAAUCUCGUGAGUCGCAAAAAAAUCAGAGGAGCGCCUUUUCAUUUCAGGUUAUUGUCCAAAGGGUCAAUUGUUCCACCUUCUGGACCCAGUGCUCCGCCUUUUCAUUUCAGGUUAUUGCCCAAAGGGUCACCUGUUCCACCUUCUGGACCCAGUGGUCGCGGUAACACGCCGCCACUGCCACCAUCAGUACUCUGGGGUUGAGAUUCAACAUCGAUGCGUAAUGCGUGCCGAAGCAACAAGCGCUGCAUUUCUAUGUUUCUUUGCUCUUGGACGAUGUCGCCUGCUGGAAUAAAUCGCUCCAUGUUGUGUUGCAAUCUCAUUUGGUGUGUAGUUUGAUAUUUUUUUAGGCAAUAAAGGCAUGCAUGGUAACAUAUCUGUUUCUCCUAAUUUUUGUUUUUCUGUUCCUUGGAAAAAAAAAAAGAAUAGAAAUCUGUUUAGUAAAAGUUUGUUCCGAGAACAAAAAAAUCUUUUUUUUUGGCUCCGGAAACAAAAACAUCUUUUUUUUUUGUUCCGGGAACAAAAACAUCUUUUUUUUUUGUUCAGCGAACAAAACAUCUCCUUUUUUUUAUUUGUUCCGGGAACAAAAAAUCUAUCUUUUUUUGUUCUUGGGAACAGAUUUGGAAUAGAAACAAGCAAAAAAAAAGGUAGUUUAUUGUUCUCAGGAACAAUUUCUAGAAAUAAGCCAAUUUUUUCUUCUUUUUUCUUUUAUUUUUCUUGCUUGAUGUGGCCUGGGGUGGCCGCUUGCCAACCGCCAACACCCUCCGACCAACUGCGGCCACAGUUGGCUGACUGCCGGCCAUCACCGACGGAGGAGGUGAGGGCUAUGCAUGGUUACAUCCAAAAUGUCACAAAGGCGCUAAGCAAAAGUGGGUCUUGGCAGAAGUGGUUGCCGACCCUUUUCAUUUUAUUGCACAUGCGGAAGCGAAUUAACUAAUCCCCUAGCAACAACAAAUAUGAGAUAGAAAAGUGGGACAACCAGUUUCAAAUCAAAUACACUUUCAUAAACACCUCAAGCUUAUACAUAAUGUCUAUCUCACAAAGGACUACUAAGCCACUUAUGUUCUUGACCCUUCCACUUCAAACUCCGGGUUCUUCACACUGGGGACCUGAAUUCAAUAACCAGUGAGAUGUAAAUCUCAGUGAGUUCUUCCCCUAGUCCCCCGAUUAGUACACCAACUCAACUCAGGGUAUCUCUUUAGAACCAUCUCACAAACAAACCAAAGAUUGACAAUCAACAAUCAAUAGUCGGUUCAUAUGCAACCUUACUUGAUAUGCCAUACCCUGCACAUCAUAACUCAUCACGAUACACGCAAUGCACAUGGCCAUUAGAUGAUGUGGUUCAUCAAUCACAUACGAAUCACAUUACAAGCGAUCUCACGUGGCCAUUGCCACACGAAAGCAUUGUCUGGGGUAAAGGCGCGGACGCACUGCCAUUCCUCAUCCCAACCAAAUAUUGCCUCCUUGGGCCCCGCACUAGCGUGGACGAAUCGCCAUCUCAGUCAGGCCACCCCUCAAGGCUUUGUUCUCAGCACAACGGAAGCAUAUGUGAAACACGUUAUCGAUUCAUGCGUGCGUGCCAUAAACAGUGUGCUCAACUCCAGCAUGACUAGAAUUAAAGAUGCUAUGAUUCUCAUGCGUUCUUGCACAUUAGUGCGUCACACAUCAGACAUCGAUCAAUCACAUGGAUCCCAGUCAGAUCGAAACCAAAAAUUUUGUCAUCUCUUUUAAAAUCUCAUAGUUUGAUAUAGUAUUUAAAAACACUUUCAGCGUCCAAAACCUGACACCCGGUAUUUUCUUAUUAAAUGCCAAUAGUUCCCAAUCAUCCUACAAUUACACAAAACAUCACCCAAUUCAUGUGGAUGCCCAUGCAUUUACACAUUCAUUCACUUCAUAGAAUCAAUACACAUGAAAUUAAACCACUUUUCAUUCCCGGGUGAACAGUGCACGUGAACAGUAACUUGUGAACAGUGCGUCAUGAACAGUGAAAUUACAGAAUUAACUAACUAAUUAAUUAAAUCCACAAGUCAUUAAAAACAUUAAUUAAAUGAAUCAAAGCAUCAAGAACCAUCAUUAAACUAAAAUAGGUCGUAAUUGGCAGAAAUUGUGCCUUCGCGCGUCUCCAAAUUUAAAUCCAAAAACCUAACCAAUUGAGUUCGGAAAAUUCCCAAGUUUGAAUAUGUGACAAAAGGCACGUAAAAAAACAUUUUUCAUGAGACACCGAGACCCAGAUCCCUCUGGAUUCAGCCCAGUAAUUCACUCAAUCCAGCACCAAAAUUUGGUCGGUUCUCAAAAAGUCAGUUUUCCAAAAUCAGUUUGUUUCGAGCUCUUAAACACAUCCGUUUGAUUUGAAAUUUUAGUACGUUAAAAUAUAAGAGGUGAAAUGAAAAUUUUAUGAAGAACCCAUUUUAAAAUUCAAACUCCAAGAGUUGAUAAAAACCCCUAGAAUCCUAAAAGGUCACUAGUUCCAGCGAAAAUUGCAGUUCUGUUCGAAAAUGGCGGAGCUAAUAUCUCCUAUUUCUGAGUCCCUAAAAAUCUUGAGAAAAAUAUAUGUUGUAUCUUAGGAUGUGUAAAACAUUUCUCUAAAAGACAUUAGCUUCAGAUUCACAACCGAUUUCAUUAUAUAAAAAUUACAAACCGCAAGUGUCCAGAAACCAGUUCUGAAGAACAGCCACUGUUUUCAACCAAAUCAUCCUCAACGGAGCAAAUCUCCCUAAUUAGACUAACAUUAAUCCAUUCUAAUACUAAUAUAACUAUUAUAGACUAUCAAGAAUCCCUAUUUAAGCUAACCUAAACCAUCUUUUAGUCUAAAUCAACCUCUUAAGCAAGUUUAGGUACCAAUCAAAGGAUUAGGAGCUAAACUCACCCGACGACAAUUCCGACAACAUGAGUGCGACGGCGGUGGCGAGGGCUAUGCAUGGUUACAUCCAAAAUGUCACGAAGGCGCUAAGCAAAAGUGGGUCUUGGCAGAAGUGGUUUCUGAUUUGGCAAGAACGGCGGGCCGAUGGCUCGCAGAUGGGUGGUGCGGCUCUUUGGCAGUGGAUGGCGGCUUGUGGAUAGUGAUGGCCCACGGCUAUGGCGCAAGAUGGUGGCUGGCUUGGGGCAAAAACAGCAGCACACGGUGCUGUUUUGGAAGCAAAAGCAGAAAAGAAACUUAGAGAGAAAGAGGAAAGGAAGAGGGGAGGGGGCUUGUUGAGAGGGAGGAAAGGGGGAAGAGGAGAGAGAAACAAUAAAGUAAAUGGGGGAAGUUGAGGGGAAAUUGCUGCAAAGGGGUUGGCAUGAGUGAGGGGGUGGAAAAGUGGGGGAGAGAGAAGAAAAGAGAGGGGGAGGAAAUUGCGUGCGAAGGAGGGGAAAAGAAAAUGUGAGAGAGAGAUACGUCGGGAGUGGGGUGGAUGUUGGGGGAAGGAAAGGAAUGAGGAGAGAGAGAGAAAAAUAAUAAUAAUAUUGUUAUCAUUUUUUUUUCUUCCAAUCUCUGAUUUUUCAUCCGAUAAUUUCUUUUUCCAAAAUUUCGAGAUGUCACAGUCGCCGCCACCGUAUGAUCGUCGUUGUUGCCGCCCAAAGCCCACCAGCCACCCCCAAUCUCCGAUGACUGCCACCGACCGCCAUUGCUGCCCACCGCUAGCUGUCGCCCACUGCUGCUUGUCGCCCGUUGCCACCGCUUGUCACGAUUGCCUGCCAUCGCAAGAUUGCCGGCCAUCUUGCAACAACAGGCGGUGACGAGUAGCAGGCAGCGAUGAUGGGCGGUGGCAGGAGCGGUUGGUGGUCCAUGAGCAAAAAUAAAAAAAUAAAAAAAUACAAAAAAUAAAAGAUAAACGCAUUUCUGUUAUUUUUCUAUUUCAAGAAUAGAAAUUUUGUGUAGUUACUAAACACUUUAUUUUACUCAAAAAUUGUUCCCCUGAGUAAAAAUAGAAAAGAACUAUUUCUGAAAAGAAACUGUUCUCCGGCCAAGAAACAUUACCAUGCGCACCCUAAGUAAUCUGAUUUUGAAAGAUUUGCUGCUUUUGAUCUUUACAUAGUCUUUCGAUAUAAUGAUGACUUGUGGUUCUAGUUGGGUGGGGUGGACCAUGAAGCAAGUAUCUCUUUAUGUUUUGUAUUAGAAUAUGGCAUGUACAGGUUCUCAUUUUUAUAACAAGAAAUCCGCUUGAAAUAGGCAAAUUCGUUGGAUCCAUUAUAUACUCAACUAAUCUUAUAUAUUAAACAAAAAUUAAUAUCAUUUAUGAAUUGUUUACAAAAAAAAAUAUCAACAUUCCUCAUUGUGUAUAAUAUUUUAAGUUAUUUUUUCUAUACAUUCAUCUAACAUCUUACAUGCUUUGUAUAAAAGUAUUUUGACAAUAUAAUAAGGAAAAAAAGGAUAAAUCCUUUGAUAUUGUAAAGGAAGAGAUUUGAUAUAUAUAGUAGACUAAUGAAAUUAAAAAAAAAUGUGGGAAAAUUCCAAAUAAUGACACAAAGUGAAGGUGUUUUCUCAAAAAGAAAAAGACCCAGAGUGGCUCUUAUCUCGAAUAAGGGCCUGAAGUGGCUAAUUUGGUUUCAAAUAAGAACCUAGCUUUCCGAUUAGCCAAAUAUUUGCCAGUCGGUGAGCACAUGCAUCUCACAUUCCAUUUUUUAAGUCAACCUUAGGGGCAUUUUCGUCCAAAAGACUUUUAUUUUUCUUUUGUAUUCUUUUUUCUUUCCUUCCACUAUUCAUCCUUUUCUUUGAUGGUAAUUUUUACAAAUAGAGGGUAUUGGCAACGAAACUGGCAACAAUGAACAAAUGUAGCCGAAUCCUCUCCAUUAACAAAGUUAUUCCACUUCCAUAUUGCCCCAUUUAUUAAUCCAAAGUAUAAUCCAACAACUUUAAGAAAAUUUACCCAAGCACAAUCUAGCUGGCCGACCACCAUCCUCCCUUGCCGUCGCUGCAUCCCCAUACUUCCGAAAACCGUCAGUCUCUCUCUACGUACUUGCCCUAGCAAUAUACAGAACUCGCAAUGCAAAGAGUUUUCCAAUGGUUGAUGUUUCAUCAGUGACGAAUUCACUGGAAUCUACCCGGUGGCUUUAAUCACCUGAAAGAGGCCCGAAUUGCACCCUAUGCACACCAAAAGAAAGCCAAUCUAUUCCUUGACUUGCCUCAGUUUAGAUCACUGCCACCUUGAAUCGAAGCAAAUGUCAGGACUCCAUGUCGUGGCCUCGAAUCUUCGUCUCAGUCCCAACAAGUCCCAAACAACAUAUACCAAUUCAGAAACUCACUAUUCAUGCACCUAAGGCCAAAAUCGUCCACAAUCACCACACACAAGUAGUAUAUUUAUCAAUGAGUCACGCUCAUCAAAUUUCACCAAGACGCCACAAGGAAAUCACCACUAGAAUUGAGCCCUAGGACAUGAUUUGAGCUGCACAAUGCUGAGAAUAGCCACUCAGGCCAUUAUCAUCAAUCGCGGAUUGUCAUUACCAUUGUUGGACGGCUUGUCACCACCCGGUUUUCAACCACCCUAAAAUCAAGCCCUAGGACUUGGUUUUGGGGUUGCCAUUGUCCCCAUGUCCUCUAGCCAUUGUUGGCAAUUGUUGCCAACUUCGUGCAAUUGAUGAAGAGUCGUCCACGUUCUGAAAAAAAGAAGAUGAACUCCAAAGAGCAAAGAAGAUGAACAAAGAAGAAGAAAGAAGAAUAAAAGUCUUUUGGACAAAAAUGCCCCUAAGGAUGACUUAAAAAAUAGCAUGUGAGAUCAAUGUGCUCACCGGCCAAUGAAUAUUUGGCAACUAGAAAGCUAGGUCAUUAUUUGAAACUGAAUUAGUCAUUUCAGGCUUUUAUUUUAGACAAGAGCCACUCUGGGUCCUCUUUUGAGAAAACACCCUCACUUUGGGUCCAUAUUUGGAAUUUUCCCAAAAAAUGUUAACCAAGAAAGGGAGAUUUUGAUAUAAGAGGGACAAAAAAAUAGAUAAAUUGUUUUAGGAAAAAUUACCAAAAUAAUCCUAAACUUAUUACAAUUUUUCCAAUUCAGUCAUAAAUCUUUUUUUUUUUGUCAAUUCAAUUAUAAACCUUUUAUGAUUGUGCCAAUUUAGUUCAUCCAAUCAUGUUUGGCCGGCCGGCACUAACGUGGACAUCAACCGAUAUUGAUGUAGACGAUUCUUAAAUAAUAUUUUACUUUUUCAAUUUUUUUAAAUUUUUUCUUUUUCUUUUUUUCUCCACUUCCUUCUUCUUUCUAUAUCUGGUCAUUGGCAGCAUAUGGUCAGAGGCAAGGUUGACGGGGUCCCCUCGUCGGCCUCAAGGAAGCCAACCCAUGGCCGGGUGACCUCACCAAGGCUACUUGCUAGGCUGGUGAGGCCUAACCGGGCCAAUUCCAUAAAAAAGCACGAACUUUAGGGUUUGGGACAAAUUUGGCCCGAACUUUAUUUUGUCUUGAAAAAAAGCACCAACUUUCACUCCUGUCCCAAAUCUGGCCUGCCGUUAACUCUCCUUCACGAUCAUCCGACCUGGCAUUUCCAAGUGGCGGAUCUGGCCGGCCGAAACCCUAACGGAGCCGACUUCCGCCCCAACCCAAAGCGAAGCGAUGAAGAGGAUUUCGCGAAGGAGCUGCUCUAUCGCCUCCCUCUUAUCUGCGCCUCUGCCCUCUGCCAAAACCAGCAAUCUCUUCUCUUUUUUCCUUUUCCAGCUAACUUCCCUUUAGCAGAAGCAACAACCCCUUCUAACUCCUCGGUAAAAUUCUCCGACGAGACCGUCACCUCUUCUUCGUCCCGAUCGUGCGCCUGCUUGCUCACUUCCUCCCACUCGAGCUCCGCCGCCAGAUUCCUCUGCGAUUCCAAGUCGAACGAGCACACGUUCUCGGAUUCCAGAUACUCCGAAUCCGAAUCCGAAUCGAUGCUCACCACUCGCAAUCCCGCGCGCAGCGGAUCCGCCUCGUCAUCCACGGCGCGUCGGGCGGAUUCGGAGACCGAUUCCCACAGAUCCGAAUCGAUCCUCGGCCCCGAUUCCGCACCACCACCAGCGGCGGCUCCGGGUCCGACCCCGAUGGCGUCUUCAGCACCGCGGGCCGAGCCGAAACCGUCGGAUCCCGAAUCGGAAUCGGAAUCGGAAUCGCAGGCCGGCGAGCGCGUGGCCGCGGCGGGGGCGACGCCGGAGCCUCUGGCGACGUAGAAGGGCGAGGGGAAGGUGGGGUUGAUGUACCACUCAAAGAGGAAGCCGGGUUCUAAGGUUUCGGGAUCUUCAGGCGGGCGCGCCAUCGGGCGGGGGGCAAAUCGGCUGAUCGGAAUCCGCUCCCCGGAAUUCCCUCUGGACGGAGGAUGGCCACGAGAAGAUCACGAGGCGGCGGCCAUUGACGGACUCCUCUCGUUCGUCAGUGAUCCAGCCAUUGAUGUUCUUCUGGUUCAGGAGGCGUUCUCGUGUGGAGGGAGGGAGGAUAGGCAGGGGAGGGGCAGGAGACGUUUUCGGAUCCGCCCGCGAAUCUGGCCGGCCGAAACCCUAACGGAGCACCAACCCUAACGAAUGACCGUGAAGGAGAGUUAACGGCAGGCCAGAUUUGGGACAGGAGUGAAAGUUGGUGCUUUUUUUCGAGACAAAAUAAAGUUCGGGCCAGAUUUGUCCCAAACCCUAAAGUUCGUGCUUUUUUAUGGAAUUGGCCCGGCCUAACCUCAUUGGAAGCCACGAGGUUCAAGGUCGUUACCUCGCAUAGCCUUUGGUGAUGGCUGUGUUGGGCGAGGCUUGCACUUGCUAUCCAUGGCGAUGCUUAACCUUGCAAGAUUUGGCGAGGUCAUGCCUCGCUAAAGGUUGUAAGUCAAGGGCUCAAUCUCGCGCAGCCUUUGGCUUGUGCAAGCCUCACCAACCACAAGUAGUUUGUGGCUUCUCCAUGGCUACGCAAGGCCUCACCCAGCCAUGGCGAGGGUAGCCUUGCCAUCGUUAGGUGAGGCUUGCCCUCGCUAGUAGCGGUCAAGGCUAAACUUGCCAAUGCUCGUCUCUAGCCGGCUGCUAGCUAGAGGAAGAAAAAAAGAAGGGGAGAGAGAGAGGGAGGGAAAAGGAAAAAAAAAAUAUUGUUAAAAAAUUGGCCACAUUAGCAUUAGCUUAAGACCGGUGCCAAACCUUCCAAAAUUAGUCAAAUAGAUUGAAUUGGCAUAAUUAUAAAAGGUUUAUGACUUAAUUAGCCAAAAAAAAAAAGUUUAAAACUGAACUAUGAAAUUUGCAAAAGAUUUAAGUCUAUUUUGGUAAUUUUCCCAUUGUUAUAAGAUUUUAGUGAUGAAAAAGAAACUUUUCAAUUUUAUACCAUAUAACAUAAUGUCUUUUUUUACUAUUAGUGAAAUGAUAUUACAUAUAAUAUGUAAAAUGUUAUUGAAUAUUCCCUUUUGCAAAGUGAUUAAAUUUUCACUAAAUUAGCUUUGAUCAAUUCUACUAAGCUAUUCCCCCUUCGUAGGCUCCAAAAUUCAAGUCAGUUUUUGAAUGAAUUGAUUCUAUAGGAACCCAUAUUCCCCCUAUUCCCUUCAUAGAUAAUGUCACUUUAAUCAUCCUGUUUUUUCUUUGUAGUAAUGUUUUCCGUCCAGGAAUUGGCCCCCGUUGACUAUUGCUUUUGCCAAUUCUACACAAAUUAAUUUGAGCUCGAGUUCAUUUAAAGCUGGAACAAAUGCAAUCUCUUUCUCUUUCAGGGGUCAGUUAUUUUCAUCUGCCAUUUGGAACUUUUCAUCCAAUUCCUUCAUCAAGUCACAACUCAGAAUGUAACUUGAUGCAAAAGAAAAAACACUAACCAUUUUAGAUUAUGGAUGAAUCAUUUGGAGUUGGAACUGUUUGUUGUAACCAAAACAAUUAAUAAAUUCGAGAAACCCAUAACAAAAGAAAUGGUAAUUGGAUGUGAGAUACGGCUAACCAAAUCUCCUUAAGGCAAUUAGUUCCAGUGAACGGUGUUAAGUAGCUUUAUGAACUAUGCCUCCCAACUUACAACACCUUGAACUUGUUUGUAUUAGUACUAUACAAAUAGGACUCUAUCAAACACUUCUUAAAACUAACACACUUAGAGAAACUUGAAAAGAGGAGAUGUAGGUCACUUCUCAUUGGAGAUGUAGGCAACUUUGUUUUUUUAAUGAAGAUAAGGUGGAUUUAGAUUUAGUUAUGUAAGGUGUAGAAACAGCACCACCAAAAAAAAAAAAAAGUUGCAAAACUCUAGAAUCGCACAAUUUGCAAUUACUUUUUUGGCAAUUUCUUGUUAUACUCCAGAAAAAAUUGCCAUAACGGCAAUAGUGCGCAUAUAUAGGAACAAAUUCGAUUUUGUUUCUAUAUGGCAACUACAAUCCACCCUUGAAGAUUGUUUCCCUUUCAAGAGAUAUUAAUUUGUAUAUAUAUCAAUAGACAAACCCAAGGGUAGCUAAUAUACGUCCGAGUUAGAAGGAGAGAAUAAACAAUGGAUAGUGGUAGCAGAAAAUGCUUAUGGAUGAUUUUGUUCAUGGCAUUAGCUUUAGGCUUAACUUUCUCUCCUCCUAUUGAGGCGAAGGAAUCUCGCCACAAGAAAUAUCGCGAGUGCCGCAAAAAUCAGAGGAGCGCCUUUUCAUUUCAGGUUAUUGCCCAAAGGGUCAAUUGUUCCACCUUCUGGACCCAGUGAUCGCAGUAGCUCGUCGCCACUGCCACCACCAGUACUCCAGGGUUGAGAUUCAACAUCGAUGCGUCAUGCGUGCCGAAGCAACAAGCGCUGCAUUUAUAUGUUUCUUUGCUCUUGGAUGAUGCCGCCUGCUGGAAUAAAUAGUUCCAUGUUGUGUUGCAAUCUCGUUUGGUGUGUAGUUUGAUAUUUGAUAUAUUUUGAGGCAAUAAGUAAACUGAUUUUGAAAGAUUUGCUGCUUUUGAUCUUCACGUGGUCUUUCAAUAUCACAAAACUACCUUAACUAAUACUUGCCUAAACCAAGCUUAUUUGGUAGAAACAACUUCGACAUGACUAUGCAGUGACAUGCUGCACCACGACACUAAAAUGGCUUUUUUUAGACUCUUGUGAUGCUUGUUUUAAGUUGGUUUCAAGUCAUUUGGGAGACAUCUAAUGAAAUUAGGUGAGAUCGUAUACUUCUUUUUCAAUCUAUUGUAGCAACCCGAUAUGACGAGGGCUGGAGUAUCACUAGGGCAAGCGGGCAUAAACAAGGAAUUGAUCUCGACAGGCAACUCGAUAGCAAAGGGGAGAACAAAAUAAAUUGCACAUCGAUCACUAGGAGAUCAUUCCUGAAUUAUAUAUGUGGGAAGUUGGAAUUAACUCAUAAGAGGCAUAUUUUGCUUAAUGACAAUGUCUACCAUUGGAAAUUUGAUAUUUAGCAUGCUCAAGUGAUGGUACAAAUAAGAUAAGUGAUCUUUUUUAUGAGAAAGUGCCUACCUUACAUCCAAUAAAAAAACUGCAAUCGUUGGAAAUUUUGAUAUUUAGCAUGCUCAAGUGAUGGUACAAAUAAGAUAAGUGAUCUUAUGAGAAAGUGCCUACUUAUACAUCCAAUCAAAAAACUGUGAUCAUCGGAAGUUCCAUAUUUAACAUGCUUAAGUGAUGGUACUAAUGAGAUAGGUGACUUUUAUGAAAAAGUGCCUACCUGUACGUCCAAUGAUAAAACCACGAAGCUUAAUAUGAAACUGGUCAAAACAAACAAUAUUUGAAGUGAAUGGGGGUUAUGUUACGAAUAUCUUACAUUUAAGAAGUAAUCUUCUUGCAUAACUCCUGAAAAAAGGCCACCAAAAUAAUGAGAGCCGAUAUGAGUUUGACAUCUCCAAUAAAAUCUUGAGCAUAUACUAGAUUAUGCCAAUGUGAGCACCUGCCUAAUUUGUCCUCUAGUCCAACAACCAAGUCUAAGAUUUUAUUCCAUAUGAUGUGUUUGUCAUUAUAUAACUUGUGCACGCAAGAUGGCCUCUACCAGUUAUGAUUCCGUCUCUAACAUAUGUGGGAGGGUUCAAUGCAUUAGAUCCACCCUACCGAGCAAUCAACAUUUGGAGGUUCUAUACAUGACACAAGAAAGGCAAAAAUUUUCUUGGACAUGAGAACGUGGUGGACUUCAACAUACAAGAUGUUCAAUUAGACAUUUGAGGAGAUGGGUAUGUUAGUGCUCUACUCUACCACUCAUAUCAGAAGUGCCGGUCUCUAGCCAUUGCCUAACAAGAUUGGAGGGUUGCAAGAUUUUUUUUCAAAUGGCUUUUUAAAUUAUUUUUUAUUCAAUUUUUUAAAAAUAGAUUUAAAAACUUAAAAAAAAGUUUAAAUUUAUUAUAAAAAAUUGUUUAAAAAAUAAAAUAAAAUUAGCGGCUCCUCCCCCGCCGUUGCCCAUUGCCAAAGGGCUAGCGAGGGUGGCCAACCCUCUCCGACCCCAGGCAAGGGCCGACGACCCUCGCCAAGCUCGGGCAAGGGAGCGCAGAGCACGCCGGCUCUUGCGAGGGGCCGAUGGCUGUUGCCUUCCCUGGGCGAGUCGUCGCCGGCCCCUCGUGCUCGCCCACAUCUAGCGAGCCUCGCUGGCCCCGAGCGAGGGUUGGCGAGGCCUUAUCUAGGGCGAGCAAUGGUCCCCGCCCCUCGUGAGGGCCGGUGAUCACUCACCCAGGGUAGGCAACAACCGCCGGCCCCUGGUGACGGUUGGUGUGCCCUGGGCUCCCUUGCCGGAGCUUGGCGAGGGCCGGCCACCAACACCCAAGGCCGGCGACCGUUGUUGGCCCCUCUAGCAAUCGGCGGCGGCGGCAAUAGGGGAGGAGUUGCUUUAUCUUCUUCUUUUUUUAACAAAUUUUUAAAAAUAAAUUUUAAGUUUCUUUUUAGUUUGUAAAUCUAUUUUUUUUAAAUUGAAUAAAAAUAAUUAAAAAAAACCACAUGGAAAAUAAAAAAUUAUUUAAAAUGCCACGUUAGCAAUUUUUGUUAAAAAGGCUGAUGGUGUUAACUUUAGGACUUGAUUGUAACAAUAUGACAAGUUUUAGGACUUGAUUGCACUUUUUGCAAGUUUUAGGAUUUAAUUGCAUUUUUGUGAUAAGUUUUAAGACUUGUGCAGCACUUAUCCCAAAAACUAUCAAUUUUAGCUUCAGUGCCAAUUCUACCUUAUCUUAUAAAAAAAAGUCAUCAACUUUUGGUUUAGUCUCAUUCUUACCCUGAACUUUUGUUUUGUCUCAUAAUAAACUACCAACUUUAGGUACAAUUCCAGAUCUAUCCUAUUUUUAUUUUUUAUCUUCUAAAAAAUGACCAACUUUUACUGAAUCACAUAUGUACCCUUGUUAACACUCCAAAAUUGCCCUUAGUGAUGUGGCAUUUCCAUGUCAUUACUCUAGUUUUUCCCUAAAUUUUCGAUAAAAAAAAGACAUCAAUUGGAGAUAAAUAAUGUCCGCCCAAAUGAUGUCUUCUUGGAUGUUACAUUUGAGUAAAAAGUAGAGCAAAUAGGGGUUGGCCAUCUUCAAUUGCUUUUACUAUUAGGAAAGUCUUCCUUUCAUCUUGCUCGGGAGUCUUCAAUUUUGUGCUCAAUAUUCAAUCUCUCGUGCUCGGGAGUCUUUUAUGUCUUAUGGUUGGAGAGCUCACACUCAGGAUGCUCGAAUACUCAUGCUUGAGAGUUUUUCAUCUUUCAAUUGUCAAAAGAAAUUUUGGAUGGAAAGUUAACGAGUGCAAAUUUGAGACUCAAGUAAAAGUUUGUGAUUUUUUUAUGAGACAAAAAGAAAAGUUUAAUGCAGAUUCAUACUAGAUUUAAAGUUUUUUUUUCAUGGGACAAAAGAAAAUUUAAGGUAGAAUUGAGAGAGAAUUUCAAGUUAGAGAUUUUUUAAGGGGACAAAGGAUAUUAUGAUAAAAUUGGGAUUGAACCUAAAGUUGGAUUUUUUUAUUUAUUUAUGGUAUUAGGCCAAAGUUUUUAGGGAUUUCUUGCAGGUUUUUCAGUGAUAUGAUGGAUAUUUUGAGUGUCAACGAUUAUCUAUCAAGUAAUUGUGUCCUUCCAUUUCUACACCUCAUUUCAGCUGAAUUGGCAAACAAGGAGGCAGUCCCUUCUUCAAUUAGCAGCCAUAACUGUGAAAUUCCUCAAAUGUUACAAGGACAUUGUGCUUAUUCUUUUUGUAGCCACUGUCUUGAAUUCAAGGUUCAAGUUGGAGAGCCUCAAAACUCUCAUUGAUCCAUAAAAUGAAAAUUUGGUAGUGGGUGAGGAGGUCUAAGGGCAAAAUAUAAUUAUAGAGGUAAUGAAUUGGCUCUUCUAUGCAUGCUGCAUAAGCCUGUCAAUUUGAUGCAAUGAAUUUCAAACCACGAACGAAGAACUUGCCCUCCUGGUGCGGUCUCUACUGGGCAAGAAAAACACCCCAAAGCAUUCACUAGGCCUUUGGCUUCAUCUACUAACAUGUUGAAGACCUACUAGGGAAUGGAACAGCUCCCAAUACAUCGAUAGAGUUCGUGAAAACAGCAUAAUGUUUGGCAACAAUGGUUUGAAAUAGUGGAAGAGGUGACCCGUCACUUUUCAAAUUCUCUACACCAUGGGUCAAAGCUUACUUAGCCCACCGGUAUCUACAGUACCUUCGGAGUUCGUGUCCAGUACUAGCCAAUAAUAUAAGAAAGAUAAUACGUCUAAUUCAUCUAUAUAAAAAUUAACAAUGAUUGUACACGGCGUGAUAGGUUUUCGCAAUAAUUUACUCCAUAAGAAUGUGCCUAACAUGAAAAAGAGACAGCGACGACAUUGUCUUGUCCGAAUCAUGCCAAAGAUUAAGUUCUAGCGCACUUCAACUUUUACAGUUGAAGAAGCCUGCGUGCCGUCUUGACCCGUUGAAGAACCAAGGAUUGACAGCGGUGCAAGGCAUCUGCUGCUUGGAAUCUUGGCUCGAUUCUCUCUCUUUUGUUGAGGGUUCUUUCUCGGUCUUUCGCUUACGUCAUUUAUAUUUCGCUUAAUUUUUUUGUAGAGCGUUUCUUCUUCUUCUCAUGGCCCCAUUGCGCCUCCUAUUUUAAUUAAUGUUCACUUUGAUACCGUGAUAAAGAUGUCUGAAACUUUUCGAACUUUUAUUGGGCAUUGCUUGUGAGCGAGGACAAUAGUCAUUCGUUGCAUGCAUGAUCUGUGAACUCUGGACCGCUAGAGCCUGAACUAGGUGGGGUUUAAGAGAUGUGAUUGUAGAGUGCGUUUAUUUCGCAAAAAAUGUGUAAUACUUCUGUAAAUGACUGUUUGUAUUCCUCACAAAAGUAAAUGAAUGUAAAAUGUUUUCAUUGUCCAUGAAAAUAGUAUGAAUUGUUUAUGAUAAUGCAAAUAUUUUCCAUUAACGAAUUAUUUCGAGUGAUAUAGGUGAUUAUUUUUACAAUAACAUAUUUUCUAAGCCAUUCAUUUCUAUUGAAAUAGACAAGAUCUGAAUCUUUAUGUUAAAUUUUAAGUCUAGAUUUGCAAUUAUUUAUCUUGCCAAUCUCAAUUCCGGAAAUUAAAUUACAAGACCAUCUCCCAUAGUCCCAUGACACCAAGAUAAAUGUAGACAUCAAACCGGCCACCCUCCCCGGAGUCUCCUUGCCCGGUCCGCAAGUAAUGCAAUGCUCUCUGUUUCUUUUUUUCGUCGUGGCUAUUAAUGAAACAAAAUAGAGAGAUUACAGCGAAAUCCCUCUGCAUUUCCGUGAAAAUACUAACAUCUCAAAAUUUUCUUGACUAAAUAUAAAAUAUUAAAAUACAACGAUUCUACGUAAUCAAUUUGUCCCGACUAAAUUGCUGGGACAAAUAAUUUGCAAUUAGAGUUCAGCAAAUCUUUCGUAACUAUCUUCAUUCGAAGACGGCCUUUGUCCGACUUGUGACUUUCGUCGAUGCCGAUACGCCGGUCCGGUCAGUAUUGUCGUCGACCGGGGCACUUAAUUGAAAAAUUUAUAAUAUUGGAGGACUCGUUUGCCCAAACUGGAAAAGAUGAUAGUAAUACAAUGACUAAAAAAGUCAACGUGUUCAUGUCGUCACCUUCGCGCGUGCUACUUUACCCAGAAGCCGAAUGAAAACGGUCCGGCUUUUCAUACAUACAAAAACCAGACAGAUGGCAGUUCGCAAGCAAGAUCAUCUGGAGCUCGCGUUCCAAGCUUCUCUCUCUCUUCGUCGUUUCUUCUCGGAGAAGGUAAGAGCUCGCAUGUCUUUCUUCUUCUUUUGUUUCGGAACUGGAGUGCACGCGAUGAGUCCGUUCUCGUCUUCGAGCUUGCUCCUGUUCUCUUCUGCUGCUGAAGAAAAGCUUCGCAUGCAUAUUCUUUUCUCUCUGUACUCUGCUCUUGCUUAUGAUACUGUGCGCGCACUGAGUUUUGUGAGGGACCCAGUACCGCGCUCUGUAUGCGUGCUCUUUACUCGCGCGCAUUCCACGCAAGCCCGAGUCCAGGUUCUCACCGGUGUCAAAUCACUUCGUACUGUGUUCGCUCGAGAUGCUGAUUUCGCCCGAGGCGCAAUUCUGAUGCAAUUCCUGCCAAAUGGCUUGGAGCUACUUUGCUUCCUUCUAGAAAUUAUAGCCCACCAACUUGUUUAAAAGAAUAUGCUUUGUGUGCUGAGAGAAGCGGCUGUUUCAGAUUGUGCGGCGACGAAACAUGGUGGAAGGGGAGUCCCUUAUUGCGAAAGAUGUCACUGAGGCAAGCAGUGUUGCAUCUCCUUCAGCACCAUUUGCGUAGAUAUAGUUGCCAAGGCGCUGUACUCUGAUCGAGUGCUGUUUCGGUGCAGAUAAUUGGCAAGACGCCCCUGGUGCACCUCAACCGUGUGGUGGAGGGUUGUGUUGCCCGAAUUGCUGCGAAGCUUGAAAUGAUGGAGCCCUGCUAAGGUGUCAAAGACAGGUUUGUAAUUGGAAUUUGAAUACUGUGGUGUCCAUUUCCAGUCAAAUUACAGAUUCCUCACGAUGCCAGGAGGUUGGCACUUGUCAAAAGAAGCAUAAAUUUAAUUGCCACCUCUGGUCUAUAUAUUAUCGCAUAAAUGAAACAUUUUCUUUAGCGAUGUGAUUUGUUCUGAUGAAUUGCAGUCACAGCGAAUCCUUUUGUCCUUGAUUGUAGGAUUGCGUAUAGAAUGAUUGCAGAUGCUGAGGAAAAGGGUCUGAUUAAGCCGGGAGAGGUUAGUUUUGGUUGGUCAAGUUUCUUCAUGUAGACUAUCCAUCUGUAAAAGCUGUUCAAAAUGGCAAGUCUAUUCCAUUCAUGUUGGAAAGCCUCUGAUUCUCUAUAUCGCUUGGUGCCUCUUGGGCGAUGUAACUUUUGGUGUAAUCCAAGUUGGUUGAAUAAAUUGAUCAUGGAUUUGACAAUCAAAUAAGGCAUGAAUGUGCUUUAAAUCCUCAUUUGUCUAGUACAUCAACUCCACUGAAAAACUGCAAAGGUUUGAGUCUGUGCCUGAUAAACUCAGUGUAACAAGAAAAAGUUUAUAUAUGUGCCAAGUGAAACUAUGGAACUGACGAAACUUCUUCUGUUGUGAUGUGUUCAAGAGUGUUAUGACUGAGCCUACUAGUGGUAGCACCGGAAUAGGGCUGGCAUUUAUGGCUGCUGCCAAGGGUUAUAAACUUAUAAUUACCAUGCCCGCUUCAAUGAGUCUUGAAACAAGAACCAUUCGCCGUGCUUUUGGAGCUGAUCUUGUCCUCACGGAUCCAGCCAGGGGCAUGAAAGGCUCUGUUAAAAAGGCUGAAGAGAUAGUGGAAAGAAUACCCAAUGCAUACAUGCUUCAUCAAUUUGAGAACCCUGCCAAUCCCAAGGUAUACAGUUCACACACUUAGUAAUCCUUCUAUAGCUAGCUGGUUGGAGAAGCUUAAGUUCUUCCUGCUUUCAUAGAUCCAUUAUGAAACGACUGGACCAGAGAUAUGGAAAGGUUCAGGAGGCAAAGUUGAUGCCCUCGUUUCUGGGAUAGGAACUGGAGGUACAAUAACAGGAGCAGGAAAAUAUCUCAAGGAGCAGAACCCUAAGAUCAAGGUGUGCAUUUCUAUCGCCUAGUUAUAUUUCUAGGCAACUUUACCGCUUCUCAUGUUUUUCAUUUAAUACUUCUGUGUAUUUAGCUCUAUGCUGUAGAACCUGCGGAAUGUGCAGUAUUAUCCGGUGGCAAACCUGGUAAGUCAUGAUCUUCAACACACUGUUGGAUCCCUUUGUAACUGGUAGUGAUAUUACACUGGCUUAACUUUUCAUUGUGUACUUUUCCUUUUCCUUCUGCACCAAUUGAAGGACUUGGAUGAGGAAACAUACUUUGUGUUUGGGUUUUGGCUGUGCCUUCUCUUGUUUAUCUCCCUCUCUGAUGCAUGAUUAAUAUACUGAGUGAAGAACUUAGGAAUGGCUGUCCUGAUUUUUCAAGGAUAUGGCUAGAGUAGUAACUACUUGCCUGGAAAUUAACUUCAUUGUAUGAUUGAUAUGAUCAAUGAACCGCAGAAUUGGGUCAUCCAUUUCCUUUUCCUCUCAUGACGGUUCAGCUACUACAUACCCUGGUUCUGCCCAGACAGCCUUUUGUUUAGUCACUAGAACUUAUGAAUUUGCUACAUUUGUGUGGGGAAAAAAUAUUUGCUUAAACUUUCUGCGCUUUCAUAUGUUUUGGUGAUGUUCAGCAUGGUUCUAUGAUAAUUUCAUAUACACUACAAAAUGAAUUGCCGAAGGUCCGCAUAAAAUACAAGGCAUUGGUGCUGGCUUCAUCCCUGGAGUGCUAGAUGUGAAUUUAUUUGAUGAAGUUAUUCAAGUAAGUUUUUAUCCAUACAAGGGGACAAAUUUGUGCUAUAUUUUUGCUUUUACAUCUCGGCAUCCGUCCACUUAUUAUGUCUUCUCAUCUUGAGAAUAUGUUUUCGAUGCCGUGAUUUUUUGUACAUUUGGCCUUUCCUGUUUAUAUUUAUUACCAUUUACCAAAAAAAAAUUUGUGCUAUUUUCUUUCUGUUUUCUGGUCCUGCCAUCAUGUUCAAUUAUCCUCAUUCCUAAAUUUCAUAACAUCCAUGCUGUUGCACAAGGGAAAAAGGACUAAACAUGCAAACAGAAAGUCUGCUCUCUUGCUGAUAUCCAUCCUACUACCUGAUAGAUCAUCAUUUGUAUUCAACAAAAUGACAACAACUCUUCAAUUGCACAUGCUUUUUACGAUUUGCAUACCGUUAGCCAAUGAUCUUUGCAUUGUAAAUGUGGUUCCUAUCAAGUAAUUCACAUUGGCUAGUAUAGGAUUCUCUUUCUGAUUUUGCAGGUAUCAAGUGAAGAAGCUAUUGAAACUGCCAAGCUGCUUGCAGUGAAGGAGGCUUUGCUGGUAAAGAGACUUGUCUAUCAUUAGGCAUUGAGACUUCAGAACCCCACCCCAGGAAACGAUGCACACACUGGCUAAUAUCCAUUUUUAACUUAUUUCUAGAAACAUGACAUGAUUGUGGCACUUCAGAGUUCUCUGCUGCGUGCUUUUUAAGUGGGUUCUUUGUGAUUUUAUCUUUUUCACUUGCAGGUCGGAAUAUCGUCGGGUGCAGCUGGUGCAGCCGCAAUUAAUAUUGCAAAGAGGCCAGAAAAUUCUGGAAAGCUCAUUGUGGUCAGUAAAUUUGCUUUUAUUGGACGUCGUUAGCAGAAUAUCAUGUAUUUUACAAGUGACUUCGCAAUAACAUAGCCGUGUAAGCAAGCGCAUAUCUUCUUGUUCGGUGAGUUCGGCUUACUUAAGUUUUCUUCAGCUUGAUGUCAAGCUUCAGUUGAAUGAAACUACUCCUAUUUUCCUUCUCAAAAUGAUGAAAAACCAUUUCUAGCUUGUUCACACUCUUCUUCAACAGCAAGCAGCCAUUCGAUCAUACUCAUGCAAAAAUAUUAGGGUCAAUUCCAUAAAAAAGCACGAACUUUAGGUGUUGUCCCAAAUCUGGCCCGAACUUUAUAUUGUUUAAAAAAAACAAACACCAACUUUCACUUGUGAUCCAAAUCUAGCCCUCCGUUAACCCUCCUUCCACAGACAUCCGACAUGGCAUUUCCUCUCUAAGUCUAUUUGAAGAUGAAUGAAGUAAGUCUAUUACAAAUAAGCUUCAUAUCUCUAUUUAACUACAAGAUGCACACGUUUUUAUAUCUCGCUUUAAGGCAAUGUAAUAUUCUACUUCCAACCCAGCUUUUGACAUUGAAAAUAACUUGCCAAUUGUUAAUUGAUCUAAUGGCCCUAGCUAUGUACCUCGUCCCCUGGAACUGAAGCUAUUGAAUUAUUUUUCCCAUGAGAAUCAUCUGUAAAGUUCACCUCAUUGGAAGGUAGACUUAAAUUUAACACUUCCUCCAAACACUCAAAUGCAGCAUCGUUUUGCACCUCAACAAAUUUGGACCUCUUCACAGUCGACCCAUAGGGCAUAUAGGAGGAGCGCGUUUAUGGCAACACCUAGAUCCCAUAAGUUUAUGCAUCUUCUCAACAUCAAGUCCAAAAGCAUCUCCAUGGUACCAUUCUGUAUCAAAAGAGUAGAUAUCAAAGUUAUUUACGACAUUCAAAAAUCAAUUAGACUCGAUGCACAUUAACUUCACAACUUUCAUGGCGCCAAAAUUUCCGACGGAAACGACAUCUCAAAGUGAUCGAGCUUGUGUAUGUGCAAGAGCAAGCGUCUCCAUGUAAGAGAAUGAGCGAGCAAGCCAGUGCGUGAGAACUUCCAAUGAAUUGAAGACUCCCGUGCGCGAACUCGCUAAGGAAAGGAAACCCUAGAAAGAAUUCUCCCCAAUCACAUGAGUCGUGCGUUAGAGAAGAAGAGAAAGCCCAGGAACAAUUUUGCCUUUAUAUCCAUGUCAGCUUGCUGUGUUGGAUAUUAUUAUUUUUUUUUUUUAUGACCCGGGAACCCCCGUACAGCCGGCAGCCGACGAGAUAAACCCGGGGUGACGCUAGCGGAGGACCCACCACCCCGACGUCACACUUAAGAUCCCGUGCGACCAAUGGGAUUUGAACUCCUCUCCUCCUCGCAAAGGAUCAUGGGAGCCUUAUCCAACUGGGCCACUGCAGGCAGUGGUGCUGUGUUGGAUAUUAUUGUUGACAUGGAAAUGUUAUGUUGGAUGCCUGUGCAAUGAGGGUCAAUGGAGGGCCAGAUUUGCGACAUGAGUGAAAGUUUGUGCUUUUUUUUAAGACAGUAAAGUUCAAGUCAAAUUUGGGACAACACCUAAAGUUUGUGUUUUUUUUCUGAGACAAAAUAAAGUUCGGCCAAAUUUGAGACAACACCUAAAGUUGAUGUUUUUUUAUGAAUUUGGUCCUAAAAUAUUAACCCUGCUCAGGUGGUCUUCCUGAGCUCUGGAGUCUUCUAAGCUGUUCCAAUCAGUGAAGCAGGAGGUAGAGAAUAUGCUUUAUGAACCUUGACUAAUUUCCUCAACGUGUUGACAUAAUUUGAUUUGGUUUAAUAGACUCAUGAAGAAGAAAUUCCAGUCGGCCCAUUCUGAUGAAGAAUUGUCCGCCGUGACAGGUAUUUAAUAAUGCGCUGCGGGGACAUGACAUGUAUGUUUCUUUUUGUUUCCCCCCUUAACAGUUUUUCUUUUGCUUGCUUCCAACCAUGUAAACUUUCGUGUUAGCUUUCAUAAUCAUCUUGUAAGUAUAACCUUCUGCAUUCGGUGAAGGGGAAAGGUGACAAUUAACACUUCGGAUUUACUCUUUUUACUUCCUCCACUUGCCAUGUGUUCUGUAAUCAAAUUAGCCAUAUACAUAAAGCUGAUAGCAGUUCCCUUUCAUACUUACACGAAGAAGUAACAUUUAGAUCACGAUGAACAUGACUAUAGGAGAGCUAAUUCUCGCACAUGACAACUUAGUGAGUUGGAAAAUAUAGAUCAGCGUGUUAGCAUUUGGCAGCAAGGUGAAAAUUUUCGGACUGCGAUAUGCCUUCGAAGGCUCCACGAGAAAGGCCAGAGGAUUGGUGCUUAUCACCCUGCGGGGACAACGUAGGUGGACAAGAAACCGUACAAGUGCAAAUCCUGCAAAGGCUCCUUCAAAUAGGCAUACUUUCUCAGCAACCCAUCUCUAACGUACCCGGCCUUCUCCUACACUCUCUGGCCAGUCCUAUCGUCCACUCCAAUGAAGGCUUGAACCCUUAAGACAUCAGGGAAAUCCCCAAACACCUGGUACAGCGCCAUUUUCACCGCUCAGGUCACCUCCACAGGAAUGCCAUACUACGGAAAUAGGCUAUGUUUAGACUAAGGAAUUGGGUAGGGGCCGCGCGAACGCAAGCCCCCACCUCCCAUCGGGUGAAAUACAUAUUGUGCAUCAAUUCUCCAAUCAUUUUACAAAUGAUUAGCUGAUAGGUAUUUUCGAAAAACCUUGAUGAGGUAAUUUCAAAUGACCCGAAAAGAUACUUAAUGUCCCAUUCAGUUUUAUGCACUGAAUAUACUCUAAACAUGACUUUCUCUUUCUGAUAAAUAUCACAAAACUACCUUAACUAAUACUCGACUAAACCAAGCUUAUUUGGUAGAAACAACUUAGACAUGACUAUGCAGUGACAUGCUGCACCACGAAACUAAAAUGGCUUUUUAUAUAUUCUUGUGAUGCUUGUUUUCAAGUUGGUUUGAAGUCAUUUGGGAGACAUCUAAUAAAAUUAGGUGAGAUUGUAUACUUCUUUUUCAAUCUAUUGUAGCAACCCGAUAUGACGAGGGCUGGAGUAUCACUAGGGCAAGAGGGCAUAAACAAGGAAUUGAUCUUGGCAGGCUCCUCGAUAGCAAAGGGGAGAACAAAAUAAAUUGCACAUCGAUCACUAGGAGAUCGUUCCUAAAUUAUUUUUAUUUCAAACAUAUUUCUAGACUAAUUUUUUUUCUAAAAAUAGAAAAUUGAAAUUGUGUUAUCAAAUAGAUUUUUGUUCAAACCUAUUCUUGGGAACAUAAAAGAUAAUUCUAGUUAGGCACAAAAUGGUUAUCAUGUGUACCUUUAGUUGCCGGAAAUCGUUGCUGUGGAGGAGUGUCACAUCAAUGAUUUCUAUCGACAAUUGAUCAUAAUGAUUAUAUUAAAAGUUUACGUAAAGAAAAUGACUUAAUUUUCUAAAUUGAAAAGUUUAAGAUUGAAUUAGCAUUCAUAUAAUAAGUUUAGGAUUGAUUAGAUAAAUUUCCCAUUUGAUGUUGCUAAGUAAAAUGGAAAAAAAAAAUUGCCAAAACUCUAGAAUUGCUCAAGUUGCAAUUACUUUCGUUUCGUAGAUUUCUUGGUAACCUCUUUAAGAAAUUUCCAUAACGGCAAUCAAGCACAUAUGACAAGACAACUACAUUCCACCCUUGAAGAUGGUUUUCCUUUCAAGAGAUAUUAAUUUGUAUAUAUAUCAUUAGACAAACCCAAGGGUAGCGAAGAUACAUCCAGGUUAGAGAGGAGAGAACAAACGAUGGAUAGUGGUAGCAGAAAAUGCUUAUGGAUGAUUUUGUUCACGGCAUUAGCUUAGGGCUUAACUUUCUCUCCUCCUAUUGAGGCGAGGAACUCGUUGCCACCGCCACCACCAGUACUCCGGGGUUGAGAUUCAACAUCGAUGCAUCAUGCGUGCUGAAGCAACAAGCGAUGCAUUUCUAUGUUUCUUUGCUCUUGGACAAUGUCGCUUGCUGGAAUAAAUAGUUCCAUGUUGUGUUGCAAUCUCGUUUGGUGUGUAGUUUGAUAAUUUUUUAGGCAAUAAGGGCAUGCAUGGUAACGUUUCUAUUUCUCUCAAUUUUUAUUAUUUUGUUCCCGGAACAAAAAAAGAACAAAAAUCCAUGGGGUAAAACUUUUGUUCCAGGAACAAAAAGUCUAUUUUUUUGUUCGAGGGAAUAGAUUUGGAACGUAUUAUAAAACCCCUAACAAUGAAAUACGAGAAAGAGAAAAGCAGGCAAUCGAUCACAACCAAACAAGCUUUCUUAUAAACACACAUGUUUAUAUACAACACAAGGUUGUCUACAAAAUAGACCGGCUCAACAAAAAGGGAACCGUCCUACGACCAACUAGUCAGACAUGUUCGCCAAUUCUUUGGCUUCGAGUCCUCCACGACCGCCAUCUAAGGACCCUAAACCCCUAUUAGAAAGAAAAUCCACUCGAGGAUGGCCUAGCCACUCCAUCACAAACAAUGAGACUUACCUUUGCCUCAGUUCUUUCCUGCAGGUUAGCACAGUUCAUAUUACUCAAGCAUAAAUAGUAAUAAAAUUCAAACAAUUCAAUUACUCGGAUCGACUCAGAGAUCGAUCGACUCAGUCGAUGACAUGUCAUCGAGGUCAUCACAUGGUAGUGGAAUCACGGACCCACUCGGCACGACCUUUAAUAGGUGGUAAAUCACGGCCCGACUCGGCAAGUUUAGAUUUAGUGGCAUCACGGCCCCACUCGUCACGACCUUUAAUAGGUGGUAGAUAACGGCCCGAUGGGCACGACCGAUUCCAAAUUCGGUGGUAAAUUUUGGCCCUAUUGGCACAACCAUACUUCGGUGGUUUUUUAAGUCCACUCACAACCUUUCAUAGUUAUUUUCCCAUAAAACACUGACAUUCUCAAAUUUUAGGAUAAUUCUCUCAUAACCACUAAUUUACUCAAUUCUCAUAAACCAGCACUCAAAUAAAUAAACGGAAAGCACCACCGCAAAUCAGCACAAAAUUUUGACAAUUUAAGGUCCCAAAAUAAUUUUUGAAAUUUAUUAAAUAAUUAAAUUUAUUCCGAAAAUUAAUUAAAUAAUAAUAUUUUAAUAAUUUCGAAUAAUAAUAUAUUAUUAAAUAAUUAAAUAAUUUCGAAAUAUUUAUUUAAUCCAAAAAUACUUCAUUAAAGUCAAAUCAAGGCUUAUUCUAAUAAUAAACCUACUUAGCCUUAAUUAAACAUACUUUAAACUAAAUAUCACCUUAAUCUAAUCUACUCCUAAAUAAAUUAAACUAACUAUCUAAUAACACUUAACAUAAACUAAGCACACAUAAAGCAUCAUUAACCAUCUAAUCAAGGUUUAGGAGCUAAACUGACCGGAAUCGCUUUCUGAUGUGUCUCCGGUGAAGACAACGGCAAGGCAGUCCAAAAACCUCCUCGAGCCAGCACCAAAAGAAGACCGGAAAGUGCCUAAAAUGGGCCUUGAAGAUCCGGAUCUUCACUGGAACUUCCAGCUGCUGGUCAUGGGCAGAGGAGGGCCAAACGGCAGCUAGUUGGGCACGAAACCGGCGGAGAAGGGCGGCGGCAGCUCGGGCGGUGCAGACGGUGGCUUCGGCGGGUAUUCUGGCAACGCAAGGCGACGACAAGCUGCUGUUGGGUGACAAAUGACGAUGCUGGACGGCGAACGAAGGUGGAGCAAUAGCUAGCGAGCGGCGAGCUGGCCAGCGAGUGGGCGAAGGAGAAGCAGCACCGGCAGCGAGCGACAGCAACCUCGGCUGCUCCGGGAACCAAACAGUGGUUGCUGGUGACGAGGAGCAACGGCCAGAUGGAGGAGAGACAGCGGCUGGAGCUCGAGCGGAGACGACGCAACGGCUGGCCGGCAAGGCGCGCACGAGGACGAACGGCGACCGCGGUGGCGACGAACGGCGAGCGGCAAAGGAGGCGCACGAAGGGUGCGUCAGGGCUGGCUUCCAGUCAGAUCCUCUCUCUCUCUCUCUCCUCUUUCCAAAUUCCAAGAAGCCAAGCUUGAAGAUGAUAGAGUUGGGUUGAAGAGAAAUCUCACCUUUUUGGGGGCAAUUGUACACCCUUCACUUGUCAAAAUCCUAGACACUCAAGCCCCACCAUGACAUCACUUGAUGAUGUCACACUCCGCAAUCUCCAACUUCCCACAAUCUUAUUCCAAUUGGUGCAAUAUAUUUUUCCGCCGUGGUAUGAAUUCUCCAAAAUCUUGUACAACACAUUUCAUUCAAUCCACUUUCAAUUAAGCCAAAUUAAAGUCCAUAAAAUUAAUCCAAUGUUACCACACUUCAAUUCACAAUUUUACUUAACCAUAGAAUCAUCUUGAGUCCCGAAAGCAUGAUCAAAAGCGGGCCUACCAAUUUCUCGAACCAAAUUAACCACAUGCUGAUUCUUCGCUGAAAAUUUAGCUUGCAUGAAAAAUCUUCCGAAGACGAGUCAAUGUUCUUAAAAUGAUUCGUGACACACUAGGACUUCUCAAUUUUUGAAUUCGAUUUCAAUUUCACAGUUAAUUUCACUCUGGCACGAUACUAGCACGUCAUGAUCUACUUGGUAGCUUUUAGAAAUUUUCAUGCAUUUGACUGGUGGUUGAUCAAGUCAAGCCACAAUGUACAUCUUUGACACAUUGGUGACUCUCGGUUGUCGGGGUAAUCUCAAGGUUUCAAAUAUGGACACAAGGUACCCAAUCAACAGAAAAGCCAAUCUAGUGCCGAUCGAUAAGAAUUGUGCGAUCUGGUGGAAUCACCCACACUUGAUCACAUGCCUCUAUCAAGUCAACAUAUCUCUGAUCUCUAAUCGAUUUUUAAUUAUGCGGUAAUCACCCUUGCAGAUUAGCUUGGUCGAAAGGUUGCUUCCUGGUCAAAUUCUCGAGUUCGAUGCAUUAGAAUCUCUUAACAACUUCACCUGAUAGACUAGUUUUCACAUGAGUGACCAACUCAAGGAAAAGAACUAUAUGUGUGCCAAUGAAAUGCCUGUCUAAAUUUAUUGAAAAUAGAAUUGGAAAAUCGGGAUAUCACAGAUAACCUCCAUUUUUAGAGCAAAAUCUAGGAAGUUGUUAGGGUUUAUGGUUAGUAGUAAGGGUAUAGAGAUUGAUCCGUCUGCUGUCUGAUUGUUGUCGCUACCGCCCAUAGCUCACCGGCCACCCCCGACCUUCGAUAACCGCCACCGACUGCCAUUGUCACCGGCCGCUGCCAUAGGAUCACCGCUCGCUCAUCGUCGCUGCCCCCCGACCGCCGUUGCGGCUGAUGAGCGGUGAGUAGCGGUCAGCAGUCCAUGAGCAAGAAUAAAAAAACAAAUAAAUACCAAAAAUAAAAAAUAAACACAUUUCUAUUAUUUUCAAUUUCAAGAAUAGAAAUUUUGUGUAGUUAUUAAACACCUUAUUUUACUCAAAAAUCGUUCCCUGGAAUAAAAAUAGAAAAAGACUAUUUCUAAAAAAAAAAAACUGUUCCUUGGCCAAGAAGCGUUACCAUGUGCACCCUAAGUAAUCUGAUUUUGAAAGAUUUGCUGCUUUUGAUCUUCACGUGGUCUUAUGAUAUAACAAUGACUUGUGAUUCUAGUUGGGUGGAGGUGGACCAUGAAGCAAGUAUUUCUUUAUGUUUUGUAUUAGAAUAUGGCAUGUACGGGUUCUCAUUUUUCUAACAAGAAACCCGCUUGAAAUAGGCAAAUUUGUUGGAUCCAUUAUAUACUCAACUAAUCUCAUGUAUUAGACAAGAUUCGAGCCAAAGUCGAAUGGAGAGUCAAAAUAUGGAUUCUUUACAAUUACUGGAGUUAGGAUUGCUUCUAAUAAGAACAUAUAAGAUGCACUUCAUUGUCUUAAGAGGAAGUGAAUCUUCCUAUGCAUAUUACUAUUUACCAAUAAUUAGUUCAAAAGAAACCUCGACUAAAUCUAAAAGUUAUAAAAAUUAUGUGAAUAUUAACCACUUUAAAUUUUGAAAAAUUUCAAGGUGUCCCGAUUUUUUAAAAGAUAACUAAAAGUGGAACUUGUCUCAAAUUAUAACCUCGAAGUAGCCAACUUAAUUUCAAAUGAGGCCAUGAACUCACUCAUCAACUAAAUCUUUGCAGGCAAGCACUUACGACUUUUCGUGGCAUUGCAGGGGUAUUUUGAUCUAGAGCCUUUUUUUUUAUUUCUUCUUCCUGUGCACAUUGGCUGACUACCAGCCUCUAACCAACUUCCUCCAUGUCCCCUGACACAUCUUCAUCGGAGUCCGCAUCGACAAAGAAAUCGAGAGCAAUGAAUUGAGAAAUACAGGCAAGCUUAAUUACAAUUCCAAGAUGCUGAAUUGGUUCUCGAGGAUCGACUUGCUUCAUUGGCUUCCAAAACGUGGUGGACUUAGUCGGUGAUUGUUGUGCUUGGAGAUGACGUGAAAGCUUACUUAGAUUGCUCCUUGUAAUUUGCCUAUUGUUGAUGGCCAUUGACAAUGAAAAAUUUGGAAAUUACUUUCACCGCGAAUUGCUUGCAAAAUAUUAUGAAGAGGCAGUUUUGAUAAGGAGAUUGAGAUAUUCGAAUAAGAGAAUGCUGUCCUAUUUGGACAUUGGUGGAGAGCAGAGGCCCACUCUGGAAGUUGUUUUACCAGAAAGAAAGGGAUGAGAGAUGGAAGAAGAGUAUAUUUAAUAGACACUUCAGAAAUUCUGCACAAGUUGUGAGUAUGUAAUGGAAAAAGAAAAAAGGCAGUGUCAUUUCUAACUCCCAUACAACUAAAUACAUUCAAUUUCUACCAAAAAGACAAAAUUAAUGUCUAUCAUUUAAUUGCAAUUUAAAUUGGUAGUCCCAGAUAUAUUUACUUUCCUUUUUUUUAGUUUUUCUAUAAUAUAUAGGAUCUACUUACCAUAAUUAAAAAAUUAAUAUGUUUAGGGUUUGUUUGUCGUGGAUUUUCCAUGUAUAGUGAAGGCACCAUGUUUUUUUUUUCAUUGUUAGAUAUUACUUCCAUAAAAAAUUAUUUUGUCGAAAGGAGAAAUUUCCCAAAAUUCUAGUUCCAUUUCACUUUGUCGAUUAUAUUUAUAAAUAAAUUGUUAAGCCGAUGAAAUUUAAUUUAAUUAAAACACUACACAAAGUAAGAACAUUUUUUUUAUCGUUAUUUUGGAUAGACAAAAAUUAAUAUCAUUCAUGAAUUGUUUACAAACAAAAUAUCAAGAUUCCUCAUUGUGUAUAAUAUUUUAAUUUUUUUUCUAUAAAUUCAUCUAACAUCUUACAUGCUUCGUAUAAAAGUAUUUUGACAAUAUAAUAAGGAAAAAGGAUAAAUUCUUUGAUAUUGUAAAGGAAGAGAUUUGAUAUAUAUAGUAGACUAAUAAAAUUAAUAAAAUGUUAACCAAGAAAGGGAGAUUUUGAGAUAAGAGGGACAAAAAAAUAGAUAAAUUGUUAUAGGAAAAAUUGCUGAAAUAAUCCUAAAUUUAUUACAAUUUUUCUGAUUCAGUCAUAAAUCUUUUUUUGUUUUUUGUCAAUUCAAUUAUAAACCUUUAACAAUUGUGCCAAUUUUGUUCAUCCAAUCAUGUUUGGCCGGGCGGCACUAACGUGGACAUCAACCGAUAUUGAGGUAGACAAUUCUUAAAUAAUAUUUUACUUUUUCAAAUUUUUUAAAUUUUCUCUCUCUUUUUUUCUCUUUCUUUUUUUCUCCACUUCCUUCUUCUUUCUCUAUCUAGUUGUUGGCAGCAUAUGGCCAGAGGCAAGGUCGACGAGGUCCCCUCGUCGGCCUCAAGGAAGCCUACCCAUGGUCGGGUGACCUCACCUAGGCUACUUACUAGGCUGGUGAGGUCUAACCUCAUUGGAAGCCACGAGGUUGAAGGUUGUGACCUCGCACGGCCUUUAGCAAUGGCUGUGUUUGGUAAGGCUUGCACGUGCUAUCCAUGGUGAUGCUUGACCUUGCUAGAUUCGGUGAGGUAAUGCCUUGCUAAAGGUUGUGAAGUCGAAGGGCUCGAUCUCGUGCGACUUUUGGCUUGGGCUAGCCUCACCAACCACAAGUAGUUUGUGGCCUCUCCAUGGCUAGGCAAGGCCUCACCCAGCCAUGGUGAGGGCAGUCUUGCCAUCGUUAGGUGAGGCUUGCCCUCAUCAGUAGCGGUCAAGGCUAAACUUGCCAAUGCUCAUUGCCGGCUGCUAGCUAGAGGAAGAAAAAAAGAAGGGGAGAGAGAGAGGGAGGGAGGGAGGGAAAAGGAAAAAAAAUAAUAUUGUUAACAAAAUUGGCCACAUUAGCAUUAGCUUAAGGCCGGCACCAAACCUUCCAAAAUUAGUCAAAUAGAUUGAAUUGGCAUAAUUAUAAAAUGUUUAUUACAUAAUUAGCCAAAAAAAGUUUAAAACUAAACUAUGAAAUUUGCAAAAGAUUUAAGACUAUUUUGGUAAUUUUCCCAUUGUUAUAAGAUUUUAGUGAUGAAAAAGAAACUUUUCAAUUUUAUACCAUAUAACAUAAUGUCUUUUUUCUUUUUCUUUUUUUACUAUUAGUGAAAUGAUAUUACAUAGAAUAUGUAAAAUGUUAUUGAAUAUUCCCCUUUGCAAAGUGAUUAAAUUUUCACUAAAUUGGCUUUGAUCCAUUCUACUAAGCUAUUCCCCCUUCGUAGGCUCCAAAAUCCAAGUCGGUUUUUGAAUGAAUUGAUUCUAUACGCACCCAUAUUCCCCCUCUUCCCUUCAUAGAUAAUGUCACUUAAAUCAUCCUGUUUUUUCUUUGUAGUAAUGUUUUCUGUCCAGGAAUUGGCCCCCGUUGACUAUUGCUUUUGCCAAUUCUACACAAAUUAAUUUGAGCUCGAGUUCAUUUAAAGUUGGAACAAAUGCAAUCUCUUUCUCUUUCAGGGGUCCGUUAUUUUCAUCUGCCUUUUGGAACUUUUCAUCCAAUUCCUUCAUCAGGUCACAACUCAGAACGUAACUUGAUGCAAUAGAAAAGACACAAUAACCAUUUUAGAUUAUGGAUGAAUAAUUUGUAGUUGGAACUGUUUGUUGUAACCAAAAGAUUAAUAAAUUCGAGAAACCGAUAACAAAAGAAAUGGUGAUUGGAUGCGAGAUACAGCUAACCGAAUCUUUUUAAGGCGAUUAGUUCCAGUCAACGGUGUUAAGUAGCUUUAUGAACUAUGCCUCCCAAGUUACAACACCCUAAACUUGUUUGUAUUAGUACUAUACAAAUAGGACUCUAUCGAACACUUCUUAAAACUGACACGCUUAGAGAAACUUGAAAAGAGGAGAUGUAGGUCAGUUCCCAUUGGAAUGAAGAAUUUUAAAUUUAUUUAUAGAGUUUUAGAAUUCAUGUGCAUAAGCAGUAGAUGAACCAUGAAUUAAAUAGAUACAAGAAUUUAUGAGAUACAUGAAUUAAAUAGAUGCAUGAACUCAAGAAAUACAAGAAUUAAUGAGAUACAUAAACGGAAACAACGUAUUUCGUUUUACUUACUUUUGUUGAUCAUUAACCUACCACCUUCUCAGAGAGGGUUGGGGUGGGGACGAUUUAGUUUUCGGAGUGGGUUUCGACUCUCAUGCCCUGUAAGGAGGUAGGGCAAAAGUCUGAAAGUGAGUAUUAGAAUAGGAAUAGAGUAGGACCGACCAAAAAAAGAAAAAGAAAAGAAAAACCUACCAUAAUUACAACAGGAACAUGUACUGCCUUUUUUCCUCUCCAACGUGUGUUUUUAAUCCUUAUCAUUCCACAUCUUGAAUUUCAAAAUGUCAAUUUGGCUUUGCCCCAUGUUCCGACUGUCCCAACAUGUGUUUCAGAAUCAGAAGGAUUCUACCAAUUUUGCAGUCUACAAGAAAAAGAGAAUCUUCUGGUUUCAUUUCAAUUCGAUCAAAUUGGAAUGGUUAUUUCCCUUUUCUCUCAACCGAAAGGGUGGCUGCUGGACAAUAUAUCGUUUAGUACAAAUUCAGGUUGGGCUGGAGGUGACUUGGUCCUCCAUGAUCUUCAGGCAUUGAUCAUCAUAUUGGUGAACUGGUGCAAAAUGGAGAUCUAUGGGACUUUACCGUGAUAGAGUUCUUGAAAUUACACUAGAAAAAGGGUUCAAACAACAAAGAAAACCUUCCGCGAGAUUUUCUUUAUACGAAAAUCAAAGCAAUGCAUAUUCACUUGCCCUCAGGAUCCUUGGUACAUCGCUUUCACAUAAACAUUGCUCUUCUAACACCCGUCAGGACCUAGAAGUUGGAUUCAUCUUUGGCCAAAGUUUCGAUAUAAAAAAUCAGCACGGAAGGUUUGGUAACCAUGCAAAGUCAUUUGACUGCUCAAAUACACCCAGAUGCCAAGUCAUUUGACUGCUAAAAUAUACCCAGAUGCAGUAAACUGUGAGACUCGCCCAUCAUCAGAGGCGUAAAGGUCCUAUUUUAUUCUAUCUUUCAUAUAUUUCACUUUAGAAACUUGAAUCUUUUGUGUUUUAUGAACAUCCUCACCAAAAUAACUUGAAAUCUAGAAAUAAAAUAACUUUCAUAUAAGUAUUUACAAUUUCUUCAUAUUAUGUCAAGAAAUUUUUUGAUGGAGAUUUUUUCGCCCCUUUUUGGCUAAAACAAACCAAUUUUAAAGUUGAUUGACCAAAUUAUUCACCCUCUGAGUACUAAAUAAAUCAUAAACUAAAAAAAAAAAAAAUGAUAAAUCAAGCAUUCGCCACCUUCUAUCUCUCUCGCAUUCAAAUAUCUCACUUUGCCUACAUGUCACGAAAUCCAUCACUGAAUAACCAUUUCCAAGGGACUUGAACUCUCUCGAAAUUGGAUCACCCAUGUAUCUCCCGUUAUUAGAACUCCGGUUUUUGGCGCUAUUUCUUGUGCACCUAAAUUCAACUUAAUCAAACUCGAGAUAAGAGAAAACACUCUUCAUAAAGAAAGAUAAAGAAACUAUGGAGCAUUUGCUUAUUAUCUUUCCAAGUAUAAUAACAUUAUCUACAGUUAAUUUCAUUAUUUGAUCAUUCAAAUAUUUCACAACAUAGUGAGUUUACUUUAUCUUUCGAAUAUCAAUUUCUUGUAUACACGAAACCAAUAUGGGUCUACACAUUUGCUACCAUCUUUAAAGAAAAUGUAAACAUGCUAUCCAUUCGUUUCAUAGAAAAUAACUUCCAAGAAAACGUUUUCCGGUUUACUGAAAAUGAACUUGUUAAUAAAAAUGUUUUCCACUAUUAUAAAAAACACAGUCAAAAGUGAGGAAAAUGUUUUCUACUUUCAAAACUGGAAAACAUUUUCCAUAACUCCUUCCACCUUACCUUCUUUCACCAAAUAGAUUUUCAUUUUAUUUUUAUGUUUUUUUAUUCUUUAUUCUUUUUUAUUUAAAAAAAAAAAGUUUUUUACCUUUUUUCCUUUUCUUUCUUUCCUUUUCAUCUUCUUCCUUGGCUUUGGCUAGUUGUUGGCCACGAGCCACGAGCUAGCUUGAGCCUUGCCCUAGGCCGACAAGGCUUGAGCCUCAAGAUUUCAAGAAGGUCAAGCCUCGUCAGCCUAUGGCAAGGUGGCGAAGCCGAGCUAGCCCAAGCCCGACAAGCUCAAGCCUCACUGAAUCUGACGAGCUAGGCAGGUCUCAGGCCUUGCUCGAGCUUGCCAAAGGUUUGCCAAGCUCUGGCGAGUUGCAAGCCUCACCAACCUCAGCGGAGCUCGAUUGAGCUUGAAUCAGGUGAGCUGCAGCUCAAUCCAAGCUCACCUGAGCUCCACCAAGGUCGGCAAGGCUCGCGGCUCGCCUGGAUCAGCUAAGCUUCAAGCUUCCUGAUCUUGCCGGAGUUCGAGCUCCCCAGAUCUAGUAAUCUGCGUCUUGGUCGACCACCAGGCAGUCGACCAUCAUCAGGCAUGCGGCGGGAGAGGAAGGAGAAGGAAGAAGAAGGAAGGAAAACAAAAAUGAAAAAAAAAAGGAAAAAAAUUUAAAGUAAUAAAAAUUCGAAUUUAAAAAUAAUAAUAAUAAUUUAAAAAUUCAUUUUAAAAAUAUUAAAAUUCAAUUUUUAGUAUUUUUCCCAAAAAAUAAAUCAGAUAACAAACAGUGGAAUUUCAAGUUUUAGUUGAAUAUAAAAAAAUAUAGUCAUUUUCUUGGAAAAUAGCUUCUCAGAAAACAUUUUCUUGAAGUAUGAUAUUUUCCGUGAAACGAAUAGAUCCUUAGAUAAAGAAAAGAGGGGAAAGAAGAUGUGUGAUUAGUAGAUAUUGCUGUGAUAUGAGAGAAUAUAUUGUUGUGAUAUGAGAGAAUAUCUUUAAUGUUGGGGAAAUUAUCCAAUUAGUUCCAAAGAUAUUAUAUGGAUCAAAAUUUGGUCCUAAACUUUUUAAUUUCUCCAUUUAAUCCUAAAUAUUUGCGGGAAAUUCAAAUGUAGUCCUUCUGACAAAAUUAGUUGUUAAAAAUCACUGACAUGGGCUGUGAUUAGAUGUCACGUUGGCGAUUUUCAUCAAAAAUUGAUCAAAAUAACUACGCUGGAGAAAAAAGGGCGGCGUUAUUUCCACUCUAUAUAACUAAAUCCAUCCCCAUUUUCACUAAAAAGACAAUAUUGCCCUCAAGUUUAAUUACAAUCUAAAGUGGUGGCUUCAAAGUUAUUUACUUUCUUUAUAAUUUUUUUUUUUCAUUUCUAAGUAGAAUCUAAUUGUCAUAACUAAGAACUUCACAUGCUUGUUUUUGUUUAUGGUUUUUUCACCAUAUUUGAACUUUUUGCUAUUUAGAAAAUAAAACUAGUCACUUUUGCUCUUAUAACAACCUACCUAUGUUUCAUCCAUAUUAUCAAAAAAUUUCUCGGAGAAUAUUUUUAAUUUUUAUUUUGUUAGUCUAGAAUAUAGAUCAAGUCUCUAAAUUCACUAUAUCAAAGCAUUUUUUCAUUAACACUGGCAAGAUGAUUAUAACACGAAGGAUGUAAGAUAUUAUAGGAGUGUUUAGAAACACUUAAAAUAUUGACAUGAAAAAAGUUAUGUCAUAUUUUGAUAUUGUUUGCAAACACCCGGGGAAUGAUAUUAAUUUUUGUCAAUUCAUAAUAAUGAAAUUUCAAUCACACUUUACUAAAAAAAAUUCUUGUUUUAUGCAAAGCUUUAAAAUUCCAUCUUUUGAAGUUUCGUGAAUGGUAACGUAACUGUGAUUUUGUCUUCGAAAAGCCUUAAUUUUUUUUUUUUUUGGUGGUUUCAUCCUAUCUUUCCAUAAUAUGUUUAUGUAUAUAGAAGAUAAUUGAUUAAAAAAAAAAGAUUUGCUGGUGUAUGCACAAUAAAUCUGUAAAAAAAAUAACAAACCCAUGACUGUUUUAAAAGUUUUCUUUUUUUUUUUUGUGCUGGAGGAAUCGGCUUGCAGCCGACAGCCGGCGGUAAACCCCUAGGUGACACUUAAGCAGGAGGACCCACCACCCCUGAGUCACACUGAAUACACCUAGCGCCUCUCCUGAGUUUUGAACCAUUCACCUCUUCGUUGAGGAUCAGUAGAGCCUUAUCCAGUGGAGCCACCGCGGCCGGUGGUAUGACUGUUUUAAAAGUUCUAUGUUACAUUUUUCUAGAUUUUAUUGGACAAUUAAUCCAUACAUUUGGUUGACAAUGUAGAAAAUAAUUAGAUUUCACUGAAAUUUAUUGAAAUUUCUCCUGUGGACAAAUAUAAUUUUUAUAGAAGCAAAAUUUAAAAAUAAAGAGAAAACACAAUGCAUUUAAUAGACAUGGGAAAUUUUUAGUUAUGGCAACUAGAUCCCACAUAGGAAUAGAAAAAAAUCAAAAAGGAAAGUAAAUAAAUUGGGAGCUCCACUUUAAAUUGUAAUUGAAUAAGCAAGGGCAACUUUGUUUUUUUAAUGAAGAUAGGGUGGAUUUAGUUAUGUAAGGGCUAGAAAUAGCACCACCAAAAAAAAAAAAAAAAAAAACAGAGUUGCAAAACUCUAGAAUUGCUCAAUUUGCAAUUACUUUUUUGGCGAUUUCUUGUUAUACUCUAGAAAAAAUUGCCAUAACGACAAUAGUGCGCAUAUAUAGAAACAAAAUCGAUUUUGUUUCUAUAUGGCAACUACCCCCAUGAAGAUUGUUUUCCUUCGAUUUUGUCUCUAUAUGGCAACUACCCCCAUGAAGAUUGUUUUCCUUUCAAGAGAUAUUAAUUCGUAUAUAAAUCAAUAGACAAACCCAAGGGUAGCUAAUAUAUGUCCGAGUUAGAGAGGAGAGAAUAAACAAUGGAUAGUGGUAGCAGAAAAUGCUUAUGGAUGAUUUUGUUCAUGGCAUUAGCUUUGGGCUUAACUUUCUCUCCUCCUAUUGAGGCGAGGAAUCUCGCCACAAGAAAUCUCGUGAGUCGCAAAAAAAUCAGAGGAGCGCCUUUUCAUUUCAGGUUAUUGUCCAAAGGGUCAAUUGUUCCACCUUCUGGACCCAGUGCUCCGCCUUUUCAUUUCAGGUUAUUGCCCAAAGGGUCACCUGUUCCACCUUCUGGACCCAGUGGUCGCGGUAACACGCCGCCACUGCCACCAUCAGUACUCUGGGGUUGAGAUUCAACAUCGAUGCGUAAUGCGUGCCGAAGCAACAAGCGCUGCAUUUCUAUGUUUCUUUGCUCUUGGACGAUGUCGCCUGCUGGAAUAGAUAGCUCCAUGUUGUGUUGCAAUCUCAUUUGGUGUGUAGUUUGAUAUUUUUUUAGGCAAUAAAGGCAUGCAUGGUAACAUAUCUGUUUCUCCUAAUUUUUGUUUUUCUGUUCCUUGGAAAAAAAAAAGAAUAGAAAUCUGUUUAGUAAAACUUUGUUCCGAGAACAAAAAAAUCUUUUUUUUUUGCUCCGGGGACAAACACAUCUUCUUCUUUUUGUUCCGGGAACAAAAACAUCUUCUUCUUUUUUUUUGUUCCGGGAACAAAAAAUCUAUCUUUUUUUGUUCUUGGGAACAGAUUUGGAAUAGAAACAAGCAAAAAAAAAGGUAUUUUAUUGUUCUCGGGAACAAUUUCUAGAAAUAAGCCAAUUUUUUCUUCUUUUUUCUUUUGUUUUUCUUGCUUGAUGUGGCCUCGGGUGGCCGCUUGCCAACUGCCAACACCCUCCGACCAACCGCAGCGACCGUUGGCCGACUGUUGGCCAUCACCGACCGUCGCUAUCACGCCCCAAACCUAAAACGCGCGCACAUCCCUUGGUGGUCGAUAGAAUUUUGCGACAUUCCCAAGACUCAUCGCCGACCCUUUUCAUUUUAUUGCACAUGCGGAAGCGAAUUAACUAAUCCCCUAGCAACAACAAAUAUGAGAUAGAAAAGUGGGACAAUCAGUUUCAAAUCAAAUACACUUUCAUAAACACCUCAAGCUUAUACAUAAUGUCUAUCUCACAAAGGACUACUAAACCACUUAUGCUCUCGACCCUUCCACUUCAAGCUUCGGGUUCUUCACACUGGGGACCUGAAUUCAAUAACGUGUGAGAUGUAAAUCUCAGCGAGUUCUUCCCCUAGUCCCCCGAUUAGUACACCAACUCAACUUAGGGUAUCUCUUUAGAACCAUCUCACAAACAAACCAAAGAUUGACAAUCAACAAUCAAUAGUCGGUUCAUAUGCAACCUUACUUGAUAUGCCAUACCCUGCACAUCAUAACUCAUCACGAUACACACAAUGCACAUGGCCAUUAGAUGAUGUGGUUCAUCAAUCACAUACGAAUCACAUUACAAGCGAUCUCACGUGGCCAUUGCCACACGAAAGCAUUGUCUGGGGUAAAGGCGCGGACGCACAACCAUUCCUCAUCCCAGCCAAAUAUUGCCUCCUUGGGCCCCGCACUAGCGUGGACGAAUCGCCAUCCCAGUCAGGCCACCCCUCAAGGCUUUGUUCUCAGCACAACGAAAGCAUAUGUGAAACACGUUAUCGAUUCAUGCGUGCGUGCCAUAAACAGUGUGCUCAACUCAAGCAUGACUAGAAUUAAAGAUGCUAUGAUUCUCAUGCGUUCUUGCACAUUAGUGCGUCACACAGCAGACAUCGAUCAAUCACAUGGAUCCCGGUCAGAUCGAAACCAAAAAUUUUGUCAUCUCUUUUAAAAUCUCACGGUUUGAUAUAGUAUUUAAAAACACUUUCAGCGUCCAAAACCUGACACUCGGUAUUUUCUUAUUAAAUGCCAAUAGUUCCCAAUCAUCAUACAAUUACACAAAACAUCACCCAAUUCAUGUGGAUACCCAUGCAUUUACACAUUCAUUCACUUCAUAGAAUCAAUACACAUGAAAUUAAACCACUUUUCAUUGUCGGGUGAACAAUGCACGUGAACAGUAACUUGUGAACAGUGCGUCAUGAACAGUGAAAUUCCAGAAUUAACUAACUAAUUAAUUAAAUCCACAAGUCAUUAAAAACACUAAUUAAAGGAAGCAAAGCAUCAAGAACCAUCAUUAAACUAAAAUCGGUCGUAAUUGGCAGAAAUUGUGCCUUCGCACGUCUCCAAAUUUAAAUCCAAAAACCUAACCAAUCGAGUUCGGAAAAUUCCCAAGUUUGAAUAUGUGACAAAAGGCACGUAAAAAAACAUUUUUCAUGAGAUACCGAGACCCAGAUCCCUCUGGAUUCAGCCCAGUAAUUCACUCAAUCCAGCACCAAAAUUUGGUCGGUUCUCAAAAAGUCAGUUUUCCAAAAUCAGUUUGUUUCGAGCUCUUAAACACGUCCGUUUGAUUUGAAAUUUUAGUACAUUAAAAUAUAAGAGGUGAAAUAAAAAUUUUGUGAAGAAACCAUUUUAAAAUUCGAACUCCAAGAGUUGAUAAAAACCCCUAGAAUCCUAAAAGGUCACUAGUUCCAGCGAAAAUUGCAGUUCUGUUCGAAAAUGGCGGAGCUAAUAUCUCCUGUUUCUGAGUCCCUAAAACUCUUGAGAAAAAUAUAUGUUGUAUCUUAGGAUGUGUAAAACAUUUCUCUAAAAGACAUCGGCUUCAGAUUCACGACCGAUUUCAAUAUAUAAAAAUUACAAACCGCAAGUGUCCAGAAACCAGUUCUGAAGAACAGCCACUGUUUUCAACCAAAUCAUCCUCAACGGAGCAAAUCUCCCUAAUUAGACUAACAUUAAUCCAUUCUAAUACUAAUAUAACUAUUAUAGACUAUCAAGAAUCCCUAUUUAAGCUAACCUAAACCAUCUUUUAGUCUAAAUCAACCUCUUAAGCAAGUUUAGGUACUAAUCAAAGGAUUAGGAGCUAAACUCAUCCGACGACAAUUCCGACGACAUGAGUGCGACGGAGGAGGUGAGGGCUAUGCAUGGUUACAUCCAAAAUGUCACAAAGGCGCUAAGCAAAAGUGGGUCUUGGCAGAAGUGGUUUCUGAUUUGGCAAGAACGGCGGGCCGAUGGCUCGCAGAUGGGUGGUGCGGCUCUUUGGCAGUGGAUGGCGGCUUGUGGAUAGUGAUGGCCCACGGCCAUGGCGCAAGAUGGUGGCUGGCUUGGGGAAAAAAACAGCAGCACACGGUGCUGUUUUGGAAGCAAAAGCAGAAAAGAAACUCAAGAGAGAAAGAGGAAAGGAAGAGGGGAGGGGGCUUGUCGAGAGGGAGGAAAGGGGGAAGAGGAGAGAGAAACAAUAAAGUAAAUGGGGGAAGUUGAGGGGAAAUUGCUGCAGAGGGGUUGGCAUGAGUGAGGGGGUGGAAAAGUGGGGGAGAGAGAAGAAAAGAGAGGGGGAGGAAAUUGCGUGCGAAGGAGGGGGAAAGAAAAUGUGAGAGAGAGAUACGUGGGGAACGGGGUGGAUGUUGGGGGAAGGAAAGGAAUGAGGAGAGAAAGAGAAAAAUAAUAAUAAUAUUGUUAUCAUUUUUCUUUUUCUUCCAAUUUCUGAUUUUUCAUCCGAUAAUUUCUUUUUCUAAAAUUUCGAGAUGUCACAGUCGCCGCCACCGUAUGAUCGUUGUCGUUGCCGCCCACAGCCCACCAGCCACCCCCAAUCUCCGAUGACUGCCACCGACCGCCAUUGCUGCCCACCGCUAGCUGUCGCCCACUGCUGCUCGUCACCCGUUGCCACUGCUUGUCACCAUCACCCGCCACCGCAAGACUGCCGGCCAUCUUGCAACAACAAGCGGCGACGAGUAGCAGGCGGCGAUAAUGGGUGGUGGCAGGAGCGGUCGGUGGUCCAUGAGCAAGAAUAAAAAAAUAAAUAACACGGAGGAUGUAAGAUAUUAUAGGAGUGUUUAGAAACACUUAAAAUAUUGACAUGAAAAAAGUUAUGUCAUAUUUUGAUAUUGUUUGCAAACACCCAGGGAAUGAUAUUAAUUUUUGUCAAUUCAUAAUAAUGAAAUUUCAAUUACACUUUACUAAAAAGAAUUCUUGUUUUAUGCAAAGCUUUAAAAUUCCAUCUUUUGAAGUUUCGUGAAUGGUAACGUAACUGUGAUUUUGUCUUUGAAAAGCCUUAAUUUUUUUUUUUUGGUGGUUUCAUCCUAUCUUUCCAUAAUAUGUUUAUGUAUAUAGAAGAUAAUUGAUUAAAAAAAAAAGAUUUGCUGGUGUAUGCACAAUAAAUAUGUAAAAAAAAUAACAAACCCAUGACUGUUUUAAAAGUUUUUUUUUUUUUUGUGCUGGAGGAAUCGGCUUGCAGCCGACAGCCACGUAAACCCUCAGGUGACACUUAAGCAGGAGGACCCACCACCCCUGAGUCACACUUAAUACACCUAGCGCCUCUCCUGAGUUUUGAACCCUUCACCUCUUCGUUGAGGAUCAGUAGAGCCUUAUCCAGUGGAGCCACCGCGGCCGGUGGUAUGACUGUUUUAAAAGUUCUAUGUUACAUUUUUCUAGAUUUUAUUGGACAAUUAAUCCAUACAUUUGGUUGACAAUGUAGAAAAUAAUUAGAUUUCACUGAAAUUUAUUGAAAUUUCUCCUGUGGACAAAUAUAAUUUUUAUAGAAGCAAAAUUUAAAAAUAAAGAGAAAACACAAUGCAUUUAAUAGACAUGGGAAAUUUUUAGUUAUGGCAACUAGAUCCCACAUAGGAAUAGAAAAAAAUCAAAAAGGAAAGUAAAUAAAUUGGGAGCUCCACUUUAAAUUGUAAUUGAAUAAGUAAGGGCAACUUUGUUUUUUUAAUGAAGAUAGGGUGGAUUUAGUUAUGUAAGGGGUAGAAAUAGCACCACCAAAAAAAAAAAAAAAAACAGAGUUGCAAAACUCUAGAAUUGCUCAAUUUGCAAUUACUUUUUUGGCGAUUUCUUGUUAUACUCUAGAAAAAAUUGCCAUAACGACAAUAGUGCGCAUAUAUAGAAACAAAAUCGAUUUUGUUUCUAUAUGGCAACUACCCCCAUGAAGAUUGUUUUCCUUCGAUUUUGUCUCUAUAUGGCAACUACCCCCAUGAAGAUUGUUUUCCUUUCAAGAGAUAUUAAUUCGUAUAUAAAUCAAUAGACAAACCCAAGGGUAGCUAAUAUAUGUCCGAGUUAGAGAGGAGAGAAUAAACAAUGGAUAGUGGUAGCAGAAAAUGCUUAUGGAUGAUUUUGUUCAUGGCAUUAGCUUUGGGCUUAACUUUCUCUCCUCCUAUUGAGGCGAGGAAUCUCGCCACAAGAAAUCUCGUGAGUCGCAAAAAAAUCAGAGGAGCGCCUUUUCAUUUCAGGUUAUUGUCCAAAGGGUCAAUUGUUCCACCUUCUGGACCCAGUGCUCCGCCUUUUCAUUUCAGGUUAUUGCCCAAAGGGUCACCUGUUCCACCUUCUGGACCCAGUGGUCGCGGUAACACGCCGCCACUGCCACCAUCAGUACUCUGGGGUUGAGAUUCAACAUCGAUGCGUAAUGCGUGCCGAAGCAACAAGCGCUGCAUUUCUAUGUUUCUUUGCUCUUGGACGAUGUCGCCUGCUGGAAUAAAUAGCUCCAUGUUGUGUUGCAAUCUCAUUUGGUGUGUAGUUUGAUAUUUUUUUAGGCAAUAAAGGCAUGCAUGGUAACAUAUCCGUUUCUCCUAAUUUUGGUUUUUCUGUUCCUUGGAAAAAAAAAAGAAUAGAAAUCUGUUUAGUAAAACUUUGUUCCGAGAACAAAAAAAUCUUUUUUUUUUGCUCCGGGGACAAAAACAUCUUUUUUUUGUUCCGGGAACAAAACAUCUUCUUUUUUUUUUGUUCCGGGAACAAAACAUCUCCUUUUUUUUUUGUUCCGGGAACAAAAAAUCUAUCUUUUUUUGUUCUUGGGAACAUAUUUGGAAUAGAAACAAGCAAAAAAAAAGGUAUUUUAUUAUUCUCGGGAACAAUUUCUAGAAAUAAGCCAAUUUUUUCUUCUUUUUUCUUUUGUUUUUCUUGCUUGAUGUGGCCUCGGGUGGCCGCUUGCCAACCGCCAACACCCUCCGACCAACUAGUCAAACAUGUUCGCCAAUUCUUUGGCUUCGAGUCCUCCACGAUCGCCAUCUAAGGACCCUAAACCUCUAUUAGAAAGAAAAUACACUCGAGGAUGGCCUAGCCACUCCAUCACAAACAAUGAGACUUACCUUUGCCUCAGUUCUUUCCUGCAGGUUAGCACAGUUCAUAUUACUCAAGCAUAUAUAGUAAUAAAAUUCAAACAAUUCAAUUGCUCGGAUUGACUCAAAAAUCGAUCGACUCAAUCGAUUACAUGUCAUCGAGGUCAUCACAUGGUAGUGGAAUCACGGACCCACUCAGCAUGACUUUUAAUAGGUGGUAGAUCAUGGCCCGACUCGGCAAGUUUAGAUUUAGUGGCAUCACGGCCCCACUUGGCACGGCCUUUAAUAGGUGGUAGAUAACGGCCCGAUGGGCACAACCGAUUCCAAAUUCGGUGGUAAAUUUCGGCCCUAUUGGCACAACCAUACUUCAGUGGUUUUCUAAGUCCACUCACAACCUUUCACAAUUAUUUUCCCAUAAAACACUGACAUUCUCAAAUUUUAGGAAAAUUCUCUCAUAACCACUAAUUUACUCAAUUCUCAUAAACCGGCACUCAAAUAAAUAAACAGAAAGCACCACUGCAAAUCAGCACAAAAUUUUGACAAUUUAAGGUCCCAAAAUAAUUUUUGAAAUUUAUUAAAUAAUUAAGCACACACACAUCCUUCUCAUCUGGUCAAUUUUAUAAUGCGAUACCCCAGGACUAUGUAUCGCCGACCCUUUCAUUUAUUAAGCACAUGCGGAAGCAGUUAUAAAUCCCUAGGCAGUAAAUCAAUGGGAUAGAAAAGUAAGGCCAUAUUUUUCAUAUUGAAAUUUAUAACCAAACUUUUAUACAAGACACAAACUAGAGUACUUCAUAACUAUUCACAUCAAAAUAGAGUUCUCAAAAGAAGAUGGAAUCUCAGUCCAUCUGGGUCAUACUCAAGAUCCAUCUUGGUAUUAUCUUCUUCUUACAAAAAUCAUUCUCCUCAAGUUUCACCUCAGAGUUCUCCUUCUCAAAUUCCUCCUCCUCAGCUCCUCAGUGGGGUCCUGAAAUGUUUUCCCCAAACCGGGAUGAGACAACGUCUCAGCAAAUUCUACCCCACUAAGGCCCGAUUAGUAAACCAUUAUACUAUAGGCUGCCUAAACAUGCACAGGUCAAAAGACGUACAUUGACAUUAGUCUCAACCUGCAAUUCAAGGUUAUAUACAGAUACUUCAUAUAUCUCAAUGAACAAUCAGUCAAAUCACAGUUCAAUCGACUUAGUUGAUUACAUGUCAUUCGGACCAUUUCUAGGUCUAUUCGAUUAUUCAUCUCAAUCCCCAAUUACGAAUCACAAUCCUCAUAUUACAUCUUAAGCAUAGGUGGAAGACACAGUCACACUCGACAACUUUCAAUAUUUAAUGGCUUUACAGUCCCACUCGAUCACUUUCAAUAUUUAAUGACUUUACGGUCCCACUCAACCAUUUUCAAAAUUCAAUGGCUUUUUGGUCCCACUCGACCACUUUUGAUAUUCAAUAGCUUUACGGUCCCACUCAACCACUUUCAUUAUUCAAUGGCUUUAUGCUCCCACUCGACCACUUUCGAUAUUCGAUGGGUUUAUGGUCUCACUCGACCACUUUCGAUAUUUAAUGGCUUUAUGGUCCCACUCGACCACUUUCGAUAUCGACAAUCAAUACCCAACGAUUUCUCAAUGAAAUAAUUAACAACAAUCAUUUAGGAAUAUAACAUAAAAUUCCAUAUUUAAUUCAAUUUGGCACAAUUCAAAGCUCAAAUAAAUAAAUGGACUGCACCACGACAAUCAGCACGAGAUUUCGGUCGUCGGCCAUCUCAACCUUAAUUUCCGAAAAAUAAAUAAAUAGUUAAUUAAUUUCAAAAAUUAAAUAAUUAAUAUUAAAAAUUCAAUUUAGCUCAAAAUAAAGCCCGAUUAAAUAAAUGGACUCCACCACGGUCAUCAGCAUAAUAUUUCGGUCACUGGUCAUCCCAGUUGAAUUUUCAGAAAAUAAAUAAAUAAAUAAUUUAAUUUCGAAAAAUAUUAUUUAAAUACCAAAAAUUCCACUUAGGCUCGAAUUGUCAAAUUGAAGCCUGAUAAAUGGUUGGAAAAAUCCCGAGCUACCCUCAAUAAAUAGUAGAACAUGUCUACUUGCUAAAUACAUAUUCAAUUUGUCUAAUUUGCAUCACAAUUAUCUAAUAAUCACUAAUCUAUUCUAAUAUAACCACUUAAUUGCAUCUAAUUAAACAUAACCAAUCCCUAAGCAUAAUUAGUAAACUAAGUAGGGAUUAGUGAGAUUACUCACCGGAAUUGCGUGCAAAUCGGAUCAAUCCGACGAGGGUGACGUGAGGAACAAUACUUCCCAAAGCACGGCUCGGGUUCGAGGCCUGGAAACGGCCCAAAAGCAGGCCUGUAGUCACUGGAAACCCAUUCGGCAACUUGUUGAUCAGGGCUGGCCGAGGCUGGUCUGACGGCUAAAGCGGUGAAGCAAGGUCAGGGGAGGACGAAGGAAGCUCCGGCGGGUCUGAACAGUGGCCGAACGGAGCUGGGCGGUGACCGGAGGUGGCUGGAUGAGCUGGGCAGAGGCGGAGCAGGGGCUGGAGUCGCACGGCAGGGAGAACGCCUGGGCGCAAGGGAUGGCAACUAAACGCGCAGCGUCUUGCGGGUAGUGCGAAUGGCGGCUCGGCGGCGUGCAGCAGCGACGGCGAGUUGUAGCUUCUGCUCCGGCGUCCUUCCAGAUCUGCUAGGACAUCGAGCAGCAAGUUGAGUGGGAGAAAGAAGGCGUCGGCGACAGCUGAGGAGGGUGAGGGAGAGGUGAAGGCGGGCGGUGAACAGCAGAGCAUAUAGGCGACAACGGCGAGUGGCUGCUGUCUCGGCUUUUUCCGCUUCUGGUUCCGCUCGCUGGUUUGCACGAAGAAGAAGGGAAGAAGGGAGUUCGGUCACAUGGGGGAGUGGAGGAGAAGAGAGAGGAGAGAGAAGAGGAGAUAAGAGAGAGAAGAGAUAGGUUUGAAUGGUCAAAGAGAGAGGAAGAAGCCAAAUUGAAAUUGGCCAAGGGGUAGGCGGUCGGUGGAGAAAAACGCACGAGGGGGAGGGGAGAGAAGAGAGAGAGAAAAAGAGAGAAAAGGGAGAGAGAGAGAAAAAGAAAUAAAAUAAUAGUCUUAUUCUUUUUUUUUUCUUUUCUUUUUCCCUUUCCCUUUCUAUUUUCUUUUGGUCUUCAAUUAUUUUCCUCCAAUAAUUUCUUUAUUGAAAUUUCGGACUCGUCAAUAAAUUGAUAGACGAUGAGACGGUCCUAAAAAUGAAUUGUGACACGCUCAAAUAUUCGAUUCCCGAGACCAAUUUAAAUUUCAUGGUUAGAAUCAAUCAAACGCGAUUUUAGUCAAAUCCAACAAAUUGAGUAGCUUUUAGGGAUUUUACUGCAAAUACAUCCCUUAACGGCUUCACCCAAUAGGUUAGUUAACUCGUAAGUGAUCAGCUCAGAGAAAAAAAGACCAUAGGCACGUUGACGACAUGCCCAUUUCACUUUAUCGAAAUGGGGUCGAAUUUCAGGAUGUCACAAUUCAAGUCAAUGGGCUAGGGCACUAAAAAAAGAUCUUUUGAAGAGAAAACACGACAAAAGCUAAAACUUCAGGAAAAAAAAAAUAUUAAUAUAAGAGCAACAAUUCUUCAUAAUUCUUGUCGUGACCCGAUCUCACCACUCUCGAAUUCCUCAUCAUCAUAAGGAGGGAAAAGGGGGAAAAGUCUGGUUUAGGGGUACUUGAUCACGAGAGUUCCCUCACAGCUCGCGUUCCAAAAGACUUCAUCUCCUCGCCUUUUGGAUCAAGCCUCUUGUGAGUUCCUUCCACAAGAUCACGAGCUUUCCUAAGCUUAUACCCCAUGUGACAGUGGAGCGUCGCAAUCCAUACCUACACGGGUGACACACUUUAAAAGAAUGGGUCGGGUGUGGAAAUUGGAUUUAAGGGUACCUUUACCAUAGUAGCCCUCUCGACAAUACACCUCACCCAUAAGAAUGACAUCACUUCAUCCUUUAGGGUACUCCCAUAUCAAGUAUGCUAAACCAUGGUGAGUUUCAUUGAAACUUGUACCCUGCGCGACGGAUUUAUUUAUAUGGUCUAAUUGUUUAUGACAAUCUAAAAAUAAGACGAGAGUCGCCACUAGCCUCAUUUUUGGGGUUGGCUAGAAAGUCCAAUCGAGAGUCGGGAGUGUUACCUUGAUUCCUAUGCAACCAAAUAUCUAGGUUUGGGGACUUGGGUUAUGUUAAUAUUUCUAUUAGCGACAUUUAGGUACUUAAAUAGUAUGUUGUGUUUUCCUAACAUGUCCAUGUGUUUUUUUUAAAACAUUUUCAAGAUCAUUAAUCCUAAACUAAGUGAUCAUGCGUGGUUGGUCAUUUUCAUUUUAUUCUAUUUCUAGAAAAAACAAGAAAAGAAAGCAAUCAAUGUAAUUAAAAUUACGAGACAGUAAGUAAACAAUCAAGAAAAGCAGUAAAUCUAUCAUGCAAUCCUAGAAAAUAUAAAAGAGAAAUAAAUUGAAAAAGAUGAGAGAAAGAGAGAAAACCCGUAACUCAUCGGGCUUUAUACAACAAAUGAAACUCGAGAUAUAUAUCGGGGAAAUGAAUAGUACAUGAUAAUGGUUGGAAUGGACAUUGACCUCUACUGUCUUCGUGCUUUCUCCAUCUUCGGGGUCUUAAUCUAAACCUAAUAUAAGAAACUUAUAACUAGGUGCAUACAAUGGAAAUAAACAAGCAUAUACAUAUAAAAAAUAAAAAAUAAAAAAUAAAAACAUCAUGUCGAGAUUAAUCAUUUAAAGAAAGUGCAAUACGAAAGUCAAAUUUUGGGGCCUUGGGGUCGGCCUUUGUCUUUCAUGCGAGGGUCCCACUAAGACACCUACCCAAUCCAUUUUUUUUUGUUGACUUAUGGCAAUUGUUGAUCCAUUGUAUUCUCGCAAAACCAAUAAUGCUUAUAAGUCUCCUAAUCAAACGAUCUAUGUGAUCCUAGGGUUUUCUCUAGAUAUCAUGCAUCGACCCUAUCAUUCAUCUAAAAGUCACUCGCAUUGCAAAAAUUUAAAUAUACAUGCAGGUUUUUUGAACCUUGUUUCUCAAACAAUCAAGUAAAAAAGUGAACCGUCGGCGAUCACGUAUUACCAAGGGCAUGCGCUAAUCAUAAACACAAGUAAUUUCUAAUGCACGAUGGGAUUAUAUGUAUGAGGGGUACAUGUGAUAUUUCAAAAAAAAUAUUUCGAAAUCAUUCAUAAGAAAUUUUGAGACAAAGUGAUGUAUCGGCUAUAAAAGACAUUCAAUUGCUAAGGCUAGCCCGAGACUCGCAUAAAUGCACUCACAAGCAUCACAUGCAUUUUGAAUAAAAUUCAAACCGUGACUUUCAUGAUGUCAUAUCAAGAUUUUAAAAAGGUUUAAAAAUAUUUAGAAUUAAGGAAUAUCUAGGCUAUGGAAUACAUUCAAUUCCCAAGGCUAGCACGAGCUCGCAUGAAUGCACUCACAAGUGUUGUAGGUAUUUUAAAUAUGGUCCAAACCAGGAUUUUUCCUUAUGCCAAAUCGAGUUUUGGAGAAUAACUUUUUUAGAAAUCGUUUUUUGAGAAACAUCACAUGUAUCAAAGCAUUUUUUGAAAUUCAAAAAGGCCGAUUGUUUAACAACAAAGAUCAAAACAUUUAGAACAAUUUUCAUGAAGUUGGUAUGUCCUAAUUUCAUGCACAAACUAACCUAAAAGGUAGAGCUAAAUAAUUACAAUCAUGUUUAUAUCAAGAAAUUUCAGAACAAACGUGUAAUGACAACAAAAUUGGGUGAUACCUAAUGAUAAUUUGGCAAUUAAUUUUUUUUAACAUGCAUGGCAUGAUGAUGAACAACUUUUAUGAAGAAAGUUUUCUUAAACAAUCUAUACAUGAUUUUACAAAAAUCAAACAACAAGCAACAACUCAUCAAAAAUUUGUCAAAACAACAAGACAUUCAGCUAAUGUCACAAGGAUUUUUCCUAUCAAAACAUGUCUAAAAAUCAUCAAAUUUACACACAACAUACCAACAUGAUGAUAAGCAAGUUUUAUUAAGAGGCCAAGUUCAUAUUACAAAUAGAAAAAAUGAAACAAAAAUAUCAAAAGUCUAUCCAAAUAGGGGUUAGAACAUAAGUCCGAAUUUGAUCCCUUGUCCAGAUUGUAAUCUAGAUUUGAAAAAAUGGAAAAUAGUCCAAACAAUGAGCGAUUGGCAUGAAAUCAGCAGUAUUACAAAUUUCUAAGUGUGCCCUAUGUUUUCGUAAAAGAGCUCGAGUCCAAACUAGAUCAAUUUUGUAUCCUAAAAUCGAGAUCUCUAAAAGUGUGCAUUAGUGACUAAGAAAAUAGAACAUAAAUAUUCAUUAGAAAACCUCAAAAUCACUCAAAGAAUAUACAAACGGCAUGAAGAAAUCAUACGGGACUUAGGAUUGGAUGUGAGGGAAAGUUUGGAUAGUCAUCUAAUCUUAAGUCAGCAUGCAAAAUUUCAUACAAUUUAAAUGACAUUAUGAGAUGAGUUAUGAUUCCUAAUGAUAUGUUCUGGAAUCUUAAAUGUGAUGAACAUUUUUUGUGAGACAAAUUUCAUGUGCAAGAUGAAACUUAAAUGACAUGACCUAAACAUGUAUGCAAGCCUUGCAACAUAUGGUUCAAUCAUCAAGAAGGCAUGAUCAUAAGAUUUGAUCCCUAGAUGACUUAAACAAGCAUGGAAAGGUGCACAUACGAUAAGGUUUCAUUUCAUCAUUAAGUUUACAUAACAAGCAUGAUUUUAGCCAUUCUCAAGACAUGCAUAAAUCUUGCCAAAAAUCUCAGAUACAGAGCAUACGAUGAUGAAGAUUUCUCCUUAAGAGGUUGAAACUCAAUCAAGAUCAUAUGAGUCAUGGAAAAAAUGGCAAAAUAGACAAACUAUAUGUCCAGCACACGUUGUUGCAAUACCUUUUAUUCUAAUACAUGCAAUUGACUUACUUUGCCAAUGUAAAAACCUUGCAAAGCAUUCAUCAAUUGAAUAUAUAUAUAUAUAUAUAUAUAUAUAUAUUUCAACUCUCAUGAACGAUUUGAGACCAUAUAGGUGCAUUUAUUGACUCAAUUUCAUCAAAACAAAUCUCGGACUAAUGCAAAACAAACUGACCUAUGUUCAGAUCUAAGUGAUUUUGACCUAGCUAAACAUAUCUAAAAAUUUUGAAAAAAAAUACGGACAUGCACAACAUCUGUACAAGAAAAUUUUAUGAGGAAAGUUGUCCCAGAACUCAACAAAAAAAUCAGUACAAAAAUGGCAAAAUCAGAGAUCGAUAUGGAACAGAUUGACCUAGGCUUAGAUCUGAGUAAAUCCGACCUAGUUGAACACAUCGAAAAAUCAUGAAAACAUUACAAAAGAUGUAUGAGACAAUUUGGAACAAAACUUAUGAAGACAAUUUUGUCAAAAAAUGAUCACAAAAGUCAGCACAAAAAUAAAAAAGUCAAAAGACGGAAUAGAAUCAUAACUGAAAAAGACCUAAACUGUUGCAGAAUCGUUAAUCAUUGGAGGUGUUUUCUGAGCGUCAAAUGAUGCUCAAUUGGGGCGUGCAACUACCAUUUUGAAGCUCGUGUUAAGAGUUCAAAACCGACCUAACAAAAACAUGUUCAUCCAAAUUCGAAAAUCACAGAUCCACAAUAUCUAAAUAUAAUCAACUCCAAAUUAUUCAAGCAUUGACUCUAAUCAGAUUUGCAAUGCAUCCUGGCCCCAAAUCUUCGUUGUUGACCAUGCAUUUCAACAUGAGAUGCUCUCGCCUCAUCGGACACUAUUAAAAGGAGUUUUAUCACUCUUACCUCAAUUGCACCAGCAAAAAAUUGACGUUCGAAGAUGUUCGCCUUUCAACAACAAUGAAGCUGCUAGCUUCAAUCUCACUUCAGGAAUCACCAAACGUGAAGAAUGUCGAGUUCAUCUCCAGUACAAGAGCUGUUUAAAGCCGAUCUUUAGAUUCUGAUUUACUGUUUUUGCAAAUCACGAUCACCUUUCUCGAGUCCUUCAUCUAGGCAUGCACUUGGAGGUGAUUGAAUCGGUGAGCCAUAGUUGUUGGACUUGUUGAAGAGAAAAUGUAAUAUUUGACUUAGUCUAAAGAGUAGGGCCCACAAGUAGAAAAGAAAAGAAGAGAAGGAAAAAGGAGGAGGAGAGAUCGAGAGUCUUCGGGAGAGAGGAAGAAAAAGAAGAGAGAGAGAGAGAGAGGAAAGAAAAGGAAAAAAAAAGGAAAAAGAAGACGAGAUAAAAGGAAAAGAAUGAGGCACGUUUGGGCAGAAGGAAAAGAAAAGGGAGAGAAAAAUGAAUGGAAAGAAGGAGGAGGAGGAGGAGGAGGAAAUGGAGGGGAUUCUCAUCACAGACGCCUCGCCAAGCCGAUCCAACUAUGUAACGUGAUGCCCGAUAAGUGAUCGCGCCCCUCCUUCAUCCAAUCGAAGUAUUUUUUGGGUUUAGUGCUCAAAUUCAGAAUUUUAGGAAAAUCAAGCAGCAAAUGAUGAUUUUGAGUCAUUGAGCCACGUAUCUUUAUAGAAAUUAUAGUUUUGGGUUGUUAACGCCUAAAUUUUGGCGAUUUGUUUAAGUGUUUAUUAAUUACAUUGGAAAAUUAGGGAUUAAUUUAUAACCCCUUAACAAAAAAUUUUCAUUAAAAUUGCAUCACAUAUAGACAUUAGGAGCAUUUGCAUCACUAGUUUAAAAUUUAUCAAAAAAUCACAUAUAGACAUUAGGAGCAUUUGCAUCACUAGUUUAAUUUAUAACCCCUUUACUAAAUUGCAUUGCGUUUUAGCAUUAGGAAUAUUUGCAUCACUAAUGAUAUUUUUUAUUUUAUUUUAUUUUAUUUUUCAAAAAGAAAAGAAAGAAAAAAAAAGGAGGAGAAAAUUGAAUGAGGCCGAGUAGAGGGCUUUUCUUCAUUCGUGGGCUCGCGACCUAUCUCUUUUCCUUUUCUCUCUUUUGCACUUGGCUAGCCCAUCUCCUUUCAUUUUAGCCUAGCUCAUAUGUGAGUCUUCUUCCUCCCCUCACACCAACCACGCUCUUGCAAAAGAAGGGAAAAGGAGAAACGUACAAGCCAAGGGUGAGGUAGAGGAUUGCAAGGUCAGAGGAUCACAAAGGCAGACAACGGUGAGAUCCCAGGGUCGGAGAUCAAGCGGCCGCGACAAUUUGGUGGUGACAAAAGCCAUGCACGCCUAUCGUUGGCUGAGCUUAAAAGGAAGAGAGCAAAGAGAAGAGAAGGGAGGGCUCGGCUGAUUUUUAUUUUUAUUUUUGGUCGAGAGAGAACAGAGAGCACUAGAGAGAGCUCAAGAGAGUAGAGGGCGAGCCAAAGGGUGAGAGUGAGACUGAAGGACAGCUUCGCCAUCACUAGUUGUCUGCUCGAGAGCCAUCGUCCACCGCAAUGCUCCCCUUUGAAAUAGGUAGGUCAUUCCUGAGUACAUCUGCCCUGUUUUUUGUGGGGUGUCGGGUUGGAGCUCAUGGUCAACCAGUUCGCACGAGCUUUAGUCUCGAUCCUCACCCGAAAUUCCGUUGUGCUUGUGUUCAUUCCUCACAUAGUAUAUGUGUGCUCAUUAUAGUGCUUUAUGCAAAUAUUUGUUUGUGUUUAGUGUUAUGGCCGAAACCUGUCAUUUUUUUUAAACUCAAGUUAAAUGCUAAUAAACUUGUCCUUGAGUAAAUCUAGAAUAGUGCUUGUGUAUCAUGUGAUUAUCUUGGCUUGAACCCGAGCCCCAAUCGAGUCUAUGCUUACCUCUCUAGUUAGUGCGUCUUAUGUGUUCGAUGAAAAACCAAGAGUAGUGUAUGUUUUAACGCAAGAUCAACUCGUUUUUGUUCGUGCGCUUGCUUAAUCCUUGUUGCUUUGCUUGUAUUCAUUGUAUUUUCGUGUGGUUUAUGCAAAAUAUUUGCAUGUAUUCGAAUAGGCGAAGUCUUUUGCCGCACCGGAGAAUGAGUUAGUGGUCGUUGGUGUAACAUCCCAAGCCCCAUUGUGUAAUAUUGUCCACUUUGGGUCACCCGCCUUGGCGCGGACGAACCGUCAUCCCAGCCACGGUCUUUUCCCUCACGGCUUUAAAAUGCGUUACACAGAUUAGACGGACCCAAGCCUUAUAAACUAACCAAGACCUCCCUCCCUAGGCGAUGUGGGACAAGAGAGGAGGCUGUCACACUCUCCACCUCUUAACAGAGCAGCGUCCUCGCUGUGGCCCCACGGGCGUCAGAACAGCAUUCAAGUCGUGGUCCCACACGCGGUCAGGAGUUGGCUCUGAUACCAUUUGUAACAUUCUAGGCCCCACUAUGUAAUAUUGUCCGCUUUGGGUCACCCGCCCUGGCGCGGACGAACCGCCAUCCCAGCCACGAUCUUUUCCCUCACGGCUUUAAAACGUGUUACAUAGAUUAGAGGGACCCAAGCCUUAUAAGCUAACCAAGACCUCCCUUCCUAGGCGAUGUGGGAUAAGAGAGGAGGCUGUCACACUCUCCACCUCUUAACAGAACAACGUCCUCGCUGUGGCCCCACGGGCAUCAGAACAGCAUUCAAGCUGUGGUCCCACACGCGGUCUAGAGUCGGCUCUGAUACCACUUGUAACAUCCCUGGCCCCAUUGUGUAAUAUUGUCCGCUUUUGGUCACCCGCCCUGGCGCGGACGAAUCGCCAUCCCAGCUACGGUCUUUUCCCUCACGGCUUUAAAACGCGCUACACAGAUUAGAGAGACCCAAGCCUUAUAGGCUAACCAAGACCUCCCUCCCUAGGCGAUAUGCGUCCACGCCAAGGCGGGUGACCAAAAGCGGACAAUAUUACACAGUGGGGCCCAUAAUGUUACAGUUGGAAUAUGUGGCCGGUGGUAGCCAACGUUAGUAGAGGGGGAUGACCGGUGGACGGUGUUGGUUGGUGGUCAACGCCACUUAUUCCGGCUGGCAUUGUGCAUGGUGCAGAAUAAGGAAGCUUCGGGUAGAGAGGAGACAUCAUGAAGAAGACCAGGGAAGAAGACGACCUAAAAAAAAUCUUAAAAGAAAAACAAGAAAAAAAGAAAUGAAAAGAAUAAUGAAAAGAAAUGGAAAAAAAAUAGAAAAGGUGGAAAAGAUGUCGGAGGUAGACGUUCGAUGAAGGCGGUGAGGAUGAGAGGACAUUGCAGGGAAAAAGACAAAACAUAGAAGAAGCCAAAAAAAAGGGAAGAAGGAAAAACAAAAAAAAAAAUGUUUGAAAACGAAAAAAAUCAAUUAAAAAUCUUAAUUUCUUUUCCAUUCCGAUAGGGUCGAAUCUGGUUUUGGGUUGGGUCAAUGGCCGGAUCGGAUCCACCCGGUCCGACCCAUUUUUCCGAAUAAAAUAAUAUUAAAUACUAAAAAUAUAUUAAAAAUUUCAAAAAUAAUAAAAAAUAAUAAAAAAUAAUAAAAAUAAUGAAAAUUCAAAAAAGAUUCCAAAAAUUCAAAAACUCAGAAAAAAUUAAAAAAUUCGACCACCUUUUUAAAAAAUUAAUAAUAAUUAAAAAUUAAUAAAAAAUUAAAAAUUUCGAAAAUCUAAAAAGUGUAGAGUUUGGUUAAGAAUUGUCAUGUGUUGCCUUCUUAGUGUAAUUAGGCAUUUAUUUGCUCAUAUAUUGGUUAUAUCACGUGCUUAAUUCGCAUAUUUUAUCAUGUUUAAUUGCAUGUGUUAAAAUUUACUGCAAUUAGGAUUUUGAUUACAAAUGGUUGCUUUAAUGAGUGCGCACCUGCAUGAUCACAUCGCAUAUUAGUGGAUAUGCAUAAAAUCAAUCAAAAUUGCCUAACAAAUAAUAUUUUCUUUUAAAAUGAACAAGAUUAGGUACCAAAAAGGUACUAAUUGGUUAAUUAGUAUAAUCAAGUCCCCGAUCCUAGAUUCUCUAGUUGCGUAGGAAGUGGGAUAGACUCUCAUAUCUCACUUGGUUUCUAGCCGACUCCGAUAGGUUAGUGGCGACUCCUUAUUGCAAAAAUCUUUGAAGAUACCUUAGUGUCACGCGAGGUAUGGACUUGGGAAAGCCCGCACCUAAUCAUGAGCCUUAGGUCUGUCCUUUAGGCAAUACCCCUAAAUUAUUCCCUCCUCCCGAGAGGUAGGUCGCGACAGCUUGGUGACUCCACUGGAGAUGGUUUUAAACCUUAGAGAACUUAGGCUGAAAUUGAUCUUGUUCAAAAAUAUUAUUGUUUGGUGGUGAAGAUCCGAAGUACAUCCCUAACGAGUCAAUUGUUUAAUGUUCAUGUUGAAUGGGAGGUAUAAGGGGAAGUGAUUGCUAACCAUUAUUUUGUAGGGGGUGUAGGAAUGAAUGAUUUAUUUACACGUGAAAUGCUGAUUGUUUAUAAAUUGUCGUGCAUGCAUCCCCUGCAUUGCACUACACCAUAGCACACACUACUUGCCGUCAGACUUGGGCUGCAUAAGAUCACCUAGGAUGGUGUUGAGGUGGAUACCACUCCAACUACAAUCAUGUAGUAUGAGUCGCCCACCUCAACCCCAAAAUUUCCUUCCUGAUGUCAAAGGUCACCACCAUGAUCUGUAACCACGCGACACGGGUUAGUUCUUUGACGAAGCUGGAGUCAAUGUAACUCGACCUAGCUGCGACCUUGUUGGUUUGGUCCGGUAAUCCUAUGACUCCAUUUGAGUUAUUUAGAGUAGAAAUCGAACCAUCGUCCAUGUGUAUGUCUAUGUCAUUGGCCUUGCUACUCAAUGAGCAAGGUAAGAUUUUCGAAUUCUUUUCUUCGCAAUUUACUUAUUCGCUUUCUUUUUGGUUGGUCCAUGGCAAAUUAGGAUGAUCAUAACUGCAAGUAAUAUACGAUGGGGGUACCCGAGCUUCACAUCAUUGCCGCCCCAAAAGCCGAGCUCUGCAUAUGGUGGGAUAGACUAGACCCGACUGGCCAUGAUUGGGUGCGAUCCCAUGUUAGAUGACUACUUCCCCUCUUGGAAGUAGAAACUCAUUAUGGUGUUGUACGAGCGUUGGCGCAUGUCUCGUGUCCUGAGACUUGCACAUCAAUAUUCGGUAACUACAAGCUCACUCCAACCUUAGAUGAAUAUGGCACUGCCAUUGGGAAGCCCUUAGUGUCGAAGUUAGUUAGCCCGCCAGUAGGGAUUGAACACACAUUGACCUUAUCUGAGUUCCUUAUAGUUAAGGGAGAGGACGUGAGAAAUGUUUUGAAAGCCAAUUGCAAAGCUUGCACAUUUUCAUUCCUAAAUGAGCUUUUUUAGAACGCCCCAUUUUUCCAAAAGAAUAAGAUCUUCCUAUUAGCUUUCUUUGGGUUUGUGAUAUUCCCACAUAGAAGAAAUGCUAUUAACUCCUCCGUGGCAUGGGUAGUUCGUGAGGUAUGUAUGGGAAGGGGUUUUGUUAAUGCCAUCCUAACUGAAACCUUUCUUUUCCUUACAUGCUUUAAGGAAAACAAAAACAAAGUUUUUCAUACCCCUCCUGAACUCUUACAAAUUUGGUUUUUUUCUCACGUUAAGGGACUUGGUAGCUUGAUGACCGUGAACGACAUUUUUGACUCUAGCCACCCUAUCCUGAAGUUUAAAGAUAGGAAAAUGUUUGCCCCCGAUUAUCAUUACUCUUAGUGGUUAGUUUUCAUGACCAACCUUGGACCUGAAGAUUUCCAAUUGCAUGCCAAAUGGCUCCGAGUUCAAGAAGCGCGGUUCGUGUGUGGGCUUACUGGAUCUAUUCAUUUGUUGGGAAUUACUGGACCUAUUCCUUUGCUGAGAUUCCUUUGCUUGGAAUUAUUGGAGUCCUCUUUUCUAUGAUCUUCUUCGGUUGUCCAAAAUGUUCGGGAAGAGCUACCAUCUAUGGACCUGAAAAUGGUUAUCCCACAAUGGAGUGAGACUACAUCUCAUUGAGUUCUAUCCCUAAGACCCGAUUAUGAAGAAAAUACGCCCUAAGGGCUGUCUAAGUACAAUUAGGCAUCGGAGGACUUACCUUAACCUUAGUUCCUUCCUGCAAGUCAAUUCAAUUGAUAAAUUACCCACAAACCAUACCAUCUAAUCAAAUCAGAUCAAAUUAUCGAUCAAUCAAUUUAGUCAAUUAUAUGUCAUCACGACCUUCUCUUGGUCGGCCUAUUUAAUACUAUCUAUGAGUCAAACCAUAAUCUAGGACUGCUCACUCUAGGUGAUAUAUAGAUAGUAGCUUGCCCCAAAAGCUAAUAAAUAGUAUACUGUCCAUUCUCUAAGAUUACAUAUCGGGCCAUCAAGCUAUUAUAGUAUACUAUUUCUUCUCCAGAUCACAUAUAGAGCCAUCGAGCUGUUAUAGCAUAACAUUCUUUCUAAUAAAGUUAGUAUGAACACUUAGAGAGGGUGAAUAGGUGUUAAAGAAGUUUUUGCAAAACUUAACAAUUUAAUUCGACUUAUAAUAAAACAUUAGAUUUAAGAUAUAAAAGAUUUUAAGCUGAUAUAUAAGACUGCGAAUUAAAUAAAGAGAUUAGAGUAAGAGAAUUGAAACGCAAGGUUUAUAGUGGUUUGGCUUAGACCAAGCCUACAUCCACUCUCCCGCACUGAUAGCCCACUGGCUGGAUUCCACUAAGAACCAAAAGAGAUUUUACAGUAUCACGUCCUUGACUCCACAAUGUAGAGACUCUACUACAUUUCUUCAAGGCCUCACAAGUAUUUGAUCUCUCUUUUGAGUACAGUUUAAGCUCGACAAAUUGUAACAGCAAAGAACUAAGAAUUUCAAACUUUGAAAUUUUUCUUUUACGCACACACUCGAAUAACUUGAGUGUCCUCCUUAUUUACUCAUCCAUGCCAUCAUAACCGUUGGCACCUUUUAAAGGAGUUCUUCCAAUCUACCUGUUAGAAUCUCGAGUUAUUUAAGGAAUGUGAUGAUAGCCCACCAAUCCUGCUUGCCCAUACAGUCAGGAUGUAGGUUUCCAUAAGUUGAACUUUUCAAGUAUACUUCGCCAAGCAACGGAUCUAAUUAUUCAAAUUGAUUUCAAUAAGAAUAAUUGAUUAUGAGAUACUAUCUACAACCGUGAGAUAUUCUUCAACCGUACGAAUAAAAUCCUUAAGGAUAUACUUGUAUCUGGAUAAGUUUUCUUCAAUGGAUAAAACUUUUCUUCGUCGGUCUGGAAACUAUCAGUGAGGGGCAGACUUUAAAUCUUGAGUCUAGAGGUCUUCCGACUUUAACGAUAGAGUUUGCAAAUUUUCAGACUAGAUUGAUGGAAACGUUUUGUCAAAACUUCAAAACAGAUAAGGGAGUUUUCUCCAACAAUCUCCCCCCUUUUUAUGAUGACAAAACUUUCCCGCAGAUUUGAAUACUUUGACCUGCAAAACAACACUUAAGCAAACCAAGAUUUCUUAUAAAAGAUAAUUAGAGAUUAGGAUAAGGAUAAUAACGAUUCUGCAACCACAGAGAACAUGUUAGUCCUGUAAAAGCAACUAUUAUUAUCAUAAUUAAUAACAUAGUUUAAGUUACUUGUAAGCAUCGUUAGUCCAAACCAAUUCAAGUCACAACCAAACAAAAGAUAAGUCCAAUAGUAAAAAAUCAAUCAUCAAAUCUGCAGUCAAAUCAUCAAAUAUGUAGUCAAACCUCUCCCCCUUUUUGUCAAUAGCAAAAAAUGGAGAACAAACGAAAAAAGAGUUGGUUGAAAAUAGAGUCAAAAUCAUGGCUGUUUGGGAAGGCGAACAAACUCGAAUUCUCCCAUAAAAUGCAUUGUCUUCUCAAGCCUUUCAAAACUUUGCUUCAGUGAUUGAAAAUCUUCACCCUGUACAGUAGAUUGCACUUGAAUCUUUAGGCAUUCAACUAGUUAUGCAAAGACAUUAAAGUGGCCUUAAAAGCAUUCUUGAGAACCUGCAUCUCAAAUCCCAUAGCAUAUUGUUGUUUUCUAAGGUCCAAUAGAAUUUUCAGCAGUCUUGAAAAGUCUGCUGUUUGAGCUGUUGUGGAACUAGGACUAGCUGAGUCAAUUCCAGGGAUUUUAAGAAUGGAUGGAACUUCAGCAGAUUGUCCACCAUGAUUGUCUUCUGGGUAAUGCGAGGCAUACACAUCCUCUGGAUCUGUUGCAGAACGACUUACAUCACUAGCAAAUAAAGUUGAAGAAAUGCCUUUUGGUCCAACAGCUCCCCCUAUUUUGUUGCCUUUAGAUGGAGUGGGUAAGAUUUCUUCUUGAUCAGCUUUAGCUUCAGAGUGAUGAGCGUCAGCAAUUCUAAUUCUGCCAUCUUAGAAUCACUAAACAGGGAGAGCUAAAGUUCGCUCGAAAGAGUCUUCUUGACCCUGAUCUUGUUCUCCUUCUCUCUCUUCUUCUUCCUCUUCUUCUUCCUCUUCUCUUCUUUCUUCCUCUGUCCUCCUCUGUUCUUCAUCUUCCUUCUCUGUAUAUUCUCUCUCUUUUCCUCUUUCUUCUGGCUCUUCUCUUGUCUCAUGAAAGCUGACAAAACUCUUUAAGUUUCUUAAGGCUAAAAGAGUCAUUUCAUCAUCAUCUUCUUCAUCUUGCAAGAUGAGACUUCUUUUCUUAUUUACUGGAGCAACCAUGGGCUCCUUGCCUUUCCUCUUCGCUACAACAGAGUCUUGUUUUGCUAUGACGGGAGACUUCUCCUUCAUACGCUCCAACAUCUUGUUCAACUCUUUCAAACGCAUCUUUGAGACCAUUUUGAAACCAAUCACCAUUGGAUAGAUGGUUGUCAGGCAUAAUGGUGCAGAAAUGUGAAUUUUAAAGUGUCUAAGAGAGGUGUGAUAAGAACAGAAUAAUGGAGUUGUCCCUUAUUUUUCACACAGUUCAAUACAUGUAAAACAAGAUGGUGUGAGGUAGAGAGAAUUUAAAUCCGGUAUUGAUGGCACACAUCAAUUUUGCUUCUGAUCGAGAGACAUCAGUCUUGGAUGUCGAUUUGGGACGAAUGCAAUUUAUCACAAUCUUGUACAGCAAGAUGUUAGAGGCACUCUUCCUUAAGUAGGAAAUUUUACCUUCAACAUCCCUAUCUUUCACCAACGACAAAAUAACAUGAGCAAUAGACAUGCUAAUUGGAUGGAAAUUCGUUCUUUCCACCCCAAUUAUGUCAGCCAAUGUGUUUGUAUCAAGUAAAAAUACUUAUCCUUCACUGUGAAAGUAAAAUUGUUUGCAUAAAAAAAAAAAGUUCGAGUAAAAGUAUGCAGUAAGCUCUGGAUAAGCAACAGUGGAUUCAGAACAGAAGCGUUCCAAUUGCAGUACAAUAAACUUCUCUCGCAAAUUGACUUUUGUCGAAUCAAGGAAAUCAAAAUCAACACUUCUAGGAUUCAUAACCCCUCUCUUCAUAAGGUUCGAAUAAACCUUCUUGUGAUUCUUCGAUCUAAACAAAUUGGAACCAUCAGCAAUAUUUGCAGCCACUCUCGUUCUAGGUUGAAAAUGAGUAAACAUCUGUUCAUCGUCGUCCAGAAGUUGUGGUUGAUUUGCAGUGCCAUAGAAUGGGUCACUCGGAAAAUUCGCAAAAGUUCUUUUAGCCAUUCCUUUUUCUACAACUCCUAACAUUUCCAACUCCCGCAAGAACAUGUUUUCAUUCUUGUAUCCUCUAUCUCUUAAAAAUUCAUCAAUUAAAGACAUUGACGUUCCUCAUUUCUUCAAAUUAGAGUAAAGUUUGAAAGCAACCUUGAGAGUGAGCAUUCUUACAAGUCCAGCCUCCUCUAUAUCUUUAUUGCCUGGUUGAGUCAGUGGAGAAGGUUGAUGUUGCUAAGAAGGUUGUUGCUGACUUGGAUGUAGUGGUGGAGAAGAAUCUUCUUUCUCAGUCAAGUCAAAAUGCGUAGGACCCUCGGGCAUAUGUCGUGAUUCCCUGCUUGCAAUCCUUGAAGACUUUCUUGAAAACAUUGUUGCUUCAAGGAAGGAAUUCACCAACUUGCUCGAAAAAGGUGAAAACUUUUGGACAGAUCGAGAGUAAAAGUGAAAAAUACCUUUUCAAAAAGAAUAACUUCCCUUUUUGAAAAUAACUGUCUUUUCAAAAUUGAUAACUGCCUUUUUGAAAAAAAAAAUACUUUGAAAGAUAAUUUCAAUCGAUUAGCAUUUAAUAAGUAACCGUACCUUUUAAAGUUCAAAAUACUAUAAUAGAAAUAACUUACAGUCGUUACUCUUGGUCUUCUGAGUUUGAACACCUUCAGACUUUACCUUUGAGUCUUGAGCCCAUCCAGACUUUACUAAGUAAGAGAUAUGAUGUUCAGUCUGGUGCGAAUAGUCUCAAAUAGGUUUUUCUCCAAAGGCUUUGUAAAUAUGUCCGCCAAUUGAUUCUUUGAGUUUAUGAAUUGAAUCAUAACUUCUCCACUUUGAACAUGAUCUCUAAUAAAAUGAUGUCGAAUCUCUAUAUGCUUUGCUCUUGAAUGAAGAAUUGGAUUCUUUGUGAGGUUAAUUGUGCUGGUGUUGUCGCAUUAGAUCUCAAUACAAGAGUCUUUGAUUCCAAAGUUUAUCAGUUGUUGUUUUAUCCAUAAGAUUUGAGAACAGCAACUUCCAAGAGCCACAUACUCUGCUUCUACUGUUGAAAGAGCUACAAUGCUUUGCUUCCUUGAAAACCAAGAUACUAUCUUGUUUCCUAACAAUUGACAUGUACUAGAUGUACUCUUUCUAUCAACUCUGCAACCUGUUAAAUCUGAAUCUGAAUAUCUAAGGAGGGUAAAGUCUCAUUCUUUGGGAUACCACAGACCUAAGCUUGAAGUAGUUGUAAUGUAUUUAAUGAUGCUUUUUGCGGCACUUAGAUGAGACUCUUUUGGAUUAUAUUGAAAUAUAGCACAAAUGCAAACAUUAAACAAAAUGUCAGGUUUACAAACAGUAAGAUAAAUAAGUGAACCAAUAAUACUCCUGUAAAGUUUCUGGUCAACUUUCUUUCCUCCUUCAUUUUUAUCUAGCUUCGAAGAACUAGACAUUGGUAUCUCAGUCAUUUUGCAAUUCUCUAAUCUGAACUUUUUAACAAGUUAUUUCGCAUAUUUUUUUUGGUGAAUGAAAAUUCAUUUCUUCAAUUGUUUUACUUGUAGUCCGAGAAAGAAGGACAGUUCACCUAUCAUGCUCAUUUCAAAUUCAUCAUGCAUAGACUUAGAAAACUUCUUGCACAAGUUUUCGCUAGAAGAUCCAAAUAUAAUAUCAUCAACAUAAAUUUGAACAAGUAGAAAGUUUUUACCUUCUCUCUUAAUAAACAAGAUAGUAUCCAUUUUUCCUUUGACUAAACCAUUUUGCAUUAAAAACUUACUUAACCCGUCAUACCAAGCUUGAUGUGCUUGUUUUACACCAUAAAGAGCAUUUUUCAGUCUGAAAACUGAGUCUGGUCUCUUUGGAUCUUUAAAUCCAAGAGGUUGUUCCACAUAAACUUCUUUUUGGAUAAAUCCAUUUAGGAAUGCACUUUUGACGUCCAUUUGGAAUAACCUGAAACUUUUAUGACAAGCAAAAGUAAGUAAUAAUCUAAUUGCUUCUAACCUGGCUACUGGAGCGUAGGUUUUAUCAUAAUCUAUCCAUUCUUCUCGCGUAUAACCUUUGGCCACAAGUCUUGCUUUGUUCCUGAUCACUUUUCCUUUUUCAUCCAACUUGUUCCUAAAAACCCAUUUAAUUUACCUUUUGGUUUAUGAGUUAUCUCCCAUAUAUCGUUAAUGCUGAACUAUCUAAGUUCUUUUUGCAUUAUUUUAAUCCAGCUUUCAUCAGCUAAAGCUUUUUCUAUGCCUUUGAAUUCUAUUUCAAAAAUAAGUGCCAUGACGCUAGCCUCUUCUUGCCUUUUGGAUCUGGUGCAAAUCCCAUCAUCAAUAUUACCAAUGAUGAGUUAUCUGGGAUGACUAGACUUGUGCUUCAAGUUACAUGUUGGUCUGAUAGUUUGCCGAUCUUCUUCUUCAAUUGAUUUUUUAGCUUCUGUUCGUUGUUAAUUUUCAAAAAUCUGAGCUGCUUUAGGGGAGGUAGACUUUGUAGAGUUUGGAGCAGGUUCACAUUCUUCAAGAUGAGUCUGAAUCAAUUGAUUCUGCAAAGAGUCUUGGAAUUUGACAUUCGUAGAUUCUUCCACAAACUGAGUCUUUUUGUUGAAUACUUUGUAGACUUUGCUAGUGGUUGAAUAUCAAAGGAAUAUUCCUUCGUCCGAUUUCUCUUCAAAUUUACCAACUCGAUCAUUUGCAUUUGUCAAAAUGAAACAUUUGCAACCAAAUACAAGAAAGUAAGAGACAAUUGGCUUUUUUUCUUUGAAUAGCUCAUAAGGAGUUUUCUCCAGAAUAGGCCGUAAAAAGAUUCUAUUAAUAAUAUAACAUGCUGUAGAAACUACUUCAGCCCAAAACUGAGCGAAAAUACUACUUUCUAUUAAAAGAGUUCUUGCCAUCUCCUGCAAAGAUCUAUUAUUUCUUUCCACAACUCCAUUUUGUUUUGGAGUGUAUGGAGAGGAGAAAACAUGCUGAAAACCUGAUUCAUCACAAAAUUUUGCAAAGUCUUGAUUUUCAAACUCACCUCCAUGGUCUGUUCGUAUGCUUGAAAUAGCAUAUCCUUUCUUGUUCUGAACUUUCUUAGGUAACUUUGAAAAGUAGGAAAAUGCUUCAGACUUACUUGCCAAAAGGUAAACCCGGGUGAAUCGUGAAUAGUCAUCAACGAUUACUAGACAAUAUCUCUUUCCACCUAUGCUUCUAGUUCUGGUUGGCCCAAAGAAAUCCAUAUGCAGAAGCUGCAAAAUACGAUUAGUAGAAAUCUGAUUUAAUGGUUUAAAAUAACUUCUAACAUGUUUUCCCAAUACACAUGGUGUGCAUAAGUUGGAUUUUUGAAACUUCAGGUUGGGUAGUCCUCGAACAAGAUUUUUAGAAGAGAUCUUGGCAAUUUGCUUCAUAUUGGCAUGGCCAAGCUUUCGAUGCCAAAGAUUUGCUUCAUCUUGAAUUGAAAUUAGAUAUUGAGACUUCUCUGGUUUUGUAUUCAAAAGAUAGAUGUGCCCAUGUCUUCGUCCAGUAAAAGAUUGUGAAAGAUCUUUACUAGUUCCUGAAUAUAUUUCUUCUUGAAAAUUGAUCUUUAAUCCAGUGUCACAUAAUUGGCUGAUGCUAAGUAAAUUGUAAUUGAGUCAUUCCACUAAGGAAACAUUGUUGAUUGUGAGACUUCUAAUUUUUACAGUUCCACAUCCAACAAUUCUUCAUUUGCUGUUUCCGCCAAAGGAGACUUUUCCACUAUUUAUUUGCAUAAGUUUUAUAAAACAACUUGAAUCUCCACUCAUAUACCUUGAACAAUCAUUAUCCAAAUACCAUUUAACAUUUUUCUUGAUAGUGACCUGCAAUUAAUAAAGAAAUUCAAGUUUUUUUUGGUACCCACAUUUUUUUGGGUCUAGAGGAGUUUGUAUAAUAAGCAGUCUUUGCCCAUUCCUUCUUAACAUGUCUCCAAACCAUAAAACAUUUUUUCUCAAAGUGUUCUAAGCUGUUGCACUUAGAACAUUUGAAAGUACUUCGCCCAAUAGGUUUUACAAAGAUCUUUUGAAAAUGAUUUAUGUAAAAAGUUUUUGUAAGCCUUUGUUUGAUUUUUUUUUUCACUUUUGGAAAAUCAAUUAGAGAAAUAGUUUCAGAAAUCAUUACCAAGUCUGAUUUGUUAAAGUAGAGUUUUUGUACUAAAAGAAUCUUUUCCAAUAUCUCAGAUCCUAUAGAAAACAUUUUUGAAAUAUUUGAAAUGUCAUUUUUCAAGAAUGUUUUUUCUUUUUAAAGAGAGUCUGCAUUUUCUUUUAAAGUAACAAAACUAUUAUCUAAAUUUUCAAAUUUUUCUUUCCGUAAAAUUUAUUGUUGCUUCAGUGUAGAAUUUUCCUUUUUUAGCUCGGAAAUCCUCUUGAGAGAGGUUUUGAGACUAAGAUAAAGUUCAUCAAUGUAUUUCAAGACAUUAGUAGGGAUUUUUAAGUUACUUAUCUCGAUUUCACUAUCUGAGUCUAAGUCUGUAUCUAUUUCGAAGUCUGAGUCUGAUUCUGAUUUUGCCAUUAGACAAACAUUGGCAUAAUUUUUGUCACUUUCUUCACAUUCAGUAUCGUUAAAUGUCUCUGCCUUGAGAGCCUUCCUAUAUUUCUCAACUUUUCCUUUCUUUUUCUUCAACAUGGGACAGUUAGGUCUAAUGUGCCCAUUUUUCUUGCAUUCAAAACAGAUCACAUCCUUAUUGGAUUCAUCAUCCUCAUUUGAUUUGUUUUGAAACUUUUGAGUGCUUUGUUUCUUCCAAUUGAAUCUUCUUCCCUUUUUAUUCAGUUUCCUGAACCUCUUUAUCAUAAGAGCUAACUAUUCAUCAUCCAUAUCAUCUUUAGACUCUGUAACAUCAUAAUCAUCAUUAGAUCUCAAAGCAAUUGACUUCUUACCUUUGGGAUAUUCUUCUUCAUUGAUUUGCUCCACUUCAUAGGACUGAAGUGUGCCAACCAAUUCGUCUACAGAAAGUGGCAUGAUCCUUUAUGUUUCCCUUAUCGAAGUCUUUAUGUGAUUCCAGUUUUUGGAGAGUCCACGCAGCAACUUGUUAACCUUCAUGGGUCCUGAGAUUGGUUGUCCCUGAUACUCUAGACCAUUUACAAUUUCUAUAAAAAUGACUAAAUGUGUCAGUAAUAGAUUCUCCUAGCUUCAUCUUGAAGGCUUCAUACUGUUUGAGUAGAAUAUUGAUUAUUAUUUCUUUCACUCGAUUAAUUCCUUCAUAGGUAAUGUGUAGCCUAUCCUAGACUUCUUUGGCUGUUUCACAAGAAAAUAUUCUAUUAUACUCAGUAUGAGAUAAUGCACAAUAUAAGGAAUAAAUUAUUUUAGCAUCAAGAGCUUGUCUCUUAGUUUUUUUUUUUUUAGUCAUCUCGCCAGCGUCUGCAACUUCUUUUCCCAUUUCUAAACCUAAUGUAGCUUUAGAAAUAAUUUCUUUUUCUACCACAUCCCAUUCUAGAGGGUAUUUCGAUCUUAGGAAUGCCUUCAUUUUGUUUUUCCAUAUGUUGUAUUCAUUUCCAUCGAAAUAAGGUGGUCUGGUGUUCCUUUGGCCUUCAACCAAACCUGGAGCCAACAUACUAGCCAUGGAUCUUUAACUUAGAAGUAAAAACAUUUCAAUUAAUUGAGUACACAUGCUCUGAUACCAAUUGAUAAAGCUAGUAUGGACACUUAGAGGGGGGUGAAUAGAUGUUAAAGAAGUUUUUGCAAGACUUAAAAACUUAAUUUGACUUAUAAUAAAACAGUAGAUUUAAGAUAUAAAAUAUUAUAAGCUGAUAUAUAAGACUGCGAAUUAAAUAAAGAGAUUAGGGAAAGAGAAUUGAAACACAAGGUUUAUAGUGGUUCAACUUAGACUAAGCCUACAUCUACUCUCCCACACUUAUAGUACACUGGCUGGAUUCCACUAAGAACCAAAAGAAAUUUUAUAGUAUCACGUCCUUGAUUCCACAGUGUAGAGACUCUACUACACUUCUUCAAGGUCUUACAAGUAUUUGAUAUCACUUUUGAGUACAGUUUAAGCUCGACAAAUUGUAAUAGCAAAGAACUAAGAAUUUGAAACUUUGAAAUUUUUUUUCAUGCACACACUCGAAUAACUUGAGCGUCCUCCUUAUUUACUCCUCCAUGCCAUCAUAACCGUUGGCACCUUCCAAAUGAGUUCUUCCAAUCUAUCCGUUGGACAGAAUCAAUUAGGAAGAUCUCGAGUUAUUUAAGAAAUGUGAUGAUAGCCCACCAAUCCUACUCGUUCAUAGAAUCAAGAUCUAGGUUUCCAUAAGUUGAACUUUCCAAGUAUACUUCGUCAAUCAACGGAUCUAAUUAUUCAAAUUGAUUUCAAUAAGAAUAAUUGAUCAUGAGAUGUUAUCUCCAGCCGUGAGAUAUUCUUCAACUGUACGAACAAAAUCUUUAAGGAUAUACUUGUAUUUGGAUAAGUUUUCUUCAAUGGAUAAAACUUUUCUUCAUAAGUCUGGAAAUUAUCAGUGAGGGCAGACUUUAAAUCUUGAGUCUAGAGGUCUUUAAACUUUGACGAUAGAGUCUGCAAUUCUUCAGACUAGACUGAUGAAAACGUUUUAUCAACUUCAAAAUAGAUAAUGGAGUUUUCUCCUACACUUUCUCCAAGAUGACAUAGAGAACCAUCAAGCCAUUAUAGCAUACCAUUCUUUCUCUAAGAUGACAUGUAGAGUCAUUGAGCUAUUAUAGUAUAACAUUCUUUAUCUAAUAUGACAUAGAGCCAUCGACCGUUAUAGCAUACCGUUCCGAUCAUACAAUCAAUUUAUCAUUUUUAUCAUACCCAAUAAAAAUACACGUGUGUGGGUACACGGCCGGCUUUAGCCAAAAUACAAGGUUUUCACUUUUGAACCUCUCACUAUUUUCAGCAGUCCCAAAAUAAAUUUUUGACGCUGUAGACCGACGCUCGGUAAUUUUCCCAUUUAAUUACCAAAAUUAUCCAUUUCUAGAAUAAACAUCCACAAACACCAAUUACAACCAAUUUGCACAAUCUGGUACUCAAUUAAAUAAACAGAAAGUACUACUACAAUCAGCAUGAAAUUCCGGUUUAAUUUCCGAAAAUUAAUUAAUAAUACAACUUAGUGGAGUCACCCACGUUUAGUCACACGUCUCAGUCGAACCAACCUAUCUCUAAUCUCUAAUCGAUUUUUAACUAUGCCGUAAUGACCUCUAAAGAUGAGCACGGCCGAGUAGCUGAUUCCUGGUCGAAUUCUCAGGUCUAUUACGUUAAAAUUCCUUAAUGGCUUCCCUAGAUAGUUUAGUUAUCUCAAGAGUGAUCAGCUCUUAGAAUAGCUUUAUAAGUGCAUCAAUGAAAUGCCCGAUUAAUUUAAUUAAAAGCAGAAGGGAAAAAUCCAAGACGUCACACAAUCCAUUUAACUUUGGGUGCUCUCUACAUGCACCUCAGUGGUUAGAGGAAUCAAAAUAAGAUACUAUUUGUACACAAGUGCUUGUUUGGUAAUAUUCAAAGAAUUUUUCCAAUUUUUUUGUCUGGAAGGUGAAGCAAAAGAGAAAGAGAGGUAAUGGGAAAGAAACUUCAAUAAAUUCCAGGAAGACCAAAACUUUGCGGGACACAAAUUAAAGUUUGUUGAUUCACUUUUCACAUCCUGCCCCUUCCAUCCGCAGGUGAACUUCUUUUUUUUUCCGUUAAUCGUAAAACCUUUACACGUUAGGUCUGGAUUAAUCUCAAUUGUUUUUUCUUUCUUCAAAUUUUGCUCAAUUUUACGCAUCCAUAACUUAAAUGGCCAUGUUGUAGUGAUUUUAUUGAUAUGAAUCGCUUACCUAUGCAGAUUGGUGAUGAGGAGAGAAAUGUGUAUGUCAACUUAGACAAUCUUAGCAUCCAAUGUCUCUAUUGAUGUGGCCACAUCUCAAGAUAUUGCAUUAGACUCCAAUAUCGACAUCUAACAGCAUUAGUGUCCUGUCAACAUUUUUUUUCCGCAAUUCUAAUGAAGGUCUCAUGUUGGCCCACAUUUGAAAAUUGAGGUAGUUGAUUGAACGAUAAAAAGUUCUGGUACUUUAUUAUGAAAGGGAUAAUAGUUCAAAUAAUCACGAUGUUAUUGCCCCAAAGAGUUUAUCAUACAAUCAUUGAUCUAGGUUCAAAUCUCGCACAUACUUUUGUUUAUGCUACAUUUGUUCUACAAACUUAUCCUCUCAAUUCUUUGCUUGGUCUCCCUUUAAUAAUUUUCUUUUGUAAGAUUAUUCAUUCUCUCCCGUGACAGAUAAUAGGAGAUAUUUUUGUUAAUUUCACAUGCAAAAAGAUUUUAGGGACUAAAGAGGUUAGAAAGUUUCUUAAUGUCGAUUUUGUUUAGAGUUUCUUUCUUGGAAUCAUUCGAUCAUAUUAAUUCAAGUCUUGCCCUCGAAAUAUUUUAGUGGGUUAUCAAACAAUUUAUUGAAGGUAGACUUUUUAUUUGUCCUUGCUUUUAUUUCUGUUGGAAAUUAUAUUCAUAAUAUUUUCAUUAGAUUUAACCAUAUGGGCACACAUAAUAUAAAACUUUACUAGGAUUUCUUAACCAAUUACCACGAAAUUGCCUAAAUAUCAUUUUUUGUGGAUAAUUUGUUCCAACUCUUUGAAGAUGGAUCAAUAUCGUCUUGAAGGUCAUUUCUGACCCGCAAGAGACAAAAUUAAUACUGCAAGAAACAUAUUGGAUACCAAUACAGAUAAUUAACAACUAAUUAAUACGUUGGCGUCAUUGAUAAUUUUCGUUUGCGAUUUCAACGGAGGUCUCAUGUUGACCCCCAUUAAUAAAUGAGAGGUAAUUGGUUGAAUUGAAAAAAACUUUAGAUACUUGAUUGCCAGCAGAAAGGUAAGAAAUUUCAUCGACCUCAUUAUCUGGUUUUGGUUUUAGUCAAUUUGAAUAUUUUUGGAAGCCACGGAUAUAGAAUGAAAUUGAUGGGGUUCCUCUUAUGGAGUUUUUGCUCCAGCCCUCGCAUGUAAUCAAAUAAUUGCCUCCUCUUGAAUGUCUUUUUCUUUUCCUUAUUCAGCCAGAUCCCAAAUGCUUGAGAUAAGACACAAUCAAAUUGUAUGUUUUUAAUAAGCCAAAAAAUAUUCUCUGAUUUUCCUUGCCAUGUAUUACUACUACCAGGCGAUUAUAAAUGAUAGUUGUAAAGUUAUAUACACAUGUCAAAAGUAUUGAAGUGCUAAUGACGCGUUCUUGGGACCAAAUUAGAUUAGCGCAUUUGACGAUUUUCUUUUUGUUGUGGGGAAAUAUAUUUGGUUCAAGUAUGCCAAGUUGAGUUCUAAGGUUUAAGUAAUAUUUGGAAACAAUCAACCACAGAAAUAGUUCAUUUUAUUCCAAUUCCUAAUUUUUAAUUACAUGUAAUCUGAAAAUAUGUGCGCAGUGUCUUCGUCCGUGCAUAGCACUGUAUGAAUAUUAGUAAUCUAAUAUAAUUUCAUAUCUCAUAAUUAUUUGACCUCAUUAAUUGGGUACAUAUCUAAAUAGAUUUUAGAUUAAAUCUUCUGUUUUUUUUUUAAUUAAUAACUUUUAGGAAAAGGAAUGUAAUAGUUGAUAGGGCUCAUCAAGGAGGACUGAGCAAAUUUAUAUAUAUAAGUUGUGGACGAUUUCAACCGUUGCUCAUGAGUUCCUAAAUUAAAAGAUUCAAUUUAACAAGUAUGUACACACUUGUAAAGUACCCAUGCUACGCACACAACUUAUAAUCAAUGUGUACGUACUUGUUAAAUUAAAUCUUUUAAUUUAGGAACUCAUGAGCAACAGUUGAAAUUGUCGACAACUUAUUGAACUUUUUCUAUCAUUUUGCUUAGUUCUGUCUUAUUUAAAGCAGGAAGAGAGAAAACUAUUUAGCUCAGGAAGACCAAGACAUCCACCUACCAAGAACAUCAAAAAAAGACCAAGACCAAGACCAAAAAUUUUUUUUUUUUGGGCAUCUGUACAUUAUUUACAUUCUUAAUAAUCUUAUAAUUCAAUGUCUUCAUUUGAUGCAUUAUUGGUGAAUAUGCUAUCAAUGUAGGCUUUUAUGUGGCAGUUACCGUGCUAAAGAUUCGCAGCAAGAUGGGUAGUAGUGAUCUACUGAAGGGUGUUGAAGUAGUUGUUGAUGAUCAAAAACCGCAUGAUAGUAGAAUCAUGGUCCUUUCCAUGAUUUUACCGUUCACAAGUGUGAUGCCUAGAGUAUAUCUAGUAGAUUGUUCACUGUUAGUUGGCGAUGCCAGACCCUUUUUCUUGUCUAGUGAUGAAUGAAGCUUACCACAAUCAAUAGGACUGACAAAUAAGCAUAUUUUUGCAACUUGCACCGAUUGAAAUAAAUGUAGACGAUCUACCUAACAAUGGCAUCUUACUUUCUAUUAUAUAUCUAUAACUCAGACCACAAUUAAUAGGACUAACAUAUAAGCAUCUUUUUGCAACUUGCACCGAUUGAAAUAAAUGUAGACGAUCCACCUAACAAUGACAUCUUAAUUUCUAUUAUAUAUUUUUAAGUCAUCAAAGACAACUAACUUUGACUAUUCAAUAAUGAUAAUAGAAACACCUGAUUUGGGUUAAACAAGGAAAAUAGUUGGGUACGCCAAUGAAUCCCUGAAGCAAUUUGCCUAAUUUUACUCUGGAAAUAGUAAACAAUUCAUAUAUCACCAACUAAUCAUCAAGCAAAUGCUUUGGUUAACUUUUUCUUUCCAAAGGACCACAAUUCUCCUAUCAAGUGCGUCACGAUCAUCAACAAUUGCUUCAGCACCCUUCAGCAGAUCAUUGCCACCCAUUUUGUUGCAAAUUUUUAGCGCUAUGGAUACCACGUGAAAGACUAUACUAAAAUAAUAAUAAUAAUAAUAAACCAACAAAACAUUCGUAAGAUAAUUUUUUUAUGAAGAUAUGCCUGCCCUCUAAGGGUGAAUCAUUAGCCGUAGAGUCAAUCAAGGAUUAUGUUGAAGCAAAGUGAUAAUGAGUUAAUGGAGAUAGACAACUUUAAAGUCCCGGAAGACCAAGACUUUCACCUACCAAAGAGUUUAAACAGAGACCAAGACUUUCAAGGGUGCUUUCUGUCCACAAGUACUUUGUUCAUGCAGAGAAACCAUAAACUCAAGAAGGCCAAGACUUUACUGAACAUCAUGUAUUUGUUUGUCUAUAAAGUGAAGCAAAAGCGAAAGAGAGCAAAUAAAAAAGAUAAGAGUUUGCAGGAUGCAAAUUGGCAUUGUUACAUCACUUCUCACAUCCCUCCUCUCUCAUCCCUAUGUGAAUGCCUUUGUUUUUCCAUUACUAGUAGAAUUUCCCCAUGCAUUACAUGCCACGCUUAAAAAUUUAUUGUUACUUUCAGUUUUGUCCUACUCUUUUCUUGCUUAAUCGUACCGUGAUUUUUCAUUCUAUAAUCUCUCUUCUACUUGUCUAAUGAAUAAUGUCUAGAUUUCAUGUAUCUUUUCAAAUUUAAGUUCAAUAAAAGAAAAGAAAAAGCAAAGAGAAAAAUAAAAAGAAAAAACAGCAAGAACUUGAAAAAGGUAAAAAAGAAGAAGAAGCGAGAAUGGGGCGGGAGAGCGCACCACCGUCCCACGGCCACUGCCAAGCCGUUGCCAUCAGCACCGCUCCUUAUAGUCACCUUCAUAGGCAACAUUUCCUUUAGAUGUUUUUCUUAGAGCGGUUUAUUGGUAAGAGGCAUUUAGGUAUUCUCGAAACAUGCAUGUUCAAGUCAAUUAUUGCAUGUAAAAAUGAAACUGCUUUGAUGAUUUUGCUAAUCCUAAAUAGACUUCAUGAUUUUGUUAACGCAGAACUAUAGGGGACCACUGAACACCAGCGACGGUGGCCUGACGGUACAAACUGAUAUUCCACAAACGCGAGGUCACGAUGAUAAUCCAUUAGUGAUGGUAGCGCCUAUAUCUUGCCUUGCCCGUGAUGGGAGCUCUGGCAGCUUGGUAUUAGAUGAAGAGACUUGGCUACCCGAGAUAACUAGGUUGCGAGUGGUAUUGGACGAUGACCUUCUCGCGAUCUGAAAUAUUUCAAGGCAGAUGCGAAACUUUUACAAUUACUCAAAAUGGUAAUAGAGCAUAUUCUCCUUAAUUGCUCCUCUCGGUCUUCCUUUGCGACAAAGAAAAAGAAAAUGUUCUCUGAGAUGGCGUGGGAAGUUAAAUAGAAUAAAGAUGAACUGUUAGCUUCGACAAGGAAGUCAGAUUGAAAUGGAUUGUAAUCUGCCAACUCGAAAACCCCAAUUUUUGCAUCUCUUCAGUCGCUGCUGUUGUUGGGGGUACGAAAGCUGCUUCGUUUGACUUUGAAUGUAGACCUCGAUAAUUGACAUCGUGAUACAGAUAAAUCUUUUAGAGCAUGUCACCAAAAAAAAAGUAUAGAGCAUAUUAGUACGACUACCAAAAUUAGUAGCUUUUUGUUUUUCUUUUGUCAAGUUGCAAAAGAUGAACGUAAGCACAUCAGUUGCCUACCUCAACAAUGUUUGGAUUUGAUCACCGGGAGAGAUUUUGCCAAAUGCAGAAGACAGUGGGAUAUUCUGCAAAGCAAGCACAGUUGAGAGACAUUAGGUCAAUGAGCUAGGGCCGAAGAAAAAGAUAUUUGGAAGAGAACAUACAACAAACGCUGAUAUUGCAGAAAAAUAUCAAUACAAGAGCAACAAUUCUUCAUGAUUCUCACGCAAAGCAUAGUGCAUUUCCAUAAGUGGAAAGAUAAGCAAUUUUUGGGCAUGAAACAAAGUUCAAGAUAUAUCAUCAAUAAAGACAGGCACAUCCAUGCAUCAUAAUUCCUGCAAUGAGAGCAAGUCCAUGUACGUAUUAUUUGUUUUGAGAACAAAGAUUGGACAUUGGAGAGAUAUCUUCUUAUUGAAUCCGAACUCGAUCAAUUACGAUGAGUGGGAUUCUUGGAUGAGGUGCCAACAGUCGCCACAAAGUUUUGAGCACUGAUCUUUCAAAAUCUCUCAUUGAAUUAUGCGGAAUACAUGGAGGGAGGGAUGGAAGCUGUCCUCUGUCAAGUACCUCAACAUCUGGCAACUGUAAAAGAUAUGAUUGUUUGAGAGAGGAGAGAUGCUUGCGAAGCCCACUUGAUAGUCUUUUCAUGUUCCUCAUAUUUUUCAUCCAAGAAGAGGUUAGAGAGGAAGGAAAUAGGAGGCUCCACGCAUCUUAUGUCCUCCGCUAUUGAUGGUUCUUCCACAUUUUUCAUAUUUCUUAUCCAAAAUCCUGGAAGAGGACGAUUAAUUAGUCCUGAAUAAAAAUAAUUCCAUGCAUAAUGAACAACUAUGACAGUAAUCAGAACAACUAUGAGAGUAAUCAGACAAAAGGAAUUAUAUGCAUAACCACCCGACAGCAACAAAAAAUGAACAGAUAAGACAAGAACUAGGAUCCUUCGCUUUCCUUUUCUCAGCAAUUAGUGACCCUUUGAAUGAUUUUGUUUUCGCUGAAUAAUUCUUAUGAUUAUGUUAGCACACACGUAUGGGAGACCACUAAUCACCAGUGAUUAUCGGUUCAAGCUUGAUAUUCUAUGAAUAUGAGGUCAUGAGAUCAAAUUAUUAGUGCAGGCUAAUAACUCUUAAGAAUGAUUGCUGUCACCUGGUGUAACUGGAAAGCUCUGAAUGCAGCAACUUUUAACCAUAAAUCACCAUAUCCUGAGACCAUCAGUAAUACAGAUAAGAAAAACUCUUUUGCAGUGUGUUGCCUGCAAGAAUAUAAGAGAGCUAUGUCAUCAGUGGAUGGAUGAAAGGCAGGGCGUGUAGUAAAACCUAAGCCAGGUUCUGUGAAUAUCAACUGCAAUGGGUCUAACAUUAAAGAAACGAAACAUGCUGUUGCUGGGAUUGUUGGGAAGAUGGAAUUGGACUUUGAGGCAUGAAUACACUGCCUUUAAGAAACAAACUAUUUACUAAAGCACUUUUUCUAUGUUUUACGAACAAACUAACAAUAGGCAUUGUGGCCACAAAUUAGGCAGAGGACAUGGUUAACCGCAGGGGUGUGGUGGUGCAAGUUAGAUUUGCAGAGGAGGCUAAAUUACUUUUUGUUGGAAAGAGCAUUGUAGUGGCAAAAGGGAAGUUGGCCCAAGGUUGUAGUGGAAAUAGAUGCAACUUUCGCAAGCAGUACAAUUAAAGACUUAAGGAAGCUCCUGCUGGGAUUCAAGCAGCUAAAGAUCAAUUUUCAGCUCUAAAUUGUAGUCGUAUUUCGUGAAAAGCAAAUGAUUAUGCCCAUUGGGUAGCUCUGCAUACUAGGAAGAGGACGUGUUGUCAAAAUUGGAAGUAAUGGAUGAGAAAUGAGUUUGUUUGCUAGACAAAAAAAAAGCCCAACGAAUUGUCAUUCGUUGACCUUAGUGGGUUGUUUUUGGAAAUUCAUGGGAAACAUCUUUAUGACAAAAUAUCAAUUUGUACUACGCAUCGAAUAGAGGAGGUAGAAUCAAAAUUGAUGCCUUCAAAACCAAAAACUUACCCUUAAUCCGAGAAAACUGGCCGUGCAUGGAAGAAUCAAUUCAUUGGAUCCGCACCCAAUCUAUCUUGAUGAGAGGGAUUUCUUGGAUUAGGGACCAAUAGUCACCAGUGAGUUUUGAGCAUCUAUCUUUCAGAAUCUCACAUUUCUCUAUGUACAAUUCUUGGAGGGAGGGAGGGAGGCCAUCCUCUGGCAAGUACCUUAGCUUUGGGCAAGAGUCGAUCCAUAAAUGUUUGAGAGAUGGGAGAUGGUUGAGAAGACCGCUUGAUAGUCUUUCAACAUUCCACAUAUUGCAAAUGCGAAGAUACAAUAGAGAGGAAGGAAAGAGAAGACUCCACGCAUCCCUGUCCUCCGAAGGAAACCAUACCUUCUCUCCCUCCCCUCCCAUGCAAAAGUCAAUCAACAUACACCGGAGGGAUGUGAGUAGGUGUAAGCCCCAUUCUCUCAUUGGCUGCUUCAGAUUCUCGCACCCUCUUAUUACAAGGUGAUGCAAAUUUGGAGGCAAACCUCCUUUGGGGAAGCAUUUGAUACUUUGGCAAUCCUCGAUGAAUAGCGUCUUGAGGGAUGUAAGAUGAUGCCACUGAUUUGGUAGAGACUUUAUCUUCGAACAAUUACUAAUUAUAAGACACGACAGGGUGAUGGGAAGGGAAGGGAAUUCCUCUAUCUCCAAUGCUGGACAAUUACUUAUAUCCAAAUGAGCAAGAUGGGAGAGCAUGUGAAGGCACUGUGGUAGGCUUCUUAGAUUUGGAUAGCCAUCAAUUGUCAUUUCUUUGAGUGCUUCUAUGGUGAUCGUUUCCACCGACUCCACUCCCUCGCACUCACAAAUACAAAGUUUCAUCAAAGCAGUAAGUCUAUCGUUUGCAAACAAAAAAGAUAUUAGAGAAUCACAAUUUACAAUCCACAAAUACUCAAGUUGAGAUAUCGGGUUAUUGUUGUUAGGGUCAUCUAGAGGAAUGGUUGGUCCAAGAUUUUUGGACACCUCCUAAUGAUCAAAUGUUUGAAUGUGUGCAUCUUGCUUGGAAGCUUUUCUAAACUUAUGCAAUUACUCAAUUCCAUCCUUUCAAAGUUGCACAGAAGCUCUAUUUCUCCUUCUUCCGCCACAAAAGAUGUGAAUCGAGGGCAGCUUUCAAUGGCUAAUUCUUGAAGGCAAGUAGAGUUAGCAUUAUAUUUUCAUCUUGCCACAAGUAUGUAAGCUUGUCACACCGUCCUAUAUGAAGCUCCUUUAGCUUGACCAAGCACCUCAUAAACACAUGAUCAAAGCAAACAAGCUCGGCAAGAUUUUCAAUUUUGAGAAUGGUCAAAGAAGUUAGGUUGACCAAGCUCUUUAAGAUUUCCUUGUUACAAUCCUCAAGGUAUAACUCACGGAGAGAUGGAAAACAAACCUCAUCCGUUGAAUUAUUCAAAUGCAGACAUGAAUGGAUUUCAAGUUUUAUGAGACAAUCAAGUUGACAAGGUAAUGUCCUAAUCAAUGAAGGACAACUCCGGACAACAAGAUGUUGAAGACAGGAGAAUGAGACUUCUUCUUUCGGGCCCCCAACAUAAGGAGACCAAUCCUUCCAUGACAACAUCUCUUUCAACUUCAAAGUUGUUAAGGAUGAGAAAGGCCUUUUAUCUCCAUAAAAUUCAGAGCCUAUCAUUAUUAUUGCGUGUAGACCUUCAAGAGAUAACUCCUUUAGUGAAGGUAGUUGUCCAAGCGGGGGAAGUGAUAUAACAUUAGGACAGCCCUGCAAGCACAAAGACACUAUCUUAGAAUAGGAUGGACCACCUAACCGUGACGGGAAUUUUGCACCACCAUAGUUCAAAAUAUUGAGAUUUUCAAGAUCAACGUGAGGUUGUAGGAAGUCAAGCACUUGUGCUUCCCGCUCAUGAUUCUGCUCAUGAUUCUGGAGAUUUUCCAAAUUUUCAUCCCAAUGCAAGGAUAAGUUGGUAAGGCCUUGCUUUUGAUGCAAAUUAGCAUCAAUUGCAUCUCUAACUUUUUCCACCUUUUGCAAUUCUGAUAUGAAUAAUUCUCCUUGAAGAUGUGGCAAAUUCUUUAACUCAUUUAACUGUGACCCUUUCUCUGGUUGUACCACAAACUUGGACAAGAUAAUAAGAUUUUUUAAAUUACCGAUACCCAACGGCAUCUCUUUAAGACUCCUCGUAUCUGUAACAUCAAGAAACUGUAAACUGACCAAUUUUGUGAUGCCUUGAGGCAACUUUGAAAGUUUUUGACAACCUCUUAAAAUCAAAACUUGUAAUUUGCACAAGCUGACAAUUGAUUCGGGUAGCCUUUUGAUAUCAGUGUACGAGAAAUUGAGAUAUCUAAGAUGUUUUAGAUCACCAAUGCAAUUUGGUACCUCUACAAUGUCACAAUGACAUAUUGAGAGCACCCUCAAGUACUUCAAUUCCGUUAGCAAGUCAUGUAACACCUUGUUGGAAAUAGAGAAAGUGUCCCCUCUAAAUCCAUUAUGUAGUAGCAUUAAAGUUCUUAGUACCUUCAUUCGGUGAUAUUCUCUUAAGCAUUUUGAUGUAGCAAAAUGCGAUGAGAUGAAUGAUGCAUAACGAAUUUUCCCAAGAGAUGUGUCUUCUUCAUUAGUUACCAAGUGAGACUCCCUAGAGCUAAAGUAUGCACUUCCUGCAAUUGACUUUGCUAGAUCAUUCAAAAGAUCAUGCAUUGAAAACUUAGAUGUGUUGACACUUGAUUGUUGAAGAAAUGAUCUGGAUACUAACUCAUCAAAGUAAUUUCGUCCUAAUCUAAAAUUAUUCCCCUUUACUUUUUGUCUAUCUAAAAAGCCCUCGGCUAUCCAUAAGAGUACCAGCUCAUCUCUCUCAAUUUCGUAAUCCUUGGGAAAUACUGCACAAUAAGCAAAACAUCUCAUUAAAUGGCAAGGAAGAUGGACAUAACUCAAGUUCAAGGCAGGGAGAACCUCAUCAUUCUCUGCCAUCGGAAGAUCCCAUAUUCUGAAAUUUAAGGUAUCUUCCCAUUCACUGGGAUUCCUUUUAUUACGUAGGGCACCGCCUAGCAUCUUCACCGCCAAAGCUAAACCUUUACAUUUUUCAGCUAUUUUCUUACCUAUUGUUUUAAAAUCCGGAUGGCUCUCAAAAUUUGUUGCUCCAAGAGCAUGAAAGGCUAAUAAACUUGUACAAUUAUCAAGCGACAAUUCCUUCAAAUGAUAGGGUGAUGCUCUAGUUAUGGAAACAAUGGCAAGGUUGCGAGUCGUGAUGAUGAUCUUACUCCCCUUAGCCCCCGCUUCAAAUGGCUUUAAGAUGGUAGUCCAUUUUUCAUAUUUCUCAUUCCAUAUAUCAUCUAAAACCACAAGAAACUUCUUCCCAGAUAGAUUGCCCUUCAACUUAACUUGAAGCCCGUUAAGAUCUUCACCCUGGCAUGACAACCCAGUGAUUGACUGCAAAAUAGUUUUUGUUAUGUGAAGAACAUCAAAAACAUCUGACACGCAAACCCAUGCUCUCUUCUUGAAACAACUAUAUACUCUAACAUCAUUAUACAACCGUUGAGCCAAGGCUGUUUUUCCAACACCACCCAUCCCAACUAUAGGGAUCAUGCUCAACAUGGCAUCGGAAUUUUCGACUUCACUAAUCAAUAGUUUGAGUAUUUGUGCUUCUUCCUUUUCUCUACCAUAAAACUGAGGCUCUGGCAAAGAAGUGGUUAGAUCCCUUUUGUUUGUGUAGUUGGAUCUAUCCACAACAUUCUCUCUUAAGCUUAGAUGAGCCUUCCUAGUGACAAUCACUUUCAACCUGCAACUUAUCUCUUGUACCAUGGUUUCAAACAUGAGCAAGCCUAGGUUUGGAUUUGAUCCGGAGGAUUUAUCUUGGCCAAAGAAAGAGAACUUCCAUUUUUCCAUACAUUUGCUUGUGUUGGAUUCUGCCUCCAAAUUAACUUGAGCCACUUUGAUCGCUAACUCAUCAAUCAAGUCUUCCAUAUCAUAGGCCAAGUCCUUAACACAAUCUAGCCACAACUUCACUAGAGGGUUACCACUGAGUUGCUUGUCUUCUGCAUCAGUCAGCACUGCAUUGAUUGUGCCCAGCAUCUCAUUCCACUCCUUGAGGAGAGCGGUGCUAGUUCCUUCAUGUUGUGCAUAGACUAAUGUGAGAGAAGUCAACUUGCUGAAUAAGACCUGAAAGAAGGAACCCAUAAAGGAACCCAAAACGAUCUCUCCCAUUGUCAUGGUUGAUUUAGUCACUGUAGAGAAAAACAAAGGUGUUAUGUUGAAGCGAGGUAAAAAUGAGUCAAUGGAGAGAGAAAACUAUGAAGUCUAGGCAGAUCAACAUUUUCAUUUACCAAAAAGGACAUAAAAAAGACCAAGACUUUCGAGGAAUGCACACCAAAGGUUAGACAAAUAAAAAGAAAAUAGCUUUUGUCCACAGGUGCUUGUUUCGUCAAUUGUUCGUCAAUUGUUCUUCUUUUUCUUCAUAUCGAGACUUUUCUUGUGGGCAUCCAAAACCAAGGAUAAAAUUGGAUUUUCCAUAUACUACCGACUUAGAGCACACGCCUAUGUUUGUCAAAAACUUCAGUGCAUAUUAGUGUUUUGUUGACAUUUUUCGCAUCCACAUGUUGUUAGUAUCCUUGAAAUUUCAAUGCUUUGUAUUUUUUUAUUUUUUUUGCUUUAUUGGUGAGUAUGCGAUCAAUAUAGGCUUUUACAUAAGAUAUAAGAAGAUUACCGAUUCCUCCUUCAAUGAGGAUGACCAUGUGGAGACAUCAAAGAAGUUUGUUAUUUUAUUUUUUAUUUUUUUGGGGGGAUCAAACCGCCAUAUGCUUUAGGUUGCGAAGUUCUAGAUGCAUCAGUUUGGGGACAAAAAAGAGAGCAAAUGGAUAGAAAUUACUUACCUGUUCCGAGUAGACAACCUGGAGCAGACCGAUGAAUGCGAUUAGAUCAAUUACAACAAUCCAACAAGCACGAGCUCUAGGUUUGAACGAGUAGGAGGAGAACACUAUUGAGCACGAGCUCUAGCUUCGAAUGAGCAGGAGGAGAACACUAUUGAGCCAAGAGAUGAGCAUAGGUCAUGGUGAAGCCAAGUGAUAAUGAAUUAAGGGAGAGAGAAAACUAUAAACCAUAAAACUCAAGAAGACCGUGACUUGACUAGACUGUAUGUUAUGACUAGAUAGUGAAGCAAACGCGAAUGAGAGCAAAUGAGAAGGAUAGAGCCUUUGCAAGACGCAAAUUAAUUCUUUUUCACUUCUCACUCCUCCUGGUACAAGCUGAUAUUCCCCCAUCCGAGGUCACUAGGAUAACCCACUAGCAAUGAUAGUGCCUGCAUCUUGCCUUGUCCAUGACAGGAGCUCUAGCAGCUUGGCAAGGUUAUAGUGAUAGGACUUGCAUACCCUAGAUAAAUGGUUUCAAGUGGUACUAGAUGAACGGCCUUCUCACAAUCUUAAAUCGAAAUUCAUUGUGGCAAAAGUGAGGUUUUCAUGAUCACUUAACAAAUCGACAGAGCAUAGUCUACCUGAUUGCUCAUCUGUCUUUCCUUGAUAACAGAGAAAAAGAAAAUGCGCUUUGAGAUGGUGUGGCAAUUUAAAUAGAAGAAGAACAUAAACUAUGAACUUUGACGAGGAAGUCAGGUUUAAAUAAAUUAUAGUCUACAGGGUUCAUUCAAAUUUAGUUGUCACAUUCACCAACUUGAAAACACUUGUUUUAAAUCCUAUUUUGUGCAUCCUUACAGUAGCUGCUGUUGUCAGAAGUAAGAAAGAAUUCUCCUUUGACCAAAAAAACAAGAAAAAAGAAAGAAAGAUUCUCCGUUUGACUUUGAAUUUAGUCCUCGAUCAUUGGCAUCAUGAUAUAGAUGAAUCUUUUGAAGUGUGUCACAAAAAAAAAAUAGUUUUGAGCAUAUCGGUACACCUACCAAAAUAAAUAGCCUUUUGUCUUCUUUUGUCAAGUUGCAGAAGAUAAACAUAAGCACAUCAUUUGCCUACCUCAACAGCAUUUGCAUUUGAUCCUCCUUAGAGACUUUGCCAGAUAAAGAUGACAGUGGGAUAUUCUGCAAAACAAGCACAGUUUAGAGAAUUUAAGUCACGAGGCUAGGGCAUUAAAAAAAAAAAAGAUCUUUGAAAGAGAAAACAUAACAAGCGCUGAAAUUUCAGAAAAGAUCUUUGGUAGUGGGAUAUACUGCAAAACAAGCACAGUUGAGAGAAUUCAAGUCAAUGGGCUAGAGCACUAAAAAAAGAUCUUUGGAAGAGAAAACAUGACAAACACUGAAAUUUUAGAAAUAAAUAUCAAUAUAAGAGCAACAAUUCUUCAUGAUUAUCAUGCAAAGCAUAGUGCAUUUCUAUUAGUGGAUAGAUAACCAAUAGUUGGGUCAAACAAAGUUCAAGAUAUAUCAUCAUCCAGACAGGCACAUGCACGCAUCACAAUUCCAGCACUGUGAGCGAGUCCAUGCAAGUAUUAUUUGUUUUGAGGAAUAGUCACUCAUAUGAAACAAUGGUGGACUUGCUGGACCACAUUGGCAUUAUAACCAUUUCAUUGUGUGCUUCCUUAUCAAACAAAACAAAGCAACCCAGAAGUCUAGCUGGUUUGUGGCAAAUUAUGUGAAGCUUGUCCAUGGACAAAGAUGAACUUCCUAGCAUCGAGUUGAGGAUUCGCAAUAGAAAUGGAUUUUUGAGCAGUGGUAGUAGCAUAACGACAAGUGUGGAAGAGAGAAAGAAGUCCAAACCAUUACCUCAAGAAUAAAAUUUUAUUUAAUGGUUAAUCCAUCAUUAAUUAUGCUAAUCGUGAUUAAUUAAUCUAAUCACGACUAAUUAGGCUAAUCACGACUAAGUAGACCAAUCACGACUAAUUAGGCCAAUCACAAUUAAUUAGGCCAAUCACGAUUAAUUAAACUAAACUCAAUAAUUAGACUAACUAUAAUAAAUAAAAAAUUAAUUGACGUUAAUUAAAAUAAUUACGAUUAAUUAAAUAAAUAACAAUUAAAAUAAAUAAAUUACGAUUAAUUAAACUAAACUCAAUUAAUUAAUCUAACCAUGGUUAAUUAAUCUAAUCGUAAUUACUUAAAUUAACCGUAAUUAAAAUUAAUCUAAACCAUUCUUAAUCGCAAUUAAGAAUAAACUAAAAUAAACUAAUACUAAUCGCCGUUAAUAUUAAACUAAUCAUCCCUAAACGCAAUUAACGCUCUAAUUCAUGAUUAGGAGGUUAACUCACCAAUUUCUGGCAAUGGCGAGCCUACGGUGACGUCGAGAAUGCGAUACUUGUGGCUCAAACGGAGGCUUGACAAUGGCGGCGGCGGCUCUUGAAGCUCACGGCCAGGGGAGGGGGGAGGCUCGGUUCGAGCGGUGGCUCGCAGUGGCUUGAAGCAACGGCGGCACAGACGGCUAAGCAAGCGGCGGCAAGAGGCAAUGAGUGAGUGGCGAUGUCAGGCGAGCGGCGGUGCAACAGCCCUUGAAGCUCAUGGCCAACGGGCCGUGGAUGGGGACGCGGCCCUUGUGGUUCCUGCCAUUGCGCCACGCAAUCCCGUCUGCCGAAGGUGGGGAGGCCAAGAGGUGGUGAUCAUGAUGGUGAGGGGGCGUUGGGCGUGGAGCGGCGAUGGUGCUGGUGGGUGAAGCGGCAGCCAGCAAGAACAGCCAGCAAGAAGAAGAAGAAAGGGGGGUUCAGCCGAGAGAGAGGGAAGGAAAAGAAGAGAGAGGGAGAGAGAGAGAAAGAGAGAGAGAGAAGAAAAGAUAAAAGAAGGGGGCCGCAGGAAACAAUGGUGAAGGGGGGAUGGAUGGGGGGACGGACGGCAGAGAGAGAGGAGAAAUGGAAAGGGGGGACGGACGGCAGAAAAAGAAAUAGUGGGGGAAAGGAAACGAAAGGGAGAGGAGAAGGAGGAGAGAGAAGAAGAGACAAAAGAGAGGGGGAGAAGGGGGAUGUCACAGUGAGCGAAUCCACGUAAGUAUUAUUUAUUUUGAGGAAUAGUCACUCGUAUGAAACAAUGGUGGACUUGCUGGACCCAACCGUUUCAUUGUGUGCUUCCUAUCAAACAAAACCGAGCAACCCAAAAGCUGGUUUGUGGCAAAUUAUAUGAAGCUUGUCCAUGGACAAACAUGAACUUCCUACCAUCGAGUUGAGGAUUCGUAAUAGAAAUUGAUUUGUGAGCAGCAGUAGUAGCAUAACAACAAGUGUGGAAGAGAGAAAAAAGUCCGAAUCAUUACCUUAUUGACACCUAAAUUUUUGCAUAAAUAUUGAGUUAAUUUUUACCCAAAAAAUAAAUAAAUAAAAAUUACACAACAUAUAGUUUAGAAACAUUUAUCUUAUUGGACCGCUGGUGAACGUAAAUUUUUUCACAUAUUCCGCUAAGAUUUUUCACAUAUUUAGGUAAUAUACGCUAAUUGACAUAUUUUGAGUAAAAAAGAAAUUUUCGGAUGGAAUAUUCAAAAAUAUAAAAGAGAAUAUCGCACAAGAUGCAACGAUAUAUUUAGGAGAUUAUGCGCAAGCGAAAUUGGAAACAAAAUGUUCCUUCGAUUUUGAGAGGGAAAGAGAGAAAAGGGAAAAAAAAGAAAGAGGGGGCACCGCAUCGUCUUCUUCGCGGAGACUCCCGACGCGCCGGCCGUGCGUUGCGCCGGCACUGCGAUGCCAGCCACCGCGCCUCUGCACCGCUGCAAAUCCGACGACCCGACGCUCCGCUGCUGCUGUUGUGUCUUCGUUGGAGCCCUCCAUCGUCCACGAGCUCAUAGCUCCGCGUGUCUCCGAAGCCCAGGAGCGACGGUUGCGCCUGACGCCCGACGGCUGCACCUCCACUGCCACUCCGCGCCCCUGCGUCCAUCAUUGCCGCUGCAGCGCCGGUAUCAUCCCUCACCCGCGACCAGCUGCAGCUCGCCACGAGCCAGCGCUCAACGUCCCCCGCUCCAGCCGUGACCCGACGCCGGCAGAUCUGAGUCGAGCUCACCUCCGCUGCAACUCGCAAGAUCUAACGCCUCCCCACCACCGCUGCAACAAUAGUCGCCAUUAAGUUUUGAGCAUUGAUCUUUCAGAAUUUUACAUUGCAUUAUACCAAAUACUUGAAAGAUUUCUGCGAAGACCACUUGAUAAUCUGUUUGAGAGAGGAGAGAUUUCUGCGAAGACCACUUGCAAAGCCAUCCUCUGGCAAGUACAGGUAACUAUAAAAGAUAGCUGUUUGAGAGAGGAGAGAUUUCUGCGAAGACCACUUGAUAAUCUUUCCAUGUCUCUCAUAUUUCUCGUCCAAAUAGAAAUUAGAGACAAAGAAAACAUAAUACUCCAUGCUUCUUACAUCCUCCACCGUUAAUAGUCUUUCCAUUGUCCUCAUAUUUCUCAUCCAAAAGUCUGAAACAGGAUGAGCAAUUAGUCCUAAAUAAAAUGAUCCUUCAUGCAUAAUGAAGAACUGCAAGAGUGAUCGAACAAAAUUAUACACACACCUAAUUGACUGCAAAAAAAAAAAAAAAAAGAAUCGGGAUACCCUGUUGAUGAUUUUUAUUUUUUGAUGACUAGAAAAUUCCUAUGAUUAUGUUAAUUAACAAGUAUGGGAGACACUGGCGAUGGACACUUAUUCAUACGGGCUGGUAUUCUACAAAUGUGAUGUUAGGAGAUCGAAUGGCUUGGUACGGGUUGAUAACACUUCAGAAUGAUUGCCUAAACCUGUUGGUAUAUUUGGAACAGUCAAAAUGCAAUAACGAUUAAACAUAAAUCACUCCAUACUGGAACUGUCACUUCACAGAUUAGAAAAAGCUCUUUUAGACUCUGUUGCCUCUUAAAAAUGUAAGAGAGCUAAGUCAUGAUUGGUGGACGAAAGGUCUGUAGAGUAACCUGAGCUAGGUUUUGUGGAGAUUAACUGUGACAAGAGCUCUGGCAGCUUGGUGGGUAUAUAAUGACAAGACUUGCCUACCUAAGAUAAUUGAAUUGCGAAUGGUAUUGUAUGACGACGUUCUUGCAAUUUUAAAUGAAAGUACUUCAUGGCAGACGUGAGACUUUUAAGAAAAAGAACUUCCUUGUGUUGGAUUCUGCCUCUGACUUGGCCUGAGCGGGGUUCCAUCUCGAACUCAUCGAGCAAGUUUUACAUGUCAUUGGCCAAAUCCCUAAAGUUGUUUAGCCACAGCUUCACCUGACAAUUACCGCUUAGUUGCUUUUCCUCUCCAUUAUCUAGCAUUACUUUGAUUGUGACCAGCAUCCCCUUCCACUCGUCAAGGUGGUGGUGUUGAUUCCUUCUCGAUGCACAUAAUUCAAUGCCAGAGAACUAAACCUAUCAAAAAGGACCUACAAGAAGGAACCCGAAAUGACAUCUCUAAUGGCCAUAUUUGAAUCAAUCACUAUAAAGAAUAACAAAUGUUAUGAUGAAGCAAAGCAAUAAUGAGUUAAUGGAGAGAGAAAACUAUGAAGUUUGGGAAGCUCAAGACUCUUAUCUAUCAAAGGGAAAAAGUACCAAAAAAAUGCUUAAACCUAUUGCAUUGGUAUUAAAUUAGUCCAAAAUAUUUUCAUAUUGGUAUCAAUUUAGUUCAUCCAAACAAUUUUGGAAAUAUUGACGUGGACACCGACCAUUCGACCAACGCUGACGUAAUAAUUUUUUUUUUUAAAUUUUAAAUAAUUUUUUUCUUUUUCCUUUUUUCUUUUCUUUUUGCUCUUCUUCCUCCUUGGAUCCCCAUAGUGGCCGACGAGGCUCUAGUAAGGCCAGAGCAAGGUUGGCCUCACCCGUGGCCCUAGGCAAGGACCAUGACUCUCACUAGUUGUUGUUGACACCUAAAUUUCGUUUUUUUAAUUAGGUUUUUUUACAUUUAUUUGCCUUUUUCGGAUAAUAAACAAAACAAAUAACAAAAACAACAAAAAAAACAAAUAAAAACAAGAAAAGCAAAAAGCAAAAAAAAAAGCAGCAGCCCCCCUUUUUUUUCUUCACGUGGGCUCGUGCGACUUGGCCCCCCCCCCCCCCCUUUUCUCCUUCUUCUUCCCUCUUCUUCUUCCUCACUCCUUCUUUCUCUGCCUCUGUAGUUCACGCGCAGAAGAUGAAGACACGCAAAGGACGGCCUACGGCCGAGGGAAGUAGGCCGACGUCGGCCGGAGAAGAUAAGAUCGCGAGCGCCAUCAAUGCCGAGCAUGCUUCGCUGGAUGAGCUCGGAUGGGACGCCGGUUCAACCGAGGAGAACCGCUCGGCGCACGAAGGGGACCGGCGGUCGAAGCUCCGUCGACCGGAUUCCCUCGCCUAUAAAAGGGCACCACCUUCGUCGAAGAACGGCACGGGCGAGCUCGGAGAUCCUUCACUGAGAGACAUCGGGAAGGAUUGAAGGGCGAGCGCGGGAGAGAACUCGAGUCGCGAGCUCAGCCCACCUUCCACCGAGAGACUUCGGGGAAGGCCGGCCGCAAGCGACUUCGAGAAGGUCAGAUCCGGCCGGUGGAGGCUCGGAUCUAGCCUGAGUGAGAGAAGAUCAAGCCCGAGGGAGGUAGAUCCGAGAUCCUGGAUCUGUGAAAUAAGGGCUGAACGAGGUCAGCCGGAGGAGGGAGGGCCAGAUCUGGGAAGCUGGAAGCUCUCCGCCACCUGCGACCACUACUCUGUCGUUGCUGUUCCCCGCCCCGACGCCGCUACCGCCGCAGACCUUGCCGUGCCGCCGUCCUCACGCCUCGUCGGCGCCGCUUUCCCCAACGUCGUCCAAAUCUGAGUGAACUUCGGAGAGCAGGGUUCCGUCGCCAUCAUUGAGCCGUGCCGUCCCCGUCACACCCCCCAACACCGCUGCUGUGGAAAACCCUGCCGUGCCGCCGAGCGCCUUCGCCGCUACUGCCUUCGAUCUAGCAUUGUUGCCGUCGCCGUCCCCGUUCGAGAGAAGGUAAAAAAAAGAGCGCCGCUGUUAUCAUUGCCGUCACCGUUGUCGCCUUCGUCGUCGCCGCCGUAGUCGCCGUCGCCGCCAAGCACCUCGGUCCCCCCCUCGGCGCCGUGGAUUCGUAAACCCUAGGGUUUGCAAUUUUCCAGGUCGCCGAGUCGGAUCCGGGUUUCGGAACCGGGUAGGGUUUCGCGAGAUUGGGGGGGCGGCGGGAGUCGGGUCGCGAUUCGGAUUCGGGUCGGGUAGGGUUCGUAGGGAGCCGGGUCGCGGAGCAGGUCAAUGGAUCCGGGUCGUUGGGCCGGGCCGGGUGUCCCCAAACGCCCGGCCACGGCGUCGUUUUAAUAAAUAAAUAAAAAAAGAUGAAAAAUCCGAGUCAGGCCCGCAACGCGGGCCCGUCCGCGUUUGGGUCGCCGACCCGGGUCGGACCCAACCCGCGGAUCCGACCCGGGUCGGUUUUAUUUUGUUAUUUUAAUAUAAAAUAAUUCUAAUAAAUAUUUUAUUUUCAAAAGAAAUCAAAAAGUGUUUUAUUUAAAAAAAAAGAUUAAAAAAUGUUUUAAUUUCUAGAAAAUCGAAAAAUAUUUAAAAAAUGUCGAAAAAUGUUUUAUUUUCUAAAAAAUCGAGAAAAAUCAAAAAUAAUUUAUUUUCCAAAAAUAUUUUGAAAAAUAUUAAAAAAAUAUUUUAUUUUCCAAAAAAAAAAUAUGCCAAAAAUAAAAAUAAAAAAGCCAAAAAUUCAUGAAAAAGCCAAAAAAAUUCAGAAAAGCCAAAAAGACUUGUGUUUUUUCCAAAAAAAUCCCAAAAAAUCUCUUUUGCGUCCAAAAAUUAGAAAAUGACUAAAAAAAAAAUGUUUUUCCUCCCAAAGAUGCAUGGAAAAUCUCUCAAACAUCCAAAAAAGCCUUAGGGUUUAAACAAGAUUAGGUACCGAAAGGGCAUUAGUGAUUAACUAGUGUAAUCAAGUCCCCGAUGAUAAUUUCUCUAGUUGCGCAGGAGCGAGUAUUUCUCCCGAUACUUCGCUUGGGUUUUUAAUCGACCCACCCCAAAUUGAUUAGUGGCAACUCCAUUUUAAAAAUUGAUUUACAGGUUAAAAAUUUAAACUAUUAAAGUCGUGAAUUGGUGGACUUGGGAGAGUCCGGGCAUAACUAAUUAAAAUUAGCCGAGCCAUUAGCCUCCUUACGCGAGUACCCGAUUGCGGGCGCCGAAAAAAAAGAGGUCGCGACAGCUUGGCGCCUCCGCUGGGGACUUUGAGGACUUAGGCCAUUUUAUCUUUGUUUAAAUGUCUUGCUAACUUGGUUUUUUUUCUUUUGUGCAGGGUAAUAGCUUAAAGUUUUAUUCUGUUAAAAUAAAAUGUUUUGUGAUUAUAAAUUGCCGUGUAUCCUUAAAUGUUUUAGCAUUACACAUGACACACACAACCCGGCCGCCGGACCUGGGCCGCCAUAGGAUUUCUAGGAUGGUGUUAAGAAAGAUACGACCUUGAACGCGAGACUGCGAUGUAGAGGUUGCCUUUCUUUUCCCCGAAUUUCUUAGCCGAGGUUAAGGGGGUAUGCUGCUAACGCAAGACUGCGACAGGCGAAUACCUGUUUAAUUUCAUCAAGCCUUCUGAGUUAGAAAUCGAGCCGCACGCCCCAUGCACAUGUCUUUGUGCUUGCCAUUUUUCUUUAAAAGCAAAGUGAUUUCUUUACUUUUACUUAGUCUUUUUAUUUUGGCCCAUGGCAAUUUAGGAUAAACUUUUCAAGUCCCAGUUUAUAUGCGAUGGGGAAAGACAAUAUCCAGUUCAUUCCUGCUCCCAAGGCGGAGCUCUUCAGAUGGUGGAGUCAAUUAGAUCAGUUUGCCCAAGAGCGCGUGAAGGCCAAAGUCGGUCAUCUCCUAUCGUUGAUCCAAAUCACUGUUCGUCCUGAAGUCAUACAAGCCAUGGCACAUUUUUGGUGCCCGAAGACGGUUACUUUUAUAUUCGGUAGGUUUGAGCUAACCCCAACCCUGGAAGAAUACAGCAUCAUCACUGGAAUGCCUCUUGAGAAAAAGCUUGUCAAACCAUCAAUAGGCAUCAUCCCGAUACGUGGGUUAGCACGGCUUUUAGGAACUGAAAUCCAUGUCAUGAGGCAAAUUCUUGAAAACAACCAUAAUAUAUGCCCUCUAGAAUUCAUGAAUGCAUGUUUUCAAAACCAGCCUAUGACCCAAAAAAGUGAGAUUUUCCUCCUGGCCUUUUUCGGGCUCAUCGUUUUCCCCCAUCAAAGAAAUGCCAUAAGUCCUAAGAUGGCAUGGAUAGUUGAUGAAAUCUUGAGAUGAGGGAAUUAUGUCAACAUGAUUUUAACUGAAACAUUCUUGUCUUUUAAUCGUUUUAAAGACAACUCGGAAAAAAUCAUGCGAGCAUCUCCUAAAAUUUUACAAGUCUGGUUCUUUUCUCACCUAAGCGAAUUUCGAGACUUCAUGCGAUCAUCUGAAACGAAUGCUUUCGAAAACCCAUUACAAAAAUUUAUGGUUUUAGGACCAUACAUUCCCAAUCAAAGUUGUUUAAAUUGGGUAAGCUUCCUAAGAGACUCGGCUCCUGAGGCAUUCCAAUGGUGUGCUGGUUGGUUCCAUGAAAAGAGAGCUCGCUUCGCUUACAAGCGUUGUCUCUCAAUUCCAUUGCUCGGCCUCACCGGCGCCAUUCUCUAUCACCCUUAUCGAGUGGCACGACAAUAUGGAGCCUUCAGGAGAUCCCACCACCUUUCAUCAGGAAGAUCUCUUCUGUUCUUUUCAACACAAGCAGUGACUACGCAUUCGAAGUUUCUACCGCUCAGGAAACUUGGGACAAGUGCCAUCGCAAAAGGAUCGUGGUACCUGAAGGGCUUGAGGGAGAAGAAAAAGCCCACCACGCCUCCAUGUCCUACAUCCACAACUAUCGCAUCCUGAAAAGAUGGAAGCCAUUAGUCCCUCACUCAAUCAGCGAGAGCAGCCAGCACGAGCAAGCAGAGCUCAUGGAGAGGGAUUUGGGAAUGGACUGGAUGCACACCUCAGAGCCAGUUCAAGGAAGCAGGCGUUCUCGCUAGAACAAGACUCCCCGUCGUAUAUAAAUUGGCAAUCAUGUGCCCCUUAGUAUUAAUAGUGUGAAAGUUUCGUCCCAUUGUUUAGGGACUUUUGUUUAAUUGCCAGUAUUUCAUUCUGUCAUUUCAAUUUCAAGUUUUAAGUGUUAGGAGCUGGCAAUCUACAAAUCCUCUUUUGAUAAAUAAAAAAAAGCAGUUAGACCAUUGCCAUGGGUCAAUCUUUGUUUACUUCCGUGCUCAUUUAUUGUUUUCACAACAAACAGGUAAUUAUGAAUCGCCAGCCACCAAUCACCCGCGAAUGGCCUCAUGUAAUAGGGCCCGAUCAGAAUAAUAUACAAAAUCGUCUUAUUAACAUUGAAGACGGCGUAGGACAGAUGUCCAUUGUCCUUCAACAACUCUCAAGACAAAUGAAAUCCACUUAAGCUGAGCCCAACUCUAUAGUUGCCUCGAACACCAUCAUGACACCUGCAAAUUUGCCAGAAAAUAGUCAGUACCAUAGACAGUUUGAAAAGAUCAUGAAAAAGUUAAGCCAGCUACAAGAGUAAAAUCCCAUGGACCCGUCCAAUUAUGCCGGCAUUGAGAUUCUUGAAGAGCUCAAAGCACCUGAAUGCGAAAGGUAUGCUGAUACCUCCCGCCCAGAGACCUACUUGCAGGCCUACCUGGUCCGAAGGAUGAUUCAAUCGUACCAAUCGACCUUGACCGCCCCUGCCUUGCGAUGGUACAUUGUCAGGAAGAUUAGUCCCCUUAAAACUUGGAGGGAACUAAUUCAUGUUUUUCACCAAGAAUAUGAUAUUGACAUCAGCCCUGAUAUAGCCUUGCCCUAUGAAGAACUGAUGAUCGCGGAGCACAAGGAACCGUUAGUCGCAGAGAUAGGAGAAGAGCAUGUCAAUGAAGCCUUGCAUGAUAAAUGGGCAGCUGAGCAACAUCUUGUUACUGGAAAAUUUCCCACUAGGAAAGGCAAGGAGCCUUUGUACGAGAUCAAAGACACAGAGCAUGUUCAAGAUUGGGGCACGACUAGAUGACUCCCCAAGCUUACUCCAAGAGCUAGGGUCCAAAAAAUACCGACCCCUAUCAACCUGGAAAGCGAAUCAAACAGUGAAACUCUAAUGUCUCUCACUUCCCUUGACAGAAUCGAGCUGGCAAAACGAAGGGCCUUACUCAAAAGAUCUGGACUAAAGGCCAAGAAAAGAAAGCCUAAGCAUAUCAAUACAGCACCUACCGACGAGCCACCGCACCAAGGCUUCGAGCAUUCCCAAGAAUACAGCUUUGAAGGCUACAAUCCCCAAGAGUGCAACCCUGAAGACUUCCCGGCUCCAGUAUACAAUCCCAAGGACUUCCAGCAUUAUUUCGACAAUGAAACUGACGAUUCAUCAUAUAACUGUUUCCUACUCUCAUCCGGGGAUGAAGGCCCGUCAGAAGAGGAAGCAUACGUCUUUAUCUGCUACGAUCCUAAUGAAGUACUAAGCUUGUCCUCUGACCAUGAGGAUAGCUUCAAUACUUUAUCCUCAUUUGGAAAUUUUGACCAAGAAGAAAGCAAUGGGUGUAAUCUCGGUAGAAUCCAACUUCCCUGAAACAGAAAAAUUCACCACUAUAACAAAUAUGCAGUGGGAAAACCAAUGGCCUAACCAAGAUACAUCAAGCCCGUCUUGCGCUCAUAGGAUCAUGACCCCUGGAGAGAUGUGGAUACCUAAUCUCCGCAAGUAUAAUUGCACGACUUGCCCCAUGGCCCACUUGCAGUAUUUCCAUGCUGAAAUGAGUCGGUACUAUGGUGCGAUGUCAUUCACAACUCAGGCCUUCCAAGAAAGUCUUACGGGGUCUGCAUUACAAUGGUUCAUCACAGCAGAUAUCUACCUCAUGAGAGAUUGGAAUGAGCUAUCUUCGGCAUUCCUGCUUCAGUAUCAAAGCCAGAUUGGGACUGAAGUGCCUUGUCAGAACUUGGUUCACUUCAAAAGAAGACCAAUGGAGGAUUUCCGAGCGUAUGCAAGGAGGUGGGAGGCUUUUAUGAUGCAAACUUACCCUCAACUGGCCGAAGAAGAAAUGAUAAAGCUGUUCAUAGGGGCUUUACCUCGCAAGCAUCGUUGUUGGUUGCAUGGGUUGCAUCUCCAUAGCCUCAAUGAAGUGGUCAUUUCAUGUGAAUACUUCGAGUCUAUUGGAGGCGAAGAAUUCAAAGACGCUUAGCUUCAAGACCAGCACUAUCAAAGCGCUCCUUUACACUAGGGUUUUCAUGAGUUUUACUUGUUUUUAUAAUUUCAUGUUUCUUAUCUUGUCUAGUGUGCUACUGUUGUAUUUUCCAUUCUAAGUACUCUAUUGUACAGUUCCAAUAUUUUAUUUUAAGAGCAUGAGGCGGUACUCCAAACCUGCCCGGUGAUGCUAUCCAACCAUGAAAAAAAAUAUAUCAUCCAAGGAGAAUACUGAGGGCUGGGCUUCCUCAUGCUUUUUCUCCCCCGAAUACAUAUUUUGAAAACAAAAAACACUUCAUCACCAAAAUCUUUCAAAAAAGAUGAUAAAUUUAAUCAUGUUUGUCUUUCUGACUCACUCACUUCAUGUCUCAGAAGAUCAUUCCCGUCCCUUUGACUUAGUGUGACAGGGGACAUUUGAAGCAAGCACAUUAUGUGAACUCACCGAAUUCAAUGACACCCUCCCAAGAAAGCAGCGGCAAACAGAAAGGAUCAUCACGUUUCAAAAUGGUAAGUCCUAUUCCCUGAACAUAAUGUCAAAAAUGACAUCCUCUCUCUUCCAUCUAUAGGAAACGAAGGAUGGGAUGUAAUAGGCACAGGCAUAUUAUCAAACUUGAAGCAUGCAUAGCAUGAUAGCUCAAGGCAAGAUGUCCCGAGUUCAUUGACAGGACUUCCAGCUUCAACGAGCCAAGAAGCACAAAGAAGGAUUUGCUUCUCUUCCUUUAAAGUGAUUACUGUCAACAGGGAGAAAAUCUAGAUAGUCAAAGCGAUCUAUAGCCCCACACCCUGGACAAUGAUGUUGGAAUCUAGAAACUUCACUCCAGACGCGUAUUCUUCCGAGGAGUAAUUGCCAUCAGAAAGCUUGAGACUUUUGAUCUCAGAUUCCAUAGAAGCUUGAGGUACAUGACUUUUGCCCAAUGAUGCUAUAGUUAAAGACAAAACAAGAAAUUCCACAAAAGGAAGGCGUUGAAGAUGAAUCAACGACCAACAAUCAUGCAUACAUGGUCACAAAAGAGGAAGGCCAAUUGAAGGAAACAUUAAACUAUGCCAAGAUAAAGAGGCCAUCAUCGACAUUCAAAUAUCUUUAGGAGCUAGCACAUACAAGCUUUGGAGAAGAGUAAUUUGGUAUCGUUUCCAAUACUCCCCCCUCUUUGAAUUCACUUUUGACAUAUUCCCCCUAUUGGCAGGAAGCACCAGGAUUCAAGAGCCAAAUUUGAUGGUUAGGCAAAUCAAUAUUGGCCAAGCUAGUACAUGGAAAUGACCUACAUCAAAUUUACCUGGCUUCGUGUAAAAAGACAUGUCAUCCAGGAGCUAAUUUAGAGAAUAAUUGACCUAACGAAACAAGGGACAUAGGACUUUGUGUCCCCCUUCUCACUUCAGGUUCACCCAAUCAUCUGCAAGCCAAUGAAGGGUAAAGUUGUAUCGAUUCCAGUUAUUCGACUCUUGAAAGAAUUCAUGACUAACACAUUCCCUCUUAUUUGUUGCAGGAUCACCUGACUGUCAAAAGCAAGGAUAACAAAUCAACGAGAAGCAUGUCUUGUUGCAGGAUCACUUGACAAGGAUAAUAAUCAAUGAGAGACAUGACAAACUCUCCUAAAUAAAAUGGCGUCUUGAGUAAUCGCCAAAACAAAUGACAGAAAAUCUUCAGGCCUCAACCCACAUUUAAUUUUGGCCAGACUAAUUGAUCAACUCUUACAUCUUCUCUUCUACAGGGGCAAAAACAGAGAAGCCUGAUCAGAUUCCCAACCCCGGCUGAUCCUUCAUGUGUCAUAUCCUUAACCAAUAGGGACAACUAUCGACACCCAUUUGCGAAUAACCCUUUUGAUGUUCAAAAUCUAACAUAUUUGGAAAUACCAUUAUGUUAGCCCCUAAAGUUGUCAAUAGGGUCUUUUUUGAGUCAAAACCAUUCACUUGUUUUGAAGAGUUCAAACUCCAUCAUAUUCGAAAUGUUGCAUGUCGUUUCCAGAUGAAUUCUGCAUAAUGAUUUUGCCUGUCUAAGUCACUGAUUCCACUGAGGAUUAUUAAAAUAGACAGCUAAGUGAAGAAUACAAGAUUAAUUGAGCAUGCUGGAUGAGGCAUGUAGAAUGAUGAAAGGCAAGCCAUAUCCUACACACAGUCCCCCAUCUAUACACUUGUGAGAUGAGUGCAGAAGAUUCCAUGGUUGCAGGGUAAAGAGUUCUCUCGCGAAUGGUAUGAUAACCAAAAUAGUGAGAGGCAUUCCAUCGCUCACCCCAUUGAGCCCCAUACAUUGGUGAAGCUUCUCUCAUACCCCCGUCAAGAACAACCCUUACACCAGGGCAGAUUAGAAGCGAAGCAGCAUCACAAGGUGAGAAGAGAGAUAGAAAUUUUAUUGCUCGCACUUGCAUCAAUCUUUGGGUGUCUUUAUUGCAUAUGAACACUCACAUUAAUUUAAGUGCCCUAGAAUGACGAAGAGCAAUUAUUUCUCUAUGCACUUGUAUUCAUUGUACAACCCAAGUGAGUCUGUAAUUUUACCCUCACAUUGAGACAAAACAGAAGUUACUACCAUUUAAGCAGCAUAGCCCAGAGCACCUACUGAAGAUGAAGACUCAAGAGUCUAAUAACGGUGCUUCGAUUGAACUUGCCUAGGCCAGUUCCUCCAAUGACAAGAAUGAAAAAACAUGGGCAUAAAAAAGCAGUGUACCCGGUAAAAGCAAGGUCAAUGCCCAUAAAUGAAGAACUGGAAUAAAAAUAAGGACAUGGAAAAAGCAGUGUGCCUGGUAAAAGCAAGGCCAAUGCCCCCCAGUAAAAAAUACAGCCAAGAAAAAGUUGCUGUUGUGGUCCAUAGAACCUCCAUUUGACAGUGAGAAGAAAGACUGGUGACAAAUGCCAAGGCAAUCACCAGCUCUACCUUUUUACACAUGAAUCAAGCCUACAUUGUAUCCCAUUGUAAAAGUCUCUUUAGACUAGGGGCACUUCAAUUAAUGUAGGAUUUCAUAUGUUCAUAAGCAUCGCUCGAAGAAGUACAAGCAAGAUUACUCUAUAUCUUUUCGCAGGAUUCUUAACUUGCAAACCCGGAGAUGAUCGUGUGGCACUUUGUUCAUAAACCUUAACCUCGACAGUCCCAUUUGAUGAGCCGUUGACCAAGUCUUCAUCACAAUUUCAACAAAGACCUCUCACAUUGGUAAAGUCGUACCACUUGCGAGAAUACUCAGACCCCUGUUGACAUGAUGACAGUGAGAUAGUGUGGUCCUUAUGAAUCCUGCAUCAAUGGUCUGGAUAGCCUUUUCCAUGAGAGUGAGUGGAAAGUCCUUUCAAACUGAAAGUCCCUCAUCUGGCAUGCUCAAGACAUCUACAUUCUAAAUGAAUGUUGUCUUUCAAAAUUUUCCCCGGUGGAAAUCAAAAGAUGCAGAACUGACAAAAUUAUCAUGCAUGAAUCUCAUUUGAACUCAUGAAUUUACAGCAUAUACAAUCAUGUGUGCAUAUUGUGCAAAUAGCAGACAUACUCUUAAAAAUCAGAGAUAUUGCCAGGUAAGCAUAUCUCUAUUCCCAUUUGUCUUGAAGUACCUACCAUUGUCCAGGUACUCUCUUAUUGACACUCAACCUAUUUGAGUCGUCCUUUGAGUUUGGGUGCUUACUGCUGUCUAGGUAUCUCCAUUGUCUUGGAGUACCAGCCACCGUUCGGAUACUCCCUUCUCCUGACACUCGACAUGUUCGAGUUGUCCCCAGAGUAUUGAUACUUGUGACUGACUAAGUAUCCCUUUGUCUUAAAGUACCUACCAUUGUCCAGGUGCUCUCUUCUUGACACUCGACUUAUUCAAGUCGUCCCUUGAGUUUGGAUGCUUGUGAUUGUCCAAGUAUCCUCUUGUCUUCAAGUACCAACCAUUGUUCGGAUAACCCCUUUUCAUGACACUCAACCUACCCGAGUUGUCCCCAAAUAAUAUAGCCGUUGUUCAAGCAUCCCAUUGCUUUGCUUGGCACUACCGUCCGGGUAUGCUUUCUAGCACUUGGACCAACUGAGUGGUCCCAGGUUGUAUCAUUAAAUACUUGUGUUCAUCCAAGUAUCCUAGUACUUUGUACACCUGUGGCUAUCCAGGUGUUCUAGCCCUUUUGAGUGCCUGCGGCCAUCCAGGUAAGCCUCGUGCUAAAUUCAAGUUUAUGUUACCAGGAGGUGAGAAUCCUUCACGAAUAUCCAAGGUACGCCCUCGAUAUUCCCAAUUACCAGGAGGUGAGAGACAUUCAUGAAUAUCCAAGGUACGUCCACGAUGUUCCCAAUUACCAGGAUGUGAGAGACCUUCAUGAAUAUCCAAGGUACGUCCUUGAUGUUCCCAAUUACCAGGAGGUGAAAGACCUUCACGAAUAUGCGAGGCACGCCCUCGAUAUUCUCAUUACCAGGAGGUGAGAGACCUUCAUAAAUAUCCCAGGUACGUCCUCGAUAUUCCCAAUUACCAGGAGGUGAGAGACCUUCAUGAAUAUCCAAGGUACGUCCUCGAUGUUUCCAAUUACCAGGAGGUGAGAGACCUUCAUGAAUAUCCAAGGUACGUCCUCGAUGUUCCCAAUUACCAGAAGGUGAGAAACCUUCAUGAAUAUCUCAGGUACGCCCUCGAUAUUCCCAAUUACCAGGAGGUGAGAGACCUUCAUGAAUAUCCAAGGUACGUCCUCGAUAUUCCCACUACCAGGAGGUGAGAAACCUUCACGUAUAUGCAAGACCCAUCCUCGAUAUUUCCACACAAAUAUCUCAGGUAUGCCUUGGUUCUUCCUUCAGAGUUUGUACCUGUGAUCAUCCACGUACCCCUUCAAUACUUGUGAUCAUCCAAGUAUCCCCAAAGAGUUUGUACCUGUGAUCAUCCAGGUACCCUUUCGAUACUUGUGAUCAUCCAGGUAUCCCCAAGAGUUUAUACCUGUAAUCGUCCAGGUACCCCUCCGAUGCUUGUAAUCAUUCAGGUAUCCCCAAGAGUUUGCACCUAUAAUCGUCCAGGUACCCCUUCGAUACUUGUGAUCAUCCAAGUAUCCCCCAAGAGUUUAUACUUGUGAUCAUCCAAGUACUAUCUCCCAACAAGCAGAUGCCCUGAGAAAGGUCGGUGCAUCUCCCGUCAAGGCGACCGAAGAAAGGUUCAGGUCCUAGACAAACAACUUAUUGCUCUAACAGGCGACCAAAGAAAGGUUCGGGUCCUGGAAAAGCAAUUCCCCGUCAAGGCGACCGAAGAAAGGUUCGGGUCCUAGACAAACCAACUUAUUGCUCUAACAGGCAACCGAAGAAAGGUUCGGGUCCUAGGAAGGCAAUUCCCCGUCAAGGCGACCGAAGAAAGGUUCGGGUCCUAGACAAACAACUUAUUGCUCUAACAGGCGACCGAAGAAAGGUUCGGGUCCUGGAAAAGCAAUUCCCUGUCAAGGCAACCGAAGAAAGGUUCGGGUCCUAGACAAACCAACUUAUUGCUCUAACAGGCGACCAAACAAAGGUUCGGGUCCUGGGAAGGCAAUUCCCUGUCAAGGCGACCGAAGAAAGGUUCGGGUCCUAGACAAACAACUUAUUGUUCUAACAGGCGACCGAAGAAAGGUUCGGGUCCUGGAAAAGCAAUUCCCCGUCAAGGCGACCGAAGAAAGGUUCGGGUCCUGGGAAGGCAAUUCCCCGUCAAGGCAACCGAAGAAAGGUUCAAGUCCUAGACAAACAACUUAUUGCUCUAACAGACGACCGAAGAAAGGUUCGAGUCUUGGAAAAGCAAUUCCCCGUCAAGGCGACUGAAGAAAGGUUUGGGUCCUAGACAAACCACUUAUUGCUCUAACAAGCGACCGAAGAAUGGUUUGGGUCCUGGAAAAGCAAUCUCCUCAUGCAACAGGUAAGAUGACGCCUUGAUACUUGCCAAAACUCGGGGUUCACACCCUAUCUCACUCACUCCCGUUAAGUAACUACAUGUAUCUUCUUAUCUAUCUUAGUAUGUGUAAUGUUAUAUUACUCAUUUUCUGCAUAGGACACUAGGUCCCAAAUAAGAUAUAAUCUAUUGCAUAUGUAUAGACAAAAUUUUGGUAUCAGGUUUGUCUUUGAAUGCAACCUCUGCGAACUCACCUUCAAAGAGGGGCAGCUGUUGACACCUAAAUUUCGUUUUUUUAAUUAGGUUUUUUUACAUUUAUUUGCCUUUUUCGGAUAAUAAACAAAACAAAUAACAAAAACAACAAAAAAAAACAAAAAAAAACAAGAAAAGCAAAAAGCCAAAAAAAAAGCAGCAGCCCCCCUUUUUUUUCUUCAAGUGGGCUCGUGCGACUUGGCCCCACCCCCCCUUUCUCCUUCUUCUUCCCUCUUCUUCUUCCUCGCUCCUUCUUUCUCCGCCUCUGUAGUUCACGCGCAGAAGACGACGACGCGCGCAAAGGACGGCCUACGGCCGAGGGUAGUAGGCCAACGUUGGCCGAAGAAGAUAAGAUUGCGAGCGCCAUCAAUGCCGAGCAUGCUUCACUGGAUGAGCUCGGAUGGGACGCCGAUUCAGCCGAGGAGAAUCACUCAGCGCAUGAAGGGGACUGGCGGUCGAAGCUCCGUCGACCGAAUUCCCUCGCCUAUAAAAGGGCACCACCUUCGUCGAAGAACGACACGGGCGAGCUCGGAGAUCCUUCACUGAGAGACAUCGGGAAGGAUUGAAGGGCGAGCGCAGGAGAGAACUCGAGUCGCGAGCUCAGCCCACCUUCCACCGAGAGACUUCGGGGAAGGCCGGCCGCAAGCGACUUCGAGAAGGUCAGAUCUGGCCGGUGGAGGCUCGGAUCUGGCCUGAGUGAGAGAAGAUCGAGCCCGAGGGAGGUAGAUCCGAGAGCCUGGAUCUGUGAAAUAAGGGCUGAACGAGGUCAGCUGGAGGAGGGAGGGCCAAAUCUGGGAAGCCGAAAGCUCUUCACCACCUGCGACCGCUGCUCUGUCAUUGCUGUUCCCCGCCCCGAUGCCGCUACUGCCCCAGACCUUGCUGUGCCACCGUCCUCACGCCUCGCCGCCGCCGCUUUCCCCGACAUCGUCCAAAUCUGAGUGAACUUCGGAGAGCAAGGUUCCAUCACCAUCAUUGAGCCGUGCCGUCCCCGUCACACCCGCCGAAGCCGCUGCUGUGCAAAACCCCGCCGUGCCGCCGAGCGCCUCCGCCGCUGCUACCUUCGAUCUGGCAUUGUUGCCGUCGCCGUCCCCGUUCGAGAGAAGGUAAAAAAAAGAGCGCCGCCGUUAGCGUUGUCGUCGCCGUUGUCGCCUUCGUCGUCGCCGCCGUAGUCGCCGUCGCCGCCAAGCACCUCGGUCCCCCCCUCGGCGCCGCGGAUUCGCAAACCCUAGGGUUUGCGAUUUUCCGGGUCGCCGAGUCGGAUCCGGGUCUCGGAACCGGGUAGGGUUUUGCGAGAUUCGGGGGGCGGUGGGAGUCGAGUCGCGAUUCGGAUCCGGGUUGGGUAGGGUUCGCAGGGAGCCAGGUCGCGGAGCGGGUCAAUGGAUCCGGGUCGUCGGGCCGGGCCGGGCGUCCCCAAAUGCCCGGCCAUGGCGUCGUUUUAAUAAAAAAAAAAAAGAUGAAAAAUCCGAGUCAGGCCCGCAACGCGGGCCCGUCCGCGUUUGGGUCGCCGACCCGGGUCGGACCCAACCCGCGCCGACCCGGGUCGGUUUUAUUUUGUUAUUUUAAUAUAAAAUAAUCCUAAUAAAUAUUUUAUUUUCAAAAGAAAUCAAAAAGUGUUUUAUUUUCAAAAAAAAUAUUAAAAAAUGUUUUAAUUUCCAAAAAAUCGAAAAAUAUUUAAAAAAUGUCGAAAAAUGUUUUAUUUUCUAAAAAAUUGAGAAAAAUAAAAAAUAAUUUAUUUUCCAAAAAUAUUUUGAAAAAUAUUAAAUAAAUAUUUUAUUUUCCAAAAAAAUCAAAAAUAUGCCAAAAAUCCAAAAAAAGCCAAAAAUUCAUGAAAAAGCCAAAAAAAUUCAGAAAAGCCAAAAAGACUUGUGUUUUUCCAAAAAAAAUCCCAAAAAAUCCCUUUUGCGUCCAAAAAUUAGAAAAUGACUCAAAAAAAAUGUUUUUCCUCCGAAAAAUGCAUGGAAAAUCUCUCAAACAUCCAAAAAAGCCUUAGGGUUUAAACAAGAUUAGGUACUGAAAGGGCAUUAGUGAUUAACUAGUGUAAUCAAGUCCCCGAUCAUAAUUUCUCUGGUUGCGCAGGAGCGAGUAUUUCUCCCGAUACUUCGUUUAGGUUUCUAAUCGACCCACCCCAAAUCGAUUAAUGGCGACUCCAUUUUAAAAAUUGAUUUACAGGUUAAAAAUUUAAACUAUUAAAGUCGUGAAUUGGUGGACUUGGGAGAGUCUGGGCAUAACUAAUUAAAAUUAGCCAAGUCAUUAGCCUCCUUAGGCGCUCGUACCCGAUUGCGGGCGCCGAAAAAAAAGAGGUCGCGGCAGUUGCCGACAUAGGCUUUGUGGCCCUUGCCCAAUGGUCAACAAGCCUUGUCAGAGCCUCAUUGGCCACUGCAGGGAUCCAAGGAGGAAGGAGAGGGAAAAAGAAGGAAAAGGAAAAGGAACAAAUUAAUAAAAAAUUUGAAAAAAUAAAAAAAAUAAUUAAAAAAUUACCACGUGAGCAUUGGUUGGAUGGUCAGCGAUCAUAUCAACGUCGACCAGCCAAAAUUGGCUGGAUGGACAAAAUUGAUACCAAUAUGAAAACGGUUUAUGACUUUUUUUGCAUUUUCCCCUUAUCAAAGAGAUCAAACAAAAACUAAGAAUGUAAGAGGUUAGACAAAUGAAAAGAAAAUACUUUUUUUAUCCACAAGUGAUUGUUUUGGACUAUCUAGAGAAUAUCCCAGCGACUUUGAUGGUUUUCCACGGCCAAAGUUUGAAGGAAUUUUGUGUAAUUUUCUCCUUUUUUAAUGAUUUUCUCAGCUAACGCUCACAAAUAAAAUUCGGAUUUAGGUGUUUGGGGACAUCAGUUUUAAAAUUUCUAAUUGGCGGAAUCUAUAUGCCUUUCGGUAGGCAGGCUCUACAUUAAUACAUGUCUUUUCAGAGAAGUUGCAGUUUCCUUUCUGAAAUUUGUGGGCGAUUGUGAUUUCUACCUUACCUAUUAUAAUAUUUGCUAGGAAAAAUUAGUAUUCAUUUCUUAUUGCAAAUUCAUAAUUAAGAUUCACGGUUCACAUUCAGAUUUACAAAAGUUAUGCUUUUCACAACUGGAUUUGCACAGUGAUUGCAAAUGUCCAAUAAAAAAAGAAAAAGAAAUUGGUCUCCUAAACAUUGGCACCAAUAAGUCUCGUAAAUUAAUGGAUUCCUUUUAGCCAGAUGAGCUACUUGCUCACCCCGACUCUCUGCAUACUUCUCCCCACACCUGCUUUAUUUCUUUAAUACAUUGAUGUCAUCACGUUUUCCACGUAAAUUUCCAGGUAGGCACAGUCAAAAUGAUAAAACGUAGAACUAUAAUCAGCCUGAGGGAAAAGCUAGAAUUUAGUUUCCGCGGAUCCAAAUGCAGUUUUUGAAAAUCUUGACAUAAAUUGUAAUUAUGCCAUACUAAGAAAUGCGAAUCAAAGCUUUUCUAUUUCCUUUUGGUACCGGAAAAUAAGGGUGCAUUUAGUAAUAUUUCUAUUCCUGGAAACAAUUUAUUUUCAAAAAUAAUUUUUUUUAUUUAUAUUCUCUGGAAUAAAUUCUAAAUAAAACUAUGUAUUUAGUAACUGUACAAAAUUUCUAUUCUUGGAAUAGAAAAAGAACAAGAAUGUGUUUGGUACAAACCAUAAGUUUUUUUUGUGAUGUAGAAUUUCUUUAAAAUUUUUAGUAACUUUUUUGAGAUUUCUUUUUUCUUUUUUCCUCUCUUCUUCUUCCUCCUCUAGCUAGUCGUCAGGCAACAACGGGCGGUGUGCGAUGAGCUUCGGUGGCAGUGGCAAUGGUGAGUGACAAGUCUCCACCAACCAAUUAGAAGAGAACGAAGAAGAAAAGGAAAAAUGAAAAAGAAAAGAAAGAAAAUGACUUAUUUUUAGAAAUUUAUUCCAAGCACAAGAGAGCAAGAAGCUACUUUUUCUACUUCUUGUUUCGGUUUCAAAUAUAUUCUCAGGCCACUUUUCUAUUCCGAGGAAUAAAAAAAUUAACCGACGUUACCAAGUAGAUUUUUGUUCUUUUUCUAUUUUAGAGAACAAAAUAAUAAUAGAACAGAAAAAUUGGAAUGUUGUCAUGUAGACCUAGCUUGUUGACAGAAAGCCCGAUUAUGAGAAAUCAGACUUGGAUGUUGUCCUCUACUUACUUUUAUUAUUGCCCUAUUUUUCACUUUGAAAGCUAAUUAGUUAUCAAUGUAUUCAGGUCAUAUUUUAUUUGGAAUAAGUGAUCAAUUUUAUUUGUGAACUUGAAUCAAAUGGCCCGCAAUAAUAUUUGGACAUAGAAGAUAUUUGACAUGCUUAAUCCAAAUAAAAAGUAGAAAAAUGAUACAUUGACAAUAUUUUUGGAAACAUGGCUAAUGACAAAAUGCCUCUUCUAAUUUAUAUAUUAUGCUCGAGCAUGGCUUCUAAUUUCUUUUUUAUAUUUUUAAAAAAGAAAAAUUAAUUAUUUGAUGAAAAAUUUAAGCAAAAUCUCAAUAGCAAUCCUACUUCAUGGUUAUUUUUUCAUAGGGAGUUCGAAAUAGGAAUGACUGCAAAAAGAAUAUUAAUACAAAACACUAUACAUAAGAUUUAGACUUAGACAAAUACAUCUCAUUACAAAAUCAAAUCACACAGCACAAAUUCCAUUGUUUGAAAUACAAAUAUAUAAGAUUCAAACCUACAUAAAUACAUCUUAUACAAAAAUUACAUCUUGAAAGAAAAAUGCAAGUCUCAAUGUUACAAGCCGCUCCCUCCUUCAACAUAAGUCGGGCGAGAUGGUGUCAUCCUCCCCCCUUGCCUCAACUUGAGAAUGUUCCUUUGGCAUCAGAAUUUCCAUUAGAUAAGAUCUGCCAACGACAGUCAUCUCUAGUUUCUUGUCGGAUAACUUUGCCUGUUGUCCCCAAUAAUUCUACCAGCCCUAUUGACGGUCACCUCAGAUAUAAUAGUUAAAGCCAGCAGAGAAGAAUAUCGUGAGCCAUUACGGGGAAGAACAGGGUAAUGGGAAGUGCCAGAAUACCAUUUCCCUUAUGUAUCAAAAACAUACAUACACAUACAUGAUGCCUAAUUAAGCCCGCUAGUUGAGCUGAAGUUUUUUGUGCAUGUCGAUGGAAGUGCCAGAAUGUUACUUAUUAUUCCAUCCAGCAAACUUAGUGCUUAGUUUAAUGGCAAAACUGGACAAUGUCUAUCAACCGCUUAGUGUAAAGAAACCACAGGGUUUAAUUUUAUUUUUUUAUUGAAUAACUUUUUGGUAGUGCAUACCUAUGGAAUAGCAAGAAUAUUGCAUAUUGAUUCUUCCAUCUAAAUAUGGUACUUAGCUAAAUUUGGUACUUAGUCAUUUUUUUUAAAGGGGAAAUAAAACCAAAUCCUCCCAAAUUUUGAGGGUAGUAUAGGUUUAUCCUAAACUUUUAGUUGUUACGCAAUACCUCCCCAAACUUUCAUUUUAUUAUAUCUAUUGGCCUACGUUAUUUUCUUCUGUUAGCAUGUGUAACGCAUAUGACUCAUAAGGUGUACAAGUAUAUAUUUCAUCUUAUCUUUUAAGGAAAUAUCUCUUGUACCCACAAUUGUUAUGAAAUAAAUGAAAUAUUAUAUAAAUGGGAGAUAUUAAAUUAAAUACUAGAAAAGUAUAAGUAGUAGUCAUAUUAUUGAACAAAGUUUGAUAAAUAUAGCCACUUUAGUACAACUAAAUAAGAUAUUUAAGAAAAAAAAUACAAACCAUAUAAAAAGGAAAAGGACUUGAUAACAAAAAGAUGAAAUGAUGAAAAUUGGUUACUCAUUACUUAUGUUCAUAGGCAUAAUGUCUUCAACUUUUAAAAGGGCAUGAGCAACUGAAAUCUAUUUUUUUUUAAAUAAAAUUUAUUGAUCUUCAUCUUUUUCAUUAAUUAACAAUUUAGAAAUACAUAAUGAGUACCGAUUUGUUAUUUGCCCUUUUGUCAUUUAGGUCUUUUUCCAACAUUGUGUUUCUUCUUCUUCAAUUUCUUAUUAAUUAUAUAAAUAUUUUCACAAAUUAAUAAUAUUCGUUGAAGUAUUAUUAGUGAUAUUUAAUUUUAUAAUAUUAAUAUUCUAAAUAAUUAAUUUUUCUCCAUUCUUUAUUUUAUAUAAACCAAAAUCAAGGAUAAAAGAAAGAUUUUAAUAAAAAAAAUGAGAUGAAAAGACACAAAUGGAAAAAGAAAAAAAAAAUCUCAAUAAGAAGAUGGUGAAAUAACGAUAAUUGGUUACUCAUUAUGUACAUUUAAAGACUUAAUUAAUUUAAAAAAAUCAAUUAACAGAUAUUUAAAAAGAGUUAUAAAAGGAAAUUAUUGCUUCAACUCAUAAAAGGAAAUGAUUAACUGAAAAGGAAAGUGAUUUUUUCUAUAUUAUCUCUUGAUCAGUAUUUUUUGUAUUAAUUAUUUAUUAAAAGUACGUAAUCAGUAUCCUCCACUUUUUCUUAUUUUCCUUCUUGUUAUCCUGGCCUUUUCAUUUUACUAAAUUGUGUUAUUUUUUCUUAAAAAUAUCUUAUUAUUCCAUUAAUAUUUUCAUCUAUGUUAAUAAUUAUCAUUUCUUUUGAUAAUAAAGUUUCCAUCAAUUUAUUUUCCUAGAUUUUUCAUUUUUUUUAUCGGAAUCAAAGACAAAAGAGAGACUUCUAUAAAUAAAUAAAUAGAAAAGAAGAGAUAAACAUACACAUUUACCCCUUAAACGUUUUUACGAUAGCACAUUGCCAACAAAAAAAAAAUGUAACAGUAGUUAACGGCUAUAAUAAAAUAAAAGCUUAAGGAACAACAUACAACGAUUGAAAGUUUAGGGACAAACACGUAUUAGUCCCAACAUAUAACAAUUGAAAGUUUGGGGAUAAACUUGUAUUAAUCCCAAAGUUCGAAUAAGUUUUAUGUAAUUUUCCCUUUUCUAAUGGUAAUCCAUGCUUGAACUGUAACAACCAACACUAAUAAAGAAAAUGAUUAAUACCCCAAAAACUCUUAAACUGAUAUACCUAUGAUAAAUUUAUCCGAAACUAAUUUUUUGACCACAAAAAACCUCAAAUUGGUAUACCUUUAACAAAUUUACUCCAAAUGAUCAUAAAAAACUCCAAACCGGUAUACUUGUAACAAAUUUAACUCAAAUUAGUUUGUUUGAUUGCUAAAAAUCCUAAAAUGGUACAUUGGUGACAAAUAUACCCUCCAUUAAAGUGAAUUAAUACUAUAAAAAAUUACAAAAAUAAAAUAACUAUGACAAACAGAGAGUAAAUCCCAUGGUGCAUCAAUCAAUUGUUACGUGUUAUUCGAUUCAACAAUUUGAUAGUAAAAUUUAACAUAAAUUAAUAAAAUGUAUAUGUGUUAUAACUGUAUCAGUUUGUGAUAAAUUUGUCAAAAAUGUAUCAAUUUGGAGUUUUUUAUGGUUAAAAAAUUAGUUUUGGAUAAAUUUAUCACAGGUGUACCAGUUUGGGGUUUUUUAGAAUAUUAAUCCUAAAGAAAAUCUACACAAAGAUCUUUGGAGACAUAAAUGUUAAAAUUCCUUUUUGACUACAACUACGCGCCUCUUAGCAAGCUCCAUCUUUAACAUAUUUGCAAAAAUUCUUUCGGUGCUUCGCAAACAAUUCAUAAAAAUAAAAUAAUAAAAAAUUAUUUUAGAAAGGGCCAAAGCCAUCAAAAAAAUCAAAAUAUGCCAACUAUGAUACAUUUAUCCUAAACAAUUUCCUAAGACAAAUUUACCUUCCGCCAAUGUUGUGUCAAUGAGGACCAUUAAAAAUCUAUUUGCAUUGAUCUCGGAAAAGCAUGUUUUUGACAUGACACUCACGUGGUUUAAGUGAAAUAAAAGUGACAUUAGUUUGGAUGAAAAAUUAUCUAACGAAACCUUAAUGGAGAUAAAUAUGUCACAUAGUUACAAGUAUGGGUUUUUUUAUAUCAAAAGAAAUUUUUUAUAGUAAAUAUGUUAUAGUAUGCAUAAUUUUGGAUUUUUGAUUGAAAAAGAAAAGUUCAGAAUAAAUGUGUUACAGUGAGUAUAAUUUUAGACUUUUGGUGACUUUUUCUCUUUUAAAUAUCGCCUUGAGACUUUUGAUUGCCACUUAAUGGACAUCAUCUGAUUUUUAAUAGUCAAAUAGUUGUUUUGAGGACCAUUCCAAAUCCCCAUAUAUCAUCUACCUAUUUUUUUUUUUUCAUCAGAAUUUGAAUCUAUUGUUUGUUUCGAUACACCUCCAUAUCCCAUAUUCAAAGCAUCAACGUUUACAAGCUUAAAGGUGUACAUGAGGUUUUAAGACUUGAAAUAAAAUCUGAAACAUAGUUUAGGCAUCCUAAUAAUAUAUGCAAUUGCAUUUUUGCUUUAAUUUCACCAGGAAAGUUAUUUGCAAACUCUAUAGUUAUUAAUAGGUUCAAUAGUUGUUUGACAUAUAUCAAGUCCUAAAAGCCUUACUUCAGUUUGCAUAUUUCAUAUUUGGUGCUAAAAUUACUAAUCUAUUAUUCCAAAUAAUAAUAAUAAUAAUAAUAAUAAUAAUAAUAAUAAUAAUAAUAAUAAUAAUAAUAAAAUAGUGAAAUACUUAAAAUGCUUCUAUAGAUUUUGCAAAUAUUAAUAUAUCAUCUAUAUAUACUAUUGAAAAAAGUGACAUAGUUUUCAAGUAUAUCAUUAUCAUAUUUGGAAAUUCUAAAGGGGCAUUUUUUUUAAAAAACCACAAGGCAUUACAUUUCAUUCACAUAAUCAAACGGAGUAGUGAAGGCUGUUUCAUAUAUGAAUUAUGAAUCCUGCUUCGAGCUAACUGGGCCUUGGAUUCAAGUGAGGGGGCUGUGUCAGAGCCCAAUCAAACCAGUGGAUCAACAACUGCAAAAGAAGAGGUCAAGAUAGUGUUAUUGUGCACCUCUUGAACUAUCAAAUAAUUGAGAUUUGCGAAAGCUUCUUCUUGGGUAUUUUCAACCACAGCUUUUGUUCCACCAGAAGAAGAUGAAUAUAUCAUUCGUGCGGAUUGGCUUUUGUGGAAAAUGAAAACAUGGACGACCGAAUAAAAGCUGUAGUUGAACUCAAAGUGCAGGGGGAUCUUUUGCGAAAGAGGAGAAGGCACAGGGCCGAGCCUUGGCGUUUUGUGCAUGCUAAAAGCUUUGCCUUGUGAUUUUUGCCUCAAGUUUUGUGCAUGCUAAAAGCUUUGCCUUGUGAUUUUUGCCUCAAGUUUUGUUUCCGACGAGGAAGGAAGAGGUUAAUCACUCGAUGCUCUGUGACGAGAAACAACAAUUCAGCCGCUCACGGUGAUUGGAGGUAAGCAUCAACUGCGAACUGAGACAUCAGUAGUCCAGCCUCCUUCAAUAACUUGGAGGGCCACGUGCGAAUUCUUGCUGUUUUCUUGAAUUCGAUUUGAAAAUGAACCAGUAGGAUUCUCUUUAAGAGGUAUUUAGGGUUUCAUCUCGAAUGAUUGUGCAAUUUAGCCCGUCUCCGAAACUCAAUAAUAUUUAAAUCUUCGUUUGGAAUUAAUAUGUUUUUGCUUUGAUUAUUAGGUUCUCCCUGCAAAUUCAAGGGCAAUGUCGAAGGGACAAAAAAAAGGAAGAGUGAAAAUCAGGAGCAAGAAUCUGUCAGAGAUCAACAAACGACAGAUUCUUAAAUUAUGGAAUUUACAGUUGCUCGGACAGCGAAGCCAAUAUAGCUCUUUAGCCCCCAGGAGGCCCACCUGGGAAAUCUACUGAUGUGGGCGAGCAACUCCUUUUUCCUGAUUGGUCGUUGCUUUUGAUAUUUCGAAACGAAAGCGCAUUGCCGAUUGAUUAUGAACCCGGAAGAGUCAAUGGCGUGCGUUUUUGUAUAUAAUGAAUGACCGUGCGGCCCGGCAAAUCCUUCACUGGAAAAUCGAUCUGCCGACAACCAAUUGAAUUACAACCAUUGAUGUUUAAUGGGACCAUGUCACAUCCAAAGUGUCAUGGGGGAAACUCAUAUGUUCUACCGAUUAAUAUCAAGGUACAUUAUUAACCAUCGUCGAAAUUAUUAUAACGAUAACAACUUAUGAUCCAUAUGAAGAUCGUGAUUCAAUCAAUUUCUCUCUCUUUUUUUUUUUUUUUUUUAAACACAUGACAACAAGUGAUUGGUUUGAUUUGAGGAGAGUAAGGUCACAAUACAUUACUCCUAAAUACAAUCCAUCUCAUAUCUCCUCAAGAUGACUCUUAAAUCCCUUAAAUUGGGAUGAGCACUUGAAAAGAAUCUCAAUAAACGAUCAAAACAUGUUGUCAAAAUUCAACUUAGGAAACGACCCAUUCAUGCACCAAUUCCUCGAGCAUUUCUAUGCAGGCCUAGUUUUAAAGACCACACACAUGCAAUAAUCGACAAGUGAAAGACCGGAUCGAGGCAGUUCAGGUUUAAUGUGACUCUCGUACCCGAACGGACACAUCAUCAAUCGGGCUUAGAAAAUGAAACAAUCUGUACCGGUAACGAAGGACGUUGAUGUCGACACGAUCGGGCAAAUUGGCAUUAGAUAGCCGCUGGUACUGGUCCGCAUUACAUUAUCUGUCGUCGGGACAACCAAAUUUGACUGCAUCAUUUAAUGGGCCUUACGAAAUUGGCACCCUGGCUGGCGCUAAGGUGGGGGGGCCCACCCCCCGUGUGUGUUCUGUUACGUGUACGUUGUUUUACUCGGAAGCAAUAUAUACCAUGAACUCAUCUGUUGCAUUGGAAACCCAUAGUACAUAUACAAAUGGAACAAUUUUUUAUUUUUUUUCGGUUUGAUUUGGUUUGUUUAAACGAUCCAUGAGUUUAUUCUUGAUCCUUAUUUGUGUGAAAAAUGGAUGUAUAACAAGUAAUUUAUUGAUUUUAAUCUUAGAAGUAGAAUAGAGUGUGUAGUUCAAAUUGCUGCAGACUGUAAUGAAUAUCUUGAUACACUGAACGAGACUUUGCGUCAACUCAUUAGGGAUAGCUUUACAGUUCGAGCUAGUAUUGUCAGUGAACAACGAUUAAGAUAGUUAGGUAAAAACUAGUCUUUGAGAUGAGAAGACGAGAUAUGGGCUAGUCCACCAAAUGCUCAACCUUAGAGAUGUGCAUGCUACCAUGGUCACUCGUUUCUAUCGUCAUUCAUGUCAUCUCUUUCACUUUCCCUCAAAUCUCAAUUGUCUCUCGUUCGAACAAACGUUUUUUGCAUUUUUCCGGAGAUUUUCCUGAGAACCCUUACCAAACACAACAGCCCCUUCUAAAGUCUAGCACGCAGAAGCUCCCAAAACACUUGUUUGACUUUCAACAUCGUAGAACCAACCCGGCAAGAAGUUGACCAAGUGGACCCCGAUAGCACAAACUCUACCACGGUAUUAUGACCAGUAACGGCCACUCCACCGUAUUGGCCCAAGCACAGCAUAGCCCAUCCCCUUCCAAGGGCACCCGUGCACGGCCUCUCUGUGUGAGGAGCCGUGCUAGGGAGGGCUAUGACCCAGUUGGGCCUAGGCCAUUCGCUUUGGCCCAAACAGGGAAACGACCCCAAUUUUUUUCAAAGAUCCCGGUUGCAUUUAAAGAAUGAUUAACAUCACAAAAAAUAAAAAAAAAACUGGUAUAUAUGUGAUAAAUCUAUACCAAACUAAUCUUUUUAUUAUCAAUAACUCCAAAUUGGUAUAUUUAUAAUAAAUUUGUGAAAAAAUUAUUUUUUUUAGUUUCCAUUAAAUUGGAUUAAUAUCACAAAAAAUUAUUAAAACCGGUACACCUGUGAUAAAUAGAGGGUAAAACUCUAGACCGAAACACUCAGCAAUUGUCACGUGUCAUCGAACUUAGCAAUUUCACAAUAAAAUUUAAUAGAAACUAACGAGGGUAAAUUUGUUACGGAUGUACCAAUUUUAAAGUUUUUUGUGAUAAAAAAAAUUAGUUUGUUAUAAAUUUGUCACAAGUGCACUAAUUUUGAUAUUUUCGUAACAUUAACCCUUUAAGAAAAACAAAAUAAAUGUGAUAGAAUGUGAUCAUUCGACCACACCGAAAAAAAAAGAACUCCUACAACUUUAAUUCCUCCUUCAUCAUCGCCUCCAUCCAUUUCUCAUUACUUAUCACUCUCUUACAAUUUCUAAAAAAAUCUCGAAUUCUACAUACGACAUUUUAAAUUUUCGAGUACGGAACAGACCCAACUCAGCUACAUUAACCAACUCAAUUCCCAGACCCAGACCUCCGACUACGAAGACUAGCCUACUCCAACCAAUACUGGGUAGUCUUUGUGAUGGAAGGUCCAAGAUUUGGCGAAUGUUCAGCAUCGAGGUCCUCCCCAGUGGCGAGAAGAAGGUCAUUAACAUGGCGUGGGGUGUGAAAUUACCCACAAAAUCUAGUGGUUACGCGGGCCACAUGAAGAGGUGCCAAGAGAAUUAUCUCCCUGAAAUGGCCAAGCCCAAGGGGGAGGUCCACCGUCGUUGCAACAGGCCACGAUUGUAGUCCGUUCAAGUACAACAAUGCUCAGGCUCAAUGCCCAAAUCAACAGUAUAGACUCCAGGCCGAGGUAGCAUUUGGGUGCACCCAAGAUCCAGGGUUCGUUGAGUUCGUCAAGGGGCGUUCGGUCAAAUUACAAAUGCAUUACAAGGACCACGAAUACUGGGAAAUACAAGGGUCUACACAAGGAGAAAUGAGCAAAGUCGGUGCGGCUGCUAUCCAUAGAUAACUUUUGAGUGUCAUUGACUUCAAACUUGGGGACUAACCUGAAGGACUGUGGUUAUUGUUGUGUGCUAGAAAGGACCAUAUUGGUUACUGCAUCACCGAACUUUCACAAAUUACAAAAUAUUUGUGUGGAAAUUAUGAGAUCAGUGAAAGACUUUGGCAUUAGGGAGAAAGCAUUUUCCAUUACUUAGGAUAAAGCCUAUGUAACAAUGUGAUUGCUAGGAACAUGGUCGCCCAGAUGUGGCUAGUUUGCAAUGGCCAAUUCUUCCGUGUAUGCUGCAUAGUGCGGUGUUACCAAUCUUUGCGCACAACAUAGUCUUAGGCUCUUAAAGAUUUUUAUGAUUCUUCUGUAAGUCGUCUAAGCUGGUGGGUUCACUACCUAGGUUCCACCCCCUUUAAGGGUUCAAGAUAUGGAGACGAUGUGCGCGGAAUGCGGAAGGGAGCCCCAAAAAAGCUCCCUCAGAUGUCAAAAUUAGGUGGAAUUCCACCCAUCUGAUGUUGCAGAAGGCCUGCAUUCAGAUGGAUGUCUUGACCUCGUUUUCUUUCCAUUAUUACAGGUUGAUUGGAGGGUUGCCAAACGAUUCAAGCACCUCCUGGAGGUGUUCAACAACGCCACAGUUGUGCACUAAAAAGACAUCAGGCUCUACCAGAAAGUUUAUUUAGUGACUCAUCUAGGGGGCAUAAUGAGGAAUAUAUAUAUGCAUACAUGCAUAUAUAUAUAUAUAUAUAUACAUAUGCAUGUUUAAACGUGUGUACAUAUGUCAUGUAUAAAUCUGGUAUGCCGGGGAAUUGAUCAACAUUAUCCAGCUAUUAUACCCAUUUAUAUUAGAGAUUGAUGGAUGGAUGAUUCCCAAAGGUUCAAUGAUUGGCCAGAGAAUGUUUUGUGGAGCUCUUUCGGCCUUUGGAUUUUACACAUAGGCAGUAUGCCGCCAAAUAGGACAAGUAUAAAUAGCGUGGCAGACUUCAUUUCCAUGUCCCUAAAAGUGAAAAGAAAAGGGGGAAAAAAAGCACAACGGGAAACCCGUUGUCUUAUUGAAACCCACUAAUCGAUGAGUGACCACCAUAAUUGACGAAGCCACAUCCACAUUGCUAAUAAUCAUAUGAAAUGUGAAAGGAGCCAUCCAAUUAAUCUAAUCCACAAGAAUUAGGAAUAAGUUGUUUUAGCACUGUCAUUGCCACAUAUAACAUAAAUUCAGGAAGACCAAGACUUUCCAGGCCGCAAAUUGGUUUUGUUACUUCACUUUUCACAUUUUUUUUGUUUGAAUAAAAUAUUAUUUAAUAAUCAGCAUUAAUUGUUAUUCUCUUGCUCAAAAUCAACAAUAAUGUUUGUCUAACUUUUUUCAUGUUUAAUCAUAUUUUGAUUAUUAAUUCAUUUAUCUCUAUGGUACUUGUCUAUUAGAAUUAUGUCUAGAUUUUCAUGUAUCUUAUCAAAUAUAAGCUUAAUAAAAGCAAAAAGAAAAGCUAAAAAGAAAAAACAGCAAAAAACUGAAAAUAUAUAUAAUAUAUAUAUGAAGGAAUGGGGCAAGAGAGAGCACCACCAUUUCCACGGCCACCGCCAUUCUGUUGGUGUCAGCACCACCGCCAAGGCGACUCAUGCCAAUGUUGUUGCCACUAUCGCAGCCAGUGAAACUAGCCAUAUCAAUUAUCACAUCUAAUGACCUUUAAUUACCUAAUGACUGGUGUAACUUAAUCUAGAGAGGAAUUUACAAUAUAAAGAAUGUAUUUUAGGAUUCACGAUUUCUCAGUUGCAUCGUCAAAAGUUGGGUUCCAUGUGAAGACCACCUGAUCCAAUAGUGGAUAAACCUAUUCUUAGAUGCUCGACUACCUAAUUGAAACUAGUAAGUUCUUAACUUUUUUUUUUUUUUUAAUCUUUAAAGGAUGAACGACCAACUACACCACCAAUAAAACGAGGGCUGAUAUUUUAGAAUCUCAAAGCAUGAAGGGCAAGUUGAGAAGAUGUCAACAUGGUGCAGUGAAGAUUUAGCUCAAGAUACUCAACUUUUUUACCUCAAAGAAAGCAACUUUCAUGCAUGCACUAUUGUCCUAUAUGAGAAAAAAUUGACAGUGACACCCACAUUGACCCAACAGAAAGGGCCAGUAACCACUUCAACAGAACGAAGACUCCACCAGCCACAAAUGCAAGUUUAUCAUUCACUGCACAAAUACAUACAGACAGCGAGCUACUAGGACAACUUAAGCACGCUUUAAGCAUAACAAUGUGACAAUCCAAUAUGAAAUCAUAAUGAAUCCAAAGCGUCACUUUCUUACAUGGAUAUACAUGCUGAGGAGGUCCAAAUACACACAGGUAACACCAGACAACUAAUGGCUUUACUUGACUCAAAUCAGGGCAACACGGAAUGCCAUCAUAUUUUAUAUGUUUCAAGUCUUGAAUUGCCCCAAUUUGAUGGAAAACAAAUGUAACACCAAUGCAGCAUCUCUCUAUAUGUCCACACAACUAGAAUACUACCGAAAUGAGAUUGAAAUACUCACAUUCCCCAUGCGAACAAAAGCGGCCAGCAAAUACCCUUAUUAUAUUCAAGGCUGGAAACGAUGACAAUUUGAUGAGCAAUCAACGUCCAUACAUGCCCAUCUCACUAUGCAUAUUUAUGCACCUCAAGGACUUUGUAUAUAACAUCAUACGUAGAUCAUUCAUACCAGAACUUCUCAUGUCCAGCAGCUAAGAGGAGUAAUACCAUGUACAUCUUCAACAUGAGUUAACACAGCAAAUGCACGCAUGAACAGCGAACAUCAAACACACGUAACCCGCAUUUGACAUACUAAAAGGACACAUAAUCGCAUUUCAAUCAACUUUAUACAAGAAAUGUAGUGAGACACGAGCAGUGCAACUUCAAUGGGAUAACAAAACGUUGGUAAAAGAAUGCAAUAGAAAUUAACUAUCUAUGACUCAGGCAUUCUGUCGAACUGGUAGAACGCCUACUCGUCAAAGAACUAAUAUACGCCAUCUUCAAGCAGCGAUUCACUUACAGUCAUUACUAUCAGCGAUGACCAAGGUCCAGAACAUCGACAGAAACUGAGAAGGAGGAAAGUCCAUGAAGAAGCCGAAAACCAGAGAGAGAGAGAGAGAGAGAGAGAGAGAGAGAGAGAGAGAGAGAGGACUUGGCUUUUGCGAUCGAACGGCGAGGAGCUAAGCAGAAGGGGCUGUUGUAGUCGGAGCAAAGGCUGAGAGACGUCAGAAACUGAGCCGGAGCUCUGCCCAACUCAGCGCUCUCCCUCGUUACAAUUCUUCUUCCAUCAUCUUCUAGUGGCUUUUGUUUUGCACCGAAUCCUUUGACAAAAGUUAUGUCUUUUAAGGGGUUCCAUGGAUGCUGAUAUUCUUUUGGUCGACUCACCUUACGGUCCCAUAAAUUGUUGUCAGGUGAUGACGACGACUCAUCUUUAUCACUCUAGAAUUAGGAAGGAGAGGGAAUAAUAAAGAUUACGAAGCCUAUCAUUAACUAAAGCCAAAGAGAGCCGUUGUAAUAAGUCAUUGUUCUCCAUACUUGACUAUGUGUUUUCGCACAUAAUUAUGCCAUAAUUUUAAGGGAGAAGUACACUAUCAAUGCCAAAAGUUGUGUACGGUGCUCACUUUGAUGCCAAAAGUUUCAGUCAAAUCAUUAAGUGCCAAAAAGUUUGAAAAACACUCAUUUCAGUGCCAACAUCGAUCUGGUUGGCUAGAAUUCCGAUGUGACAAUUUUUUUAUUAAUAUUUAAAGUUGAUGUGGAUCGCCGGAGAGUACAAUCAACAUGCAAAUAACAAAACGAUACAGUUUAGCUUCUUUUCCCCUAAAUAAGAAACCCUAAAUCUCCAAAUUCAACCAAAAUUGGAAGUUGAAAACCCUAAAUCCCCAAUUUGACCAAUUUGAGUGCAUACUUCGAUUUUCUUCCAAAGUUAUUAGCUCGCUCUUGCAAAUGGAGGGUAGAAGCUUCAGCAGCGGCUCACAUUCCUAUAAAAAAAAAGUGAAUUAGAUGGUGAGUGUUACUGUUAUUGUGGGUUACUGAGUCCGAGAAGAGCAUCUUGGACUCAGUUGAAUCCCGAGAGUAGAUCUCAUGGGUGCGGCGGAUAUAGAGAAGGCUCGAAGUGCAAAUAUUUUAAAUGGUUGAUAGAAAAUUCUCUAAUCAAGCAACAUAGGUGAUCUUGGAGUUACUUGAAGGCCGAAAUCAACCUCCACCUAAGUUAAUGGAUGAGUUGGAGGAUUUCGACUCAAUGCAAGCUCAAAUGAAGGGUUUAACAUCUCUAGUUGACCAUUUGAAGAGGGAGGUUUCAAGGCUGAAAAUUGAAAGAAACUUUUAUCGAGCGUUGAUUGUGUUCUUAUUCUCUUGGGUAGUUUAUUCAAAUGUGAAGUGAGUAAUGAGAAUAAGUCUGUAUGUAUAUUAUAGUCGAAGACGUGGAAUAUGCACUUAUAUUGGAUUAUUUAUAAGUAAAAUAUGUUUUUUUUGCUACAAUUUUUGUAUAAAGCAGAAAGUUUUGUUGUAGUCUAUGGUAGAAAUGGAAGGUUGAGUUGGAAUGCAUUAGUUUUGAGCAGUUAAAAGUUUUAUUGUUUAGUUGUGUAUUGUCAAUGUUUGUUUUGGUUAGUUUUUGUUUCAAAUAUAAUGGUUUGCUACAUUUUUUAUUAGGUAAUGGUUUGCUGGUUUGUUGGUUUGCUACAACUGCAAACCAUGGUGAAAUGGAAGGUGCUUUUGGAAUGCAUUAGUUAUGAGUACUUAAAAAUUUUAUUGCUUAGUUGUGUAUUGUCAAUGUUUGUUUUGGUUAGUUUUUGCUUCAAAUAUAAUGGUUUGCUGCAUUUUUUAUUUGGUGAUGGUUUGCUGGUUUACUAGUUUGCUGAUUUGUUGCAACUGCAAACCAUAGUGAAAUUAAGAGAUGGUGGCAAAUUCACAAUUGAUCAUUUCAGUGCUAUAAGUUGUAAAUAGUGAUCACUUGAGUGCCAAGUUUUUAUAAAAGUGAUCAUUUAAGUGCCAGUCGCGAUUACAACGUGAUCACUUGUGUUGCACAAGUUUUUUUUUUAUAAAAAGAACAUGUUAGUUUCCUUAACUUGCACCAGUCGUGAUGCAUCUUGCAUCUUGUUGCACCAGUUGGGUUGCUGGAGCAUUUUCUUGUACCACCCCAUACAAUAGUGUUAAUUCAACAAGAUGCACCAGCACCUAAAAUUGCAUCUUGUUCUUGCACCAGCACAUAUAAUUAGAACCUCACAAAUUCAUUAGCAUCCAUAACUUCAACUAGCUACAGUAUGCAGGCAACAACUACCAUCAACAAAAAAAAUAGACAGCAUAACUGUUAUAACUGUCUUGCUAGCAUUACUAGCCGAAAUAACCAACAAAAGAGAAAAUAACAAAAAUAGCUAUUACCAUUGAUAUUGAUUUAUUGUUUACAAAAGAAAAACAUAUCUAGCUUCACUCCUCAAUCACUGAAGGUUCAGCACCCUCUUGAAAAAAAAGAAACAAUGGCAAUAUGCAGGUAGCAACUAUCAUCAAUGAUAUAAUAUUCAGCACCCUCCUAAAAAAAGAAAACAUGUAGCACCACAUAACAAGAGACCAUGUCUAGCACCCUCCCAUCAGGCAAUAUGGACAACAUCUCGAUCUCCUUUUCCUCUUGGAGGUUUGAACUAAUUCAUAAUCCGAGCACUCUUUCGAACUAGAUGUGCAGGUUCUUUAAUUGGGCUUUCUAUCACUUCCUUUUCCUUGUUCUUGACAGCAGCUAUUUUUGUUCUAGCACGUGUCAUGUGUUGGUCCAUAUCAUUACUAUUGCUCUUAUGAUUAGUUGGUUGAGAUGGAACUGGUGCUGGGUUCUUUUUGGAUGGCUGUUUUGCAGCUAUACCAGCUGUCUUCUUCUUUGGAGCACUCUUCUUUGGUUGCACCAUUGAUUCUUGAGUUGGCCCACCUUGAGAGAGAAGUACUUCCGAAGUUCUCCCAGGUUACAAGAACAUAGCGAUAUUGUCAACCAAAUGAAUUGAAGUACAACAAAUUAAAUGCAUAAGACAUACAUAUCUUACAUUCAAAAUAGUCAUUUUAGUAUGUUCAUCUGUGUAAAUCCCAUAACCAUAUUGCCUUAAUCUUUUUCCAAGAGCCCCUCUUGUUUGUUGUGGUGCAUUAUUUUCAAUAGCAACAAAUGGGGGAGCAACCUCUGCAACUUGUGCAGUUGUGCAUCUUCUCACUUGAGAAACACAACAAAUUUAAAUUUCAGCCCAUAAAAAACAAACACAGCGAUGCACAACUUACAUGAUAUUUUUUUUCUUAUUUGCUCAACAGUGGACUCAGUUGUUGUUACUAUCCUGCCCAUUCCAGUCCCUGUUCCUUCACUUGAGCCUACAACAUGGUCUGUUUCUAGCCCUUUAGUAUGCCUUACAACAAUGUACUAUAUUAGGAUUAUGACCAAUUACAAUGAUUUGAAUAAUUAGACAUCUACUCAUUUUCAUGGUGGGAAACUAGGAGAAAACUUCUCAAAUUACAAGUGCAUGACAGAGGAAAAACAUAAGAGAAGCCAGUACACCUGGUCAACCAUCAAACUCUAUCGAAUAUGAACUGAAAAGUUACUGAGGCAAAGAGAAUACUUACCUUACAGCAGGACUUUCUAUUUGCCCUUUAGUAGGCAUUACAGCAAGGCCUUCUGUCUUCCCUUCAAUAGGCCCAAGAAGAAGCUCUUCAGUAGGUCCUGUCCCUGGCACUAAAUCGGCUUGCUGUUGAUGCUACUUUUUUAGCUUACAACCUUUCUUAUUGUGUCAUUCCUUGCGGCAAUAGGAGCAUUUCAUCUUUGCCCAAGUCUUACUCAUCCUCUGACUUGAUACCUCUUCUUGUUACAUUCUUCGUCUCCUCUUUGGCCUUCCUAUUUGCUUCUUCAAUGACAAAGGUAUAGGGUGGCUCCCAAAAUUUGCUGCUUCUGAUAGGCUGCAUCAUGAAUUGGUAUGAAGCAAGGUAUGAGCCUUUUUUGUACCGAUCAUCUAGGUAAUCAUCUAGGUUUUCUUGCUUCAUUUGAAUAGCACAAAUGGCAUGGGCACAGGGAAUUCCAUUCAGUUGCCAGGCUCGGCAUGAACACUUUCUUCUAUCCAGGUUGACAACAUACUUAUCCUGAUUAUGAAGAAUCUCAUAUCCAUUAUUUCCAUUCCAAACUGGAUUGCAGAACCUACUAGCAGCAAUGUUUGCAUCCAAUCUCUUCACAAUCCUAGGGCCAUAGUCUCUAGUCCAUUUCGUAGCCUCAUCUCUUUGCCUAUGUAGUCUAGUCAUCACCAUAACUCGAAUAUCAUCAAGCAUGCUGAUGAUUGGUUUGCACCUGGCCUCUAAAAUUCUGCCAUUGAAAGCUUCACUGAGGUUGUUAUCAAUGAUAUCACAUUUGAACUCUUCGUUGAAGAAGGCCCAACACUAGUGCUUAGCUUCUAUUUGGAAGAGUGCAUCAAAACCUUCCUUUGUCAGCUGCAACAAUCCUUGUUUGGCUAAUAUGAAAUCAGCCAUGUUGGUACUCUUCACUAUUUGCUAGAGCUACUUCUGCAACCUAUCUCUUUUGAAGUUCCUUGACUAGUUUGCAUAUAUGUGUCUCGCGCACAUUCUAUGCUCAGCAUGGGGCAUCAACUCAGCCAAUGCAGUAAUAAGUCCCUACAAAAAUUCAAACCAAUAAAUACAAUUCAAGACAAAUAUGCAAGUGAUUACUAUUAAAAGGGAAUGAAUUAAUUGAUAAGGAAAUUACAUUCUGUUGGUCUAUCAUGAAUGCCCAUCAUCCCCCAUCGGUUAUCUUAAGGUCAGCCAUUAAAUUUUUUAGGAACCAGGACCAAAUAUCAUUGUUCUCUAUCUUCACCAUCGCCCAAGCUAUCGAAAACAUUUGAUUAUUGGCAUCUCUCCCCACAGCAACCAACAACUCCCCUUUGCAUAAACCCUUUAGAAAGCAUCCAUCCAAUUAUAUAACUCUUCUACAACCAGCCAAGAAGCCCCUUUUGCAUGCAUCAAAAUAGACAUAAAAUCUAUCAAAUUUAGUCCCAAGACCAGGGAGUGGCCUCUUCACAAUCUCUACAUAUACCCUACUAGAUGAGUUUUGAAACAUGCAUUCGGCUGCAUAAUUCCAUACAUGCGCAUAUUUUUCUUUAUACCCACUCAUUAAUAUUUUCAUCACCCUCAUUUUAGCUCUCUUGCAUUGAUUCCUUGACACAUUAACCCCUAAUUGCUCCUUUACUAAUAGCUGAAAUUGAGGACUCUUGAUCUUGGGCAUUGCUUUGAUAGUAUUGAAAAAAUGUUUCGAUAACCACACACUUGUUACCAUUUUAUUGUUAAAGAUAAUUGGACAAGUAUGCUUCUCCUGGAAAGACCUAAUAUGGAAUGACCCAUUCUUACUCAGCACGCCAUAGAGCUUCCAUGGACAAUUUGGUUGUGAGCACUUAGCUUUCACAAAUUCUUUCGUGUUUCUAAUGAAUUGAACGCUCUUCUGUUCAGCAAUGGAGUUCUUCACAACAGCUUCCUUGAACUAUUUGGCAUCGUCAAAUCUCAUGCCCACAGACAAAAUAGGUUUAUCAACAGUCGGAUCAUAGCAAUUGUACUUACUUUUGUUUUUUUUGCCAUGAGCAGGUUCUUCAUCAUCAUUGUCAAGCUCAUUCUCCGAACCAACAACUUUAUCACUAUAACUUUCUUCAUCUUCAUUUCUAUUACCUUCAGCUAGAGUUCCAUCCCUAUUUAUUGGCUCAGGCCUCUUUACUGAAGCUGUAACUUUUUUUCUAAGAAAUUCCUUUUGCUUUUUUCUUGACUGUGUGAGUUCAUCAUCAUCUUCGUUACUUAGGAAACUUACUGAAGCCAAAUAUUCAUCUUCCAAUUCACUGGAUAUAACAAUUUCCCAUUCUAAUCCAAUGAAGUCUUCAUUGCCCACAUCUUCUCCCAAUAUUUCAGGACAUCUCCCUAUAUGUUCUCUAUCAAUAUGACUUCCCUUCCUCUCAUUUUGCCCUUCAUCUAACCUAAACUCAUCCCCAACCUGAUUACUCGCUUGAAUAGGAUCCCUCACUUCUCCUCUUUUAGUGGUGGUCCCCUCAUCCCCAUCUUCAUUAUAAUAUUCAACAUAUACCCUAGCUUCUUCGCCAUGAAGAUAAUGGUAAAUGAUAUCCUUAAUACCAUUAUCGUCAUUAAAAAAUCUCAAGUCAUCCUUCAAUUCCUUCCCAAGAAUACAGUAAUGUGGUUUUUGCACUUUGCAUUGUAAAAAAUACACCACAUCCCUCAGAAAAUUAAUAUAUGAUGGCUUUCGAACAUUGACAUAGAUAAUACCUUCAUUUCCACCACUAUAUUCCCAAUCCUCGGUGCCAAUAACAAACUCUCCACCAUAACAAACAAUGACACCUACCUGAUUCUCGUCCAUGUCCAUGCUACACCCAAUGAAAAAAUAAAAAGUCAUUAGUUUUCAAGACCACAUGAUAGAAUUAGAAACUUCACAUGCAGGUCCUUGUCAUUUUGUUGUCAAGAAACAAAUGCGAGGUCAACCAUUCAAUUUGGUGCUUUUAUAGAAACAAAUGAAACCGAAUUGAAUAAACAAAGUGAGGUCCCCACCACCCAUUUUUCAAUUCAAUCACAUUUGGUUCCCACAGAAGCAGUCCAAUUAAUUAAACAAAGUAAGAAACCACCACCGUUUCCCUCCAAGUUGAGCCCCAUUUUCCCCUCCGCGCCCUAUUUUUCUAUUUGGUCCCCACAAAAGAAAGCGAAUGAACCAUGGAACCCUCAAUUUUUCUUUUCGGUCUCCACAAAAGAAAGCAAACGAACGACGGAACCCUCAAUUUUUCUAUUUGGUCCCCACCACUUUCCCCCACCACUUUCCCUUUGAGCAGAGCCCUCAAUUUACCCUCCGCGCCCUAACUUGCCCGUCGAAACCCUAAAUUUUUCACUAAAUUGACCCGCGUCAAGAACAUGACAAACCUGAGUGAGCAAGAGUUAGGGAUGCAGCCAGUGAACGACCGUGAACGGUGGCGUAAUUACAGUGGUGGCCGAGUGACAGUGGGCGAGCGACGGCGUGCGAGCGAUGGCGGGCGAGCGAACAAUGGUGGGUGAGCGAGCUUCAACCGGCAUCGAGCGAGAAUCGUAUACAAACCCUAGUGAAUCCCUCUUCGAUGACGUCGUUUUUUACCAUAGUGAAUCCACUCUAUUUUACAAAAUGAUGGCCGUUUUCUAAGCGAUUCACGUGGACUGGUAAAACAUCGUCGUUUCUUAAGAAGAAAGGAAAACAACGUCGUUUUAUGCCAUACACCAAGGAUAGUCGAUUUUUUUUUAAAAUAUAAAAGCCACGUAAUCAUUUUGGCCGGAAUCUCUCGCCGUUGGCACCAAAGUGAUCAUUUUUCUCCGAUUUGGCACGUAAGUGAUAUGAUGGAAACUUUUGGCCCUUAAGUGAGUGCCGUACACAACUUUUGGCAAUGAUAGUGUACUUCUCCCUAAUUUCGAGCUCAUGUGAAUAGUAAUCACGUUAACAUCAAGCAUAUUAUCUAUUAUUUUUUUCUUCAGGAAACUAAAUAUUUCAAACGGCUCCCAUUGUAUUCAAAUGCAGAGCAUACUUAUUCAUUUGAGUAGGCUCGAUAGUGAAAAAAGAAUUGCCCAUCGAGUUUGGCUCAGCCUAGCCCAAAUAUAAGGGAAAAUAGCUGUGCAAGCUUGAGGGCAAUGACUCUUCUCUUAGACCUUGGAGCUACCAAGACUUGCCCAACAUGGGUUUACUGUUUGGUGAAUGCAAGACUUGAAUGAGUCUGGGCAAGCACCUUUGUUCUUGGGUGCUUGCCCCGACGCUAUUGUUUUUGGUAAGAAAGUAUAAUUGUUUACAAAAUCAUAGGCCAGGCCAAGCAAGAAUUUUGAUGGCUGAUAUCCGACUUGGUCUGUCUAGGCUCCCCAUUCAAUACUUCUACAAAUAGCGAGUGUUGUCCCAGCUGAACAACUAUUUUUUUUUUUAACCUUAUCACCCGAAUUGUAUGUCAAGUCCAAGUGCAAUCCGAUCCCUUUUGGGAUUAAGGCCCAAGAGUUUGGACCUACCAACGGCGGCCCAUUCACUACCUUUGAAGCAUGGUGUUAGGGCUUAAUCCUAUUACAAUUGUCAAAAUCAGAUUGAAUUCACAUUUAACACUAAAAGCACCUAAAACAUUUCGAAAAUCUAUUUGUAAAAUCUUCCUAUUCUUUUGAAAUUUAAAUUUUUAUUUCAUACUUUCCUAUUCUUUUAAAAUUUGAAUUUUUAUUUCAUACUACAAAAUUUUAAGAAGGGACAUGUUUCAGGGAACUAAUUAAGAUCUUUUUUUUUUCUUGCUUCUCUUUGGUAUUAAACUAGGAACUCUAUUAAGGGAAUGAUAUAAGUUCUAAGGCAUCAAUAUCGCUUCACAUGCAAAAUGUCAAUAUUAUCGAAUUUUUCUUAUUUGUAGCCUGCUUCAAAUAUUAAGAUUUUUUUUUUUCGGGUAAGAAAAUAUUAAGAUCAAUUGAUUGCAAUGGAUUGCUUUUAUGUUGAAGAUUCGCAAAAGCCAUUUUCCAUUUCCCUUUUUUUUUCUUCUAACAAGGGGAAAAUUGCUCAAAAGUUAUUUUAACCUUAGCAAAUGAUAUCCUUGACUAAUGAUUUUGCUUAUAUAAUUGAUUUACAUCUAUAUACUAGUAUAUCACGCAGCGUUGUUGGGAAAAUCAACCAAUCUAAGUCGUUGGCUACAAAUAUGUAAGUAUUCUCGAAACAUUCAUUAUUUAAUUUAGUCAUAUAAAAUAUCAAUAUAUAUUGUAAAGAAAAAAACAAGAAGAUUCAUAACACUUUGUAUAAAGGCAACUAACUUGGGUUGACUAGAAGAUAAGUACAUUGAAGACAUCUAAAAUUCUUACAAAUCGUUGAGAAAGAUUACUUAUUAAAUUACAUAAAAAGCGAAACAAACUAAAAAAUGGAAAGAGUAACAUUUUUUUUUCACAUUAAUUGGACUUCAUCUCUAUCGAAAAAUAGAUCACUAUCAUUGUCAAUAUAUCUUUUUUCUUUACAAGGCUAUAUAUAUAUAAGUACACAUACAAGUAUUGCUAGGGUAACAAUCGCCUAUUAGGUAAACUAUUCGCUUUCUAUAUGCAUUACCCCCACAAAUCAACUCGCACAAAUAUAAAUAUUUUCUUCCUCUACAUAUCACUCCUACAAAUCAGCUCACACCAACACUCCCCCUCAAGUUGGUGCAUAAAUGUCACUAAUGCCCAACUUGUCAAGUGAGCUGUAGAAGGCUCUGGUUGAGAUUGCCUUCAUCAAUAUAUCUGCUAGCUGAUCUUCAGACCUCACAAACGGGAAUUGAACUAUCUUUGCAUCCAAAUUCUACUUAAUAAAAUGACGAUCAACCUCAAUGUGUUUGGUUCAAUCAUGCUGCACAAGAUUAUGUGAUAUGUCAAUAGCUGCCUUGUUAUCACAAAAGAGCUUCAUCUCGAAUCUAUGAGGAAAUCCCAAUUCAGACAUCAGCUUUUUAAGCCACAAAAGCUCACAUAGCCCUUUGGCCAUCCCUCUAAACUCUGCCUUUGCACUCGACAAAGCCACCACUUUCUGUUUCUUACUUCUCCAAGUGACCAGAUUCCCCCCCCACAAAUGUAAAAUACCCUGAAGUUGACCUCCUGUCGUACACACUCCCCGCCCAGUCUGCAUCUGUGUAACCUUCAAUUCCAAGAUGACCAUUCCUCAGGAAUUUUAACCCUCUCCCUGGAGAUGCUUUCAAAUACCAAAUUAUUCUCACCACAGCAUUCAUAUGGUCUUCACUAGGAGCAUGCAUGAAUUGACUUACGAUACUUACCGCAUAUGCAAUGUCUAGACGCGUAUGCGAUAAGUAGAUUAACUUCCCCACUAACCUUUGGUAUCUCUCCUUGUUUGUUGGUACUUGAUUGGGAUACUCUCCAAGUUUAUGAUUCUCCACGAUUGGGGUAUCCGCUGGCUUACAAUCUAGCAUCCCUACUUCUGCCAACAAAUCUAGUACAUAUUUGCUUUGAGAUAGGAAUAUUCCCCCUUUUGAUCUUGAUACCUCUAUUCCCAAAAAAUACCUUAGUUCUCCUAGGUUUUUAAUCUCGAACUCUUCAGAAAGCCUCCUUUGGAGUGAGGUGAUUUCUUUCACGUCAUCCCCUGUAAUGAUUAUAUUGUCAACAUGGAUAAUCAAUGCAGUUAUCUUCCCUUCUUGUCGUUGAAGAAACAAGGAAUUAUCCGACUCACUCUUUUUGUACCCACACUUCUUUGUUGCCAUACUAAACCGACCAAACCAAGCCCUUGGUGAUUGCUUCAAACCAUACAAGGACCUUUUCAAUUUGCAGACCACAAUUGGAUGUGAGGAAGACUUGUAUCCUAGUGGUAUAUCCAUAUAAAUCUCCUCCUCCAAGUCACCAUGGAGGAAUGCGUUCUUCACAUCAAACUGAUGUAGUGGCCAGUCUAAAUUAAUUGCAAGAGACACCAAAACUCGAAUAGUAUUAAGUUUUGCAACAGGAGAGAAAAUCUCUUGGUAGUCAAUUCCAUACGUCUGCGUGUACCCUUUGCUACCAAUCUUGCCUUGUAUCUUUCAAUGGACCCAUCCGCCUUAUAUUUGAUAGAAAACACCCAUUUGCAUCCCAUUGUUUUCUUUCCCUCAGGUAAGUCCAUCAAUUCCCAUGUUCUAUUUUUUUGCAAUGCCUUUAUCUCUUCUUCCAUAGCCUGAACCCACUGUGGAUCCUCCAAAGCUUCUUGUACUCCAUUCGGAAUUUGAACCGAAGAUACAACCAACACGAACUACUUCAAUGGUUUCGGGCGCGCAUGACAACCAUUCUGUUCCAGAAAUAGUUUCUGAAACCGAAAUAGAUUUUUCUAUUUCUAUUUCUGGAUGAGUUUCUGAGCAAAAAAAUCUGUUUGAUAUCGAUACAAAUUUUUUAUUUUAGAAAUAGAAAUUGGUUUGAUAACAGUAUAAAAUUUCUAUUUCUUAAAACAAUUUUUUUCUUUUUUUGGAGCAAAUGAGAUGUCAAUUCUUACAAAUUUCAUAUGCUUAUGAACCCAUUGACCCAAAUACAAAGUAAGAGUUUUUUUUUGGUAAAGUCUCCCUUUUUUGAAAAAAAAAAUACAAAGUAAGAGGUGUUAUAUCAAAUUUUCUAAAUUUUCACACAAAAUUCUUUAGCAUCCACCUAGAUAGGCAAUUACGGUCAAACAAUAUACUUAUCAAUAGUCUCCAUACAAUAGAAAAAGGAGAUACAUAUGCAUUACUCUUGAGCAUGAUAGAAGGUUCCCAAAACUCUAGUAGAAUGACGGUAGGCAACCAUAUUCUAAUCCACUUCAUGCUAGUGUGUCACGUCGAUCGUCGCCACGGUUUACGAUAUCGAGCAAUCAUUUUAGAAAGAAACACAAAGAAGUGUAUUGGGCAAUUUGCGGCAAAUUUUACAAAAUCGGCGAAUUUGGCGAAGUGUAAUAGAGCUUGUCAUAAAGAACCAUUACAAAUAAGGGAAAUCCUCAAGUCGAACAUCACAUUACAAGAAUUGAGAUAGGAAUCAUCAAAUACAAUAUCACAUUACAAAAGCAAAGAUUGGAAAUCCUCAAAUACAAAAUAAUAGAAAUAGAUUACAAAAGUUGAAAACACGAUUUCAUGGAAUGUCCGGCAUAUUAUGAUCCCUUACCAUCUUAUUGGCAAUACUUUUUCUAAGCAUAUUCAUCUCAGUUUUCUCCUCGGUCGAUGUAUCGCCUAUAACCUCAUCUUGUGUAGGUUCAAAUGAGUACUCUAGAUCUCCAUAUAAGGAAAAGUUUCUAUCCCUCCUAUCUUGCUCAUGGAUAUAAUUAGGGAUAACACAACAUGCAAUUACAACAUGUGCUUGCUUUCAAAUUGCAAAUGCAGGCAUGUGUUUCAAAAUAAAGAAGCGAUUCUUUAAUGCUGCAAAUGAUCUCUCAAUGACAUUCCUUAGUAAAGAAUGCCUAUAGUUGAACAACUCUCUUACUGUUCUUGGUCAUCUUGCUCUACUCUUAUAAUCAUUUAGAUGAUACCAUUCACGUCUAAAAGGAGUUAAGAAUCCUAGAAUUGAUGCAUAACCAGAAUCUACAACAUAGUAUUUGCCUAUAACAAAGUACUCAUAUAUUAGUAUUGAUUUGUAAAUACAAUACAAUCUUAUAGAAAAUUGAUAAUUCUAGAACAAGUAAAUACCUAGUGGUGGUCGAGUAAAUUCCAAGCGAGGAGUCUCAUGUGUUGCUGAUAGCACCCGACAAUUGUUGGCAGAUCCUUCCCAAUCAGCAUACACAAAAGUGAAUUUCAUAUCAAACGAACAUACACAUAUCACAUUUUGAGUGGUAAUUCAUUUUCUGCCUCUAAAUGCAAUUUGCUUCGACAUAGGUAUAGAAGCAUGAACAUGAGUACCAUCAAUAGCGCCCACACAAUCCUGUCAUUUUAUCAAAGACUAGUGUUAUAUAAGAUUAGCAACAAAAUGAAACCGAUAUUGUAAAUGAAUGUAUGAAAAUCUUACCUUGAAGUAAAGUUUAUGGUUGGGAUUCAUAAGAAUCUCAUUUGGGACCACAUCAAAGGAAGGUGGUACGAUAAUCUCUUUUGCAAGUUUGAGAACUGCUUUCAACACUAUAAUAAAGUAUUUGCUAAUAGUUUGUCCCAAACGUUAGAAUCUCUUGCAUAAAGUUCUAUUCGAGUUCUUAUGACAAAUCAUAAAUAAGAAUAUCUCAAUUUGUUCAUCUACCUUUAUAAAUCGACUAUCUUCCAGCCAACCUCUUGCCUUCAUCAAAUCAUAAAAGUUGAGAAAGACGUAUCUCUCCAUUCUAAAAGAUUCAUAUAUUCUAUCUGAAUGUCCUUGAAGAACCUCCCUCAUCCAUUCAGGUCCUGAGAAUAUGCUAUCCCUAAUAGGUUCUCUUGAGUGCAUAGACAUAUCCACCACAAUCAUGCUCAACCAUGCUAUCAUAAUAUCAUUAUCAAAAUCAUCAAAGUUUAGUUCAACCGAUUCACCUAUUGCUACUUGAUCACUAUACAUGCUACUUUCAUCCCCCUCCAUAUUACCUAUGCCAUCACAUGAAAAAAGAAGAUAAACACAAUAUAUAAGUAAGGAAUCUAAUAAUAAUCAACAAUAGCCACAAAGUUUUCAUAAAUGCAUCAUAAAAAGACCAAAGUAUCUCAAAUACAUAAGUCAUAGAGUGAAAUUAAAUAAAAUAUAUAAAUCCAUAGCAUACUGCUCAACAUCUAUUUAAAGAGGUUCAAGAAAUCCACGUCUCCUUUCAGGUAGCAUUGUGAUGAAAGCCUCUCUCCAAGUGGCAUUACGACAUGAUUGGUUCACAGCUUUGUUGUAAAUAUUAUGCUCUAAAUCAAGCAUGCCAUUUAGGACGCCAACCAUGGCUGCUGUGGAGUAGGAGUUUACAGUUGAUGGGGCAUCUGAGGUCACAGAGCCACUUGUUGAUUGAGCAGUCCUGAUUUUAAUCAUUUCUUGAAUGGCUUUACAUAUGUCACUAACAUCAUAUCUGUUGCUUUUCCUCCUCUUAGAAUUUGGAGUCCUAUUCUGAUUGUGUUUCUUACGAUUUGAGGUAGUAGUCAUAUCAGGUAUGAAGACUUCCUCAUUAAUAUGUUGUUCAUCAAAUUCCUCUAGAUCACCUACUACAUAACCACUACCACUACCACCAUCGUCAUCACCAAUGUCGUCUCUCUCCGAGGACACUACCACUUCUUCUGCAUUUCCUACUGCAUACUUCCUAGUAUCAUAUGUAUCACCAAACACGAUACACAAAUCAGGAUACUGAGGAAACCCAUCAUUUCUGAAUUUAGCCCAUUCGCUAUUAUUCUAGAAUUUAUACAAUAAUGAUAGAUGUCAACAACAUAAUCAAAGCUUGCAAUACAAUAUGAAGAAAAUGACCCUAAUAAAUUGAUACCUUGAUGUGAGACUCCCACACACUUUGAUCCUCCACAGCAACCUUAUUGUUUAUAUUAUCCUAUCCAAAUCCAGAUUGUGACAAAGUUUCUUGAAGCUACUAUACUAUUUCUUUAGUUUGUUGACCCUGUUCUUCAACUGAACUAUACUAAAGUGGAGUCCCGUCCGUUUAUUGAAUUCGGCAUGUAUGUUAUUCCAUCCUGUUUUGUUUUAGGUAGAAGUGGUGCGAUUUCCCUUUGUUACCUCUAUUACCAACAAACUUACAAACUCAUUGAUCAAAGGCUCAGUCCACUUUGCCAUACAAACCUCUUUUUGGGAAGCCAUUUAACCUUAACUAGUUAAGCAUCAAAUGAGCCAUAUCAAUUGGUGUACCAGUUCAAGCGCAUAGAAUUUGAUGUCGAUAUCACAUCAAUACAAUGUUCUAUGACUAUCAAUAAAACAAAAUGCACAAAGAAAGUUAAAAGAGAAUCAUCCGCAUAUAAAAUUUUACAAGCAACCAUAUAUUGCAAGCAAAAGGAACAUUCCCACCAAUCAAUGCCCCAUCUAUUUGCUCAUAAUAACCAGUAGUGAACAUUUCCACUAAAAAUUAAUUCAUUCACCUAUAUCAUCGGCAUUCUAAAGAGCCAGACUUGAAAUAUGGAGAUGUCAAAUAAUCCAUCACACAAAUAUAACAAAACACAACAGCCACACAAAAAUUUUGUUUAAAAACUCGUACACAGAAGUUUCAAAUAUAUGUUCCUACACUCAUAUAAAACUGCAGCAUUUAAUCUAGUAGGGCCCUUAGAAUUUACAAAUGAGGGAGAGAUGAGGGAGAGGUAGAGCUAACUAGUGGAGGAGACAUAGUAGAGUAGAAGCGGCGUUGCUGAAGUCGUGAGGCGAUGGCAGCUUCUGGUGAGACGGAGCAAAGCAGGAGCGGCUUAGGUGUUGGUGCUCAGGAUCUACUGCAGAGGGCUUUUGGCAUCAGUGCGGUGGAGCAGGGACCGAGUUGCAAAUGCUAGGCGGUCUAGCAUCCUAAGGGAACGAGCGGUGGGGGUGCAGGCGCGAGAUCUGUUGCUGAGGGGUGCUCGGACGACAAGCAGGGACAGUGGGUCAUGGUGAGGGGGCAGAUUUGCGAGCAGACGUCGAUGAGAUGAGGAGAUGUAGAGAGCAUCAAGUGGAGGAGACGAUCUGAGUGUCCAGUGGAGGAGGAGACAAUGUCUCGAGGAGAUUAGGAGAGGCGGAGGAGGAGGAGGAGGAGGCAGAGGCGGAUGAGGAGGAGACGUCGUAGAGGAGACAAGGGAGUCAUCGAAAUUAGGGUUUAGAGAGUUUUGGGGGAGAAAUUAUUUUUGAUUUAUGUUCAAGAAAUAGAGAAGUGGAAAAUUUCUACUUCUGAUUUAUGUUCCAAACUUAUUUUUGGAACAUAAAUCUAUUUCAGAAAUAGAAAAAUGGAAUAGGUUUAUCAAAUGGAUUUCUAUUCCAUAAACAGGUAUAGAAUAGAAAAAUUGUUUAUGGAACAGAAAUAAGCAGUUGUUAUGCAACCUUUAGAUAACCUUCCUGUUGAGACAUAAUUUGCGAUGGAAUAUUUCGAUCUCCUUUCUCCAGCAUCUAGUGAGUAUCGAUUUGGGGGCUUUCCCUAAUUAUGCUUAACAGGUAAUUUAUAUUCCACUGAUAUAUUAGAUUCAUCAAACAAACCAGAAGUAGUAGAGGAGAUUACCUCAGGAAAAUCCUCACGAACUUGGUUAGGUACUGGAGAGGAAGGGGGCUAUUCAACUUGUUCACGUGUGGGUAUUUCUCCCUUUGUUGGAUCCUGCGAGGCUUCUAUAGCUACACCUGUCGUAAAUUCACCAGCACUAGCACCAUCUAUCACCUGCUCAACAAUUCCACCAUUAACACCAGUCAUGCCAGCACCACCCACGGUUGCUCCAACAUCAGUUAGAGCCUGCCUAGCCCCAUUAUCACCAGUGUUGGAGCUAUCAUCGACACUACCACCACCCCCAACAACCGCGUCUCUUCCCUCGAGUAUAACCCCAGCAAUAAUCUCCCACAAAUUCUCCCUUUCUAGCCAAUUCUCCCCCUGAAAGGUAGAAUUGGUACUUGGGUAAGAACUCUCCUUCGACAUAUGUGACAUCCAUAGUCACAUAAGGUUUUUUAGUAGAUAGGUUGUAGCCUCGAUAGCCCUUUUGAUGAGUACCAUACCCUAAGAACACACACCGUAAAGCACAUGGAUCAAGUUUGGUACGUUGGUUCUUCAAAAUGUGAACAAACGCAACACAUCCAAACACACGAGGAGGAAUUGUCAAGACUAAUGGCAAUGGGUAAAUGCAGAGAGUGCUUGUAGAGGCAUACAGAAAUCUAGCACUUUCAAGGGCGUUCGGUUGAGAAGAUGCACCGUUGUGGCAAUAGCAUUAUCCCAAAAAUGGGAAGGAACAUGUCCAUCAAUUAAGAGGGUUCGAGCGAUCUCGAGAAUAUGACGAUUCUUCCUUUCGGCCACUCCAUUCUGUUGUGGAGUUUGUGUACACGAGGUCUCAUGAAUGAGACCAUGUUGCUGAAAGUACUCCUUGAGAUGUCGAUUCACAUACUCUCUACCAUUAUCACUUCGAUGAACUUGUAGCUUAGUGACACGGCCCACGGACAAGCAUGAUCCAAGAUCGUUCGUAAGGGACCGUGUCACGCACAACGGGCUGCCCGGAAGCAGCCCACGAACGACCCAUGAGCAGAACGAGCGAAAGGCCCAUGCACGGCCCUUGGGCGACCCCUGAGCGAUGCUCGAGUAGCCCGUGACGAUUCAGCUGGUCGCGUGUCAGACCGACCUGCAACCCUGAUCUUGCUUCUGACGCACGCCCAUGAUCUGCCCAAGGCCUGACGCGCGCGACCCAUGGACUUCCCAAGGGCCUGCCGGGUGCAGACCAUCGAGUAGCCUUCGAGUAGUCUGUUGUAUAGCUUGUAAUGAUUAUACGGAUUCAAAAUGGACCGUUGGAUCGGAGGGACGAUCCACGGCCGAGAUACGACCCACUCUUGUAUAAAUAGGGAUCCCUCUCCCACAAUGUAAUCAGUUCGUUCACAAGCAAAUACACUCUCUUUGCCCAUUCGGUUCUUGUGUUCGAACGAAGUGUGUGUGUAAGGCUGACUUGGGAUCACCGAUCCUAAGGCCACGCGGUGUUUGAUCGACCGAAAUUGAUCGACCCGUGACAUUAGCAUCAAACUGUGUUUGAACCAUCUUGUGAAAUACUUUAAACACAUUAACCACUUCAUCCUUAGUUUUCAUCAAGUAAAGCCAAGUCAUACACGUGCAAUCAUCAACGAAUAUAACAAACCAUCGACAACCCGAGAUAACAGUAAUAGGAGAAGCACUCCACACAUUAGAGUGAACUAACAAAAAAGGCACGUUAUUCUUACUCAAACUUAUGGGAAAGGAAACACGGUGGCUCUUAGCCAAAAUGCAAGUCUGACAACGGAAAUCCAACUCUUUUAGAUCCAAAAAUUAUUGAAGAAAUAGCUUUUUCAUAUAGCCAAAUGAAGGAUGUCCCAAUCGUUGAUGCCAAAGCCAAAUCUGUUUUUCUUUAUUGCUAGGUGAACCCCAGACUUGAUGCACACUUCCAAACUUGAGAUCAUCCAAGUAAUACAGCCCCCCUCCCCCCCCCCCCCCCGAUUUAGUACCCCAUCCAAUGAUCUCCUUCAUGAGGAUAUCCUGGAAAAAAAAAAAUUGAGGAUACAUUAAAACAAUACAAUUCAAAUCUUUAGUGAGCUGUCCAACAUAAAUUAAUUUCCUGGUAAAUGAAAGGAAAAGUAAGGUGUUAGGGAAUGACAAUUGAGGGGAAACCGCAACCACACCAGCCCCUGUCACUGGGUAUGUAUUCCCAUUUGUAUUUGAGAUACUGCAUCAUCUUGGUUCUGUAAUGCUCACAAAAUCAUCUGGGCUAAAGGUCAUAUGCUCCAUAGCCCCCGAAUUGAUAACCCAUCCAUCACAACUACUGUGAUUAGGGAGAACCAGCGCACAACCACAAUUACCUUGGAUAUUACCUGAAUUGGACGUAGCCGGUUGGUCUUGAAUUUCAACUUUGGGCACCAAAGACAGCUGAGGUUCCAUCUUAGCAAAAAACACUUUCCCUUUUCCACUAUUAGUACCCCCGUCAGCUUGUUUUCGUGCCUUCAAUUCCUUGCACCACUCUAGAUAGCCAUGGAGCUUAAAGCAUGUCUCUCGAGUAUGCUUGGCAUUCCCACAGUGUGAGCAUCCUCCAGAUGAAAUUGAAGUUCGUGAACCGUUAUUCGUCCACCCACCCCCUUGCGUAGCUCCUGAUUUAUUCAUUUGCAGAGUUGGCAUUACCGGUGAUUCUCGGACACCUGUCUUGCUUCCCUGUGCCACCAUGGCAGCAUACCCAAACGUGGAAUCAGUAUGGGUGAGCAUAACUGACUAUCUCGUAUCCUCCCUACGAACAUGUGCAUAUGCUUGCUCGACAGUUGGGAAUGGUUGCAUUUGCAGAACAUCCGCUCUCACUUUGUCUAGACAAUCGUCCAACCCAUCAAGGAAGACAUACACCCAGUGUUUCUGAAUGGCAAGACUGUACCGCUCAAUAUCAGCUAGGCAUGUCAUUGGGUUUGGACGACGGAAGUCGAUCUCCCUCCACAAAUCCUGAAGAUUAUUGUAAUAAGCCUCAAUUGUCUCUCCACCUUGUCUCAUCUGAGUCACCUGCCUCUUCAAGUCAUAAACUUGGGAGGCAUCACUUCCAUCAAAGAAGGUUGUUGCAAUAGAGUCCCAUACCAUCUUCGCAUUUGGGAAGCGAAUAAAAAUUCCUAUUAAUGCAGGAUCCAUCGAGUUGAUUAGCCACCCCUUCACAAUCGCAUCCUCAGUCUUCCACUUUCGAAAUUGAGGAUUGGUAGGUGAGGGCUAAGGGAGAUCACCAUUAAUAUAACCCAACUUGUCUUUAUCGGAGAUGAACAUCUGUGGCAUCUGGAUUUUUGCAAGACCUCGAAUAGGUGAUGUUCCGUGGUAGAUCAACAAAAGUAUUGUCGGACUAUGUCACUGGUACCAUCUAUGGACACCAUUUAGUUAUCAUUAUCAAACCAAGACGUUACGUUUAGAAAUGGUCCGAUCGUCGAAUAAAUUAUAGUCUUGUCGAAAAUCUUUCUUACGUUCUAACGAGACCAAGGUUUAUUCCAAAGGAUGUGUCGACAAGUUACCUAUCAUUUGAACUUUAGCCGUUUCCCAUUGAGUAUGUACCCUAGGCGAAGGAGCCGAGAGACUCCAUUUCACGCCCAUGCAGCCACGUCCAUCUACUCUAUUCCAUUAGGACAUGAAAACAAUUAAUUCCAUGGAUAUGCAUGAGGACCAUGCACGUCUUUCCAUUGUGCGGGUCAACAAACAAAUAGGAAAUUGACCCAUGCAGCCAUGCUGCUCGAAGACCCUUGUUUCCCCGGCCAUGUACACGUGUUGGGAUGGUCAACCGAAGGAGGAGAUUUGUUGACCAAGAGGCACCCAACCGCAGCCACGUCGCCCACCUACACGGCUGCCGCUGAAGCCCGAUGGUGCAAAUUGAGUGCACGUCCUCCCCCAGCCAUCGAUGCCUUUUGCCGCCACUUCCUUAGUUGACUAGGAAAGUCAACAAGUGAAGCCACCAUAGACGCGUGGAAAUGAUGCAGCCAGCGAAGCCGUGGAGCUCAACCGAGCGGAAGCCACGCCCUUCGCAUCUGUCUUCUUCUCGUACAGCCACCGCAACUCUCAUAGAUGGACUAAUUAGUCAAUUAAGUGAGGAAACAAAACGCUCGUAAGUGUGAGCAAGAGAGAGAGAGUCCGAGCGAGAGAGAGAGAUUCGCGAGAGAGUGAACGGCGAGAGGAAAGGAAGGAAGUCGCCCCUCCGCCGUGCGUGUGCGCUGCCGCCAUCGAUGCCGCUCGCAUUUGCCGUCGCCGAGCCGUGUCCGUGACCCAAGUUUCCUGUUUUUACUUGCCGUCGGUGCUUAGGACCUGAGGCAAGUGAAAGUCUACUAACCUAUAUAAUGCAAGGCUAUUAUUGUCUGAGGUAGUGCAAAUAGACUUGAGGAUGUCUGAAUUUGGAUGCUGAAUGCUGGAUUUUUGAGUGAUUGCAGUAGAUUGGGACUAAAGAAUUGAGGAAAUGCUUUGGAUAGCUUUAUGCAUUCUGAUUUUGUUGAACUAUGAUUGGAAGAACAAUCUGUGGUGAAAUUUUUGGAUGUGAGAUAGUCGCGGCAUAGGCAAGGAAUCCUGCUGAAUCCGCACUGUCCAAAUAAGUCAUGUAUAAUCCCAGCAAUUUUGUAGAUUUUAUAGGGACAACUCUAGUGCGAUUUUGGUCCUGAUUCCUUCAUGGAAGUUGUGGGGAAUGGUUUAAACUAGAACAUAUCUUUUUGGUCAGAUUUUUCGGAAUCAAUAUAGUGGUAUAAACUUCUUUUAAUGUGCAAUGCUUUCUGCCGAAAUGUAAAUUCUGUUGAUAAAAGAAAACUGAAACCAAGUUGUGUGAUUUAUUACUCUUUAUACAUGAAUAAUUUGGCCUAGUGUUCUUCAUAAAAUUCUUUCCUUCAGAUCUUAUUUAUAACAUAUCAAAAAUUUAGAAUUUUCUGAGUUUGUUUAUGGGCUAUUCCAAAAUUUUUACUAAAACUGUGCAGUCUGGUUUUUGAGUUGUCUUUAUUCCGAAUUUGCUCAAUUUAUCCCAAAGGUGAAUGCAUCUUGAGUUGUUAUUUGACAUGAUGGUUUUUGGCAUUUGGCAUAUCAUUCAACACUGAAGAUUUCAAUGAAAACUCAUGGGACAUCCGAUGUGAAUGCAUUGAAAAUGUUUUUGAUAUUGAAAUAAUCUGAGAUGUUGAUGAUGCCAUCGCACCUUCGAGUUGACGAUGCCCCGGGAGUCGGGAAGCCCAAAGGAUCGAAUGAGUCGAUGCCUUGUGGAUGCCUAGGGUCUGCAGUACCCCAGAGGUUUUCCCUAGGAGUGUCAGGAUGCCUGGUUGUAUGUUAGUACGUAAUUCCAGAGGGUAAGGGUAACCAUUUUCAUGGCGAGCCUCGGAGAUUCCUCGUGAUGCCAGGUGGGAUGCGAGAUGCCCGAAGGUGUAACGUAACAUGCUCUAGAUGCCCGGUGGCCCAGUGGCAUAAUGCCGGAGGACUUUGCGAUGCCAGGUUGGGUGUGAAUGCUCGGAGGGACGCAAACAUUGGUCCUCCGGGAGGUGAAACCUUUUUAAUAUUAAAAUUAAUGGCUCUACUAAGUGUGUGUGGUCUGGUUAUAGAAUUAAAUUGUAUGGCAUGGAAUGGGAUGUGUCAUAACAGUUCGAUUUUAUAAUCGAGACCCAUGUGAGUGAAAAUGGUGCAUCUUGGUUUCGAAACUACACUUAUCAUUGCAUUAAAGAGCUUUAUGGAUUUGAUGUAUACUCAUUCCUUUGGUUAUAUGUUUUGUUUAUCUUGCAUGAAAUUAGAUUGUGAUGGUUAUGCACGAUAUAGUUUAGUGGAUCUUUUGCUGCUGGGUGGUUGUACUCACCCCUUUUGGGAAUUAACAAUUCAGACUAGAUAAGAUGCCUCUACUGCCUGCACCUCCCGGUACAUUCUAUGGAGUCCCGAUCGACUUACAAUGGGUGUGGUCGGAGUAUCAGGACCCUGAGGUGCGAGGACUGACGUUUGUACGAGUGAGAGUCAUUAUGGUGUUCGAUACCGAUCUUCCCACCGGCCCUGUACUUCAGGAGUACAUCACCAUAUUUGUCCGUCGGCAUGGACGAAUGCUGGGGCCACUACCACCACCACCAACAAAUGGACCAAGGGGCUAGCUGUGACCGUGAGAUGGGGUCAGCAGAGGAAGAAAUUUUUGGACGCCGACACUAAACAAUGGACUUUAUGCUUGUACCUGUGGAAAUGUUGGGUAUCUUUUGAUGUAUGGCCUAGUUCAAAAAACUACGGCAUUUUGAUAUACCGACUAAUGAUUGGCCAUCUAGUUUUAUGUAAAUAAAAGUGUUCGGCUUUUACCUAUAAAAAUGUUUAGUUGGUGUGCAUCAUUUUUUUAAUAUAAGAAAGGGAGUUGUUGGAUACGCUUCCACCAUGUUUUGCACAGGGACCGAUGGAAAAGAUAUAAACCCCCAAGACUCAAGGACCUAUCAAAGAUUCUAUGGUAUUAGAGUAAUAUACCUUCAAGGUAGAUGAAAGGUAUCUGUGGUGACCAUAACGGAUCAAGGGCCGUUCAGGGGGUGCUACAGCGGGUGGUAUCAGAGCAUGGUUUUAUUUGGAGUGAUAAGGUGCCUUAAAUGGAAAUGAGGAUAGAAUGAUGCACAACAUGGGAUACUAACCAAAGGUAGUCGACUAACUAUGAACAACGAGUGAUUGAUUUUCACUUGUAGACUACUGGUAACGAUUGUGAGUUACCUUUGUGUGCAAUAAUGUUACUUGUGUGACUUUAGUAACCCAUUUUUAUUUUAUUAUUUAACCAGUGACAUUGAGUCACUAAUCAUUCCUGAGGCAAAUGCUUGGAAAACUACAGGAAAUCAUGGUGUGAACUAGGAGUUCUCAUCCAUCGAGGGCUGAAGCCUCUGCUUCAAGGGUUGAACCCCGGAUGGAAGAUAUCCUGUGGGCAUUGGCCAAUAUAGGAAAUUUGAUGGAAAGGCAAGCUCAGCAACAACCCGGAGCAGAAUGCUGCACUCAAGGACUGGUGGAACAAUUCCUGAAGUUGAAACCACCUAAGUUUAGUGGAAUGGAAAGUCCUAAGGAGGCGGAACAUUGGAUUGAUGGAAUAUAACAUAUUUUCCAGUUGUUGAACUGUAGUGAUGCUGAAAAGAUAACCUUGGUAGAGUACCACUUGAGACCACAAUCCAUAAUUUGAUCCAUCCAAUUUGACUGAGAUUUGUGCAGUGGAUGGCUCCUGGGAUUGUGUUGAUACUUGUGUCGAACUCUAAGUCAAAAUUGGUGUUAGCUUCAUCGUAAGAUUCUCUAGAAGAGAAGCAGUUGUUGAGUUCUCCCCUUGGUCUUGAUGAGGUACCUCAUCAGUUGGCUUUGUCAUGGUUGCCAAUCACAAUUCCUUCGCAAAGGAAUUUUUGGUCAGGUUAGAUUAGUGCAACAACAGCACAAGUCAAAGCUGCAGUAGCGAUUUGAUUUGGUCGAAAAAGUGGAGAAAACUAAGGUUCCUGCUCUGAUACCAUGUUGAAAAAUAGAUCACUAUCAUUCUCAGUAUAUCUUUUUUCUUUACAAGGCUAUACAUAAAUAUAUACACAUACAAGUACUGCUAGGGUAACAAUCGCCUAUUAGGUAAACUAUUCGUUUUCUAUAUGCAUUACCCCGACAAAUCAACUCACGCAAAUAUAAAUAUUUUCUUCCUAUACAUAUAACUCCUACAAAUCAGCUCAUGCCAACAAUCUCACUAUGGCCUUAGACAUUUUCUUUAAUGCCUCAAUUUUCGCCGAUCACAAUCGUCAUUAUAAUUAUCUCCACUAAAUCACAGUCACUGUAUCGGACUCUUCAAGUUCAACCAAUAGAUAGACAUAUGGCAUGUGAGAUGAAAAAUGGGAACAAAAAAAAAAUGAACUAUGGGAUGAGAAAAUCAAGUAGCCUACAGUAAAAAUUACUUUGUCAUGCGAAAUAAACGAUUAAAAGAGUAAUCAGAAAAACAAAUUAUACAUAUAGUCAACCACGUACUAAAUCGACUGCAACCAAAAAUCAACAAGACAUAACAGGGUACUCCCCAAACCAAGUCCAAAAAAAUGAACUAUAGGGGACUGUUGAUCACUUGAGGCCUAAUGGUACAAGCUGAUAUUCUUCACAUGUGAGGUGGUGAGGAUAACCCACUAACGAUGACAAUGCCACCAACUCGAAACACCUGUUUUAAAUCCUAUUUUUUGCAUCUUUACAAUAGCUGCUGUUGUUGGAAGUAAGAAACUUCUUCAUUUGACUUGGAAUAUGGACCUUGACAAUUGACAUGAUGAUACAGAUUAAUCUUUUGGAGCAGGUCUACAGAAAGGUAGUUUAGAGCAUAUCACUGUAGCUACCAAAAAUAAAUAGCCUUUUCUUUUGUCAAGUUGCAAAAGAUGAACCUAAGCACAUCAUUUGCCUACCCCUACAGUGUUUGCAUUUGAUCCUCCUGAGAGAUUCUGCCAAAUCAAGAUGACAGUGAGGAUAUUCUACAAAACAAGCACAAUUGAGAGUUUCAGGUCACUGAGCUAGGGCAUAAAAAAAAAAUUGGAAGAGAAAACAUAACAAAUGCUGAAAUUGCAGAAAAAUAUCAAUAUAAGAGCAACAAUUCCUCACGGUUCUCAUGCAAAGCAGGGUACAAUUCCAUAGGUGGAAAGAUAAGCAAUAGUUAAGCAUCAAACAAAGUUCAUGACAUCUCAUCAAUCCAGACAGGCACAUCCGCACAUCACAAUUCCGGCACUGUGAGCAAGUCCAUGUAAGUAUAAUUUGUUUUGAGGAAUAGUGACUCAUAUGAAACAAUGGUGAACUAGCUGUACCCCAUUAGCAUUAUAACCAUUUCAUUGUGUGCUCCAUUAUCAAACAAAACAUAGCAACCCAAAUGUCUAGCUGGUUUGUGGCAAAUAAUGAGAAGCUUGUCCAUGGAACAUGAACUUUUUAGCAUCAUGUUGAGGAUUUGUAAUAGAAAUGGAUCCUGGAGCAGCAGCAGUAGCUAAAUGACUGAGUGUGGAAGAAAAAAGUAUGAACCAUUGCCUGAAGAAUUAAAAUUAGACAUUGGAGAGAAAUCUUCUUAUGCAAGUACCGGUAACCUAUAAAGGAUAGCCGUUUCAGAGAGGAGAGAAGGUUGCGAAGACCACUUAAGUUUUCCACAUUCCUCACCUUUCUCAUCCAAAGAGAAAUUAGAGAUGAAGGAAAUAGAAUAUUCCACGCUUCUUAUCCUCCACCGUUGAUGGUCUUUCCACAGUCCUCAUAUUUCUCAUCCAAAAGUUAGAAACAGGAUGAGCAAUUACUCCCGAAUAAAAGUUAUCUUUCAUGCAUAAUGAACAAGUACAAGAGUGAUUAGAACAAAAUUAUACGCACACCUAAUUGACUGCAACAAAAAAUGAACCAGGAUACCAUGUUGAUGAUUUGCUGUAAAACUCUUAUGAUGAUGUUAACUGACAAGUAUGGGAGACCACUAAUUACUGGUGAUGCUGACAUAUUGGUAUUGGCUGAUAUUCUACAAAUGUGAGUCAAGAGAUCAAAUGACUUGAUAUGGGCUGAUAAUGCUUAAGAAUGAUUGGCUACACCUGUUGGUAUAUCUGGAAUGCUUAAUAUGCAGUAAUCUUUAACAACAAAUCACCUGAUCCUGAAAAUGUCAUUUAUACAGAUUAGAAAAAACUCUUUAAGACUGUGUAUCCUGUAAAAAUGUAAGAGAGCUGGGUCAUAAUUGGGUGGAUGAAAGGCAGGGUGUGUAGAGUAAACCUAAGCUAGGUUUUGCGAAGAUUAACUGUUAUGGGUCUUACAUUGAAGGAACUAGACAUGCUGUUGUCAAGAUUAUGGCCCAAAAGGAAAGGUCGGAGAUGAUUGCCUGCACGGGUGUGGUGGUGCCUAGAUUUGCAAAGGAGGCUAAAUUACUUGCUGUUCAAAGAGCAUUGCAGUAGCUAAAGAAAAUGCUAAACCAAGGUAUUAGUGGAGCUGAAUGCAGCCGUGGUAUACAAGGAUAUCAUCAAUUUUUUCAAGCAGCGCAAUUAACGACUAAAGGAUGCUCCUACUGGGAUUCAAGAAGCUAAAGAUCAUUUUAUGGCUCCAAAUUUUAGUUGUAUUUCACAAAAAGCAAAUGCUUGUGCCCGUUAGGUAGUUUUGCCAAAAUUGGGGUCUACAUUCGCAUCACCCAUCCUUCUUAUCACAUAUGCUUAUUUCAACCGUGAAUUGCUGGCCUAAAAAGAAAAAUCCCCAUCGAGGACACACACAACACACUCGAAUGUCAGUCUCUGACCUUUGGUGGCUGGUUUAUGGAAAUUCUUUGAAAAACACAUCCCUGGAAAGAAAUCAGUCCCUAUUAAGCAUUGAACUGAAGAACAUAAUAGAAAUUGAUGCCUUCAAACCCAAAAAUUGACCCCAACCCAGAGAGCUGACUUUAGGUGGAACAACGAAUUGUAGUAGAUGGCAAAUGGAAGCGAAAGAAUGAAAGAAGUCAUAACAAUUACCUGAAGAAGGAAAAGUAGUCAGUGGAGAUAAAUCUUUUGUCAUGGCUCAGGUGUGAUCAAUUUCAAUUCAUUGGAUCCAAACACCACCAAUGUAGAUGAGAGGGAUCUCUUGGAUGAGGGGCCAAUAGUCGCUAGUCAGUUUUGAGCAUUGAUCUUUCAGAAUCUCGCAUAGAGAUAUCUCCAUAAUUCAGAUAAAUCAUAGUCUUCCUUAUUGCUCCUUCCUGCCUUUCCUUGACAACAAAGAAAAAGAAAAUGUGCUCUGAGAUAGUGUGGGAAUUUAAAUUGAAAGAUGAACCAUGAACUUUGACAAGGAAGUCAGAUUUGAAUGGCUUAUAAUUUGCACGUUCAUGCAAAUUUAAUUGUCACAUUUGCCAACUCGAAUACACCCGUUUUAAAUCCUCUUUUUUGCAUCCUUACAGAAGCUGUUGUUUUUGGAAGUAAGGAAGCUUCUUCGUUUGGCUAUGAAUAUAGACCUCAAUAAUUGACAUCGUGAUACAGAUUAAUCUUUGGGAGAAGGUCGCGAAAAAAAAAAAACAGUUUAGAGCAAGUAGUACGCCUACCAAUAAUAAAUAGCCUUUUGUUUUUCUUUUGUUAAGUUGCAAAAGAUGAACAUAAGCACAUCAGUUGCUUCCCUCGGCACUGUUUGCAUUGAUCCUCCUAGGAAAUUUUGCAAAUAAAGAUGACAAUGGGAUAUUAUGCAAAACAAUCACCAUUGAGAGAAGUCAGGUCAUUGAGCUAGUAUAUAAAAAAUUAAAAAAAAAAGAUAAUUGGAAUAGAAAACAUAACAAACGCUGAAGUUGUGGACAAAUAACAAUAUAAGAGCAACAAUUCUUCAUGAUUCUCACGUAAAGCAUAGUGCAUUUCCAUAAGUGGAAAGAUAAGCGUUUUUUGUCCAUCAAACAGUUCAAGAUAUAUCAUCAAUUCGGACAGGCACAUACACACAUCAUAAUUCCAGCACUGUAAACAAGUCCAUGUAAAUAUUUUUUGUUUUGAUGAAUAGUCACUUGUAUGAAGCAAUGGUUGGUUGACUUGCUGUACCACAUCAAAAUCAUAACCAUUUCAUUGCGUGCUUCCUUGUUAAACAACACAAAGCAACCCAAAUGUCAACAUUGGACCUUCAGCCAUUGGUUUAUGGAAAUUUAGGAGAAGCUUGUCCAUGGAAAAACAUGAACCUUUUAGCAUCGAAUUGAGGAUUUGAAAUAGAAAUGGAUCCUGGAGCAGCAGCAGUAGCUAAACCAUAAGUGUGAAAGAAAGAAAGAAGUCCAAAUCAUUACAUGAAGAGCAAAAAUUAGAAAUUGGAUAGAUAUCUUCUUAUUAGAUCUGAAUUUGAUGAACUACGAUGAGUGGGAUUUCUUGGAUGAGGUGCCGAUAGUCACCGCUGAGUUUUGAGCAUCAAUCUUUCAGAAAUUCACAGUGAAUUAUGCCGAAUACUUGGAGGAGGGAAUGAAGCCAUCCUCUGGCAAGUUCCAGAUGGCUUCAUUCUAGUAAACUAUAAAAUGUAGCUGUUCGAGAGUGAAGAGAUGGCUAUGAAGACCACUUGAUAAUCUUUCCAUGUUCCUCCUAGUUCUCAUUCAAAGAGAUGUAGAGAUCAAGGAAACAAAAUACUCCACGCUUGUUACAUCCUCCCUUAUUGAUAGCCUUUCCACAUUCCUCAUAUUUAUUAUCCAAAAAUCUGAGACAGGACAAAAUUAGAUACGUACCCAAUUGACAGCAACGAAAAAUGAACCUGGAUACCCUCUUGAUAACUUUUUUUCCCCUGAAAAAUUCUUGCGAUUAUGUUAAACUUACAAGUACGGGAGACCACCAAUCACGGGUGACGGUGACUAGUUGGCACGGGCUGAUAUUCUACAAAUGUGAGGUCAUGAAAUUGAAUGAUUGGUACUGCUGAUUACACCUAAGAAUGAUUGCCUAGACCUGUUGGUAUAUUUGGAAUGUGUUGCCAAUAAAAAUGUAAGCUGAGUCAUGAUAAGGUGGAUGAAAGGCAGGGUGUGUGGAGUAAACCUGAGCUAGGUUCCGUGAAUAUUAAUUGAGGUAGAAUCUUACAUAACAUGCCGUCGCUAGGAUUGAGACCAGAAAUGAAACGGGUGAGAUGGUCGCCUACAAAGGAUGCUGAAUUACUUACUAGUCAAUAGAGCAUUGCAGUGGCUAAAGAAAAAGACAGGCCCAAGGCAAUAGAUAAGAUGCAGCAGUGGCAUAUGAGGAUAUCAUCAACUUCCUCAAGCAGCGCAAUUGGAGACUAAAGGAAUCUCUUGCUGGGAUUCAGGCAACUAAAUAUCAUUCUUUCAGCCCUGAAUUUUAGUUGUAUUUCACGAUACAACGGUUUCUGGAAAUUCUAUGUGACACUUCUCCAUGGGAAAAAAUUAAUUCUUACAAAGCAUUGGAUUGAGAACAGAAGCGAAAUCGAUGCAUUCAAGACCAAAAAGCUUACUGGACCCUAGAAAACUGAUUGCACAUCGAAGGAUGAAUCGUGGUAGUUAGCAAAUGAAAGUGAAAGCAGAUUGAUUUCGCUUCACCAGAUUUGAAACCAAUCAAGGCGCAUGUCAGGGAUUUCUUGGAUUUUCCCAGAAAUUUAUGUGAGACAUCUACAUGAUCAGUUUGCAUCACACAUCGGAUUGAGGAAGCAGAAUGGGAAAUCGAUGCCUUUGAAACCAUAAACUUACCCGAACACUAGAAAACCUGACCAUACCAAGAUGAAUCAAUUCAUUGAAUCCGAACCCAAUCAAUCUCGAUGUAAGGGAUCUCUUGGAUGAGGGGCCAAUAGUCGCCGGUGUGUUUUGAGCGUCAAACUUUAAGAAUCUCGCAUUUAUCUAUCCAUAAUUCUUGGAGGGAAGGAGGGAGGCCAUCCUCUGGCAAGUCCCUCAACUUCGGGCAAUUUGAAAUCGAUAACACUUGGAGAGAGGAGAGAUGCUUCCAGAGGCCAUCUGAUAGUCUUUCCACAUUCCUCAUAUGGCGAAUCCAAAGAGAGGUAAGAGAGGAAGGAAAGAGAAGACUCCAUGCAUCCUCCUCGUCCUCCCCCUCCGAAGGAAACCACACCUUCUCUCCCCCCCCCCUCCCAUGCUCAAGUCAAUAUCUAGAAAUGUGAGGAAUGUGAGCGGGGUAAGCCCCAUUCUCUCACUGGCACAUUCCUCACUGGCUGCUUCAUAUUCUUGCACUCACAAAUCUAAAACAAUUGCAAAUUGGGAGGCAAACCUCCUUCGGACAAGCAUUGGAUAUUUUGGCAACGAAAAAUUAAUGUGUACUGGAGGGAUGUAAGAUGACGCCACUUUGGUAGAGACUUUAUCUUCAAAUAGUCAGAGAGAAAGACAUGCGAUAGGGUGAUGGGAAGGGGAAGGGAAUCUAUUAUUUCCAAUGCCCUGCACCUAAUUAUAUUCAAAGAGGUGAGAUUGUUACAACUGGUGAUACUGGUGAUAGACUUUAUCUUCAGACAUCUCGAGAGUGUAAGCCUCGAUAGGGUGAGGGGAAGGGGAGAAAGUCCUCGAUCUUAUGACAGUUAAAUAUCCUCAAUUGAGUGAGAUGGGAGAGCGUGUGAAGGAAUUGUGGUAGGCUUCUUAGAUUCCAACAAUUGUAAAUUCCCCUAAAUUUGAGUGAUUCUAUGGUGAUUUAUUCUGGCGAUUCCACUCCCCCGUAGUUUUCAAUAACAAAGUUCUUUAGACUACCAAGUCUACCCUUGGCAGAGGGACAAAAUGUCAAAGAAUCAUAUUUACCUGUACACGAAGAUUGAAGUUGAGACAUAUAGUUGUUGCUGUUGGGGUCAUAUGAAGAAAUGGUUGGUAUUAUGAGUUUUGGACACCGUUCAAUAGACAAAUAAUUGAGUGUGUACAUCUUGCUUGGAAGCUUUUCUAAACUAGUGCAAUUACUCAAUUUCAUCUUUUCAAGGUAGCAUGGCAGCUCUAUUUCUGUUUCUCCUUGAUGGUUUUAAUUGGUGAUGGGCUUAAGGCCCGUCCGCCCAUGCUGGGCUCAAAAGGCCCGGCCCACGGGAAUAGGGCCCGUGGAUGGGGGAAGGUAUAAAAGGGAGGAGAGAGAGAGAGAAGACAAGGUUUUGGAAAUAAAAACGCACGUACAUCUUCUCCUCUCCCGCGCGCUCUCUCUCUCCAAAGGAACAGUAAGCAAACGGCGACACUGUCUUCCCUUCAAGGUGUCAUCGAAUCGAACAAGGCCAGUUUCUCUUCCUCUAUCGGCGUCGGUGUCUAAUCUGUGGCUAACAAGGUACGCUCGAAUCCGUGGUGUGCUUUAGGAUCGGUGAUACGUGUUAUUCCCGGGCUUCGCUUCCGCAUUCGUUUUAGGGGUUCAAUUUAGUGUCGAAUCCGGUUUUCGAGGAUCCGUUAUUCCCAACAUUGGUAUCAGAGCCCUAGUUCAUGUUUUCCCGACCUGUAUGAUGUCUUUUUGAUUGAUUUUUUGCGAAAACUUUUGGCCGUACGGAUCGGGGCAAGAAAUCCCGACACCCGAGCACUGUUCAUCGAUUUUUUCGAGUUUCCGUAAGUCAAAAUCGAAUUAUAAUGGCAUAGGAAGAAAGGCGACGUCGAGGCGAGUCCGGCGACAUGUCGUGCGCCGAUGGGAGACGCUGCACACGCCCACACGCGUGGCCAGAAGCCGCUGUGCAUGGGCGCGACGCGCCCGAAGCGCUGGCAUCGGCCAACGCGUGCGUCCCACGCGCCGGCCGCCGAACCGGCACGUGCGUGACGCCGAUGGCGAACCGGCACGCGCCGAUCGACGGACCGACGCAUGCUGACGUCAGCGAUGACGUCAUCCCAGCGGUUACCGACCGUUGGAUGAUGUCAUGCUGACGUCAAUGCCAACGACGUUGGCCGAGCAGUCACCAGCCGGCGACCUGAACCGCGGACGCCCGGCACGCGCGCGGCACGUUUCGGCUGACGUCUGCGUGACAUCAGCCCGUGCACGCGCGCGGCACGUGCAGUCGGUUCGCCCGAACCGGGCCGACCGGCCGUCCGAUCCGACCGGUCCGACGUCUGACGACCGGCGACCGUUGACCCGUUGACUUUGAUCGAUGACCCAAAAAAAAAAAAAAAAGGAAUUUGUUUCUUUUUCAAUUAUGUCUGUAUGGGUUAGAGGUAAUCCAUUUUUUAUUCUGCAUUUGUUGCAUGAAUCAUGGAAAAUUAUGUAUUUUCCAUUUUGUUUAUUAUGGAUUAAAAGUGAUCCAUUUUAGUUCUGCAUUUGUUGCAAGAACUAUGAUGCGUUAUGCACGGAUACCUGCAAUCCCGAGAACGGACGAAGGAAGAGCUAGACUGAAAAGGCUGAUGAAAGAGUUAGCUAAUUAUCGGUGGCUUGAUGGUGAUUUAGUAUCACACAUGGUCAAGGUCAAUCAGAUGAUACAGGAAAUCAUCUAGAAUGGUUAUCUUAUGCCGGACUUUGAGAAGGUGCUGGCUUUGAUGAACACUCUUCCACCUGAAUGGCAAGCAGUGUUAGAUCGGCUAUGGGAGGUCAACGUGGUCCCGGAUUAUAGGAGGCUAGUGGAAGCUUUUGUAAGAGAGUACUAUAGGAUUGAGUUGGCCAAAACUUCAACCCUUAGAUUAAGCGCCACAUGGCACAGAGCGAAUGCGCCUUGAUGGCGACAUGAGAGCUCUCCAAAAGUUUUUCCAUGGUUGGCAAAUGUGCCUUCAGUUUUCUCAGAUACUUUGACUGAUAGAUUAGAAGGGACUUUCCCUAUUUAUUUCUUAGAUUAGUUUGAGAUGUUUUUUGAGUGUUGAAUAUCUCUUUCUAUGUUGAUAUUUCUUUUUGGAUAUAUUACUUAGUGUAAUGAAUUGUUGUAUUAGUUGAAAGCAUUAUUAUUUUAUUGGAUGUCAUAUUAUCUGCUGCUUUCUGUUAUUGCUGAUUGAUGUGGGUAGUUAGCUGUGGGUAGUUCAUAGAAGCUUUUGUAACUUCACAGAAUUUAUUUUGCAUAAGACAAUUAUAUUAAUAAUAGUUUUAAGUUAGGAUUUUUGGAGAAUGAUUGGAAACGUAGUGACCUUUUGAUUCCGAAACCUUACUUGAAAUUAUUCAUUGAUAUGAUGGGUCUGUGCAAAUUGGAUGCAUAAAUGAUAGGCAUUAAUUAAUGUGUUCAGAUUGAUGGAUUCAGCAACUAAGAACGUAAUUGCUGAUGUGAACGGCAACAAUUGUGAAAUAUUGAAUAUGAAGAUUCAAUAUGUGCUGGAAAAGCAAGAAGCACUAGAAGCUCUUGACCAUGUUAUGGAAGAUCUUGAGGAUGCUGUGCGCCACCUUGAGCUGGUAGAGGACCGCUUGACGGCAUGUGAGCCGAAAAUAGAUAUUUGCAAUGCUGGUUCUAGCUUAGAAAGGGCUUUGAGCUCUAAGUGCAAACGUAUUGAUUCGUUCAAUAUGUGGGAAAGCAAAGGAUCAAGUCCUUAUUACAAGAGAUCAAGAGUUAACCAACACAAGAGAGGAAAAUGUCCUCAAGUUAAGAAAAUGUCAAGGGUGAGGUGUUACAAUUGUGACAAGAAUGGUCACUAUGCUCGCGACUGUCGUGAGCCAAAGAAGGUAUACAUCUCUUGUACAUUUGAGAACUUUGAUUAUGUGUCAAGUUCUGAAUUAUUGGCUGAAUCCAAUCCUUUGUGGACUGUAGAUUCAGGAAAGACAGACCAUGUAGUGAAGGAUAGAGAAUCAUUCGUGGAAUUCCGACGAUACCGACUGGAACUAAGUGGAUCUAUGCGGGAUAUAACUCCAGAAAUGAAGUUAAAGGGAUUGGCACCUGCCAAUUGAACAUGCGUGGUGGACGCAUCUUGUUCCUACAUGACGUUCCAUAUGCUCUAGAGAUUCGUCGAAAUUUAGUAUCUGUUUUGAUGUUGGUUAAGCUUGGUUUUAUGUGUGAACUUCGAUAAUAGCAAUGUAGAUUUGUAUUUGGAUACAAACUACUAUAGAUGUGGUCACUUUCUGGAUGGUUUUAUUGUACUGAAUGUUGACUGUGAUGAUGUCAAUAUGUUAUUCCCUUGUUUCACGACUUUUACUUCAUGUGAUAAUCAUGUGAAUGUGUGGCAUGCUAGACUUGGUCAUAUUGGCCAACAAUGUAUAAAUAGACUAGCCAAAAAGAGCUUGUUGGGCAACAUUGAAAAAGUCGAUUUGCCCAGAUGUUAGCAUUGCCUAGUAGGAAAAACGACAAGGAAACCAUUUGGAAAAGAUAAAGAGCUGAAUUUCCUCUGCAUUUAAUCCAUUAUGAUGUAUGUGGUUCAAUGAAUGAGAGAAGAAGGCAUGGGGCUGUUUAUUUCAUCACUUUUAUAGAUGAUUAUACUCGAUUCAGAUAUGUCUAUUUGAUUUCUCAUAAAUCUGAAGCAUUAUGUUGUUUCAAAAGAUUUAUGAACUUAGUUGAAAAUUAAUUAGACAAGAAAAUAAAAAUAUUGAGAUCCGAUUGAGGUCGAGAAUAUUUAUCUGAUGAGUUCAGAAAAUAAUGUGAUGAAAAUGAAUAGAAAUACAGUUGUCUAUUCCAUAUACUCCUCAACAAAAUGGUGUUGCAGAGAGAAGAAACAGAACCUUACUGGAAAUGGUUAGGUCCAUGAUGGCGCAUGCUAACUUACAUAUCACUUUUUGGAGUGAUGCGUUGUUAACUGCUGGCUAUAUACUUAACCGGAUGCCUUCCAAAUCAGUUAGUUCCACUCCAUAUGAGUCAUGGUGUGACACCCAUUAUUUGAGAUCAACUCACAUGACUUGCUUUAUAAAUUAGGGGGAUAUUAAUUCCAGGAAUAAAAUAAAUUUCAUUCUAAAUUGAGUCAUAAGAAAUUGAAUUGCACUUGACUAUAUUUAUCAAAAACUUUGUUUACGUACAUAUCAGGAGAUAAGGCUAAGGAGGGGGAUUUCUACAAAAAAAAAACAAUAGAAGCCACAAACACUAAAUAUCCCGCCUCCUAUCGAGUAUGUACAUAGAUUGACAAAAACAAAAUUCUCCCACACUUCGAGCACUCCUCAGUCACCUUUUAAUCUGAAGAAAAGACAUAAUAAACAAGGAUGAGUUUUUAAAAUAAAAACUCAGCAAGUGGGCGGUUAGUCCUAACUUGGAUUUGGCUAAUAACAAGACAAAUAGGUUAAAAAGUCACCAAUUUGCUGAAUCCACAUAAAUCUAACUGCAACAAUCACCCAGGGGAAGACGACACUCCGCCCUGAACCCCUCGCACCCAACCUGGCAUCACGAGGUCCACGAUCACCCAGGGGAAGAUGAUACUCCACCCUGUCCCCCUCGCACCCAACCUGGCAUCACGAGGUCCCCUAAGAAGUUAUCCAAUCCUUCUCAAACCUCUGGAGAGAAUACCACUACUCAUCGUCACCCCUCUCCAGGCAUCCCGACACCCGGGGUCUCACCUUGGCUCUUUAGCCAACCACACAUUCACAAUUCAGCCUUAUUGCAGCACCAACAACUUCAGUAUGUGAACAAUCACAAAUAGGUCUAAACAUACAUCAUUAGAUACUUCAAGGUAUAAAGGAACCCCAUUAAAGGCGACACAGCAACUGCUGCACAUUCUCGGAUCAAAGCAGUCUAUAGAAUGAAAUGAGCAGUUUCAAUCACAGACACAGAAAGUAUAUCUAACCUCAUUGGAAUGUUAUGAAAUUUUAGUAUGUUAUAGAAAAGACAUAGAUUAACAUUUUCCGUGAAGAAAACUAAGCCUAAAUCUCAAUGUAUUAAGAGCAGUAAUUUGCUGUCUUCUCCUCAAAAUUCUGCAGCAACUCUCAGAUUUAGUACCUACAGGAGAAAUAUCGUUUCACCACCUUAACCUUGACCAUUUGCUCUCAAAUUUUGAUAUGUCAUUCCUAAGGAUGUGUCCUACAACUUUCAUUAAGAAUUUAAUGUCCAAUUCUUUCUAGAAAAUUACAUAAAAUUCGUGAAAUCACCUAAGGUAUUGCUGUUUUCUAAAGUACAGCUUACUAGUUCAAGGUAAAUGCUCUUACCAGCACAUUUUCUCAUUAACCUUGCUAUAACUAGAUGCCGAACUUGAUCUAAUGAAUGUUCUCUCAAGUAAACUUGUUCUUUUCCUUAUCUACAUCAUCAGAAUUUAAGGCGACACCAAAACAAAAGGCUUUCCAUCUAUAUUUCUCUAAAACAGAAGCAUCUUAUACUGUUUUCUUCUAUUUUUAGUUCAACCAAACUGCAAAUUUCUCUACCAAUCUCUAUUACAACACCUCAAGACUCUUCCACAGCAUCUAAAAUUAAUCACAGUAGGUCUUUACCCACAAGAAACAUUCUACAACUCGGUACAAAGCAAAAUUUCACAACACUCAUGGCCUUCUACCAAGCAAAACAAUAUUUCUCAGCUUUCUUGCAGACUUUCUACUCCCAUGAUGGCCAUUAACCAGACAGACAACUUGCAAACGGCACACCAUAGGUGAGGCCGAACCACAACAGAAUCGGAGGAGAGGAAAAUCCUCUAGAUAACAUGCGAUAGUACCUCAUCCAGCAACCAAUGUCUAGUGCAAAGGAAUAGAACUUCAACUCCCCCAAAUUUUAGCUCCCAAACAGAGCUUUGGUUCCCAAAUUUCUCGCACCCAACUUCAAAAUCUACCCCGAUUCUCAUAUGCACAUCUAGAAACAGCCUUUUUUGUGAACCCGAAACUCUAAACACAGCCCCACUUGCCUGGAUCUUUCACCGGUGGGGAAGGGAGGAGGCGUCGGGCGAGCUAGGGUUCCACGGCCGGCGGCGGAGCUCCGAACAGAAGAUUUCGCUGCUGGAUGGAGGCACCGGUCGUGAGAGGCCGAGAUGAGGUCGGGUUUUUGGUGGAACGAAGCAAGAACAAGGGAGAAAAGAAGUGGGUGUUUCGGUAGAGAGAAGAAGAGAAGACGCGGGUCUGUUGGGGAAAAGGUAUCGAACGUUUCAACGAAGGAGAAUGAUAUAUAUAUAUAUAUAUAUAUAUAUAUGUAUAUAUAUAAUAAGAUGUACAAGUGUUGGCUCCCCCUUCCUUCUCAACUCCACUUGGCUGCAACGUGGGGGAAGAAGAAAACUUUCUUCUUAAAAUAAUCCCUCCCCCUUCCACUCUCUCAUGUACGAAGUAGGUCUUUACCAGAACAAAUUUUAGUUAGCCUCAAACAUGCCCAUUCUAACUAAUGAGUGAAUAGAUUAGAAUUUGGGCGUCACACAUGGACAGGUAGAAAACCAGACUUAAGUUUUCUUAAGCCAUGGGGUUGUGCUGCCUAUACACAUGAGUUCUCUCACAAAUUUGGGAAAUUGGGUCCCAGAGGAAAGAAGAGUAUUUUCAUAAGGUACUCUGAACACUCGAAAGGAUAUGUGUUCAUAGGUGAGCAGGAAAGUGGGAAUAUAACUAAGUUUGAAUGACAAGAUGUCACAUUCUUAGAGGGUGAAUUUCCUAAGAAGGGCGAAAUAGGGGAAGAUUACCCCUAUUUGAAACCUUGGAUUAAGAUAAUGAUAUUAAUGGAGUUCAUCCAAGUGGGAGUAAUAUGACAAGUGAUGAAUCGAAUUCAACUCAUUCUCAAUUACAACCACAUGAUGAGAUGAUAUUGUCAUUAUCUAAUCCGAGUGGGAGCAUGAUGGGGAAUGAUGUGCUAAGUGUACAAUCUCUCAUUUAGCGAACAAGUUGCCAAAGUAUUCCCCGUCGACGUUUUGACAUUAAAGGGGAAACUUUUAUGGUUGCUCCACAAGAUGAGGAUGAGCCAAGAAAUAUUAAUGAGGCUCUGAAUUGCCCUAGUAAGGAAAAAUGGAUUAAUGCAAUGGAAGAGGAAAUGGUGUCAAUUAAAUCAAACCAAGUCUGGGAACUGGUUGAUCUUCCAAAAGGACGCAGAGCUAUUGGGAACAAGUGGGUUCUCAAAAUAAAGUGAAAGGCUGAUGGCUCGAUUGAAAGGCAAAAGGCUCGCCUUGUGGCGAAGGGGUAUAAUCAACAGGAAGAAAUUGAUCAUGAAGAUACGUUUUCUCCUAUAGUGAGAUUUACCUCGAUUCGCAUUAUUCUGGCAAUAGUGGCUAGUCUGGAUCUUGAGUUACAUCAAAUGGAUGUAAAGACUGCUUUCCUUAAUGAAGAAUUAGAGGAAGGAACAUAUAUGGAACAACCUGCUGGUUUCAUAGUGAAAGGCCAAGAAGAAAAGGUAUGUCGACUUUUGAGGUCGAUAUAUGGCCUUAAGCAGUCGUCAAGACAAUGGUAUAUACGAUUUCAUAAUGCCAUAAUGGCAUAUGAUUUUACAAUGAUAGAUGAUGAUCAUUAUGUAUAUAUCAAAAGAUCCAAGGAUCAAUUUGUGAUCAUAUCAUUAUAUGUUGAUGAUAUACUAAUUGCCGGAAGCAAUAUGGAGCUUGUCAAUACUGUCAAAAGUUGGUUGUCUUCCAAUUUUGAAUUGAAGGAUAUGGGAUUGUAAACCCAUUGACACUCCUAUUGCAAACGGUGAAGGAUUGAGCCAUAGACUGUGUCCAAGGACUCCACAAGAGAAGGAACAAAUGAAACAUGUUCCUUAUGCUAGUGCUGUUGGGAGCUUGAUGUACGCUAUGAUGUGUACAAGACCUGACAUAUGUUAUGUAGUUGGAAUGGUGAGUAGAUACCAAUCCAAUCCAAGUCAAGCACGUUGGAAAGCCGUUAAAUGAAUACUAAGGUAUCUAAAGGGGACUGCUGAUUAUACGUUAAGUUAUUAUAGAAAAGAUCUGCAACUCAAAGGCUAUUCUGAUGUUGAUUGGAGAGGAGAUUUAAAUGAAAGAAAAUCUACCUCUGGAUUUGUUUUCUUACCGGAUAAUGGCACCAUAUGUUGGAGCAGUAAGAAACAAAAGUUUAUAGCCUUGUCCACGAUGGAAACUGAGUUCGUGGCAUUAUCAGCAGCAGUAUAAGAAGAUGUUUGGCUUAAGAGAUUAUUAGAUCAUUUAGGUGUUAUUGGAAGUACUGCAGAUUUGUUAUUGGUUAACUGUGAUAGCCAAGCAGCGAAAGCGUACACCAAAGAUCCAAAAUAUCAUGGCAAGACCAAACAUAUAGAUAUCAAGUAUACUUUUGUCAAGGAUAUGAUUGCACGAAAAGAUAUGAACUUAGAGUACAUACUACGCAUAGAAUGGUAGCAGAUCCUAUGACAAAGCCAAUACCUAGAGAUGUGUUUUGUGGCCAUAUGAAAUCUCUAGGAUUGCGUAGAGGAUGAUGUACUGAAUAUUGUAAUUUUCCUAAGAGUUCACAUUUGAUGAAUUUGUGUUUUCAUCAUUAAUGCCUAUGAAUCUUAGUUUGAUUUUUAUGCAUCUUAAUGCUCAGUGCAUUACUUUAAGUUGAGAAAGUAUGUCGAACAGAUAAAAGAUUAGCCCACUCACACGGGUAAUCGCCUCUAUUUACUGUGUGAUAAAUAGAGAUGAGACUGUUUUUAAGCUUAUUAUCUAGGUGAUAAUCGAGAGCUCAAGCUUAAAAUACGUAUGUCGCCUUAACUGAGUGUUAAGAUGAGGACAUAAUACUUACUAUGUCCGAAAGUAAAAUAACCCACAUAUUUUACUUUAUCUAUCUAUAAUGCCAGAUGUGAGUUCUGAUGAAUUUUGUGAAUAAGUAGAUAAGUAAACUCAAGUUAGACAUUGAGUAUGUCUAAACUAUCAUUUGUACGGUAUUGAAAGGUAUAGACAUACACUCCAUGGGAAAGGAGUUAAUACCGUAAUACGUGUUUCAUACUACGUAUACAUGAGACGACCAAUAAGAGAGGCAAGAGUUUGAUCUCAACUUUUAUGUCGUGUGAGGCUCUUGAGGAAAAGAGUUCCUCAAUUUUCAGUCCCCUCAUGACUCUUACUUAUUCUCAAGAUUUCUAUUUAGUGUUUGCUAUCUUAGGAUGUUGCCAAUGGUCAUGAGUUGAUUCGAUCUAAUGGGACAUUUCUAGAAAAGCAAGCUGAACUGAAAUUGAGAGUUUGAAGGAAAGAGGAAGAUCGAAUUUGGAGAAUCACAUUGUAGUUUUUGUAUUCACCGGUUAACCAAUUAUGACUGUCUUUGUGAUAAUCAUAAUUGUGAAUACAAUAUAUAUAUAUAUAUAUAUUAUCGGUUGAAAGAGAUCAAGAGAGAUAUAAAUGUGAUCAAUCGAUCUAGGGUACUGCAUAUUAAAUCUACUCGGAGUGUGACGCCCAUUAUGAGCUGCUAUAUAUUCCUAACAAAUAUAUAGUAACGAGCUCUCAAAGCAUGUUGGUCGCACGGAUUAUUCACCGGUAUAAAUGUUGAAGAGAGGUAAAGAGGAUCAUGUUCAGCCCACCAUGUGCGAGUGGGAGAUGAUGGUUUUAAUUGGUGAUGGGCUUAAGGCCCGUCCGCCCAUGCUGGGCUCAAAAGGCCCAGCCCACGGGAAUAGGGCCCGUGGAUGGGGGAAGGUAUAAAAGGGAGGAGAGAGAGAGAGAGAAGACAAGGUUUUGGAAAUAAAAACGCACGUACGUCUUCUCCUCUCCCGCGCGCUCUCUCUCUCCAAAGGAACAGUAAGCAAACGGCGACACUGUCUUCCCUUCAAGGCGUCAUCGGAUCGAACAGGGCCAGUUUCUCUUCCUCUAUCGGCAUCGGUGUCUAAUCUGUGGCUAACAAGGUACGCUCGAAUCUGUGGUGUGCUUUAGGAUCGGUGAUACGUGUUAUUCCCGGGCUUCGCUUCCGCAUUCGUUUUAGGGGUUCGAUUUAGUGUCGAAUCCGGUUUUCGGGGAUCCGUGAUUCCCAACACUCCUGCUAUGAAUGAUGUGAACUGAGGACAGCUUACGAUGGUUAAUUCCUAGCCGCAAGUAAGAUUUAACAUUUCGUUUCCAUCUUGCCACAAGUAUUUUAACUGGUCACAACCUCCUAUAUGAAGCUUCUUUAACAUGAUCAAGUGGCUCAUAAACCCAUGAUCAAAGCAAACAAACUCUGCAAGAUUCUUAUUGUAAGAAUGGUCAAAGAAGUUAGGUUGAUCAAGCUCUUCAAGAUCUCCUUGUUACAAUCCUCAAGGAACAACUCAUGGAGAGAUGCUACAAACAUCAUUGGUUGAGUUUUUCAAAUGCGGACAUGAAUGAAUUUCAAGUUUUGUGAGACGAUCAAGUUGACAAGGCAAUGUCCCAACCAACAAAGGACAGCCUCGAACAACAAGAUGCUUAAGACAUGAGAAUGAGACUUCUUCUUUUGGGCGUCGAGCAUUAGGAGACCAAUCCUUCCAUGCCAACAUCUCUUCAAACUUCAAAGUGGUUAAGGAUGAAAAAGGCCUUGUACCUCCAUAAAAUUCAAAGCCUAUCAUUCUUAUUGCAUGUAGGCCUUUAAGAGAUAAUUCCUUAAGUGAAGGUAGUUGUCCAAUCAUAAACAGCGACAUAACAUUAGGACAAUCCCACAAGCAUAAAGACACUAUUUUAUAAUAUGAUGUACAAUCUAACCAUGAUGGGAAUAUUGCACCAUGAUAGUUCAAAAUAGCAAGAUUUUCAAGAUUAGUGUGAGGUCGCAGAGAGUCAACCACCUGUGCUUCGCACCCAUGAUUAUGGAGAUCUCCCAAAUGUUCAGCCCAAUGCAAGGAUAAGUUGGUAAGGCCUAGCUUUUGAAGCAAAUUAGCAUCAACAGCAUCUAUAACUUUUUCCACCUUUUGCAGUUCUGAUAUGAAUAAUUCUCCUUCAAGAUGUGGCAAGUUCUUUAACUCUUUCAAAUGCUCUCAAGUCUUACAACAAAUUUGGACAACACAAUAAGAUUCUUUAAAUUACCGAUACUCAAUGGCAUCUCUUUUAGAUUCUCGGUAUCUCUAAUAUCAAGAAAUUGUAAACUGGCUAACUUUGUGAUACCUUGAGGCAACUUUAAAACCUCUUGACAACCUCUUAAAAUCAGAGCUUGUAAUUUGCACAAGGUGUCAAUUGACUCAAGUAGCCUCUCAAUACGGGUGUACGAGAAAUUGAGAUACUGAAGAUAUUUUAAAUCACCAAUACAACUCAGUACCUCUAUGAUGUCACAACAAUAUAACGAGAAUACUCUCAACUACUUCAAGUUUGUUAGCAAGUCAUGUAGCACCUUGUUGGAAAUAAAGAAAGAGCCCCCACAAGAUUCAUCACGCACCAGAAUUAAACUUCUUAGUGCCUUCAUUCCUUGAUAUGGCUUUAGGCAUUUUGAUGUAACAUACCGCGAUGGGAUGAAUGAUGCAUAACGAGUUUUUUCAAGAGAUGAUACAUCAUGUUCAUUACUUGCUACCUGAGACCCCCCUGAGCUAAAGCAAGUCCCACCCAAAAUUGACUUUGCUAGAUCAUUCAAAAGAUCAUGCAUUGAAAAGUUAGAUGCGUCAAUACUUGAUUGUUGAAGAAAUGACCUAGAUACUAACUCAUCAAAGUGCUUCCGUCCCAAUUUCAAGAUAUUCUCAUUUUUCUUUUUUCCCAUCUAAGAGUCCCUCUGCUAUCCAUAAGAGUACCAACUCAUNNNNNNNNNNNNNNNNNNNNNNNNNNNNNNNNNNNNNNNNNNNNNNNNNNNNNNNNNNNNNNNNNNNNNNNNNNNNNNNNNNNNNNNNNNNNNNNNNNNNNNNNNNNNNNNNNNNNNNNNNNNNNNNNNNNNNNNNNNNNNNNNNNNNNNNNNNNNNNNNNNNNNNNNNNNNNNNNNNNNNNNNNNNNNNNNNNNNNNNNNNNNNNGCCGCCAAAGGUAAACCUUUGCAUCUUUCAGCUAUUUUCUUGUCUAUUAUUUUAAAAGCCGGGUGGCUCUCAAAAUUUGUUGCUCCAAGAGCAUGAAAGGCUAAUAAGCUUACACAAUUAUCAAAGGACAAUUCCCUCAAAGGAUAUGGCGAAGCUCUUGUUAUGGAAGCAACAUUAAAGUUGUGAGUCGUGAUGAUGAUCUUGCUUCCCUUAGCCCCCACUUCAAAUGGCUUUAAGAGAGCAGUCCAUUUUUCAUACUUCUCAUUCCAGAUAUUGUCUAAAACCACAAGAAACUUCUUCCCAAAUAGACUAUCCUUCAACUUAACUUGAAGCUCGUUAAGAUCACCCUCGCUGGACAAUCCGGUGAUCGACCGCAAAAUAUUCUUUGUUAUGUCAAAGACAUCAAAAGCAUAUGAGACACAAACCCAUGCUCUCUUCUCGAAAUAGCUAUUCACUUUGGCAUUAUUAUAUAGCCGCUGAGCCAAGGCCAUCUUUCCAACACCGCCCAUCCCAACUGUGGGGACUAUGCUUAGUGUGGCAUCAUAAUUUUUGACCUCACGGAUCAAUAGUUUAAGUAUCUCCAUUUCUUCCUUCUCUCUGUCGAAAAACCAAGGCUCUGGCAGAGAACUAGUGGGAUCCCUUCUGUUGAUGUAGUUGGAUCUGUCCACAACAUUGUCUUUCAAGCUUAGAUAAUCCCUCCUUUUGACGAUUGCUUCCAACCUACCAUUGAUAUAUUGGACCUUAGUGUUAGACACGAGUGAGCCUGGUCGUGUAAAAGAAAAGAACUUCAUUUUCCAUUCACCUCUACUUGUUCUGGAUUCAACCUCUGACUUAACUUGAGUGGCUUUGAUGUCGAACUCAUCGAGCAAGUCUUCUAGGUCAAAGGCCAAGCCCCUAACAUCAUCGAGCCACAGCUUCACUAGACAAUUACCGCUAAGUUGCUUUUCCUUUGCAUCAUCCACCACUGCAUUAAUUGUGACUAGCAUCCUCUUCCUAUCAUCAAGGAUGGUGGUGUCAGUUCCUUCCUGUUGCGCAUAGUCUAAUGCCAAAGAACUCAACUUGUCAAACAAGACCUGAAAGAAGGAACCCAAAAUGAUCUCUCCAAUGGCCAUGGGUAAAUCAAUCGCUGUAGAGAACAACAAAGGUGUUAUGGUGAAGCAAAGUAAAAAUGAGAUAAUGGAAAGAGAAAACUAUGAAUUUUGGGAAGACCAAGACAUCCACUUACCAAAAAGAAUAAAAAAAGGACCAAGACUUUCAAGGGAUGCACACUAAAGUUUAGACAAAUCAAACUAAAAUAGUUUUUUGUCCAAGAGUGCCUAUUUUGUCAAUUGUUCUCCCUUUUCUUCGGAUCCAGGCUUUUCUUGUGGGCAUCCAAAACAGAGGAUAAAUGUGAUUUUUCUUCAUAUGACCAACUUAGAGUUCACACGUAUUUUCAUAAAAAACUUCAUUACUUACGAGUAUUGUGUUGGCUUUUCACGCAUUCAUAUAUUAUUAGAAUCUCUAUGAUUUCAUUGUCCUUGUUUUCUACUUUAUUGUUGAAUAUGCGAUCAAUGUAGGCUUUUACGUGGCAGUUACGGUGCUGAAAAUUUGCAUAUGUUUAAGAUAUGAGAAGAUUAUCGGUUCCUCCUUCAAUGUGAAUGACCAUGUAAAGACAUCAAAGGCAGCUAAUUUUGUCCGUUCAAUAAGGAAAACAAAGCACAUGCUUUGGGCUAAACAAGAAAAAAGGUCAGGUGCACCAACUAAUCCAUUAACCAAGUUGCUUUAGUUUACUUUUGCAAAUAGUGGAGUCAAUAAUCAUUAACUAACAUUUCAUAAUCUACUGAAAAUUAUACUUUAUGCAUUAAACCAUCGUUCUCUUAUCAAGUGAUUCCGAUUAUCAACUAUUAACUUAGCACCCUUCGGCAGAUCAUCGUCGUCAUCUUGCUGCAAAGUUUUAACAUUGUAACUGCCACUUAAAGCCUAUAUUGAUCGCAUAUCCACAAUAUGUGAUCAAUGAGCGGAAUCGUUCGGAGAACACGUGCUUUCCAUCCAGCCUUUCGUCUAUUUAUCUACAUCUGUUUGUGCAGCAAGAAGGCAUCCCCUCUAGAAGCGUUCUUUAAACAUUUUGUAUUCUGAAUCGUGUGAAGUUCACCCAGACAUUACGUGCUCUCCAUCAACCAUGCAUUUCCUAUGUACCUUGGAUUAAAGCAAAUGUCCCUCUUUUCUUUUUGUCUUCUAUUGGUCUACGAUUAAGGGAAAAAAAUGACGAGUUUUCCAUAAUUUGGUAACAUCAUAAUGAAAAAUUCACAAGGAGAUUAGAACCAUAUUAAUAUGUUUAACAAUAUGAUUUUUCAUUUUUGGUAUGAGCAUUUCACUUCUUUCAUGUGUUGACUUUGUAUUUUUUUUCCCUCUCCAUUUUCUCUAUCAUAUCUUUUAUUUUCUGGUAGCGGGAAUGCACGAUUAUAAACAUUUACUUUUCAUUUACACUUUUUUUCAAUGAUUUAUAUCUAAAACAUGUACUAAACCCUUAAUUACCUGGUUACAUGCAUUAUUUGUCCCCUCUCUCUCUCUCUCUCUCAGGCUCAUUGGGAAAAUAUAUCAUAUAUAUUAUAUACAUGUAUAUAAUAGAGAGAGAGAGAGAGAGCUUAAAUCCAUGGAGUGAUGUGUUCUUGGCUUCAUAGUCCCACCAAUGGAUUAUAUAUCAUAACUUAGAGAGAGCUUAAUUCCAUGGAGUGAUGUGCUCUUGGCUUCACAGCCCCACCAAUUGAUUAUAUAUCAUAAGUUUUUUUGACGCCUUCAAAAAUUAAAAUUAAAAUUGACCGACUAAAGAUUCUUUAGCAUCAAUUAGAACUUAAAAGGGGAGUCAACAAAUAUAAGAAAGUUACUCACUUUUAGGAGCGUACAAUAUAAAAUGACAAGUUGGGCUUUUUAGGGUUGAAUAAUAUUCGAAGUCUGUUCAAUACCAGAUUGAUGUGCAUUAUAAAAGAUGAACAAUCCAAAAAAAAAAAAAAUUCCGACAUAAUACCUUUUUCUCUAACAAAACAUUGAGUCAUCGCGUGGUCUUUUUCUAACAAAGCACAAUUUUAAUUUCCAUAAUUCAAUUUUUUUUUUAUCACGAACACCUUCACAUUUUUCUCUAUCUUGAAAGAAAAUACAUGGAUAAGUUUUCCAGCACUAAACUAUCAUUGGUUUUCACACAAUGAAAACAAGUCGUCCACAUGCAACGCCCUUGGGGCUUUAGUAGAAACUAUUUCAUGUGAAGUUUAAUUUGCGAAUUGACUUAACUCAAUUUAUUACAGUGGCACACCUUAAAAGAAUACUAAAUCACAAGCACCUUAUUAAUUCACUUUACACCUUUUGGUUAUGGUAAAUCUACUAUAUCUACAUAACAAGGACUUCUUACUAUAACAGUAAAUAUGUGAAAAGACACAACAAAAGUUAUUUAUUUUGUUUGGCACCACGAAAUUAUAGUAAACGUGAAUUUCCUAUGUAUCUCUUCUAAGAGGAAUGAAGCUAUCCUAUUUAAUGGACUAAAAUUCCAAACUGAUAUGUGAUUGUUUCAUGUAAAAUCCCAAACUUGUACUUAGUAAAAUCAUUCCACGUCAAUGCGUGUUUAAUAAAGAGAUCAAUGAUAGAGAGAUUAAAAAUUAAUCUUAAUGUCCUAAUAUUACUAUCUAAAAAAAAUUGAAGUAAACAAUUCUUUGUUACUGAACUUGACAUCAAGUAUUUGAGAUCAACUUUAAUCAAGAUCAUAGAUAAGCAUCAAAUCGGUUUAAGAACCAAAGUUCUAUUGUUGCUAUAGCCUCUUCUUUGCCUCCAUUAAUAGAAAGAUUUCAGAAAGAACAGGUGGUUGCUCUCGGGUAAUGAACGCCCACCAGAUGCUUUAGAUAGCAAAGUUGCGGUUGGAUCAGUUUGAGAAAAAAUAGAGCAAGAAGAUAGAUGUAUCUACCUUUUCCGAGUAAACUUCCUGGAGCAGACCGGUGAACGGGAUGAGAUCAAUGACAGGACUCCAACAAGCACGACCGCUCAGUUCAGACAAGCGGGAGGAGAACACCGUUGAGCAAGGGGAUUGGCAUGGGUGAUGGUGAAUCUAAGUGAUAAAGAGAUAAGGGAGAGAGAAAACUAUAAAGGCUAGAAAGACCAAGACUUUCACAUGCCAAAAACAAUAAACAAAGACCAAGACUUUCAAGGGUGCACAUCAAUGGUUAGAGGAAUCGAUAUAAAAUACUUUUUGUCCAUAGGUGCUUGUGUCACGGGCCGAUCGAUUGAGAUCAUGACCGUGCGGCGACUCGGGCACUUUAAGAUCGGAUUGGAUCGCCGAAGAACCUAAGCCAAGCCUUGCUCAAUCGAACGCUUACUCGCUCGUAUACCUAGAUCGUAGAGAGAGAAAGAAUCUAGAGAGAAGAGCUCUGGAAAGAAGCUUUGCUUUGUAUUGUGGAAGUAGUGGAUGCUUACAAAUGAAGGUAGACACCCCAUUUUAUAGUUGAGGGCCUCAGAUUACAUCCAUUGAUCUAGAAUUCUAUCAGCGGAUGAGAUCGCACCACCUCAACUACCAACAUAAUGUCAACUACCGACAUAAUGUCAACUACCGUCUACCGACAUAAAUAAUGGAACAGACUCCUAGAACAUGACUCAAUGACGGUUUCGCCCGUCCUUGGAAACUUCAGGGAGAAGGUUUGGUGGGAAUCCGAGUGAGAGCAAGAGGUCCACGGGUGAGUCGCGAUAGUCCUCUAGGAACCUCUUGGGUCGACUCUCAUUAGGCCCAUGACAUUCUCCCCCACUCAAUCAAGCGACGUCCUCGUCGCUCUCAGCUUGGCGGGCAGCCUUGCGAGCUUUGGCACGAGCUUUCUUGUUCUUGUUGCGCUUCACUCGGACGCUCACGAAUGAAGGACCACAACCUUCGAUGAUGAACUCGGACUUGGCACGCGGCUUGGUCUUUGGCUUGGACGGAGCACGCGGCGCGCACUCAACCUUGGGGAAGAGCGCUUGGAUUGGCAUGGCGUGUGUUGGAGUAGGAUCCAACUCUCCCUUCGGCUUCACCUCAGACAGCUUGUUGAUGCGCAUCAUGGCCUUCAAGCUCUUGUCGAGGCGUUAGAUCGACGCGAUGGUCUUGGUGUCAACCACCCCUUGAUCAUGGGGAUCAUCGACAAGCACUUUUGGUCGAGGAUCAUCAUGCACUUGGUCCUCAUGUUGAUCAUGGCUCCCACACUAUGGAAAAAUUGCAUCCCAAGGAUGAGAUCAUAGUCGUCAAGAGGGAUUACCUCGAACGCCAUUUUGCCCUUCCAUCCGCCAAUCUUGAAAUCGACGUCGGGUGUUGCUCCAACGCCAUGGAAGUCGCCUGAAUUGAUGGGCUUGUACGACUUCCCGGAUGGUUCCACGUGAAGUCCCAAGGCCUUCGCAACCUCGGUCGACAUGAACAUGUUGGAUGCGCCGGUGUCGACCAAAGCAUAAAGCAUUCGGCCGCACACUUCGACCUCCACAAAGAACAUGUCCGUGUUUGGAGUGAUUCCUUCUUCUUUGGUCGGCGAUCGAGUUUGGAUCGAGUUGACCAUCCUCACAGCUCCAAUCCGAAUCUGCCUCUUAUCUUCUUUGGGCACCCCCUUCUCUUCUUCGAUGGCAAGGAGGGCGUUGAUACGACCCUCAUCGGGUACUUUUGGGUCCAGUGCGGACCGUUGCAAAUAAAGCAAGGAGAGGGCGGAGGUUGAUCGAAGUUACUCACAUAGUCCGUCUGCGGUCGACCUCUUUGGAAGGACGGCUUGGAAGACCCUUCUCCCCACGUCUUGGCUCAGCCGCCUUGAUCGGGCGUGCUUCGGGGAGUGUUUCUUCCUUCGUUAUUGGGUCAAUCUGACCUCCAAUCUCUUGCUCGGUUGUUCCUCGGCUCAACCUUGGUGAGGUCAACGAGAGACUCGGCCAUGCUCAAUGCUCGCGCAAGACUACUCACGUCCUGCCGCUUCAACUCGAGUUGUGCCCAUGGCUUGAGUCCAUCCAUGAACGCUUCGAAAGCCUCCUCUUCGCUUAGGUUGCAAAUUUGGAGUUUGAGCUCCGUGAACUCCUUCACGUACUCUCAGAUCGCGCCUCUUUGCUCGAGGAGAUGGAGCAAGCUACGAGCUUCUUGUUGAGCGAACUCAGGGAAAAAGUAGUCGCGAAACUCCCUCACGAAGUCGUCCCACGUGUCCACGGGAUCAGCGCCGCGUCGAAUCUCAUCGCACCUAUUGUGCCACCACAGCAUUGCCGUAUCAGUAAGGAACAUGGAUGCGAUUCGUACCUUGAUCGACUCGUCUUGAGUGUUGACAGCACCAAAGUAUUGCUCUAUGCUCCACACGAAGUUGUCCACCUCUUGGGCGGACCGGUUGCCUUUGGACUCCUUGGGUUUUGGUACUUCUAUUUUGGGCACCGCUUGAGUAGGCACCGCACCGUUCGUGACGCUUAGCUUGCAUAGGGUGAGCUCGAUCUUGAGCUCUUGGAUCUCCACCUUCAAGGCCUCGACCUCGUCCCUACAUGGGCUUACCUCCUCGAUUAUUUGGACGCGCUCGUUCAAACCAUCGAUCGAUGCUUCGAGAGCUUCGUCCUUGUUGAAUAAUGGAGCCGUGGCUUGGUUGAUGCUGGUCAUGAAGUCUUCACGGAGCGAGCCCUCAACCUCCAUGAUCCAGUCUCGCACGUCGUCAAGACCUUCCAUGAGUUCGAGUACGGCACUUCGAACCUUCCCGAUCUUCUCAUCGAACAUAGCCGCAACAUCCACCAAGGCAUCUCUUUUCUUUGCUUUGGCGCACGUCUCCUUGACUGGCGCAGCCUCUCCAACCAUAGCCGCUUCUUGGCUUGACAUUCUCUUGAACAGUUGGCGCUCUUCAAUCUCUUGGAAACGAAUCUCUCUUUAGCUCUGAUACCACUUGUCACGGGCCGAUCGAUUGGGAUCAUGACGGCACGGCGACUCGGGCACUUUAAGAUCGGAUUGGAUUGCCAAAGCACCUAAGCCAAGCCUUGCUCGAUCGAACGCUUACUUGCUCGUAUACCCGGAUCGUAGAGAGAGAAAGAAUCUAGAGAGAAGAGCUCUUGAAAGAAGCUUUGUUUUGUAUUGCGGAAGUAGUGUAUGCUUACAAAUGAAGGAAGACACCCCCUUUUAUAGUUGAGGGCCUCAAAUUACAUCCAUUGAUCUAGAAUUCUAUCAGCGAACGAGAUCGCACCGCUUCAACUAACGACAUAAUGUCAACUACCGUCUACCGACAUAAAUAAGGGAACAAACUCCUAGAAUAUGACUCAAUGACUAUUUCACCCGUCCUUGGAAACUUCAGGGAGAAGGUUUGGUGGGAAUCUGAGUGAGAGUAGGAGGUCCACGGGUGAGUCGCAAUAGUCCUCCAGGAACCUCUUGGGUCGACUCUCAUUAGGCAUGUGACACUUGUCUCAUAAUGUUUGGAGAAUGUCCUCAGAUAUUUGUAGUUUCCACAAUCAUAUAUUUUUUUCAUGUAUAUAAAUCAUAAACUUGAGAAAACCAAUACUUUUCGUUAUGCAACUACAAGUCACCGGAGACAGCUAACUUUUUCUGUUCAAUAAGAAAAACAAAAGCACAUGCUUUGAGAUAAACAAGAAAAAGGGUCAAGUACAUGAACCACACUAACCAAUCCAUUAAGCAAGUUGCUAUCCUCUUAGUCCACAACACAUGCAUAUGUGACUAUUCAUUCCACAAAAUUUAUUCAAUCAUUCAAGAAUCACGUAAAUUGACGUUCAUUCAAUUUUGCUACCGUAGAUAGUCAUUAUGUAAAUUCUAUAGUAAACGUACUCUUCACGGUGAAAUAUACAAAAGUUACACGGUUGUUUCUUCUACAUAUGUAUUAUCAGAUUCAAAUAUCUCGAUUAAAAAAAUCUCAUUCUAUAUAGUUUCUCCGAAUUAUAAUAAUAGUUACCUUUUUUCUGUUAAAAAAACAGCUCUCGCGCAUGAUCGAUGAUGGACGGUGGGUGCAUCAUUACAAGACGGACGUCACGCCUGUCUAAUAAUCUCAACCGCUCCCUUCGACGGCUUCCUAUCAGAUUUGAUUUGAUUUGAUUUGAUUAUUUUUGUUCACAUUGGUGCCUUUCUUUUUAUUUCAUUUUAAAAUUGAUUAUAUUCCUGGACCCAUCCUUAUCUACCCUUGUUCAUGAGUCCCAUGACACGUGUCAUGACCUUGAUGCAUCAAUUUUAGGUUGGGGCAAGGUCAAAUGAAUGCUUUCAAUAUUUACUAAAAUCAUUAGGAUUUCAUCAACAUGUCCUAGGAUACUUGUUAAAUAUUUAAAUAAAGAAAUAUUGUUCUUUUUGAUGUACUAUGUCUCCCUCAUAUCUUUUACAAGUAAUGUUUUGAGAACGAGAAUCUUUCUUUAGUAAGUACAAUUGAGAAAUGCUCUCAAAAUAGUUGUUAAUAAAAUUCAAAUUAAAAUUAUAGCAAUGAUUUGCAAUUUAUGCAUCGGGUUCCAGCACAGCAAUAUCCAUGAACCCGCAUAAUGCCUGAUUUUCUCUUGAUACAUAAAUUGUGUCAAGUGUUCUACUCACUGAACCCAUUACUAAGUAGUAAGUACUAACCGUUCUUAAAAUAUUAUCAUUGAAGAAAAUAAUGAUAUUUGUGAUGUUUUGUUGCACUAUGACUUAAUUGGGUAGAUAAGACCUAUCAUUUUGAGAGGAUAUAAAAAUCCUUUUUUUAGACGUAUAAGAUUUAUUGGUCAGCGACAAAGUAGUUGAAAGUAUUACAUCAUAAUUUUUGUUGUGUCAUUUUCUAGGUAGCACGGACACGGCGACACGGACACGCGACACGACACGCGACACGUCAUUUCUCAAAAAGUAGAGAAUUCCGACACGUUCCGACACGUUAAAUAUUAAAUAAAUAUUUUUAUAUAUACAUGAUUAAUUAUUAUGUUUAAAUUAAUUUAUUCAAAUUCAUAAAUAAAUAAAUAAUAAAAAAGCCUAUAAUAAAUCUAUACUAGUAACAUGUAUUAAUAAAGUUAUUCAAUGUACGCAAAGGCAUUCGAUCCGUUUCUCUCAUCGUCUUGAAAAGAAAGAGAGAACUUUUACAGAUUUUGCCAAAAAAAAUAAAGUUAUUUAAUAUUUAAUAUUUCUUUUUAGGGUUAAAUGGUCCCAUCCAUUUAUUUCCCCCACCCCACCCACCGCCUACACACAUCUCUUCCCAAAGUCAGACUGCACUGCACGAGGCUUUCUUUUUUUCCCCCAAGAAGCCAUCGACACAUCCUCUCUCUCCUUGCUCUUCUUCCAAAAAUUGAAAACCCUAGCAAUCGGCGAUCGCCUUCUUUCUCCUCUCCCUCGCUCAGUCUCCACCUCUCUCACCGCUGCCUCGCCUCCGUUCCCCCCUUUGCUGUCGUAGCCUCGCAUCCAGCCCUCCAUUGCAGCCUUUCCGUUUUCCAUCUUGGCGUUGCAGUCGGCGGUCGCAGCCAACCAAGAUGAUCGAGAAAGCUUCUCAGUGUUGCAGUCGGCGGUCGGAGCCCUUGCAGUCGGCGGUCGGAGCCCUCCCUUGUCGUCGCUCGCGGCGUUGCCUCAGCUCCCUCACCCUUGCCUUCACCCUCCAUCACUUUCUUCCCUUCGCACCUGCGGAUCCGCCCACAAACCUCCGGACACGCUCCGAUGCGCGUGUCGGAAAGAGUUGACCAUGUGUUGGAAACUCUGACAUGUGUUGACUGCGUGUCCGAGCAUGUCCGAGCGUGUCCGAGCAUGUCGGACACGUGUCGGGGUGUCCGACACGACACGGAGGCCCUUUGAAUGUGUCUGUGCUACCUAGGUCAUUUUGUCUUUGAUACUUGUCCAGUAAAAGACACAAUCUUUUUUUUUUUUUUUGGGAUAUUGAAAGGGGCAAAACCCAAAAGUUACGCCAAAAACAAGACACGAUCUUAGCUAGCAUCCGGGCAAGGCUAGGCAGCCGUUCCCACCACCUCUCUCUCACUACAUAUUCUCCCUCUAUUUUAUUCUAAAUUUACCAAUGUGGCGCUACAAUGUCAAUUUGACACUACAAGUAAUGGUAGGCACUGAAAGGUUUUAUUGUACAAAAGGACAAUGUUAGAAUAUUACAUUACCACAAAAAAGUAAGAGAGGUAAAUUGUGGCACCCCUCGAACGGCCCCCAAUCCGUUAGGGUUGCCAACAGUUCGCUUACCUUUUACUUGUCCUAAUAACAUGUCACUCUGAUAUUAUUUGAAUUGUAAUGGGUCCAUACAACCUUGGGGUUUAUAUUAUCUUAAUCGGUCCCAACAUAGUUCAUAUAACGGAAGCAUACUUGAUGUCUCCUUAACCCAUACUCAAACUAAAUAAUACAAUGCAAUACACACCAACUAUACCUUAUAUACCUUAUAUAUAUAUAUAUAUAUAUAUAUAUAUGAAUUAGGACAGAAUCACUUUUAUUUACAUAACUAUGAUGAACUUCACAAGUCGGUACAACAAAAGGCCAAGGCUUUAACUAAGCUCGGCUAUACUCAAAAGUACCUGACUCUACAUUAGACAUGUACAUCAAUCCAUCAUCUAGUGUCGGACAUUCCAAAAGUGUCAUCAUCCACCAAUCACACGCUCUAAUCACACCCAGCUCGGUGCAACGGCCGGUGGCGGUGGCAGCAUCCCCAUCAUCAGACCGUCGCAUCGAACAUGUACAAAAAGGAACUCCUGAACUACAGGGCCAUCAGGUAGGCCCACAUCAUACAUGACCAAAACAUGGAUUCGGAUAAACACCAGACCACGAACACCAACACAGGGGUGCUCCGAGCACUCGACCUCAACAUCAGAUGGUAAGCCAUAGAAUGUACCACGUGUGACAGGUGCUAGAGGCAUCUCUCAAUCUGAAAUAUUAGUCCCCAAAAGGGGUGAGUACAACUACUUAGCAGUAAAAAUCCAUCAAACUACACAAUGCAACAAGCAAGACAACCACAAUUUCAUGUGAGAUGCACAUAUCAUCCAUGCUAUCAUACAUAUGUCUCCAUGAGAUCCAUUCAUAACCUUAAUAAUCACAUUCCCCAUGCCAAGCAAUACCAAUUCAGGAAUGAUGGACAAAUAUAUCUCAUGCCAUAUGCACACACCCAUACACAUGAUCCAUGUCAUCCACACAAUCAUGUAUAUAUCCUGAUGAGAUCCAUUCAAUGUCUUCAUGAUCGCAUUCUCAAUGCCAAUUAGUACAAUUCAAUUUCAUAGGCAAUUCGUGCACCAUGCCAUAUGCACACACAUGCAGAUGAUUCAAUUCCCAUUUUCAAUUCUCAAAAGGAUCUCAUUUUCUUCCAGGGACCAGUGUUUGCAUCCCUCAUAUAUCACUCACACCCAACCUGGCGUCAUGAGGAACCUCCGGCACACACCUCCGGGCAUCCGGCACACACACUUCGGGCAUCACACACACUUCGGGCAUCCCGUACCCUAACUGGCAUCACGAGGAACCUCCAGCACACACACUCCGAGCAUCCGGCACACACACUUUGGGCAUCUUGAAACUCCCAAGGACAUCCGGCACACACACUCCGGGCAUCCCGACACUCCCGAGGCAUCGUCGGCUCACACCUCCGACGGUAUCAUCAUCAUCACAAUGUAUAUUCACAUAUAUAUCUCACUUUCAACAUAGCAUUUGAUGCAAUAGUGUCAAAGGUCUAAACCAGCCUUUUGAUGCUAUAUGACAUGCUAAAUGUCACCACAUAUGCAGCAUAGAUAACCACCCAAGACAUCAUAUUUUAUAGAGCAAUUCAUUUAUUCUUGAAAAUACAGCAAAUUUCGAAACAUCACCAUUGUACAGUUUUAUUCAUAAAUUCGGUAUAAACCCUAAAUCAGCUCCGAAAAUUCUGAAAUUUUGAUAUGUUCUAGAAAAAACCUAGAGGUAAAAGUUUUGUGAAGAACUCAAAGUCAGAUUCUUGAUAGAUCAAAAUCUAUGGUCACCUUACUCUUCCUAACCCUCGGUGAUGAUUUUCAGAUCUAACCAUUUCAAAGAAAAAUCAUUUCACCGACCAAUACUUGUCCGUUUUUUCUCAACUUUUAGUAUGUUAUUCCUUGAGAUAUCAUCUACAACUUUUAUCAAGAACAUGAAACCAAAUUCGAACUGGAUACUUGCAAAAAAUUCACAUAAUCACAACAGAUCAACAUAACAGUUUCCAGAUCUAGUAUCUUUGGAGAAAAUGUUUUCACCAACAAAUACUUGUUCUCUUUCUCUAAAAUUUUGAUAUGUUAAUCUUCAAGAAGUCCUCUACAACUUUCAUCAAGAACACAAAGUGAGAUUCCAGCUAGAAAAUUGCAUGCAGCUCACAAAAUCACCAAAGGUCGGACUGUUUUUCCAGAAAACAGAUUACUAGGCUAAGGCACUACUCCCAUAACUUCGAAAAUUCUAACCUCCCCCACAUCCGAAAUUCACCAUUCUUCACACACAAUCACAGCAAGCAAAGUGUAGAUCAAUGGACUCUACUUGCCUUAAAUCCAAUGAAAAUCACAGCAAGCACAACGACGAGGCUAAGCGGGCUUGAUCGACAGCAGCAACUAGGUGCAUGCAUGACGGGCCGGUCUUCUUCUUCCCUUCCUCUCUUGCACGCUCACUUUCUCUCGGUGUUCUCUCUCUCCCUCUCGCAUGACACCUUCUCUCUCUCUUGGUUUCAAUCUCUCGAGCAAUCCGCCCAUCUCUCUCUCUUUUUCUUCCUUCAUGAUUAGCUAGUGUUGGAGAAAUCUUCUUGAAGUGUUUUGAAGUUGACAAAACGUUUCUAUCAGUCUAGUCUGAAGGCUUGCAGACUCUGCUGUUUAAAGUCUGAAGACCUCCGGACAGCCAGACUCAAGACUUAAAGUCUAUCCUCAUUGACAGUCUCUAAUCUGUUGAAGAAAGGUUAUCCAGAACUGGAUGUUUUAUUAAAGAUUUAACUUUAUCAACUGGAGAAGAUCUCGUGGCUAGAGAAGACAUAACGGAGUCCUUUGAUUGAUCGAAGAUUGACUCGAUAAUUGAAGAUCCGAUAAUUGCCUAAAUAUUAUUGGAAGGUUCUGCUUAUGGAAACCGAGAUCCUGAUUGUAUGGGCGAACAGGAUUGAUGGGCUAUCAACACGUUCCUUUAAUAGCUUGAACAAUCUUCCUAAUUGAUUAUGUCCAACGGGUAGAUUGGAGGAAUUCCUUUGGUAAGUGCCAACGGGUAUGAUGGCAUAAAGGAGUAUAUAAGGAAGACGGUCUUAAUUGUUCGAGGUGUGCGCGAUAGAAGAAUUCCAAAGUAUGAAGCUCCUUUUUGUUUAGACAAAUCCUUUGAGCGAAUACUUGUAUACAAAAGAGAGUCUAUAUUUGUGAGAAAUCUUGAGGAGGUGUGGUAGAACAUCCACACUGUGGAAUCAAGGCAAAGCUGUGCUGUAACUUCUCUUUUGUUCAUAGUGGAAUCCAGCCAAUAGGCUGUCAGUGAAGAAGAGUGGACGUAGGCUUGAUAUAAGCCGAACCACUAUAAACCGCGUGUUCAAUUUUCUCUUCUCUCAGUCUUACUUUGAUUAACGUUUCCUUCUACUGUCUAGUAUUGUGCAAUUGUUGAAGAAAAAUCUUUUAUAUACCUAUUCACCCCCCCUCUAGGUACUCAUACUAGUAAUAUCAAUUGGUAUCAGAGCCUGUGUACUUACUUUAUUUGAAGUGCUUUACUUCGUAGUAAAAGAUCCAUGGCUAGUAUGCUAGCACCAAGGCUAAUGGAAGGGCAAAGCAAUACCAGACCACCCUACUUUGAUGGAAAGGAUUACAACAUCUGGAAGAACAAGAUGAAAGCUUUCAUUCGAUCAAAGGAUCCUCUGGAAUGGGACGUUGUAGAAAAAGGAAUUACUCCUACCACUGCAUCAGUCUCUGAAAGAGGAAAAGAAACUGAUGAGACCAGCGGAAUGACUCAGGAAGAGAUAAUCAAGAGACAAGCACUCGAUGCAAAAGCAAUUUAUUCCUUAUAUUGUGCUUUGUCACCAACUGAAUAUAAUAGAAUAUCUUCUUGUGUUACAGCAAAAGAAGUUUGGGACAGAUUGCAUAUCACCUAUGAAGGAACAGAUCGAGUGAAGGAAACAAGAAUCAACAUUCUUCUCGGUCAAUACGAAGCCUUCAGAAUGAAACUAGGAGAAUCUAUAUCUGACAUGUUUAGUCGUUUUACAGAUAUUGUGAAUGGUCUUGAAAAUCAAGGUCAACCAACUUCUGAUCCCAUGAAGGUAAACAAGCUACUGCGUGGACUCUCCAGGGAUUGGAAUCACAUAAAGACUUCGAUAAGAGAGACGCAAAGAAUUAUGCCACUAUCUGUCGACGAGCUAAUUGAAACUCUUCAGUCUUAUGAAGUGGAACGGAUCAAUGAAGAUGAAGAUCCAAAAGGUAAGAAAUCCAUUGCAUUAAAAUCAAAUGAUGAUUCUGAUGAUAUAGAUUCUGAAGAAGAUAUGGACGAUGAGGAGCUUGCUCUCAUGAUAAGAAGAUUCAGAAAACUGAAUAGAAAAGGAAGAAGGUUCAACUCAAAGAAACAAAGCUUUCAAAGACAGCAGACCAAGUCUGUUGAUGAUGAGGAACCAAACAAAGACGUAGUCUACUUUGAAUGUAAGAAAAAGGGACACAUCAGACCCAACUGUCCUCUUCUGAAGAAGAAGAAAGGAAAAGCUGAAAAAUUUCGAAAAGCUCUCAAAGCCGAAACCUGGAGUGAUACAGAGUGUGAAGAAAGUGAUAAUGAAUAUGCCAAUCUAUGUCUGAUGGCACAAUUAGACUCAGACUCUGGAUCAGACUCAGACAGUGAAUUUGAGGUAAGUAAUUUUAAAAUUCCUGUCAAAGUUUCUAAAUACAUUGAUGAACUGUGUUUUAGUCUUAAGACUUCUCUCAAAAGAAUUUCCGAACUGAAAAAGGAAAACUCAGCUCUAAAACAAAAGGAAAAUGUUUUAGUAGAAAGAGUUAAAAGUCUAGACUUGACUGUUUCCACUCUUAAAGAAAAUGAAGAUAAUCUUUUAAAAGAAAAUGCUCUUUUAAAAAUAGACGUAUCAAAUAUUUCAAAGAAAUUUUCAAUAGGGUCUGAAAAACUUGAGAAAAUUCUUUCAGCUCAAAGACCUUACUUCAAUAAGUCCGGUCUAGGUAUGACAGCAGAAACAAUUCCCUUGAUUGAUUUUCCUAAAGUAAAAGAAAGAAUUAAGAAAAGACUCUCGAGAGAGGCUUACAAAAAUCACUUCAAGAAAGUUUUUGUAAAAUCUGUAGGUAGAAAUGCUCUCAGAUGUUCAAAAUGCAACAGUCCGGAUCACUUUGAAAAAGAGUGUCCUAUGGUUUGGAAACCUGUUAAGAAAAUAUGGGCUAAUACUGCUUAUGUUACUAACACCAAAGGACCCAAGAAAGUUUGGGUACCAAAGAAAGCUUGAGACUCUAUUUUAAAUGCAGGUCACCGUCAAGAAAAAGGUAAAGUGGUAUCUUGACAGUGGAUGCUCAAGACACAUGACAGGAGACUCAAAUUGUUUUAUAAAGCUUGCUCAAGCAAAUGGUGGAAAAGUUUCAUUUGGAGGAAACAGCAAAGGAAGUAUUGUGGGAUUUGGAACUGUGAAAAUUGGAAAUCUCACAAUAAGUAAUGUUUCCUUAGUGGAAGGACUCAAUUACAAUCUUCUCAGCAUUAGUCAACUGUGUGAUACUGGUUUCAAGAUCUUCUUUCAAGAAGGAAUAUGUUCUAGAAUCAGUAAAGACUCUACUCAGUCUUUCAUGGGUCGAAGACAUGGAAACAUCUAUCUUCUGGAUGUGAAACCAAAUGAAUCGCAAUGUUUUAUCUCAAUUCAAGACGAAGCAAGCUUAUGGCACACGAGGACUACCCAAAUUACCUUAUCAAAAGACUGAUCCAUGCACUCCAUGUAUUCCGGGAAAGCAGGUAAGAAAUUCAUAUAAGCCAAUAAAUCAUGUCUCUACUAAUCAUGUACUACAGUUGCUGCAUAUGGAUCUCUUCGGACCAACCAGAACACAGAGUAUUGGAGGUAAGAAAUAUUGCCUAGUAAUUGUGGACGAUUACUCCCGUUUUACUUGGGUAUAUUUCCUUGCAAGUAAGUCCAAAACCUUCUCGUAUUUUGAAAAAUUUGCUAAAAAGGUUCAAAAUGAAAAAGGACGUGUCAUCUCAAGUAUAAGAACAGAUCAUGGAGGUGAAUUUGAAAAUCAAGAUUUUAUAAAAUUUUGUGAUGAAUCUGGAUUUAAUCAUGUGUUCUCCUCUCCAUAUACUCCUCAGCAAAAUGGAGUUGUGGAAAGAAAGAACAUAUCUCUUCAAGAAAUGGCUAGAACUCUUUUAAUUGAAAGCAAGAUUUCUUCACGAUUUUGGGCUGAAGCUGUUUCAACAGCAUGCUAUAUAAUCAAUAGAGUCUUCUUAAGACCUAUUCUAGAGAAAACCCCUUAUGAGUUAUUCAAAGAUAAGAAGCCUAUUGUUUCAUACUUUCAUGUAUUCGGUUGCAAAUGUUUUAUAUUGAAAAAUGCAAAAGAUCGAGUUGGUAAGUUUGAAGAAAGAUCAGAUGAAGGUAUCUUCCUUGGAUAUUCUACAUCAAGCAAAGCCUUCAGAGUCUAUAACAAGAAGAGCCAGUCUGUAGAGGAGUCAAUGAAUGUCAAAUUUCAAGACUCAACGCAAGAUGAAUCAAGUCAGACUCAUCAAGAAGAGUCUGAACCUGCUCCAGACCUUCCAAAGCUUACAACUCAAGAAGCAUCUCAGACUCUGGAAAACCAGCAUCAGGAUGUCCAUGAAGAUCCAAACAAAGAGAGAAAUCAUCAACCAGACAAAUCAACAAGUAACUGGAAGCAUAAGUCCAGUCAUCCCAAAGAUCUUAUAAUCGGCGAAAUUAAUGAAGGAAUUCGCACCAGAUCCAAAAGGCGAGAAGAGUCUAGUGCUGUGGCUCUCGUUUCUGAAAUUGAAUCAAAGAGCAUAGAAGAAGCUUUAUCUGAUGAAAGCUGGAUUGAAGCUAUGCAAGAAGAGCUCAGACAGUUCAACAUUAAUGAUGUCUGGGAAUUGACAUCCAAACCAAAAGGUAAAACUGUUAUUGGAGCUAAAUGGGUGUUCAGAAACAAGAUGAAUGAGAAAGGAAAAUUCGUACGAAACAAAGCAAGACUCGUAGCCAAGGGAUAUACGCAAGAAGAAGGAAUAGACUAUGAUGAGACUUACGCUCCAGUAGCAAGGUUAGAAGCUAUUCGACUAUUACUUGCGUUUGCUUGUUAUAAGAAUUUCAGGUUAUUCCAAAUAGAUGUCAAAAGCGCCUUCCUAAAUGGAUUUAUCCAUGAGGAAGUUUAUGUGGAACAACCACCAGGGUUUGAAGACCCAAAGAAGCCAGACUCAAUCUUCAGACUGAAAAAUGCUUUGUAUGGUUUAAAGCAAGCACCUCGAGCUUGGUACGAUAGAUUGAGUAAGUUUUUAAUACAAAAUGGUUUUGUCAAAGGUAAAGUAGAUACGACUUUAUUUAUCAAAAAGGAAAACAAAAGUUUCUUACUUGUUCAAAUAUAUGUGGAUGACAUUAUUUUCGGAUCCUCUAAUGAAAAUCUGUGCAAUAAAUUUUCUAAGUCUAUGCAGGAUGAGUUUGAAAUGAGUAUGAUGGGAGAGUUAACAUUCUUUCUUGGUCUUCAAGUAAAACAAUUGAAGGAAGGAACUUUUAUUUAUCAAGAAAAAUAUGUUAAUGAUCUUGUCAAAAGAUUUGGACUGGAAAAGUGCAAAAAGACCGACAUACCGAUGUCAAGUUCUUUGAAGAUAGACAAAGAUGAAGAAGGGAAGAAAGUUGAUCAAAAGCUGUACAGGAGCAUCAUUGGUUCACUCCUUUAUCUUACUGCUUCUAGACAUGACAUCUUGUUGAGUGUUUGCAUCUGUGCUAGGUUUCAAUCAGAUCCUAGAGAAUCCCAUCUCAGUGCUGCGAAACGCAUCAUUAAAUACGUUGCUUCAUCAUCAAGCAUCGGUCUUUGGUAUCCUAAGAAGGGAGACUUUAAUCUUCUGGGAUAUUCAGACACAGAUCUGGCCGGUUGCAGAGUUGAUAGAAAGAGCACUUCGGGAACUUGCCAGUUGCUUGGAAGCAGGACAGUGUCUUGGUUUUCAAGGAAACAAAGCACUGUGUCUCUUUCAACAACAGAAGCAGAGUAUGUAGCCCUGGGAAGCUGCUGUUCGCAAAUUCUAUGGAUAAAACAACAGCUAAGAGACUUUGAAAUUGAAGACUCAUGCACGGAGAUUAAUUGCGACAACACCAGCGCUAUCAACCUCACCAAAAAUCCAAUUCUCCACUCAAGAGCAAAGCAUAUAGAGAUUCGACAUCACUUUAUUAGAGACCAUGUUCAAAAUGGAGAUGUUUCAAUUCAAUUUGUUGACUCAAAGAAUCAACUGGCGGAUAUAUUCACAAAGCCUUUGGAGAAAAAUCAAUUUGAGUCUAUACGUUCCAGACUCAACAUUUUGAGGUAUGAGGAUAUCAAAGUCUAAAGACUUUCAGACUCAGUCUUACAAGACUUUAUCUGAAAGAUAGUCUUGGUACGACCGUCAGAUUGUAAGUCUUUCUCUCUUGAAUCUCAUCUUGAAAAGGUACGAUCGUCAGACUAUGUUUAAAUUGUUGCUAUAUUUAAUUGACGUAAAUAUUGCAUCGUUUCAUUUUCAAAAAGGAAGUUAUUUUUGAAAUGGCUAUUUUUGCGGAAAAAGACAGUUAUUUUGAAAAGGCAUUUUUUUUAUUUCCUUUGUGACGGUUCGUUUAUCCCUCUUUUUAACCGAUCGUGCACUGUCGAUUCCUCUUCACUUUUCUCUCAAAAACCCUAGAAAGCAUCGAUCCUCCAUUCCCGUUUGUCUUCUUCGUUUAAUCCUCAAAAAGUUGUCAUCUUUCCUGGGAAAGUCAAGCAAGGAAUCUUCCAAAAACUGAGAAAGAUGUCAUCUUCAAGAAAGUCUUUGAGAAUUGCAAGCAGGGGACCACGGCGAAUGAGUGAGGGGCCUAUGCACUUCGAUCUUACUGAAGUAGAAGUGACUCCAGAACAGCAAGCGAGCCCACAACAUUCUCAACAGCGUCAUUCUCCUCCAUCUAGUCCUCAAGGCGUUGAUCAUCAACAACAGGAAGAAAUCAUCGAGGAUGCAGACCCUGUAAGAGUUCAAAAGCCCGCUUAUAUUUACCAGUUAUAUCGUGCCUUAAAAGGAAUUCGUACUCCUUUGAACUACAUUGAUGAUUUUCUUAAAGACAAAGGACAUGGGAACGAAUAUAUAUUUCUGCGAAAAAUGGAAAGUUUGGGAAUUGCUCGAAAAGGGGUGGCUGAGGAAACCCUUGCAAAUAUCCCAAGUGAUCCUCGUGACUGGGGGCCGAAUCCUGUAGAUGGGAAUGAUGAUGAUAAAUUAUACAGUCAAUUUCAACCGAAAAUGGGUGUUGCGGUUGAAAAUCAAGGAAAAAUGGGAGAUUUGUUCAGAUCAAAGGAGCAAAAGGAUCUGUACUCGAAAUUGCUGAAGCGUGGGGUAAUAAACCCUAGGAGUGUGGAUUUUGAUUUUCUGGAUGCUGUGAAUGUGAACUUGAGGGAAAAGUUUAGUUAUCUUCAACUUGAAAAGUUCUGCUCUGACUCUACAGAGGCCUAUGCUGAAUUAACUGCAUAUUUCUAUUCAAAUCUAAGCUUUUUGGAUGCGAAUAGAUUCUCCUUCAGCGUUAAAGACCAAGACUAUGUUGUGGAUAUGAAUAUGUUGGCAGAUGUGUUAGAAGUCGAAAGAGGAAGAUAUCAACCAAUCAAAAUUUCCAUUGCUCGGGCCACACUUGAACUGGUGAAGGACAGGAGAACAGAUGAAAAGAUCACCUACUUAAGGAUGGGUGCAUUCAACAUCUUGCUUCACAAGAUUGUGAUUAAUUGCCUCCGACCGAAAUCAACUUCCAAGACUGAUGUUUCAAGUUCAGAGGCCAAGCUGAUGUAUGCCAUUCUCUUUGGAAAAAGGCUUUCUCUCCCUCACACUGUGAUGUUUCACAUGUAUAGAGCAAUGAUGAAGGACAGAGGUCAACUCCCUUACCCAAGCCUUGUUACGAAGUUAUUCAGACAUCUGAAUAUUCAGCCUCCACAAAUCUUUUGUGUUCGACCAUGCGAUCAUAUGGUGGUAGGACUGAAAAUGGUGACCAAAAUGCAUCUGAAGGAACUGAGCAAGGAGUUGGAGAAAUUCAAGGAGAAGACUCCUGCAAAAUCUCAUCAAAUCUCUUCUGCAGCUAAAAGAAAAGGGAAUGAGCCCAUGGUUGCUCCAUCCAAGAGAAGAAGAGCUCUCCUCGUUGAGGAUGAAGAUGAUGAGGAAGACAUCACCAUCUCUGCAUUGGCUUUGAAGAAUUUAAGUCGUCCUGUUCCACAGAAAGAAUCGGAACAAAUGACGAAAGAAGUAGAGGAGAAGGAAGAAGAAGAAAUAAAAGCUGAAAAAGAAACAUAGGAGGAAAGACCUGAAGAAGAAAGAAGAGAAGAAGGAGAACCUAAAGAACACUCUUCUCCACCUGUAGGCAUGGAAACAGGGGGAGAUCAGGAGAAAGGAGUGAAGUCUUCAUUUCCUGAUGCAAGUGAAGGAGCCAGUCGCUCACCAGCAGACCCAGAGGAUGUUUAUGCAUCUCGGUUUCCAGAGGAAGGUCAUGAAGUUUCAUCGCCAAACCUGCGAGAUUAUGCUGAUCUACCAUCGUCUGCAUUUACUCCAUCAGAUCGAGCCGAAGCAAAUACUCAGACUGAUAAUGGAGCAGAUUUUCGCAGAAUCAUGGAUAUUCUCUUGGAGAUGCGAGGUCAAAUUUAUGCCUUGGGAUGCGAAGUUCAAAGCUUGAAGAAUGAAGGUCAAGCUUCUUCAUGUUCAUUGAAUGAUAAAAUGCAAGCCCUCUCUGUUCAGAAUCAGGCCAAUGCCAAGAGUGAGGAGAUUGCACAACUAAAGGAAGACUUUAAAAGGCUGGAAGGCCUCGUUCAGUCUAUGGAAGAUUUCCAGCUUGUCCGCGUUCCCAAGCAAUCUUGACUUCAUCUCAUCCUUUUUAAUGAUGACAAAAAGGGGGAGAGAUGCAAGAUUUGAACAAAAACUUUUCAUUCAUUAAACUUUUAAUUGUUUGUUGGAUUGUUUUGUGGUUUGAACUCUGUUUGACUUUGUUUUGUGUCUGGAUGAGAACUGAACUAGACUUGGACUUGACUGCUUCUAUUAACUAAUAUUGAUAUCUUAUGGAUGGCUUCAUCAUAUACUGGACUAACCUAUUUUCUGUGGUUGCAGAUUCUAGUGUUAUUCUGUUAGCCAUUUAUCUCUAUAAGAUAUGCAUAUGUGUUUGAGAAAUGUUUUGCAGGUCAAAGAUAUCCAAAUCUGCAGGAAAGUUUUGUCACCAUAAAAAAGGGGGAGAUUGUUGGAGAAAUCUUCUUGAAGUGUUUUGAAGUUGACAAAACGUUUCUAUCAGUCUAGUCUGAAGGCUUGCAGACUCUGUUGUUUAAAGUCUGAAGACCUCCGGACAGCCAGACUCAAGACUCAAAGUCUAUCCUCAUUGACAGUCUCUAAUCCGUUGAAGAAAGGUUAUCCAUAACUGGAUGUUUUGUUAAAGAUUUAACUUUAUCAACUGGAGAAGAUCUCGUGGCUGGAGAAGACAUAACGGAGUCCUUUGAUUGAUCAAAGAUUGACUCGAUAAUUGAAGAUCCGGUGAUUGCCUAAAUAUUAUUGGAAGGUUCUGCUUAUGGAAACCGAGAUCCUGAUUGUAUGGGCGAACAUGAUUGAUGGGCUAUCAACACGUUCCUUUAAUAGCUUGAACAAUCUUCCUAAUUAAUUCUGUCCAACGAGUAGAUUGGAGGAAUUCCUUUAGUAAGUGCCAACGGGUAUGAUGGCAUAAAGGAGUAUAUAAGAAAGACGGUCUUAGUUGUUCAAGGUGUGCGCGAUAGAAGAAUUCCAAAGUCUGAAGCUCCUUUUUGUUUAGACAAAUCCUUUGAGCGAAUACUUGUAUACAAAAGAGAGUCUAUAUUUGUGAGAAAUCUUGAGGAGGUGUGGUAGAACAUCCACACUGUGGAAUCAAGGCAAAGCUGUGCUGUAACUUCUCUUUUGUUCAUAGUGGAAUCCAGCCAAUAGGCUGUCAGUGAAGAAGAGUGGACGUAGGCUUGAUAUAAGCCGAACCACUAUAAACCGCGUGUUCAAUUUUCUCUUCUCUCAGUCUUACUUUGAUUAACGUUUCCUUCUACUGUCUAGUAUUGUGCAAUUGUUGAAGAAAAAUCUUUUAUAUACCUAUUCACCCCCCUCUAGGUACUCAUACUAGUAAUAUCAGCUAGGUAAUCAUUUGAUUUGCAUGGCAUUAGACACUUGGUGAGUUCCUCUCACCACUUGUCAUUUUCCUCAUGCAGGUUGAUGGGCCUCCCUUGGGCUAGGCUUCUCCCUCCUUCGGUCAACUACUUCAUGGGCUCCUUGGGCCAAGCUUGGUCGGCUGAAUGGUGGGUAAUUGUGGGCCUCCUUUGGGCUGUCUUGGGCCUUAACUAAAUCAACCCACAUUUGCUCCUUAAUCCACCUUAAUUCCCCACUUAAUUUCAUAAUCUCAAAUACUCACUUGGUUAUAUAAAAUUGCAACAUUCAUCAAAUGACAAUCCAACUUAUAAAGUAUACGGCCAAGAACAAAAAUUUUCCUUAUCAAUUUAUUCAUUAAAUGCUCGGCCUUGAUUAUUUGUAAUCCAUUGGUCUAAUGCCUAUAAUAUAACCCAAUGGUGCUUCCAUCACCUAUUCAUGGUUUAUGUAUAUCCAGGGGUUGUCACGAAAUUUUAGGAUGCCACGUAAAUUGCCUGAACGUCAAUUUUAAAAGAACCAAAACUGUAUUUGGGCAAUUUGGUUAAUCUCCUGAGGUAAGUAUCUUCCCACAAUCAUGUUCAUUUCAAGUGUUCAAAAAACCAUUUAACUACAAAUUGACAAGGAUGAUACAGGGAAGCAAAAAUGAUUUUCAAGCACCAUCCUUCCUUCAAAUCAAUAACUAAAACACUCCAACGACGAUAAUAAUAGUCAUAUCAAGGCUUUGUAUUGUGGAAUUGUAUAUCAAAUUGAAUUCGAGACACGAUACCUUGUCCAAUGGGUCAGUCAAGCACUAAUACCAUGCACCCAUCCUGAAAACAUAAAUAAACGAACAAUUUCCAAUGCUAAUUCGAGUUAAUCAUCAGGAAAUGACCUCUCUCAUCAUAUUGACAAGUAAGGUAAUGACAUAAAAUAAAGAUGCAAAUUUGAGCGAGAUCAGAAUACCCAAGAUUUAUUCAAGAUUCGACUAGUAUUUUGCUAUGACAAAGUCAACCACUUCCCAAAUUUUCCUUUUUUUCUCUGGUUGAAAGACAUUCAUUCAUACAAAGAAACGAACCCUACUAGGGUUAGACAAUUGAGUUUUUGAACAUAAAAUAUUCCCUAGGAAAGAUGGGGUAAAGAAUUGAGAGGGAGAGUCUUGUUUCGGUGGGCCUUGGCGACAUAAUCAAUGGCUUGACUAGUCUCUUAGAGGCAGUGGGUGAUUAAGAAAACACAGUCCUCAAAUUUGAUGUGUGACCAAUCUAAAGUUCUUCAAACUUUCCAAUUCCAAUAAAUCCCAUGAACAUUCUUGUACACUCAAAUGAGCGGAUGGUACCCCACUUAUGUCUCGUGAAUUUCCACCACUUAUGGCUCGUGAAUUUCCACCCCCUCAUCCAUAUCCCACCAAAUCAAGAGCUUCAUUUUUAAUGUCAACCCAAAAAAAGGAAAUAUAUAAAAAAGAAGAAGCAAUAGACACUGACUUCACCAAAUAAAUGUGGAAUAAUAGCAUUAUACUCACAUUGUCAGUCCAUUACAAGCAUGUAAUGGACAGUAUGAUGUAGCAUACACCGUGGAAAAAUUGGAUCCAAACAACAAGAAGCAAAGUUCUUGGUAAACGAUGAAAGUUAGAAGUUGAAUUUUAGAGCUUUGGUCGGCCGUAGAGUGUCCUUUGUAUUUACGGUUUUGAUUUAGAUGAUAAAAUGUGUGGAAUAAGGAGUAAAGAUCGAAAAUCUUCUUGACAAUAUAAUUUAUUGUCAGAUUUUCAGAAUCUAACAUAUAUGUUCUAAAGGAUUAGCAUUGUCCUAUGGUGGCCUAGUGUUGCUUUGCCCUUCCAUAAGUCCUAGUGCCAAGAUACUAGCCAUAGAAGAUAUUUAGCUCAAAAGUAAAAACACUUUUAUAAACCAAGCACUUGGCUCUAAUACCAAUUGAAAAUGCUAGUAUGAACACCUAGAGGGGGUGAAUAGGUAUAAAAACAGAUUCUGCAAAAUGCAGUGAAAACCUUUACUUUUAACCCGAGUCUGAAUAAUAACAAACUUUUGAAACUGAGUCUGAAGAACAACAGACUUUUGAGCGAAUUCAGACUUUAGCAGUUAAAUAGAACUACGAACAAAAUAAAGAAAUUUAGGAAAGAAAAUAAGAACACAAGGUUUAUAGUGGUUCGGUUUAGAUCAAGCCUAUGUCCACUCUCCCACGCUAACAGUCUUCUAGCUAGAUUCCACUAUGUAAUCAACAAGAGAAUACAACUUUGAGUGCAAAUACUUAGUAGUAGAUCGCACUAUCUCACUAAGCCACUCUUUUGGUAUUUCUCUCACGAUCACAAACGUUUAAGCUCACCAAAGACAAGUGUAUGCUCGAAAAUUGCUCAGACUUUGGAAUUAUAAAUUCUACGCUCCGUCUCUUAUUUGCUCAUCGGUCCUUCAUCUCCUUAAAUACUCCUCCACUUCCAAACUAGCCGUUGGACAAUAUCUUGAGGAUCGUCUUCCAAUCUACCCGUUGGACAAAUCUGUAUCUAGAAAAUUUGGUAGCCGUUGAGUGACAAAAAUAGAAUCCCAAAUUGAUUCCGAUCGCCCAUACAAAUAGAACAUUGGUUUUCAUAAGUAGAGCUUCUCUGUAUAGAAAGUUUUUUUUUUUUUUUUGUGAAAGGUAAGAAUAUAAAGUUUUUGUCUUCAAGAUCUAAUUGUCAAUCAAUUAGAUUGAGUCAAUCAAAUCAAUCUUAAUGUAGAAUCUAAACCAGAUCACUAGCCGUUAUACAUUUAGAGCUUGUGUUACAUUUUGUCGAAUCUGGAUAUAAAAUCUAAGAGCAAUAAACUUUACAAUUUGGACAUCAAUAUGAACAUAUUCUGCUUCUGAACAGAUUUAGCUUUAAGGUCUGAACACAGUCUGUUAGGUUCUGCUUUAGCAUAGAGUCUGUCUUCUGGUUUUUCAUUCAUGUUCAGUCUGAAAUUUGUCAAAGUGGACAAACUUCUGAUGUAGAAUAGACUUUGACACUAAAGUCUGACAAUCUUCGGACUUUGACACAGAAAUCUAGAAAUCUUCAUAAUAGACUUUGGACAUGUGUUACAUUCAGUCUUCUGGUUCUUCCAAAUAUAGACUUUGAUAAUAUCAUUUACAUGUUCUAUCAUCUGCAUAGUCUAUUACUCAACAAUUAAACACGUUUGUAGACUUUGAUUUAUUUUGUCAUUUUCAAAACAUCAUAAGGGAUUUCCCUAACAAUCUCCCCAUUUUUGAUGAUGACAAAACAAUUUCUGAAUAUGUAGAUUUGUAAACACGUUUUUAAAAAUAUUAAUUUAAAUCAAAGGAUAUCAGAAUAUAGUAAAUAGAUUGAGCAUAACAAUAUAUAGAAAAAUAAUCACAGCUCAAUAUUAUGCAAUAAAUGAUAUCAACCAAUCAACACAUAUGCAUAUUCAUAUAUUCUCCCCAUUUUUGUCAUAAUCAAAAAGUGAUAACAAGUAUCACGUAGACGAUAUAAAAUGAUAACAAAUAUGUCUUGCAUGAAACAUAAUUUCCAAAAAUCGGCUUUUAUAAAAUAAUUCGAAUAUUAAAGAUAUGCAAUAUAUCUCACUUCAAUCAUAUAUAACAUAAAAUAUCCAAUAAAAAUCAUGGAUGCGUUAUAAAAUUCACUUGACCCAUUUUGUCAUAAUAAAAUGAUAAUAUCAAUAAGAGAUUUGUUGAUGACAAAGGGUAAUAAAAAGUGCACUUACCGGAUUUUGUAGAACUUAAAUUCUUACACAUUUACCUUUUCCUUCAUUCCAUAACAAAAUCAUGAAGAAUCCAAAAAGAUUUUUCCAUAAAUGAUCAAAGCUCCCCCUCAAUUUGUUGUCUUUUUGAGAUGAUUACGAUUCUUUCCUUUCGAUUCGCUUUCUCCCCAUUCCAUACGACACAUAAGGGAUUUCCUUAAGCAAAAAUUUUACACAAGGAAUAGAAUUUUUGAACCUCCAAAAGAUAGUAUAGAAUCUCCAUGAUUUUCUAAUCGAGCUUUCCAAAAUCCAUAUGGAAGAUUCUUUUUCAACCUGCAAAUUCUUGUAUAAUAGAUUACAACUAUUGCAGAAAAAUAUCAUGUAAUAUUUUCCUUUCAUUUGCAGAUCAAACUUGCUAGAUAUAAGACAUCUUUUGAGAAUACAGCAAGAAUAUCCAUGAAUAUGCAAUAAUAUAUUUCGAGAUCAAAGGGAUUUCCUUAAGCAUAAAUCUCAAAAAUAUAUUAUUAAUGCAUUUCGCAAAAAGAAAGUUGAGAUUGCUAUCACAUGCCAAAAAAUGCAAUGCCUUAUAUUUAUGACAAAAGAUAUUUACAAUAUAAUAAACAAUCAUCCAAAAUUAUGAUAAAUGCACGUAGAAAUUUGUAAGUUGGGAUGAUAAAAAAUAUUCUCUUAGCCAUGGUGUAUGUUUGAAAUAUACCAUUAAAAAUCAUUACCAAUCUUCAUAGGAGAUAUUUUUUUGAUUGCACCAAAAUUUACGUAGAUUCGCAAUCAUUAUUGCCUUGUUGAAUUUCUUGCAAUCAACUCAUUUCCAUUUUUGGUAUCCAUCAAUUUGGAUCCUUCCUUGAUGUUAGAGCAAAAUAGAAAAUCUCCAUAGAUAAUCAAAUAUUCUUUCUAAAUUCAUCAUGACAUAUUAUUUAAAGAAAGAACAUUAUGCACAAUAAAAUCCUUGAAUAUUUAAGAAAGAAUAUUUUGCAUAAUAAAUUAAUAUCACGUAAAACAGAUUUUCUCUUUGCAAAAUAUGACAAAAUCUGAGAGCAUAACAUUAAUCCAAAUAAAUUCAAUGUCUUUAAGUAAUAUAUCAAAAAUAAUCACACAUAUUAUAUCAAAUCUCAACUCAUGAAUCACAAAAAUAAAUCACACGAUUCUUUCUUCAAAUCAUAGAAUAUGGUCAUAAUAAAAUCUAAAUCAACCAAGGAUAUAUCGAAUAUCAAUUAUAAUGAGAAUUAUUGCACAAAUCAAAUUGAGAAAAAAAUAUAUACAUUUCUUACCAAAUUCUUUUUCUUCUUUCCUCUUUAUAUCCUGCAAAAACAACUCAAAUUUUCUUUGGUACCCAUUUUUUCUUGGGUCCAUGAGAGUUAGUAGAGUAUGAUGUUUUUACCCAAUCUAUCUUAAUAGGUCUCCAAACUUUAGGACAUUCUUUCUCAAAGUGUUUCAAAUCUCCAUAAUUUGAACAUUUGAGGGCUUUUCGACCAACAUAUUUUGUAAAGAUUCUUUGAAAAUGUUUCUUGUACACAAGUCUAGGAGGUUUUUGUCUAAGUCUCUCCUUGACUUUAGAAAAAUCAAUUAGAGAAUCACUUUCUUUUAAAACCAAGUCCCGACUUAUUAUAGUAAGGUACUUGUAUGGAAAGAAUAUGCUUUAAUGUUUUUGAUCCAUUUGAAAAUCUUGUCGAAAUAUUUGAAAAUUCUUUCUUUAAAGAAUCAUUUUCUUUGACAAGUAAAUCUUGACUUUCUUUUGUUUGUAGAAAUUCUUUUUGGAAAAUUUCAAACUUUUCUUUUUGAGAAAGAUCAUGUUGCCUAAGCCAAGAAUUCUCCUUUUUAAGUUCGGAGAUCCUUUUAAGAAAAGAUUUGAGAUUUAAACAAAGCUCAUUUAUAUACUUUGAAACAUUGAUAGAAAUUUUUUAAUGGCUUACCUCGAUUUCUUCAUCGGAUUUUGAGUCUAUGUCUGAGUCAGACUUUGAUUCUGAGUCUGUGUUUAAGUCAAACUCAGAUUCUGAAUGUGCCAUCAAACAUAAUUUUCAUUGCUCAUCAUCUUCUUUCGUUGUUCUUUUCUGCCCAUUCUGCUCGUAUUGUCUUCUUCCAUCGAAUUUCCUUUCUUUUCUACUUAGCUUUUUGAAUUUCUUGUUCAUAAAAGCAAGUUCUUCGCCAUCCAUGUUAUUUUCUGAGUCUGUAUUAUCAUAAUCAGCAUUAGAUAUUAAAGCAACGGACUUCUUACCUUCGGGAUCUUCAUCAUUGAUUUGUUGAGUGCCAAUCAAUUCAUCAACGGAGAGUGGCAUAAUCCUCUAAGUCUCUUCGAUUGAUGUCUUGACAUGGUUCCAAUCUUUUUAGAGACCUCGUAGAAGUUUGUUGACCUUCAUUGGUGCAGAAAUUGGUUGACCUUGAUAUGCUAAACCAUUUACAAUUUCUAUAAAACAGUUGAACAUAUCUCCAAUUGACUCUCCUUGCUUCAUCUUGAAGGAUUCAUAUUUGCCGAGCAGGAAGUUUACUUUUGUCUCUUUUACAUGAUCGGUCCCUUCAUAUGUAACAUGAAGUUUAUCCCAAAUUUCUUUUGUUGUUUCACAUGAAGAGAUUCUGUUAUAUUCAGUAGGAGAUAAAGCGCACUAUAAAGAAUAAAUUGCUUUCGCAUCAAGAGCUUCUCUUUUUGACAUCUCUGUCCGAGACAUAGGAGCGGGGGGUUUGGUUUCUUUUUCUUUGUCAUUCUUAUUUGAUUGUGAUGCAACAGUAGGAUUGAUUCAUUUUUCCACAACAUCCCAUUGCAAGAGAUCUCUAGAUCUUAGGAAUGCCUUCAUUCUAUUUUUCCAAACGUUGUUUUCAUUUCCAUCAAAAUAUGGUGACCUGGUGUUGCUUUGCCCUUCCAUAAGUCCUGGUGCCAAGAUACUAGCCAUAGAAGAUCUUUAGCUCAAAAGUAAAAACACUUUUAUAAACUGAGCACUUGGCUCUGAUACCAAUUGAAAGUGCUAAUAUGAACACCUAGAGAGGGGUGAAUAGGUAUAAAAAUAGAUUAUGCAAAAUGCAGUGAAAACCUUUACUUUUAACCUGAGUCUGAAUAAUAACGGACUUUUGAAACUGAGUCUAAAGAACAACAGACUUUUGAGCGAGUUCAGACUUUAGUAGUUAAAUAGAAUUACGAACAAAAUAAAGGAGUUCAGGGAAGAGAAUAAGAACACAAGGUUUAUAGUGAUUCGGCUUAGAUCAAGCCUACGUCCACUCUCCCACGCUAACAGCCUUCUAGCUGGAUUUCACUAAGUAAUCAACAAGAGAAUACAACUUUGUGCAAACACUUAGUAGUAUAUCACACUAUCUCACUAAGUCACUCUUUUGGUAUUUCUCUCACGAUCACAAACGUUUAAGCUCACCAAAGACAAGUGUAUGCUCGAAGAUCGCUCAAAUUUUGGAAUUAUAAAUUCUACGCUCCGUCUCUUACUUGCUCAUCAAUCCUUCAUCUCCUUAAAUACUCCUCCACUUCCAAACUAGCCAUUGGACAGUAUCUUGAAGAUCAUCUUCCAAUCUACCCGUUGGACAGAUCUGUAUCUAGAAGGUUUGGUAGCAGUUGAGUGACAAAAGUAGAAUCCCAAAUUGAUUUCAAUCGCCCAUACAAACAGAAUCUUGGUUUCCAUAAGUAGAGCUUCUCCAUAUAAAAAAUUCUUGUCUUCAAGAUCUAAUUGUCAAUCAAUUAGAUUGAGUCAAUCAAAUCAAUCUUGAUGUAGAAUCUAAACCAGAUCACUAGCCGUUAUACAUUUAGAGCUUGUGUUACGUUCUGUCGAAUCUGGAUAUAAAGUCUGAGAGCAAUAGACUUUACAAUCUGAGUCUAAGUGCAAUAGACUUUACAAUCUGAACAUCAGUCUGAACAUAUUCUGCUUCUGAACAGAUUUAGCUUUAAGGUCUGAAGACAGUCUGUUACGUUCUGCUUUAGCAUAGAGUCUGUUUUCUAGUUCUUCAUUCAUGUUCAGUCUAGAAUUUGUUAGAGUGGACAGACUUCUGAUGUAGAAUAGACUUUGACAGUUUUCGGACUUUGACACAGAAGUCUGGAAAUCUUCAUAAUAGACUUUGGACAUGUGUUACGUUCAGUCUUCUGGUUCUUCCAAGUAUAGACUUUGAUAAUAUCAUUUACAUAUUCUAUCAUCUGCAUAGUCUAUUACUCAACAAUUAAACUCGUUAGUAGCCUUUGAUUUAUUUUGUUAUCUUCAAAACAUCAUAAGGGAUUUCCCUAACAUCCUCAACACUUUUCAACAAAUCAUUGCCACCCAUCUUACUGCGAAUUUUUAGCAUUGUCAUUUCCAUACAACAUAAACUCAGGGAGAUAGAGACUUUCCAUGACGCAAAUUGGCUUUGUUACUUCAUUUUUCACAUUUUUUUUGCAUUUUGAUUGAAUGAAAUAUUAUUUAAUGAUCAGCAUUGAUUGUUGUUCUCUGGCUCAAAAUCAACGAUAAUGUUCAUCUCUCUGUUUUCACAUUUAAUCAUAUUUUAAUUAUUCAUUCAUUUAUCUCUAUGGUACUUGCCUAUUAGAAUUAUGUCUAGAUUUUCAUGUAUCUUAUCAAAUAUAAUCUUAAUAGAAGCAAAAAGAAAAGCUAAGAGAGAAAAAAAAAGCAAAAAACUGAAAAAAGAAAUAAAAAAUGAAGUAAUGGGGCAAGAGAGAGCACUGCCAUUCCCACGGCCACCGCCAUGCUGUUGGUGUCACGCCCCGAUCCUCGAGCGCGUGCCCAUCCCUCAGUGGUUGAUAAAAUUUUAUGACUUCCCAAGACGAGUCACCGACCUUUUCAUUUUAUUGCACAUGCAGAAGCGAAAAAAAAUCCCCUGACAAUAUCCAUCUCAGGAUAGAAAACAGGACAUUAGAUUCAAAAACAAAAUAUGCUUUUAAAUGCACAUCAAGUCAAAUACAAAAGUCUACCAUCACAAGACUUCAAAAGACCGACUCUCAAAAGGAAAUUGUUCUAUCUGACCUACACUUUGGAUCACCUCAGCUCGGCUCCAGAUUUUCCACUCUACGGUCCUGAAAAAUUUAAGCCCAAAACGGGGUGAGAUAUAAAUCUCAGCGAGUUCACGCUCUAAACCCCAAUUAUGAGGGUAAUACGCCUAAGACGUCUUAAUCACACAAUCAUACAAUCAUAGAGACUUACCUUAUCUUAGAUCCUCCUUGUAGGUCAGCACAGUUCUUAUCACAACCGUGUAUAUAUAGCAAAUUCACACACCAAUUUGGAACAUCCAAACCAAUCAUUACUUACACGAGCAAGAAUUGCAAUUUAAUCACUGCUCACACAAGUAAGAACUACCGAUACACAUCAAAGCAAGAAUUAUAAUUAAAUCAUUGCUCACAUGAGCAAGAACUAUCAAUACACAUCAAAGCAAGAAUUACCGAUACACGCCAAUCCAUCAAUUCAACUCACAUGCGUUCCAAUUAAUUAACUAUUAAUUACUACCUACACGAGCAGUUUUAUCUGACACACGCUGGGAAGAAUAAUAACUACCGACACAUGUCGAGGAAUGGUAAAAUCCACUGACACAUGUCGGGGAAGAGUAAUAACUACCGACACGUGCCAAGAAUUGAUACACGCCGAGAAAGAAUAAUAACUACCAACACACGCCAGGAAAGAAUAAUAACUACCCACACAAGCCGAGAAAGAGUAAAAUCCACUGACACACGCUCGGGAAGAAUAAAAUCCAUCGACACAUGCCGGGAAAGAAUAAUAACUACUAACGUCCACCAACACAUGUUGGGGACGGAUUCUCUUAACUAUUAACAUCCACCAACACUCGUUGGAGACGGAUUCUCUCAACUAUUAAUGUCCACCAACACACGCUAGGGAUGGAUUCUCUUAACUUUCACAUGAUCAUCAAGUAUAAACUCUAGGCAUAUCACAAACUAACCACAUAUUAUCAAAUAUGCACAAACCAGCAAGUAUUGCACCAGUAACACCAUAACCAUGGCAUAACCACUUGUGCCUCAUCACGCAUAAUCCUCCAGGCAUAACAUAGAGCAACCACAGCACAAAAUGUGCAAUUUCCAGCAAGCAAAGCCUCAAGAACCAUCACAAACUCAUAAUUGACCCUAACCGGCAGAAUAGGCCCACUCGCACGUCUCCAAGUUUAAAUCUAGAAAUAUAAUUGAACAAGUUCGGAAAAUUCCCAAAUUUGAAUAUGUUGUAAUAGACACAUAAAAAACAUUUUUUUAUGAAAACACCUUAACCCAAAUCUUUCUAGAUUCAGCCCAGUAAAUCGCUCAAUCUAAUACAAAAAUUGUGUUUGUUUUCCAGAAAAUCUAUUUUCAGAAAUCAGUUUGGUUCGAGGUCCAAAACAUGUUCGUUUGUUCUUAAAUUUGAAUAUGUUAAACUAGAAGAUGUGAUGAAUAAAUUUGUGAAGAAACCAUUUUGAAAUUCAAAUACUAAGAGUUGAUAGAAACCCCUAAAAUCCUGAAAGGUCACUAGUUCCAACAAAAACUGAGAUUCAGUUUGUAAAUGACGGAGCUAAUAUCCCCUUCUUUUAAAUCCCUAAAAAUCUUAAGAAAAAUAUAUGUUGUAUCUGAGAAUGUAUAAAACAUUUCUCAAGAAGGAAUCAACAUCAAAUUCUCAACCCAUUUCAAUCUACAAAAAUGGCAAAUAGCGAGGCUCUAGAAAUUUGAACUAUAGGAAUUUCACUAGAUUCGACUAAUCCAUCAUCAAUGGGGCAAAUCUCACUAAUCAAAUUAACACUAAUCUAUUCUAAGGCUAAUCUAACCAUCCUAGAUUAUCACUAAUCCAUACUUAAGCUAAUCUAAACAGCCCUUAAGCAUAAUUAACCUACUAAGUAAGGUUUAGUGAGCAAACUCACUUGUUCAACGAUCCGCUUAGAUCAAAAUGACAGAGAUGCGGCGAGGAGCGACAAACUCCAAAGCGGGCAAGUCUUUUAGGGUUGGGAAAGCCUUGAAAGCAAGCCAACAGCGAUUGGAAAAACCCACAGCUUCAGCUUUUGCUCGGUGGCCAAAAAGGCUGGAUGGUGGUUGCUGUUUGCUUGGAAACAGUGAGGGAAGGCUACAGCGAUUCAAGCGGGCUGAGGCAAAGCUCCAUGGUGAUCGAAGGCGGCUGAACAGGCUCUGACUGAGCUUCACAUGGGCUGAGGGACCUGGAUGACCUUGGACAACAACAGACAAGGCUCAGGAUGUGGUGGAGGCGAAGGGGCGCGCAUAGGCGAGUGACGGUGUCACGGCUACUUGUGGCGGCUCCGGUGGGGCUGCUCGAUGGCUUGGGGCUGCUGGCUGCUCUUUUUUGCAAUUCUGGGUUUUGUUGAACUUCAAACAGCAAAGGAAGGAGGAGAGGAAGGUGGUGGUCGACGGUGCAAAGGGGGAGGGGAGAAUGGAGGAGGCAAGGGGGACCACUUGGCUUCUAUCUCAUCUUCUUGUCCCCUCCUUUGGUCCCCACCACCAACUGGCUUCCACAGCUGUUUUCCAGCAACAAAACACUUCUAGAAGCCAUUUGAAAUGGUCCAAAAGGUUGGGUCCAAGGGGGCACACAAAUUUUGAUGGAGAUUGGUUCAAUUUGGACUUGAAUGGCUCUUGAAUCAACCCAAUUUGGCCUCUAUAAAUUCCAACCAACAUAACAACAACCAAAUUGGCAUUUUUCCUCGUCAAUGGAUCCCACUUGCAUCUCAAUUUCACAAUCGAAAAUGGUUCUCCUCGACUUUUUCCCAAAAAGUCUCGGUUUGUAGAAAAAUCUUCUGAGACUAAGUCAACGUUUCUAAAAUGACUUGUGACUUGAUAGAACUUUUAAAUUUUUGAAAUUGGAUUCAAAUUCGCAGUUAAUUUCAAUCUGGCGCAAUUUUAGCAUGACCUAGGCUAUUGGGUAGCUUUUAGAAAUUUUAAGUGCAAAUGACCUGCGAUCAAUUUAAUUAAGCUACAAUGAACCCCUUCAACACAUUGGCAACUCUCCGUGGUCGUGACAAUCUCGAGGUUUCAAAUACAAACACAAGAUACCAAAACGAUAGAAAAAUCUACAAAUGAAAACGGUCCUCGGACUUUUAUGAACAAAAACGAUCCUACCUCGACUUUUUUCCAAAAAGUCUCAAUUUAAAGAAAAAUUUUCUGAGAUUGAGUCAACGUUCCUAAAAUGACUUGUGACUUGACAGAACUUUAAAUUUCUGAAAUCAGAUUCAAAUUCGAGGUUAAUUUCAAUCCAGCGUAAUUUUAGCGUGACCUAGGCUACCGGGUAUCUUUUAGAAACUUUUAGUGCAAAUGACCCAUGGUCGAUUUUCUCCGAGCCAUAAUGAAUCCCUUCAACACAUUGGCGAAUCUCGAUGGUCGUGACAAUCUCCAGGUUUCAAGUACAAACACAAGGUACUAAAACGAUAGAAAAAUCAAUCUAGUGCCGAUCGACGAGAAUUUUGCAAUUUAGUGGGAUCACUCACGUUUAACCACAUAUCUUAAUCGAACUGACCUAUCUCUGAUUUCCAAUCGAUCUUACUAUGUCGAAAUAAUCUCUGCAUAUGAGCACGGUCAAGUAGUUGAUUCAUGAUCGAAUCCUCAAGUCUAUUGCAUUAAAAUCUCUUAAUGACUUCCCAAGAUAGUCUAGUUGUCUCAAGAGUGGUCAUCUCAAAAAAAAAAAAAAACACUAUAGGCACGUCAAUGAAAGGCCCAACUUAUCCAAUCAAAAUCAGGAUGUCAUAGUUGGCAUCAGCACCAUCGCCAAGGCAACUCAUUCUAAUGUUACUGCCACUAUUGCAGCCAGCGAAACUAGCCAAAUCAACCAUCACAUCCAAUUACCUUUAAUUAUCUAUUGACUGGUGUAACUUGAUCUAGAGGGGAAUUCACAACAUAAAGAAUGAAUUCUAGUAUUCAUGAUUUCUCACUUGUAUCAUCAAAAGUUGGGUUUCAUGUGAAGUCCACCUCAUCCAAUGAUGGAUGCACUAUUUUUAAAGGCUCAAUUACCUAACCGAAACUAAAAAACAUAAAAUGAUUGGGAGGGGAGCUUGGGAAAACUCCAAAUAGUAGGCAAGGUCAAUUUUGGAUUGUUAAGGUAUCUUCCAUCACUUGUUUAUUCAAUUUAUACGCUCUUAUUCUUUUAUAUAUAUAUAUAUAUAUAUAUAAUUUCCCUCUAUUUAUUAGCUUAAUAUUUUGAAUUUGAAUUUCUAAUAUGGUAUAUGAACCAAGUUCUACCCAAUUUUUUUUCAACUUUCAUGUGAGAGGGGAUGUUAAAAUAUCACUAGGGAGUAUUGAAGCAUCCCAUAUCGGUCUUUCUUCACUUAUUUGCUCAAUGUUUGGUUUUUAGCAAAUACAAUGUGAUUGAUCAAAGAUAAAUUAAAAUCGAACUUUAAAGCAUAUAACCUGACUUUCAGGUUCAAUAUAGUUUGGUGAUUUUCUUGCCCUUUUUUUAAAUUUUUUAUAGGAGGGUGGUUAUUUGUUUUGCACGGUGGUGGGGAAAUUGUCCAAAAAUUCAUAAGCAUAUUUUACUUUUACUAAUUCAGUCCUAAACCUUUUCACUUCUUACUAAUUCAGUCAAUCUGGCCAAUUUUAGCCAAAAAUUAUUAACGUGAACGACCGACACCGACAUGUUAAUUUUUAAAUAAUAUAUCAACAGUAUUUUUUUUAAUGUUUUUUUCUUUUUUAAAAUUUUUUGGCUUUUUUUUGGGGGGGGGGGGCUUGUCGGCCAUGGGAGAGGACUAGCCAGCCCUCGUCGGCUCUAGUCGAGGACGUCGUACCCCUCGCCGGUGAAGAUGAGGGCACACGAGCUCUUGCCUAAAAGGGCUGUGAUGCCAUCGCCAAGUCUAGCUAGGCGAGGGUUCUGGCAAGGGCGUCACGGCCCUCGCUCGCCCAGAUCCAAAACCCCUAAAAAAAAGUAAAAAGAAAAGUUUAAAAAGAAGAAAAAAAGUCAUAAAAAAAUUUAAAAUAUGAUUUAAAAAGCGCAACAUUAGCGUCGACCAUCCAUGUCAUCAAUUUCCAUCCAAAAUUAGCUGGAUGGACUAAAUUACCAAGAAAUGACAAGGUUUAGGACUGAAUUAACAAAAUUAAAAAGUUUAGGAUUGAAUUGGCAAAAAUAUAAUAGAUUUAAGACUUUAUGGAUAAUUUUCCCCAUGGUGUGUGUUGCUGGAUGGCUUUUGUUUCACAUUGAAUCCUUUGACAAAAGUGCCGAGGAUCAAGUUUUGUCUUCUGAGGGAGAAAAUUUCUCCUUUUGAGGUUUUCCAUGGAUGCUGACAUUCUUUUGGUCGACUCACCAUACAAUUCCAAUUAAAUUGUUGUUAGGUGAUGACAAUGGCUCAUCUUAAUACGCUAGAAUAAGGUAGGAGAGGGAAUUACAAAGAUUACAAGCCUCUCAUUAACUAAAUCUAGAGAGAGCCAUUGCAAUAAACCAUUCUUCUCCAUAUUUGAUUGUGUGUUUUCACCCAUAGUUAGGCCUUAGAUUUCGAGUUCAUGUGAAAAGUACCCACAUCGAUAUCAAGCAUGUUAUAUAUAUCAUUUUUUUCUUGGGAUAAAACCAGAUAUUUUGACUUGCUUACACUGAAUUCAAGUGUGAAACAUAUUCAUUCAUUUGAGUAGGCUAAGAGCGAAAGAAGAAUUUCCCAUUGAGCUCGGCUAAACCUAGCCAAAAUGUGACAUCCCAGAUUUUCAACCGUGUUUUCUACUGAAUAAAGCGGGCAUUUCAAUGACACGCCUAUAGGGCUAUUCCCAGAGCUGAUCACUCUCGAGAUAACUAAACUAUAUGGGGAAAUCAUUAAGGAUUUUAAGGCAAAUAGACUUGAGAAUUUGACUAGGAAUCGGCUGCUAGACUGUGUUCAUCUACUAAAAUCAUUACGGCAUAGAUGUAAAUUGAUUAGAAAUUGGAGAUAGGUCAGUUCGACAGAGAUGUGUGGCUAAUCAUGGGUGACAUCACUAAAUAGGAAAAUUCUCGUCGACUGGCACUAAACUGAUUUUUAUAUCGUUUUGGAACUCUGUGUCUAUAUUUGGAUCCUCGAGAUUUUCACGACAACUGAGAGUUGCCAAUGAGUCGAGUGGGUUCAUUGUGGCUCGAAAAAAAUCGACCACGGGUCAUUUGCACAAAAAAUGCCUGGAAGUUACCUAGUAGCCGAGGUCACGCUAAAAACGCGCCAAAUGAAAAUUAACAGUGAAUUCAAGUCCAAUUUAAGAAAUUGUAGAUUUUGUCAUGUCACAAAAAAUUCUAGGAGCAUCGACUCGGUCUCAGAAUAUUUUUCUGACACGCGACAUUUUUCUGACACGCGACACGCUAGUGUUUUUGUGCAGAAAAAGCUAGUGAUUAUUUUUUAUAGCGAAAUUGGGAAGCAAGAUGGAUAUACGGGUGAGGAAAAAUGUGAUUUUAUGGAGGCCAAUUGAGAUGGAAUUGAAGUGGAUCAAGCCACCAAUUGAAGCCAAUUCUUGUAAAAUUUGUAACUCUCCCUUCCCCCUAGCCAAAUGGACCAAAAGAGAAGUCAUGAGAGGUGUUGGUGUGGAUCAUUGGAGGCCAAGGGAUUUCGCUUGGCCUAGGUUGAUUCUUGGAGAUAUUUUGUGGAAAAUAUCAAGCCAAUGGCCCACCCUCUCUCUUAUCUCUUCCCUCAUCUCUAUCAUUUCCAUCUCUCUCACCUCUCUAUCAUCCAAGACCCUCUCCUCUUCAUUUUCGAAACCCUCAAGCCAGCAAGAAGACCAGCAGAAGCAGCUAUAGCGGUCGCACGCCUCCACCCGCGCCACCACCGGUUUCUGCUCCAACUGACCUUUUUCCAAAUAUCCGAGUAAAAAGUAAACUUCCCGGAUGAACCAUCGAACGAGCCACCUAUCACCGUGACAAGGACAUCCAGACUAAUCCAACGAGACCAACGUCGCUCCGAAAGGAGCCGCUAGCUGUCCCGUACGACUGACGCAAGCCACCAGUCGCCAGUCUAUUGAUCCCCUGCCCGCUUGCACAGUUUCACAAUUUUCUUCGUUUUUCUUCCGUUCCAACCAUUCCUUUGGCCAUUCCAUCCACCUGCAAGACCCUCUUAACCCUCGAGAGCCAUUGGUUGCCGACCACCCACUCAUGAGUGCUCCAAUCGGCCUGUUUUUGCUAUUGAAGCCGCUGGUUUCCUCUCUGUAGCCCACAGGCCAAGCCCGUGGUUCAACCAUUCAGCCAAAGUCAGCCUAGUCUUGAGGCCCGCGAAAUAGCCCAAGCCCAUCUUCAAGCAAGCCCAGCUUGCAUUUGUUCAGCCCAACUUCAACUUUGGAUCAGGCCCAUUCGAAGCCCAAGUUUCAGCCCAUCUCCAAAGUUCAGCCCACAAGUUCAGCAAGCCCAGUUCCAAGCCUAAGCCCGCAAAGCAAGUCGGCCCAAGUUCGGUGCAAGCCCAGCUUUUUCUAUGGGCCUGCAAGGGUUGUAGGCCCAGCCCAAGUGUCUGCCGAUGCCGCCGAAAGUUUGGAUUUCGGCCGUUGUCACGUCGCCAUUGCGGUGAUCUGGUCUUCGCUUUGCUUAAGUGAGUUUUGCUCACUAAUUCCUUCUUAGUUUGCUAAUGAUGCUUAAGGGUUGAUUAGAUUUAAUUAAGUGCAAUUAGGUGGUUAGAUUGGUUUAGAACGAUUAGAUUAGUGACUUAAUGAUGCAUGUCAAGUGAUUGAUUAGUGUAAUUAACAAGUAGAGACGUACUUCUAAUUAUUGAAUGCAUCUCGGGAUUUUUCCCGACCCAUUAUUGUGUCCAAUCAGGCAUUAUGGGCCUAAAUUGGAUUUUUUAGUAUUUAAUCAUUUAUUUUCAUAAUUUAUUUAUUUAUUUAUUUAUUUUUCAGAAAUAAGGCUGGGAUAGUCGACGACCGAAAUUUCAUGCUGAUUGUCGUGGUGCAAUCCGUUUAUUUAUUUGAGGUCUACAUUAUGUGGAAUUGAAUUAAUUGUGAUAUUUUAGGAAUGUAUCCUAAAUUGAUUGAUAUUGAGUUGAAUUUAAAUAAUUGAUUGGUAGAUGGCCUAGUAUAAUUAUUUAGCGCCAAUAAUACUUUGAUGGGCUAAAGUAGAGAGAAUUGUGAGAGUGAGAUGGAAAUACUCAAGGCUAAGACCAAUCCGGUACGAUGUUAAGGGCAUAUGUGGUUCGGUGAUACGGAUAUCACUGGCGAAAACGGUGCCUUAAAGAAUGCACGUAACUGUUUAUUCCAUACAUCUUUAUAGGCAUACGUGGUUCGGUGAUAAGGAUAUCACUGGCGAAAACGGCACUUUAAAGAACACACGUAGUUGUCUACUUAUUACAUCAUUCUGGACCUACGUGGUUCGGUGAUUAAGAACAUCACUGGCAAAAAUGGCGCCUUAAAGAACGCACGUAACGGUCUAUUAUAUACAUGAUUUAUGGGCAUACGUGGUUCGGUGAUUAGAACAUCACUGGUGAAAAUGGCGCCUUAAAGAACGCAUGUACCUGUCUAUAAUAUACAUCACAUUGGCAAAAACGACGCUAGAGAGAGAGAAUGUAUGCGAUUCAUGGACAUACGUAGUUCGAAGAUUGGGAACAUUACUGGCGAAAACAACGCCUUAAAGAACGCAUGUAACUGUCUAUUACAUACGUCAUCUUGGCAAAAAUGAUGCCUGCGAGCAUUACUGUAGCUCUGUGACUUAGUGUAUAAUUGGAGGUUAUAUAGUGAGAAGUGAAAUGACCUAGUAAUGGUCCGACUGACUAAUCGACUAGGUCGAUUGAUCAUUACUUUGAUCUAAUGUUGUGAAUUGAUUGAUGGAAUUAAAAUGACUAGGGAAAGGUCAUGUUGGCAUGUAAUCGACUAGGUUGAUUGAUCGAGAUAUCGAUCUAUGACGUGGUUGCUUGGAUGCCUAUUGAACUAUGCUAAUAUACAGGUAGAAUCUGAGGCCAAGGUAAGUCCUCUGACCUAUGUGUGCAUAGGUAGCCCAAAUAACGUAUUGAUUUACUAAUCAGGUCUUAGGGGGUGGAACUUGCUAGACGUAGUCUCAUCCCGGUUGUGGGACAACAUUUCAGGACCCUAAUGAGGAGCCUGAGGAGAAAGAACCCAAAGAGGAGUACCUGGAGGAGAACUCCGAUGAUGAUCCCGAAUACGACCCGAAUGAGGACUGAGAUCCCAUCCUCAUUUGUGAAGCCUAGUUAUAAGUGGUUGAGAGUGAGACUAGACCUUUGUUAAUAGUAUGAUAAAAUACUUUGAGGUUUGGUUGUACAAAAGUUUGGUUGUCAAUUUCAAUAUGAAAAAUACGGCCCUACUUUUCUAUCCCAUUGCUUUAUUGUCUAGGGAUUAUAAUUGCUUCUGCAUGUGCAUAUUAAAAUGAAAAGGGUCGGCAAUACGUUCUGGGACAUCGCUAUUUAAUCGAUCAGAUAAAUGAUGGGUGCGUGCUUGAGGAUUGGGGCAUGACAUCCCGUUUAAGUGGUAUCAGAGCGAAGUUCAAGUUUUAAGUGAUAAGGAGCAAUGGUUCAUGGGAUAGUAGCAAGAAGACCUUUAAAUACAUGCUGGUGCAUGUUUGUGAUAGCUGCUUGAUAGAAUUGUGUGUUGUGUUAAUUGCUCAGUUUCUAAUUCAGUAUGGAAUUGGAAGCAGGUUUCAAUAAAGAAGACUAAACCAUGAGUGAUCAGGAGUUGAUGACUCCUAGCUAGAGUGCAGUAGCCUCUGUAACUCGGGGUAAAGCACCGACAAAAGUUGGUACCUGAGGUGGUUGUGGCAGAGCGUUGGCUCUAGCCAGCUCGAGUGUAAGAGUACCACCACAGGACGAUACUAGUGUAGCAGCACUGAACAAUCCUAGGUUUAACGGAAUCAUUCGAGGGCUAGUGUUCCUCGGGAACUGGAUGAGCUAGCGAGCUCAAGAGCAAGUUGUUGUUGUUGCCACCUUUGCUGAGGUUCAAUCGGAAAGGGUGAUCAGAGAAUGGAUUUCAGUAUCUAAGUCGAGAUACAGCUCAAGCAGAAAUAGAAGUUGGUCAGGGAAAAGACCGAUGUCGAGAGAAGAGUAUUCUAUUCCACCCAAUAGGAAGGGUGAAAUAGUCAAGUCAGCCUGAGACAAAAUAGAACAUGUUAUUGCCAUGGAAAAUGAUAUGAAUCAGUCUCGUGUCUUUUGAGAACAAGGAAUGGUGACAGGUGUCGCUAGUAUGGACAAUGAUUUAUGGGUUGUCCGCAUAAGUAGAUGAAAUCUCGACAACGAUUACUGUUGUCAUCGUCAAUAGGACAGAGCAGAAGAAGUAAGCCAUAGAACGCAUCGUGUAGUGUUUAGAACAAGCCUUCGAUACCAAAAAGAGUGCAUGUUGUCACCUAACAGGAGAUAAAAGACUCAUCAUAUGGGUGUUGGAAUUGUGAAAGGAAACAUGGAUAAAUCCAAUGUCCAGGUAUGGCUAGAGCGUGCUGAGAUUGUGACCAAUACGGCCAUCAGGCGAGGAACAGUUAGUGAAAGUCCAAGGAAGGAUAGAUGCUGUUACCAUAAUUAGGACGCCACUAGGAUGGCGAAAAGGACAGGAAUUGAAUCGACCCUGCACCAAUCAGAGGAAUAAUGUCCUCAAGGAGAUUUUAUCAGAGUAGCGCAGCAGGGCUUUUAUUAAGCUCGAAGAACUCUAGCUAGUUGGAAUAAAGUGCGAGAAAGGAGAAUCACUAGCUAUACUCGUGCUUGACUAGUUGCUGAGGUGUAACUUUGUCGCCACAUGAAUAGAGUGAGCUCAUGGAGUAUUUGUGGUAUCGAAUUAUGGUCAUGGAGCAAUUCAACUUAGUCCAGUAGCAUAUGAAAGUGUCGAGUUUAUUGGGAGUCGAAAUGAAUCUUCGAUUUCUUUAGUCUCGUCGAUGGAAGACAACCCACUUGUUAGGUGGAGAUUGCCAAGGUUACUUGAUGAUGGUCAUAAUUAAGACGGAUUGGAGAAUUGGAGAUGGAAGACAUCUCAGUGGUCUAAGAAUUUCUAGAUGUGUUGUCAUAAGAAUUGUCAGAUCGUUGCUAGAGAAAGAGAUAGAAAUUGCGAUCGAGCUAGCACCAGAAUAGAGCCACUCUCGAAGGCUUCUUACUAGUUAUUGUUGUUUGAAUUAAUAGAACCGAAGAUGCGGAGGUGAAGAGAGAGAAAAGGAGAUGGUUCGUUGUAAUCAUGAAUCAACCAUCGUCAACUCAAUUAGGUGACAAUCAAGGAGAAGUGUUCAUUGCCGAAGAGCUGUUGGACCUAGCGAACACUCCAACUACUGUCAUGGAUUUAGCAAACCGAGUGUUCGAAGAAUAUCUAGAUCAAUUGUGAUCGUGUCUUUCCAUGAUAUACUGUGUAAUAUAGGAAUGCUAAGGAGCACGAGAGACAUCUGAGAAUGAUGAAGGAAUUUUUGUGGACUCGAUCAAGAUCGAGUCAAUUAUCAAUGGACCAAGACCAACAAUAGUAUCAGAGAUCAGAAGCCGCAUGAGUUGGACAAGUCACUACAAAAAGUUCAUGGAAAGAGUCUUAACAUUAGUGUUGCUAUUGACUCGACUCUUGAAGAAAAGAGAGAAAUUCGUACAGACAGACAAGUGUAAGGAUAAUUUCCAAGAGCUGAAACAAGAACUAGCUACCACACUUAUGCUAAUCUCUCCAUAUGGUUGUGGAGAAGACGAGAUCUAUAGUUAUGCAUCAUUUAAAGGAUUGGGUUGUGUAUUGAUGCAACAUAGUAGGAUUGUUGCACACGCGUUCCAUUAAUUGUGAUCUCGCGAAUUGAACAUGAGACGGUGUCAUAAAUCAAAACCUUGGCAAGACUAGAAUGGUGCUAUCUAGUAUCACCUUGGAGGAAAGAAAGAAGUCACUGAUGCGUUGAGUUGAAAGUCUUCAAUUGUGCACAGGCUGGCUAAAGUAUAGACUUUACUUUAAAAUGGUUCGAAAUUCAGUUUUUUAAUUUGAGGUAGGCUACCUUUUGAAUUUGUACAGCCACCCUCAAAAAAAUUGAACUAGUUAUACAAGCAAGAAUCAAAUGCUUUAGUUGACAAACUAGAAUGUUUAGAAAAUCCUACAAGAGAAUACCGGUAAGGGAAAAGUUGACGUUCAAAUUUCGAAAGAUGGGAUGUUGAAGUAUUGUGGGUGAUGAUAGAUGUCAGAUAGUACGGAACUUGAGGAGAAGACCUUGUUAGGUAAUUCACUUUAGUAUUGCAGUAUUUGACCAGACGAUACAAAGUAAGUCUGAAUCGACGGUAGUUCGAUUGGUAGACCGCUAUAAAGAUAGAUGUUGCCAAACGGUUACAUGUGUCAGAUGUGUUAGUAAAUGGAAGUUCAAUAAUGCGAAUCAAGAAGACUUUUACAACCUCUCGAGAUUCCUUAGUGGGAAUGGGUGUACGUCACAUUAGAUUUUGUGACAGGCUUACCGAUGGGUAAGAAAGGUAAUAAUUCCAUUGGGGUAGUGGUCAACAGGUUAACAAAGUCAACUCACUUCACCGCUAUGUGAAAAGGUCUUGUCUGAAUGGUAUACAAAAGUGUAUGUAUGUCAGAUAAUUCAUCUACAUGAAGUGCCAGUGAUGAAUUUAUACCAGAUAUGGACCAAAGGUCCCUAGUUACAGCAGAGCAAUUAGAUCUCCUUUGAAGCAAUGCAUAGCAGAGUGCACAGAAUUUCAGUUUGUGGGAAGGAAGUUAAACGCUGAAAGAGCGCAAGCCCAGAGUCAGCUCAGUAAUCAGUGAUUGCAGUUGCCAUGAUCAAUGCUAGAGUACAGACCGCUCAAAGCUACCUGAAUAUUUGAAUCAUCGAGCAUUGAAGGCUCUUAGAGUUCAAAGCCGCCUGAAUAUUUGAAUCAUUGAGCAUUGAAGACCCUUAGAGUUCUGAAUUGGUGAUUGCAUCUUUUUGAAGGUGUCACCAAUAAGGAAUACCUUGCACUUCAGCAAGGAGGGAAAGCUGAAACCGAGGUACGUAUGUUCCUUUGAGAUUGUUAAAAGAAUCGGGACCUUAACGUAUCAUCUUGUGUUGUCUCCAAGGUAGGCACAAGUGUAUGACGUCUUUCGCGUGUCGAGGUUGAGGACGUAUGAACUUGACUCGACCCACGUACUAAAUCUUGAAGAAUUAGACGUGGACGACAGAGUGUUGUACGUGGAAAACCCGGUUCAGAUCAUGAAUCAGAAAUAUCGGAUUCGUUGAACCAAGAUAGUUCCUUGGUAAAAGUGGUAUGACAAUGCCACAGGACUGAAGAAGCAACUGGGGAAAAGUGAGACUCAUUGAGACAACGACACCCCCACCUUUUUGUUUAAGGAUUGGUAAAGAUUUAAAUUUCGAGGACGAAAUUUUUAUAAAAAUGGAAGAGUUGUGACAUCCCAGAUUUGCAACUGUGUUUUCUACUAAAUAAAGCAUGCAUUUUCAUUGAUGUGCCUAUAUGGCUAUUCUCAGAGCUGAUCACUCUCAAGAUAACUAAACUAUAUGGGGAAACCAUUAAGGAUUUUAAGGCAAAUAGACUUGAGAAUUCGAUUAGGAAUCGGCUGCUCGAUCGUGUUCAUCUACUAAGAUCAUUACAGCACAGACGUAAAUUGAUUAGAAAUUGGAGAUAGGUCAGUUCAAUAGAGAUGUGUGGCUAAUUGUGGGUGACACCAUUAAAUUGAAAAAUUCUCGUCAGCCGGCACUAAACUGAUUUUUAUAUUGUUUUGGUACCCUGUGUCCAUAUUUGGAUAUUUGAGAUUUUCAUGACAACCAAGAUUCGCCAAUGAGUCGAGUGAGUUCAUUGUGGCUCGAAGAAAAUCGACCACAGGUCAUUUGCACUAAAAAUGCCUGGAACUUACCCAGUAGCUUAGGUUAUGCUAAAAACGUGCCAAAUGGAAAUUAACUGUGAAUUCAAGUCCGAUUUUAGAAAUUGAAUAUUCUAUCAUGUCACAACAAAUUCUAGGAGCGUCGACUCGAUCUUAGAAUAUUUUUCUGUGCAAAAAAAGCUAGUGAUUAUUUUUGAUAGAAAAAUUGGGAAGCAAGAUGGAUAUACGGGUGAGGAAAAAUGUCGAGAUAGUCGACGGAUGACCGAUUGAUUUUAUGGAGGCCAAUUGAGAUGGAAUUGAAGUCGAUCAAGCCAGCAAUUGAAGGCAAUUCUUGUAAAAUUUGAAACUCUCCCUUCUCCCUAGCCAAAUGGACAAAAGAGAAGUCAUGAGAGGUGUUGUUGUGGAGGCCAAGGGAUUUUUCUUGGCCUAAUUUCAUUCUUGGAGAUAUUUUGUGGAAAAUAUCGAGCCAAUGGCCCACCCUCUCUCUUAUCUCUUCCCUCAUCUCUAUCAUUUGCAUCUCUCUCAUCUCUCCACCGUCCAAGACCCUCUCCUCUUCAUUUUCGAAACCCUCAAGCCAGCAAGAAGACCGGUAGAAGUAGCUAUAGCGGUCGCACGCCUCCACCCGCGCCACCGCUGGUUUCUGCUCUAGCUCACCUUUUUCCAAAGAUCCAAGUAAAAAGUAAACUUCCUGGAUGAACCAGCGAACAAGCCACCUAUCAUUGUGACGAGGACAUCCAAACCAUUCCAACGAGCCUAAUCUCGCCUCGAACGGAGCCGCCGGCUAUCCCGUACGACCGACGUAAGCCGCUGGUUGCUGGUCCGUCGGUCCCCUGCCUGCUUGCACUAUUUCGCGAUUUUCUUCAUUUUUCUUCCGUUCUGACCAUUCCUUUGGCCAUUCCAUCCACUUGCAAGACCCUCUUGACCCUCGAGAGCCAUUGGUUGCCGACCACCCAUUCGCAAGUGCUCCAAUCGGCCUGUUUUCGCCAUUGAAGCCGCUGGUUUCCUCUCUGUAGCCCACAGGCCAAGCCCAUGGUUCAACCCAUUGGGGUUCGGCACAACUGCGGCCCAAGAAUUCAGCCAAAGUCAGCCUAGUCUUGAGGCCUGCGAAGCAGCCCAAGCCCAUCUUCAAGCAAGCCCAGCUUGCAUUUGUUCAGCCCAACUUCAGUUUUGGAUCGGGCCCAUUUGAAGCCCAAGUUUCAGCUCAUCUCCAAAGUUCAACCCACAGGUUCAGCAAGCCCAGUUCCGAGCCCAAGCUCGCAAAGCAAGUCGGCCCAAGUUCGGCCUAAGCCCAGCUUUUUUGUGGGCCUGCAAGGCUUGGAGGCCUAGCCCGAGUGUCCGCUGACGCCGCUGAAAGUUUGGAUUUCGGCCGCCGUCGCAUCACCGUUGCAGUGAUUCGGUCUUCGCUUUGCUCAAGUGAGUUUUGCUCACUAAUGCCUUCUUAGUUUGCUAAUGAUACUUAAGGGUUGAUUAGAUUUAAUUAAGUGCAAUUAGGUGGUUAGAUUGGUUUAGAAUGAUUAGAUUAGUGACUUAAUGAUGCUUGUCAGGUGAUUGAUUAGUGUAAUUAGCAAGUAGAGACGUACUUCUAAUUAUUGAAUGCAUCUCGGGAUUUUUCCCGACCCGUUCUAGCGUCCAAUCAGGCAUUACAGCCCUAAAUUGGAUUUUUUAGUAUUUAAUCAUUUUUUUUCGUAAUUAAUUUAAUUAAUUAUCUAUUUUUCGAAAAUAAGGCUAGGAUAGCCGAUGACCAAAAUUUCAUGCUGAUUGUCGUGGUGCAAUCCAUUUAUUUAUUUGAGCUAUACGUUGCGUGGAUUGAAUUAAUUGUGAUAUUUUAUGAAUUUAUCCUAAAUUGAUUGAUAUUGAGUUGAAUUUAAAUAAUUGAUUGGUAGAUGGCCUAGUAUAAUUAUUUAGCUCCAAUAAUGCUUUGAUGGGCUAAAGUAGAGAGAAUUGUGAGAGUGAGAUGGAAAUACUCAUGGCUAAGACCAAUUUGGUACGAUGUUAUGGGCAUACGUGGUUUGGUGAUAAGGAUAUCACUGGCGAAAAUGGUGCCUUAAAGAUUGCAUGUAACUAUCUAUUCCAUACAUCUUUGUAGGCAUACGUGGUUUGGUGAUAAAGAUAUCACUGGCAAAAACGGCACCUUAAAGAACACACAUAGCUGUCUACUUAUUACAUCAUUAUGGACCUACGUGAUUCGGUGAUUAAGAACAUCACUGGCGAAAACGGCGCCUUAAAGAACGCACGUAACAGUCUAUUAUAUACAUGAAUUAUGGGCAUACGUGGUUCGGUGAUUAGUGUUAGGGAAAUCCCUUAUGAUGUUUUGAAGAUGACAAAAUAAAUCAAAGGCUACUAACAUGUUUAAUGGUUAAGUAAUAGACCAUGCAGAUGAUAGAACAUGUAAAGGAUAUUGUCAACGUGUGAAGACGACCAGAAGACUGAACGUAACAUAUGUCCAGAGUAUAUUUUGAAGAUUUACAGACUUCUGUAUCAAAGUCUGAAUACUGCCAGACUCAAGACUCAAAGUCUGAAGAUUGCCAGACUUCUGUAUCAAAGUCUGAAGACUGCCAGACUUUAGUGUCAAAGUAUGUUCUACAUCAGAAGUCUGCUCACUCUGACUAAUUCCAGACUGAACGUGAAUGAUGAACCAGAAGACAAACUCUAUGCUGAAGCUGAACCAGAAAACAGACUCUAUGCUGAAGCUGAACUGGGUACAGACCUUAAAGCUAAAUCUGUUCAGAAGCAGAUAUGUUCAGACCCAGAUUAUAAAGUCUACAGACUCAGAUUGUAAAGUCUAUUGCUCUCAGACUUUACAUCCAGAUUCGAUGAAACGUAACUCAAGCCCAAUCAUAUAACGGCUAGUGAUCUGGUUUGCAUUCCACAUCAAGAUUGAUUUAAUUGAUUCAAUCUAAUUGAUUGACGAUUGGAUCUUGAAGACAAGAACUUUCUAUAUGAAGAAGCUUUACUUAUGGAAACCAAGAUUUCGUUUGUAUGGACGAUCGGAAUCAAUUUGGGAUUCUACCUUUGUCACUCAACGGCUACCAAAUCUUCUAGAUACAGAGCUGUCCAAUGGGUAUAUUGGAAGACGAUUCUCCGGGAUACUGUCCAACGGGUAGUUUGGAAGUGGAGGAGUAUUUAAGGAGAUCAUGGACCGAUGAGCAAGUAAGACACGGAGCGUAGAAUUUAUAAUUCCAAAGUCCCAGCGAUCUUCGAUCAUAUACUUGUCUCUUGUGAGCUUAAACGUUUGUGAUCGUGAGAGAAAUACCAAAAGAGUGACUUAGUGAGAUAGUGUGAUCUACUACUAAGUGUUUGCACUCGAAGUUGUAAUCUCUUGUUGAUUGCAUAGUGGAAUCCAGGCAAGAAGGCUGUUAACGUGGGAGAGUGGACGUAGGCUUGGAUUAAGCCGAACCAUUAUAAAUCUUGUGUUCUUAUUCUCUUCCUUAACUCCUUUUGUUUGAAGUUUAUUUUAUUCCGCAUAUAUUUGCCAAGGUUUAUUUUAUACACCUAUUCACCCCCUCUAGGUGUUCAUACUAGCACUCUCAAUUGGUAUCAGAGCCUGUGUACUCACUUUGUUUGAAAUAUUUUACUUCAGAAUUAAAGAUCCAUGGCUAGUAUGUUGGCUCCAAGGCUGGUAGAAGGGCAAAGUAACACGAGACCACCUUACUUUGAUGGAAAAGACUACAACAUAUGGAAAAACAAAAUGAAAGCAUUCCUAAGAUCCAGAGAUCUCUUACAAUGGGAUGUUGUGGAAAGAGGAAUCAACCCCAUUGCUGCGUCUACAUCAAAUAAGAAUGGCAAAGACAAAGAAACCAAACCCCCCGCUCUUAUGUCUCGGACAGAGUUGUCCAAAAGAGAAGCGCUUGAUGCAAAAGCUAUUUAUUCUUUAUAUUGUGCCUUGUCUCUUGCUGAAUAUAAUAGAAUAUCUUCAUGUGAAACAGCAAAAGAAGUUUGGGAUAGACUUCAUGUUACAUAUGAAGGGACCGAUCGUGUAAAAGAGACAAAAGUAAACUUCUUGCUUGGCCAAUAUGAAUCAUUCAAGAUGAAGCAAGGAGAGUCAAUUGGAGAUAUGUUUAGCCGUUUUACAGAAAUUAUAAAUGGUUUAGCAUAUCAAGGUCAGCAAAUUUCUGCCCCGAUGAAGGUCAACAAACUCUUGCGAGGUCUCUCAAAAGAUUGGAACCAUGUCAAGACUUCAAUCCGGGAAACUCAAAGGAUUAUGCCACUCUCCGUUGAUGAAUUGAUCGGCGCUCUUCAAUCCUAUGAAGUGGAACAAAUCAACGAUGAAGAUCCCGAAGGUAAGAAGUCCAUUGCUUUAAUAUCUAAUGAUGUUUUUGAUGAAACAGACUCAGAAAAUGACAUGGAUGACGAAGAACUUGCUUUUAUGAUCGAGAAAUUCAAAAAGCUGAGUAGAAAAGGAAGGAUGUUUAGUGAAAGAAGACAAUUCAAGCAGAAUGGCCAGAAAAGAACAAUGAAAGAAGAUGAUGAGUUAGGAAAUUUAUGCUUGAUGGCACAUUCAGAAUCAGAGUCUGACUCAGACACAGACUCAGAAUCAGAGUCUGACUCAGACACAGACUCAGAAUCCGAUGAGGAAAUCGAGGUAAGUCCAGAAUCCGAUGAGGAAAUCGAGGUAAGUCAUUCAAAAAUUUCUCUCAAAGUUGCAAAGUAUAUAAAAAAGCUUUGCUCAAAUCUUAAAUCUUCUCUUAAAAGGAUUUUCGAACUUAAAAAGGAGAAUUCUCGACUUAGGCAACAAGAUCUUUCUCAAAAAGAAAAUUUUGAAAUUGUGCAAAAAUAUUUUCUACAAACAAAAGAAAAUCGAGAUUUGCUUGUUAAAGAAAAUGAUUCUUUGAAGAAAGAAUUUUCAAAUAUUUCGACAAGAUUUUCAAAUGGAUCAAAAACAUUAGAGCAUAUUCUUUCUAAACAAGUUCCUUACUAUAAUAAGUCAGGACUUGGUUUUAACAAGGAAAAUAAUUCUUUAAUUGAUUUUCCUAAAGUAAAAGAGAGACUUAAACAAAGACCUUCAAAGGUAUUUUACAAAAAUCAUUUUCAAAAAGUGUUUGUAAAACCUGUUGGUCAAAAUGCCCUCAAGUGUUUAAAUUAUGGAGAUUCGGUACACUUUGAAAAAUAUUGUCCUAAAGUCUGGAGACCUAUCAAGAAAAAUUGGAUAAAAACAACAUAUUCUACUAACUCUCAUGGACCCAAGAAAAAAUGGGUACUAAAGAAAAGAUGAGUUAUUUUUGCAGGAUAUAAAGAAGAAAGAAGAAAGAGAGUUUGGUAAGAAAUGUAUAUAUUUUUAUUCUCAAUUUGGUUUGAGUACACAAUUUAAAAUUUCUCAUUAUGCUUGAUAUUCAAUAUAUCCUUGGUUGAUUGAGAUUUUAUAAUAAUCAUAUUCCUUUAUUUGUUUUAUUGAAGAAAGAAUCGCAUGAUAUGUAUUUGUGAGUUGAGAUUUGAUUUAGUACUUGUGAUUAUUUGAGAUAAUUCAGAUUAUUUUUUCUUCAGAUUUAAUCAUAUAUUUGCAAAGUGAAAAUCUAUUUUACGUGAUAAUGCAAGAUAUUCUUAGAUAUUCAAAGAUUUUAUUCUCCCUGUUUUUAUCAUACUAUGACUAAGUGAGAAUUUCUUUUUCAAGAUAUUAUUGUGCAUAAUAUUCUUUCUUUGAAUACUUUGUUACGUUGAAUUAAGAAAGAAUAUUUGAUUAUGGAGAUUUUCUAUUUUACUCUAACAAAAUGGAAGGAUCCAAAUUGAUGGAUACCAAAAAGGGAAAUGAGUUGAUUACAGGAAAUUCUUUAAGGGAAGGAUGAUUGCGAAUCUACGCAAAUUUUGGUGCAAUCAGAAAAUAUCUCCUGCGACAAUUGGUAAUGAUUUUUUUUAAUCAAUGGUAUAUUUGAAAUAAAUACCUGGGUAAGAGAAUUUUUAUUUUCAUCCCGCCUUACAAAUUUCUACGUGCAUUUAUCAUGAUUUUGGAUGAUUAUUUAUAUUGCGAAUAUCUUUAGGUAUUGGAAUUUUGGCAAGUGACAUAAAUAUUUAUUUUCCUUUUGCAAAAUGCAUAUUUGAAAUUUAUGCUCAAGGAAAUCGCUUUUAUCUUGAAAGAUAUUACUACAUAUUCAUGGAUAUUCUUGCUAUAUUCUUAGAAGAUUUAUUAUAUCUAGAAAGUUUGAUCCGCAAAUCAAAGGAAGAUAUUUCGUGACAUUUUUGCAAAGAUUAUUAUCUGUUAUAUAAGAAUUUGCAGAUCACAAAAGAAUCUUCCAUAUGGAUUUUGGAAAACUCGAUCAGAAAACCAUGAAGAUUUUAUUCUAUCUUCUGGAGGUUCAAAGAUUCCAUUCCUUAUGCAAAAAUUUUGCAAAUUAUUGAGGAAAUCCCUUAUGUGUCAUACGGAAGUUUGUUAAGUUGAUGCAGGUUGAAUUCGAGAAGAGCUUGAUUGAAGAAAAUAAAUUUUUGCCUCGAAUUUCAAAAUGCAAAUGAUCGUUGCAGAUAUUGUUGCUACAAAGGAAAUAAUGGAAAAAUAUUCUGCUCAACGUGCACAGGCAACAAUUCUAUCUGCAAAUAUUGUCAUAAUCACAGGGGGAGAAAGCAAAUCCAAAAGAAAAGGAAAAGAAUCUUGAUCAUCUCAAAAAGGCAACAAAUUGAGGGGGAGCUUUGAUCAAUUAUGGAAAAAUCUUUUUGGAUUGAUCGUGAUCUUAUUAUGGAUGGAAGGAAAGGUAAAUGUGUCAGAAUCUGUUAUAAAAAAUCUGGUUAGUGCAUCUCUUAUUACCUUUUGUCAUUAACAAAUCUCUUAUUGAUAUUAUUAUUAUGACAAAAAAGGUACGUGCAUUUUAUGAUGCAUCCGUGAUUUUUAUUGGAUAUUUGCUGAUAUAUAUCAUCGAAGUGAGCUAUAUUGCAUAUCUUUAAUAUUCGACUUGCUUUAUAAAAGCUGAUUUUUGGAAAUUGUGAUUCAUGCGAGAUAUUUGUUAUAAUUCUCUACGUUAUACUUUAUCGCUUUUUGAUUAUGACAAAAAGGGGGGAGAAGAUAUGAAUAUGCAUAUGUGUUGAUUGGUUGAUAUUAUCUAUGCCAUAAUAUUGAGCUGUGAUUAUUUUUAUACUCAAUCUAUUUGCUAUCUUCUGAUAUCCUUUGAUUUAAAUUAAUAUUUUUAAAAAACGUGUUUACAAAUCUGCAUAUUCAGAGAUUGUUUUGUCAUCAUCAAAAAGGGGGAGAUUGUUAGGGAAAUCCCUUAUGAUGUUUUAAAGAUGACAAAAUAAAUCAAAAGCUACUAACAUGUUUAAUGGUUAAGUAAUAGACCAUGCGGAUGAUAGAACAUGUAAAGGAUAUUGUCAAAGUGUGAAGACGACCAGAAGACUGAACGUAACAUACGUCCAGAGUAUAUUUUGAAGAUUUCCAUACUUCUGUAUCAAAGUCUGAAUACUGCCAGACUCAAGACUCAAAGUCUGAAGAUUGCCAGACUUCUGUAUCAAAGUCUGAAGACUGCCAGACUUUAGUGUCAAAGUAUGUUCUACAUCAGAAGUCUGCUCACUCUGACUAAUUCCAGACUGAACGUGAAUGAUGAACCAGAAGACAAACUCUAUGCUGAAGCUGAACCAGAAAACAGACUCUAUGCUGAAGCUGAACUGGGUACAGACCUUAAAGCUAAAUCUGUUCAGAAGCAGAUAUGUUCAGACCCAGAUUAUAAAGUCUACAGACUCAGAUUGUAAAGUCUAUUGCUCUCAGACUUUACAUCCAGAUUCGAUGAAACGUAACUCAAGCCCAAUCAUAUAACGGCUAGUGAUCUGGUUUGAAUUCCACAUCAAGAUUGAUUUAAUUGAUUCAAUCUAAUUGAUUGACGAUUGGAUCUUGAAGACAAGAACUUUCUAUAUGAAGAAGCUUUACUUAUGGAAACCAAGAUUUCGUUUGUAUGGGCGAUCGGAAUCAAUUUGGGAUUCUACCUUUGUCACUCAACGGCUACCAAAUCUUCUAGAUACAGAGCUGUCCAAUGGGUAUAUUGGAAGACGAUUCUCCGGGAUACUGUCCAACGGGUAGUUUGGAAGUGGAGGAGUAUUUAAGGAGAUCAUGGACCGAUGAGCAAGUAAGAGACGGAGCGUAGAAUUUAUAAUUCCAAAGUCCCAGCGAUCUUCGAUCAUAUACUUGUCUCUUGUGAGCUUAAACGUUUGUGAUCGUGAGAGAAAUACCAAAAGAGUGACUUAGUGAGAUAGUGUGAUCUACUACUAAGUGUUUGCACUCGAAGUUGUAAUCUCUUAUUGAUUGCAUAGUGGAAUCCAGGCAAGAAGGCUGUUAGCGUGGGAGAGUGGACGUAGGCUUGGAUUAAGCCGAACCACUAUAAAUCUUGUGUUCUUAUUCUCUUCCUUAACUCCUUUGUUUGAAGUUUAUUUUAUUCCGCAUAUAUUUGCCAAGGUUUAUUUUAUACACCUAUUCACCCCCCUCUAGGUGUUCAUACUAGCACUCUCAAUUAGAACAUCACUGGUGAAAACGGCGCCUUAAAAAACGCAUGUACCUGUCUAUAAUAUACAUCACGUUGGCGAAAACGGCACUAGAAAGAGAAAAUGUACGCUGUUGACACCUAAAUUUUGGCGAUCUGGUCAUUUAUUUAUUGCAUAGAAAAUUAGGGGUUAAUUUUAUCUCUAAAAAAAUAUUAAUGGCAUAGCACAUAGAUUUAGGUACAUUUAUCUUUUAAUUUGUAUUUUUUUUUUCAUUUGUUUAUUGGACUGGUGGCGGAUGGGUUCAAAUUAAUGGUUAUGAGCUUUAAUUUGGCAAGCUGAACUAAGCUUAUGAAACGAGCAAAUUGGCCCGAGCCCGUUUUAUUUUUAAUAACAAAAAUUAUCUAAAUGGAGAUUUGAUGUGAUAUUAUGGUGGUUUUUGGAAUUUGAGAAAAUCACAUUGCAAUCUUAUCUUUAGCAACAGAUGAUGAAAUCAUGGGAGAAUAUUCAUGAGAUAAGGAUUUUUUGUGAUCGGGAGAUUAUAAGCAAUCUUCGUGAGAUGAAAUAUUCACAAAAGGAUCACAUUUUGUUUUGCAUAUAAAAGGGCGUGUACGGAGAUCAAAAGGGGGGGCUUCUCUUGGUUUGAAAGAAAAAAAAUGAAAGGUUUUCCAUGGCUUUUCCGUUCGUGCCUUUGAGGAAAACCUACUGAGGGAAAAGUAAUAAGAAGUGUGCAGAGAGAGAUAGAGGGAGGAGACGUGAAAGCGACAUGAGAGAGAGAGGUGAGAGCAUAAAAGAAAAAAAGAAAAAGAGGAAAAAGCAAAAAGAUGGACAACUAUUCAUCUUCCUCGUGAGUACCCGUUCGACGUCCCUGCUACCCGCUUCCUCCGCACCGCCAAGCUACCGUAGCCGCUCCGCCUCACCACGCGACCACCGCUGUCCACUUCGCCUCACGCGUCACUUCACCCCCAGCCGCGACAAAGCUUCUGUUUCUACAACGCUCUUGCAAAUCCCAAGUCCCCUUAUGCCAAGCGACGCCCAAAACAACACUCCGCCGGUUUUUGCCGCAACUUGCAACAGCCCGAACCUCUUCCGCCACAUUUUGUCUACAGCACGACGCCUCUGUAGUAGCUGCAACUAGUCCCAAUCAUCUCCAAGCAUCACCGCUUAGCCGCACCGGAACACCAAUCUGUCCGCAACGACGCUACUGCCCUUGCUCUAUUCGCAAUCUGCCUGCAACCUGCGCUGGUCCAAGAAAUGCCGUCCUACCCCACUGCACCUCCUCCGUGAGCAACUUGCGACGCCAGCCCAGUCGUCCGCGACUUCCCUUACCGACGCCGUUCCUGCCUUGCUCUGCCACUCGCCCGCGAUUGCCCAACAGAUCUCACCUUCGCUUGCCGUCCGUGAAGCCCAACGCCAACAAAUCUGAGACCCUCUCAGUAGCCGCGACCCAAACGCCCUUGCUUCACUUUGUCGUCGCCGAUCUGCAGCACCAGAAGUCCUAGCAUCCCUGCUUGCCUCUACUAGACGCUCAGCCACUACUGUGCCGCUGUCCCUGCCACGUCCCGACGCCGCUGGAGCCCACACCAUCGCUGCUCACAUCUCCCCAGUGCUCGACAGCAAGCUUCAUGCCCCCACGACGCCCCCUCACCGGAGCUCCAACGCUGGCCACCGUCCGCCCGGUGCCAACCAACUUGUUGCUCCCUUUUCCUUAGGUUGUUUGCUUUUAUUUUUAUUUUUAUCUUUCAUUUAUUUUAUGUUAUUUUUUUAAGUUUUGCUACUAUUGUACCAUUUAGAACAUUGGGAAUUGAUUUUCGUUUUAUUGCAGUCAUUAUCUGCAAGGUGUUGUCCAAAAUUAUUGUAAUUAUUAAUUUGAUCCGUAAGACGUCGGAUCAUUUUUUUUAAUUAUAUUAAUCUUUGGGCAUUUUGAUAGUAUUUUAAUUGUUAGAUCAUUAUAAUUAUUGAUUCGUGUGACAUCCUAAAUUUCGACCCCAUUCCGAAUAUAUGAAAUGGGCACCUCGUCGACGUGCCGAUGGUGCUUUUUCUCUGAGCUGAUCACUCACGAGUUAACCAAUCUAUUGGGCGAAGCCAUUAAGGGAUAUAACCACGGUAAAAUUCCUAAAAGCUACCCGGUAGGUCGGAUCGGACUAAAAUCGCGUUCGGUCAAUUUUAACCACGAAAUUGAAUUCGGUUUAAGGAAUCAGACGUUCGAGCAUGUCACGGUUCAUUUGUAGGACGUCGUCUUGUCUUUUGGAGAGAUUCCGUCGAGUUUGGGAUUUUUACGGAAAAUCAUUUCAGACGUCACGAAAAAUAGCGGAAAUUCGGAUGGCCUCAAUUGAAGAAAAUUUGGACUUCUAAGCUGAGCUACUGGGUGGUGGGAAUUUGUGGAAAUGUUUGGGAUUUUUCUUCGUCAAAAUUGGACUUCGAAUUGGUGAAGUUGAGGAUGAAAUCGAAGCCAAAAGACAGCAAUUUUUGGACUUCAAGAUUUGGAUUAUUGAUGAAUUUUAUGCAAGAAAGUAAUAAGAAACAUUGAGAUAAGUUGAGGGCUAGUUGGGGGACAAAGCCUUCAAUUUAGUGGAUAAGUGUGAUGACUUUCUUUAUUUUCUUUGAGCUUCUUCAGCAAGUCUCGCCGGUCUCUCUCUCUUCCCCAUCCACUCGCGCACGCGGAAUCCCCCUGACCGACAACCUCUGCAGGAUUAUCUUCUUGGGCUUUAUUUCAUUGACUAGAGUCAAUGUUUAUCCCUCAUUCGGCCGACAUCCCUUAGCAGCUCUUCGUUUCUCUUCUUGCGGACACACCCGCCAAACAGCCCCUGCAACUCUUGGCCACACGUCCGCUGCCCAGCCAUCUUCGGUCAAUCUUCAGCAAGCGAGACCCCUGCUCUUGACUCCAUCAUUUCAUCGACUCAUCCACCUCUUCACUUCCGCCCGCUAGCUGCUCCAAGUUCAUCGGUUUUCUCUCAACCGAAGCUAUUCCAGCUUCGACUCUGCCACGCCCGUGACGCCACGCUGCAGCUCUCUUCGUCCGCGCAUCUUCAGUUCAUCCAGUGAAGCUUGGCCCAGCGAAGCGUGUUCUUCAAGACCCAGCAGAACGCCUCAACGUUGACCGAAGCAGCUGAGCGUUCCAUCCCCUUCAUUCGCGAGCUACACCCCACGAAGAAGCAAAGCCCACGAAGCUAUCGAGUUGCUAUUCCCUUCGGUCUUCACGCCUGCAGCUCGUUGAUCCAUGCAUCUCCUCAGUCAACCGAAGACCAUCAGCCCCUUCGUGUCUUCAUUUUGCCGGUCAUCCAUCCAGCAACGAAGAGCCCAAGCUACCAGGCGUCCUCCUCCACUUUCACGUUUCAUUUCCCUGCAACACUCUCGGUCAACAAGUCAGUUCAUGCGGCCAUCGAAGUUGACUCCAUCACCCACUCUCCACCGAAGCUUGUCGUCCACCCACGAAGCAAGCCGUGAUUUUCUGUAGUCUACGGCCCGCGUGUCUUCAGCAGCAACUUCGGCCCGUGAAUUUCAGCAAAGCCGAAGUAGCCCAGCAGUUUCUUCUUGGCUCGGGCCCAGCAGCCCACUUCAAAUUUCAGUCCAACAACUUCGGCCCAAAGAUUUAGUAAAUCAGCUCAGCAAUAGCCCACAUAAAUUCCAACUCAGCCCAGAGAAAUUUUUAGUCCAGUGAGCCCGCAAGGCCAGUCCAGUUUUGAAGCUGUCUCCAAGGUUUAGCCCAUCUUGGGCCCGUGAAGCAAGUCGGCCCAAGUUCGGCCGAUGUCGCGGUUUUCGAUCUUCGCUUUGUCAAAUGAGUUUUACUCACUAAUGCUUUCUUAGUUUGCUAAUUAUGCUUAGGGUUGACUAGAUUUAAUUAAGUGCAAUUAGGUGGUUAGAUUAAUUUAGAAUAAUUUAAUUAAUGACUUAAUGAUGCAUGUUAGGUGAUUGAUUAGCGUAAUUAGCAAGUAGAGACGUACUUCUAUUUAUUGAAUGCAUCUCGGGAUUUUUCUUGAUCCGUUAUGACAUCCAAUCAGGCAUUACGGGCCUAAAUUGGAUUUUUAGUAUUUAUUCAUUAAUUUUCGAAAUUAUUUAAUUAUUCAUUUAUUUUCCGGAAAUUGGGUAAGGAUGGCCGACAACCGGAAUUUUAUGCUGAUUGUCAUGGUGUAGUCCAUUUAUUUAAUUGAGCUUUAUUUCAUGCUAAAUUGAAUUAUUUGUAAAAGUGGGAAUUAUUCUUUAAUUGGAUAAUCAUUGAUUAUUAAUUGAAAAAUAACCAAACGUCGGUUGAUAAUGCCAAAAAUAUUUGAGUGGACUACAGAAAAUGUGGGAGUUAUGGAAAGGAAAAUAUUAUAUUUUGGCUAAGGCCGACCGUAUCCCCACACACGGCUAUUUUAUCGAGAAGGAUAAAAGAUGGAAUGGAUUGAAUGGUCGGAUAGUAUACUAUAUCAUCCUACGAGCUCUGAUAUGUCAGCUUAGCGAUAGUAGUAUACUAGUGUACUAUAUCAGCCUACGGGCGAUAUGUCAGCUUAGCAUGAGCAAUACACUUUAUCAGUUUAGAGUGAGCAUCAGGGGUAUAUUAUACAGCCUUCGGCAAUAUGUCAGCUUUGGGUAAGUAGUAUAUCGGUAUACUAUAUCGACCUACGGGCGAUAUGUCAGCUUUCGGUGAGCAGUAUACUUUAUUAUCAACUUUUGGUGAGCAUAUAUAGUAUACUAAAUUAGUCUGGGGGCCUUACUUUAUCAGCUUUGGGCGAGCAUAUACAUAGUAUACUAUAUUACCAGCUUUGGGCGAGCUAUACUAUCUAUUUAUUAGCUUAGAGUGAGCAGUCCUGGACCAUGGUCGGACUUAUAGAUAGUAUUGAAUGUGCCGACCAAACAUAGGUCAUGAUGACAUGUAAUCGACUAGGUCGAUUGAUCAAUGAUUUGAUCUGGCGUGGUGAAUUGAUUGAUUGAAUGGAAAUGACUGGUGAAUGGUUCGAUUGAGAUGAAAUCAGCUAGGUCGAUUUGAUCGAUGUUUCGAUCAGUGAUGUGAUUGCUUAGGUGCCUAUUUGAUAUGUGCUAAUAUGCAGGUGGAAUCUGAGGUCAAGGUAAGUCCUCUGACUCAUAUUGUGCAUAGGCAGCCCUGAGAUGUAUUAGUUUACUAAUCGGGUCUUAGGGGGUAGAACUUGCUAAGACAUUGUCUCAUUGGUUAUUGAAUAACCAUUUCAGGUCCCUAAAUGCAAUAGACUUGGAUUUUGAAGAUCUCGAAAGUCCGGUGCAGUCUGUUGAAGGCUCCAGUUGGAGUGUGGAGGAUGAUGAAGAGGAGGAUGGGGACUCGUAGCUUGUAGAACCUCACUUCUGCUUAUAGACCUUGUUUUUAAACUGGCCUUUUGUGAAUUGAACUUAAUAGUUCACCUUGUAUAUAUAUGUGCACUGGUUUGCAAUGUAUAAAAGGAUGAAUUUUUUUAAAGGUUUGAAAUUUAGUCAAACCGUUCUAUCCCAAUGUUUUAUUGUUUGGAGAUUUUUAAUUGCUUCCGCAUGUGCAUGUGAAAAUGAAAAGGUCGGCAAUACGUCUUGGGAUAUCGCAAAGUUUUAAUCGACCAAGGUGAGGGAUGGGCGCGUGCCCGAGGAUCGGGGCGUGACGUCCCCUUUUGUGGUAUCAAAGCGAAGUUAAAGAAUUUGAGUGAUAAGGUGCGAUGACCUAUGGGAUAGUAGUAGGAUGGCCUUUAAAUUCAUGCUGGUGCAUGUCUUUGAUAGCUAAUUGGUAGAAUUGUUUGUCACAACCCUCAAGGUACAACUCAUGGAGAGAUGGAAGACAAACAUCAUUGAUUGAGUUAUUCAAAUGCUGACGUGAUUGAAUUUCAAGCUUUAUGAGAUGAUCAAGUUGACAAGGUAAUGUCCCGACCAACAAAGGACAACCCCAGACAACAAGAUGCCGAAGACAAGAGAACGAAACUUUUUCUUCGGGGCCCUCGACAUAAGGAGACCAAUCAUUCCAUGCCAACACCUCUUGGAACUUUAAAGUGGUUAACGAUGAAAAGGCCUUCUACCUCCAUAAAAGUCAAAGCCUAUCGUUCUUAUUGCAUGUAGACCUUUAAGAGAUAAUUCCUUAAGCGAAGGUAGUUGUCCAAGUAUGGAUAGUGAUAUAACAUUAGGACAGUCCCACAAGCACAAAGACACUAUUUUAGAAUAAGACGUACGAUCUAACCAUAAUGGGAAUCUUGCACCACGAUAGUUCAAAAUAGUGAGAUUUUCAAGAUUAGUGUGAGGUUGCAGAAAGUCAAGCACUUGUGCUCUAUGCUCAUGAUUAUGCAGAUUUCCCACAUGUUCGUCCCAGUGCAAGGAUAAGUUGGAAAGCUCUAGCUUUUGAUGCAAUUAGCAUCGACUGCAUCUAUAACUUUUUACACCUUUUGCAAUUUUGCUAUGAAUAAUUCUCCUUCAAGAUGUGGCAAGUUAUUUGACUGUGACAGCCUAAAUUUUCAGCUCUUGUUUUUUAUUAAAUAAAUCGGGUCUUUCAUUGACACGCUUAUAGUGCUAUUCUCUGAGCUGAUCACUCACGAGAUAACUAGACUAUCAGGAGAAGCUACUAAGGGAUUUUAACGCAAUGGACUUGAGAAUUCGACUAGGAAUCGACUACUCAACCGUGUUGAUCUGCAAUGGUCAUUAUAUCACCGUCAAAAAUUGAUCAGAGACUGAAGAUAGGUCGAUUCGAUAAAGAUAUGUGAUUAGUAUAUGGGUGAUUCUACCUAAUUGCAAAAUUCUCGUCAAACAGCACUAGACGAUUUUUCUGUCAUUUUUGUACCCGGUGUCUAUAUUUGAAAUCUCGAGAUUUUCACGACAACUGAGAGUCGCCAAUGUAUCGAAAAUGUACAAUGUGGCUUGAAAAUAAUCGACCAAGGGUUAAUUGCACCAAAAAUUCCUAAAAGUUACUCGGUAGGUUAGAUCACGCUAAAAUCGCGUCGGAUUGAAAUUAACCCCAAAUUUGAAUCUAAUUUCAGAAAUUGAAAGUUCUAUCAUGUCACAAAUCAUUUUAGGAAAGAAUUUUCAGUGAGCCCGAGAUGUUUACAGAAAAUAGUUUCGAACGAUUAAGAAAUUAACGGAAAUUCGGAUGGGCCAAAUCAAAAGAAUUUUUGGCCUCCUUACCGAGCUAUUUGGUGAUGAGGACUUGCGAAAAUUUUAUGGGCUUUCUUCUUCAACGAAAUUGGACGUCGAUUUGGGGAUUGAAGCUUAUUUUUGUUAAAUUCGGAGCUGGAUUUUGGGGCAGUAAUUUUUUACUUCAAUUGGUUUAUUUUGUGGAUUAUAAUUCAAGAAAGUAUUAGGGGCGAGCUUUUAAAUUUAGGUGAAUAAUGUUACUUGACUUUUGCUCCCCAUCCGUAGCUUCUCCGGCACGCCUGACCAGCUGGCCUUACCAACUCCAUCUCCAUCGGUUUCUCCUUUACUUUUCAUUUCUCCUUCAUUUUCAACCAUCGAAGCAAGCUGCCUCUCUCCACUGAAUUUCUCUCUCCCUGCACGCGUGUUCUUUUCCCCCAAAUUAGCUGCCUUCUCUGCCGAGUUUGCAUCUCCACCGAAGCUGCUCGUCCAACGCCGUCCCCACUGAUCCUUCUUCAGCUGCCACGUCCAAGUCUUCAUUUGGCUCAGUCAGCGCUGCAAUGCCACCAUUGAUUGUCUCAUCCACCGAACAAGCCAACGUCCUCGUGUCAUCUCCUCACCGAAGCUGACUGCUGGUUUUGUUGACCGAAGCAGCUGCCAGCGCCAUCAGCCUUCAUCCUCCUUCGCUGCUUCCUCGUCCAGCAUCAAUCGACCGAAGCAGCACACGCCAGCUCGCCGACCCACCGAGGUCAACACCAGCGAACUCUUCUCCUUGAAGUUGACUCUCCUUCGUCCGUUUCCUCCUGUCGCCAGCAAAGUCCACGAGUCCAGCUCAGCCCAUAAACCAACAGACAAGCCCACUUGAAGCCAAGCUUCAGCCCACGUAAUUUUUCGGGCCCAGCAGCCAGCAGUAGCCCAACCCCAGCAGCAACCCACGCCAUUUGAAGCCCACCUUUGGUUGGAUUCACUCCUGCAGCAGGCCCAUUCAGUUCAGCCCACCGAAGCACGCCACUUGAACCCUGCAGCAGUUUGGCCCAAGCCCAGCCCGUGAGCAAGUAGCCCAUUCGAAGCCAGCUCAGUCCAGUCCAGCAAGUUUCGCAAGCCCAGCCCAAUUUUGGUCAAGCCCAAAUCAAGAACAAAUCUCAACUUGGGCUGAGAUUUGUUGGGCCGAUUUUAGGCCCAGUUUGAGCUCCUUCAGCGCAGCCACAAUCUCAAUUUCGGCUGCCGUCGCGCCGCCAUUGCGGUGAUCAAGUUUUUGCAUUAAACCGGUGAGUUUAUACACUAAACUCUACUUAGUAGGCUAAUGACGUUUAAGAUGUGUUUAGUUUAAAUUAAUUAGGGAUUAGGUGGUUAGUUAAAUUAGAUUAGUGAUUUAAUUAGUUAAAUAUGCAUGUUAGGUGGUUAGAUUAAAUUAAAUAAAGCCUAGAUAGGAUGUGCUAUUUAUCUAGACAGGUUUGGAAAUUUUUCCGGUCCGUUUAGGCGGUUAAUUUAGCAAUUUCGGCCUAGGUUAGUAUUAAUGGUAAUUAAUUACAAUUAUUUAAUUAAUUUUGGUAAUUAAUUAUUAACUAUGUUGACACCUAAAUUUUGACUAAUCAUUUAGUAAUUAAUUGCAUAAAAAUUUAGGGAUUAAUCUUUAACCCCCAAGAAAAAUUUGUAAAAUUGCAUUUCAUGUAAUUGCAUUUGCAUCGGUACCAAAAGGCAACAAGACACAGCGGCUCGUGGUCAAUAAUACUCACAAAAGGACGGUCUCUUUCUUGCUCGUCUGAAAACACACAAUGAAAGUCAAAGAAAGAAGAAAGAAGAGGUCCUCGCACGUCCAUUUUCUCUCCUUCAUUAAAUGCAUGCACAUGCACGCACGAAAUGGAGCGGACGUGAGGCCGCAAGCGUGAAGAAAGCAAAGAAAGAAUCCUCCAUUGCACACGCGUCCUUUGAAAGAAGGAACCAAACGUGAAUAGCAAGGAAAAGUUACGGCUGCCUCCUGUUCACCUGUUCACCCUAAAGUUGGUGGUUGCCUAUAAAUAACCAAGGAUCCUCGGUCGGGGGGAGGGCAGAAUGAAAAAAAUCACUGGAGAGGUUUGUGAGAAAAAAAAGCUAUUAAAAAAGAGCCCGUAGAGAGACGCACGAAAAGAAAAGAAAAUGAAGAGAGAUAGAGAGUCUGACAGAGAGAAACCCAAAAGGUGAAGUAAGAGGAAAAAGGGUUCACUGACAAGUACAGAGAGAGACAGACAGACAGACGUGGGGGAGACGUGAGGAGAGAGGGAAAAAAAAAAGGAAGAACAGAACUUCUGCUCGUCUUCUCCACGCGAAGCCUCCACCGCUGCUGCUCGUCCCCACCGCAACAGCACCACUGCCGUACCUCCACUUGCGGAACCCGCGAGCGCCGCCAGCGGUCUGAUCCUCCGCCGAUCUCUGCCGCCCGAGCUGCCGCCCACCGCCGCACCUCCAUCAGCCAUCGUCGCGCCGACCUUCGAACAGCACUGGAGCUCCGCCUCACCGCGCGACCUCUGCCGUCCACUGCACCCGCGUAGCCACUUCUGCUCCGCUUCCCUGCGACGGCCAACUCUGCUUCCGCUCCGGUCCCCUGCUACGACGGCCAGCUCUGUUUCUGCUCCACCCCCUGUGCGAGCACCACACACGAGUUCGUGCCGCCGUUCGUCGCCUCUGCUGUGGUCGCGACAACCCGCGACGAAGCUUCUGCUCCUACGCCGCUCAACCCCAGCAGCGAAACCACUUCUGCCGGCAACCCAGCCGCACCACCAGUCACCGCCACUCCGCCGGUCGUCCACGAUCGCCUAGCAGAUCCAGCGACCCAACGUCCCUUCAGCUCGAAGCUCCAAGCGCCGUCGCAGCAACCCGCGUCCGAGCCCGACGCCGGCAACCCGCACCACCUUCGCCCGCCGGUCGCAGCGCAUCUCCGCCUGUCUUCGCAACCACCCGCUGCUGCUCGUCUUCCCGCCCGUUGACGCCAGCAACCUGACGCCACGAGCACCCACCUCUACGCCUGCAGCCUGCGCCUCCGACGCCGCGCCACCGUCCCUACCGUUGCCGCUCAUCACCCCUGCUCGCUCGUCACCGCGCCUGCACCUCCGCCUGACGCCGCGCCACCGCCCAGACUCCCGCAAGCUGCAGCACCCGUCGCUGUGCCCUACCCGUCGCCGCAGCUCCGCUCGCACGUUGCUUGCUGUACCUCCGUGAUCGAGAAGCCCAAAGCCGCUGUUAUCCCGCUUCUGUCCGUGCGCUGUUGCUUCUUCCCUGCAGGUGCACCAGCGACGACGAGCAAUGCGAAGCACCACCAGCCACAAAGCCCGCGACGAGCUUGGCCAGAAGCUGCUGUUGCGUUCCACCACCACAGCUCGGCCCCGACGCGAAUUGCCGUUCGUGAAUCUUUGGCGCCGAUCCAAAUAAGGUAGUUUUCUUUAACUAAAUUUCUUCUCGAUAUUAUUGCAUAACUUGGAAUGUUUGAUGUUAAUUGAGGCUUUAAGCAGUACCUAGUAGGAUAUUAUUGGUAAAAAUCACUAUAAUUACUAAUUUGGUCCGUAAGAUUUCGACCAUUUUUUAAUUAUAUUGAUUUUGAUGAUAUUUUGGCUUUAAAAUCAUUAUAAUUAUUAAGUUGAUCUGAGAGACUUCGGAUCAAUUUUUUAAUUAUGUUGAUUUUCUUGACAGUUAUUAUGUUUAGGUUAAAAUAAUCAUUAAUUUAAUCCGUGAGACGACGGAUUAUUUUUUCAAUUAUUUUAACCCUUCAUUUGAUGAAUAUCCUGAGUGAGUUGGGUACAAUGCUUAUUUGGUAAUUGCUUGUUUUGGAAAACACUAAAAAAAAAAAAAAAAUCAAUCAAAUCUUGCAUCGGAAUGUGAUGGCUUCAUAAAUUAGGAUUGCAUUUUGCACGUCAUGAUAUAUUUAGGGCUUCAUGAUAGUAUUAUUUAGUUUGAAUAUGAUUGCAUGUUUAGAUAAUUUUGGAAUAGAUUAGGAGAGGAUCUAAAUAACAUUUUUGUAGAUAGGGUUUUGGAUAAUGUUUGCAUAUUUUAAUAAUCUCAUUUAAAUAUAUAUAUAUAUAUAUAAUUUUCUUAAAUAGGAUAGGGUCACAUGUUUAUAAUUUAUCUAGUUAGAUUUUUUAAUAUUAGAUUGCAUGUUAAGGCUACUUUUAAGAUGAGCUUCCGAAUUAAAAUGGGAUUUAUCUAAAUUAUUUCCUAGCUUGAGUAGGAUAACUUGUCAACUUUUGUAGUCAAUUUUCAGUAAUUAUUUCGAAUUUCAAUAAAAAAAUACAAAAAAAAUAUCAUGUACAUGUUAUCUAGGUAAGUUUUCAUUUUAAAACAAGAGAAAACCCAAAAAAAAUAGUUGCUUGCCUUAUUGUGUUUAAUUCCACAAUGUUUUUUUUUUCUUUGAAUGUUAUCUUUAAUGUGUGUGCACCCGUAUGAUCACUUUAGUGGUUUAGGCUAAAAUCAAUUCAACCUGCCUGCAAAACUUUUUUUUUUUUUUGAAAUAAAAGAGAAAAGGUACCGAAAGGGCGUUAGAGAAAUCUAGCGUAACCAAGUCCCCGAACUCAUUUAAUCUCUGGUUUGUAGGAGUGAUGGGAGAAUUACUUGGGUUUCUAAUCGACCCACCUAUAAUAGAUUAGUGGCGACUCCAUGAUAAAAAUCAUUUGCAUAUUAAGAACUUAAACCCUAAGUUGCGAAUUGGUAUGGGCUUGGGAGAGCUCGAGCUAAAUCUAGGCUUAGCAAUCCAUUAGUCGAACCCUUAGGUGGUCCAACCCGCUCCGGGGAGGUCACGACAAAAUAUUUUCUGGAAAUUAGACCGGGAUAGCUAGUAACCGGAAUUUUGUGCGGAUUGCAAUGGUGUAGUUAAUUUCUGCAAUUGAGUGUUAAAUUGCGAAAAUUAAGUGUUGAUUGGAAUCUUGAGUAUUUAAUUCCAAAAUUUGUGAAUUUUGAUAUUUAUUUAGAAAAUCCUUUGUCUCGGAUUUUAACAUCGAAAAUGGUUUCAUAUACUAUAUAAAUCAGUGGGAUUUUUAAAAAUAAGGUUAUGAAUUUUUCGGGUUCAAUUGAACCGUGUACCCACACACGACUAUUUUCACCGGGUAUUUUUAAUACGAAGAAAAUAGGUCAGGCUCAUCAUUUUGAUUGAGGUAUUUGAGUGCAAUGCACGGUGUCCUGGGCCGAGAUUGAAUUGUCGUGUGUUGGUUAAGAGAACCCGUCCCAAGCAUUUAUGCUGGACGUUACCCUAUAUGGGAUUUGGGUCGCAGUAGAGUCUGGACCUAUACUCCUUCGAGAAAGCCGUCUUUGAGAGACGUAACCAUGCUCAAUGGGGGUGAGACAAUGCCUGGCUACGCCAGUAGACCGCCGAACUUCAAGUAGGCCGUACCCUAGAGUGGGCGUAAUUAUCAAUUAGAACGCAUGUUGAGUGAAAUAGAUGCGCCGGAUUAUGAGACAAAACUGUGUGACAUGGUAUGUGACGUGUCAUAACAGUUUGGCCUUAUAAUCUGGACCCCUGUGAUUUGUAGAGUUGAGUAAGGCGUUUCAAUUGUUGCGUGCAUCGAUUUUAUACAUGAUGUAUAUGAACUGUGCUAACCUGCAGGGUAGAUCUGAGACGAGGUAAGUUUCCGUGAUUGUAUGAUUGUGUGGUUAUGAUGCCUCUAGGCGUAUUACCCUCCUAAUCUAGGUUUAGAGCGUGAAUUCGCUGAGAUUUAUAUCUCACCCCGUCGUGGGCUCAAUUUUCAAGACCAUAGAGCAGAGUAACCGGAGCCGAGCUGAAGGGAUCCGAGGAGUAAGUCAGUUAGGACAACUUCUUUUUGGAGAACCUUCUUUUGUAGACUUUUGGUUGCUGAGCUUUGUAUAUAACUCAGUUGGUUUAUAAAAGUAUGUUUGUUUAUGAAAUUGUUAUCCUACUUUUCUAUCCCGAGAUGGUUACUGUUAGGGGGUUUAUUAUUCGCUUCCGCAUAUGCAAUAAAAUGAAAGGAUUGGCGACUCGUCUUGGGAAGUUGCAAAAUUUUAUCAAUCACAAAGGGAUGGGCACGUGCUCGAGGGGCGUGACAUUAACUCUUUCAAAUGAGGCCCUUUCUCUUGUCCUACCACAAAUUUGGACAAGAUAAUAAGAUUCUUUAAAUUACCGAUACCCAACGGCAUCUCUUUUAGACUCUUUGUAUCUCUAAUAUCAAGAAAUUGUAAGCUGACUAACUUUGUGAUACCUCGAGGCAACUUUGAAAGCUUUCGACAACCUCUUAAAAUCAGAGCUUGUAAUUUGCACAAAGUGCCAAUUGACUCAGGUAGUGCUAUUCUGAGAUCUAAUUACUCUUGAGAUAAUUAGACUAUCCGGGGAGUCAUUAAGAGAUUUUAAGGCAAUAGACUUGAGGAUUCGACCAGGAAUCGGCUACUCGACCGUGUUUAUCUGCCGAGAUCAUUACAACACAGUAUGAUUGAUUAAAAAUCAGAGAUAGGUCGGUUCGACUGAGAUAUGUGGUUAAACGUGGGUGAUUCCAUUAAAUUGCAAAAUUCUCGUCGAUCGGCACUAGAUUGAUUUUUCUAUCAUUUUGGUACCCUGUGUCUCUAAUUGAAACCUCGAGAUUUUCACGACCACUGAGAGUCGCCAAUGUGUCGAAGAGGUUCAUUGUGGCUCGAAGAAAAUUGGCCACGAGUCAUUUGUACUAAAAAUUUCUGAAAGCUACCAUGUAGGUUAGGUCACAUUAAAAUCGUGCCUAAUUGAAAUUAACCGCGAAUUUGAACCCGAUUUCAGAAAUUGAAAGUUCUGUCAUGUCACAGGUCAUUUUAGGAACGUCGACUCAUCCUUCGAGGAAUUUUCGGUGAGUUCGAGAUUUUUACAAAAAAUCGUUUCGAACGAUUCGAAAAACAAACGGAAUUCAGAUUGGCCAAAUGGAAGAGAUUUUUGGCCUCCGGUGUGAGUUACUUGGUGAAUGGAAGUUGUGUGGGCUUUUUCUUCAUCAAAAUUGGACCUCAAUCGGAGAAGUUUGUUUAGAAAAUCGGAUUCCAAGAAAGAAUGAAUUAGAAGUCAGAAUUGAAGGAAAUUGCCAUUUUUGUUGCCCAAGACUUGUUGUUUGAGAGAAAUUUGGUGCAAGAAAGCAAGUGAGGAUCAAGUACUUUAGCAUAGGGAUUUUUGGGGACCAAAUUAGAUUAAACAAGAGCAAGUGAAACCAAGAUUUUUGAAUUAUAGGAUUUUCUCUUUAAUUUUUCUAUUUCCUUUCCCUUCGGCCGCCCACGUUCCCUCUUCUCUCUCUCUCUCUCUCUCUCUCUCUCUCUCUCUCUCUCGUGAAUCCCCCCCCCCCAAACCGAUGUCCCCUCUCUCUCUACCGUGGCUCACUUCUCUCCCAUUAUCUUUGACAUUUUAGUCAUCUUUAUCUUCUCCCCCACGUUGCCGACGCCACCCUCUCUCCUUUCCCUCUUUCUUUCUUUCUUUUAUCAUUUGCUACACAUUCAUCCCCUUUUAGCCGACACACAAGCCCUCCAUCUCUCUCUCUUUUGUUCAACCACCCCUCUCAACCAAUUCGGCAGCUUCCUGCUGUUGCUGCCUCACGUCUACGAAGGGACCUCCACCAGUCAACCCUCACAUUUCCAGCAAUUCAGUUCAGGCCCAACAGCCGUGGAAAUCCAGCAACACCAUGAGGCUUUGCGGGCCAAUUUUCGAGCUCAAUCUAUGCCCCGUUGGCGUCGCCGCUUUAGAGCUUUUCGUUCCUCGUAGCGUCCUCGUCGUUUUGAUUUGAGUUGAUCGUUAAUCAGGUGAGUUUAACUCACUAAUCCUCACUUAGUAAGUUAAUGACGUUUAAGGGUUGAUUAGUUUUGAAGAAGCUUGGUUUAGUGGAUAAUUAGAACGGUUUAGUAAAUUAGUUAAUUAUCGAUGCAUGUUAGGUGGUUAGAGUAGUAUAGUUAGAGCCUAGACAAGCUCUAGAAUUUAUCUUGAGUAGUUUGGAAAUUUUCCGGGCUCGUCUCGGCUUCCAAUUAGGCUUUUUCGGGCCUAAGUAACAUUUUUAGUAUUUACUAAUUAAUUAUUUAUUUAUUUUCCGGAAAUUAGACCGGGAUAGCGAGUGACCAGAAUUUUAUGCUGAUUGUAGUAGUGUGAUUUGUUUAUUUAAUUAAGUUAUAAUUUGUGCUGAUUGUGUAUGAUUUGUAUUUUAGGAAUUUAUUCCUAAAAUUAUUUAAUUUCAGUAAUUAAUUAGAAAAUCAUCGGGCGUCAGUUUACAGCGCCAAAAAUGAAUUUGUGGACUGUUGAAAUUAAUGAGAUUUUCAAAGGUGAAAAUAUUGUAUUUUUGGCUAAAAUCGAUCGUGUACCCACACACGAAUAUUUUUAUCGGGAAUGAUAAAAAUGGUGAUUUGAUUAAAUUACAAUCUUCAGCAUACUAUGGGAGUAUGGCUGGCAGCUUCUAGCGAGCAUAUACAAUUUCCAGCAUACUAUGAGAGUAUGGCUAGCAACUUCUUAUGAGCAUUAUUAUUAUCAGUAAACUACAACAGUAUAGCUGGCAGCUUCUAGUGAGCAUUGUUAUUUUCAGCAUACUAUGAGAGUAUGUCUAGCAGCUUCUAGCGAGCAUAUAUACUAUAUCAGUAUUUGAGGUAGCUUCUGGCGAGCAUAUGUAUAGUAUAUUAUCUUAGUAUUUGAGGUAGCUUCUAGCGAGCUAUACUGAUAACUCUAUAAAAAAUAGAGUUAUUUUACCUAUUUUAGGCAGUAAUUAAUGCAUUAUCUAUGAGAAAAUAUUUGGAUUUCCUUCUGAUUAUUUGAAUUUUCCUUAUUUAUGCAGAAUAAUGAGAUAUGGAGAGGAUAAUGAAAAGAAUGGCAACUAUCAGGAAUUCAAAUAAAAGCAGCAGUGGAAGAUGGAUAUCAAAUCAGGAAAUUUUUUAUUUGUUCCCUAAUGUUAUCUGCAAGCGUUGGGAGAUAGAUAUCUUGGAUAUAUCCUAUAAAUAGAGACAGAGAGAGCAACUAGGGUUUGGAGUUAGAUCGUUUUUUCAUUCUUCUGAGAGUUUUUUAAGUAUUUUGAAGAGAAGACAAAAGUUGUGACAGAAUUCUUGUCAUUUGAUUCAAGAUGCUGGGUUUGAUCUAUAUUUUUAUUUUUUCUUCUACUAUGUUCUAAUUUUCUUUUGCUAGGGCUACGAUGUAGCCUAACCAUGAUGAUGUGAAUUUCAUGAUUUUUAUGUUUUACAAUUGAUUUCAUUCAUGUGAGUUAUAUAUUAUUGUGUUUAAUGCUUUUGAGUGACUGGCCACCACUUGAAUGAUUUGAUGUGCAUGUUGGAGACUGAGAAGUGAUAAUAUGCAAUUGCUCAUUAUAAUGUAUAACCAUGAAUUAAACGUUGAGGCGUUAUUUGUGUAGCUUUCAGUGAUAAAGUGAUCCAAAAGACUCAUUGUAAGCCAGGAAUAUUCAUAGUUUUUAAUGCACUUAUGCUUAUUUUAAUUCACAUAGAGAUAUAGUGGAUUAAUAAGCUGAGUAGGUUUGCUAUACCUAGAGAUAGGAUAGUAAAUAAAUUAGGAAAUUCCGCUAUCACAUGUUUGAUAUCGUUCUUGUAUUCAUAAUAAUUUGAAAUUCAUAUCUAGUGGUUAUGGUGAAAUCGGAUGCUGUAACGUAUUUAUCUUAUCGAUUUAUUGCAUUUAGUCUACAAAUUUCGUUUUUUAAUUUAUUCUUAAUUAUAUUUUGAUCUGUUAGAUAAAUUUUAGAAUUAGUCUAUUUUAGUAUUUAAUUAGUUUAUUAAUCAUUGAUCUCCGUGGGACGAUACUUUUUCUCAUCAUUACAUUAUUUGUUCGACACGUACACUUGCGUUUAGAAUUUUACGAACAUAUACUAUCUAUUAUCGACUUAGAGUAAGCUGUCCGCAAGGUGGUCGAACUUUAUAGAUAGUAUUGAUUGAGAUGACCGGGGUAUGGUCUUGCUGACAUGUAAUCGACUGAUUCAAUUGAUCGAUGAAUCGAUCUGUCUUGAUGUGUUGAAAUGAUUGGUUGAAAAUGUCAAUUAUACUGACUUGUAGGAAGGAACAAAGGCAAAGGUAAGACCUUCGACUUGUGAUUGUGUUUAGGCAGCCCUUUAGGCGUAUUUUCUUCCUAGUCAGGUCUUAGGGGGUUGAACUUGCUGAGACGUCGUCUCACCCCAUUGCGAGAUAACAUUUUCAAGUCCCUAGUUGACAGCAGUGGAGGACUCAAGGCCUGAAGUUUAGAAGUUCUUCUCGAUCUUGUCUGACUAGUUAGUUAUAGGACAAUUCUCUUUUGGUUGAUAGUCGAUUCCUUUUUGUAGGCUUCUGUGUAUAAACCUGUGUGUUUAUAAAAAGUUAUUUUGAGAAAAACGGGCCUUACUUUUCUAUCUCAUCUUAUUGUUGUAUGGAGAUUUAUUAAUCGCUUCCGCAUGCGCAUUAAAAUGAAUAAGUCGGCGAUGCAUCCUAGGACAUUGCUAUUUUAUCGACCAAGCAGAGAUGGGCACAUGCUCGGAGGAUCGGGAUGUGACAAUUUUUUUUCCUUUUCAUUUCUUUUUUUCUUUGCUUUUUAAAAAAAAAAAAUUAUUCUUCCUUCUUCCAUUUCCUUCGCCAAUGGCUAGCCAAACGAGCUCGAGCUUGUUGAUCAGGUGAGGCCAAGACCUCCUUGAUGAUUGGCAAGGCUCAACCCUCAUUGAUUCUACGAGAAUCGAGCUUGUUGGGCUUUGGCGAGCUCUGGCAAGCUCAAGCUCGCUGAGGAUUGGCGAGGCUCGAGCCUCAUCGAUUCGACAAGACUCGAGCUUAUUGUGCUCAGGCAAGCUCUAGUGAGCUUGAACUCGCCGAUCUAGCGAGGCCGAGACCUCACUGAGGAUUGGUGAGGCUCAAGCCUCUUUGAUCUAGUGAGACUUGAGCUCAUCGGCCUCUGGCUAGCUCAACCUCGCCGGACUAGCGAGAUGGAGCCUCGCUUAAGGCUAGUGAGGUUUGGCUCAUCCACCAUCAUUGUGGCCGACGACUGGCGAACGAAAAGGAAAAAUAAAAAAAUAAAAAAUAAUAAUUGAAAAUUCUAUUUUUAAAAAAUAAAAAUUCGAUUUAAAAAAAAUUAAUUAGAAAUUAUAUUUUAAAAAAUAAAUAAUAUUAGAAGGAAUGCAAUCAAAUUUUUCAAUUUUUUAAUUUAUUUUCAAAUUUCAAGUAAAUAUAAAAAAAUAUUUUUAUUUUUCAAUAAAAUGACUUUAUAAAAAUAUUUUUCAAGAUAAAAAGAGAGCCUCAAUUUAAAUAUAUAUAUAUAUAUAAAUUUCCCAUUAAAUUUGUAUUUAAUAAAAGAGUUUUAACAAUAUCAUUUAAAAAAAAUCAUAAGAAAUAAGCUUUCAUAUAUUUGGAAGUAUUUAUCAAUAUAAUCUUUAAAAGAAGUCACAAGAAUUAUUUUUCCUAAAUUUGGUUAAAUAUGGAAGUGUUUUACUAACAUGGUUUAGGUCGGGUAUGGAUCGGGUAUGAGUUGGGUUAGGUAUGGGUCAAAAAAUUUAUAUUGCAUGAAAAUGGAUUAAAACAGGUUAAAUAGGUCAAUAUGGGUUGGACUAUUUUCGACUUGACCUAAACCCGACCUCACCCACCCAUUUAAUGGCUCUAGUCAAUAGUAUUGAAGUACAUUAUGCCUUCUUGGGACAAGGCUAUAACACUCCGGUGUCCAUUUAAUUUUGGUGCUUUUCACUGGCUUUAUGGUAAGUCUUAAAUUUAAAAAAAAAAAAAACUUUCGAUAGUCAAUUAAAAUCGGCAUUGCUUGCAGUUGAGGCCUCUCCAGACCAAAUUAGAUUAGUGCAUUUGACGAUUUUCAUUUUGUUGUAGGUAAUUAUACUUGGUUCAAGUAUGCCGAGUUCUAAAGUUUGAGUAAUAUUUGGAAACAAUCAACCACAUGAACAGUUCAUUUUGUUAUAAUUCCUAUUUUUUAAUUACAUGUAAUAUGAAAAUAUGUGCGCAAUAAUUAGGGGUGUCAACGGUUCGGUCUGCUCUAACUCGAUUAGAUCCUAAUAAUUGCUGCACCUCACAAGUCACAUUAAUUUCUUGACCGACAGUAUCUCCAUCUUUAACUACCACAGCGUUAUACAUUUUAGGCUUCCUGCCCGGGGGACAGGCUACGUCGAGUACCGGACCNNNNNNNNNNNNNNNNNNNNNNNNNNNNNNNNNNNNNNNNNNNNNNNNNNNNNNNNNNNNNNNNNNNNNNNNNNNNNNNNNNNNNNNNNNNNNNNNNNNNCGGGUGUCAACGGUUCGGUUCGGUUCGGUUUUUUUGAAAAACCGAACCGAACCGAACCGAACCGUUAGAAAAAUCUUCCGAACCGAACCGAACCGAAUACGAACCGAACCGAAACUUCGGUUCGGUUCGGUUCGGUUUGGUUUGGUUUUUUGGUUUUUCGGUUUUUAGCUUUUGGUUUUCGGUUUUCGGUUUUUUUUUUUUUUUUUUGGGGUGGGGACGGCUUACCUUCUGUAUAUGCUCCUUAAAAAAAUAUUAGAUUAAACAAGAGCUUUGUCUUCUCUCAAAGUCUGCGUACAAUCACCAAGGAAAUAGUUAGCUGUAGCUGAGCAAAUGUUGCUGAAGCUCAUCACUGCUACAAUGUUAAACGAGGAUGAACUACACUGAACAUGAAAGAGGACCUAAAAAUUCCCACCAAGAAAACCAGAAAACAACCCUUCUGCAUCGGCCCAGAAUUUCCAUCAGAAAUCCCACAUACAACAACUGAAUCGGCAAGUACCGACCUUUUCAGUUUCUAUCAUCUCAGAAGGUGAUUAAAACCAGAAACUCCACGUAGAUUCAUCACAUUCCAAUACAGAAAUUAGGGGGGAAACAAUCAAUAGCUGUAAACAGAGAUACAGUCAAUGAUAACCCUUUGACAUCAGCACCCAUGUAUGAGAAGCAAACACAAAAAGUAAAACCUCCUAAUAAGAAUGUUCAGCAGGCGUUUUAAUCAACCAUGGCCAUCUAAAGGAGCCAAGAAAGUCAACAAUGGAGCCGAGCAUUUAACGAAAUAUUUCUUCAUUUUCUCAUCAAUUUUGCAUAUCAGCCAAACAACAUAGGACAGAAGUAGAAGCUUAAAUCGACAUUCCAGCUGCAACAACAUCCCCCUCCUCCAAUGUUCCAGCUUAAGCAACACGUAAAUCACUUCACUUCCACAGAUUGGCAAACUAAACAGAUAAUCAUGCCUAAAUAAAAACCUGAACUUUGUUGGAAACAAGAACUCAACCUGAAGAUUGAACAUCUGGCUAAAUCUAUUUUCAAUAUUUCCCCCAAAAAACAGAUAAAGCAUCCAUCUUCAUUGUGUACCACUCAGCACAACAACAAAAUUAACACUCGUCACACCAAUGGAAGCGAAACAACAAUGAGGAUCUCACCUAAAUCCACAGAAAAUCCUUCUGUACAGGAAAAAAGAAGAGCCGAAGCAGAAAAACAAAAACCCGCAAAAAAGAAAAUAGCAAAAAUGGUAGACGGACAGAGUGUUCCUCGGAACCAACGCAGCAGCACAAAUCAGAGUUCGCGUCGCAACAGAAAAACAAAACCUUCGCCUCAACACCCACCAAGAAAAAGUCUCAAAGAACAGAACAAAUGGAGCAAAGCAAGAAAAAAGGAAAAAAACCCAGAUACCCUCUGCAUGCGACCCAGCGACAGCACUGAGAAAAAGAGCAAAAGAGAUCUUUGUAGAAGAAGAUGUAGACAGAGCGAUCAAAGGAGAAUCUUACCGAUUUGAACUAGCCCAGUUCACUGAGCAAGCAAGAGGCGUCGCAGAUCUAAAGCCACUGGCAGCCCCUCAGUCCAGAGCAGAGUGCGCGCAAGACAUGCUCGGCCCCUCAGUCGCCGUCGCCGUCACAGAAGGAAGAGGGACGAAGGAGAGAUUUGCAGAAGAAAGGGACCCUGUCCCUCAAUCGGUGGCUGUCGCCGUCGUAGUCGCCAUCGCCGUCGCCGUUGGGAGAACUCAGACGGGAACCGAUAAAAACCAAGACGAGACACGACGAGAGGACUCAGAGACGGGAGUCGGGAGAGAACCGAUAAAAAAAAUUUCGGUUUUCGGUUCGUGCCUUUGUGGUUUGGUUUUCUGUUCGGUUAACCGAUAAAAACCAAACCGAUAAAUUUUUUUUCGGUUUUUGAUGAAAACCGAACCGAAAAUCGAACCGAACCGAAAAAACCGAUUUUUUCGGUUCGGUUCGGUUCGGUUUUCGGUUCGGGUCUUGACACCCCUAGCAAUAAUCACAUGUCUACGUCUGCGCGUUGCCCGUGCAUGAACAUUGGUAAUCUAAUAUAAUUUCAUAUUUCAUAAUUGAUUGACCUCAUUAAUUGGGUUCAAAUCUAAACAAAUUUUAAAUUUAACCAUCUAUUUUUUAUAUAUUAUUUUAACUAAUAACUAUUAGGAAAAGGACACACACUAGUAGAGUAUCCAUGCCGCGCUUCGGCUCAUAAUUAAGGUGUAUGUAUUCCUUUAAUUGAAUCUUAAUUUAGGAUCUCAUGAGCAAAAGUUGAAAUUGUCCAAAAGUUAUUUAAUUUUUCCUAUCCUUUUGCUUAGUUCUAUCUUAUUUAAAGCAGAAGUGAGCUAAUGGAGAGAGAAAACUAUUUAGUCCAAGAAGACCAAGACAUUCACCUAUCUAAAACAUUAAACAAAGAAAAAAAAAACAUUAAACAAAGACCAACACCAAGGCUUUUUUUAAAAUAAAAAAAAUUGCAGCCAUACAUUCUCAGUAACCUUAUGAUCGAGAACCACUUGAUAGGAGAAUUGUGGUCCUUUGCACGAUUUUCCUAUUCAUAGGUGUUAUGCCUAGAGUAUAAUUUCUAGUAGAUUGUACAUUGUUAGUUGGCGAUGCCUGACCUUCUUUCUUGUCUAGCGAUGAAUGAAAUUGACCAUAAUUAAUAGGACUAACAAACGAGCAUCUUUGUACAACCUGCACCAACUGAAAUAAAUGUUGAUGAUCCACCUAGCAAUGGCAUCUUACUUUCUAUCGCACAUCUACAAGUCAUCAAAGACAACUAACUUAGACUGUUUGAGAAGGAGAAUGGAAACACGUGCUUUACACUAACAAGAAAAAGAAUUAGGUACACCAUGAAUCCAUGAAGCAAGUUGCCUAAUUUUACUUUGGAAAAAGUAAACGAUUCAAAAAUCAGCAACUAAUUCAUUAAGCAAGUUGCUUUGGGCUAACUUUUUCUGUUCAAAUGACCACGAUUCUCCUAUCAAACGAUUCACAAUCAUGAACAACUAUUUCAACACCCUUCAGCAGAUCAUUGCCGUCCAUCUUGCUGCAAAUUUUUAGCACUACAGUUGCCAUGUAAAAGCCUAUACUUAAAAAAGAAAAAAACCAACAAAACAUUUGUUACUUAUAAAUUUUUUAUGAAGAUAUGUAUACCUUCUAAGUUGGUCAUGUGAAGAAAUAUCACCUCUUAUCCUCUGCUUUGGAUGGCCACAAGAAAAGGUCCUUUCUUUCAAACGACAGCCAAAAAGUCUUGAUCUGGAGAAAAAAGGAGAACAAUUUAUUUAUAUAACUCAAGGAUACAAUGUGCAUCAAAACAUAAGCUCUUUGGUCUAACUCAAAUUGCUUGUCAUGAUAGAAUACUCAUAAAAUACUUUUCACUGUUCACAAAAAAAAUUUAAACAUAAAUUGUCAUCAACAGUAAAAACAUUUUUUUAUCAACUAAUUAUUUUAAUUAAAAAAACAAUCAUCUAUAAAAAAAUAUUUUCUAAAUCAUUUAUUUUUUGCGGAACAAAUGGAACCUUAACGUAUAUAUAAGCCUAAGAAUCUUCUUUUCCCCUCGGUUGAAAUAUUUUAGUGGAUUAUCAAACAUUUGAUCUAAUAUAAAAUCUUUCUAUGUACUUGAUUUUCUGUCAGUUGGACAUUCUGUUAAUAAAUAAUAUUAUUAUCACAUGUAACCGUUCAGGCACACAUAAUUUAAAACUUUACCAUGAUUUCUUUUAUUCAAUUGAAGACACUAGCACAUUUAUAUGUCCUUUAUUUAUCUGUCUGGUCUACCAAUUACAACUAACUUGCCUAAAUAGUUUUUUUUUUUUUUUGUAGACAAUAGUUUGUAUAUUUUUUGAGCCAAAAAAUAUUACCUGAUUUUCUUCAUCAUGGAUUGCUACAAGUUGAUCAUUAAUAACAGUUGUAACGUUAAGGUAUAAUUGUCCAAAAUUUCUAAACCUAUUGCAUGGCGAUCAAUUCAAUCUUAAAUUUUCAAUUUGGCCAAUUUAGUUUUAAAGUUUUUUAACAAUUUGUCAAUGUAGUCAUUCUGGCUAAUUUGCUGGAAAUCACUAAUGUGGAUGCCAGCCAUCUAACAUGACAUAACUAUCAAUUUAGCAAUUUCCAAUUAAAUUGUUUAAAGGUUUAUAACUAAGUUAGUCAAAUUGAAAAGAAAAAUACUAUUAAAUUAGCCACCGUAUAAUAGAUUUAUAGACUUUUUGGGUUUUUGGGUAAUGAUUCGUAAAGUCAUAUACAUAUAUCAAAAGUAUUGAAGUAGUAAUGAUGCUUUCUUGGGACAAGGCUAUAGCACUUUGUAAUCCAUUUAAAUUUGGGUGCUCUCUACAUACACCUCAGUGGUUAGAGGAAUCAAAAUAAGAUACUAUUUGUACACAAGUGCUUGUUUGGUAAUAUUCAGAGAAUUUCCCCAAUUUUUUUGUCUGGAAAGUGAAGCAAAAGAGAAAAAGAGGUAAUGGGAAAGAAACUUCAAUAAAUUCCAGGAAGACCAAAACUUUGCGGGACGCAAAUUAAAUUUUGUUGAUUCACUUUUCACAUCCUGCCCCUUCCAUCCGCAGGUGAACUUCUUUUUUUCCGUUAAUCGUAAAACCUUUACACGUUAGGUCUGGAUUAAUCUCAAUUGUUUUUUCUUUCUUCGAAUUUUGCUCAAUUUUAGGCAUCUGUAACUUAAAUGGCCAUGUCGUAGUGAUUUUAUUGAUAUGAAUCGCUUACUUAUGCAGAUUGGUGAUGAGGAGAGAAAUGCGUGUGUCAGCUUAGACAAUCUUAGCAUCCAAUGUCUCUAUUGAUGUGGCCACAUCUCAAGAUAUCGCAUUAGACUCCAAUAUGGAAAUCUAAUAGCAUUAGUGUCCUGCCAACAUUUUUUUCCGCAAUUCUAAUGAAGGUCUCAUGUUGGCCCACAUUUGAAAAAUUGAGGUAGUUGAUUGAACGAUAAAAAGUUCAGGUACUUUAUUAUGAAAGGGAUAAUAGUUCAAAUAAUCACGAUGUCAUUGCCCCCAAAGAGUUUAUCAUACAAUCAUUGGUCUAGGUUCAAAUCUCGCUCAUACUUUUGUUUAUGCUAUAUUUGUUCCACAAACUUAUCCUCUCAAUUCUUUGCUUGGUCUCCCUUUAAUAAUUUUCUUUUGUAAGAUUAUUCAUUCUCUCCUGUGAAAGAUAAUAGUAGAUAUUUUCGUUAAUUUCACAUGCCAAAAUAUUUUAGGGACUCAAGAGGUUAGAAAGUUUCUCAAUGUCAAUUUUGUUUAGAGUUUCUUUCUUGGAAUCAUUCGAUCAUAAAAAUUCAAACCUUACCCUCGAAAUAUUUUAGUGGGUUAUCAAACAUUUUAUUGAAGAUAGACUUUUUAUUUGUCCUUGCUUUUAUUUAUGUUGGAAAUUAUAUUCAUAAUAUGUUCAUCAGAUUUAACCAUAUGGGCACACGUAAUAUAAAACUUUACUAGGAUUUCUUAACCAAUUACCACGAAAUUGCCUAAAUAACAUUUUUUGUGGAUAAUUUGUUCCAACUCUUUGAAGAUGGAUCAAUAUCGUCUUGAAGGUCAUUUCUGACCCGCAAGAGACAAAAUUAAUACUGCAAGAAACAUAUUGGAUAUCAAUACAGAUAAUUAACGACUAAUUAAUACGUUGGUGUCAAUAUUGAUAUUUUUCGUUUGCGAUUUCAACGGAGGUCUCAUGUUGACCCCCAUUAAUAAAUGAGAGUUAAUUGGUUGAAUUGAAAAAAAAACUUUAGAUACUUGAUUGCCAGCAGAAAGGUAAGAAAUUUCAUCGACCUCAUUAUCUGGUUUUGUUUUUAGUCAAUUUGAAUAUUUUUGGAAGCCAUGGAUAUAGAAUGAAAUCGAUGGGGUUCCUAUUAUGGAGUUUUUGCUCCAACCCCUCGCAUGUAAAAUCGAAUAAUUGCCUCCUCUUGAAUGUCUUUUUAUUUUCCUUAUUCAGCCAGAUCCCAAAUUCUUGAGAUAAGACACAAUCAAAUUGUAUGUUUUUUAUAAGCCAAAAAAUAUUCUCUGAUUUUCCUUGUCAUGUAUUACUACUACUAGGUGAUUAUAAAUGUUAGUUGUAAAGUUAUAUACACAUGUCAAAAGUAUUGAAGUGAUGACGCGUUCUUGGGACCAAAUUAGAUUAGCGCAUUUGAUGAUUUUCUUUUUGUUGUGGGGAAAUAUAUUUGGUUCAAGUAUGACAAGUUGAGUUCUAAGGUUUAAGUAGUAUCUGGAAACAAUCAACCACAGAAAUAGUUCAUUUUAUUCCAAUUCCUAAUUUUUAAUUACAUGUAAUCUGAAAAUAUGUGCGCAGUGUCUUCGUCCGUGCGUAGCACGUUUUUGAAUAUUAGUAAUCUAAUAUAAUUUCAUAUCUCAUAAUUAAUUGACCUCAUUAAUUGGGUUCAUAUCUAAAUAGAUUUUAGAUUAAAUCUUCUGUUUUUUUUUUAAUUAAUAACUUUUAGGAAAGGGAAAGUAAUAAUUGAUAGGGCUCAUUAAGUUGUGGACGAUUUCAACUAUUGCUCAUGAGUUCCUAAAUUAAAAGAUUCAAUUUAAGAAGUACGUACACAUUGAUUAUAUGUUGUUUAUGUACUUGUUAAAUUGAAUCUUUUUAUUUAGGAACUCAUGAGCAACAGUUGAAAUUAUCGACAACUUAUUGAACUUUUUCUAUCAUUUUGCUUAGUUCUGUCUUAUUUAAAGCAGGAAGAGAGAAAAUUAUUUAGCUCAGGAAGACCAAGACAUCCACCUACCAAAAACAUCAAAAAAAGACCAAGACCAAGAUUUUUUUUUUUUUUUUGGCAUCUCUACAUUCUUAAUAAUCUUAUAAUUCAAUGUCUUCAUUUGAUGCAUUAUUGGUGAACAUGCUAUCAAUGUAGGCUUUUACAUGGCAAUUACCAUGCUAAAGAUUCGUAGCAAGAUGAGUAGCAAUGAUCUACUGAAGGGUGCUGAAGUGGUAGUUGAUGAUCGAAAACCGCAUGAUAGUAGAAUCAUGGUCCUUUCAUGAUUUUACCAUUCACAAGUGUGAUGCCUAGAGUAUAUCUAGUAGAUUGUACACUGUUAGUUGUCGAUGCCAGACCCUUUUUCUUGUCUAGUGAUGAAUGAAGUUGACCACAAUUAAUAGGACUGACAAAUAAGCAUCUUUCUGCAACUUGCACCGAUUGAAAUAAAUGUAGAUGAUCCACCUAACAAUGGCAUCUUACUUUCUAUUAUAUAUCUAUAACUCAUACCACAAUUAAUAGGACUGACAUAUAAGCAUCUUUGUGCAACUUGCACCAAUUGAAAUAAAUGUAGACGAUCCACCUAACAACGGCAUCUUACUAUCUAUUAUAUAUCUGUAAGUCAUCAAAGACAACUGACUUUGAUUGUUCGAUAAUGAGAAUAGAAACACAUGAUUUGGGUUAAACAAGGAAAAUAGUCGGGUACACCAAUGAAUCCAUGAAGCAAUUUGCUUAAUUUUACUCUAGAAAUAGUAAACAAUUCAUACAUCACCAACUAAUCAUCAAGCAAAUGCUUUGGUUAACUUUUUCUUUUCAAAGGACCACAAUUCUCCUAUCAAGUGCUUCACGAUCAUCAACAAUUGCUUCAGCACCCUUCAAGAGAUCAUUGCCGCCCAUUUUGUUGCAAAUUUUUAGCGCUAUGGAUACCACAUGAAAGACUAUACUAAAAAAAAAAAACAAAAAAGAAAAAACCAACAAAACAUUCGUAAAAUAAAUUUUUUAUGAAGAUAUGCCUGCCCUCUAAGGGUGAAUCAAUAACCGUAGAGUCAAUCAAGGGUUAUGUUGAAGCAAAGUGAUAAUAAGUUCAUGGAGAUAGACAACUUUAAAGUCCCGGAAGACCAAGACUUUCACCUACCAAAGAGUUUAAACAGAGACCAAGACUUUCAAGGAUGCUUUCUGUCCACAAGUACUUUGUUCAUGCAGAUAAACCAUAAACUCAAGAAGGCCAAGACUUUAUUGGACAUCAUGUAUUUGUUUGUCUAUAAAGUGAAGCAGAAGCGAAAGAGAGCAAAUGAAAAAGAUAGAGUUUGCAGGAUGCAAAUCGGCAUUGUUACAUCACUUCUUACAUCCCUCCUCUUUCAUCCCUAUGUGAAUGCCUUUUUUUUUUUCCAUUACUAGUAGAAUUUCCCCAUGCAUUACAUGCCACACUUAAAAAUUUACUGUUACUAUAAUUUUUGUCCUACUCUUUUCUUGCUUAAUCGUACCGUGAUUUUUCAUUCAAUAAUCUCUAUUGUACUUGUCUAAUGAAUAAUGUCUAGAUUUCAUGUAUCUUUCCAAAUUUAAGUUCAAUAAAAGAAAAAAACAAGCAAAGAGAAAAAUAAAAAGAAAAAACAGCAAGAACUUGAAAAAGGAAAAAAAGAAGAAGAAGCAAGAAUGGGGCGGGAGAGCGCACCACCGUCCCACGGCCACUGCCCAGUCGUUGCCAUCAGCACCGCUCUUUAUAGUCACCUUCAUAGGCACAUUUCCUUCAGAUGUUUGUCUUAGAGCGGUUUAUUGGUAAGAGGCAGUUAGGUAUUCUCGAAACAUGCAUGUUCAAGUCAAUUAUUGCAUGUGAAAAUGAAACUGUUUUGAUGAUUUUGCUAAUCCUAAAUAGACUUCAUGAUUUUGUUAACGCAGAACUAUAGGGGACCACUGAACACCAGCGACGGUGGCCUGACGGUACGAACUGAUAUUCCACAAACGCGAGGUCACGAUGAUAAUCCAUUAGUCAUGGUAGUGCCUAUAUCUUGCCUUGCCCGUGAUGGGAGCUCUGGCAGCUUGGUAUUGGAUGAAGAGACUUGGCUACCCGAGAUAACUAGGUUGCGAGUGGUAUUGGACGAUGACCUUCUCACGAUCUGAAAUAUUUCAAGGCAGACGUGAAACUUUUACAAUUACUCAAAAUGGUAACAGAGCAUAGUCUCCUUGAUUGCUCCUCUCGGUCUUUCCUUUGCGACAAAGAAAAAGAAAAUGUUCCCUGAGAUGGCGUGGGAAGUUAAAUAGAAUAAAGAUGAACUGUUAACUUCGACAAGGAAGUCAGAUUGAAAUGGAUUGUAAUCUGCCACUCGAAAACCCCAAUUUUUGCAUCUCUUCAGUCGCUGCUGUUGUUGGAGGUACGAAAGCUGCUUCGUUUGACUUUGAGUGUAGACCUCGAUAAUUGACAUCGUGAUACAGAUAAAUCUUUUAGAGCAUGUCACCAAAAAAAAAAAAAGUAUAGAGCAUAUUAGUACAACUACCAAAAUUAGUAGCUUUUUGUUUUUCUUUUGUCAAGUUGCAAAAGAUGAACGUAAGCACAUCAAUUGCCUACCUCAACAAUGUUUGCAUUUGAUCACCGGGAGAGAUUUUGCCAAAUGCAGAAGACAGUGGGAUAUUCUGCAAAGCAAGCACAGUUGAGAGACAUCAGGUCAAUGAGCUAGGGCCUAAGAAAAAGAUAUUUGGAAGAGAAAAUACAACAAACGCUGAUAUUGCAGAAAAAUAUCAAUACAAGAGCAACAAUUCUUCAUGAUUCUCACACAAAGCAUAGUGCAUUUCCAUAAGUGGAAAGAUAAGCAAUUUUUGGGCAUGAAACAAAGUUUAAGAUAUAUCAUCAAUAAAGACAGGCACAUCCAUGCAUCAUAAUUCCUACACUGAGAGCAAGUCCAUGUACGUAUUAUUUGUUUUGAGAACAAAGAUUAGACAUUGGAGAGAUAUCUUCUUAUUGAAUCUGAACUCGAUCAAUUACGAUGAGUGGGAUUUCUUGGAUGAGGUGCCAGCAGUUGCCACAGAGUUUUGAGCACCGAUCUUUCAGAAUCUCUCAUUGAAUUAUGCGAAAUACAUGGAGGGAGGGAUGGAAGCUGUCCUCUGUCAAGUACCUCAACACCCGGCAACUGUAAAAUAUAUGACUAUUUGAGAGAGGAGAGAUGCCUGCGAAGCCCACUUGAUAGUCUUUUCACGUUCCUCAUAUUUUUCAUCCAUGGAGAGGUUAGAGAGGAAGGAAAUAGGAGGCCCACGCAUCUUAUGUCCUCUGCUAUUGAUGGUUCUUCCACAUUUUUCAUAUUUCUUAUCCAAAAUCCUGGAAGAGGACGAUUAAUUAGUCCUGAAUAAAAAUACUUCCAUGCAUAAUGAACAACUAUGAGAGUAAUCAGACAAAAAAGAAUUAUAUGCAUACCCACCCGACAGCAACAAAAAAAUGAACAGAUAAGACAAGAACCAGGAUCCUUUGCUUUCCUUUUCUCAGCAAUUAGUGACCCUUUGGAUGAUUUUGUUUUCGCUAAAUAAUUCUUAUGAUUAUGUUAGCACUCACGUAUGGGAGACCACGAAUCACCAGUGAUGGUGACUUAUCGGUUCAAGCUUGAUAUUCUACGAAUAUGAGGUCAUGAGAUCAAAUGAUUAGUGCAGGCUGAUAACUCUUAAGAAUGAUUGCUGUCACCUGGUGUAACUGGAAAGCUCCGAAUGCAGCAACUUUUAACCAUAAAUCACCAGAUCCUGAGACCAUCAGUAAUACAGAUAAGAAAAACUCUUUUGCAGUGUGUUGCCUGCAAGAAUAUAAGAGAGCUAUGUCAUCAUUGGGUGGCUAAAAGGCAGGGCGUGUAGUAAAACCUAAGCUAGGCUCUGUGAAUAUCAACUGCGAUGGGUCUGACAUUAAAGAAACAAAACAUGCUAUUGUUGGGAUUGUUGGGAAGAUGGAAUUGGACUUUAAGGCAUGAAUACACUGUCUUUAAGAAACAAACUAUUUACUAAAGCACUUUUCCUAUGUUUCACGAACAAACUAACAACAGGCAUUGUGGCCACAAAUUAGGCAGGGGACAUGGUUACUCGCAGGGGUGUGGUGGUGCAAGUUCAAUUUGCAGAGGAGGCUGAAUUACUUUUUGUUGGAAAGAGCAUUGCAGUGGCAAAAGAGAAGCUGGCCCAAGGUUGUAGUGGAGAUAGAUGCUGCUGUGGUAUCCAAGGAUAUUAUCAACUUUCGCAAGCAAUACAACUAAAGACUAAAGGAAGCUCCUGCUGGGAUUCAAGCAGCUAAAGAUCAAUUUUCAGCUCUGAAUUUUAGUUGUAUUUUGUGAAAAGCAAAUGUUUAUGCCCAUUGGGUAGCUUUGCAUACUAGGAAGAGGACAUGUAGUCAAAAUUGGAAGUAAUGGAUGAGUACUGAGUUUGUUUGCUGGACAAAAAGAACCCCAAUGAAUUGUCAUUCGUUGACCUUAGUGGGUUGUUUUUGGAAAUUCAUGGGAAAUAUCUCCAUGACAAAUAUCAAUUUGUAUUACGCAUCGAAUAGAGGAGGCAGAAUCAAAAUUGAUGCCUUCAAAACCAAAAACUUACCCUUAAUCCGAGAAAACUGGCGGUGCAUGAAAGAAUCAAUUCAUUGGAUCCGCACCCAAUCUAUCUCAAUGAGAGGGAUUUCUUGGAUUAGGGGCCAAUAGUCACCAGUGAGUUUUGAGCAUCUAUCUUUCAGAAUCUCACAUUUCUCUAUGUACAAUUCUUGGAGGGAGGGAGGGAAGCCAUCCUCUGGCAAGUACCUCAGCUUCGGGCAAGAGUCGAUCCAUAAAUGUUUGAGAGAGGAGAGAUGGUUGAGAAGACCGCUUGAUAGUCUUUCAACAUUCCACAUAUUGCAAAUGCGAAGAUACAUUAGAGAGGAAGGAAAGAUAAGACUCCACGCAUUCCUGUCCUCUGAAGGAAACCAUACCUUCUCUCCCUCCCCUCCCAUGCAAAAGUCAAUUAACAUACAUCGGAGGGAUGUGAGUAGGUGUAAGCCCCAUUCUCUCACUGGCUGCUUCAGAUUCUCGCACCCUCUUAUUAAAAGGUGAUGCAAAUUGGGAGGCAAACCUCCUUUGGGGAAGCAUUUGAUAUUUUGGCAAUCCUCGAUGAAUAGCAUCUCGAGGGAUGUAAGAUGAUGCCACUGAUUUGGUAGAGACUUUAUCUUCGGACAAUUACUAAUUAUAAGACAUGACAGGGUGAUGGGAAGGGAAGGGAAUUCAUCUAUCUCCAAUGCUGGACAAUUACUUAUAUCCAAAUGAGCAAGAUGGGAGAGUGUGUGAAGGCACUGUGGUAGGCUUCCUAGAUUUGGACAGCCAUCAAUUGUCAUUUCUUUGAGUGAUUCUAUGGUGAUCCUUUCCACCGACUCCACUCCCUUGCACUCACAAAUACAAAGUUUCUUCAAAGCGGUAAGUCUAUCGUUGGCAAACAAAGACGAUAUUAGAGAAUCACAAUUUACAAUCCGUAGAUACUCAAGUUGAGAUAUCGGGUUAUUAUUGUUAGGGUCAUCUAGAGGAAUGGUUGGUCCCAAGAUUUUUGGACACCUCCUAAUGAUCAACUGUUUGAAUGUGUGCAUCUUGCUUGGAAGCUUUUCUAAACUUAUGCAAUUACUCAAUUCCAUCCUUUCAAAGUUGCAUGGCAACUCUAUUUCUCCUUCUCCUGCCACAAAAGAUGUGAAUCGAGGGCAACUUUCAAUGGCUAAUUCUUGAAGGCAAGUAAGAUUUAGCAUUAUAUUUUCAUCUUGCCACAAGUAUAUAAGCUUGUCACACCGUCCUAUAUGAAGAUCCUUUAGCUUGACCAAGCACCUCAUAAACACAUGAUCAAAGCAAACAAGCUCGGCAAGAUUUUCAAUUUUGAGAAUGGUCAAAGAAGUUAGGUUGACCAAGCUCUUUAAGAUUUCCUUGUUACAAUCCUCAAGGUAUAACUCACGGAGAGAUGGAAAACAAACCUCAUUCGUUGAAUUAUUCAAAAGCGGACAUGAAUGGAUUUCAAGUUUUAUGAGACAAUCAAGUUGACGAGGUAAUGUCCUAAUCAAUGAAGGACAGCUCCGGACAACAAGAUGUUGAAGACAAGAGAAUGCGACUUCUUCUUUUGGGCCCCCAACAUAAGGAGACCAAUUCUUCCAUGACAACAUCUCUUUCAACUUCAAAGUUGUUAAGGAUGAGAAAGGCCUUUUAUCUCCAUAAAAUUCAGAGCCUAUCAUUCUUACUGUGUGUAGACCUUCAAGAGAUAAUUCUUUCAAUGAAGGUAGUUGUCCAAGCGCAGGAAGUGAUAUAACAUUAGGACAGCCCCACAAGCAUAAAAACACUAUCUUAGAAUAGGAUGGACCACCUAACCAUGACGAGAAUUUUGCACCACCAUAGUUUAAAAUAUUAAGAUUUUCAAGAUCAAUGUGAGGUCGUAGGAAGUCAAGCACUUGUGCUUCCCGCUCAUGAUUCUGGAGAUUUUCCAAAUUUUCGUCCCAAUGCAAGGAUAAGUUGGUAAGGCCUUGCUUUUGAUGCAAAUUAGCAUCAAUUGCAUCUCUAACUUUUUCCACCUUUUGCAAUUCUGAUAUGAAUAAUUCUCCUUGAAGAUGUGGCAAAUUCUUUAACUCCUCUAACUGUGACCCUUUCUCUGGUCGUACCACAAACUUAGACAAGAUAAUAAGAUUUUUUAAAUUACCAAUACCCAACGGCAUCUCUUUAAGACUCCUUGUAUCUCUAACAUCAAGAAUCUGUAAACUGACCAAUUUUGUGAUGCCUUGAGGCAACUUUGAAAGUUUUUGACAACCUCUUAAGAUCAAAACUUGUAAUUUGCACAAGUUGACAAUUGAUUCAGGUAGCCUUUUGAUAUCAGUGUACGAGAAAUUGAGAUAUCUAAGAUGUUUUAGAUUACCAAUGCAAUUUGGUACCUCUAUGAUGUCACAAUGACAUAUUGAGAGCACCCUCAAGUACUUCAAUUCCGUUAGCAAGUCAUGUAGCACCUUGUUGGAAAUAGAGAAAGUGUCCCCUCUAAAUCCAUUAUGCAGUAGCAUUAAAGUUCUUAGUACCUUCAUUCGGUGAUAUUCUCUUAUGCAUUUUGAUGUAGCAAAAUGCGAUGAGAUGAAUGAUGCAUAACGAAUUUUCCCAAGAGAUGUGUCUUCUUCAUUAGCUACCAAGUGAGACUCCCCAGAGCUAAAGUAUGCACUUCCUGCAAUUGACUUUGCUAGAUCAUUCAAAAGAUCAUGCAUUGAAAACUUAGAUGCGUCGACACUUGAUUGUUGAAGAAAUGAUCUGGAUACUAACUCAUCAAAGUAAUUUCGUCCUAAUUUGAAAUUAUCCCCCUUUACUUUUUGUGUAUCUAAAAAGCCCUCGGUUAUCCAUAAGAGUACCAGCUCAUCUCUCUCAAUUUCGUAAUCCUUGGGAAAUACUGCACAAUAAGCAAAACAUCUCUUCAAAUGGCAAGGAAGAUGGACAUAACUCAAGUUCAAGACAGGGAGAACUUCAUCAUUCUCUGCCAUCGGAAGAUCCCAUAUUCUGCUAUUUAAGGUAUCUUCCCAUUCACUAGGAUUCCUUUUAUUACGUAGGGCACCGCCUAGCAUCUUCGCCACCAAAGGUAAACCUUUACAUCUUUCAGCUAUUUUCUUACCUAUUGUUUUAAAAUCCGGAUGGCUCUCAAAAUUUGUUGCUCCAAGAGCAUGAAAGGCUAAUAAGCUUGUACAAUUGUCAAGGGACAAUUCCUUCAAAUGAUAGGGUGAUGCUCUAGUUAUGGAAGCAACAGCAAGGUUGCGAGUCGUGAUGAUGAUCUUACUCCCCUUAGCCCCCGCUUCAAAGGGCUUUAAGAGGGCAGUCCAUUUUUCAUAUUUCUCAUUCCAUAUAUCAUCUAAAACCACAAGAAACUUCUUCCCAAAUAGAUUUCCCCUCAACUUAACUUGAAGCCCGUUAAGAUCUUCACCCUGGCAUGACAACCCAGUGAUUGACUGCAAAAUAGCUUUUGUUAUGUGAAGAACAUCAAAAACAUCUGACACACAAACCCAUGCUCUCUUCUCAAAACAGCUAUAUACUUUGACAUCAUUAUACAACCGUUGAGCCAAGGCCGUUUUUCCAACACCACCCAUCCCAACUAUGGGGAUCAUGCUCAACACGGCAUCGGAAUUUUCAACUUCACUAAUCAAUAGUUUGAGUAUUUGUGCUUCUUCCUUCUCUCUACCAUAAAACCGAGGCUCUGGCAAAGAAGUGGUUAGAUCCCUUUUGUUUGUGUAGUUGGAUUUGUCCACAACAUUCUCUCUUAAGCUUAAAGGAGCCUUCCUAGUGACAAUCACUUUCAACCUACCACUAAUCUCCUGUACCUUGGUUUCAAACAUGAGUGAGCCAAGGUUUGGAUUCAAUCCGAAGGAUUUAUCUCGGCCAAAGAAAGAGAACUUCCAUUUUUCCAGACCUUUGCUUGUGUUGGAUUCUGCCUCCAACUUAACCUGAGUGACUUUGAUCACUAACUCAUCAAUCAAGUCUUCCAUAUCAUAGGCCAAGUCCCUAACAUCAUCUAGCCACAGCUUCACUAGAGGGUUACCGCUGAGUUGCUUGUCUUCUGCAUCGGUCAGCACUGCAUUGAUUGUGCCCAGCAUCUCAUUCCACUCCUUGAGGAGAGAAGUGUUAAUUCCUUCAUGUUGUGCAUAGACUAAUGUGAGAGAAGUCAACUUGUGGAAUAGGACUGAAAAGAAGGAACCCAUAAAGGAACCCAAAAUGAUCUCUCCAAUUGCCAUGGUUGAAUUAGUCACUGUAGAGAACAACAAAGGUGUUAUGUUGGAGCGAGGUAAAAAUGAGUCAAUGGAGAGAGAAAACUAUGAAGUCGAGGAAGAUCAACACCUUCAUUUACCAAAAAGAAUAUAAAAAAGACCAAGACUUUCGAGAAAUGCACACCAAAGGUUAGACAAAUCAAAAUAAAAUAGCUUUUGUCCACAGGUGCUUGUUUCGUCAAUUGUUCAUCAAUUGUCCUUCUUUUUCUUCAUAUCGAGACUUUUCUUGUGGGCAUCCAAAAUAGAGGAUAAAAUUUGAAUUUUCUAUAUACGACCAACUUAGAGCACACGCCUAUGUUUGUCAAAAACUUCAAUGCAUAUUAGUGUUUUGUUGACAUUUUUCGCAUCCAUAUGUUGUUAGUAUCCUUGAAAUUUCAAUGCUUUUUUUUUUUUUUUUGCUUUAUUGGUGAGUAUGCGAUCAAUAUAGGCUUUUACAUAAGAUAUAAGAAGAUUACCAAUUCCUCCUUCAAUGAGGAUAACCAUGUGGAGACAUCAAAGACGUUUGUUUUUAUUUUUAUUUUUAUUUUUGGGGGGGGGAUCAAACCACCAUAUGCUUUAGGUUGGGAAGUUCUAGAUGCAUCGGUUUGGGGAUGAAAAAGAGAGCAAAAAGAUAGAUAUUACUUACCUGUUCCGAGUAGACUUCCUGGAGCAGAUCAGUGAAUGUGAUUAUAUCAAUUACAACAAUCCAACAAGCACGAUCUCUAGGUUCGAAUGAGUAGGAGGAGAACGCUAUUGAGCACGAGCUCUAGCUUCGAAUGAGCAGGAGGAGAACACUAUUGAGCCGAGAGGUGAGCAUAGGUCAUGGUGAAGCUAAGUGAUAAUGAAUUAACAGAGAGAGAAAACUAUAGACCAUAAAACUCAAGAAGACCGUGGGCUUCACCUACCAAAAAGUUUCAAUAAAGGAGAAGACUUUCAAUGAUGCUUUCUAUCCACAAGUGCUUUGUUCAUGUAAAUAAACCAUAAAACUCAAGAAGACCGUGACUUGACUGGACUGUAUGUUAUGACUAGAUAGUGAAGCAAAAGCGAAAGAGAGCAAAUGAAAAGGACAAGGCCUUUUCGGGACGCAAAUUAAUUCUUUUCACUUCUCACUCCUCCUAGUACAAGCUGAUAUUCCCCCAUCCGAGGUCACUGGGAUAACCCACUAGCAAUAAUAGUGCCUGCAUCUUGCCUUGUCCAUGACAGGAGCUCUGAUGCAGCCCGCAUUGAAGACCAACUCUCUCGACCAAGAAGAUUGGCCCGCAUUCAAGCUCGACGAAACCGAGAAGCCGUAUUGAUAUCUUGAGUCCAUCCCGGAAUUUUGAAAGAAGACACCUUGGGAGCCGUGAAGACUUUAUGCUUUUACUAGUUUCUAGUUCCUAGGCUCUUUAUUAUUUUUCUAGUUUCUAGUUUCUAGUUCCUAAGCUCUUUAAUGCUUUCAAGUUUCUAUGCUCUCUCUUUAUUUCUUUGACGAUAUAAGCCAUCCAAUUCUUUGUAGAAGACAGACGACUUUUGAUAAAUGAAAAACUUUGCUUUGAAGCAAGUAUCGUGAACCUUGUAGAGUUCAUAUCCUUGAAAACCUAGAAGAGUUUUCACUCCAUCCUUGAAGAGUCGGAGCUUUUCGAAACCUGCAUCCUUGAAGAGUUGCAGUCGUUGAUCUAGAAGAAUCGGUGCCCCCUCAACUUCCUUGGAGGCCUAGAAGAGCAACCAACGAAGUUUCUAUCUUUUCCUAUUCUGUUCGUUAAUUCCAACCCAGAUUCGACCAUCCUACACUGCUUAUUUCAGAAAACCUAAUACAGAUAAAUUGUAGAUCCAGAAGUCUUUGUUCAUUUGGCUUUGGAAUCAGGUCGAUCCGAUCUGUAUCGACAAAGACACGACUGUUCUCCUGAGCUUGCGCAGUGCUGAAAUUUCUGUCGGUCCUGUUUCCCGUGCGCGAGUCACUCUCCCGAUCCUACUGUUUGAGAAAGCCUACCCUUGGCUUGCAUCAAGCUCUAGCAGCUUGGCGAGGUUAUAGUGAUAGGACUUGCCUACCCUAGAUAAAUGGUUUCAAGUGGUACUAGAUGAACGGCCUUCUCACAAUCUUAAAUCGAAAUUCAUUAUGGCAAAAGUGAGGCUUUCAUGAUCACUUAACAGACCGACAGAGCAUAGUCUACCCGAUUGCUCAUCUCUGUCUAUCCUUGAUAACAGAACAAGAAAAUGCGCUUUGAGAUGGUGUGGCAAUUUAAAUUGAAUAAGAAGAUAAACUAUGAACUUUGACUAGGAAGUCAUGUUUAAAUAAAUUAUAGUCUGCAGGGUUCAUUCAAAUUUAGUUGUCACAUUCACCAACUUGAAAACACUUGUUUUAAAUCCUAUUGUGUACAUCUUUACAGUAGCUGCUGUUGUUGGAAGUAAGAAAGAUUCUCCUCCGACCAAAAAAAGAAAAAAAAGAAAGAAAGAUUCUCUGUUUGACUUUGAAUAUAGACCUCGAUGAUUGACAUCAUGAUAUAGAUGAAUCUUUUGAAGUGUGUCACCAAAAAAAAGAAAAACAAGAAAUAGUUUUGAGCAUAUCGGUACACCUACCAAAAUAAAUAGCCUUUUGUCUUCUUAUGUCAAGUUGCAGAAGAUAUACAUAAGCACAUCAUUUGCCUACCUCAACAGCAUUUGCAUUUGAUCCCCCUUAGAGAUUUUGCCAAAUAAAGAUGACAGUGGGAUAUUCUGCAAAACAAGCACAAUUGAGAGAAUUUAAGUCACGAGGCUAGGACAUUAAAAAAAAAAAAAAAGAUCUUUGAAAGAGAAAACAUAACAAGCGCUGAAACUUCAGAAAAGAUCAUUGACAGUGGGAUAUUCUACAAAACAAGCACAGUUGAGAGAAUUCAAGUCAAUGGGCUAGGGCACUAAAAUAAAGAUCUUUGGAAGAGAAAACACGACAAACACUGAAAUUUCAGAAAAAAAUAUCAAUAUAAGAGCAACAAUUCUUCAUGAUUCUCAUGCAAAGCAUAGUGCAUUUCCAUUAGUGGAUAGAUAAGCAAUAGUUGGGUAACAAAGUUCAAGAUAUAUCAUCAUCCAGAAAGCUACAUCCACGCAUCACAAUUCCAGCACUGUGAGCGAGUACAUGCAAGUAUUAUUUGUUUUGAGGAAUAAUCACUCGUAUGAAACAAUGGUGGACUUGCCGGACCACAUUGGCAUUAUAACUGUUUCAUUGUGUGCUUCCUUAUCAAACAAAACAGAGCAACCCAAAAGUCUAGUUGGUUUGUGGCAAAUUAUGUGAAGCUUGUCCAUGGACAAACAUGAACUUCCUAGCAUCGAGUUGAGGAUUCGUAAUAGAAAUGGAUUUUUGAGCAGCAGUAGUAGCAUAACAACAAGUGUGGAAGAAAGAAAGUAAGUCCGAACCAUUACCUGAAGAAUAAAAAUUAGACAUUGGAGAGAAAUCUUCUUAUUGAAUCCGAACUCAAUCAAUUACAAUGAGCGAGAUUUCUUGGAUGAGGUGCCAAUAGUCGCCGUUGAGUUUUGAGCAUUGAUCUUUUAGAAUUUUUACAUUGCAUUAUACCAAAUACUUGAAAGAGGAAGCAAAGCCAUCCUCUGGCAAGUACCGGUAACUAUAAAAGAUAACUGUUUGAGAGAGGAGAGAUUUCUACGAAGACCACUCAAUAAUCUUUCCAUGUCCCUCAUAUUUCUUGUAAUAGUCUUACAUCCUCCACUGUUAAUAGUCUUUCCACCGCCCUCAUAUUUCUCAUCCAAAAGUCUGAAACAAGAUGAGCAAUUAGUCCUAAAUAAAAUGAUCCUUCAUGCAUAAUGAAGAAUUGCAAGAGUGAUCGAACCGGGAUACACACACCUAAUUGAUUGCAACAAAAAAUGAACCGGGAUACCCUGUUGAUGAUUUUUAUUUUUUGAUGACUAGAAAAUUCCUAUGAUUAUGUUAAUUAACAAGUAUGGGAGACACUGGCGAUGGACACUUAUUCGUACGGGCUGGUAUUCUACAAAUGUGAUGUUAGGAGAUCGAAUGACUUGGUACAGGUUGAUAACGCUUGAGAAUGAUUGCCUACACCUGUUGGUAUAUCUGGAACACUCGAAAUGCAAUAACCAUUAAACAUAAAUCACUCCAUACUAGAACUGUCACUACACAAAUUAGAAAUAGCUCUUUUAGACUUUGCUGCCUUUUAAAAAUGUAAGAGAGCUAAGUCAUGAUUGGUGGACGAAAGGCAGGGUCUGUAGAGUAACCUAAGCUAGGUUUUGUGAAGAUUAACUGUGACAGGAGCUCUGGCAGCUUGGUGGGGAUAUAAUGACAAGACUUGCCUACCUAAGAUAAUUGGAUUGCGAAUGGUAUUGUAUGACGAUGUUCUUGCAAUUUUAAAUGAAAGUACUUCAUGGCAGACGUGAGACUUUUAAGAAAAAGAACUUCCUUGUGCUGGAUUCUGCCUCUAACUUGGCCUGAGCGGGUUCCAUCUCGAACUCAUCGAGCAAGUCUUACAUGUCAUUGGCCAAAUCCCUAAAGUUGUUUAGCCACAGCUUCACCUGACAAUUACCGCUCAGUUGCUUUUCCUCUCCAUUAUCUAGCAUUACUUUGAUUGUGACCAGCAUCCCCUUCCACUCAUCAAGGAGGGUGGUGCUAAUUCCUUCUCGAUGCACAUAAUUCAAUGCCAGAGAACUAAACCUAUCAAAAAGGACCUACAAGAAGGAACCCGAAAUAACAUCUCUAAUGGCCAUAUUUGAAUCAGUCACCGUAAAGAAUAACAAAUGUUAUGAUGAAGCAAAGCAAUAAUGAGUUAAUGGAGAGAGAAAACUAUGAAGUUGGGGAAGCUCAAGACUCUUACCUAUCAAAGGGAAAAAGUACCAAAAAAAUGCUUAAACCAAUUGCAUUGGUAUCAAAUCAAUCCUAAAUAUUUUCACAUUGGUAUCAGUUCAGUUCAUCCAGCCAAUUUUGGAAGUAUUGACGUGGACACUGGCCAUUCGACCAACGCUGACAUAACAAUUUUUUUAUUUUUUUAUUUUUUCAACAUUUUUAAAUAAUUCUUUUAUUUUUAUUUUUCCUUUUUCUUUUCUUUUUGCUCUUCUUCCUCCUUGGAUCCCCACAGUGGCGAACAAGGCUCUAGUAAGGCCAAAGUAAGGUUGGCCUCACCCGUGGCCCUAGGCAAGGACCACAACCCUCGCUAGUUGCCGGCAUAGGCUUCGUGGCCCUUGCCCAAUGGUCAACAAGCCUUGUUGGAGCCUCAUUGGCCACUGCAGGGAUCCAAGAAGGAACGAGAGGGAAAAAGAAGGAAAAGGAAAAGGAACAAAUUAAUAAAAAUUUUGAAAAAAAUAAAAAUUUAUUAAAAAAUUACCACGUGAGCGUUGGUCGGAUGGUCAAUGUUCAUAUCAGCGUCGACCAGCCAAAAUUGGCUAGAUGGACAAAAUUAAUAUCAAUAUGAAAAGGUUUAGGACUGAAUUGGUAUCAAUAUAGUAGAUUUAUGACUUUUUUUGCAUUUUCCCUUAUCAAAGAGAUCAAACAAACCACCCACCUAGGUGGCACUGCUGGCGGCGAGCUUCUCCCCCUAACGCAAGGGGAGGAGUUCGAUUCCCGGGCGUUGCAGGGUGACUUACCCGGUGGCACGUGUGUGGUGGUUAGCACGUGUCGCCCCCAGGGUUUACCCCCGCUACCCCGGGCCUUUCGGGCUAUCCGUGUUGGUACGGUGUGUAGGUUCCCUGGGUCACCAAAAAAAAAAAAAAGAGAUCAAACAAAAACCACCGCCCGCAGCGGCGUAGUUGGCUUGGACUCUCUCCCAGAAGCGUCGUUAGGGAUUCUUACCUGAAGUACUGUGGUGGUGAGUCCUACAAUCACUCCCCCAGGAUUUGCCCGCCGGCUGUCGGCAGGGAUUCUUACCUGAAGUACUGUGGUGGUGAGUCCUACAAUCACUCCCCCAGGAUUUGCCCGCCGGCUGUCGGCUUACAGGGUUCCCUGGGUUACCAAAAAAAAAAAAGAGAUCAAAUAAAAACUAAGACUUUCGAGGAUGUAAGAGGUUAGACAAAUGAAAAGAAAAUACUUUUUUAUCCACAAGUGCUUGUUUUGUACUAUCUAGAGAAUAUCCCAGCGACUUUGAUGGUUUUCCACGGCCAAAGUUUGAAGGAAUUUUGUGUAAUUUUCUCCUUUUUUAAUGAUUUUCUCCAGCUAACGCUCACAAUUCAAAUUCGGAUUUAGGUGUUUGGGGACAUCAGUUUUAAAAGUUCUAAUUGGCGGAAUCUAUGUGCCUUUCGGUAGGCAGGCUCUACAGUAAUACAUGUCUUUUCAGAGAAGUUGCAGUUUCCUUUCUGAAAUUUGUGGGCAAUUGUGAUUUCUACCUUACCUAUUAUAAUAUUUGCUAGGAAAAAUUAGUAUUCAUUUCUUAUUGCAAAUUCAUAAUUAAGAUUCACGGUUCACAUUCAGAUUUACAAAAGUUAUGCUUUUCACAACUGGAUUUGCACAGUGAUUGCAAAUGUCCAAUAAAAAAAGAAAAAAGAAAUUGGUAUCCUAAACAUUGGCACCAAUAAGUCUCGUAAUUUAAUGGAUUCCUUUUAGCCAAAUGAGCUACUUGCUCACCCCGACUCUCUGCAUACUUCUCUCCACACCUGCUUUAUUUCUUUAAUACAUUGAUGUCAUCACGUUUUCCCCGUAAAUUUCCAGGUAGGCACAGUCAAAAUGAUAAAACGUAGAACGAUAAUCAGCCUAAGGGAAAAGCAAGAAUUUAGUUUCCGCGGAUCCAAAUGCAGUUUUUGAAAAUCCUGACGUAAAUUGUAAUUAUGCCAUACUAAGGGAUGCAAAUCGAAACUCUUCUAUUUCCUUUGGCACCGUAAAAUAAGGGUGCGUUUAGUAAUAUUUCUAUUCUCGGGAACAAUUUCUUUUCAGAAAUAAUUCUUUUUUAUUUAUAUUCCCUGGAAUAAUUUCUUAAUAAAACUAUACAUUUAGUAACUAUACAAAAUUUCUAUUUUCGGAAUAGAAAAAUAACAUGAAUGUGUUUGGUACGACUCACAAAUUUUUUUGUGAUGUAGAAUUUCCUUAAAAUUUUUAGUAAUUGUUUUUGAGAUUUUUCUUUUCUUCUUUUUUUUUUCUUUUUUCCUCUCUUCUUCUUCCUCCUCUGGCCGAUUGUUGAGCAACAAUGAGUGGUGUGCGACAAGCUUCGAUGGUAGUGGCGACGGUGGGUGAUGAGUCUCCACCGACCGAUUAGAAGAGAACGAAGAAGAAAAGGAAAAAAAAAAGACUUAUUUUUAGAAAUUGUUUCCGAGCACAAGUAGCAAGAAGCUACUUUUUCUACUUCUUGUUUCAGUUUCAAAUCUAUUCACAGGCCACUUUUCUAUUUUGAGGAAUAGAAAAAUUAACUGACAUUACCAAACGGAUUUUUGUUCUUUUUCUAUUUCAAAGAACAAAGGAAUAAUAUAACAGAAAAAUUGGAAUGUUGUCAUGUAGACCAGCUUGUUGACAGAAAACCUGAUUAUGAGAAAUCAGAAUUGGAUGUUGUCCUCUACUUACUUUUAUUAUUGCCCUAUUUUUCACUUUGAAAGCUAAUUAGUUAACAAUGUAUUCAGGUCAUAUUUUAUUCAGAAUAAGUGAUCAAUUUUAUUUGUGAACUUGAAUCGAAUGGCCCGCAAGAAUAUUUGGACAUAGGAGAUAUUUGACAUGCUUAAUCCAAAUAAAAAGUAGAAAAAUGAUACGUUGACAAUAUUUUUGGAAACAUGGCUAAUGACAAAAUGCCUCUUCUGAUUUAUAUAUUAUGCUCGAGAUGGUGUCAUCCUCCCCCCUUGCCUCAACUUGAGAACGUUCCUUUGGCGUCAGAAUUUCCAUUAGAUAGGAUCUGCCAACGAGAGUCAUCUCCAGUUUCUUGUCGGAUAACUUUGCCUGUUGUCCCCAAUAAUUCUACCAGCCCUACUGACGGUCACCUCAGAUAUAAUAGUUAAAGCCAGCAGAGAAGAAUAUCCUGAGCCAUUACGGGGAAAAACAGGGUAAUGGGAAGUGCCAGCAUACCAUUUCCCUUAUGUAUCAGAAACAUACAUAUACAUUCACGAUGCCUAAUUAAGCCCGCUAGUUGAGCCUGAAGUUUUUUGUGCAUGUCGAUGGAAGUGCCAGAAUGAUACGUAUUAUUCCAUCCGGCAAACUUUAGUGCCUAGUUUAAUGACAAAACUGGACAAUGUCUAUCAACUGCUUAGUGUAAAGAAACCACAGGGUUUAAUUUAUUUAUUUAUUAUUAUUGAAUAACUUUUUUGUAGUGCAUACCUAUGGAAUAGCAAGAAUAUUGCAUAUUGAUUCUUCCAUCCAGCUAAAUAUGGUACUUAGCUAAAUUUGGUACUUAGUCAUUUUUUUAAGGGGAAAUAAAACCAAACCUCCCGAAUUUUGAGGGUAGUACAGGUUUAUUCUAAACUUUCAGUUGUUACACAAUACCUCCCCGAACUUUCAUUUUAUUAUAUCUAUUAGCCUGACGUUAUUUUCUUCCGGUAGCAUGUGUAACACAUAUGACUUGUAAGGUGUACAAGUAUAUAUUUCAUCUUAUCUUUUAAGGAAAUAUCUCUUGUACCCACAAUUGUUAUGAAAUAAAUGAAAUAUCAUAUGAAUGGGAGAAAUUAAAUUAAAUACUAGAAAAGUAUAAGUAGUAGUAAUAUUAUUGAACAAAGUUUGAUAAAGAUAGCCACUUUAGUACAACUAAAUAAGAUAUUUAAGAAAAAAAAUACAAACCAUAUAAAAAGGAAAAGGACUUGAUAACAAAAAUAUGAAAUGAUAAAAAAAAUUGGUUACUCAUUACUUAUAUUCAUAGGCUCAAUGUCUUCAACUUUUAAAAGGGAAUGAGCAACUGAAAUCUAAAUCUUUUUAAAUAAAUGUAUUUUUUUUUUUGGUAACUGUUAUAAAUGUAUUGAUCUUCAUCUUUUUCAUUAAUUAACAAUUUAGAAAUACAUAAUGAGUACCGAUUUGUUAUUUGCCCUUUUGUCAUUUAGGUCUUUUUACAACAUUGUGUUUCUUGUUCUUCAAUUUCUUAUUAAUUAUAUAAAUAUUUUUACAAAUUAAUAAUAUUCGUUGAAGUAUUAUUAGUGAUAUUUAAUUUUAUAAUAUUAAUAUUCUAAAUAAUUAAUUUUUCUCCAUUCUUUAUACUAAAUUUUUUAAACCAAAAUCAAGGAUAAAAGAAAGAUUUUAAUAAAAAAAAAUGAGAUGAAAGGACACAAAUGGAAAAAGAAAAAGAAAAUCUCAAUAAGAAGAUGGUGAAAUAACAAUAAUUGGUUACUCAUUAUGUACAUUUAAAGGCUUAGUUAAUUUAAAAAAAAAUCAAUUAACAAGAUAUUUAAAAAGAGUUAUGAAAGGAAAUUAUUGCUUCAGCUCAUAAAAGGAAAUGAUUAACUGAAAAGUAAAGUGAUUUUUCUAUAUUAUCUCUUGAUCAGUCUUUUUUGUAUUAAUUAUUUAUUAAAAGUACGUAAUCAGUAUCCUCCACUUUUUGUUAUUUUCCUUCUUGUUAUUCUGGCCUUUUUCCUUUUACUAAAUUGUGUUAUUUUUUCUUAAAAAUAUCUUGUUAUUCCAUUAAUAUUUUCAUCCAUGUUAAUAAUUAACAUUUCUUUUGAUAAUAAAGUUUCCAUCAAUUUAUUUUCCUAGAUUUUUCGUUUUUUUAUCGGAAUGAAAAACAAAAGAGAGACUUCUAUCAAAAAAUGAGAUAAACAUACACAUUUACCCCUUAAAUGUUUUUACUAUAGCACAUUGCCAACAAAAAAAUGUAACAGUAGUUAACGGCUAUAAUAAAAUAAAAGCUCAAGGAAUAACAUACAACGAUUGAAAGUUUAGGGACAAACACGUAUUAAUCCCAACAUAUAACAAUUGAAAGUUUGGGGAUAAACUUGUAUUAAUCCCAAAGUUCAGAUAAGUUUUAUGUAAUUUUCCUUUUUCUAAUGGUAAUCCAUGUUUGAACUGUAAUAACCAACACUAAUAAAGAAAAUGAUUAAUACCCCAAAAAAUCUCAAACCGAUAUACCUAUGAUAAAUUUAUCUCAAACUAAUUUUUUGAUCACGAAAAACCUCAAAUUGGUAUACCUCUAAUAAAUUUACUCCAAAUGACCAUAAAGAACCCCAAACCGGUACACUUAUGAUAAAUUAAACCAAAUUAAUUUAUUCGAUUGCUAAAAAUCCCAAACCGGUAUGUUGGUGACAAAUAUACCCUCCAUUAAAGUGAAUUAAUACUAUAAAAAUUAUACAAUAAUAUAACUAUGACAAAUAGAGAGUAAAUCCUAUAGUGCACCAAUCAACUGUUACAUGUCAUCUAAUUCAAUAAUUUGAUAGUAAAAUUUAACGGAAAUUAAUAAAAUGUAUAUGUGUCAUAACUGUAUCAGUUUGGGGUAAAUUUGUCAAAAAUGUAUCAGUUUAGAUUUUUGAUUGUUAAAAAAUUAGUUUUUGGUAAAUUUGUCACGGGCAUACUAGUUUGGGAUUUUUUAGGAUAUUAAUCCUAAAGAAAAUCUGCACAAAGAUCUUUGGAGACAUAGAUUUUAAAAUUCCUUUUUGACUACACCUAAUGCGCCUCUUAGCAGGCUCCAUCUUUAACAUAUUUGCAAAACUUCUUUUGGUGCUUUGCAAUCAAUUCAUAAAAAUAAAAUAAAAAAUUAUUUUAAAAGGGCAAAAUCCAUCAAACAAUCAAAAUAUGCGAACUAUGAUACAUUUAUCCUAAACAAUUUCCUAAGACAAAUUUACCUUCCGCCAAUGUUGUGUCAAUGAGGAACAUUAAAAAUCUACUUGCAUUGAUCUCGGAAAAGCAAAUGUUGUUGACAUGACGUUCACGUGGUUUAAGUGAAAUAAAAAUGACAUUAGUUUGGAUGAAAAAUUAUCUAACAAAACCUUGAUGGAGGUAAAUAUGUCACAUAGUUACAAGUUUGGGGGUUUUUUUAUAUCAAAAGAAAUUUUUUUAUAGUAAAUACGUUAUAGUAUGCAUAAUUUCGGAUUUUUGAUGUAAAAAAAAUAUCAGGAUAAAUGUAUUACAGUGAGUAUAAUUUUAGACUUUUUGUGACUUUUUCUCUUUUAAAUAUCACCUUGAGACUUUUGAUCGCCACAAUUAAUGGACAUCAUCUGAUUUUUAAUAGUCGAAUAGUUGUUUUGAGGACCAUUCCAAAUUCCCAUAUAUCAUCUACCCAUUUUAUUCGUCAGAAUUUGAAUCUAUUGUUUGUUUCGAUACACCUCCAUAUCUCAUAUUCAAAGCAUCAACGUUUACAAGCAUAAAGGUGUACAUAAGGUUUUAAGACUUGAAAUAAAAUCUGAAACAUAGUUUAAGCAUCCUAAUAAUAUAUGCAAUUGCAUUUUUGCUUUAAUUUCACCAGGAAAGUUAUUUGCAAAUUCUAUAGUUAUUAAUAGGUUCAAUAGUUGUUUGACAUAUAUUUUAAUUCCUGAAAGCCUUACUUUAGUUUGCAUAUUUCUUAUUUGGUGCUAAAAAUACUAACCUAUUAUUCCAAAUAAUGAUAAUAAUAUAAAAUAGUGAAAUCUUAACAUGCUUCUAUAGAUUUUGCAAAUAUUAAUAUAUCAUCUAUAUAUACUAUUGAAAAAAGUGACAUAGUUUUCAAGUAUAUGAUUAUCAUAUUUGGAAAUUCUAAAGAGGCAUUUUUUUUAAACCAUCAGGCAUUACAUUUCAUUCACAUAACCAAACGGAGUAGUGAAGGGUGUUUCAUAUAUGAAUUCUGAAUCCUGCUUCGAUCUAACUGGGCCUUGGAUUCAAGUGAGGGGGGCUGUGUCAGAGCCCAAUCAAACCAGUGGAUCAACAACUGCAAAAGAAGAGGUCAAGAUAGUGUUAUUGUGCAGCUCUUGAACUAUCAAAUAAUUGAGAUUUGCGAAAGCUUCUUCUUGGGUAUUUUCAGCCACAGCUUUUGUUCCACCGGAAGAAGAUGAACAUAUCAUUCGUGCGGAUUGGCUUUUGUGGAAAAUGAAAACAUGGACGACCGAAUAAAAGCUGUAGUUGAACUCAAAGUGCAGGGGGGCCGAGCCUUGGCGUUUUGUGCAUGCUAAAAGCUUCGCCUUGUGAUUUUCGCCUCAAGUUUUGUUUCCGACGAGGAAGGAAGAGGUUAAUCACUUGAAGCUAUGUAACAAGAAACAACAAUUCAACCGCUCACAGUGAUUGGAGGUAAGCAUCAACUGCGAACUUAGACAUCAAUAGUCCAGCCUCCUUCGAUAACUUGGAGGACUGCGUGCGAAUUCUUGCUGUUUUAUUGAGGUCGUUUCCUGAAAAUGAACUCUCUAUCUUUAAUCAUGUCCACUGCGUGUGUUCUGUUACGUGAACGUUGUUUUACUCGGAAGCAUUAUGUACGAUGACCUUGUCUGUUGCAUUGGAAACCCAUAGUAAAAGUACAAAUGGAACAUUUUUCUUUUUGCUUUUCGGUUUGAUUUAGUUUGGUUAAACGAUCCAUGAGUUUAUUCUUGAUCCUUAUUUGUGUGAAAAAUGGAUGUAUAACAAGUAGUUUAUUGAUUUUAAUCUUAGAAGUAGAGUAGAGUAUGUAGUUCAAAUUGCUGCAGACUGUAACAAAUAUCUUGAUACACUGGACGAGACUUUGCGUCAACUCAUUAGAAAUAGCUCUACAGUACGAGCCAACAUUAUCGGUGAAUGGCAAUCAAGAUAGUUAGGUAAAAACUAGUUUUCAAGAUGAGAAGACGAGAUAUGGGCUAGUCCACCGAAUGCUCAGCCUUAGAGAUGUACAUGCUACCAUGAUCGCUCGUUUCCAAUGUCAUUCAUGUCAUCUCUAUCACUCUCCCUCAAAUCUCAAUUGUCUCUCAUUCGAACAAACGUUUUUUGCAUUUUCCCCAAAAUCCUUGCCAAACACAACCACCCCCUUCUAAAGUCUAGCACGCAGGAGCUACCAAAACAUUCGUUUGACUUUCAACAUUGUAGAACCAACCCGGCAAGAAGUUGACCAAGUGGACCCCGAUAGCACAAACUCUACUACGGUAUUAUGACCUAUGUAGCACGGACACGGCGACACGGACACGCGAUACGACACAACACGACAUGUGACACGUCAUUUCUCAAAAAGUAGAGAAUUUCGACACGUUCCGACACGUUAAAUAUUAAAUAAAUUUUUUUUUAUUUUUAAUUAAUUUAAUUCAAAUUCACAAAUAAAUAAAUAAAGAGUUUACAAUGAAUUUAUACUAAUAAUAUUAAUAAAUCUUACACUUUUUUUUAUUUCAUUAUCCCAAAUUUAUAUUUAUUUUUCGAAAUCCCCCCUCCCCCAAAUUUACUUUUAUUUUUUAAUCUCAUUUAUUUAUUUUUCUGAUUAAAAAAAAUUCCCCCACUCUCUUCUUUUCCUUAUCCAUUUCCCCCCCACUCCCAAAUUUAUUUUCCUUUCCCUCCCCAGUCCCCACCAUCGUCCGUUCCCCCCACCCAAUUUUUUUUUUUCCUUUCCCUCCCACAAUCGUCCAUUCCCCCCCCCUAUCUGUCUGUCACUUUCCCUCCCCCCAAAAUAGGUACCCAUAGACUCCCAUUUUUUUUAAUUACUUUUGAGUUUCUCAUAAACCCUAGCUCCUUUAUUCCUCCUCCUCGGCGCUCGCGACCCUUCCUCUUCUCCUCCUCCCUCCUUGCCGCUCGCCGCACGACCUCCUUCCUCGCUGGCCGCCGCUCCUCACCGCACGCACGACCCCCUUCCUCGCUGCUCGCCGCUCGCCGCACGACCGCCUUCCUCUCCUCUUCCUCUCACCUUUGGUCCUUUCUCCCUCGCAACUGCAGCCUCGUCGGAUCCAUCGCAGCAUCACAGGGCUGGCCCUCGCCUCAGUCUAAGCUCGGCCGUCUCUCGCUGUCGCUCGCGGUUUGCUCCCUCCCGGACACGCGUGUCGAAACGUGUCGGGAAAAGGUUGACCGCGUGUCGAAAAAUCCGACACGCGUUGACCGCGUGUCCGAGCGUGUCGAGGUGUCCGACACACUCCGACACGUGUCGGACACGAUACGCAAGCACGGACAGCGUGUCCGUGCUUCAUAGAUUAUGACCAGUAAUGGCCAUUCCACCGUAUUGGCCCAAGCACCGCAUAGCCCAUCCCCUUCCAAGGGCACCCGUGCACGGCCUCUCUGUGUGAGGAGCCGUGCUAGGGAGGGCUAUGACCCAGUUGGGCCUAGGCCAUUCCCUUGGGCCCAAACAGGGAAACGACCCCUAUUUUUUUCAAAGCUCCCAGUCGCAUUUAAAGAAUGAUUAACAUCACGAAAAAUUUAAAAUUGGUAUACAUGCGAUAAAUAUAUACCAAACUAAUUUUUUUAUUAUCAAUAACUGGUACACAUGUGAUAAAUAGAAUGUAAAAAUCUAGACCAAAACACUUAGCAAUUGUCACGCGUCAUCCGACUCAACAAUUUCAUAAUAAAAUUUAAUAGAAACUAACGAAGAUAAAUUUGUCACUGGUGUACCAAUUUUAAAGUUUUUGGUAAUAAAAAAAUAUUUCUUUUAUAAAAAAAAUAGUUUGUUAUAAAUUUGUCACGAGUGCACUAAUUUUCAUAUUUUUUCGUAACAUUAACCCUUUAAGAAAAACAAAAUGAAUGUGGCAGAAUGUGAUCGUUCGACCCCACCAAAAAAACAGCUCCUACAACUUUAAUUCCUCCUUCAUCAUUGCCUCCAUCCAUUUCUCAUUACUUAUCACUCUCUUACAAUUCCUAAAAAAAUCUCGAAUUCUACAUACAACAUUUCAAAUUUCCGAGUACACAACAGACCCAACUCAGCUACAUUAACCAACUCAAUUCCCCAGACCCAGACCUCCGACUACGAAGAGUAGCCUACUCCAACCAAUACUGGGUAGUCUUUGUGUUGGAAGGUCCAAGAUUUGGCGAAUGUUCAACAUCGAGGUCCUCCCCAGUGGCGAGAAGAAGGCUAUUUACAUGGCGUGGGGCGUGAAAUUACCUGCAAAAUUUAGUAAUAUCUCGCUGAAAUGGCUAAGCCCAAGGGGAGGUCCGCCGCCGCUGCAACAGGCCACGAUAGUAGUCCGUUCAAGUACAACAAUUCUCAGGCUCAAUGCCCAAAUGAACAGUAUAGACUCCAGGCCGAGGUACCAUUUGGGCGCACCCAAGAUCCGGGGUUCGAUGAGCUCGUCCGGGUGGCGUUCAGUCAAAUUACAGAGGCGUUACAAGGACCACAACUACUAGGAAAUACAAGGGUCAAUACAAGGAGAAAUGAGCAGAAUCGGUGCAACUGCUAUCCAUGGAUAACAUUGGAGUGUCAUUGACUUCAAAUUUGGGGACUAACCUGAAGGACUGUGGCUAUUGUUGUGUGCUAGAAAGGACCAUAUUGGUUACUACAUCACCGAACUCUGUUGUUUAAGCAUCUACAUCGCCACGAAUCACAAAAUAUUUGUGUGGAAAUCAUGAGAUCGGUGAAAGACUUUGGCAUUAGCGAGAAAGCAUUUUCCAAUACUUUGGAUAAAGCCUCUGUAACAAUGUGAUUUCUAGGAACAUGGAUGCUCAGAUGUGGCUCGCUUGCAAUGGCCAGUUCUUCCGUGCAUGUUGCAUAGUGUGGUGUUACCAAUCUUUGCACACAACAUGGUCUUAGACUCUUAGAGAUUUUUAUGAUUCUUCUGUAAGUCGUGUAAGCUGGUGGGUUCGCUGCCUAGGUUCCGCCCCCUUUAAGGGUUCAAGAUAUGGAGACGAUGUUCACGGAAUGCGGAAGGGAGCCCCAUAAAGCUCCCUCAGAUGUCAAAAUUAGGUGGAAUUCCACCUAUCUGGUGUUGCAGAAGGCCUACGAUUAGAUGGAUGUGUUGACCUCGUUUUCCUUCCAUUAUUACAGGUUGAUUGAAGGGUUGCCAAACUGUUCAAGCACUUCCUGGAGGUGUUCAACGACGCCACAGAGGUGAGCGACUAUCCAUCGACCAAUUGAGUUUUGUCUUUCCUCUUCUCGAUUUCGUUGGAAUGAGUAGCUAAAGAACGUGAUGCCUUUUUGGGUCCCGUCAUUAUUGUCAUUAAGAGAAACUGCUCAAGUACUUUGAGGAAAUUCACCCUCUUUUGUAUGGCAUCUACGCGUUCGGAUCCGAGAUUCAAGAUAGAGGGGCUGGUAAUUCGGGACUCGUAAUUCCAUCAAUGUUCAAGAAAUAAUGGCCAUGGUGUGAAGCUGGCUGGACAAUCACUACUUGCACGAUAUAACGAGAAUUCGGGACUCGUAAUUCCAUCGAUGUUCAAGAAUACUGGCCAUGGUGUGAAGCUGGCGGGACAAUCACUAGGGAUAUGUUGUAAGCAAUUCGGCCCCACGGACUGAGAUACCAUCCUCAUCGAGCAAAAAAGAGCCCCCCCUUCCCCCAAACAAAAAAAAAUUAAAAAUAAAAUGGUUUGGAAUCUUAUACAGAAAAGAGAGCGGUUCAAAUGAGUUUCUCUGGCUUUUCUCCGUCCAUGAUGGAUAAUGAUGACUUGGGCAACAUUGAGAAAGUUAGCCACGAGAACGUUGAUGCGCUAAUCGAAUCAUUGGGGCCAACAAUCAAGGUUGUCCGACAAGAAUUUGGAGAUGACCGCCGUAGGCAAAUCUUAGUUGAUGGAAAUUGUGAAGCCAGAGAAGAGUACUGAGUUGGAGGCAAUGGAAGAGGACAACAAUAUCUCAUUCAAUUUAUGGUGAUAGAGAGAGCAGUCCGUGGCAUUUAAAUUUGUAUUUCUCUUCUCAUAAUGUAAUAUUAUAUAAAAUGUAUUUCUCUAAGUAAGAACCUUAUGUAAUUUUAUUAUAACCGGUGCAAUUUGUGUGGUGUAAUUCGAUUUUUAAUGAGAUGAUUUUGUCUAAGUCAGAGUCUUACCUAUUGCAUUUUGCCUCCUAUUAUUGUUAUUGUUGUUAUUGCUGGUGCUGCCAUGCUGGUGCUGCUAUAUUUUUCCUACAAUAAUCCCUACUCCCCAUAAAACAUAAUCAUGAAGUUAAUUUUUGAUGAUUCGACUUCCAUGCUUUGUAAAGAGGCAAAGAGUAAAAGUCUUAAAGAUAAGAGUUAUAGUAUACAGACAAAAAAAAAAUGCAUUGGUUAACUAAAUGUAUUUUUAAUUAUUUUUAAAAAAAAUUAAAAAUUAAAUUAAAAACCAGGCCCUAGCAUAAUAUGCCCUAGCUUGGCAUGAGGGUUGGCAUGGCCCGUCAUUGCCAUGGGCGGUGCCGGCUCGGACACAGGAAUUCCUUUGAUGUACUAGGGACACAUAAAAAUGUCGGGCCUCCCGGCAAGGCCCAUAGUCAUUGCUAAUCAUGACUCUUAUAAAGCAAGACAUUUUCUUUAAAUUUUUCGGUGGGUGCAAUGAAAAGUGGGGCACUCAAUUAGAUUCGACCAAACAUGCCUUAAAGGAUGCUGAGAUCCUGCGUGUCUUCAACUCGUGAAGGUUGGUUCAUAGGAAGGGAAGAUUCAAGGCAUAGAAUACAUGUUUGAUUGGAAGGGCAGAUGCUGAGAAUUUGUGGCGUUGCGGUUCUUUCUUCAACAACAACAGCGUCAAUAGCAUCAGUGGAUCUAAUUCUCGUUCGACCCAAAAAGGUAGUGACAGAGAAACACCGUACCUAGUCGCCUCAUGACGUGGCUUCACAAGGACCACAAAGAGACAUUUCUUAUGUUGGGUAAAUGCAAGGUUGUUUAGUAAAUUAUGCUUUGAAAAGUAAUCUUGAGAGAAAUGUUGUUUAGUAAAAAACACAUUUGAAAAGUUCUUUGGGUGAAUAAUAUUAGUUUUAUUAGUUUUUAUUUGUUUAAAAUUAAAAAAAAUGAAUGCAACCUUUUAAAUAUAAAAUUUGAAAAAUAAUGCUAAAAAAUCAAAUGCAUUAUAUAAUUUUAAAAAAAAAAACCAAAACCUUCGUCGGAAUUUUUUUAAUUCUUAUUUGUUUAAAAUUGAAAAAAAAUACUAAUUGCAACUUUUUAAAUAUAAAUUUUAACAAUAGUGCAAAAAAAUCAAAUAAAUAUAUCUAAUUUAUUUAUAAAAAAAAAAAGACCAAACUCUUAGUUAGAAUUUUUUAAUUUUUAUUUGUUUAAAAUUGAAAAAAAAAAUAUGCAACUUUUUAAAUAUAAAUUUUGACAAUAGUGCUAAAAAAAUCAAUAUAUAUAAAUGCUAAAAACAAUCAAAUACAUAUAAUUUCUUAUUUAAGAAAUUAUAUGUAUUUGAUUGUUUUUAGCAUUAUUUUAGCAUUUAAAAAUAUAAUAAUGAGGGAAAAAUCGAAAAUUUGAAAAAUGAAUGAGGAUAGUUUUGGAAGAAAAAAAUGAGUUUCAGCAUUUAGCUAAAUGCUGAAAGCCCAAUGUUAGUCCCUACUAGCAUUGGGCUUUCAGCCUUUCUGAUGUUGACUUUCACUUGAAAGUUACUUCAAAAUGAUUGUCAAACGGUCAAGUAUUUCUUCAAAGGGCUUUGGAAGCUUAAAACUCUUUGGGAAUGUUGAACCAAAUGCAUCAUAAAUCAUUUUAUCUCUAAAAGUGAAAAGAAAAGGGGGAAAAAAGCACAACGGGUGAUGCGCCUUCCCGUUAUCUUAUUGAAACCCACUAAUCGAUGAGUGACCACCAUAAUUGAUGAACCACAUCCACAUUGUUAAUUAUAAUAUGAAAUGUGAAAGGAGCCAUCAAAUUAAUCUGAUCCACAAGAUUUAGGAAUAAGUUGUUUUAGCACUGUCAUUGCCACAUAUAACAUAAACUUAGGAAGACUUUCCAAGAUGCAAAUUGGCUUUGUUACUUCACUUUUCACAUUUUUACUUUUCAUUUGAUUGAAAUAUUAUUUAAUAAUUAGCAUUAAUUGUUGCUCUCUUGCUCAAAAUCAACAAUAAUGUUUGUCUAACUUUUUUCAUGUUUAAUCAUAUUUUAAUUAUUCAUUCAUUUAUCUCUAUGGUACUUGUCUAUUAGAUUUAUGUCUAGAUUUUCAUGUAUCUUAUCAAAUAUAAGCUUGAUAAAAGCAAAAAGAAAAGCUAAAAAGAAAAAAAAAAGCAAAAAACUGAAAAUAAAAAUAAAAAUGAAGGAAUGGGGCAAGAGAGAGCACCACCAUUCCCACGGCCACCACCAUGCCGUGAUAGUAGGUAAGGUCAAUUCUAAGUUGUUAAGGUAUCUUACAUUAUUUGUUUAUUUGGUUUAUAUGCUUUCUAUGUACACAUGUCUUCCUCCAUUUAUUAUUUUAAGUUUUUGAAUUGGAUUUUCUAAUAUAUUAUAGAAGCCACGUUCUAUCCACUUUAUUUUUAACUUGCACAUGAGAGAGUGUAUUAAAGUAUCACGAGGGAUUAUUGAAGUAUCCUAUGUUAGAUGUAUGCCCUAAAGCUGUUAUAUAAUAGUUACAUAUUAGGGAUUUUAGUUGUACUUUCAUUAUUAUUAUUUAUUUAAUGGCAAUGACGUAUUCAUUCAUUUGUCCAAUUAUUUUAUAUUGAUGAAUGAUUCCAUAAGAUCAGUUGCAACUAGACCUAUUCUUGAGACAUCAAGAAUAUAUGCGACGGGUUCAUAGUUAGACUGAAUCUUUAAAUCGUUCAUAGUCGAUGGAUUAUUGAGUGGAUAUUAAUAAUCCUGUUGAGACCGGUGUGUUCUUAACUUCGCCAUUAAGUAUUGGAUACUUAAGGCAAUGAUGAAUCACAUGUCAUUGGGUAUUAUGAUGCCUAAGUUAGAACACAAGUGUUUGUAUUAAACAAAUUCACUGAACGUGAUGCAUAUGGAAUGAUUAGCAACAUGGAAGCAUUUAGCGUGGUCAAUGUCUAAUUGUUCAUACUUUGGUCUUGUGUAAAUAAUCUUUAGACCUGAGGCACAGUGUUAACUUGUGUAUUGAACAACUAUGGUUCACAGGUGCACAUAAUGCCGGGUCGUUGAUCCAUCUUUAUACCCGAUGGUCAUAGUUUGUUCAUAUAUGAAGUUACACGUGUGCGCAAUAUGGAAUUUGUCUCCUUGUUAUAUGCAAGGUAUGAUAAUGAUGUCCUAUGCGAUUUAAUUGUGACACUGCAUUGAAAUUCUCGGUCGGGGUUGUAACCGAGAAUAAAUUAUUUAUGUCUCGAAUAAAAUGCAUGUCAAUUAGAUUUGUGCAUAUGAUCAAAUUAAUGACUUGACUAAUAUUCCAUGGUCUUUGUUUGAUCGGGACAUAGUAAGACAGAUGGAUUGAAUUACACUGUCGCCAAAGUUGACAGGUUCAUUAUGUUCUUAAAAUAUUCACACUAUCUGGGUAGCCAUGACAUAUUGCUAGAUGUCAAUCUGGCUUGUAAGUCCCAAAGAUUAAUCGGGACAAUUAAUUCUUGUGGGAGUACUAAUGUGUUAGUACAAGUCUUACUACCAGCUUAGUGAUGAAUCUAGGGAUGUGACACACCAUAAACAAUUAGGAUAACGUGGAACAAGAGAGAAAUAUAAUUGCAAAUGUGUUUGCAAUUACUACAAUCGAAUUGAGUUGAUUUGAAAUUAAAUUAAAUGAGAUUUAAUUUAAUUUGUAUUAUAGUCACGAGCCUACUUGCAUAUGAUGCACACGCAUGUCCGAAUUGGAUAUAUGUUAACGUACCCCAAUUGUACAUAUAAGAAUUAUGUUAUUUUUUUUAUUUUUUUAAGGGAAUUGAUUAAUCAUUAAUUAAUUAAUUGAUUAAUUAAAGUGGAAAUGGUCAGCAAUUUUUGCUGACCACUUCACACGAAUACGUGCACAUGCACGCACGAAUUCGUGCAUGAUGGUCAGCAAUCGCUGACCAUCAUACACGCAUUUUGUUCGUGCAUGGACCAUCAUGCACGAAAUCGUGCAUAAACGGUUAGUGGUUGUUGACCGUUCCGUUCGUGCAUGAGAAUGAGGAUCGGCAACGGUUGCUGAUCCCACGAUCGGCAACCGUUGCUGAUUUGUGUAUAAAUAUUAAAAAGAAAGGCUGCAAAAAAGUUGCAACGUAGAGAAAUUUUCUGUGGGCGUGCGUCUUGCGUUUUCAGAGACAUACGAGUGAUGCUUUGCUGAAAACAGAGAGCAAAUUGUGUGCGUGUUCUUGUGUCUUUGAGACGCAAGAAAGAAGAGCGUUAUCUCAUUUGGGCUGUGACUAUUAUACAUCAAGAAUACGACGGAUUGUUUCCACGUGAUUGCUAGCACGAUCAUCUUGGUGAAUAUCCGAAAGUUCUCUCUUCUGUUCGACGUUCGUUGUUGGUGUGUCUGAACUAGAGGUUCGAUGCUUGUGGGACUCGAACUGUAGAACAUCCAAACCGACUUGUUUCAAAGCGCGCUUCGAGAGGUAAUUCGUUUAACUCCCUUUUAUAUUCAGAUUUUUUAUUAAAACGCAUGAACAACGCCUUAGGAGUCAUGUAUAAAAUAUAUCUUUGUAUCAAUUGCGUUCUUUAUGUUAAUUUUACCUAUACAUGAUUCAUGAAACCCCAACAUCCCAUACCGGUCUCUCUCCACCUAUUAGCUAAAUGUUUGGGUUGGACUUUUUAAUAUUAACAACACAAUGUGAUUGAGUAUAAAUGAAUUAUCAUCGGAUUUUUCUUUUGUCAUAAGAAUACUCUAAAGCCUCGAACUUGGCUUUUCUGUUUGAGUAUAGUUGGUGAUUUUCUUGCCUUUUUAUAAAAAAUUUAUGGGAGGGUGGUUAUUUGUUUUGCAUGGUGGUGUGCUGCUCGACGGCAAUUUUUUCACACUAAAUCCUUUGACGAAAAUACCGAGAAUUAAGUUUUGUCUUUUGAGGAUUUCCUUGGAUGCUGAUAUUCUUUUGGUCGACUCACCGUACAGUUCCAAUUAAAUUGUUGUUAGGCGAUGAUGAUUACUCAUCUUAUUACGCUAGAAUAAGGAAGGAGAGGGGAUUACAAAGAUUGCAAGCCUGUCAUUAACUAAAUCUAAAGAAAGCAAUUGUUAUAAAUCAUUGUUCUCCAUAUUUGAUUGUGUGUUUCUGCACAUAGUUAGGCCCUAAGUUUGGAGCUCACGUGAAAAGUAGCCACAUCAAUGUCAAGUAUAUUAUCGAUCAUAUAUUUUCUCUUGGGAUGGAAUUAGAUAUUUCAAAUAGCACACACUAUAUUUGAAUGCGAAACAUAUUCAUUCAUUUGAGCAGGCUUGAGAGUGAAAAAAGAAUUGCCCAUCAAGCUCGGCUCAACCUAACCUAAAUAUAAGGAAAAAAAGCUAUUCGAGCUUGAGGGCAAUGACUCAUCUCUUAGACCUUGGAGCUACCAAGACUUGCCCAACGCAGUUUUAUUGUUUGGCGAAUGCCAAGCCUAAAUGAGUUUGGGCAAGCACAUUUCUUCUUGGGCUCUGGCUCGCCCCGACACUGUCAUCUAUACUAAGAAAGUAUAAUAGUUUACAAAAUCAUAGGCCGAGCCAGGUAAGAAUUUUGAUGGUCGAUAUUUGACUUGGUCCGUCUAGACUCCCCAUUCAAUAGUUCUACAAAUAGUGAGUGUUGUCCUAGCCGAACAACUUUUUUUUCACCUUAUUACCCAUAUUGUAUGUCAAGUCCAAGUGCAAUCUGAUCCUUUUCGGAUUAAGGCCCAAGAGUUUGGGCUGUUACCUUUUGAGGCCCACCAUGCCAACGGCAGCCCAUUCAAUGCCUUUGAAGCAUGAUGUUAGUUUCUCCAAAAAAAAGCAUGGUGUUAGGGCUUAAUCCUACUACAGUUGUCAAAAUCAGUUUGAAUUUGCAUUUAACACUGAGUGCACCUAAAACAUUUUGAAAAUCUACGCGUAAAAUCUUCCUAUUCUUUUAAAAUUUGAAUUUUUAUUUCAUACGACAAAAUUUGAAGAAGCUCAUUUAGACUGUGUUGCCGGUAAUGCAAGAGAGAUAAGUCAUGAUUGGGUAGGCAAAGGCAGGGCGCGUAGAGUAAACCUGAGCUAGGUUUUGCGAAAAUUCACCAUGAUGGGUCUUAUAGAAGGAACAAAACAUGGCUGUUGUUAGGAUAGUGGCGAGAGAUGAAACGGGGGAGAUGAUUACCUGCAGGGGCGUCGCAGUGCAAACUAGACCUGCAAAGAAAACUGAAUUACUUGCUGUUCGAAAGAGCAAUGAAGUAGUUAAAGAAAAAGCUGAACCAAGGCAGUAGGGGAGCUGAAUGCAACUGAGGUAUACAAGGAUAUCAUCAAUUUUCCCAAGUUGUGCAAUUAAAGACUAAAGGACGCUCCUGCCGGGAUUCAAGAAGCUAAAGAUCAUUUUGCAGCUCUAAAUUUUAGUUGUAUUUCACAAAAGGCAAAUGCUUGUGCCCAUUAGGUAGCUAUGCCAAGAUUGGGAUCUACAUCUGCAUCCCCCAUCCUUCUUAUCACAUUUUCUUAUAUCAACAGCGAGUUACUAGAGUAAAAAGAAAAAGCCCCAUCGAGGACACACACGACACACCCAAAUGUCAGUCUCUGACCUCUAGUGGCUGGUUUAUGGAAAUUCUAUGAGAAACAUCUCCUCGGGAAAAAUCAAUCCGUAUUAAGUAUCGAAUUGAAUUGAUGCCUUCCAACCCAAAAAUUGACCCUAAUCCCAGAAAGCUGACUUUAGGUGGAACAACGAAUUGCGGCAAACCUGAAGAAGGCAAAGAAGUCAACAGAGAUAAAUCCUUUGUCAGGGCUCGGGUAUGAUCAAUUUCAGUUCACUGGAUCCGAACACCAAUGUAGAUGAGAGGGAUCUCGUGGAUGAGGGGCUGAUAGUUGCCAGUGAGUUUUGAGCAUCGAUCUUUCAGAAUCUCGCAUAGAAAUAUCUCCAGAAUUUGGACAGAUCAUAGUCUUCCUUAUUACUCCUUUCCCCCUUUCCCUGACAACAAAGAAAAAGAAAAUGUGCUUUGAGAUAGUGUGGGAAUUUGAAUAGAAGAAAGAGGAACCAUGAACUUUAAAAAGAACUCGGAUAUAAAUGGCUUAUGCUGCAGGCCUCAUUCAAAUUUAGUUGUCAUAUUCGCCAACUUGAAAACACCUGUUUUAAAUCUUAUUUUUUUGUGUCUUUACUGUAGCUGCUACUUUGGAAGUAAGAAAGCCUCUUUGAUCGACUAUUAAUAUAGACCUCGAUUAUUGACAUAAUAAUACAGAUUAAUCUUUUAGAGCAUGUCGCCCAAAAGAAAAAGCAGUUUAAAGCAUAUUAGUACUCCUACCAAUAAAAAAAUAGCCUUAUGUUUUUCUUUUGUCAAGUUGCAACGGGUGAACAUAAGCACAUCAGUUGCUUACCUCGGCACUGGUUGCAUUUGAUCCUCCUGAGAAAUUUUGCCAAAUAAAGAUAACAGUGGAAUAUUAUGCAAAAGAAUCACAGUCGAGACAAUUUAGGUCACUGAGCUAGGAUAUAGAAAAUUAAAAAAGGAUAUUUGGAAGAGAAAACAUAACAAACACCUAAGUUGUGGAAAAAUAACAAUAUAAGAGCAACAAUUCUUCGUGAUUCUCACGCAAAGCAUAGUGUAUUUCCAUAAGUGGAAAGAUAAGCAAUUUUUGGUCAUCAAUCAGUUCAAGAUAUAUCAUCAAUACAGACAGGCACAUAUAUGCAUCAUAAUUCCAGCACUGUUAACAAGUCAUGUAAGUAUUAUUUGUUUUGAGGAAUAGUCACUUGUAUCAAGCAAUGGUUGGUUGGCUUGCUGUACCACAUUAGAAUUAUAACCAUGUCAUUGCUUGCCUCCUUGUCAAACAAAACAGAGCAACCCAAAUGUCAACAUUGGACCAUCAGCAGCGGUUUGUGGAAAUUUAGGUGAAGCUUGUCCACAUGAACCUUUUAGCAUCAAAUUGAGGAUUCAUAAUAGAAAUGGAUCUUGGAGCAGCAACAGUAGCUAAAAAAGAAGCGUGCAAGAAAGAAAGACGUCCAAAUCAUUACCUGAAGAGAAAAAUUAGAAAUUGGAUAGAUAUCUUCUUAUUGGAUCUGAACUUGAUCAACUAUGAUGAGUGGGAUUUCUCGGAUGAGGUGCCCAUAGUUGCCACUGAGUUUUAAGCAUUAAUCUUUCAGAAUUUGAAAUUGAAUUAUGUUGGAUACUUGGAGGAGAGAAAGAAGCCAUCCUCUGGCAUGGUCUGAUAACCUAUAAAAUGUAGCUGUUCGAGAGUGGAGAGAUGGAUCUUUCCACGUUCCUCAUAGUUCUCAUCCAAAGAGAUGUAGAGAUGAGGGAAACAGAAUACUCCAUGCUUCUUACAUCCUCCACUGUUGAUACUCUUUCCACAUUCCUCGUAUUUCUCACCCAAAAAUCUGAAAGAGGACUAUCAAUUAGUUCUGAAUAAAAAUUACCUUUCAUGCUUAGAGUGAUCAGAACAAGAUUAUAGGCAUACUCAAUUGACAGCAAUGAAAAAUGAACAGGGAUACCCUCUUGAUGAUUUUCUUUAUGUUUUUUUCACUGAAAAAUUCUUGCGAUUAUGUUAGCUCACAAGUAUGGGAGACCACUAAUCACCGGCGAUGGUGACUUAUUUGUAUGCUGUGAUAACUCCUAAGAAUGAUUGCCUACACCUGUUGGCAAAUCUGGAAUGCUCAAAAUGCAAUCACUUUUACCCAUAAAUCACCAGAUGUUGAAACUGUCACUUGUACAGGUUAGAAAAGCUAUUUUGCAGUGUGUUUCCAGUAAAAAUGUAAGCUAAGUCAUGAUUGGGCUGAUGCAAGGCACGGUGCAUGGAGUAAACCUGACCUGGGUUUUGUUAAGAUUAACUAAGACGAGUCUUACAUAACAUGCCGUCAUUGGGAUUGAGGCUAGAAAUGAAACAGGGGAGAUGGUCGCCGGCAGAGGAGGCUGAAUUACUUGCUGGUCGAAAGAGCAUUGCAAUGGCUAAAGAAAAAAGUAGGCCAAGGCAGUAGAACAGAUGGAUGCAGCAGUGGCAUACGAGGAUAUCAUAAACUUCCUCAAGUAGCGCAAUUGGAGACUAAAGGAAGCUCUUGCUGGGAUUCAGGCAACUAAAUAUCAUUCUUUCACCCCUGAAUUUUUUUACUUGAAUUUCACGAUACGGCGGUUUCUGGAAAUCCUAUGUGACACUUCUCCAUGGGAAAAAAUUAAUUCGCACAAAGCAUCGAAUUGAAGAACAUAAGCGAAAUUGAUGCAUCCAAGACCAAAAAGCUUACCUGGACCCUAGAAAACUGACUACACAUCGAAGGAUGCAUCGUGGCAGUUAGCAAAUGAAAGUGAAAGUGGAUCAAUUUUGCUUCACCAAAUUUGAAACUAAUCAAUGCGCAUGCCAGGGAUUUCUUGGAUUUUCCCAAAAAUUUAUGUGAGACAUCUACAUGAAGGGAAAAUCAGUUUGCAUCGAAUUGAGGAAGCAAAAUGGGAAAUCGAUGCCUUCAAAACCAUAAACUUACCUAAACCUUAAAAAACCUUACUGUACCAGGACGAAUCAAUUCAUUGAAUUUGAACCCAAUCAAUCUCGAUGUCAGGGAUCUCUUGGAUGAGGGGCCAAUAGUCGCCAGUGUGUUUUGAGCAUUGAUCUUUCAUAAUCUCGCAUCCUUCUAUCCACAAUUCUUGGAGGGAGGGAGGGAGGCCAUCCUUUGGCAAGUCCCUCAACUUCGGGCAAUUUGAAAUCCCUAAACACUGGAGAGAGGAGAGAUGCUUGCGAAAGCCAUCCGAUUGUCUUUCCACGUUCUUCAUAUGGCCAAUCCAAAGAGAGGUAAGAGAGGAAGGAAAGGGAAGACUCGAGGCAUCAUCCUCGUCCUCCUCCUCCUCAGGAAACUGCACCUUCUCUCCCUCCCCUCCCAUGUUUGUUCCAAUAAUAUCUAGAAACGUGAGGGAUGUGAGCAGGGGUAAGCCCCAUUCUCUCACUGGUUGUUUCAUAUUCUCGCACUCACAAUGAAACGCUUGCAAAUUGGGAGGCAAACCUCCUUCGGGCAACCAUUGGAUAUUUUGGCAAUGCCUAAUGGAUAUGUUUCGGAGGGAUGUAAGAUGACACCACUUUGGUAGAGACUUUAUCUUCGGGCAGUUAGAGAGAGAGACAUGUGACAGGGUGAUGAGAAGGGGAAGGGAAUCUAUUAUUUCCAAUGCCCCGCACCCAAUUAUAUCCAAAGAAGUGAGAUUGUUACAACUUGUGAUACCGGUGAUAGACUUUAUCUUCGGACAUCUCUCAAGUGUAAGGCUUGAUAGAGUGAGGGGAAGGGGAGGAAAGUCCUCUAUCUGACAACAGUCACAUAUACUCAAUCCAGUGAGAUGGGAGAGCGUGUGAAGGAAUUGUGGUAGGCUUCCAGUGAGAUGGGAGAGCGUGUGAAGGAAUUGUGGUAGGCUUCUUAGAUUCCAACAAUUGCGAAUUCCCAUAAAUUCGAGUGAUUCUAUGGUGAUUCUUCUAGUGAUUCCACUCCCUCGCAGUAUUUAAUAUAAAAUGUCUUUAGAGUAGCAAGUCUAUCCUUGGUAGAGGGACAAAAUGUCAGAAAAUCACAUUUACUUGUACAUGAAGAUUGAAGUUGAGACAUCAGGUUGUUGUUGUUGGGGUCAUAUGAAGAAAUGGUUGGCAUUAUGAGUUUUGGACACUGUUCAAUAGACAAAUAAUUGAGUGCAUACAUCUUGCUUGGAAGCUUUUCUAAACUGGUGCAAUUACUCAAUUUCAUCUUUUCAAGGUUGCAUGGCAGCUCUAUUUCUAUUUCUCCUGCCACGACUGAUGUGAAUUGAGGACAGCUUACAAUGGUUAAUUCUUGGAGGCAAGUAAGAUUUAGCAUUUCAUUUCCAUCUUGCCACAAAUAUUUUAACCGGUCGCACCCUCCUCUAUGAAGCUCCUUUAGCUUGAUCAAGUGGCUCAUAAACCCAAACAAAGCAAACAAACUCUGCAAGAUUCUUAAUUGUAAGAAUGGUCAAAGAAGUUAGGUUCAUCAAGCUCUUCAAGAUCUCUUUAUUACAAUCCUUGCGGAACAACUCAUGGAGAGAUGGAAGACAAACAUCAUUGGUUGAGUUUUUCAAAUGUGGACAUGAAUGAAUUUCAAGCUUUGUGAGACGAUCAAGUUGACAAGGCAAUGUCCUGACGAACGAAGGAGAGCCCCGAACAACAAGAUGCUUAAGACAGGAGAAUGAGACUUCUUUUGGGCCAGCAUAAGGAGACCAAUCCUUCCAUGCCAACAUCUCUUCGAACUUCAAAGUGGUUAAGGAUGAAAAAGGCCUUGUACCUCCGUAAAAUUCAAAGCCUAUCAUUCUUAUUGCAUGUAGACCUUUAAGAAAUAAUUCCUUAAGUGAAGGUAGUUGUCCAAUCAUAGAUAGCGACAUAACAUUAGGAUAGUCCCACAAGCAUAAAGACACUAUUUUAUAAUAGGAUGUACAAUCUAACCAUGAUGGGAAUACUACACCACGAUAGUUCAAAAUAGCAAGAUUUUCAAGAUUAGUGUGAGGUUGCAGAGAGUCAAGCACCUGUGCUUCACGCUCAUGAUUAUAAAGAUCUCCCAAAUGUUCACCCCAAUGCAAGGAUAAGUUUGUAAGGCCUAGCUUUCGAAGCAAAUUAGCAUCAACUGCAUCUAUAACUUUUUCCACCUUUUGCAAUUCUGAUAUGAAUAAUUCUCCUUCAAGAUGUGGCAAGUUCUUUAACUCUUUCAACUGCGACCCUUUCUCAAGUCCUACCACAAAUUUGGACAACAUAAUAAGAUUCUUUAAAUUACUGAUACUCAACGGCAUCUCUUUUAGACUAUUUGUAUCUCUAAUAUCAAGAAACUGUAAGCUGACUAACUUUGUGAUAACUUGAGGCAACUUUGAAAGCUUUUGACAACCUCUUAAAAUCAAAGCUUGUAAUUUGCACAAGGCGCCAAUUGACUCAGGUAGCCUCUCAAUAUGAGUGUACGAGAAAUUGAGGUAUCGAAGAUGUUUUAAAUCACCAACACAAUUCGGUACCUCUACGAUGUUACAACGACAUAACGAGAAUACUCUCAAGCACUUCAAGUUUGUUAGCAAGUCAUGUAGCACCUUGUUGGAAAUAAAGAAAGAUCUUCCACAAGAUCCAUCACGCACCAGAAUUAAACUUCUUAGUGCCUUCAUUCCUUGAUAUGGUUUCAGGCAUUUUGAUGUAACAUACCACGAUGGGAUGAAUGAUGCAUAACGAGUUUUUUCAAGAGAUGAUAAAUCAUGUUCAUUACUUGCUACCCGAGACCCCCCUAAGCUAAAGCAAGUCACACCCAAAAUUGACUUUGCUAGAUCAUUCAAAAGAUCAUGCAUUGAAAACUUAGAUGCAUCGAUACUUGAUUGUUGAAGAAAUGACUUGGAUACUAACUCAUCAAAGUGCUUCCGUCCCAAUUUCAAGAUAUUCUCAUUUGCUUUUUGCCCAUCUAAAAGUCCCUCUGCAAUCCAUAAGAGUACCAACUCAUCCCUCUCAAUUUCGUAAUCCUUGGGAAAUACCGCACAAUAAGCAAAACAUCUCUUUAAAUAGGAAGGAAGAUGGACAUAGCUCAAUUUUAAAAUAGGGAGAACCUCAUCAUUCUUUGCCGUCAAAAGAUCCCACAUUUUGUUAUUUAAGGUAUCUUCCCACUCAUCAGGAUUACUUUUAGUACGUAGGACACCGCCCAACAUCUUUGCCGCCAAAGGUAAACCUUUACAUCUUUCAGCUAUUUUCUUGCCUAUUAUUUUAAAAGCCGGGUGGCUCUCAAAAUUUGUUACUCCAAGAGCAUGAAAUGCCAAUAAGCUUAUACAAUUAUCAAAGGACAAUUCCCUCAAAUGUUAUGGUGAAGCUCUUGUUAUGGAAGCAACAUUAAGGUUGCGAGUCGUGAUGAUGAUCUUGCUUCCGCUAGCCCCCGCUUCUAAUGGCUUUAAGAGGGCGGUCCAUUUUUCAUACUUCUCAUUCCAUAUAUCAUCUAAAACCACACGAAACUUCUUCCCAGCUAGAUUAUCCUUCAACUUAACUUGAAGCUUGUUAAGAUCUUUGUCGUCAUCGGAUGACCUAGUGAUCAACUGCAAAAUAGUUUUUGUUAUGUCAAGGACAUCGAAAACAUCUGACACACAAACCCAUGCUUUCUUCUCGAAACAACUAUUCACUUUGGCAUCAUUAUAUAGCCGCUGAGCCAAGGCCGUCUUUCCAACACUGCCCAUCCCAACUAUGGGGACUAUGCUUAGUGUGGCAUCAGAAUUUUUGACCUCACGGAUCAAUAGUUGGAGUAUCUCCAUUUUUUCCUUCUCCCUACCGACAAACCGAGGCUCCGGCAGAGAACUAGUGGGAUCCCUUUUGUUGCUAUAGUUGGAUCUAUCCACAACAUUGUCUCUCAAGCUUAGAUAAUCCCUCCUUUUGACAAUCGCUUCAAACCUACCUUUGAUAUCUUGGACCUUAGUGUCAGACACGAGUGAGCCUAGUCGUGUAAAAGAAAAUAACUUCCUUUUCCAUCGACCUCUACUUGUUUUGGAUUCUACCUCCUACUUAACUUGAGUGGCUUUGAUGUCUAACUCAUCGAGCAAGUCUUCUAUGUCAAAGGCCAAGUCCCUAACAUCAUCGAGCCACAGCUUCACUAGACAAUUCCCGCUAAGUUGCUUUUCCUCUGCAUCAUCCACCACUGCAUUGAUUGUGACUAGCAUCCUCUUCUAGUCAUCAAGGAUGGUGGUGUCAAUUCCUUCCCGUUGCGCAUAGUCUGAUGCCAAAGAACUCAACUUGUCAAACAAGGUUUGAAAGAAGGAACCCAAAACGAUCUCCCCAAUGGCCAUGGGUGAAUCAAUCACUGUUGAGAACAACAAAGUGUUAUGGUGAAGUAAAGUAAAAUGAGCUAAUGGAAAGAGAAAACUAUGAAUUCCAGGAAGACCAAGAUGUCCACUUACCAAAAAGAAUAAAAAAAGGACCAAGACUUUCAAGGGAUGCACACCAAAGUUUAGACAAAUCAAACUAAAAUAGUUUUUUGUCCAAGAGUGCUUGUUUUGUCAAUUGUUCUCCCUUUUCUUCGGAUCUAGACUUUUCUUGUGGGCAUCCAAAACAGAGGAUAAAUGUGAUUUUUCUUCAUAUGACCAACUUAGAGCUCACAUGUAUUUUCGUCAAAAACUUCAAUACUUACGAGUGUUGUGUUGGCUUUUCACACAUUCAUAUAUUAUUAGAAUCUCUAUGAUUUCAUUGUCCUUGUUUUUUUGCUUUAUUGUUGAAUAUGCGAUCAAUAUAGGCUUUUACGCGGCGGUUACAUUGCUGAAAAUUUGCUUAUGUUUAAGAUAUGAGAAGAUUAUUGGUUCCUCCUUCAAUGUGAAUGACCAUGUAAAGACAUCAAAGGCGACUAAUUUGUCCGUUCAAUAAGGAAAACAAAGCACAUGCUUUGGGCUAAACAAGAAAAAAGGUCAGGUGCACCAACUAAUCCAUUAACCAAGUUGCUUUAGUUUACUUUUCAAAUAGUGAAGGAGUCAAUAAUCAUUAAUUAACAGUACAUAAUCUACUAAAAAUUAUACUUUAUGCAUCAAACCAUCGUUCUCUUAUCAAGCAAUUCUGAUUAUCAACUAUUACCUUAGCACCCUUCGGCAGAUCAUCAUCGUCAUCUUGCUGCGAAGUUUUGCCAUUGUAACUGCCACUUAAAGCCUAUAUUGAUCGCAUAUCCAAAGUAUGCGAUCAAUGAGCGGAAUCGUUCGGAGAGCACGUGCUUUCCAUCCAGCCUUUCGUCUGUUUAUCUACAUCUUUUUGUGCAGCAAGAAGGCAUCCCCUCUAGAAGCGUUCUUUAAACAUUUUGUAUUCUGAAUCGUUUGAAGUUCACCCAGACAUUACGUGCUCUCCAUCAACAAUGUAUUUCCUAUUUACCUUGAAUUAAAGCAAAUGUCCCUCUUUUCUUUUUGUCUUCUAUUGGUCUACAAUUAAGAAAAAAAAAUGACAAGUCUUCCACAAUUUGGUAACAUUAUAAUGAAAAAUUCACAAGGAGAUUAGAACCAUAUUAAUUUGUUUAACAAUAUGAUUUUUCUUUUUUGGUAUGAGCAUUUCACUUCUUUCGGGCGGUGACUUUUUAUUUUUUCCCCCUCCCUUUUCUCUAUCAUAUCCUUUAUUUUCUGGUAGCGGGAAUGCACGACUAUAAACAUUUACUUUUCAUUUACACUUUUUUUUCAAUGAAUUAUAUAUAAAACAUGUACUAAACCCUUAAUUUGACAUCCGAAUUUUGCUGGACCUCGAAUAUGUAACUGUCCAUGAUGGGUCGACGAAUUUGUCGUCGGACUACGUCGUUGGCGCCACUUUUGGUCGUCGUUUCGUCACCACUCUCACCGUAUCGAAAUGUUACAUUUCGUCACAUUCUCGCGAUAGCAUCUCAUUGGGAAUCUUUUCACAUAAGGCCACCUGUGAUACCCAUCUCUGCCGCAUUUGCACCUUAUUAAAGCGAGUUUUCAAGCACAUGGAGACGUCGACUCCCAAAGUUGCGGCCCCAUCAAGGUACCCCUCCUUCACGCGAUCGAGGAACUCGCCCAUGCAUAGCCAUGCAUACGUCCAUUUGGGGGUCAACAAAGGAGGAUAUUUGACCACCUAAUAGCCCUAAAUAAAUUGCCUUUCCCCCAUGCACGUACAGAACCAUGCAGCCCCUUCUCUCUCGCAGUUCAACCGGUCAACAAAAAGGGAAGAUUUUGACCGAAGGAGCAGCCACGUCCAGCAUGCAUGCAAGGUUGACCGUGCAGCCAAGAUUUCUUCAACUGGACAUCUAUUUGAAGACUUUGACUCCUUGAAGCCCACGUCCUGCUGCCACGCCCCUCUCCUUCUUCGACCAGCGUACCGAGUGCAGGAGCAAGGAGUCGGACACGUCUCUUGCAUGGACAUGCAAGACGUCCUUCGACCGCCACCGGAUUUCCUCUCCUGUUGACUGCCACGAAGGCCCGCUUAGUUGACCCAUGCAGUCAACAAAAGGGAAGACACGUCUACGCAUGGGAAGGGACAGAUGGCGACUAAAAUUCUUCAAGGACAGCCACGCUCUGCUCGAGAUGUCCUCGCCUCUUCGCUGUCACCGCACGCGUGACUCAAGGAGUCAAUGGCCAAGAGGGAUUGAUUUCCUCUUGCAUCCGGUGAAGCCGAGUUUCUUUCCCCCCAUUUUCUCGAAUUCUCCACCCCUUUGAUGACGGCAGCGAACUCUCAGUCGAAGGUCUUCCAUAGCUCGGGCAUCGUCACCAGCUAUGUAGCAUCGAUAUGGACACGCGACACAUGACACGACACGACAUGACACGCCGACACGAUAUUUCUCAAAAAAUAGAAAUUUUCGACACGUUUUAACACGUUAUAUAUUAAAUAUAUAUUUUUAUAUAUAAAUACAAAAAUAAAUAAUAAAAAGAGCAUAGAAUUAAUUUAUACUAAAAAUAUUAAUUCAACAUUUGUUAAUAUCAUUCAUUAUUUUAAUUUGACAGAGAUUGAAUAAGAAAUUUAAAAAUUGCAAAUACAAAAGAGUAAAUUUGAAUGAACAUGUCAUGUUUUCUUACAAUCGUCGGAAAUUGGUGAGAUUUCUUAUAGUUCCAGAUAGAGUUCAGAGUUCAUGAUAUAGACUGGUUUGGAGCUCCUCUGCAAAACAAGGUUCGAGAAAAAUGAAAAUCUAGGACAAAAACUCUCAAAGUACAACGAAAAGAAAAGAAAUAACUAAAUUCGCCAUGGAAAAUGUAAGAGAUAACUCACAAGCUAAUGACAUAGAACAAAAGAGAUAACUCAUAGGCGACGCCUGCAAUAGGCAAAAAGAGGAAAAAAGAAGCAAAAAAGAAAAAAAAAAUCACAACUUUAAGUCUGCGAAGGCGGCGGAGCAACACCGGCAAGAUGAGGGGCGUUUCAUCGUCACUCACGAGAAUGUCAAAACUUAUAAGUAAGAACUUGAGAGUGAGAAUUUUCUUUGGUCUCUUUUAUUUUUGUUACUUUCAUUAUUUUUAUAUAUUUAUAUUUUAACCCCUCAAGUAUUGAAAUUUUUUAAAAUUGACCCUAUGCGUGUCAAAAUUGCGUGUCGAAAUUUUGGACUCGCGUGUCGGAGCGUGUUGGGAAGAAUUGACCACGUGUCGGAUUUCUCAACACUCGUUGAUCGCGUGUCGGACACGAGUCAGAGUGUCGGACACGACACGAAGGCUUCCGGAGAGUGUCUGUGCUUCUUAGGCCACCGGUAGGCAACCACCCACACCACACCGCUGUAUCCCACGCCAUCGGCCUCCUCACCAUCCCGUACCUAGCUACUAGCCGCACCACCACACCGCUCUGUCACUGACCCCAUCAUCGUUGUUGAGUUGCCCACAGACCGCCAAGCCGACCACCUCAGGAAGUCUCAUCGCUUCGCCUUCGGUUUGUUGCCGACUACCGCCUGCCACCAGCGUCGCAGCUCGAAAUCUGUCGCCACCCCUCUGCCGCAGCAAGACCCAAGAGGCCUCGGCUCACGCUUCACCGCAUGCCAUUUUUGCUUCUCUUCACCUCAACCGUAGCUAGUAGCUAGCGUUCCGCUCGCCGUCAAUGCCAUCGGACCUAAGGCAAGUUGGAGUCUACUAACCUAUAUAGUGUAGUGCUGUUGUUGACUGAGGAAGUGCAUUGUUAGGUUGGAUUGUUUGAAUUUGGUGUUGAAUGGUGAUAUAUAGGAUGACCGAAAUUGUGUGGGGCUAGAUGAUUGAGGAAGCUUUAUAGUUUUUAUGAAUACAUGUGAUUUCGGACUUCAAAUAUGCAUCAAUUUUAGCGUUUGUAAAGCUUUGAGAAUUCCGCUUAUAAACUGUUUUGGAAAACCUCCCGAUUUGUGUUGAAAUUUUUAUGUACCGAGGUGCUGCUCACAAAUGUUUUAAAAAGAAAUGAAAAAUGUUUGGUGUCCUCGAAAUCUCAAAAUUUUACAUGAACCGUUUUAAAAACCUUGAAGUCGGGAGUGAGGUUUGGAAUUGCCGAUAUGCCGAUUUCAAAUUACUUACGGUUUUGAUCAACCUUUUCAAUUCGGGCCGUGAGGCGCAAGUGCGGCUUGAGGAUUUAUAAGUGAAUUUCGAAACCUAUUAGAGGGUUAACCGUGGAAGUGAAUCUUAUGGAUUUGGUAUCGUGCUUUUGAUUUCAUUGAUAUGGGAUUGACAUAUGUUUUAAAGACUAUUGUUGUGGUAUUGAUGUGCCUUUGAAAACGUUUUGGCAUUGAUUUGAUUUAAAUGACUACACCAUGGUUGAUAUAUUACUGCUACGGUCAGACCCUCGGGAUGACAAAGUCUCGGGAGACAGGAUGCCUAGAGGUGAGAUAUGACAUGCUCUGGAUGCUUGUUGGACACCAUUGUUGUGGUGAGCCCAAAGGUUCCCUGGGUGUCAGGAUGCCCAGACAUAUGACGAUACACAUUCUAGAGGGUAUGGGACACUAGUAACAUAGUGAGCCCUGGCGAUUCCUCAUGAUGCUAGGUUAGGUGCGAGAUAUCUAGAAGUGAGACAUGACACACUCCGGAUGCCCGGUGAGGCUUUCGUGAUGCCAGGUUGGGUGUGAAUGCCUGGAGGGAUGCAAACACUGGUCCUCCAGGAGUAGGUGAUAGUGAAUUACGAAUCUGUUGAGUUUUAAAGUUGAUUGUUCUGUUGAGUUACGCCAUUUUGAUAGUUGCGCCUAAUUAUGGAACAAAAUUGUGUGGCACGGUAUGGAACGUGUCACAACGGUUUGGCCUUAUAAUCGGGACCCACGUGAUUGAAAUGAUGUGUUCUGGUUAUUAAACUGCGCUUGCCAUUUCGUUGAAAAGCUUUAUUGACUUAAUGCGCAUCUAUUCUUUUAUUGAUGUGUUUUGUGGAUUUUGCACAUAUGACAAUGAUUCUACAUAAUAUAGUUUAGUAGAUCUUUAGCUGCUGAGUGGUUGUACUCACCCUUGUGGGGACUAACAUAUUUCAGAGUAAGGAAGAUGUCUUUGCUGCCCACACCUCUUGGUACUUUCUAUGGGAUCCCUAUCGAUUUAUAAUGGAACAAACAGAGCAUCAGGAUCUUGACGGUUGGGACUGACUUUCAUUCGAGUGAGGGUGAUAGUGAUGUUCGACACUGGCCUACCCUCGGGUUCCGUACAUCAAGAGUUCGUCAUCUUAUAUGUCCGAAGGAAUGAACGUACUCUGUGGCCGCUGCCACCUCCGCUAGAGGACGAUGACAGGGGAUCGAGCGAAGUAGAGUGAUCGAGGACAUGAGGUCAACAACGAAAUUUUGGACACCGACACUUGCUGAUAGACGACUUGUGAAUAGCUAAUGGAAAAUGUUGGUCUAGUUUUUGAUAUAGCCAAGUAUAGGAAACUUCGGCUUUUGUUGUACCGACAAAAGACAUCUAUCAAGUUUACGUUAAUAAAAAAAAAAAGUGCUUGGUCGAUAUAUGUGUGUAUCUAGCGUGCAUCAUUUCAGUGUUUAGGAAGGGAGUUGUUGGAUCCACUUCCGCCAUAUACAUUGCGUAGGGACCAAAUAAGUGUGUAAUAAGACCCCCAUAUGGAUUCUCCGAAGUCCAUUGAUAUAAGAAAGAAGGAUAUCCAGGACGAGGGAAGAAGUGUGGUGACCCUAACGGAUUGGGGUGUCACGCCCCGAUCCUCAGGCAUGCGCACAUCCCUUACUUUUGGUGGAUUUUAAAAUGCGAUAUCCCCAGGACUACAUAUUGCCGACCCUUUCCUUCUUAAUAGCACAUGCGGAAGCAGUUAUAAAAAUCCCCAGACAAUAAAGCAAUGGGAUAUACAAGUAGGACUAGAAACCUGAACCUGAAAACCACACCCUUAUGUACAUAUCUACAACUCAGUCAUACAUGUACAUAUAUCAGCCAUGCUAAAAAGGUUGGUUUCUACUCAAACAGAUUCUACGACAAAGGUCAUCAAAUAGAAGUGGAGUCUCAAUCCUCAUCAGGAUCCUACUCUGGAUCAUCCUCGGGGUUCUCCUUCUGGUACUCCUCUUCGGGUUCUUUCUCCUCAGGUUCUUCAUCAAGGUCCUGAAAUGUUUUCCUCAAACCGGGAUGAGACUACGUCUCAGCAAGUUCUACCCCCUAAGACCCGAUUAGUAAACUAAUACACCUUAGGGCUGCCUAUGCACAACAUGAGUUAGAGGACUUGCCUUGGCCUCAAAUUCCACCUGCAUAUUAGCACAGAUCAAAUAGGCACCCAAGCAAUCACAUCACAAAUCGAAGCAUCGAUCUAAUCGACUUAGUCGAUUUCAUAUCAUUCGGACCAUUUCUAGGUCAUUCAUCCCACACCAAGCAAUUCCUUAGAUUUAGUGGCUUUACGGUCCCACCCGACCCUCUCAAUAUCUAGUGGCUUUACGGUCCCACCCGACCCUCUCAAGAUCUAGUGGUUUUACGGUCCCACCCGACCUUUUCAAGAUUUAGUGGCUUUAUGGUCCCACCCAACCCUCUCAUGAUCUAGUGGCUUUACGGUCCCACCCGACCUUUCCAAGAUUUAGUGGCUUUAUGGUCCCACCCGAUCCUCUCAUGAUCUAGUGGCUUUACGGUCCCACCCGACCUUUCCAAGAUUUAGUGGCUUUAUGGUCCCACCCGACCUUUUCUACGAAGCCAUACUCUAUCACCGAGCCACGUGCAUUUUCCAGGAAGACAUACCGAGUCUUCGAGCCACGUGCAUUCUCUAAGGCUACCUUUUCGCCAAGAUGACAUAUAUAAUCACCGAGCCACGUGUCUUUCCCAAGUGACAUUCCAAUUCACUGGGCCACGUGCAUUCUCCAGGUGAUUUACGAACUCACUUUCAAUACUGACAACCGAUACCUGACCAAUUCUCAAUCAUAAGGCCAAAAUUUCCUUAUUUAAGAAUAUAACUUAAAAAUGCAUCAUUAAAUCAAUUUCGACACGAAUUAAAGCUCAAAUAAAUAAACGGACUGCUCCAUGACAAUCAGCAUGAAAUUCCGGUCACCGACCAUCCCGGUUGAAUUUCCGGAAAAUAAAUAAUUAAAUAAAUAAUUUAGAAAAUUAAAUAAAUAAACACAAUAAUUCCAAUUUAGCACAAUAUGAAGCUCAAUUAAAUAAACGGACUACGCCACGAUCAUCAGCAUAAAAUCCCGGUCACUGGCCAUCCUAGUUGAAUUUUCGGAAAAUAAAUAAUUAAAUAAUUAAUUUUGGAAAUUAAUAUUUAAUUCCUAAAAAUACCAUUUACGCCCGAAUUGCCUAAUUAACACCCGAUAAGGAUCGGGAAAAAUCCCAAGAAGCAUCCAAUAAAUACUAUAGGCAAUUCUCUAUCUAAGUACACUAACCAAACAACUAAUAUGCAAUGCAAUUAACUAAUAAUCGCUAAUCAAUUCUAAUCUAACCACCUAAUUACACUUAACUAACACUAAUCAACCUUUAAAUAUAAUUAGCAAACUAAGAAGGUAUUAGUGAGUAAAACUCACUUGAUUAAAGAUUUGCUCGAAUCAAAUCGACGAGCACGCAACAAAGCUCGGUUCUCUUCAAAGCGGUUCUGCCAACCGGAAUUGGGAUGGCUCAAAAACGGGCCACGGGACCUUCCAACCCUUGCUGUAAAAUAGCUGCUGAUCAAGAGUUCUAGGGCUGUCACGGGGGCUAAACUGACUUCGCGGGUUGCUCGAAGUGGUGCCGAGAUGGACUGAAAACACAGGCUGAGGACAAGGCUUCGAGCAAGGCAGAGGACGGCUGUUGCUUCCGUGGAGAUGGGGGCGGUCUUGCGGACGAAGGAGGAGGCGAUCGCGGCUGGCUUCUUCGGCGGAGUCGCUGGAGUUGAUGCAACAGUCAACAAACCGACUGAGGGGAGGCGAGGUGGCGGUCAAAGACGGGGCAGAGAGACGGACAGCUCGCGGCAAGGAGAUGGGCUGCUUCGCGGUUUCGUUGGCGUGGGGAAAAGAGAACGUGGGGCGGCUGUGUCGCGGAGAUGCAGACACGGUCAGCAACUUAAGAGAUCUCCGUGGAGUGUUGACCGAGUAGGAGUCCUACACGGACGUGUGGCAGCUUGGAGAUGAGGGGAAAAAUUGGAGCUCCGGUGGAUGCUCCGUUCGGUGGAGGUGGCCGCAAGAGAGAAAUGAAGAAGCUGCUUCGUCCGUUGAACCAGCGAAAAGUAGAGAAAAUAAAGAAAAGGGAAGACAGCUAGGGAUGUCGGCUGAAUGAGGGGAUAAACAUUGACUCAAGUCAAUGAAAUAAAGCCAAAGAAAAUUAAUCCUGCAGAGGCUGUCGGCUGGAGAAAGAAAAACGCACGAGAGAGAAAAGGAGAGGCACGGAUGUGAGGGUGGUUCGUGCGUGCGUCUUCGACGAAGAGAGAGAGAAAAGGAAUUUGUGUGGCCGAGAGAGAGGGGAUGUGCGUGUGUUGAGAAGGUGGGUCCAAGGAAAUAAAAUAAAACCUUAGUUAAAAAUCUGCUCAACUUCAACAUGAAAAAUAAUUGGUCACCCAAGGCCAAUCUCGACCUCGGUUUGCACAAUUGAAGUGCAGGAUAAGACAAUCCUUCUAACCCACAAAUUUCUCUCAAAUCCGAAUUCUAUUUCACUUUUAUCGGUAUCCGAUUUUCCAAACAAAUAAAUUUGGUUUAGGUCCAAUUUAAAAUCAGAAAAAGCCCAAACAACUUCCAUUCACCGAUUCACUUACACCAGAUAUCAAAAGUCUCUUCAAAUCGACCAAUCUGAAUUUCCGUUCAUUUUCCGAAUCAUCCGCAACGAUUUUCCGUAAAAAUCCCAAACUCACUGAAAAUUCUUCAAAAGGUGAGUCGACAUUCCUAAAAUUUAUUAUGACAUGACAGAAUCUUCAAUUUUUGAAAUCGGACUCAGAUUAGCGGUUAAUUUCACUCGGACACGCUUUUAGUGUGACCUAGGCUACCAGGUAGUUUUCAUAACUUUUUAGGAUAAAUGACCCGUGGUCGAUUUUCUUCGAGCCACGAUGAACCCACUCGACACAUUUGCGACUCUCGAUUGUCAUGAAAAUCUCAAGGAUUCAAAUACGGACACAGGGUACCAAAAUGACAGUAAAAUCAAAUUAGUGCCAGUCGACAAGAAUUUUCCAAUUUAGUGGAGUCACCCACGAUCGGUCAUUCAUCUUAGUCGAAUCGACCUAUCUUUGAUCUUAAUUCGAUUUUUAACUGUGCCGUAAUGAUUUCUAAAGAUGACACGGUCGAGAAAUCGAUUCAUGGUCGAAUUCUCAGUCUAUCUGCCUUAAAUUCCUUAAUAGCCUACCCAGCUAAUCUAGUUAUCUCGUGAGUGGCCAACUCAGAGAAAAACACUGUAGUCACGUCGAUGAAACGCCUAAUUUAACCAAUCAAAAUCAGAGUAUGAAAAUCAGGAUGUCACAUGGGGGAUGUCGGGGGGUGUCACACUUAAUUACCCGGUUACAAGCAUUAUUGGUCCCCCCCCCCCCCCCUCUCUCUCGGCUUCGCAGCCCCACCAACUGAUUAAAUAUCAUAAGUUUUUUUGACGCCUUCAAAAAUUAAAACUGAUCGACUAAAGAUUCUUUAGCAUAAAUUAGAACUCAAAAGGGGGAGUCAACAAAUAUGAGAAAGUUACUCACUUUUAGGAGCGUACAAUAUAAAAUGACAAAUUGGGCUUUUUAGGGUUGAAUAAUAUGCGAAGUCUGUUUAAUACCAGAUUAAUGCGCAUUAUAAAAUAUGAACAAUCUCAAAAAAAUUUCCGACAUAGAAUACUUUUUUCUCUAACAAAAUACUGAGUCAUCGUGUGGUCUUUUUCUAACGAAGCACAAUUUUAAUUUCCAUAAUUCAAAAUUUUAUUUUUUUUAUCACGACCACCUUCACAUUUUUCUCUAUCUUGAAAGAAAAUACAUGGAUAAGUUUUCCAGUACUAAACUAUCAUUGGUUUUCACACGAUGAAAACAAGUCGUCCACAUGCAACACCCUUGGGGCUUCCGUAGAAACUACUUCAUGUGAAGUUUAAUUUGCGAAUUGACUUAACUCGAUUGAUUACACUAGUGCACCUUAAAAGAAUACUAAAUCACAAGCACCUUAUUAAUUCACCUUACCCCUUUCGGUUGAUGGUAAAUCUACCAUAUCUAUAUAACAAGGACUUCUUAUUAUAAUAGUAAAUAUUUGAAAAGACACAACAAAAGUUAUUUAUUUUGUUUGGCACCACGAAAUUGUAGUAAACGUGAAUGAAUCUCUUCUAAGAGGAAUGAAGCUAUCCUCUUACGAUAUUUAUUGUUGUUUACCCAAUUUAAUGGACUAAAAUUCCAAACAUAUAUGUGAUUAUUUCAUGUAAAAUCCCAAACUUGUACUAAGUAGAAUCAUUCCACGUCAGUGUGUGUUUAGUAAGGGGUGCAUGACAACCAGUAAUUUCUAUUCCGGAAACAAUUUUUCUAUUCCAGACUUGUUUCUGGAAUAGAAAUCCGUUUGAUAAACUUAUUCCGUUUUUUAUUUAUUUAUUUAUGAAAUAGAUUUAUAUUCCAGAAAUAGGUUUGGAAUAGAAAUCAGAAGUAGAAAUUUUUUACUUCUUUAUUUCUGGAAUAGAAAUGAGAAAUAAAUUUUUUUCUCAUCAUUCGUCAACCGGCUCUUCAUCCGUUGCCACCGACCACCGUCCAUUGAUCGCCCGCCGCCCGCCGGCCCCUGCCGCCGUCGUCCGAAAGGAAGAAAUUUUGUGUCGUUAUCAAAUGAAUUUCUAUUUUUAGAGUAGAAAUUUUGUGUCGUUAUCAAAUGGUUAUUUUUGCCUAGAAACUCUUCUAGAAAUAGAAAUAGAAAAAUCUAUUUCUAUUUCUGUUCCAGAAACUAUUUCUGGAACAUAAUGGUUGUCAUGUAUGCCCUAAAGAGAUCAAUGAUAAGGAGAUUAAAAAUUAAUCUUAAUGUCCUAAUAUUACUAUCUAACAAAAAUUGACUUGACAUCAACUUUAAUUAGGAUCAUAGAUAGGCAUGAAAUUGGUUUAAGAACCAAACUUCUGUUGCUCAGUUGCCCCUUCUUUGCCUCCAUAAUAGAAAGAUUUCAGAAAGAAUAGGUGGUUGCUAUCGGGUAAUAAAUGCUCACCAGAUGCUUUAGAUAGCAAAGUUGCGACUGCAUCAGUUUGAGGGAAAAAUAGAGCAAGAAGAUAGAUGUCUCUUACCUUUUCCGAGUAGUCCUAGAGCAGACUGGUGAACGGGAUGAGAUCAAUGCAACAAUCUAGCAAGCACGAGCGCUAGGUUCAAACAAGUAGGAGGAGAACACUAUUGAGCAGGAGGAUGGGCAUGGGUGUGGUGAAUCUAAGUGAUAAAGAGAUAAGGGAGAGAGAAAACUAUAAAAGCUAGGAAGACCAAGACUUUCACCUACCAAAAUACAAUAAACAAAGACCAAGACUUUCAAGAAUGCACGUCAGUGGUUAGAAGAAUCGAUAGAAAAUACUUUGCGUCCACAAGUGCUUGUCCUGUAAUGGUUGGACAAUAUCCUCAGAUAUUUGUAGUUUCCACAAUCAUAUAUUUGUUCAUGUACAUAAAUCAUAAACUUAAGAAGACCAAGACUUUUCGUAGACAACUACAAGUCAUCAGAGAUGGCUAACUUUCUCUGUUAAAAAAGGAAAACAAAAGCACGUGCUUUGAGCUAAACAAGAAAACGGGUCAGGCACAACAACCACACCAAACAAUCCAUUAAGCAAGUUGCUUUGUUUCACUCUGGCAAUGGUAAAGGAGUCACAAAUAACCAUCUAAUAGUAUGAUCUACUGGAAAUUAUGGUCUAUGCAUAAAACUCAUGAACAGGAAAAUCGUGUUCAAAAGGACUAGCAUUCUCCUAUUAAGCGGCUCCCUAUCAUUGACUACUAUCUCAGCACCCUUCAGCAGAUCAUUUCCACCCAUCUUGCUGCGAAUUUUUAGCACUAUCAUUGCUGCAUAUAACAAAAACUCAAGAAGUCCAAGACUUUCCAGGACACAAAUUGGCUUUGUUACUUGACUUUUCACAUGGUUUUUUUUUCCUCGUUUGAAUAAAAUAUUAUUUAAUAAUCGGCAUUGAUUGUUGUUCUCUUGCUCAAAAUCAACAAUAAUGUUCGUCUAUGGUACUUGUCUAUUAGAAUUAUGUCUAGAUUUUUAUGUAUCUUAUCAAAUAUAAGCUUAAUAAAAGCAAAAAGAAAAGCUAAAAAGAAAAAAAAAACAGCAAAAAACUGAAAAAGAAAAAAAAGAAGGAAUGGGGCGAGGGAGAGCACCGCCGUUCCCACAGCCACAGCCAUGCCGUUGGCGUCAGCACCACUACCAAGGCGACUCAUUCCAAUGCUGUCGCCACUAUCGCAACCAACGAAACUAGCCAGAUCAACCAUCACAUCCAAUUACCUUUAAUUACCUAAUGACUGGUGUAACUUGAUCUAAAGGGGAAUUCAAAACAUAAAGGAUGAAUUCUAGGAUUCAUGAUUUCUCACUUGCAUUGUCAAAAGUUGGGUUUCAUGUAAAGUCCACCUCAUCCAACAGUGGAUAAACCAAUUCUUAAAGGCUCGACUACCUAAUUGAAACUAGUAAGUUCUUAGCAUUUUUUAAUUCUUUAAUUUAAAGGAUGAACGACCAACUACACCACCAACAAAACUGAGGGCUGAUAUUUUACAAUCUCAAAGCAUGAAGGGCAAGCUGAGAAGAUGUCAACAUGGUGCAGUGAAGAUUUAGCUCAAUAUACUCAACUUCUUUACCUCAAAGAAAGCAACUUUCAUCCAUGCACUAUUGUCCUAUAUGAGAAAAAAAUUGACAGCGACACCCACACUGACCCAACAGAAAGAGCCAAUACCACUUCAACUGAACGAAGACCCCACCAGUCACAAAUGCAAGUUUAUCAUUCCCUGCACAAAUACAUAUGGAAAACAAGGAUAACAUAAGCACGCUUCGAGCAUAACAAUGUGAUAAUCCAAUAUGAAAUCAUAAUGAAUUCAAAGCGUCACUUUCUUACAUGGAUAUUCAUGCCGAGGAGGUCCAAGUAUGCACAAGUGACGCCCGACAACUAAUGGCUUUUGCUGACUCGAAUCAGGGCAACGCGGAAUAUUAUCAUUUCUUAUAUGUUUCAAGCCUUGAAUUGCCCGAAUUUGAUGGAAAACAAAUGUAACAUUAAUACGACAUCUCUCUAUAUAUUCACACAACUAGAACACUACCGAAAUGACAUUGAAAUCCUCACAUUCCCCAUGUGAACAAAGUGGCCGGCAAACACCCUUAUUAUAUUCAAGGCUGGAAACGAUGACAAUUUGAUGAGCAAUCCAUAUCCAUACAUGCCCAUCUCACCAUUCAUAUUUAUGCACCUCAAGGACUAUAUAACAUUAGACUCAGGUCAUUCAUACCAGAAUUUCUCAUGUCCAGCAGCUUAGAGGACUGAUAUUAUGUACAUCUUCAAUGUUAGUUAACAUAGCAAAUGCACGCAUGAACAGCGAACAUCAAAUGCACGUGACCCGCAUUUGACCCACUAAGAGCACACAUAAUCGCAUUCUAAUAAACUUUAUACGGGAAAUGCAGUAAGACACGAGCAGUGCAACUUCAAUGGGACAUCAAAACGUUGGUAAACAGAAUGCAAUAGGAAUUAAAUAUCUAUGACUGAGUCAGGCAUUCUGUCGAACUGGCAAAACGCCUCCCUGUUAAAGAACUAAUAUACGCCAUCUUCAAGCAGCGAUUCACUUUAGUCAUUACUAACAGCAACAACCAAGGUCCAGAACAUCAACGGAAACUGAGAAGGAGGAGAGUCGAUGAAGAAGCCUCUCCUCUGGAAAUUCAAGAAAAAACAGAGAGCUCAGCUCGAUUCAUUGAACAGAAAGCCGAAAACCAUAGAAAGAGAGAGAGAGAGGACUUGGCUUUAGCGAUCGAACGGUGAGGAGCCGAGCAGGAGUAGCCGUUGUUGUUGGAGCAAAGGCCGAGAGACGUCGGAAACUGAGCUGGAGCUCUGCCGAACUCAGUGCUCUCUCCCUUGCUAAGUUUCUCCUUCCAUCAUCUUCUCACAGCUUCUGCGAGGGAGAAAUGUGAGGGCGAGGCCGAGCUUCCCGUCUUUUUCCUGGGCUUUCAUGGUUUCUAUUCUCAUGGACUCGGGCAUAACGGGUGAGUCGGGUCGAAUCUGGGGUAAGUCGAAAAUAACUAAUACCCGUCCCGAUCGAUAUUAUUAAAACACUUCGAUAUUUAAUUCACUUUACGAAAAAUCAUGGCCAAAUAGAGAUUAGAAUACAAAGUGAGCAAUCGAGCGCAAGAUCAAGUGGAGACGAUAAAGAAUGAAGAGAAUGUCAUAGAGGUGAAUUGGAUUUAAAUAAGUUAUAAACUUAUUUAUGAGUCAUUCAAAAAAAAUCUAUAUUAUGUUUAAAUCCAUUUACUUAAUAUACUAAUCCAUUUAUAAGAUCAAAGUCAGAGAUUCAAUUAAAAUUAUUUCCUUUUUCUUUCUUUUAUCCACCAUCUAUUUUUUUGUUUAUUACUUCCAUCUUUUUUGGUCUUUGUUUUUAAAUUUUUUUAUCCAAAAUGCUUGCUUCAUUUGUCAACAAAAAUUUAGAUGUCAACAAUUUCUUUCUAGGUUUGUGCUUCCCUUAUUGUUUUACUUUCUUGUGGUGGGCUUUGCAUGAUGAAAAAAAAUAUUAACCCUUCAUUCAAGCAUUUUUUUUUAAUAAAUCAUUUCUAAAACAUGGACUAAAUCCUGAAUUCGCUUUUGGUGAUUACAUUGGUCACCCCUUAGAGCAAAUGGUCAAUCUAGUGAUGCGUUCUUGGCUUCACAGCACCAUUAAUAAAUUGUGUAUGAUAAAAAUAUUUUUGGGCGCCUGCAAAAAGUAAAAAUUGAAAAUCGAACCCUCUAAAGAUUCUUUAUUGCGAAUUAGAGCUCAGAAGGGGGAGUCAACAAAUAUAAUAGAGUCACUCACUUUUAGGAGUAUAGAACAUGAAAUGACGACCUGGGCUUUUUAGGGUUUAGCAACCCAAAGUGUGGAUUUUUUUUCCUCUUUUGUAAAAAAGAAUCUAAAGGAUGAGUCCUUACAUGUAAUAUUUGCCUCGUGCUCGAAGUUUAAUGUUGUAAAAUCAAAGGCUAGGAAAUAAGGAAAAAAAAUGGGAUUAAAUGGCAAAAUAUGAAAUGAUGGCAGUAAUUUUUCCAAGUGCAAUUUUAAAAGAAAAAAAAAAAGCCAAAGGAGGUAAACCCAUGUCUCAUCUUACCUAGAAUUAUGAACUUUUAGGAGGCAAUUGAGGAGACGUAAAAAAAAAAUUAAUUGCGUACUUUAAAUACAUUUAUACACAUUUUAGAUUGGUCAAUGCUACCCUCUCAAUCCGCAAGCAUCAUCCCACGAAACUAAUUUAUACAUUUAGACGUAAAUUGACAUUCGUUCAAUCUUAUUAUCGUAAAUAGUUAUUUUGUAAAUUUUACGAGUAAGCUCGUGUGCUCUUCAUAAUGAAUUACACAAAAAUUACACGGUUUUCUCUUCUAUAUAUUUAUUAUUCGAUUUAAAUAUCUUGAUUAAAAAAACCUCAUUCUAAAUAGUUUCUCCGAAUUAUAAUAAUAAUUAUUGUUAUUUUUUCUGUUAAAGUGGGUUAUUCUGUUCGAAGCUUCCUCACGGUAAAAGCGCGCACGUGUUCUCGAAGGCCGAAUUAUCUGGUAGGCUUCAGGUGCACGCUACUUGCUAUGGAUCCGCACUAUGAUUGCCUUAUCCACCGUUGAAAAGCAGCUCUCUCGCAUGAUCGAUGAUGGACAGUGGGUGCAUCAUUGCGAGACAGACCUCAUGCCUGUCUAAUAAUCGCAGCCGCUCCCUUUGACGGCUUCCUAUCGGAUUUUUUUUUUUUUUUAACACACUUAUCGGAUUUGAUUUGAUUAUUUGUGUUCACAUUGGAGCCUCUUCUUUUUAUUUCAUUUUCAAAUUUAUUAUAUUCAUGGGACCUGCUCUUAUCUACAAAAAUAGUGUCGAGUGUUCUACUCAUCAAACCCAUUGCUACAUAGUAAGUACUAACCGUUCUUAAGAUAUUAUCAUUGAAGAAAAUAAUGAUAUUGGUGAUGUUUUGUUUCAUUGUAACAUAAUUAGGUAGAUAAACGACCCAUUAUUUUGAGAAGACAUAAAAAUCUUUUUUUCAAACGUAUAAGAUUCAUCGGUUAGGUAGAGUAGUUUAAGGUAUUUCAACAUAAUUUUUAUUGUGUCCUUUUGUCUUUGAUACUUGUCCAGUUCAGGACACAAUAUCUCUUUUUUAUUUGGGUAUUGAAAGGGGCGAAACCCAAAAGUUACGUCAAAAACAAAACACGAUCUUAGCUAGCAUCCCGGCUACAUAUUCUCCCUCUAUUUUAUUCUAAAUUUGCCAAUGCAGCGCCACAUUAUCAAUUUGACACUGUAAGUAAUGGUAGCUACGGAAAGGUUUCAUUGUACAAACUGAUAAUGUUAAAGCAUUCCAUUGCUACAAAAAAGUAAGAGAGUUAAAUUGCAUGAACAUCAAUUUUAAAAGAACUGAAACUAUAUUUAGCCAAUUCGGUUUAUGACCUUGCGUAAGUAUCUUCCCACAAUUGUGUUCAUUUCAGUGUUCAAAAAACCAUUUCUUUUGAGAAAAGAUCAUCAAAACUUGACAGCGAAACUACAAUUAACAAGGAUGAUACAUGGAGGCAAAAGUGAUUUUUAAGCACCAUCCUUUCCUCACAUCAAUAACUAAAGCACUCCAAUGAUGAGGAAGUCAUAUCAAGGCUUUGUAUUAUGACAUUGUAUAUCAAAUUGAAUUCCAGGCAUGAUAUCUUGUCCCAUGUGCCAAUCGAGCAUCGAUACUAUUCACCCAUCUUUGACAACAUAUAUAAACGAACCAUUUUCAAUGCUAAUUCACGUUUAUAAUAAGAAAAUAACCUCUUUCAUCAAAGUAGCAAGUGAGGCGAUGACAAAGAAGAAAUAUGAAAAUCUAAGUGGGGAUCCAAAUGCUCAAAAUUUAUUCAAGAAUCGAUGAAUAUUUUGAGACGAUAAAAGUCAGUCAACUCCCAAUAUACGAAUUAACUUUUGAAGAUUAAGUGAACACGGUCCUCGAACUUGAUGAGUGAUCCAAUCUAGAGCUCUUCACAUUUUCCAAUUCCAAUUUAUCUUAGGAACAUUCUCGUACGCACUAAAGAGCAGCUGAUAUCCCCACUUACAUCACACGAAUUUCCACCCCCUCAUUUAUAUCCUACCAAAUCAAGAGCUCCAUUUCAAUGUUAACCCAUAAAAAGAAGGGAAAAUGUCACAAAUGGUCCAUGAAUUUUCAUCUAAUGUUCAAUUUCAUUCCUGAGUUUUUGAUUUGCUCAAUUUAGUCCCUGAACUACCACUUAAUGUGCAAUCUCGUCCCUAGACUUUUAAUUUGUUCAAUUUGGUCCCUGAAUUAUCGAUAAAUGUCCGAUCUAGUCCCUGACUAUUUGAAAAUUGACCAAUUUCCGUUAGUUAAAGUUAAUGAAAUUGGCUUCCAUGGCUUUUAGUCUCUUAAAUAUAAAAUAAAAAAGGGUAUGUGGAAUAUCCACAUAGAAAUUACCUUUAAAACAGGUUAAAUUGUGGCCACCAUCCAAAAAAAAGAUACAAAACCACUUCUUAUCUCUAUUUUUGUGAUCGGUGCUCUCAUCUCUAGCUGACCCCUAAUUUGUUUUCCUUUUUUAAGAUAUACAUUGACUCAUAAGUCUAGUAAUUCAACUUAGUUCCAUGUCAUCAAUUAAUGCUCAACGUCAUCACUUAACGGUUUGAACAAAUGGAAGGACUAGAUGGAACAUUUGUUAAUAUUUCGGGGACCAAAUUGAGCAAAUCGAAAGCUCGGGGACGAAAUUGGUCAAAUUUCAAAUAGUCAGGGACUAGAUUGGACAUUUAUUGAUAAUUCAAGGACCAAAUUGAACAAAUUAAAAAUCUAAGGAUGAGAUUGCACAUUAAGUGGAAGUUUAGGGACUGUUUGUGACAUUUUCCCUAAAAAGAAAAAUAUAAAAGGAAGAAGAAGAAAUAGACAAAGUCAGUCCAAGCAUGUAAUGGACACUAUGAUGUCUCAUGAACCUCUCUCUUUCUCUCUUUCUCUCUCUCUCUUUCAUAAAAUGACAAAUUGGAUCCAAACAACAAGAAGCAGAGUCCUUGGUAAACACAGUUUGAUAAAAGUUAGAAGUCGAAGCUUUAGAGCUUUGGUCAGGCAUGUAGCGUCCUUUGUCUUUAGGGCUUUGAUUUCGAUGAUAAAAUGUAUGAAAUAAGGAGCAAAGGUCGAAAGUCUUCUUGACAAUAUACGCGAUUGUCAGAUUUUCAGAAUCAACAUAGUUGCUCUUGCAAGAAGUAAAACGUAAACUACAGAAGAAUAUAAUAAAAUGGUGGGGAGAGGAGCUUGGAAAAAUCCAUAUAGAGCAGGUGAGGAUCAAAUUUUGCCUCUUUGUGGUUUCCAUGGAUGCUGAUUCUUUUAAUCGACAAUCAUACAAUUUCAAUUGAAUCAUUGUUAGGUGAUGACCACGACUCAUCUUAUUACACAACAAGGAAGGGGAGGGAAUUUGAAAGAUUACAAGCUUGUCAUUAAUUAAAUAUUGUGAUCAAUCAUUGUUCUCAAUAUUUGAUUGAGGGUUUUCAACUAUAGUUAGGCCCUAUAUGUUGAGGUUGCAUGAUAUGUACCCACAUUAAUAUCGUUUAGCACAUAUUUUCUCUCAAUCUGAAUUCGAAUAUUUCAAAUAGCCUGCAAAUGCGAAACUUACUUAUUCAUAUGAAUAGACUUGAGAGAAAAAAAAUAAAAGAAAAUUAAGUGCCCAUCGAGCCUAGCUUGACCUAGUCCAAUUGUAAGAAAUAUACGGGCAAGCUUGGACCAAUGAUCGUACAUUUAGAGCUUGGAGCUACCAAGACUUGCCUAUGAUUUUAUUUUUUAGCAAAAUGAAAAUCUGAACGAGCCUCGGCAAGUAAUUAUCGUUUUGGGCUCAGGCUCACUCGAGAGCUAUUAUUCACGCGAAUAAAGCAUAAUGUUUUCCAAAAUCAUAGUUUAGGGUCGGUAGGAAUUUUAAUGCUUAUAACUGACUAGGUCUGUCUAGUCUUGCCUAUCGAAUGGUUCUUUAAUUAAUUAAAGUGAAGUCCCAGCCAAAUGACUUUCUUGAACUUAUUACCUGAAUUUUAUUACCUGAAUUGUAUGUCAAGUCUAAUUGCAAUGCCAUCCAUUGGGAUUAAGGCCCAAGAGUUGGGCUAUCUAUGUUUUGAGGCCGAACCAUCACGGCCCACUCAAUGCCUACGAAAGUAUGAUGUUAGGAUGUGGCACUUUUGCAUGGAAUCCACAUUCAACUUUGAUUUUGUCAUGCGGAAUAAACAAUUACAAGAGUAAUCAAACGAACAAAAUAUAUACAUACUCGCCCCGAGGCAGCCAAAAACAAUGAGAAAUUACUAGAGUACUUCCUUUUGACGAUUUUGUUUUUCCUGAUUGGCCCUUAUGAUUAUGUUAAUGCAGAACUAUGGGGGAAGCGUUGACCACUUGUAAUGGUGGCGUAAUUGUACAAAGCUGAUAUUCCACAGAUGCGAGGUCAUGAGGAUAAUCCACGUGCGACGGUAGUGCCCGUAUCUUUACUAGCUCGUGACAGGAGCUCUGGCAGCUUGGUGGGGUUAUAGUGACGAGUAGUGACGAGACCUGCCUACCCAAGAAAAGUGGGUUGCGAGAGGUACUGGAAGACGACCUUCUGACAGUUUUAGAUCGUAAUACUUCGUGGCAGACAUGAGGCUUUCAUGAUGACUCAACAGAGCAACAGAGCAACAGAGCAUAGUCUCCCUGGUCGCUCCUCUCCACCUUUCCUUUACAACAAAGAAAAAGAAAAGUCCUCUGAGAUGGUGUGAGAAUUUAAAUAGAAGAAAGAUGAAUUGUGAACUUUAACAAGAAAGUCAGGUUUAAAAAGAUUCUGAUCUGCAGGGUGCAUUGAAACUCAGUUGUCAUAUUUGCCAACUCGAAAAAUAGUUUUACACCCUACUUUUGCAUCUUUACAAUAGUUGUUAUUGAAAGUAAGAAAGCUUCUUAAUUUGAUUUUGAUUAUAGACCAGGGUAACUGACAUCAAGAUACAGAUUAAUCUUAUUUAGAGCAUGUCACCCUAAAAAAAAAAAAAAAUUAGAGCAUGUCGGUGCACCUACCAAAAUUAAUAGCUUUUUCUUUUUCUGCUUUUGUCAAGUUGCAAAAGAUGAAAACAACUACAUCAAUUGCCUACCUUAACGGUGUUUGCAUUUGAUCCUCCCAAGAGAUUUUCCCAAAUACAGAUAACAGUGGGAUAUUCUGCAAAACAAGCACAGUCGAGAGAAUUCAGGUCAAUGAGCUAGGACAUAAGAAAUAGAUAUUUGGUAGAGAAAAUACAGCAAACGAUUAAAUUUCGGAACAAUAUUUGUUUAAGAGCAACAAUUUUUCAUGAUUCUCACGCAAAGCAUAGUGCAUUUCCAUUUGCAAAUUCUUUCUGUCAUCCAAGUGCAAAGAUAAGCAACUUUUGGCCAUCACACAAAAUUCCAGAUAUAUAAUCUAUAUAGACAGGCACAUUUGGCGCAUCAUAAUUCCAGCACUACAAGCAAGUCCACGUAGGUAUGGUUGUUCGAGGAAUAGUCACUGGCUGUACCACGUUAGCAUUAUAACCAUUUUAUUGUGUACUUCCUUGGUAAACAAAACAGAGCAACACAUAUGUUAACAUCAGACCUUCAGCAGCUGGUUUGUAGACAUUCACGUGAAUCAUGUCCAUGGGAAAGCAUUAACUUUUAAGCAUUGAGUUGAGUAAAUGGAAUUGAAAUGGAUCCUGGAGCAGCAGCAGUAGCUAAAUGACGAGUGUAAAAGAAAGAAAGAAGUCUGAAUCAUUACCUGAAGAAUGAAACUUGGACAGUGGAGCGAAAUCUUCUUGUUGGAUCCGAACUAGAUCAAUCACAAUGAGUGGGAUUUCAUGGAUAAGGUGCUAGUAGUUGCUAGCAAGAGAGGAUCCAUCCUUUGGAAUCUCACAUUGAAUUAUGUGGAAUACUUUGAGGGAGGGAGGGAAGCUAUCCUCUGGCAAGUACCCGAAUUUCGAGCAACUUAGAAAAUGUAACUGUUCAAGAGAGGGGGAUGGCCAUGAAGACCACUUGAUAGUCUUUCUACUCAUAGUUCUCAUCCAAAAAGAGGUUAAACAGGAAAGAAACAGAAGACUCUGUGCAUCAUACAUCCUCCACCGUUGAUAGUCUUUCCACAUUCCCCAUAGCUCUCAUCCAAAAAUCUGGAAAGGGACAAUCAAUUAGUUCUGAAUAAGAAUUACCUUUCAUGAGCAACGAAUAACUAUAAGAGUGAUCGACAAAAAGGAACAACCAAGACAAGAACAGGGAUACUUCGCUUUAUUAUUGUCAGGAAUUAGUGACCCUUUUGAUGGUUUUUCCUUUUGCUAAAUAAAAUUAUCUUUCAUGCAUAAUGUGUGACACCCCAAACCCUUCGCAGGUCGUCACCAGCGCCGGUGUUACAUCUUUUGCCAUCUCUAUCUCUUGGCUAAAUUAAGCCUUGCCAGAUUACAGGCAUUUUUUUUUUUUUAAAGCGGUCCCAUGCGCAACUCAUAGCGGAAGCAAAAUUCACAUCGUCAUCUAUCUCCCUUCUAACCCAUGAUACAAAUACACACCAGCUAAACAUCGAGAUUUUUAUAAACAAACGUCGACACAUUAUUUACAUAUAUUUUCAAGAUGGGACUACUCUCGGGUCGGUACAUAACAAGGAAAAGCUAGAACUCAGCCAUGUCCAGCCUAAAACCUCAAAAAGAGACCUCGACCCUCAACAUCAUGCGAGCACAAAAACCCCCCCAUCGAAAGUGUUGACUAUCUACAUAAAAAGAAACGGCUCCUACUCAUCGCGCGCAGGUCUCACACCCAACCCGGUGCAUCAGGUGGUGGCGGCGGCAGCAUCCCUCGCAUAGCUCCAUCCCGUCGAACGUGCACAGACAGGAACUCUUGUAUGACAGGGCCCCCAGCCAGGCCGAUAUCAUACAUAACUAAGCAUCGCACUCGGAUAAACGUCAAUCCGGGCACAGAGGGACAAUCUAUCUCCGUACACUCCACCUCAACAUCAGACGGUAGACCGUAAAAUACCCCACGCGAAACAGCAGGUAGCGGCAUAGUGCUAAUCUGAAAUGUUAUCCCCAAAAGGGAUGAAUACAACUACUCAGCAGAUAGGGAAAUCCAAUAACAUUCCAAUGCAUCAUGCAUAUCAUCACACGUUGCAAGCAUCACCUACCUUGUAAUCAUGCGUAUCAUGCAUCAUCACAUCAUAUAUAUCACCAUCAUCAUGGCAUACCACAUUAUCAUUAACCAUGCAUCACCAUGCAUAUCACAUCAUCAUUAGCCAUGCAUCACCAUGCAUAUCACAUCAUCACUAGCCAUGCAUCACCAUGCAUAUCACAUCAUACCAUCAUUAGCCAUGCAUCACCAUGCAUAUCAUAUCAUUAUUAGCCAUGCAUCACCAUGCAUAUCACAUCAUCACUAGCCAUGCAUCACCAUGCAUAUCACAUCAUACCAUCAUUAGCCAUGCAUCACCAUGCAUAUCAUAUCAUUAUUAGCCAUGCAUCACCAUGCAUAUCACAUCAUCACUAGCCAUGCAUCACCAUGCAUAUCACAUCAUACCAUCAUUAGCCAUGCAUCACCAUGCAUAUCAUAUCAUUAUUAGCCAUGCAUCACCAUGCAUAUCACAUCAUCACUAGCCAUGCAUCACCAUGCAUAUCAAAUCAUACCAUCAUUGGCCAUGCAUCACCAUGCAUAUCAUAUCAUCAUUAGCCAUGCAUCACCAUGCAUAUCAUAUCAUAGAUCAAUUUCCACUUUUACUUAUCAAUUGAUCCCCACAUUAUCUUUUCUCAAAUCAUCAAAUUCACCAUCAUCACCAUCCCUUCGGGCAGAAACCUCCAACAGGGAUCCCAGCAUUCCAGCCAUCUCAUGGCCACUGGGCUUCCGGCCCCCCACAUUCCGGGCAUCUCGCAUCUCAACUAGCAUCACGAGGCAUUCCCUUCGGGCAGAAACCUCCGACAGGGCUUCCGGCCUUUACCCUUCUAACCGGGGAUCUCGCACCCUAAUCCUGGCAUCGCGAGUCACUCCCUUCGGGCAGAAACCUCCGACAGGGCUUCCGGCCCCCCACAUUCCGGGCAUCCUGAAACUCCCAGGGAAUCUCUGGAAUUACGCCACCAGGCCACCAGACAACAUCCUCCGCCACAACCUCUUACUCACAUACCACUUUCCAUUUUUUAUCAUCCUUUUCAUCUUAUUAUUUCAUGGCAUAUGAAUCACACACACGCAUCAUGAUUCAUAAUCAUACAUGCAUCAAUGUCAUAUAGCAAUGCAUCAUAAUUCAUGAUCAUUCAUACAUCAGUGCCAUAUAACAAUACAUUAUAACUCAAUAAAACUCUUGGCCAAUAAAAUAAUCCACUUUUUAUUUUAUUAUUAUUUUAUUAUUAUAUUUAUUUAUUUUCAUAAAUAAAUAUUAUAUUUAAUAUUUAUGAUUUUCCAAAAAUCAUAAUAUUCAAACAAUCAUUAAAAAAACAAUUAAAAUCACAAUUUCACACAAAUUCAUGGUCAAAUUUGCAUUUCACAUAAUUUCCCAAAUUUCCACAAAAUACACACAAUAUUCGGAUAAUGGCCAGAUUACACAGUUUUCGAAUUAAUUCAAUUAAAAUACUCAUAUGACCUCCGAAAAUUCCCAAAUUUUACAGGAUGAUAGCCAACACAUUUUCGUGCAUUUGUCAUGGAUAACUCUAAGCCAAAUUAUUUAUAUAUUAAUUUAUAUUACUCCACGAAGCUUCUGGAACCUCUACCGUUUCGUCCAGAACGUACAUCACCGAAAAACUUAGGUUCGACCCAUCAAAUCUCUUUCGUUUCUCCUGAAAUUCGAGUAUGUUAUAUAUCAAUGUGUCCUUUACAAGUUUCAUGUAGAGAUCUAGGUUAAAUAACCAAAGCAUGAUCCUCUUUUAAGUCCUUGAAGUCUCGGGUGUCUCGGUUCACUUCAACAGAACCAUCCGUCUCAAAGAUCUAGCUGGUUAACUAGGCUAUACUCAUUUUUUUCUCCUCAAAUUUUAGUAUGUUAUAUUUUAGGAUGUUAUCUACAACAUUCAUGAAGACAACAAAGUGAGAUCUCCAACAGAAAUCAACAUGCAACCAAGAAAUCACCAAAAGGUCAGUAGGAAAUUCGCAGAUCUAAAGCCUCCGUGAAAUAGAACUUUUGACCCCUCAUAUCACCAUAGUUUUCCAUGAAAUUCGAGUAUGUCAUACUACAAGAUGUUANNNNNNNNNNNNNNNNNNNNNNNNNNNNNNNNNNNNNNNNNNNNNNNNNNNNNNNNNNNNNNNNNNNNNNNNNNNNNNNNNNNNNNNNNNNNNNNNNNNNNNNNNNNNNNNNNNNNNNNNNNNNNNNNNNNNNNNNNNNNNNNNAAUUACACCUAAAACCGAACAUGCAACCAACAAAACAGACAUGCAAGAGAAGUUAAGGACUCCACUUGCCUCCAAGAUGAACACACAGCAACACACGGCGGCGUACGGUGGUCGGACUAGGCGGCGACGGCGAGACACGGCGGCGGCAACUCUCGGCUCCACCUCCUCUCUCUCGGGCUCUCUCUUCCGCUCAAGCUCUCUCUCUCGUACACCUCUCUCUUUGGACGGAAAUGAAGCAAGUAACUGGCCAUUUCUCUCUCCUAAUCCCUUUUUAUACUCCCCCUAGGCUCAUCAUAGGUAAUGAUUGAUCCACCACACCUAUGGCCAAUGCAUGAGGACUUGUCUUGCCACUUGUCAUUUCUAUUUUUGAAAUUUGAUUUGGGUUAAUGGGCUUGGGCUUAGGCCCAACCGGCCACUCCUUCUUGGGCUGGUCGAACUCCCCUCUUGGGCCCAAUGGGCCGACUAGCUUGGCCCACCAAGCUCUAGGCUAAUGGGUCCAAGGCCCAUUUCGAAGAUAACCCUAUUUUCUCUUCUUUUUUUUUUUGAAUUCCUUUUUAUAAAUAUUUCUAAAUUCAAAUUUCAUCUUGGCCAAAGUCUUGGGAUAUUUCAAUUAUUGAAAUUUAAAUCAUAUGGCCAAGCAUUAACUAAUUAAAUUUAAAUUUCCACAACACAAGCAAAAUUCAUCAAAUUAAAAGACAAAUUGGCUAAAGCAUAGGCCAUAAAAUUCUAUCACCUAAUUAAAGACAUUUAACACACCUUAAGGCUUGGCUUUGAAUUUCCGGGAUGCCACAUAAUGAACAACUAUAAGAUUGAUCAGAACAAAAUUAUAUGCAUCCCCAAUUGAAUGAUCAGAACAAAAUUAUAUGCAUCUCCAAUUGACAGCAACGAAAAGUAAACCGCAAUGCCUUUUUGAUGAUUUUUCCUUCUUUUUUUUUCGUUUUUUUUUUUUUGGCUGAAAAAUUCUGGUGAUUAUGUUAACUCACAAGUAUGGGAGAAUGCCAGUCACCAGUGAUGGUGACUUGUGGGUACAGGCUGAUAUUCUACAAAUGUGAGGUCACGAGAUUAAAUGAUUGGUCCCGGCCGAUAACUCCUAAGAAAGAUCGCCUACACCUGUUGGUAUGUCUGGAAAGCUUGAAAUGCAGUAACUUUCAUCCAUAAAUCACCAGAUACUGAAAACUGCCACUUGCACAAGUUAGAAAAGCUCUUUUGGAGUGUGUUGCCGGUAACAAUGUAAGCUAAUUCAUGAUUGGGUGGAUGAAAGGCAUGGGGUGUGGAGUAAACUUGAGCUAGGUUUCAUGAAAAUUAACUGUGACAGAUUUUACAUAACAUGCCAUUGUUGGUAUUGAGGCCAGAAAUGAAACAGGGGAUAUGGUUGCCUGUAGAGGGGGCUGAAUUAUUUGUUGCUCGAAAGAGCAUUGCAGUGGCUAAAGAAAAAAGCUGGCCCAAGGCAGGAGAAUAGAUGGAUGCAGCUAUGGCAUACAAGAAUAUCACCAACCUUCACAAGCAGUGCGAUUGGAGACUAAGGGCAGCUCUUGUUGGGAUUCAAGCAACUAUAUAUCAUUCUUUCAGCAAGUGUUUGUGCCCAUUGGGUAACUUUGCAUAUGUGCGAUUGAAAUUGGGGUGACCCCCCCCCCCCCCCCCCCCCGCUCCCAUGGGGAAAGAAUUAAUUCUGUAUUAAGCAUCGCAUCGAAGAAAAAGAAGUGAAAUUGAUGCCUUCAAGACCAAAAACUCACCUGAACCGUAAUAAAACUGACUGCACAUCGAAGGAUGAAUUGUAGCAGUUAGCAAAUGAAAGCGAAAGUGGAUCAAUUUCACUUCAUUGGAUCCAAACCCAAUCAAUGCGUAUGUCAGGGAUUUCUUGGAUUUUCCAGAAAGUAACGUGAAACAUCUACAUGGGAAAGUAUCAAUUUGCAUUCAGCAUCAAAUUGAGGAAGCAGAAUGGAUAUAGAUGCCUUCAAAACCAAAAACUUACCUGAACCCUAAGAAAACUCACUGUACAUGGACAAAUCAAUUCAUUGGAUUUGAAAGCCCUUGAUGCGGAUGAGAGGGAUCUCUUGGAUGAGGGGCCAAUAGUCACGUCUGUAAAAUAUCAACCACCUACUCAACCAACUGCAACCAAAAAUGAACAAGAAGACAUGACAGGGUACUUCCCAUUCCAAGUCUAAAAAAUGUGAUCGUUAUGGUUAUUUUGUUUUUUCUAAAUGGCCCUUGAGAUUCUGCUAACACAGAACUAUGGGGGACUACUGAUCACCAGUGAUUAUGGCCUAAUGCUACAAGUUGAUAUUCUACAGACAUGAGGAUAACCCACUAACGAUGACAGUGCCUGUAUCUUGCCUUGUCCGUGACGGGAGCUCUGGCAGCUUGGUGGGGUUAUAGUGACAAGACUUGCCUACCCAAAAUAAUUGGUUGCGAAUGGUCUUGGAAGGCCAUCUUCUCACAAGCUUAAAUCAAAAUACAUUGUGGCAAACGCAAGGCUUUAAUGAUGACUUAACAGAGUGGCAAAGCAUAGUCUCCCUGAUUGCUCCUCUCUGCCUUUCCUUGACAACAAAGAAGAAGAAAAUUUGCUCUGAACUGGUGCAGGAAUUUGAAUAGAAGAAAGAUGAACUAUGAACUUUGACAAGGAAGUCAUAUUUAAAUGGAUUAUAAUCUGCAGGUUCAUUCAAUUUGAUUUUCCAUAUUCACCAACUUGAAAACACUUGUUUUAAAUCCUAUUUUUUUGCAUCUUUACAAAUAGCUGAUGUUGCUGGAAGUAAGAAACCUUCUUCAUUUGACUUUGAAUAUGGACCUUAAUAAUUGACAUAAUGAUACAGAUUAAUCUUUUGGAACAGGUCUCCAGAAAAAUAGUUUAGAGAAUAUCACUACAUCUAUUAAAAUAAAUAGCCUUUUCUUGUCAAGUUGCAGAAGAUGAACAUAAGCACAUCAUUUGCCUACCUCAACAGUGUUUGCAUUUGAUCCUCCUGAGAGAAUUUGCCAAAUAAAGAUGACAGUGGGGAAAUUCUGCAAAACAAGCACAAUUGAGAGAAUUCAGGUCACUGAGCUAGGGCAUAAAAAAAAAAAAAAUUGGAAGAGAAAACAUAACAAAUGCUGAAAUUGCAGAAAAAUAUUAAUAUAAGAGCAACAAUUCUUCACGGUUCUCAUGCGAAGCAUGGUGCAUUUCCAUAAGUGGAAAGAUAAGCAAUAGUUGGGCAUCAAACAAAGUUCAAGAUAUAUCAUCAAUCCAGACAGGCACAUCCAUGCAUCACAAUUCCAGCACCAUGAGCAAGUCCAUGUAAGUAUCAUUUUUCUUGAGGAAUAGUCACUCGUAUGAAACUAUGGUGGACAAGCUGUACCCUAUUAGCAUUAUAACCAUUUCAUUGUGUGUUUCCUUAUCAAACAAAACAGAGCAACCCAAAUGUCUAGCUGGUUUGUGGCAAAUAAUGUGAAGCUUGGCCAUGGAAAAACACGAACUUUUUAGCAUCGAGUUGAGGAUUCGUAAUAUAUGGAGCAGAAGCAGUAGCUAAACGACGAGUGCGGAAGAAAGAGGUAUGAACCAUCACCUGAAGAAUAAAAAUUAGACAUUGGAGAGAUAUCUUCUUAUACAAGUACCGGUAACCUAUAAAGGAUAGCUGUUUGAGAGAGGAGAGAUAGCUGCAAAGACUUAAUCUUUCCACAUUCCUCAUAUUUCUCAUCCAAAGAGAAAUUAGAGAUGAAGGAAACAGAAUGUGAGGUCAGGAGGUCAAAUGACUUGAUACGAGCUGAUAACGCUAAAGAAUGAUUGGCUACACCUAUUGUUAUAUCUGGAAUGCUUGAAAUGUAGUAAACUUUAACAAUAAAUCACCUGAUCCUGAAACUGUCACUUUCACAUUUUAGAAAAGCUCUUUAGACUGUAUAGCUUUUAAAAUGCAAGAGCACUAAGUCAUGAUUGGGUGAAUGAAGGCAGGGUGUGGAGAGUAAACCUGAGUUAGGCUUUGUGAAGAUUAACUAUUAUGGGUCUUCUAUUGAAGGAACCAAACAUGCUGUUGUUAGGAUUGUGGCGUGAGAUGAAACAGGGGAGAUGAUUGCCUGCAAGGGUGUUGUGGUGCAAGCUAGAUCUGCAAAGGAGGCUGAAACACUUGCUGCUCAAAAAGCAUUGCAGUAGCCAAAUAAAAAGCUGAACCAAGGUAGUAGUGGACUAGAUGGAGCUUUGGUAUACAAGGAUAUCAUCAAUUUUCCCAAGCAGUGCAAUUAAAGACUAAAGGAUGCUCGUACUAGGAUUCAAGAAGCUAUAGAUCAUUUUGCAGCGCCGAAUUUUAGUUGUAUUUCACGAAAAGCAAAUGCUUGUGCCCAUUAGGUGGCUUUGCCAAAAUUGAGAUCUACAUCUGCAUCUCCCACCCUUCUUAUCACAUAUGCUUAUUUCAACCGUGAGCGGCUGGCCUAGAAAGAAAAAACCCCAUCAAGGACACACACAACCCGCCCGAAUGUCAGUCUCUGACCUUCAGUCGCUGGUUUUUGGAAAUUCUACGAGAAACAUCUCCACAGGAAAAAUCAAUCCGUAUUAGGCAUCAAACUGAAGAACAUAAUAUAAAUUGAUGCCUUCAAAAACAAAAACUGACCCCAACCCCAGAAAGUUGCCUUUAGGUGGAACAACGAAUUGCGGCGGAUAGCAAAUGGAAGGGAAAGAAUGAAAGAACUUAUAAGAAUUACCUAAAGAAGGAAAAGUAGUCAGCGGAGAUAAAUCUUUUGUCAUGCCUCUGGUGUGAUCAAUUUCAAUUCAUAGGAUCCAAACACCAACAAUGUAGAUGAGAGGGAUCUCUUGGAUGAGGGGCCAAUAGUCGCCAGUGAGUUUUGAGCAUCAAUCUUUUGGAAUCUCACAUAUAGAUAUCUCCAGAAUUUGGACAAAUCAUAGUCUUCCUUAUUGCUCCUUUCUACCUUUCCUUGAUAACAAAGAAAAAGAAAAAUAUGCUCUAAUAUGGCGUGGGAAUAUGAAUAGAAAGAUGAACCGUGAACUUUGACAAGGAAAGCAAAUUUCAAUGGCUUAUAAUCUACAAGGUUCAUUCAAAUUUAGUUGUCACAUUUGCCAACUCGAUCACACCUGUUUAAAAUCCUAUUUUUUGCAUCUUUAUAGAAGCAGCUGUUGUUGGAAGUAAGAAAGCUUCUUCGUUUGACUAUGAAUAUAGACCUCGGUAAUUGACAUUGUGAUAUAGAUUAAUCUUUGAGAGCAUGUCGCCAAAAGAAAAAAACAGUUUAGAGCAUAGUAGUACUCCUACCAAUAAUAAAUAGCAUUUUGUUCUUCUUUUGUCAAGUUGCAACAAAUGAACAUAAGCACAUCAUUUGCCUAACUCAGCACUGUUUGCAUUUGAUCCUCCUGAGAAAUUUUGCCAAAUAAAGAUGAUAGUGGGAUAUUCUGCAAAACAAUCAUAGUCGAGAGAAUUCAAGUCAGUGAGCUAGGAUAUAAAAAAUUAAAAAGAAAAAGAUAAUUGGAAGAGAAAACAUAACAAACACUGAAGUUGUGGGAAAAAUAACAAUAUAAGAGCAACAAUUCUUCACAAUUCUCACGUAAAGCAUAGUGCAUUUCCAUAAGUGGAAAGAUAAGCAAUUUUUGGCCAUCAAACAGUUUAAGAUAUAUCAUAAAUACGGACAAGCACAUACACACAUCAUUAUUCUUGCACUGUAAACAAGUCCAUGUAUGUAUUUUUUGUUUUGAUGAAUAGUCACUUGUAAGAAGCAAUGGUUGGUUGACUUGCUGUACCACAUUAGAAUUAUAACCAUUUCAUUGCGUGCUUCCUUGUCAAACAAAACAGAGCAACCCAAAUGUCAACAUUGGACCUUCAGCAGCAGGUUUGUGGAAAUUUAGGUGAAGUUUGUCCAUGGAAAAAUAUGAACUUUUUAGCAUUGAAUUGAGGAUUUGAAAUAGAAAUGGAUCCUGAAGCAGCAGCAGUAGCUAAACAAUAAGUGUGCAAGAAAGAAAGAAGUCCAAAUCAUUACCUGAAAAGCAAAGUUUAGAAAUUGGAUAGAUAUCUUCUUAUUGGAUCUGAACUCAACCAACUACGAUGAGCAGGAUUUCUCGGAUGAGGUGCCAAUAGUUGCCACUGAGUUUUGAGCAUCAUUCUUUCAUAAUUUUACGGUGAAUUAUGCUGAAUACUUGGAGGAGGGAAUGAAGCCAUCCUCUGGCAAGUUCCAUUAAACUAUAAAAUGUAGCUGUUCGAAAGUGGAGAGAUGACUGCGAAGACCACUUGAUAAUCUUUCCAUGUUCCUCAUAUUUCUCAUCCAAAGAGAGGUAGAGAUCAAGGAAACAGAAUACUCUGCACUUCUUACAUCCUGCACUAUUGAUAUUCUUUCCACAUUCCUCAUGUUUAUCAUCCAAACAUCUGAAACAGGACUAUCAAUUAGUCCUGAAUAAAAAUAAAGUUUCCUGCUUAGAGUGAUCAGAACAGAAUUAUAUGCAUACCCAAUUGACAACAACAAAAAAUGAACCGGGAUACCCUCUUGAUAACUUUUUUUUUUUCGCUGAAAAAUUCUUGUGAUUUUGUUAACUUACAAGUACAGGAGGCCACCAAUCACGAGUGACGGUGACUUGUUGGCACGGGCUGAUAUUCUACAAAUGUGAGGUCAUGAAAUUGAAUGAUUGGUACAGGCUGAUAACUCCUAAGAAUGAUUGCCUAGACUUGUUGGUAUAUUUGGAGUGUGUUGCCGAUAAAAAUGUAAGCUGAGUCAUGAUAAGGUGGAUGAAAGGCAAGGUGUGUGGAGUAAACCUGAGCUAGGUUUCAUGAAGAUUAACUGAGGCGGGGUCUUACAUAACAUGCCAUCACUGGGAUUGAGGCUAGAAAUGAAACAGGGGAGACGGUCGCCUACAAAGGAUGUUGAAUUACUUACUAGUCCAAAGAGCAUUGCAAUGGCUAAAGAAAAAGACAAGCCCAAGGCAAUAGAUAAGAUGGAUGCAGUAGUGGCAUACGAGGAUAUCAUCAACUUUUGCAAGCAGUGCAAAUGGAGACUAAAGGAAGCUCUUGCUGGGAUUCAGGCAACUAAAUAUCAUUCUUUUAGCCUUGAAUUUUAGUUGUAUAUCACGAUACGGCGAUUUCUGGAAAUCCUAUGCGACACUUCUCCAUGGGAAAAAAUUAAUUCGCACAAAGCAUCGAAUUGAAGAAUAGAAGCGAAAUUGAUGCAUUCAAGGCCAAAAAGCUUACCUGGACCCUAGAAAACUGACCGCACCUCGAAGGAUGAAUCACGGUAGUUAGCAAAUGAAAGCGAAAGCGGAUCAAUUCCACUUCACCAGAUUUGGAACCAAUCAAUGCGCAUGUCAGGGAUUUCUUGGAUUUUCCCAGGAAUUUAUGUGAAACAUCUACAUGAAGGGAAAAUCAGUUUGCAUCACAAAUCGAAUUGAGGAAGCAGAAUGGGAAAUCGAUGCCUUCAAAACCAUAAACUUACCCGAACCCUAGAAAACCUGACCGUACCAGGACGAAUCAAUUCAUUGAAUCCGAAGGUGAUCAAUCAAGAUGAGAGAGAUCUCUUGGAUGAGGGGCCAAUAGUUGCCGGUGUGUUUUGAGCAUUGAUCUUUCAGAUUCUCGCAUUCAUAUAUUUGCAAUACUAGGAGGGAGGGAGGGAGGCCAUCCUUUGGCAAGUCCCUCAACUUCGGGCAAUUUGAAAUGAUUAACACUUGGAGAGAGGAGAGAUGGUUGCGAAGGCCAUUUGAUAGUCUUUCCACGUUCCUCAUAUGGUCAAUUCGAAGAAAGGUAAGAGAGGAAGGAAAGAGAAAACUCCAAGCAUCCUCCUCGUCCUCGUCCUCCUCCGAAGGAAACCGCACCUUCUCUCCCUCCCCUCCCAUACUUCUUUUGUCAAUAUCUAGAUGGUCGAGGGAUGUGAGAAGGGGUAAGCCCCAUUCUCUCAUUGGCCGUUUCAUAUUCUCACACUCACUUAUGUGAAACCAUUGCACAUUGGGGGGCAAACCUCCUUCGGGCAAGCAUUGGAUAUUUUGGCAACGCCCAAUGAAUAUGUACCAAAGGGAUGUAAGAUGACGUCACUUUAGUAGAGACUUUAUCUUUGGACAGUAAUAGAGAGAGACCCGCGAUAGGGUGAUGGGAAGGGGAAGGGAAUCUAUUAUUUCCAAUGCCCUACACUCACUUAUAUGCAAAGAAGUGAGAUUGUUACAACUGGUGAUACUGGUGAUAGACUUUAUGUUCGGACAUCCCCCAAGUCUAAGACUCGAUAGGGUGAGGGGAAGGGGAGGAAAGUCCUCUAUCUGACAGUCACUUAUACUCAAUUCAGUGAGAUGGGAGAACGUGUGAAGGAAUUGUGGUAGGCUUCUUUGAUUCGGACAAUGGUAAAUUUGCAUAAAUUUGAGUGAUUCUAUGGUGAUUUCUCCUAGCGAUUCCACUCCCUCGCAGUCUUGAAUAACAAAUUUCUUCAAAGUAGCAAGUUUACCCUUGGCAGAGGGACAAAAUGUCAGGGAAUCACAUUGACCUAUACAUGAAGAUUGAAGUUGAGAGAUCGGGUUGUUGCUGAUGGGGUCAUAUGAAGAAAUGGUUGGUCUUAUGAGUUUUGGACACUGUCCAAUAGAGAGAUCACUGAGUGUGUACAUCUUGCUUGGAAGCUUUUCUAAACUGGUGCAACUACUCAAUUCCAUCUUUUCAAGGUUGCAUGGCAACUCUAUUUCUAUUUCUCCUGCCACGAAUGAUGUGAACUGAGGACAGCUUGCUAUUUUUAAUUCCUCGAGGCAAGUAAGAUUUAGCAUUUCAUUUUCAUCUUGCCACAAGUAUUUUAACUGGUCACACCCUCCUAUAUGAAGCUCCUUAGCUUGAUCAAGUGGCUCAUAAACCCAUGAUCAAAGCAUACAAGCUCUGCAAGAUUCUUAAUUGUAAGAAUGGUCAAAGAAGUUUGGUUGAUCAAGCUCUUCAAGAUCUCCUUGUUACAAUCCUCAAGGGACAACUCAUGGAGAGAUGGAAGACAAACAUCAUUGGUUGAGUUUUUCAAAUGCGGACAUGAAAGAAUUUCAAGCUUUGUGAGACGAUCAAGUUGACAAGGCAAUGUCCCGACCAACGAAGGACAACCCUGAACAACAAGAUGCUUAAGACAGGAUAAUGAAACCUCUUCUUUUGGGCCCCCAGCAUAAGGACACCAAUCCUUCCAUGCUAACAUCUCUUUGAACCCUAAAGUUGUUAAGGAUGAAAAAGGCCUCCUGCCUCCGUAAAAUUCAGAGCCUAUCAUUCUUAUUGCAUGUAGACCUUUAAGAGAUAAUUCCUUAAGUGAAGGUAGUUGUCCAAGCAUAGGCAACGAUAUAACAUUAGUACAAUCCCACAAGCAUAAAGACACUAUUUUAGAAUAGGAUGUGCAAUCUAACCAUGAUGGGAAUACUGCACCACGAUAGUUCAAAAUAGUGAGAUUUUCAAGAUUAGUGUGAGGUUGCAAAGAGUCAAGCACCUGUGCUUCGUACUCAUGAUUAUGGAGAUCUCCCAAGUGUUCACCCCAAUGCAAGGAUAAGUUGGUAAGGCCUAGCUUUCGAAGCAAAUUAGCAUCAAUUGCAUCUAUAACUUUUUCCACAUUUUGCAAUUCUUAUAUGAAUAAUUUUCCUUCAAGAUGUGGCAAGUUCUUUAACUCUUUCAACUACGACCCUUUCUCUAGUCCCACCACAAAUUUGGACAAGAUAAUAAGAUUCUUUAAAUUACCGAUACCCAAUGGCAUCUCUUUUAGACUCUCAGUAUCUCUAAUAUCAAGAAACUGUAAGCUGACUAACUUUGUGAUACCUUGAGGCAACUUUGAAAGCUUUUGACAACCUCUUAAAAUCAGAGCUUGUAAUUUGCACAAGGCGCCGAUUGACUUAGGUAGCCUCUCGAUAUUAGUGUACGAGAAAUUGAGAUAUCGAAGGUAUUUUAAAUCACCAACACAAUUUGGUACCUCUAUGAGGUCACAACAACAUAACAAGAAUACUCUCAAGUACUUCAAGUUUGUUAGCAAGUCACAUAGCACCUUGUUGGAAAUAGAGAAAGAGUCCCCACUAGAUCCAUCACGCACCAGAAUUAAGCUUCUUAGUGCCUUCAUCCCUUGAUAUGGUUUCAAGCAUUUUGAUGUAACAAACCAUGAUGGGAUGAAUGAUGCAUAACGAGUUUUUUCAAGAGAUGAUACAUCAUGUUCAUUACUUGCCACUUGAUACUCCCCUGAGCUAAAGCAAGUCCCACCCAAAAUUGACUUUGCUAGAUCAUUCAAAAGAUCAUGCAUUGAAAACUUAGAUGCGUUGAUACUUGAUUGUUGAAGAAAUGACCUGGAUACUAACUCAUCAAAGUGCUUCCAUCCCAAUUUCAAGAUAUUCUCAUUUGCUUUUUGCCCAUCUAAAAGUCCCUCUGCUAUCCAUAAGAGUACCAACUCAUCCCUCUCAAUUUCGUAAUCCUUGGGAAAUACCGCACAAUAAGCAAAACAUCUCUUCAAAUAGGAAGGAAGAUGGACAUAGCUCAAUUUUAAAACUGGGAGAACCUCAUCAUUCUCGACCGUCGGAAGAUCCCAUAUUUUGUUAUUUAAGGUAUCUUCCCAUUCAUUAGGAUUACUUUUAGUACGUAGGACACCGCCCAACAUCUUUGCUGCCAAAGGUAAACCUUUGCACCUUUCAGCUAUUUUCUUCCCUAUUAUUUCAAAGGUCGGGUGGCUCUCAAAAUUUGUUACUCCAAGAGCAUGAAAUGCCAAUAAGCUUAUACAAUUAUCAAAGGACAAUUCCCUCAAAUGAUACGGUGAAGCUCUUGUUAUGGAAGCAACAUUAUGGUUGCGAGUCGUGAUGAUGAUCUUGCUUCCGCUAGCCCCCGCUUCUAAUGGCUUUAAGAGGGCAGUCCAUUUUUCAUACUUCUCAUUCCAUAUAUCAUCUAAAACCACAAGAAACUUCUUCCUGGCUAGACUAUCCUUCAACUUAACUUGAAGCUUGUCAAGAUCUUUGUCAUCAUCGGACGACCUGGUGAUCGACUGCAAAAUAGUUUUUGUUAUGUCAAGGACAUGGAAAACAUCUGACACACAAACCCAUGCUUUCUUCUCGAAACAACUAUUCACUUUGGCAUCAUUAUAUACUCGUUGAGCCAAGGCUGUCUUUCCAACGCCGCCCAUCCCAACUAUGGGGACUAUGCUUAGCAUGGCAUUGGAAUUUUCUACCUCACUUAUCAAUAGUUCGAGUAUUUGUGCUUCUUCUUUUUCCCUACGAAAAAAUUGAGGCUCCAACAAAGAAGUGGUGGGAUCCCUUUUGUUGGUAUAGUUGGAUUUGUCUGCAACAUUCUCUCUCAAGCUUAGAUGAGCCUUCCUGGUGACAAUCACUUUCAACCUGCCAUUGACCUCUUGUACCUUGGUUUCUGACACAAGCGAGUGCAAGUUUGGAUUCAAUCUGGAGGAUUUAUCUUGGCCAAAGAAAGAGGACUUCCAUUUCACCAAACCUCUACUUGUGCUGGAUUUUGCCUCCGACUCAACUUGAGUGAUUUUGAUCACCAAUUCAUCAAUCAAGUCUUCCAUGUCAUAGCUCAAGUCCCUAACAUCGUCCAACCAUAGCUUCACUAGAGGGUUAUUGCUGAGUUGAUUGUCCUCUGCGUCAACCAGCACUGCAUUGAUUGUCAACAACAUUCCCUUCCACUCCUUAAGCAAGGCAGUGUUGAAUCCUUCUUGUUGCGUAUAGCCCAAUGUGAGAGAAGACAACUUGUCGAAUAGAACUUGAAAGAAGGAAGCCAAGAAGGAACCCAAAACGAUCUCUCCAACGGCCAUGGGUGAAUGGGUCACUGCCGAGACAUCAAAGGUGUUUCGUGAAGCAUAGUAACAACGAACUAUGGGAGAGAGAAAACAAUGAAGUCUAGGAAUACCAAGACGUUCACUUGCCAAAAAGAUUUUAUAAAAAAGAUCAAGUCUCUCAAGGGAUGCACACCAAAGGUUAGACAAAUCAAAGUAAAAUAGUUUUGUCCACUAGAGUGCUUGUUUCGUCAAUUGUUCUCCUUUUUCUUUUGAUCAAGACUUUUCUUGUGAGCAUUCAAACAAAGGAUAAAAGGUGAUUUUUCUCAAUGAACUUAGAGCGCGUGCAUAUUUUCGUAAAAAAUUCCAAUGCUUGAGUGUUUUGUUGGCUUUUUUCACAUCCGUAUAUUACUAGUAUCCUUAUGAUUUUAAUAUCUUUGUUUUAUGCUUUAUUGGUGAAUAUAAGAUCAAUGUAGGUUUUUAGAUGGCGAUUGCAGUGCUAAAAACUCACAUGUGUUUAAGAUAUAAGAUGGUUAUAAAUUUCUCCUUCAAUGUGGAUGACCAUGUAAAGACAUCAAAAGCGGCUAACUUUGUUUGUUCAAUAAAUAAGGAAAUGCAUUCCACUUCUUUUUUGUGUUUUGAGCAUUUCACUUCUUUUAGGUGGUGACACUGUAUUCUUUUCCCCAUUCCGUUCUCUCUAUCAUAUCUUUUACUUUUUCGUUGGGGGCAUGCACAAUGACAUUUACUUCUCAUUCAUCUUUUUUCACGUUAUAAAAGAUGAACAAUCUCAAAAACUUUUCUGACGUAGAAAUACCUAGUUUUCAAACAAAACAUGAGUCCAUGCGUGAUCUUUUUCUAACAAAGCACAAUUUUGAUUUUUCAUUAUUCAAAAUAAAAAAAUUUAUCAUGAACAAUUGCACAUUUUUCUCUGUCUUGAAAGAAAAUACAUGAAUUAGUCUUCUUGCAUUGAAUUAUCAUCGAUUUCUGCACGAUGAAAAUUAGUUGUCCACACAAAACACCCCUGGGGCUUCGGCAGAAACUACUUCACGUGAAGUUCAAAUUGCAACCGUAUUGACUUUACUUGAAUGAUUACACUGGCACACCUCAAAAGAAUACUAAAUCUCAAAUACCUUAUUAAUUCAUCUUACCCCUUCCAAUUGAUGGUAAAUUCACUAAAUCUAUAUAAUAACGAUUUUUUGUUGUGAGAGCAAAUAUAUGAAAAGACACAACAAAAGUUAUUUAUUUUGUUUGGCACCCGAAAUUAUGACAAACGUAGCUUUCCCAUUAAUCUCUACUGAAGAGGAAUGAAGCUAUCCUCUUAUGAUAUUGAUUCUUGCUUACCCAAUUUCAUGGACUAAAAUUCCAAAACAUUAAUGCCGUAAAAUAAUUACUUUGCGAGCAGGAUAAAAGUUCCAAUUCAAUUAUAAAUGAAUACUUUGAUCUCAAUGCUGCUAAUCGUGUAAAAUCAUUUCACAUCAAUGUGUGUUCAGUAAAAAGAACAGUAAUAGAGAGAUAAAAAAAUUAAUCUUAAUGUCCUAAUCUUACUUUUUAACAAAAAUUAUAAUGACAUUUCUUUUGUUAAUGAACUCGACAUCAACUUUAAUCAGGAUAAUAGAUAGGCAGGAAAUCGGCUUAAGAACCAAAAUAUUGCUGCUGCUGCUGCUCUUCUUUUGCUCAAAAUAAUACUUUUGCCUCCAUUAAUAAAAAGAUUUUGGAAAGAAUAGAUGGUUGCUCUUGCGAAAUAAAUGCCCACUAGAUGCUUUCGGUAGUGAAGUUCCGGGUGCAUUAAUCCGAGGGAAAAAUAGAGCAAGUAGAUAGAUGUCUCUUACCUGUUUCGAGCAGACUUCCUGGAGCAGAUCGAUGAAUGGGAUUAGCUCAAUGACAGAAAUCCAACAAGCACGAGCGCUAGGUUUAGACGAGCAGGAGGAGAAUACUAUUUAAGCAAGGGGACUAAUGGUGAAGCCGAGUGAUAAUGAUCAAAUGGAGAGAGAACUAUAAAGUCCAAGAAGACCAAGACUUUCACCUACCAAAAAGUGUAUGCAAAGACCAAGACUUUCAAGAAUGCUUUCUGUCCACAAGUUCUCUUAUCAUGUGAAUAAACCAUAACCUCAGGAAGACCAAGACUUUCAAGAAUGCUUUCUUUCUGUCCACAAGUGCUCUUAUCAUGUGAAUAAACCAUAAACUCAGGAAGACCAAGACUUUACUGAACUUCGUGUACUUUUUUGUCUAGAAAGUGAAGCAGAGGCGAAAGAGAGCAAAUGGAAAAGAUAGAGACUUUGCACGAUACAAAUUGGCAUUGCUGCUUCACUUCUCACAUCCCUCCUCUUCCAUCUCUAUGUGAAUGCCUAUGUUUUUGCAUUACUAGUAGAAUUUCCCCACACGUUACAUGCCAUGCUUAAAAUUGAAUAUUACUAUAAUUUUUGUCCACUUCUUUUCAUGCUCAAUUGUACUGUGAUUUUUCAUUCAAUAAUCUCUCUUGCACUUGUCUAUUAGAAUUAUGUCUAGGAUUUCAUGUAUCUUUUCAAAUUUAAGUUCAAAAAAAGGAAAUAAAAAAAAAAAGCAAAGAAAAAACAGCAAGAACUAUUAAAAAAAAAAGAAAUAAGAAGAAGCAAGAACGGGCCAGAGAGAGCACCAUUGUCCUAUGGCCACGGACAUGCCGUUGCCAUCAGCACUGCUGCUUAUAGUCAUCUUCAUAGACAACAUUUCCUCAAGAUUUUAUUCUUAGAUCGGUUUAAGAGUUAAGAAUAAUGACAUUGCAAGCACCUAAGCUUUUGUUCAAUUUACAAUCGAGGGCCUGAAUUUUUCUUUUUCAAUCAAGAAUCUCAAUUUGAGGCAUCGGCUAAAUAACUUGUCAUGUUAUGUGAUUUUACUGAUGUGACUUAUUUACUUAGCAAAAGUUAAACAACAUAGUAGCUGAUGUCACUCCUUAUCACACAUAUUGAGUGAUGAGGAGAGAAAAAGUAUGCUGACUUAGAUGGUCCUAGCAUCUAAUAAAUAUAAGCUGACCUAGCAGCAUCUCAAGGUACCAUAUUAGAUGUUCAUAUGGACAGUUAGGGACUAUCUGACAGUGUUCGCAUCAUAUCAACAUUUUUGGACCACGGUUUAAAUGGAAGCCUUGACCUGUAUUUGAAAUGUUGAGGUAAUUGACUGAAAGCAAAAAAAAAAAAAAAAUUGAGGAUACUUGAUUAAAAAAAGGUAAUAAUUCAGAUACUUGUGCGUCGUUGUCGCUAUCCAAAAAUUUAUCAUGCGAUGAUUGGUAUAGAUUCAAAUCUCAAACGUACUUUUGUUUAUGCGUUAUUUAAUCAAUAAACUCAUCCUCUUGUUUCGUUGCUUGGUCUCACUUUAAUAAUUUCUUUUUUAAGAUUUUUCAUUUCAUGUGAAAAAUUUAUUAAAUAGUUUGUUAAUUUCAAGCUGUUGCAAAACGAUUUCAGUGGCCAAAUAUCAAGCACAUUCGAUAAAAAAGGGGAUAAGUACACUAAUGGUGCCAAAAGUUGUGUACGGCGCUCACUUUGGUGCCAAAAGUUUCUGUCGGAUCACUUAAGUGCCAAAUCGGAGGAAAAACGCUCACUUUGGUGCCACCGGCGAAAGAUUCCGGCCUCCGGCGAAAGAUUCCGGCCAAAAUGAUUUUAAAAAAAAAAAAAAUUGAUAAGCCUUUAAAUGACGUCGUUUUCGGUCCUCCUUAAAAAAACGACGUCGUUUUGCCGUCCUACGUGGAUGGCUUCAUGGAAACGACGCCGUUUAGCUCACAUGGGGAAGAAAUUAGGGUUUCGGCGAGGUCGAAGCCGUGGCCAUCGUCGGGGUUGAAGCUACGGCCGCCGAGUGGCCAUCAUCGAGGUUGGGGUCGAGGUCGGGGUCGAAGCUACGGCCGUCGAGUGGCCAUCGUCGGGGUCGGGGUUGAGGUUUGAGCCGCGGCCAUCGAGUGGCCAUCGUCGCGAUCGGGGUCGAGGUCAAGGUCGGAGCUACUGCCGCCGAGUGGCCAUCGUCGGGGUCGGGGUCGGGGUCGAGGUCGAAGCCGCUGCCGUUGAGUGGCCAUCGUCGCGGUGGGGUCGAGGUCAGGGUUGAAGCCGUGGCCGCCGAGCGCAAGGACCGUCGAGGACGGCGACGGCCCGGAGAUUAGGGUUUUGAAUUGGGGGAGACACCAAACGGCGUCGUUUUGGUGUUUGGAUGCUGACUCAGCUCUCCGACGAGCCACGUCGGCGUCAAAAAUUAAUAAAAAAAGGCCACGUCGGAUUUCCGGCCAAUUUCGUCGGAGUUGACACCAAAGUGAGCGUUUUUCAAAUUUUUUGGCACUUAAGUGAUCCAACGGAAACUUUUGGCACCAAAGUGAGCGCCGUACACAACUUUUGGCACCAUUAGUGUACUUAUCCCGAUAAAAAAGUAUUGCUCUACCCCCUACUUUUUGGCCAAUUCCAUUGCUUUUCCUUUGAUCUUCUCACCCAAAACUGAAAAAAGUAUGUGCAAUCAAGAAAACAUGUUCUAUCUAUAAUCAUUUGCUCAUGACAUCAUCACCGGUUCACGGCGGUCCAACUACUUGGACCACAAACUGGCAACCUGACCGGUUCUCUGAUCGGCCCAAGUUUGAAAACAUUGGUGCAAAGCUCCAAUCCCUAUUUAAAACAAGUAGAUAUGAUUAUCUUAUAUGAAUUGAGUUGUAAUGCAUACAAUACUUUUACCACGUGAUCGAAUUUGAUAGCAAGUGGUUACACCUGAUAGAGGUUUGGGUAUUAGUAUUACUGUCGUGGGUGCUCCUCUCUCUAUCCUUGAGCAUAUGAGAUGCGGUAAAACCUUCGUAAUGCUCCAAAUGAGGUUGAUGCUCAACUCCAUGUCCAUGGUACAUUACUCCCGUCGCAUUGCUCUAGUUGGAGCUCCAAGUGCUUCAAUUUAUCCACAUCAGAGAUGUAAAUUUUUGGUCGCGAAUUAGAACUUAGAAGGGGGAGUCAACGAAUACGAGAGAGUUGACUCACUUUUAGGUGCGACCUAAGUGUCCAUUUUUAUUUUUUAUUUUUGUGAAAAAGAAUCUAAAUCAUACAUUGGUUGACUUGGAAUUAUGAACUUAGGAGGCUAUUGAGGAGACAUAUAAAAAUUUUAUUUAAUUUCUUACUUUAAAGGGGUAAUACCUUGAAAAACUCCAAACUGGUAUACAUGUGACAAAUUUACUCCAAACUAUUUUUUUGACCAUGAAAAACCCCAAACUAGUAUACUUGUGACAAAUUUACCCUAACCGACCAUAAAAAAACCCUAAACUGGUAUAUUUAUGACAAAUUUAUCCCAAACUAAUUUAUUCGACCCCCAAAAAUCCCAAACUCAUACAUUUGUAACAAAUAUACCCCAUGUUAAAUUGGAUUAAUACCACAAAAAUUGUAAACUGUGACAAACGGGGAGUAAAAUCAUAAAUUGGUAUAAUAGUCAACUGUCACGUGUUAUUUAACUUAAUAAUUUGACAAUAAAAUUUAACGGAAAUUAAUAGAGGGCAAAUUUGUCAUAAGUGUACCGGUUUGAGGUAAAUUUGUUAAAGGUGUACCAGUUUAGGGUUUUUGAUUGUCAAAAAAUUAAUUUGAGAUAAAUUUGUUACAGGUGUAUCGGUUUGGGGUUUUUCGGAGUAUUAACCCUACUUUAAAUAACAAGUUAACACUACCCUCUCGGUCCACAAUGCAUGUAUACUUUAUUGUAUAUCCACAAAAUUAAUAUAAUCAUUUGGACAUCUUGUGAAUGAGUGUUUGUUCAAUUUUGCUACUAUAUAUAGUCAUUUUGUAAAUUUCUAUGAAUAGGCUCGCGUACUCCUCAUCAUAAAAUACAUAGAAAUUACACUGUUCUCUUUUCUGCAUAUUUCUUAUCCGAUUUAAAUAUCUUGAUUAAAAAGAAUCACAUUCUAUAUUGUUUCUUGGUAUUGUAAUUAUUUUUCUCAUGUUAAAAUGUGCCAUUGGGUUGGAAGCUGCCUCGCUGUAAAAGCGUGCACCCCUCCAGAUCCACCCCUCCACCGGCCCAGCAUGCUGUCUCUCUUUCACUUAUGUUCUCAAGGGCUGAGUUAUCCGGUAGGCCUCAGGUCCACGCUACUAGCCAUAGAUCCGCGCUAUGAUGGGCUAUCCACCGUUGAAAAGCAGCAACUCGCGCACGAUCGAUGAUGGGCGGUGCAUGAUUAGGCGAUGGACCUCAGGCAUAUGGAAUAAUCUUUAACUGUUCCCUUUGACCGCUUCCUCAGGAUUUGGAUUUGAUUAGUACUGUUGUUCCCUAAGAAUCAGGGGCCAAGAAAACUUGCCCACCCAACGCUAGAAGACAUGAUAGGGUUCGUUUUUUUUUUUUUUUUCAUUUAAAAGUACUAUAGUUCUUGAGACCCAACCUAUCUUCCCUUAUUACCGAUCAAAAAGAAAAAAAAAAUCCUAUCUUCCCUAAUUCAUGGGUCUAUUGACACGUGUCAUGAAGUUUGAUGUAUAAAUUUCAGGUUUGGGGCAAGCAUAAAUGGAUGCGCUUGAUAUUUACUUAAAUGAUUAGGAUUUCUUUAACAUGUCCUAGGAUACUAGUUAAAUAUUUAAAUAAAAACAUAUUUGUAACGUAUUGUCUCCUUGGUAUUACAAAUUUGUAAUGCAUUGAAAACGGCAAUUAGUUUUUUGCUUGAAGCACUAAUUAACAAGACCCAAAGGAUUACAUCCAUGAUUUGCAAUUUAUAAAUUAGGCUCUGAAUAAAAGAUUUUAACCUUUCCCAGCACAACAAUAUCCGUGAACGGUCAUGGUGCUUGUUUUUCUUUUCUAGUGCAAAUAGUGCCCAGUGUUCUACUCGCCAAACCAAUCACCGAGUACUAAAUGUUCUUGAAGAAAACAAUGAAGUUAGUGAUACUCUUGUCAUGUUGUGAUCGAUUGCGUCAAAAGAUGACCUAAAAUUUUUUUGGUCGUUACUGACCUAACAUUUUAAGCGGACAUAAAAAUCUCUCCUUUUAGACAUGUAAGAUUUAUUGGUCAUAGAAAAAGUAGCUGAGUGUAUUUCACUCUGUUUUAUUCUACAUUUGUCAAUGUGGCACCACAUUUAUGGCUCAUGUGGAAUUUGGCCACUUAAUCAAUUUUGAUGGUGCUUGUAAUGGUAGGUGUGGAAGAGGAUUGUAUUGUACAAACUCACAAAGUUAUAACAUUACAUUGCUGAUAAUGGGAAUAGUUAAAAAAAUCUGGAACACGAAAAUCAGAUAGCCCCAGUAAAAUUAUUACGGAGAGUAAUUAGACAAACAAAUUCUGUUCAUGCUCACCCUACUGGAACAAAAACCGAACAAGACAUAUCAGGGUACUUUCCAUUCCAAACCUAAAAAAGGAUAGACUUAAUGAUUUUGUUAAUGUAGGAGAAUGGGGUACCAUUGAUCACCGGUGAUGGCGGCCUAAUGGUACAAACUGAUAUUCCACAAACGGGAGGUCACAAUGAUAAUCCAUUAGCGAUGGAAGUGCCUGUAUCUUACCUAGUUUGUGACGGGAGUUUUGGCAACUUGGAGGGCUUUGGGUGACGAGACUUGCCUACCCGAGAUAAUUGGGUCACGAGUGGUCUUGGAUAACGUUCUCGCAAUCUCAUGUCAAAAUUCAUGGCAGACGUGGAACUUUUGCAAUCACUCAAUAGAGUAACAGAGCAGAGUCUCCUUGAUUGCUCAUCUCCACCUUCCCUUUACAACAAAGAAAUAGAAAAUGUUACAUGAGAUGGCGUGGGAUUCUUUUUUUUCUUUUUUUUGUGGGUGUAAGAUGUUGUGGAAAUUUAAAUAGAAGAAAGAUGAACUGUGAACUCUGACACGGAAGUCACAUUUAAAUGGAUGUAAAUCGAAGGGUUGAUUCAAAAUUAGUUGUCAUAUUCUCCAACUCGAAAACCACUGUUUUAAAUCCUAUUUUUGCGUCUUUAAAGUAGCUGCUAUUGUUAGAAGUAAGAAAGCUUCUUAAUUUGACUUUGAAUGUAGACCUCGUGAUACAAAUUAACCUUCAGAGCAUGUCUCAAAAAAAGUACGAGCAUCUUAGUACACCUACCUGAAUUUAUAGCUUUUUGUUUUUCUUUUGCCCAGUGGCAAAAGAUGAACAAAAGCACAUGCCGCCUACCUCAACAGUAUUUGCAUUUGCUCCUCCCGAGAGACUUUGCCAAAUACAGAUGUUAGCGGGAUACUCUGCAAAACAAGCACAGUUGAGCAUACAGGUCACUCAUCUGGGGAAUAAGAAAAAGAAGUUAGGAAGAGAACGUACAAGAAGCACUGAAAUUGGAGAAAAAAAAAUCAAUAUAAGAGCAACUACUCUUCACGAUCCUCACAAAGCAGAGAGCAUUUCCGUAAGUGGAAAGAUGAGCAACUUUUGGGCAUCAAACAGAGUUCAAGAUAUAUCAUCAAUAAAGACAGGCACAUCCAUGCAUCGUAAUUCCAGCACUGUAAGCUAGUCCAUGUAAGCAUUAUUUGUUUUGAGGAAUAGUCACUUGUAUGAAACAAUGGUUGACUUGUUGUACCACGUUAGCAUUUUAACCAUUUUAUUGCAUACUUCCUUGUCAAACAAAACAGAGCAACCCAAUUGUCAACGUUGGACAUUCAAGAGUUGGUCUGUGGAAGUUUUGGUGAAGCUUGUCCAUGGAAAAACAUGAACUUUUUACCAUCGGAUUGAGGAUUCGGAAUAGAAAUGGAUCCUGGAGCAGCAGCAAUAGCGAAACAACAAGUGUGCAAGAAAGAAAUAAGUCUGAAAGAAAUCUGAAUCAUUACCUGAAGAACAAAAUUAGACAUUGGAGAGAAAUCUUCUUAUUGAAUUCGAACUCAAUCAAUUACUAGGAGUGGGAUUGCUUGGAUGAGGUGCCAAUAGUCACCACAGAGUUUUGAGCACCGAUCUUUCGGAAUCUCACAUCGAGUUAUGUUGAAUACAUGGAGGGAGGGAGGGAGGGAAGAAAUCCUCUGUCAAUUCCCUCAACUUCCGGCAACAUAUAGAAUAUAACAGUUUAAAUAAAUGAGGAGAGAUGCCUACGAAGAUUACUUUAUUGUCUUUCCACCUUCUUUAUAUUUCUCAUCUAAAGAAAGAUUAGAGAGGAAGAAAAUAGGAGACUCCACGCAUCUUAUGUCCUCCACCGUUGAUGGUCCUUCCACAUGUUUCAUAUGUCUUAUCCAAAAUCCUGGAACAGGACGAUUAAUUAGUCCUGAACAAAAAUUACUUUCUUGCAUAAGAAACAAACAAUGAGAGUGAUUAGACAAAAAGAAUUAUUUGCAUACCCACCCGACAGCGACAGAAAAAAAAAUGAAUAAACAAGACAAGAAACUGGACCCUUCACUUUCCUAUUCUCAGAAAUAAGUGACCCUCUGGAUGAAUUUGUUUUCGCCGAAUAAUUCUUAUGAUUAUGUUAGCCCACCCGUAUGGGAGACCACUAAUCACUGGCGAUGGUGGCUUAUUGGUUCGGGCUUGAUAUUCUACAAAUGUGAGGUCAUGAGAUCAAAUGAUUGGUACAGGCUGGUAACUCUUAAGAAUGAACAUCAACUUCACCACCAAUAUACGAGGGCUGAUAUUUUUACAAUCUCAAAGCAUGAAGGGCAAGCUGAGAAGAUGUCAACAUGGUGCACUGAAGAUUUAGCUCAGAAUACUCAAAUUCUUUACCUCAAAGAAAGCAACAUUCAUCCAUGCACUAUUGUCCUAUAUGAGAAAAAAAUUAACAGCGACACCCACAUUGACCCAACCGAAAGUGCUAAUAACCACUUCAACAAAGCGAAGACCCCACCAGCCACAAAUACAAGUAUAUCAUUCACUGCACAAAUACAUACGGACAGCAAGCUACUAGGACAAAUUAAGCACGCCUCAAGCAUAAGAAUGUGAUAAUCCAAUAUAAAAUCAUAAUGAAUCCAAAGCGUCACCUACAUGGAGGAUAUACAUGCUGAGGAGGUCCUAGAACGCUUAAGUAACACCAGACAACUAAUGGCUUUACUUGACUCGAAUCUGCGCAAUAUGGAAUACUAUCAAUUUUAUGUGUUUCAAGCCUUGAAUCGCCCCCAUCAAAUUGAUGGAAGAAGAUGUAACAUCCAUGUGGCAUCUUUCUAUAUGUUCACAUGACGAAAACACUACCGAAAUGAGAUUGAAAUCCUCACGUUCCCCAUGUGAACAAAAGCGACUAGAAAACACCCUUAUUAUGUUCAAGGCUGGAAACGAUGGCAAUUUGAUGAGAAAUCAAUAUCCAUAAAACACUGUACAUGGCCACCUCACUCACUGUGCUUAUUUUUGCUCCUCAAGAACUUAUAUAUAACAUCAUACGUACGUCAUCCGUACCAGAAACCGUGUAUAUCUUCAACGUCAGUUGAAACAGCAAAUGCACGCAUAAACAGCGAACAUCAAAUGCACGUGACCAGCAUUUGACAUACUAAAAGCACACACAAUCGCAUUUCAAUCAACUUUAUACGGGAAAUGCAGUAAGACACGAGCAGUGCAACUUCAAUGGGACAUCAAAACGUUGGUAAACGGAAUGCAAUAGGAAUUAACUAUCUAUGACUGAGUCAGGCAUUCUGUCGAACUGGUAGAGCGCCUACCCGUCAAAUAACUAAUGUACGCCAUCUUCAAGCAGCGAUUCACUUACAGUCAUUACUAUCAGCAACGACCAAGGUCCAGAACAUCGAGAGAAAUGAGAAGGAGGAAAGUCCACGAAGAAGCCUCUCCUCUGGAAAUUCAAGAAAAAACAGAGAGCUCAGCUCGAUUCAUUGAACCCAAAGCCGAAAACCACAGAGAGAGAGAAAGAGAGAGAGAGAGAAGAAGAACUUGGCUUUAAAGAUCGAACGGCGAGGAGCCGAACAGGAGGAGCCGUUGUAGUCGGAGCAAAGGCUGAGAGACGUCAGAAACUGAGCCGGAGCUCUGCCGAGCUCAGCGCUCUCCCUCGCUACAAUUCUUCUUCCAUCAUCUUCUAGCGGCUUUUGUUUUGCACUGAAUCCUUUGACAAAAGUUUUGUCUUUUAAGGGUUUCCAUGGAUGCUGAUAUUCUUUUGGUCGACUCACCGUACGGUCCCAUAAAUUGUUGUCAGGUGAUGAUGACGACUCAUCUUUAUCACUCUAGAAUUAGCAAGGAGAGGGAAUUAUAAAGAUUACAAAACCUGUCAUUAACUAAAGCUAGAAAGAGCAGUUGCAAUAAAUCAUUGUUCUCCAUAUCUAACUAUGUGUUUUCGCACAUAAUUAGGCCUUAAAUUUCGAGCUCACGCGAAAAGUAACCACAUUAAUAUCAAACAUAUUAUCUAUUAUUUUUUUCCUUCAGAUGAAACUAAAUAUUUCGAUUAGCUCACAUUAUAUUCGAAUGCGAAGCAUAUUUAUUCAUUUGAGUUGGCUCAAGAGAGAAAAAAGAAUUGCCCAUGGAGCUUGGCUCAACCUAGCCCAAAUAUAAGGGAAAACAACUGUGCAAGAUUGAGGGCAAUGACUCUUCUCUUAGACCUUGGAGCUACCAAGACUUGACCAACGUGGUUUUACUGUUUGGCAAAUGCAAGACUUGAAUGAGUCUGGUUCUUGGGUGCUUGCCCUGACGCUGUCGUUUAUGGUAAGAAAGUCUAAUAGUUUACAAAAUCAUAGGCCGGGCCAAGUAAGAAUUUUGAUGGUCGAUAUCUGACUUAGUCCGUCUAGGCUCCCGAUUCAAUAGUUCUACAAAUAGCGAGUGUUGUCUCAACUGAACAAUUUUUUUUUUUUUUUUACCUUAUCACCCGAAUUGUAUGUCAAGUCCAAGUGCAAUCUAAUCCAUUUUGGGAUUAAGGCCCAAGAGUUUGGACCUGCCAACGGCGACCCAUUCACUGCCUUUGAAGCAUGGUGUUAAGGCUUAAUCAUAUUAUAAUUGUCAAAUUCAGGUUGAAUUCGCAUUUCUUAUUGAGAGCACCUAAAACAUUUCGAAAAUCUAUUUGUAAAAUCUUCCUAUUCUUUUAAAAUUUGAAUUUUUAUUUCAUACUACAAAAUUUUAAGAAGGGACGUAUUUCGGGCAACUAACUAAGAACUCUUUUUUUUUCUUGCUUCUCUUUGGUAUUAAACUAGGAACUCUAUUAAGGGAAUGAUAUAAGUUCUGAGGCAUCAAUAUCACUUCACAUGCAAAAUGUCGAUAUUAUCGAAUUUUUCUUAUUUGUAGCUUGCUUCAAAUAUUAAGUUUUUUUUUGGGUAAAAAAAUAUUAAGAUUAGUUGAUUGCAAUGGAUUGCUUUUAUGUUGAAGUUUCGUAAAAGCCAUUUUUCAUUUUCCUUUUUUUUUUCUUCUGACAAGGGAAAAAUUGCUCAAAAGUUAUUUUAACCUUAGCAAAUGAUAUCCUUGACUUAUGAUUUUGUUUAUAUAAUUGAUUUACAUCCAUAUAUUAGUAUAUCACACAGUGUUGUUGGGAAAAUCAACCAAUCUAAAUCAUUGGCCACAAAUAUGUAAGUAUUCCCAAAACAUUCAUUAUUUAACUUAGUCAUAUAAAAUAUCAAUAUAUAUUGUAAAGAAAAAAACAAGAAUAUUUAUAACACUUCGUAUAAAGGCAACUAACUUGGGUUGACUAGAAGAUAAGUACUUUGAAGACAUCUAAAAUUCUUACAAAUAGUUGAGAAAGAUUGCUUAUUAAUUACAUAAAAAAGCAAAAAUGGUUUAAAAAAUGGAAAGAGUAACACUUUUUUUCACAUUAAUUGGACUUCAUCUCACUAUGGCCUUAGACAUUUUCUUUAAUGCCUCAAUUUUCGCCGAUUGCAAUCGUCAUUAUAAUUAUCUCAAUUGAAUCACAGUCACUACAUCGGACUCUUCAAGUUGAAGAGAUAGAUAUAUGGCAUGUGAGAUGAAAAAUGGGAACGAAAAAAUAAAUUAUGGGAUAAGAAAAUUAAGUAGCUCACAGUAAAAAUUACUUUGUCAUGCGAAAUAAACAAUUACAAGAGUAAUCAGACAAACAAAUUAUACACAUAGUCAACCACAUACUCAACCGACUGCAACCAAAAAUCAACAAGACAGAACAUGGUACUUCCCAAACCAAGUCUAAAAAAUGUGAUUGAUUGUUAUGGUUAGUUUGUAUUUUCCGAAUGGCCCUUGUUAUUCCGCUAAUAUAGAACUAUGGGGGACAGCUAAUCACUGGUGAUUGUAGCCUAAUGGUACAAGCUGAUACUCUACACGAGGUCGUGAGGAUAACCCACUAACGAUGACAGUGCCUGCAUCAUGCCUUGUCCGCGACCGGAGCUCUGGCAGCUUGGUGCGGUUAUAGUGACAAGACUUGCCCACCCGAGAUAAUUGGGUUGCGAAUGGUCUUGGAUGGCCAUCUUCUCGCAAGCUUAAAUCAAAAUACAUCAUGGCAAACACAAGGCUUUCAUAUUGAAUUAACAGAGCGCCUAAAGCAUAGUCUCCCUGAUUGCUCCUCUCCACCUUUCCUUGACAACAAAGAAGAAGAAAAUGUGCUCUAAGCUGGUGUGGGAAUUUGAAUAGAAGAAAGAUGAACUAUGAACUUCGACAAGGAAAUCGGAUUUAAAUGGAUGAUAAUCAGUAGAUUCAUUCAAUUUAAUUACCAUAUUCACAACUCGAAAAUUCCUGUUUUAAAUCCUAAUUUUUUGCAUCGUUACAAUAGUUGCUGUUGUUGGAAGUAAGAAACCUCCAUCAUCUGACUUGGAAUAUAGACCUCAAUAAUUGACAUAAUGAUACAGAUUAAUCUUUUGGAGCAGGUCUCCAAAAAAACAGUUUAGAGCAUAUCACUAAACCUCCCAAAAUAAAUUGUCAAGUUGCAAAAGAUGAACAUAAGAACAUCAUUUGCCUACCUCUACAUUGUUUGCCUUUGAUCCUCCUAAGAGAUUUUGCCAAAUAAAGAUGACAGUGGGGAAAUUAUGCAAAACAAGCACAAUUAAGGGAAUUCAGGUCACUGAGCUACGGCAUAAAAAAAAGAAAUUUGGAAGAGAAAACAUAACAAAUGCUGAAAUUGCAGAAAAAUAUUAAUAUAAGAGCAACAAUUCUUCUUGGUUCUCAUGCAAAGCAUAGGGCAUUUCCAUAAGUGGAAAGAUAAGCAAUAGUUGGGCAUCAAACAAAGUUCAAGAUAUAUCAUCAAUCCAGACAGGCACAUCCAUGCAUCACAAUUCUAGCACCGUGAGCAAGUCCAUGUAAGUAUCAUUUUUUUUAGGAAUAGUCACUCGUAUGGUGGACAAGAUGUACCCUAUUAGCAUUAUAACCAUUUCAUUGUGUGCUUCCUUAUCAAACUAAACAAAGCAACCCAAACGUCUAGCUGGUUUGUGGCAAAUUACGCGAAGCUUGUGCAUGGAAAAACAUGAACCUUUUAGCAUUGAGUUGAGGAUUCGUGAUAGAAAUGGAUCCUGGAGUAGCAGCAGUAGAUAAACGACGAGUGCGGAAGAAAGAAGUAGGAACCAUUACCUGAAGAAUAAAAAUUAGACAUUGGAGAGAAAUCUUCUUAUGCAAGUACCGAUAACCUAUAAAAGAUAGCUGCUUGAGAGAGGAGAGAUGGCUGUGAAGACUUAAUCUUUCCACAUUCCUCAUAUUUCUCAUCCAAAGAGAAAUUAGAGAUGAAGGAAAUAGAAUGUGAGGUCAGGAGGUCGAAUGACUUGGUACGAGCGGAUAACGCUAAAGAAUUAUUGGCUACACUUGUUGUUAUAUCUGGAAUGCUUGAAAUGUAGUAAACUUUAACAAUAAAUCACCUGAUCCUGAAACUCACUUUUACAUUUUAGAAAAGCUCUUUAGACUGUAUAGCUUGUAAAAAUGCUAGAAAGCUAAGCCAUGAUUGGGUGAACGAAGGCAGGGUGUGGAGAGUAAACCUGAGUUAGGCUUUGUGAAGAUUAACUGUUAUGGGUCUUAUAUUGAGGGAACCAAACAUGCUGUAGUUAGGAUUGUGGCCAAAGAUGAAACAGGGGAGAUGAUUGCUUGCAGGGGUGUUGUGGUGCAAGCUAGAUCUGCAAAGGAGGCUGAAACACUUGCUGCUCAAAAAGCUUUGCAGUAGCCAAACAAAAAGCUGAACCAAGGUAGUAGUGGAGCUAAAUGGAGCUGUGGUAUACAAGGAUAUCAUCAAUUUCCCCAAGCAGUGCAGUUAGAGACUAAAGGAUGCUCGUACUGGGAUUCAAGAAGCUAUAGAUCAUUUUGAAUCGCCGAAUUUUAGUUGUAUUUCAUGAAAAGCAAAUGCUUGUGCCCAUUAGGUGGCUUUGCCAAAUUUGGGAUCUACAUCUGCAUCCCCCACCCUUGUUAUCACAUAUGCUUAUUUCAACCGUGAGCUGCUGGCCUAGAAAGAAAAAACCCCAUCGAGGACACACACAACAUACCCGAAUGCCAGUCUCUGACCUUCAGUGGCUGGUUUUUGAGCAUUGAUCUUUCGGAAUCUUGCCUAUAGAUAUCUCCAGAAUUUGGACAGAUCAUAGUCUUCCUUAUUGCUCCUUUCCACCUUUCCUUGACAACAAAGAAAAAGAAAAUGUGCUCUGAUAUGACGUGGGAGUAUGAAUAGAAAGAUGAACCGUGAACUUUGACAAGGAAGUUAGAUUUCAAAGGCUUAUAAUCUGCAGGGUUCAUUCAAAUUUAGUUGUCACAUUUGCCAGCUCGAUCACACCUGUUUUAAAUCCUAUUUUUUUGCAUCUUUACAGAAGCUGUUGUUGUUGGAAGUAAGAAAGCUUCUUCCUUUGACUAUGAAUAUAGACCUCGGUAAUUGACAUCGUGAUACAUUUAAUCUUUGAGAGCACAUCGCCAAAAGAAAAAACAGUUUAGAGCAUAGUAGUACUCCUACCAAUAAUAAAUAGCCUUUUGUUCUUCUUUUGUCAAGUUGCAAUAGAUGAACAUAAGCACAUCAGUUGCCUACCUCAGCACUGUUUGCAUUUGAUCCUCCUGAGAAAUUUUGCCAAAUAAAGAUGACAGUGGGAUAUUCAGCAAAACAAUCACAGUCGAGAGAAUUCAGGUUAGUGAGCUAGGAUAUAAAAAAUUAAAAAGAAGAUAAUUGGAAGAGAAAACAUAACAAAUACUGAAGUUGUGGACAAAUAACAAUAUAAGAGCAACAAUUCUUCAUGAUUCUCACGUGAAGCAUAGUGCAUCUCCAUAAGUGGAAAGAUAAGCAAUUUUUAGUCAUCAAACAGUUCAAGAUAUAUCAUCAAUACAGAGAGGCACAUACACGAAUCAUAAUUCCAGCAGUAUGAACAAGUCCAUAUAAGGACGCGCGGACCCUGGAGUGCCUUAACUUUGGCCAAAGGGACACUUAAGUGCCAUAACUAUGCUGUACCACAUUAGAAUUAUAACCAUUUCAUUGUGUGUUUCCUUGUCAAACAAAAUAGAGCAACCCAAAUGUCAACAUUGGACCUUCAGCAGCUGGUUUGUGGAAAUUUAGGUGAAUUUUGUCCAUGGAAAAAUAUUAACUCUUUAGCAUCGAAUUGAGGAUUCAGAAUAUAAAUGGAUCCUGAAGUAGCAACAGUAGCUAAAAGACACGUGUGCAAGAAAGAAAGAAGNNNNNNNNNNNNNNNNNNNNNNNNNNNNNNNNNNNNNNNNNNNNNNNNNNNNNNNNNNNNNNNNNNNNNNNNNNNNNNNNNNNNNNNNNNNNNNNNNNNNNNNNNNNNNNNNNNNNNNNNNNNNNNNNNNNNNNNNNNNNNNNNNNNNNNNNNNNNNNNNNNNNNNNNNNNNNNNNNNNNNNNNNNNNNNNNNNNNNNNNNNNNNNNNNNNNNNNNNNNNNNNNNNNNNNNNNNNNNNNNNNNNNNNNNNNNNNNNNNNNNNNNNNNNNNNNNNNNNNNNNNNNNNNNNNNNNNNNNNNNNNNNNNNNNNNNNNNNNNNNNNNNNNNNNNNNNNNNNNNNNNNNNNNNNNNNNNNNNNNNNNNNNNNNNNNNNNNNNNNNNNNNNNNNNNNNNNNNNNNNNNNNNNNNNNNNNNNNNNNNNNNNNNNNNNNNNNNNNNNNNNNNNNNNNNNNNNNNNNNNNNNNNNNNNNNNNNNNNNNNNNNNNNNNNNNNNNNNNNNNNNNNNNNNNNNNNNNNNNNNNNNNNNNNNNNNNNNNNNNNNNNNNNNNNNNNNNNNNNNNNNNNNNNNNNNNNNNNNNNNNNNNNNNNNNNNNNNNNNNNNNNNNNNNNNNNNNNNNNNNNNNNNNNNNNNNNNNNNNNNNNNNNNNNNNNNNNNNNNNNNGAUUGAUAUGGGCUGAUAACUCCUAAGAAUGAUUGCCUAGACCUAUUGGUAUAUUUGGAAAGCUCGAAAUGCAGUAACUUUUACCCAUAAAUAACCAGAUGCUAAAAAGUAUCACUUGCAUUGGUCAGAAAAGCACUUUUGGAGUUUGCUGCCAGUAAAAAUGCUAAGUCAAGAAUGGGUGGAUUAAAGGCAAGGUAUGUGGAGUAAACCUGAGACGAGGUCUUACUUAACUUGCUAUAGUUGGGACUAAGGCUAGAAAUGAAACAGGGGAGAUGGUUGCCUGCAGAGAGGAGGCUGAAUUACUUGCUGGUCGAAAGAGCUUUGCAGUGGCUAAACAAAAAAGCAGUGCAAUUGGAGACUAAAGGAAACUCUUGAUGGGAUUCAAGCAACUAAAAAUCAUUCUUUCAGCCCUGAAUUUUAGUUGUCUUUCACGAUACGGCGGUUUUUGGAAAUUCUAUGCGAAAUAACCAAAUGUUAGUCUCUGACCUUCAAUUGGUGGUUUCUGGAAAUUCUAUUCGACACUUCUCCAUGGGAAAACAAUUAAUUCCUAUAAAGCAUCGAAUUGAAGAACAUAAGCGAAAUUGAUGCAUUCAAGACCAAAAAGCUUACCCAAAUCCUAAGAAAACUGACUGCACAUCGAAGGAUGAAUCACGGCAGUUAGCAAAUUUUCACUUCAUUGGAUCCGAACCCAAUAAACGCACAUGUCAGGGAUUUCUUGGACUUCCAGAAGGUUACGUGAGACCUCUACAUGGGGAAAGUAUCGAUUUUUAGUAAGCAUCAAAUUGAGGAAGUAGAAUGAAAAUUGAUGCCUUCAAACCAAAACUUACUCNNNNNNNNNNNNNNNNNNNNNNNNNNNNNNNNNNNNNNNNNNNNNNNNNNNNNNNNNNNNNNNNNNNNNNNNNNNNNNNNNNNNNNNNNNNNNNNNNNNNNNNNNNNNNNNNNNNNNNNNNNNNNNNNNNNNNNNNNNNNNNNNNNNNNNNNNNNNNNNNNNNNNNNNNNNNNNNNNNNNNNNNNNNNNNNNNNNNNNNNNNNNNNNNNNNNNNNNNNNNGGAGAGAUGGUUGCAAAAGCCUUCCCACGUUCCUCUUAUGGUCAAUCCAAAGAGAGGUAAGAGAGGAAGGAAAGAGAAGACUCGAGGCAUCCUCCUCGUCCUCCUCCUCCUCCGAAGGAAACCGCACCUUCUCUCCCUCCCCUCCCAUGCUUCUUCCGUCAAUAUUUAAAAACGUGAGGGAUGUGAGCAAGGGUAAGCAAAAUGGGAAAUUGAUGCCUUCGAAACCAUAAACUUAGCCGAACCCUAGAAAACCUAACCGUACCUUGACCGUACCAAGACGAAUCAAUUCAUUGGAUCUGAUCGCCAUCAAUGUCGAUGAGAGGGAUCUCUUGGAUGAGGGGCCAAUAGUCGCCAACGUGUUUUGAGGCAUCAAUCUAGUAGAAUAUCGCAUCCACUUAUGUGCAAUCGGUAGAGGGAGGGAGGGAGGCCAACCUCUGAUAAUUCCUUCAACUUCGGGCAAUCUUCUAUCCAUAACUCUUGGAGAGAGGGGAGAUUGAUUGCGAAGGUCAUCUGAUAAUCUUUCCAUGUUCCUCAUAUUGUCAAUCCAAAAAGAGGGUAAGACAGGAAGGAAAGAGAAGAAUUCGAGGGAUCCUUCUCCUCCUCCUCUGAAGGAAACCUCACCUUCUCUCCCUCCCUCCCAUGCUUCUUCAAUCAAUAUUUAGAAACAUGAGGGAUGUGAGCAGGGGUAAGCAGAAUAGGAAAUUGAUGCCUUAGAAAUCAUAAAUUUACCCGAACCCUAGAAAACCUGACUGUACCAGGAUGAAUCAAUUCAAUGAAUCCGAUCGCAAUCAAUGUCGAUGAGAGGGAUCUCUUGGAUGAGGGGCCAAUAGUCACCGGUGUGUUUUGAGCAUCGAUCUUGUAGAAUCUUGCAUCCACUUAUGUGCAAUCGUUGGAGGGAGGGAGGGAGGCCAACCUCUGGCAAGUCCCUCAACUUGGGGCAAUCUUCAAUCCAUAACUCUUGGAGAGAGGGGAGAUGGUUGCGACGGCCAUUUGAUAGUCUUUCCACGUUCCUCAUAUGGUCAAUCCAAAGAGAGGUAAGAGACGAAGGAAAGAGAAGACUCGAGACAUAUUCCUCGUCCUCGUCCUCCUCGGAAGGAAACCGCACCUUCUCUCCCUCCCUUCCCAUGCUUCUUCCGUCAAUAUUUAGAAACGUGAAGGGUGUGAGCAGGGGUAAGCAGAAUGAGAAAUCAAUGCCUUCGAAACCAUAAACUUACCCGAACCCUAGAAAACCUGACUGUACCAUGAAGAAUCAAUUCAUUGAAUCCGAUCGCCAUCAAUGUCGAUGAGAGGGAUCUCUUGGAUUAGGGGCCAAUAGUUGCUAGUGUCUUUUCAGCAUCGAUCUUGUAGAAUCUCACAUUCACUUAUGUGCAAUCGUUGGAGGGAGGGAGGGAGGCCAUCCUCCGACAAGUGCCUCAACUUCGGGCAAUUGAGAAUCCAUAACUCUUGGAGAGACAAGAGAUGGUUGUGAAGGCCAUCUUAUAGUCUUUCCAUGUUCCUCAUAUGGUCAACCCAAAGAGAGGUAAGAGUGGAAGGAAAGAGAAGACUUGAGGCAUCCUCCUCGUCCUCCUCCUCCUCCAAAGGAAACCGCACCUUCUCUCCCUCCCCUUCAAUGCUUCUUCCAUCAAUAUUUAGAAACGUGAGGGAUGUGAGCAAGGGUAAGCAGAAUGGGAAAUCGAUGCCUUCGAAACCAUAAACUUACCCGAACCCUAGAAAACCAGACCAUACUAGGACGAAUCAAUUCGUUGGAUCUGAUCGCCAUCAAUGUUGAUGAGAGGCAUCUCUUAGAUGAGGGACCAAUAGUCGUCGGUGUGUUUUGAGCAUAGAUCUUGUAGAAUCUUGCAUCCAGUUAUGUGCAAUCAUCGGAGGGAGGGAGGGAGGCCAUGCUCUGGCAAGUGCCUCAACUUUGGGCAAUUGAGAAUCCAUAACUUUUCGAGAGAGGAGAGAUGGUUGCAAAUGCCAUAUGAUAGUCAUUCCACAUUCCUCAUAUGGUCAAUCCAAAGAGAGGUGAGAGAGGAAGGAUAGAGAGGACUCCAAGCACCCUCCUCGUCCUCCUCUUCCGAAGGAAACCGCACCUUCUCUCCCUCCCCUUCCAUGCUUUUUCCGUCAAUAUUUAGAAACAUGAGGGAUGUGAGCAGGGGUACGCAGAAUGGGAAAUUGAUGGCUUUGGAACUAUAAACUUACCCAAACCCUAGAAAACCUGACCAUAACAAGACAAAUCAAUUCAUUGGAUCUAAUCGCCAUCAAUGUCGAUGAGAGGGAUUUUUUGGAUGAGGGGUCAAUAACCGCCAGUGUAUCUUGAGCAUUGAUCUGGUAGAAUCUCGCAUCCACUUAUGUGCAAUCGUUAGAGGGAGGGAGGGAGGCCAUCCUCUAACAAGUCCCUCAACUUCGAGCAAUUGAGAAUCCAUAACUCUUGGAGAGAGGAGAGAUGGUUGCGAAGGCCAUAUGAUAGUCUUUCCACGUUCCUCAUAUGGUCAAUCCAAAGAGAGGCAAGAGGAGAAUGAAAGAAAAGACUUGAGGCAUCCUCCUUGUCCUCCUCAUUCGAAGGAAACCGCACCUUCUCUCCCUCCCCUCCCAUGCUUCUUCCAUCAAUAUUUAGAAACGUGAGAGAUGUGAGCAAGGGUAAGCAAAAUGGGAAAUUGAUGCCUUUGAAACCGUAAACUUACCCGAACCCUAGAAAACCUUACUGUACCAAGACAAAUCAAUUCAUUGGAUCCGAUCGCCAUCAAUGUCGAUGAGAGGGAUCUCUUGGAUGAGGGGUCAAUAGUCGCCAGUGUGUUUUGAGCAUUGAUAUUGUAGAAUCUCGCAUCCACUUAUGUGCAAUUGUUGGAGGGAGGGAGGGAGGCCAUCCUCUGGCAAGUGCCUCAACUUCAGGCAAUUGAGAAUCCAUAACUCUUGGAGAGAGGAGAAAUGGUUGAGAAGGCCAUCUGAUAGUCUUUCCACAUUCCUCAUAUGGUCAAUCCAAAGAGAGGUAAGAGAGGAAGGAAAUAGAAGACUCCAAGCAUUCUCCUCAUCCUCCUCCUCCUCCAAAGGAUACCACACCUUUUCUCUCUCCCCUCCCAUGCUUUUUAUGUUAAUAUUUAGAAAUGUGAGGGAUGUGAGCAGGGGUAAGCAAAAUGGGAAAUUGAUGGCUUCAAAACCAUAAACUUACCCGAAUCCUAGAAAACCUGACCUUCCCAAGACGAAUCGAUUCAUUGGAUCUGAUCGCCAUCAAUGUCGAUGAGAGGGAUCUUUUGGAUGAGGGGUCAAUAGUCGCCAAUGUCUUUUCAGCAUCGAUCUUGUAGAAUCUCGCAUCCACUUAUGUGCAAUUGUUGGAGGGAGGGAGGGACCUCAACUUCGGGCAAUAGAGAAUCCAUAACUCUUAGAGAGAGGAGAGAUGGUUGUGAAGGCCAUCUGAUAGUCUUUCCACGUUCCUCAUAUGGUCAAUCCAAAGAGAGGUAAGAGAGGAAGGAAAGAGAAGACUCGAGGCAUCCUCCUCGUCCUCCUCCUCGUCCGAUGGAAACCGCACCUUCUCUCCCUCCCCUCCCAUGGUUCUUCCGUCAAUAUUUAGAAACAUGAGGAUGUGAGUAGGGGUAAGCAGAAUGGGAAAUCGAUGCCUUUGAAACCGUAAACUUACCCAAACCCUAAAAAACUUGACCGUACCAGGACAAAUCAAUUCAUUGGAUCCAACCGCCAUCAAUGUCGAUGAGAGGGAUCUCUUGGAUGAGGGGCCAAUAGUUGCCGGUGUGUUUUGAGCAUCGAUCUUGUAGAAUCUCACAUCCACUUAUGUGCAAUCAUUUGAGGGGGGGGGGGAGGUAGGCCAUCCUCUAGCAAGUCCCUCAACUUCGGGUAAUCUUCAAUCCAUAACUCUUGGAGAGAAAAGAGAUGGUUGCAAAGGCCAUUUGAUAGUCUUUCCACGUUCCUCAUAUGGUUAAUCCGAAAAAAGGUAAGAGAGGAUGGAAAGAGAUGACUCGAAGCAUCCUCCUUGUCCUCCUCCUCCUCCGAAGGAAACCGCACCUUCUCUCCCUCCCCUCCCGUGCUUUUUUUGUUAAUAUUUAGAAACAUGAGGGAUGUGAGCAAGGGUAAGCAGAAUGGAAAAUCGAUGUCUUCGAAACCAUAAACUUACCCAAACCCUAGAAAACCUAACUGUACCAGGAUGAAUCAAUUCAUUGGAUCCGAUUGCCAUCAAUGUCGAUGAGAGGGAUCUCUUGGAUGAGGGGCCAAUAGUCGCCAGUGUGUUUUGAACAUCGAUCUUGUAGAAUCUCGCAUCCACUUAUGUGCAAUCGUUGGAGGGAGGGAGGGAGGGAGGCCAUCCUCUGGCAAGUGCCUCAACUUGGGGCAAUUGAGAAUCCAUAACUCUUGGAGAGAGGAGAUGGUUGAGGAGGCCAUAUGAUAGUCUUUCGACGUUCUUCAUAUGGUCAAUCCAAAGAGAGGUAAGAGAGAAAGGAAGAAGACUUUAGGCAUCCACCUCAUCCUCCUCCUUUGAAGGAAACCGCAUCUUGUCUCCCUCCCAUCCCAUGCUUCUUCAAUCAAUAUUUAGAAACAUGAGGGAUGUGAGCAGGGGUAAGCAGGAUGGGAAAUCGAUGCCUUAGAAACCAUAAACUUACCCGAACCCUAGAAAACCUGACCGUACCAAGACGAAUCAAUUCAAUGAAUCUGAUCGCAAUCCAUGUCGAUGAGAGGGAUCUCUUGGAUGAGGGGCCAAUAGUCGCCGGUGUGUUUUGAGCAUUGAUCAUGUAGAAUCUUACAUCCACUUAUGUGCAAUCGUUGGAGGGAGGGAGGGAGGCCAACCUCUGGCAAGUCCCUCAACUUCGAGCAAUCUUCAAUCCAUAACUCUUGGAGAGAGGAGAGAUGGUUGUGAACGCCAUCUUAUAGUCUUUCCAUGUUCCUCAUACGGUUAAUCCAAAGGGAGGUAAGAGUGGAAGGAAAGAAAAGACUCCAUGCAUCCUCCUUGUCCUCCUCCUCCUUCGAAGGAAACCGCACCUUCUCUCCCUCCCCCUCCCAUACUUCUUUCGUCAAUAUUUAGAAACGUGACAGAUAUGAGCAGGGGUGAGCCCCAUUCUCUCACUUGCUACUCUAGAUUCUCGCGCCCAGUAAUUACGAGGGUCUCUAAAUUGGGAGGCAAACCUCCUUCAAGCAAGCAUUUGAAAUUUUGGCAAAGUACAAUAUGUAGGUACUCGAGGGAUGUAAGAUGAUGCCACUGAUUUGACAAAGACUUUAUCUUUGGACAAUCAUUAAGUUCAAGAGACGACAAGGAGAUGGGAAGGGGAGGGAAAUUCUUUAUCUCCAAUGAUGGACACUCGCUAAUAUUCAAAAUAGAGAGAUUGCUAAAUCUGGCAAUAGAUUUUAUCUUUGAACAUCUCUCAAGCAUGAGAACUGAUAGGGUGAGGGGAAGGGCAGGAAAGUCCUUUAUCUCCAGUGCUGGGCAAUCACUUAUAUACAAGUGAGUGAGAUGGGAGAGCAUGUGAAGGCAUUGCGGUAGGCUUCUUAGAUUCUCACAACUGUCAAUACUCAAAUAUUCAAGCAAUUCUAUGGUGAUCUCUUCCAAUGACUCCACUCCCUUGCACUCUUGAAUAGAAAAUUUCUUCAAAGUAGGAAGUCUACCUUUGGCUAAGGGAAAAGAUGUUUGAAAAUCACAUUUACUUGUACAUGAAGAUUGAAGUUGAGACUUAGGGUUGUUGCUGUUAGGGUCAUAUGAAGAAAUGGUUGGUCUUAUGAGUUUUGGACACCAACGAAUAGACAAAUAACUGAGUGUGUACAUCUUGCUUGGAAGCUUUUCUAACUGGUGCAAUUACUCAAUUCCAUCUUUUCAAGGUUGCAUGGUAGCUCUAUUUCUCUUUCUCCCGCCACUAAUGAUGUGAACUGAGGACAACAUACGAUGGUUAAUUCCUAGAGACAAGUGAGAUUUAGCAUUUCAUUUCCAUCUUGCCACAAGUAUUUUAAUUGGUCAUACCCUCCUAUAUGAAGCUCCUUUAGCUUGGUCAAGUAGCUCAUAAAACCAUGAUCAAAGCAAACAAGCUCUACAAUAUUCUUAAUUGUAAGAAUGGUCAAAGAAGUUAGGUUGACCAAGCUCUUCAAGAUCUCCUUGUUACAAUCCUCAAGGAACAACUCACGGAGAGAUGGAAGACAAACAUUGGUUAAGUUUUCCAAAUGCAGACAUGAAUGAAUUUCAGGCUUUAUAAGACGACCAAGUCGAUCAGGCAAUGUCCUGACCAACGAAGGAUAAAGUCGGACAACAAGAUGUUGAAGACAAAAGAAUAAUACUUCUUCUUCUAAUCCCUCUGCAUAACAAGACCAAUCCUUCCAUGUCAACAUCUCUUCAAACUUCAAAGUUGUUAAGGAUGAAAAAUGCCUCUUGCCUCCAUAGAAUUUAGAGCCUAACCUUCCUAUUGCAUAGAGACCUUUAAGAGAAAAUUCCUUAAGUGAAGGUAGUUGCCCAAUCAUAGGCAGCGACACAAUAUUAGGAUAGUCCCACAAGCAUAAAGACAUUAUUUUAGAAUAUGUACAAUCUAACCAUGAUGGAAAUCUUGCACCACCAUAGUUCAAAAUAGUGAGAUUUUCAAGAUUAGUGUGAGGUUGCGGAAAGUCAAGCACUUGUGCUUCAUGCUCAUGAUUAUGGAGAUUUCCCAAAUGUUUAUCUCAAUGCAAGGAUAAGUUGGCAAGGUCUAACUUUCGAAGCAAAAUAGCAUCGAUUGUAUUGAUAACUUUUUCCACCUUUUGCAAUUCUAAUAUGAAUAAUUCUCCUUCAAGAUGUGGCAAGUUUUUUUUUAACUCUUUCAACUGCGGCCCUUUCUCUCGUCCUACCACAAAUUUGGACAAGAUAAUAAAAUUAUUUAAAUUACCGAUACCCAAUGGCAUUUCUUCUAGACUCACUAUAUCUCUAAUAUCAAGAAAUUGUAAGUUGACUAACUUUGUGGUACCUUGAGGCAACUUUGAAAGACUAUUACAACCUCUUAAGAUCAGAGCUUGUAAUUUGCACAGGCCGACAAUUGACUCAGGUAGCCUCUUGAUAAAAGUGUACGAGAAAUUGAGAUAUCGAAGAUUUUUUAGAUGACCAACACAAUUUGGUACCUCUAUGAUGUCAUAAUGACAUGGCGAGAAUACUCUCAAGUACUUCAAGUUUGUUAGCAAGUCAUUUAGCGCCACGUUGGAAAUAGACAAAAAGUCCCCACUAGAUCCAUCACGCACUAGAAUUAAACUUCUUAGAGCCUUCAUUCCUUGAUAUGGUUUCAGGCAUUUUGAUUUUGAUGUAACAUGCCACGAUGGGAUGAAUGAUGCAUAACGAGUUUUUAUAUUACUUUCCACCUGAGACCCCCCUAAGCUAAAGCAAGUCCCUCUUGCAAUUGACUUUGCUAGAUCAUUCAAAAGAUCAUGCAUUGAAAACUUAGAUGUGUCGAUACUUGAUUGUUGAAGAAAUGACCUAGAUACUAACUCAUCAAAGUGCCUCUGUCCCAAUUUCAAGAUAUUCUUAUUUGUGCUAUCCACAAGAGUACCAACCCGUCCCUCUCAAUUUCAUAAUCCUUAGGAAAUACCGCACAAUAAGCAAAAUACCUCUUCAAAUAGGAAGGAAGAUGGACAUAGCUCAAUUUUAAAACUGGGAGAACCUCAUCAUUCUUUGCCAUUGGAAGAUCCCAUAUUUUGUUAUUUAAGGUAUCUUGCAAUUCCUCAAUAGUUAUUUUAGUACGUAGGACACCGCCGAACAUCUUCGCUGUUGAAGGUAAAACCUUUACAUCUUUCAGCUAUUUUCUGACCUAUUAUUUCAAAGGCCAGGUUGCUCUAAAAAUUUGUUGCUCCAAGAGCAUGAAAGGCCAAUAAGCUUUUACAAUUAUCAAAGGACAAUUCCCUCAAAUGAUACGACAAAGCUCCCGUUAUGGAAGCAACUUCAAGGUUGCGAGUCGUGAUCAUGAUCUUGCUUCCCCUAGCCCCCGCUUCAAAUGGCUUUAAGAGAGCAGUCCAUUUUUUGUACUUCUCAUUCCAGAUGUCGUCUAAAACCACAAGAAACUUCUUCAUGGAUAGACUUUUAUUCAACUUAACUUGAACCUCGUUAAGAUCUUUGCCCUCAUUGGACAACCCGAUGAUCGAACGCAAAAUAGUCUUUGUUAUGUCAAGGACAUAAAAAAAUCUAACACACAAACCCAUGCUUUCUUCUCAAAACAACUAUUCACUUUGGCAUCAUUAUAUAGCCAUUGAGCCAAGGCUGUCUUUCCAACGCCACCCAUCCCCACUAUGGGGACUAUGCCUAGUCUGGCAUCAGAAUUUUUGACCUCAUGGAUCAAUAGUUUGAGUAUCUCCAUCUCUUCCUUCUCCCUACCCAAAAAUUGAGGCUCCGGCAAAGAACUAGUGGGAUCCCUUCUGUUGAUGUAGUUGGAUUUGUCCAUAACAUUCUCUCUCAAGCUUAGACCGGCCCUCUUGUUGACAAGCGCUUCCAACCUACCAUUGAUCUCUUGGAGCUUGGUGUCAGACACGAGCGAGCUCAGUUGUGUAAAAGCAAGGAACUUCCUUUUCCAUUGACCUCUACUUGUGCUGGAUUCUACCUCCAACUUAGCUUGAGUGUCUUUGAUCUUGAACUCCUCGAGCAAGUCUUCUAUGUCAAAGGCCAAGUUCCUAACAUCGUCCAACCAUAGCUUCACUUGAUCAUUAUCGCUAAGUUGCUUUUCCUCUACAUCAUCCAGCACUUCAUUGAUUGUGACUAGCAUCCUCUUCCACUCAUCAAAGAUGGUGGUGCCAGUUCCAUCCCGUUGCACAAAGUCUGAUGCAAAGAACUCAACUUAUCGAACAAGACUUGAAAGAAGGAACCCAAAAUGAUUUCUCCAAUGGCAUGGUUGAAUUAGUCACUAUAGAAAACAACAAAAGUUAUGGUGAAGCAAAGUGAUAAUGGAGCUAAUGGAGAGAGAAAACUAGUGAUAAUGAGCUAAUGGAGGGAGAAAACUAUGAAGUUUGGGAAGAUCAAGACUAGGGGUGUGCAAGGUCUGGGCAGACGCUUCCCGACCUAGAACCAGAAACCGCCCGCUAAGGACCGGUUCCGAAAAAUUGGAACCGGGAUCCACCUGUUUGUUGCAUAGAUCCACUCGAGAACCAAACAGCCGAUUUGGUCCGGUUCCCGGGUGGAUCCAUGGAACCGAUCUUGACGCGAAGGUGAGCUGUGGCAUCGUGGUGACGGGCGAGUGGGCAAAGGGCACUCACGACUGCUAGCACGGUGGUUGGCGCGGAGGCGAGCUGUGUUGUUGUGGGUCACUAGGGUUUUGACGUCGGGCGGUGGACGAGCUCGAUAGAUCGGGCUACGUCCGUCCGCCUCGCGCAACUCCGAGCCGAGAUCCUUGGGAAACCGACCCCAUAUCGGAAAAGUCGAGAACAAAAGGGGAUGAAAUCUUCCGUGAUUUUGACGCGAAAGAGAAGUUGGGGUGGGUCGUCAGCUACGGUUCAAGCAUGGUGGUCGAUGGGGGCUCUCUCCCUCACACUCUACCCUUACUUGCAACUCUCAGAUCUCACUUGAUCUCCCCCUCUCUUUUCAACGUCUCACAGAUCUCUCUCUCUCUCUCUCUCUUUCUCUCUCUCACACAUCAUCUCUACUUGACCUCCCUUCAUCGAGCUCCAGGAGGCCCUAUUUAUAGGCUGGAGGGUCCAAUCGACAGAGGCAUUUCCGUUGCUGGUCCUGGGCAUGCCGACCGGCCUCCCUCUUGGCCGAACCGGUGUCUCAGCCUAUCUUCUUCGCGUAGGCCUGCUCGGCAUCGAAGGCGUCCGCCAAGACGUCCCCUCCGUCUCGGUUUCUCGCCGGAUCUCGCGCUGCUCCAUUCGGCGGCAUUGAUGACUCCUGCGAGGCAUCCCCUCCGUCGCUGGUCUACCCUCCUCUCUCUCUGCCCUAGGUCAUCUUGCAUGCCUUUAGUCUUCACCGAGCGUGGUGUCCACUGUUUAGCACGAGGAAGGAAGGAGGAAGAAGAAGAGGAGAGGGCCAAACCGCGAAAAAGAUGAAAAAUGGAUUGGGCGCAACCCGCGUGAGGGAAAAUGGAUCGGUUUCGCUAGGGUUUGUUUUAGUAUUUUUUUAAUAUGAAAUAUUAAUCAGUCCGGUCUGGGUAGGCGGGCGGGCGAAUCCGCUCAUGGAACUGGGAACCGGACCGGUACCCACUGGUUCCCAUAAAUUGGUACCGGGAACUGGACCAGUUCCCUCAAGAACCGCCGGUUCCGGGAGGUCCGGGCGGUUCCCGGGUAUUUUGCACACCCCUAAUCAAGACUUUCACCUACCAAAGACUUUAAAUAAAAACCAAGACUUCCAAGGUUGUGUAUAGAGCUGCCAAAAUGGGUCAUAAACCCAUAUUAUGACCCAUUUUUAGUUAAAUGAGUCAUAUAUGGGUCAAGUAAAAGUUAAAUAUGGGUCAGAAAUGGGUCUGAGAAAGUAAAGCAUAAAAAGAAAUGAGUCUAGAUGAGUUAUCAGGAAACCCAUUUUCAACCCAUGGCCUUCUUUAACUUUAUAAAAUGUUUUUUUAAUAAAAAAUCGAAAUUUCAAUUUUUUUUUUCAUAUUUCAACUUUUUUUUCUUUUCUUUUUUCUUUCUUUUUCUUCCUUCCUUCCCCGCUCGACGCCAGCGAGCUUGAUCUUGCCUAUGGCCGGUCGUUGGUCGUCCUUGUGGCCAACGGCCGGCCGAAGAAGAAGACAAAAUAAAGAGAAAAGAGAAAAAGAAAAAAAUAAUUAUUAAAAUUAGAAUAUAUUUUAAAAAAUAUUUAAAAAUUAUAUCUCAAAAAAUAAAAAUAAAAGUCAUUUUUUUAAUAUUUUAAAAAGAAUUAUAAAAAAUUUCCAUUAAAUUUGUAUUGCAUAAAAAUUGUUAAAAAUUUGGUAUUGCAUAAAAAUGUUUUAACAAUACUUUUUUUUUUAUAAAAAAAUCAUAAAAAUGAGCUUUUUUAAGUUUAGUUAAAAAAAUUUCAUGUUAUAGCUUUUAGUUAUUCAAUGGUAUGUUCACUUCAAAUAAGAGAAGCAUGUGCAUAGUCUAAUUCUUUAGAAAUAUUUCAAUUUAUAGGUUUUUUUAAAAAAAAAAUUAAAUUUUAUUUACUUUUUUAAUUUAAUUUGAAGUUUUAAUCCAAUUAGCAUAUAGUAGAAGUGGGUUUUCCUAAAAUAUUAAUAGGUUUUAGCAAUACGGGUCAGGUCGGGUAUGGGUCGGGUCUGGUAUAGGUUAUUUGAUUUAUACUACAUGAAUAUGAGUCAAAACAGGUUAAAUUGAUCAAAUAUGGGUCGAUCCAUUUUCGACUCGACCCAAACCAGACCUAAUCUAUCCAUUUGACGGGUCUAGUUGUGCAUAAGAGGUUAGACAAAUCUGAAGAAAAUACUUUUUGUCCACAAGUGCUUGUUUCAUAAUAUAUAAAGAAUAUUCCCUCAUACUUUAUUAGAUAUCAUGUGCUUUUUUGUUUGGAAAGUGAAGCGAAAGUGAAAAAGCGCUAAAGGGAAAGAAACUUAAGAGAUUUCGGGAAGACCAAUAAUUUGCGGCACGCAAAUUGGAGUUUGUUGUUUCACUUUUCACAUGUCUCUACUUCCAUAUGUGAACAUCUUUUUUUCCUAUUAAUUGUUGAAUUUCCAUGCGUUACAUUAGAUCUAAUUUUUAUUUUGUUUGAAAGAAAUAUUAUGCCAAUAAUCAUCCAUUGCUACUUUCUUACUUAAAAUUAAAAGUACUAUAAUUUUCGUCCAACUCUUUUCACGUUGAAUCUAUGUGAUUUUACAUUCAUUUUGUCUCUAUUUUCCUUCUAUGUUAAAAUUAUGUAUAGAUUUUCAUGUAUCUUUUGAAUUUUAUUAAAAUAAUAAAAAAUAAAAAAUGAAAAGCUAAAAAGAUUAUAAAAAAAAAAUGCAGGAAUGGGGGGCAAGAGCGAGUGCCACUGAUCUUACAGCUACUACCACACCAUUGUUGUUAGCACCACUGCUGGGACUACUCAUUCCAACGCUACCACCACCGUCGCAGCUGGCACAACUAGUCACACCAACCAUCAGAGUCAAUUACCUUUAUUUACUUAAUAACCGACCUAACUUGAUAUUUACACCAUAAAGAAUGAAUUUUUAGGAUUCACAAUUUCUCACAAGCACCGUCAAAAGUUGGAUUUCAUAUGGAGUCUACCUCCCAAUAGUGGAUGUGAGCUGAACUCACACACUUCGAGUUCAUUUAACAAUCUUUCCCUCGUCCAAUGUUUAAGAUUAUUCUUGUAGCUCCUACGACUCCAUCAUAGCCUCGAUUGUCGUCUCUAGCGAAGUCAUCAUUGGCCACUGUGCUCCAGUGCCAUCAUCGACGGAGUUCAUCUGUCCUCGACAGCGAGGGCAAGGAGGUGGAGAAAAGCGGAUGAAGGAGAGAGGUGAUCGUCUGAGAGUGAGACAGCUGAGAUUUAAGGCAGAGGCAUAGGGAUGACGUGAAUGACGAUGGUGGCGAGCGACCGUGGUAGCGUGCAAAAUCUCUUAAGGUCUGAGCAUUCGGUGGACAACGAGCACGUAUCGAACAGUUAAAGGGAUAAAGACAGGAGAUGGGCACUCGACGCGAUGACAGAAAAGACGAACUUGCUUAGAGAAGUGCUCUUAUCUUGGACCCACCCGUCCUUAUCAUUUCAAUGUUUUUAUUUUCGACGAUGGCUAUUCGCAUGAAUGAUAUAUUAAUCUCCUUCUGGUGGAACAAAAGCUGCUGUUGAAAAUAUCCGAACAAAAGCUUUCACAAAUUUCAAAUAUUUGCUAGUACCAGAGGUGCAAAAUAAUUAUCUUCACCUCUUCUUUUGCAGUCGUUGACAAACAGGUGUGAUUGGGCUGUGAAACAGUCCCCCACGCUUGAAUCCAAGGCCCGGUAAGCUCCAAGCUCCAAAUCUCCUGCAAGUUAAAUCAGGAUUCACCAACCGAAAAAAAGAAAAAAAGAAAAAAAGAUCAGGAUUCAAAAAUUCAUGCAGACGAUAAAUAAGAGACAGCCUUCGCUGUGUUUUUUUGCCGCGAACGGCAUGUUAAUGAUAUAUUUGAGAAUAGUGUCCCUUUUUCAAUAGUAUAUAUAGAUGAUAUAUAUAUAUAUAUAUAUAUAUAUAUAUUCAAACAUAUAGAAGCAUUUUAAGCAUUUCAAAUUUUUUUUAUUAAGUAUGAUAGAUUAGUAUUUUUAGCACCAAGUAUGAAAUUAUUGUAAACUAAAGCAAGAUUUUUAGGACUCGAUAUAUGUCAAAACACUAUUAAACCUAUUAAUAAAGCUAUAGACUUUGCAAAUAACUUUCCUGGUGAUAUUGAAAAGCAAAAAAUUCUAUUGCAGAGAUUCUUAGGAUGUUUCAGAGUCUUAAAACCUUAUGUACACCUUUAUGCUUGUAAACACCGAUGCUUCGAAUAUGGGAUAUGGAGGUGUAUUGAAACAAACGAUGGAUUCAAAUUCUAACGAAAAAUGUAGGUAGAUUAUAUCCCGGAGUUUGGAAUAGGCCUCAAAAUAACUCUUCUAUUAUUAAAAGAAAGAUAAUGUCCAUUAAUUGUUGCGUUAAAAAUUUCAAGGUCAUUUUUAAACAAGUUUUUUUUUUCCUAAUGAAUUGAUUGCAAAGCACCAAAAGAAGUUUUGCCAAUAUGUUAACGAUGGAGCCUGCCAGAGGGGCACAGGAUUAGUCAAAAAGAAAUUUUAAAAUUGAUGUCUCAAANNNNNNNNNNNNNNNNNNNNNNNNNNNNNNNNNNNNNNNNNNNNNNNNNNNNNNNNNNNNNNNNNNNNNNNNNNNNNNNNNNNNNNNNNNNNNNNNNNNNNNNNNNNNNNNNNNNNNNNAAAAGAAAACAUUAAACCAGCUGUAAAGUAUAUACACAUGUCAAAGUAUGAAGUGCUAAUGACGCGUUCUGGGACCAAAUUAGAUUAGCGCAUUUGACGAUUUUCUUUUUGUUGUGGGGAAAUACAUUGGUUCAAGUAUGCCAAGUUGAGUUCUAAGGUUUAAGUAAUAUUUGGAAACAAUCAACCACAGAAAUAGUUCAUUUUAUUCCAAUUCCUAAUUUUUUUUUUUGAUACCCAGGGAACCCCGUCAGCCGUUCGUCGCUCCAAUUCCUAAUUUUAAUUUACAUGUAAUCUGAAAAUAUGUGCGCAGUGUCUUCAUCCGUGCGUAGCACGUGUAUGAAUAUUAGUAAUCUAAUAUAAUUUAAUAUCUCAUAAUUAAUUGACCUCAUUAAUUGGGUUCAUAUCUAAAUAGAUUUUAGAUUAAAUCUUCUGUUUUUUUAAUUAAUAACUUUUAGGAAAGGGAAAGUAAUAAUUGAUAGGGCUCAUAAAGGAGGACUGACCAACGAUUUCAACUAUUGCUCGUGUUUGUACUUGUUAAAUUGAGUCUUUUAAUUUAGGAACUCAUGAGCAACAGUUGAAAUUGUCGACAACUUAUUGAACUUUUUUUUAUCAUUUUGCUUAGUUCUGUCUUAUUUAAAGCAGGAAGAGAGAACUAUUUAGCUCAGGAAGACCAAGACAUCCACCUACCAAAAACAUCAAAAAAAGACCAAGACCAAGACCAAGAUUUUUUUUUUCUUUUUUGGCAUCUGUACAUUCUUAAUAAUCUUAUAAUUCAAUGUCUUCAUUUGAUGCAUUAUUGGUGAAUAUGCUAUCAAUGUAGGCUUUUACGUGGCAGUUACCGUGCUAAAGAUUGUAGCAAGAUGGGUAGCAAUGAUCUACUGAAGGGUGCUGAAGUAGUAGUUGAUGAUCGAAAACCGCAUGAUAGUAGAAUCAUGGUCCUUUCCAUGAUUUUACCAUUCACAAGUGUGAUGCCUAGAGUAUAUCUAGUAGAUUGUACACUGUUAGUUGGCGAUGCCAGACCCUUGUUCUUGUCUAGUGAUGAAUGAAGUUGACCACAAUUAAUAGGACUAACAUAUAAGCAUCUUUGUGCAACUUGCACCAAUUGAAGUAAAUAUAAACAAUCCACCUAACAAUGGCAUCUUACAUUCAAUUAUAUAUCUGUAAGUCAUCAAAGACAACUAACUUUGACCGUUCGAUAAUGAGAGUAGAAACACAUGAUUUGGGUUAAACCAUGAAAAUAGUCGGGUACACCAAUGAAUCCAUGAAGCAAUUUGCUUAAUUUUACUUUGGAAAUAGUAAACAAUUCAUUUAUCACCAACUAAUCAUCAAGCAAAUGAUUUGGUUAACUUUUUCUUUUCAAAGGACCACAAUUCUCCUAUCAAGCGCUCCACGAUCAUCAACAAUUGCUUCAGUACCCUUCAACAGAUCAUUCCUACCCAUUUUGUUGCAAAUUUUUAGCGCUAUGGAUACCAUGUGAAAGAUAUACUCAAAAAAAAAAAAAAAACCAACAAAACAUUGGUAAGAUAAAAAAAUUUAUGAAGAUAUGCUUGCCAUCUAAGGGUGAAUCAAUAACCGUAGAGUCAAUCAAGGGUUAUGUUGAAGCAAAGUGAUAAUGAGUUGAUGGAGAUAGACAACUUUAAAGUCCCGGAAGACCAAGACUUUCACCUACCAAAGAGUUUAAACAGAGACCAAGACUUUCAAGGAUGCUUUCUGUCCACAAGUACUUUGUUCAUGCAGAUAAACCAUAAACUCAAGAAGGCCAAGACUAUAUUGGACAUCAUGUACCUGUUUGUCUAUAAAGUGAAGCAGAAGCGAAAGAGAGCAAAUGAAAAGAUAGAGUUUGCAGGAUGCAAAUUGACAUCGUUACAUCACUUCUCACAUCCUUCCUCUUUCAUCCCUAUGUGAAUGCCUUUGUUUUGCCAUUACUAGUAGAAUUUCCCCAUGCAUUACAUGCCAUGCUUAAAAAUUUACUGUUACUAUUAUUUUUGUCCUACUCUUUUCUUGCUUAAUCGUACCGUGAUUUUUUAUCAAUAAUCUCUCUAGUACUUGUCUAAUGAAUAAUGUCUAGAUUUCAUGUAUCUUUCCAAAUUUAAGUUCAAUAAAAGAAAAAAAAGCAAAGACAAAAAUAAAAAUAAAAAACAGCAAGAACUUGAAAAGGGAAAAAAAAGAAGAAGAAGCGAGAAUGGGGCGGGAGAGCGCAUCACCGUCCCACGGCCACUGCCCACUCGUUGCCAUCAGCACCGCUCUUUAUAGUCACCUCCAUAGGCAACAUUUCCUUCAGAUGUUUUUCUUAGAGCGGUUUAUUGGUAAGAGGCAUUUAGGUAUUCUCGAAACAUGCAUGUUCAAGUCAAUUAUUGCAUGUAAAAAUGAAACUGUUUUGAUGAUUUUGCUAAUCCUAAAUAGACUUCAUGAUUUUGUUAACGCAGAACUAUAGGGGACCACUGAACACCAGCGAUGGUGGCCUGACGGUACGAACUGAUAUUCCACAAACGCGAGGUCACGAUGUCAAUCCAUCAGUGCCUAUAUCUUGCCUUCCCGUGAUGGGAGCUCUGGCAGCUUGGUGUUGGAUGAAGAGACUUGGCUACCCGAGAUAACUAGGUUGCGAGUGGUAUUGGACGAUGACCUUCUCGCGAUCUGAAAUAUUUCAAGGCAGACGUGAAACUUUUACAAUUACUCAAAAUGGUAACAGAGCAUAGUCUCCUUGAUUGCUCCUCUCGGUCUUUCCUUUGCGACAAAGAAAAAGAAAAUGUUCUCUGAGAUGGCGUGGGAAGUUAAAUAGAAUAAAGAUGAACUGUUAACUUCAACAAGGAAAUCAGAUUGAAAUGGAUUGUAAUCUGCCAACUCGAAAACCCCAAUUUCUGCAUCUCUUCAGUCGCUGCUGUUGUUGGAGGUACGAAAGCUGCUUCGUUUGACUUUGAAUGUAGACCUCGAUAAUUGACAUCGUGAUACAGAUAAAUCUUUUAGAGCAUGUCACCAAAAAAAAAGUAUAGAGCAUAUUAGUACAACUACCAAAAUUAGUAGCUUUUUGUUUUUCUUUUGUCAAGUUGCAAAAGAUGAACGUAAGCACAUCAGUUGCCUACCUCAACAAUGUUUGCAUUUGAUCACCGGGAGAGAUUUUGCCAAAUGCAGAAGACGGUGGGAUAUUCUACAAAGCAAGCAUAGUUGAGAGACAUCAGGUCAAUGAGCUAGGGCCUAAGAAAAAGAUAUUUGGAAGAGAAAAUACAACAAACGCCGAUAUUGCAGAAAAAUAUCAAUACAAGAGCAACAAUUCAUGAUUCUCACGCAAAGCAUAGUGCAUUUCCAUAAGUGGAAAGAUAAGCAAUUUUUGGGCAUGAAACAAAGUUCAAGAUAUAUCAUCAAUAAAGAUAGGCACAUCCAUGCAUCACAAUUCCUGCACUGAAAGCAAGUCCAUGUACGUAUUAUUUGUUUUGAGAACAAAGAUUAGACAUUGGAGAGACAUCUUCUUAUUGAAUCCGAACUCAAUCAAUUACGAUGAGUGGGAUUUCUUGGAUGAGGUGCCAACAGUCGCCGCAGAGUUUUGAGCACCGAUCUUUCAGAAUCUCUCAUUGAAUUAUGCGGAAUACAUGGAGGGAGGGAUGGAAGCUGUCCUCUGUCAAGUACCUCAACAUCCAGCAACUAUAAAAUAUAUGACCGUUUGAGGGAGGAGAGAUGCCUGCGAAGCCCACUUGAUAGUCUCUUCACGUUCCUCAUAUUUUUCAUCCAAGGAGAGGUUAGAGAGGAAGGAAAUAGGAGGCUCCACGCAUCUUAUGUCCUCCGCUAUUGAUGGUUCUUCCACAUUUUUCAUAUUUCUUAUCCAAAAUCCUAGAAGAGGACAAUUAAUUAGUCCUGAAUAAAAAUUACUUCCAUGCAUAAUGAACAACUUUGAGAGUGAUCAGACAAAAAGAAUUAUAUGCAUAUCCACCCGACAGCAACAAAAAAAGAACAGACAAGAUAAGAACCAGGAUCCUUCGCUUUCCUUUUCUCAGCAAUUAGUGACCCUUUGGAUGAUUUUUUUUUUCGCUGAAUAAUUCUUACAAUUAUGUUAGCACACACGUAUGGGAGACACUAAUCACCAGUGAUGGUGACUUAUCAGUUCAGGCAUGAUAUUCUACGAAUGUGAGGUCAUGAGAUCAAAUGAUUAGUGCAGGUUGAUAACUCUUAAGAAUGAUUGCCGUCACCUGGCGUAACUAGAAAGCUCCGAAUGCAGCAACUUUUAACCAUAAAUCACCAGAUCCUGAGACCAUCAGUAAUACAGAUAAGAAAAACAAUUUUGCAGUGUGUUGCCUGCAAGAAUAUAAGAGAGCUAUGUCAUCAGUGGAUGAAAGGCAAGGCGUGUAGUAAAACCUAAGCUAGGUUCUGUGAAUAUCAACUGCGAUGGGUCUGACAUUAAAGAAACGAAACAUGCUGUUGCUGGGAUUGUUGGGAAGAUGGAAUUGGAAUUUGAGGCAUGAAUACACUGUCUUUAAGAAACAAACUAUUUACUAAAGCACUUUUUCUAUGUUUUAUGAACAAACUAACAACAGGCAUUGUGGCCACAAAUUAGGCAGGGGACAUGGUUACCCGCAGGGAUGUGGUGGUGCUAGUUAGAUUUGCAGAGGAGGCUGAAUUACUUUUUGUUGGAAAGAGCAUUGCAGUGGCAAAAGAGAAGCUGGCCCAAGGUUGUAGUGGAGAUAGAUGCAGCUGUGGUAUCCAAGGAUAUUAUCAACUUUCGCAAGCAGUACAACUAAAGACUAAAGGAAGCUCCUGCUGGAAUUCAAGCAGCUAAAGAUCAAUUUUCAGCUCUAAAUUGUAGUCGUAUUUCGUGAAAAGCAAAUGUUUAUGCCCAUUGGGUAGCUUUGCAUACUAGGAAGAGGACGUGUUGUCAAAAUUGGAAGUAAUGGAUGAGUACUGAGUUUGUUUGCUAGACCAAAAAAAAACCCAACGAAUUGUCAUUCGUUGACCUUAGAGGGUUGUUUUUGGAAAUUCAUGGGAAUUAUCUUUAUGACAAAAUAUCAAUUUGUAUUACGCAUCGAAUAGAGGAGGCAGAAUCAAAAUUUAUGCCUUCAAAACCAAAAACUUACCCUUAAUCCGAGAAAACUGGCGGUGCAUGGAAGAAUCAAUUCAUUGGAUCCACACCCAAUCUAUCUCGAUGAGAGGGAUUUCUUGGAUGAGGGGCCAAUAGUCACCAGUGAGUUUUGAGCAUCUAUCUUUCAGAAUCUCACAUUUCUCUAUGUACAAUUCUUGGAGGGAGGGAGGGAGGCCAUCCUCUAGCAAGUACCUCAGCUUUGGGCAAGAGUCGAUCCAUAAAUGUUUGAGAGAGGAUAGAUGGUUGAGAAGACUGCUUGAUAGUCUUUCAACAUUCCACAUAUUGCAAAUGUGAAGAUACAAUAGAGAGGAAGGAAAGAGAAGACUCCAUGCAUCCCUGUCCUCCGAAGGAAACCAUACCUUCUCUCCCUCCCCUCCCAUGCAAAAGUCAAUUAACAUACACCAGAGGGAUGUGAGUAGGUGUAAGCCCCAUUCUCUCAUUGGCUGCUUUAGAUUCUCGCACCCUCUUAUUAAAAGGCGAUGCAAAUUGGGAGGCAAACCUCCUUUGGGGAAGCAUUUGAUAUUUUGGCAAUCCUCAAUGAAUAGCGUCUCGAGGGAUGUAAGAUGAUGCCACUGAUUUGGUAGAGACUUUAUCUUCGGACAAUUACUAAUUAUAAGACACGACAGGGUGAUGGGAAGGGAAGGGAAUUCAUCUAUCUCCAGUGCUGAACAAUUACUUAUAUCCAAAUGAGCAAGAUGGGAGAGCGUGUGAAGGCACUGUGGUAGGCUUCCUAGAUUUGGACAGCCAUCAAUUAUCAUUUCUUUGAGUGAUUCUAUGAUGAUCGUUUCCACCGACUCCACUCCCUUGCACUCACAAAUACAAAGUUUCUUCAAAGCAGUAAGUCUAUCAUUGGCAAACAAAGACGAUAUUAGAGAAUCACAAUUUACAAUCCGCAGAUACUCAAGUUGAGAUAUCGGGUUAUUGUUGUUAGGGUCAUCUAGAGGAAUGGUUGGUCCCAAGAUUUUUGGACACCUCCUAAUGAUCAAAUGUUUGAAUGUGUGCAUCUUGCUUGGAAGCUUUUCUAAACUUAUGCAAUUACUCAAUUCCAUCCUUUCAAAGUUGCACGACAACUCUAUUUCUCCUUCUCCUGCCACAAAAGAUGUGAAUCGAGGGCAGCUUUCAAUGGCUAAUUCUUGAAGGCAAGUAAGAUUUAGCAUUAUAUUUUCAUCUUGCCACAAGUAUAUAAGCUUGUCACACCGUUCUAUAUGAAGAUCCUUUAGCUUGACCAAGCACCUCAUAAACACAUGAUCAAAGCAAACAAGCUCGGCAAGAUUUUCAAUUUUGAGAAUGGUCAAAGAAGUUAGGUUGACCAAGCUCUUUAAGAUUUCCUUGUUACAAUCCUCAAGGUAUAACUCACGGAGAGACGGAAAACAAACCUCAUUCGUUGAAUUAUUCAAAUGCGGACAUGAAUGGAUUUCAAGUUUUAUGAGACAAUCAAGUUGACGAGGUAAUGUCCUAAUCAAUGAAGGACAACUCCGGACAACAAGAUGUUGAAGACAGGAGAAUGAGACUUCUUCUUUUGGGCCCCCAACAUAAGGAGACCAAUUCUUCCAUGACAACAUCUCUUUCAACUUCAAAGUUGUUAAGGAUGAGAAAGGCCUUUUAUCUCCUUAAAAUUUAGAGCCUAUCAUUCUUAUUGUGUGUAGACCUUCGAGAGAUAAUUCCUUUAGUGAAGGUAGUUGUCCAAGCGGGGGAAGUGAUAUAACAUUAGGACAGCCCCGCAAGCACAAAGACACUAUCUUAGAAUAGGAUGGACCACCUAACCAUGACGGGAAUUUUGCACCACCAUAGUUCAAAAUAUUGAGAUUUUCAAGAUCAAUGCGAGGUCGUAGGAAGUCAAGCACUUGUGCUUCCUGCUCAUGAUUCUAGAGAUUUUCCAAAUUUUCAUCCCAAUGCAAGGAUAAGUUGGUAAGGCCUUGCUUUUGAUGCAAAUUAGCAUCAAUUGCAUCUCUAACUUUUUCCACCUUUUGCAAUUCUGAUAUGAAUAAUUCUCCUUAAAGAUGUGGCAAAUUCUUUAACUCCUCUAACCGUGAUCCUUUCUCUGGUCGUACCACAAACUUGGACAAGAUAAUAAGAUCUUUUAAAUUACCGAUACCCAACGGCAUCUCUUUAAGACUCCUCAUAUCUCUAACAUCAAGAAACUGUAAAUUGACCAAUUUUGUGAUGCCUUGAGGCAACUUUGAAAGUUUUUGACAACCUCUUAAAAUCAAAACUUGUAAUUUGCACGAGUUGACAAUUGAUUCAGGUAGCCUUUUGAUAUCAGUGUACGAGAAAUUGAGAUAUUGAAGAUGUUUUAAAUCACCAACACAAUUCGGUACCUCUACAAUGUCACAACGACUUAAUGGGAAUACUCUCAAGUACUUCAAGUUUGUUAGCAAGUCAUGUAGCACCUUAUUGGAAAUAGAGAAAGAGCCCCCACUAGAUCCAUCACGGACUAGAAUUAAACUUCUUAGUGUCUUCAUUCCUUGAUAUUGUUUCAGGCAUUUUGAUGUAACAUAUUGCGAUGGGAUGAAUGAUGCAUAACAAGUUUUUUCAAGAGAUGAUACAUCAUGUUCAUUACUUGCCAUCUGAGACCCCCACGAGCUAAAGCAAGUCCCACCCAAAAUUGACUUUGCCAGAUCAUUCAAAAGAUCAUGCAUUGAAAACUUAGAUGCGUCGAUACUUGAUUGUUGAAGAAAUGACAUGGAUACUAACUCAUCAAAGUGCUUUCGUCCCAAUUUCAAGAUAUUCUCAUUUCCUUUUUGCCCAUCUAAAAGUCCCUCUGCUAUCCAUAAGAGUACCAACUCAUCCCUCUCAAUUUCGUAAUCCUUGGGAAAUACCGCACAAUAAGCAAAACAUCUCUUCAAAUAGGAAGGAAGAUGGACAUAACUCAAUUUUAAAACUGGGAGAACCUCAUCAUUCUGUGCAGUCAGAAGAUCCCAUAUUUUGUUAUUUAAGGUAUCUUCCCAUUCAUUAAGAUUACUUUUAGUACGUAGGACACCGCCCAACAUCUUUGCCGCCAAAGGUAAACCUUUACAUCUUUCAGCUAUUUUCUUCCCUAUUAUUUUAAAAGCCCAGUGGCUCUCAAAAUUUGUUGCUCCAAGAGCAUGAAAGGCUAAUAAGCUUACACAAUUAUCAAAGGACAAUUCCCUCAAAGGAUAAGGCGAAGCUCUUGUUAUGGAAGCAACAUUAAGGUUGCGAGUCGUGAUGAUGAUCUUGCUUCCCUUAGUCCCCACUUCAAAUGGCUUUAAGAGAGCAGUCCAUUUUUCGUAUUUCUCAUUCCAAAUAUCGUCUAAAACCACAAGAAACUUCUUCCCAGAUAGACUAUCCUUCAACUUAACUUGAAGCUCAUUAAGAUUACCCUCGCUGGACAAUCCGGUGAUCAACCGCAAAAUAGUCUUUGUUAUGUCAAAGACAUCAAAAACAUCUGAGACACAAACCCAUGCUCUCUUCUCGAAAUAGCUAUUCACUUUGGCAUUAUUAUAUAGCCACUGAGUCAAGGCCGUCUUUCCAAUACCACCCAUCCCAACUAUGGGGACUAUGCUUAGUGUGGCAUCAUAAUUUUUGACCUCACGGAUCAAUAGUUCGAGUAUCUCCAUUUCUUCCUUCUCCCUACCGAAAAACCGAGGCUCUGGUAGAGAACUAGUGGGAUCCCUUCUGCUGAUGUAGUUGGAUCUGUCCACAACAUUGUCUCUCAAGCUUAGAUAAUCCCUCCUUUUGACAAUCACUUCGAACCUACCAUUGAUAUCUUGGACCUUAGUGUCAGACACAAGUGAGCCUGGUUGUGUAAAAGAAAAGAACUUCCUUUUCCAUUGCCCUCUACUUGUUCUGGAUUCCACCUCCGACUUAACUUGAUUGGCUUUGAUGUCAAACUCAUCGAGCAAGUCUUCUAUGUCAAAAGCCAAGUCCCUAACAUCAUCGAGCCAUAGCUUCGCUAGACAAUUACCGCUAAGUUGCUUUUCCUCUGCAUCAUCCACCACUGCAUUGAUUGUGACUAGCAUCCUCUUACAGUCAUCAAGGAUGGUGGUGUCAGUUCCUUCCCGUUGUGCAUAGUCGGAUGCCAAAGAACUCAACUUGUCAAACAAGACCUGAAAGAAGAAACCCAAAAUGAUCUCUCCAAUGGCCAUGGGUAAAUCAAUCACUAUAGAGAACAACAAAGGUGUUAUGGUAAAGCAAAGUAAAAAUGAAUGAAUGGAAAGAAAAAGCUAUGAAUUCCAGGAAGACCAAGACGUCCACUUACCAGAAAGAAUAAAAAAAAAGGACCAAGACUUUCAAAAGAUGCACACUAAAGUUUAGACAAAUCAAACUAAAAUAGUUUUUUGUCCAAGAGUGCCUGUUUUGUCAAUUGUUCUCCCUUUUCUUCGGAUCUAGACUUUUCUUGUGGGCAUCCAAAACAAAGGAUAAAUGUGAUUUUUCUUCAUAUAACCAACUUAGAGCUCACACGUAUUUUCGUCAAAAACUUCAUUACUUACGAGUGUUGUGUUGGCUUUUCACGCAUUCAUAUAUUAUUAAAAUCUCUAUGAUUUCAUGGUCCUUGUUUUCUGCUUUAUUGUUGAAUAUGCGAUCAAUGUAGGCUUUUACGUGGUGGUUACAGUGCUGAAAAUUUGCAUAUGUUUAAGAUAUGAGAAGAUUAUCGGUUCCUCCUUCAAUGUGAAUGACCAUGUAAAGACAUCAAAGGUGGCUAAUUUUAUCCGUUCAAUAAGAAAAACAAAGUACAUGCUUUGGGCUAAACAAGAAAAAAGGUCAGGUGCACCAACUAAUCCAUUAACUAAGUUGCUUUAGUUUACUUUGCAAAUAGUGAAGGAGUCAAUAAUCAUUAACUGACAUUACAUAAUCUAAUGAAAAUUAUACUUUAUGCAUCAAAUCAUCGUUCUCUUAUCAAGCGAUUCCGAUUAUCAACUAUUACCUUAGCACCCUUCGGUAGAUCGUAGUCGUCAUCUUGCUGCGAAGUUUUAACAUUGUAACUGCCACUUAAAGCCUAUAUUGAUCACAUAUCCACAAUAUGCGAUCAAUGAGCGGAAUCGUUCGGAGAGCACGUGCUUUCCAUCCAGCCUUUCGUCUGUUUAUCUAAAUCUUUUUGUGCAGCAAGAAGGCAUCCCAUCUAGAAGCGUUCUUUAAACAUUUUGUAUUCUGAAUCGUGUGAAGUUCACCCAGACAUUACGUGCUCUCCAUCAACAAUGUAUUUCCUAUUUACCUUGAAUUAAAGCAAAUGUCCCUCUUUUCUUUUUGUCUUCUAUUGGUCUACGAUUAAGGAAAAAAAAUGAAGAGUUUUCCAUAAUUUGGUAACAUCAUAAUAAAAAUUCCACAAGGAGAUUAGAAUCAUAUUAAUCUGUUUAACAAUAUGAUUUUUCUUUUUUGGUACGAGCAUUUCACUUCUUUCAGGUGGUGACUUUGUAUUUUUUUCCCUCUCCCUUUUCUCUAUCAUAUCUUUUAUUUUCUGGUAGCGGGAAUGCACGAUUAUAAACAUUUGCUUUUCAUUUACACUUUUUUUCAAUGAAUUAUAUCUAAAACAUGUACUAAACCCUUAAUUACCCGGUAACAUGCAUUAUUGGUGCCCUCUCUCUCUCCCUCUCUCCUGGGCCCAUAGGGAAAAGUAUCAUUGGUUUUCACACGAUGAAAACAAAUCGUCCACAUGCAACACCCUUGGGGCUUCAGUAGAAACUACUUCAUGUGAAGUUUAAUUUGCGAAUUGACUUAACUCGAUUAAUUAUAGUGGCACACCUUAAAAGAAUACUAAAUCACAAGCACCUUAUUAAUUCACCUUAUCCCUUUCGGUUGAUGGUAAAUCUACUAUAUCUAUAUAACAAGGACUUCUUACUGUAACAGUAAAUAAGUGAAAAGACACAACAAAAGUUAUUUAUUUUGUUUGGCGCCGUGAAAUUAUAGUAAACGUGAAUUUCCUGUGAAUCUGUUCUAAGAGGAAUGAAGCUAUCCUAUACGAUAUUUAUUGUUGUUUACCCAAUUUAAUGAACUAAAAUUCCAAACAGAUAUGUGAUUGUUCCAUGUAAAAUCCCAAACUUGUACUUAGUAAAAUCAUUCCAUGUCAGUGCAUGUUUAGUAAAGAGAUCAAUGAUAGAGAGAUUAAAAAUUAAUCUUGAUGUCCUAAUAUUACUAUCUAAAAAAAAUUGAAGAAACAAUUCUUUGUUAUUAAAAUUGGCAUCAAGUAUUUGAGAUCAACUUUAAUCAAGAUCAUAUAUAAGCAUCAAAUCGGUUUAAGAACCAAAGUUCUGUUGCUGUUGUAGCCUCUUCUUUGCCUCCAUUAAUAGAAAGAUUUCGUAAAGAACAGGUGGUUGCUCUUGGGAAAUAAAUGCCCACCAGAUGCUUUAGAUAGCACAGCUGCGGUUGCAUCAGUUUGAGGAGAAAAUAGAGCAAGAAGAUAAAUGUAACUACCUUUUCCGAGCAAACUUCCUAGAGCAGACCGGUGAAUGGGAUGAGAUCAAUGACAGGACUCCAACAAGCACGACCGCUAAGUUCAUACGAGCGGGAGGAGAACACCAUUGAUCAGGGGGACGGGCAUGGGUGUGGUGAAUCUAAGUGAUAAAGAGAUAAGGGAGAGAGAAAACUAUAAAAGCUAGGAAGACCAAGACUUUCACCUACCAAAAAAAUAAAAAUAAACAAAGACCAAGACUUUCAAGAAUACACAUCAGUGGUCAGAGGAAUCAUUAGAAAAUACUGUGUCCACAAGUGCUUGUCUUGUAAUGGUUGGACAAUAUCCUCAGAUAUUUGUAGUUUCCACAAUCAUAUAUUUGUUCAUGUACAUAAACCAUAAACUUAAGAAGACCAAGACAUUUCGUAGACAACUACAAGUCAUCAGAGAUGGCUAACUUUCUCUAUUCAAAAAGGAAAACAAAAGCACGUGCUUUGAGCUAAAAAGGAAAAAGGGUCAGGCACAACAACCACACCAAACAAUCCAUUAAGCAAGUUGCUUUGUUUCACUCUGGCAAUGGUAAAGGAGUGACAAAUAACCAUCUAACAGUAUGAUCUACUGGAAAUUAUGGUCUAUGCAUAAAACUCAUGAACAGGAAAAUCGUGUUCAAAAGGACUAGCAUUCUCCUAUCAAGCGGCUCCCUAUCAUUGACUACUACCUCAGCACCCUUCAGCAGAUCAUUGCCACCCAUCUUGCUGCGAAUUUUUAGCACUGUCAUUGCCGCAUAUAACAAAAACUCAAGAAGUCCAAGACUUUCCAGGACGCAAAUUGGCUCUGUUACUUCACUUUUCAAAUGGUUUUUUUUUUUUCCCUCGUUUGAAUAAAAUAUUAUUUAAUAAUCGGCAUUGACUGUUGUUCUCUUGCUCAAAAUCAACAAUAAUGUUCGUGUAACUUUUUUCAUGUUUAAUCAUAUUUUAAUUAUUUAUUUAUUUAUCUCUAUGGUACUUGUCUAUUAGAAUUAUGUCUAGAUUUUUAUGUAUCUUAUCAAAUAUAAGCUUAAUAAAAGAAAAAAGAAAAGCUAAAAAGAAAAAAAAACAGCAAAAAGCUGAAAAAGAAAAAAAAAAGGAAUGGGGCAAGGGAGAGCACCGCCAUUCCCACAGCCACUGCCAUGCCAUUGGCAUCAGCACCACUGCCAAGGUGACUCAUUCCAAUGCUGUUGCCACCAUUGCAGCCGGCGAAACUAGCCAGAUCAACCAUCACAUCCAAUUACCUUUAAUUACCUAAUGACUGGUGUAACUUGAUCUAGAGGGGAAUUCACAACAUAAAGAAUAAAUUCUAGGGUUCACAAUUUCUCACUUGCGUCGUCAAAAGUUGGGUUCCAUGUGAAGUCCACCUCAUCCAACAAUGAAUAAACCUAUUCUUAAAGGUUUGACUACCUAACUGAAACUAGUAAGUUCUUAGCAUUUCUUUUUUAUUUUUUAAUCUUUAAAGGAUGAACAACCAACUACUCCACCAAUAAAACGAGGGCUGAUAUUUUACAAUCUCAAAGCAUGAUGGGCAAGCUGAGAAGAAGUCAACAUAUUGCAGUGAAGAUUUAGCUCAAUAGACGCAACUUCUUUACCUCAAAGAAAGCAACUUUCAUCCAUGCACUAUUGUCCUAUAUGAGAAAAAAUUGACAGCGGCACCCCCAUUGGCCCAACAGAUAGCGCCAAUAACCACUUCAACCGAACGAAGACCCCACCAGCCACAAAUGCAAGUUUAUCAUUCACUGCACAAAUACAUACGGACAGCAAGCUACUAGGACAACUUAAGCACGCUUCAAGCAUAACAAUGUGACAAUCCAAUAUGAAAUCAUAAUGAAUCCAAAGCGUCACUUUCUUACAUGGAUAUACAUACCGAGGAGGUCCAAUUAUGCACAAGUAACACCAGACAACUAAUGGCUUUACUUGACUCAAAUCAGGGCAACAUGUAAUACCAUCAUUUUUUAUAUGUUUCAAGCCUUGAAUUGCCCCAAUUUGAUGGAAAACAAAUGUAACAUCAAUGCGGCAUCUCUCAAUAUGUUCACACAACUAGAACACUACCGAAAUGAUAUUGAAAUCCUCACAUUCCCCAUGUGAACAAAAGCGGCCAGAAAACACCCACACAUGCCCAUCUCACCAUGCAUAUUUAUGCACCUCAAGGAAUACCCACACAUGCCCAUCUCACCAUGCAUAUUUAUGCACCUCAAGGACUAUGUAUAUAACGUCAUACGUAGGUCAUCCGUACCAAAAAUUCUCACGUCCAGUAGCUUAGAGGAGUAAUACCAUGUACAUCUGCAACGUCAGUUAACACAGCAAAUGCACGCAUGAACAGCGAACAUCAAACGCACAUGACCCGCACUUGACAUACUAAAAGCACACAUAAUUGCAUUUCUAUAAACUUUAUACGGAAAAUGCAGUAAGAGACGAGCAGUGCAACUUCAAUGGGACAUCAAAACGUUGGUAAGCAGAAUGCAAUAGGAAUUAACUAUCUAUGACUGAGUCAUGCAUUCUGUCGAACAGGUAAAACGCCUCGCUGUUAAAGAACUAAUAUACGCCAGCUUCAAGCAGCGAUUCACUUUAGUCAUUACUAACAGCAACAACCAAGGUCCAGAACAUCAACGGAAAUUGAGAAGGGGGAAAGUCGAUGAAGAAGCCUCUCCUCUGAAAAUUCAAGAAAAAACAGAGAGCUCAGCUCGAUUCAUUGAACCGAAAGCCGAAAACCAUAGAAAGAGAGAGCGAGAGGACUAAGCUUUAGCGAUCGAACGGCGAGGAGCCGAGUAGAAGGAGCCGUCGUCGUCGGAGCAAAGGCCGAGAGACGUCAGAAACUGAGCUGGAGCUCUGCCGAACUCAGUGCUCUCCCUCGCUAAAAAUUAUUCUUCCACCAUCUUCUGGCGGCUUUUGUUUUGCACUGAAUCCUUUGACAGAAGUUGUCCUUUGGUCGACUCACCGUGUGGUCCCAUAAAUUGUUGUUAGGUGAUGAUGAUGACUCAUCGUUAUCACGCUAGAAUUUGGAAGGAGAGGGAAUUAUAAAGAUUACGAAGCCUGUCAUUAACUAAAUCUAAAGAGAGCCAUUGUAAUAACCCAUCGUUCUCCAUACCUGAUUGUGUGUUUUCGCACAUAAUUAGGCCAUAAGUUUCGAGCUCAUGUGAGUCCACGUAUCUAUCAUUUUUUUUUUCUCAAGAUGAAACGAGAUAUUUCGAGUAGCCCUCACUGUAUUCGAAUGCAAAACAUACUUGUUCAUUUGAGCAUACUUGAGAGCAAAAAAAAGAAUUGCCCAUCGGGCUUAGCUCAACCUAGCCCAAAAAAGGAAAAACAAUUGAGCAAGCUUGGGGCCAUGACUCUUCUCUUAGAGCUUGGAGCUACCAAGACUUGCCCGACAUGGUUUUAUUGUAACUUUCUUUAUGGGCACUGGCUUGCCCCAAUGCUGUUAUUUAUAAGAAGAAAGUAUAAUAAUUUCGAAAAUCUUAGGGCGGAAUGGGUAAGAAUUUUGAUGGUUGAUGUCUGACUUGGUCCGUCUAGGCUCGCCCAUUCAAUAGUUCUACAAUUAGUGAGUGUUGUCCUAGCCGAACAACCUUCUUUACCUUGUUAUCCAAAUUGUACAUCAAGUCCCAGUAAAAUCGGAUCCAUUUUUGGAUCAAGGCCCAAGAGUUGGGGCUAUCUAUCUUUCUAGGCCCAACAUACCAACGACAACCCAUUCAAUGCCUUUGCAGCAUGGUGUUAGGGCUUAAUACUAUUGCAAUUGUUAAAUUCAAGUUGAUCCGCAUGUAGCACUUGAGCAUCGGAAACAUUUCAAAAAUAUAUGUAUAAAAUCUUCCUUUUUUCUAUUAAAUUUUAACUUUUAUUUCACACUGCAGAAUUUGAAGAAAGGGCUUGUUUCGGGGAACUAACUAGGAAUUCUUUUUUUAUUUUUUUUGCUUCUCUUUGGUAUUAAACUAGGCAUUCUAUAAAGGGAAAUAUAUAAACUCUGAGGUGUCAAUAUCACGCUUUACGUGCGAAAUGUCAUAUUACUAGCUUUUUCUUAUUUGGAGUCUACUUUAAAUAUUAAGAACAAUCGACUAUGAUGGAUCCCUCUUAUGCUAUAUCGAUAAUGUCAUAUUAUCGAUAAUGAAAAGUUGACUUGACAUUAUUUUUUGGCAUCCACAACAAUGUCAUACUAUGGAUAAUGAAAAGUUGACUUGACAUUAUUUUUUGGCAUCCACAAAUUUUGAAGUUUCGAAAAAGCCUUUUAUUUUAUUUUCUUUUUUGACAAGGGGAAAUUUUUCAAAAGUUAUUUUAACCUUAACAAAUGAUAUUACCGACUUAUAUACAUGCUUAUAUCAUUGAUUUACAUCUACAAAUUAGUAUAUCACACAGUGUUGUUCAAAAAAUCAAUAAAUCUAAUUCAUCAGAGACAAAUAUUUAGGUAUUCUUGAAAGAUUCCCUAUUCAACUCAAUCAUGUGAACUAUUAACUUAUAUCGUAAACAAAAAACAAGAAGAUUUGUAACACUUCGUAUAAAGGCAUCUAACUCGGGUUGACCAGAUGAAGAUAAGUGUUUUGAAGACGUCUUAAAUUCUUAUAAAUAGUUGAGAAAAAAUUGCUUUUUAAUUGCAUAAAAAGUUAAACGGAUAAAAAAACAAAAGGAACAAUUUUUUUUUUUACGUUAAUCGGAGUUCACCUCACUAAGGCCCUUGACAUUUCUUUAAUGCCCUAACUUUCGUUGAUUGCAAUCGUCAAUAUAAUUAUCUCGAUUGAAUCACAAUCACUGUAUUGUACUCUUCAAGUUCGACUAAAAGAUUAAUAUAUGGCGUGUGAGAUGAAAAUGGGAACAAAAAAGAAAAUCAUGGGAUGAGAAAAUCAAGUAGCCCACAGUAAAAAUUACUUUGUCGUGUGAAAUAAACAAUUACAAGAGUAAUCAGACAUACACAUUAUACACAUACUCACCCAACUUCAACCAAAAAUCUACAAGACAUACCAGGGUACUUCCCAUUGCAAGACUAAAAAAUGUGAUUGUUUUGAUGAUUUUGUUUUUCCUGAAUGACCCUAAUGAUAAUGCUAAUGCAAAACUAUGGCGGAUCGCUGAUCACCAGUGAUUGUGGCCUAUUGGCACAAGCUGAUAUUUCACGAACGCGAUGACACAAGGAUAACCCCCUAGCGAUGAUGGCGCAUGAAUCUUGUCUUAUCCGUGACGGGAGCUCUGGCAACUUGGUAGGGUCAUAGCAACGAAACUUGCCUACCAUAUAUAAAUGGUUGUGAGUAGUAUUGGAUAACGGCCCUCUCACAAUCUUCUAUCAAAAUACAUCAUGGCAAACGUGAGACUUUCAUGAUGACGUAACAAAGUGACAAAGCAUAAUCUCCCUGAUUGCUCUUCUUUCCCUUUCCUUGAAAACAAAGAAAAAAGAAAAUGUGCUCUGAGCUGGUGCGGGAAUUUGAAUAGAAGAAAGAUGAAAUUUGAACGUUGACAAGGAAGUCAGAUUUAUAUGGAUUAUAAUCUGCAGGAUUCAUUCAAAUUUAAUUGUCAUAUUCACCAACUUGAAAACACCUGUUUUAAAUCCUAUUUUUUGCAUCUUUACAAUAGCUGCUGCUGCUGUUGGAAGUAAGAAAGCUUCUUCAUUUGACUUUGAAUGUAGACCUCGAUAAUUGACAUCAUGAUACAGAUUAAUCUUUUUAAGCAUGUCACAAAAAAAAAAAAAAAACAGUUUAAAGCAUAUCAUUACACCUACCAAAAUAAAUGGCCUUUUAUUUUUCUUUUGUCAAGUUGCAAAAGAUGAAUAUAAGCACAUCAUUUGCCUACCUCAACAGUGUUUGCAUUUGAUCCUUCUAGAGAGUUUGCCAAAUAAAGAAGACGGCGAGAUAUUCUGCAAAACAAGCACAGUUGAGAGGAUUUAGGCCACUGAGUUAGGGCAUAAAAAGAAGAAGAAGAUAUUUGGAAGAGAAAACACAACAAAUGCUGAAAUGGCAGAAAAAUAUUGGUAUAAGAGCAACAAUUCUUCGUGAUUCUCACACAAAGCAUAGUGCAUUUCCAUAAGUGGAAAGAUGAGCCAUAUUUGGGCACCAAACAAAGUUCAAGAAAUAUCAUCAAUCUAGAUAGGCACAUCCACACAUCACAAUUCCAGCACUGUGAGCAAGUCCAUAUGAGUAUUAUUUGUUCUGAGGAAUAGUCACUGUAACCAUUCCAUUGUGCGCUUCCUAAUCAAACAAAACAAAGCAACCCAAAUGUCUAGCUGCUUUGUGGCAAAUUAUGUGAAGCUUGUGCAUGGAAAAACGUGAACAUUUUAGCAUCAAGUUGAGGAUUUGUAAUAGAAGUGGUUCCUGGAACAGAAGCAGUAGCUAAAUGACGAGUGCGGAAAAAGAAAGAAGUCCGAAGCAUCAACUGAAGAAUAAAAAAUAGACAUUGCAGAGAAAUCUUCUUAUUGAAUCCAAACUCAAUCAACUACAACGAGUGGGAUUUCUUGGAUGGGGUGCCAACAAUCACCACUAUUGAGUUUUGAGCAUCGAUCUUUCAUAAUUUCACAUCACAUUAUGCCAAAUACUUGGAGUAGGGAGUGAAGCCAUCCUCUGGCAAGUACCAAUAAAACCUACAAAAGAUAGCUGUUUGAGAGAGGAGAGGUAGACCACUUGAUAAUCUUUCCAUGUUCCUCAUGUUUCUCAUCCAAGGAGAAAUUA
RNAcentral lists this long non-coding RNA (410088 nucleotides) under Eucalyptus grandis. RNAcentral's name for it is "long non-coding RNA (EGRA_LNC000577)". The record is from RNAcentral. Lineage: Eukaryota; Viridiplantae; Streptophyta; Magnoliopsida; Myrtales; Myrtaceae.